RNAcentral lists this long non-coding RNA (415771 nucleotides) under Hordeum vulgare. RNAcentral's name for it is "long non-coding RNA (HVUL_LNC002343)". The stretch from base 80836 to 80959 matches the Rfam family "MIR1120/MIR1122 microRNA precursor family". Lineage: Eukaryota; Viridiplantae; Streptophyta; Magnoliopsida; Poales; Poaceae. The record is from RNAcentral.
CGCGUCGGAGGCCGGGUUCUACGACCAGUUCGACGUGGUCGGCUCCGGCAACAACGUCCGCGUGAACGACGACGGCAUCGCCCAGCAGGUGGCGCUCACGCUCGACCAGGGCAACGGCGGCUCCGGCUUCAGCUCCAAGGACAAGUACCUCUACGGCGAGUUCAGCGUCCAGAUGAAGCUCAUCGGCGGCAACUCCGCCGGCACCGUCACCUCCUUCUACGUAAGUCUCGUCUUUUUCAGAGGACCAAGCGAGGGAAGACUAUGGUCUGACUCUGGCUGACCUGUGCUUGUGUGGUGCACAGCUGACGUCUGGGGAGGGCGACGGCCAUGACGAGAUCGACAUCGAGUUCAUGGGCAACCUCAGCGGCGACCCCUACGUGAUGAACACCAACGUCUGGGCCAGCGGCGACGGCAAGAAGGAGCACCAGUUCUACCUCUGGUUCGACCCCACCGCCGACUUCCACACCUACAAGAUCGUCUGGAACCCCAAGAACAUCAUGUACGCACCCCGCCCAUCCAUUCCCCAAACCAUCUUGGUCUUGCAUCCAAGUUCCAUGUCUAAUAACUCUUCCAUUGAUUGAUCUUAAAACCAGAUUCCAGGUGGACGACGUGCCGGUGAGGACGUUCAAGAAGUACGACGACCUGCCGUACCCGAGCAGCCAGCCGAUGACGGUGCACGCCACGCUCUGGGACGGCAGCUACUGGGCCACCCGCCACGGCGACGUCAAGAUCGACUGGACCCAGGCGCCCUUCGUCGUCAACUACCGCGGCUACACCUCCAACGGCUGCGUCAGCAACGGCGGCUCCUCCGCGUGCCCCGCCGGCAGCGACGCCUGGAUGAGCACGGAGCUCGACGCCAAAGCCCUCGGCACCGUCGCCUGGGCCGAGAGCAAGUACAUGUCCUACGACUACUGCACCGACGGCUGGCGCUUCCCCAACGGCUUCCCCGCCGAGUGCUCCCGCCGCAACUGAUCCAUCAUCACUUUCUUCUUCCUUCCUUCCCUCCUCGUCGUUGGUGUUCUUGUUUGUCCAUUCGAUUGGAGCGAGACGGACACACGUUGGCUCAUUUCCCAUGUAAGUACAUUUUACCAUGGAUUUGAUUGUUACAGUGAGUGUUACAGUUACAGAGAAAGUUAAGGUGACUUCUUGUGGGUUUCUCUGCUUGGAGAGACAGAGAGAGAGAGAGACAUGUGAUCGAUCGGUUAUGUAUGUAUGAACAAACCAUAAUAAAUUAUAAAUAAUCCUUGCAUCUCCUUUUCUUUUUUUGAGAGGGGAAUUAUAUCUCUCUGAGAUAUUGUUGUGGAUUCUUGUGAGUUUGAAUUGUCGCUGCGUGACGCAAGUAGACAAGCAACAGCUGCGCGCUUCGCUGUUCAGCUGCCUUCAGUCGUACACAUUGAACGGCCUGAUUUUUAUGUUCACUUUGCCCUACCAUGUUCAAUCUAGAUGGGAGUUAGCAAGGUGACUGUGUAUUUCACGUCAGUAAAUUGGGGUGCAUCUUCAGCUGGCUGAAUUUGAAUCAAAAUACACCGAUGAUGAAAGAGAGAAAAGACGGGGACCUGGCUUCCUGGCAAGAACAAGAAGGACAUUCAAAUUUAAAACCAUACAUAAACGUAUGUGGAUUAGAAAACUCAAAGCUUAUGAAAUCAAAAAUCACUUUUUUUUCUUUUUGUUAAAGUACAAGGGGAAAUUUUGAGGACUAGUUUCCGUUUUAUGAUUGGUUCUAUACAAAGUACUCCUAGAUCUUACGAUUUGACUUGGCGGAUGAAAGAAAUCGAAAGGCAGAGUGCGCGAAGUUUUGGAGGCCGAGCUCUAGGCACCUCCGUAUUUUGAAAAGAAUAAAUCAAAAAGUAUAUUUAAAAGUAUAAAAAAUCCAAUAAUAAUUCCUCUGAAAGAUAUAUGUGUUCCGCAAGAACGUAUUAAAUUUCGUCAAAAAAUCUUGUGAUUUGUAGGUUGUACAAAAAAACUCCAGCCCAACAACAGCAAUAUAAAGUAUGUUAAAAAUGUGUAUUUCUCUUUUUUCUGUACGCCACAUGUGGAAGUAUUCCCUUCUUUCCUAAAUAUAAGUCUUUUGAGAGGUUUCACUAGAAGACUACANNNNNNNNNNNNNNNNNNNNNNNNNNNNNNNNNNNNNNNNNNNNNNNNNNNNNNNNNNNNNNNNNNNNNNNNNNNNNNNNNNNNNNNNNNNNNNNNNNNNNNNNNNNNNNNNNNNNNNNNNNNNNNNNNNNNNNNNNNNNNNNNNNNNNNNNNNNNNNNNNNNNNNNNNNNNNNNNNNNNNNNNNNNNNNNNNNNNNNNNNNNNNNNNNNNNNNNNNNNNNNNNNNNNNNNNNNNNNNNNNNNNNNNNNNNNNNNNNNNNNNNNNNNNNNNNNNNNNUGUAGUCUUCUAGUGAAAUUUUUAAAAAGACUUAUAUUUAGGAACGGAGGGAGUAUAAUGCUACAAAAUUUUGCACAUAUGCGGUAUGCAUGUGUGUUCGUGUCCACAAAUAAAUUCGAAUUUUGUUGCACUCUGGAAAAUAGAAUUUUGGAAACGAGCUUCAUGUAGCUCGGGCUCCAAUUGCAUCUUCCGUCGAAAGGCAUCACUCGUUGUCUGAAUACGGAGUAUAUCAAUCCUCUACAGAAAGAUCGAAAGGCAUCACCUGUGGUCUGAAUACAACGGAGUAUACCAAUCCUCUUGUUUGUUCUAUGCCAUCUGUUGCAAUGAUUGGCCAGAGAUACAAGGCAUUUGGUGCUAAGCAAAAGUGCCAAUGACUUGAGCGAGUGGAAGACGGAAUAAUGCCUAUCUUUCAGCUCAGCUUCCAGAAUGGCUUAUCAAGACGGCCCUGGAAUGGUCCAAGAAAGUUGUUCAAGGGGCCAUUGCUGCACUGGAUGCUAGAAAAAUGGCAUAAAGCUUCUACCACUUGCCUAAGUAAUGUAUUUUGAUUUUCAAAAAAGGGAGUUCCACCAAUCAUCACGUUAAAGUGAUAUAAAUUUUCCUAGUCCAAAUCCACCUCUGCAUAACUAGAUGUACAAUAUUAGUAACAUGUCCAACGAAAUACUAUUUCGACAUGGUUUGACAUUGGGAAAAAAACUAGGGCCCUAGAGGACCGAUAUGCAGACUAAAAUGCCAUCAUUUGUUAGGUAAACAGAUGUGUGGCAGUAUGCUCUAGUCGGAUAGACAUAAUUGAAAAUGGCGCCCUAUCCACCUGCCUUUUUACGGUAGACGAUAUGUGAAACCAAUGUGUGUGUGUGGGCGUGCGUGCGUGGGGUAAAUCAAGUCCAUUAGUUAAUCCAAGAUGAAAAAUUAUGUUUUCCAAUUUAGAGCCAAUCUAAGAUGGAUUUUGGUGACUUUAUUGGUAGUUUUUAGAAGUUAUUUUAAGAAUGGAAGCUUCUUAAAAAUAGAGCAACAUCCGAGUUAUUUAAAAGAUGGAAAAGGUACGUCACAACAGACGCAAACAGGGUCAGAUAUCCCUUAUCGUAGUAAACCCUUAUAGAAAAUGAAACUACAACCAAGACCCUAAGGGUCGGCGAGUAACCACUACUGGAGACACAUAAAAACAUGUAGAUUUUUGGUAGGCACACGUGUAGCCCACCCCAACACAUGUGAACUUGAAGAAAAUGAAUGCUUCUUGGAUGGGAAAUCACUCUUCGCUUGGCAAGUCGCCACGAUUGAAGAAGCAACACUUCGGCACAAAAAGAUGACAAACCUAAAACCAACCAAUCCACAUUUGAAGAGCCACGGCUAGAACGAAACCUCAUCCACCCCCUUCGGUGCUAACAAAGACAUCACUUAGGCUAGGGUGGAGCUAGAAGGACCUUAUUCCACCUCAAUUGCCUUCGUGAUCACUUUGUUGGGGAACGUCGCAUGGAAAACAAAAAAUUUCCUACGCGCACGAAGACCUAUCAUGGUGAUGUCCAUCUACGAGAGGGGAUUUUUGAUCUACGUACCCUUGUAGAUCGCACAGCGGGAAGCAUUAAGAAACGCGAUUGAUGUAGUGGAACGUCCUCACGUCCCUCGAUCCGUCCCGCGAACCGUCCCACGAACCGUCCCGCGAUCCGUCCCACGNAACCCAUUCGUCACUCCCGGUACAUUCCCGGUAAUGCCGAAAACUUUCCGGUAAUCAAAUGAGGUCAUCCUAUAUAUCAAUCAUCGUCUCCGGACCAUUCCGAAAACCCUCCUGACGUCCGUGUUCUCAUCCGGGACUCCGAACAAUAUUCGGUAACCAACCAUAUAACUCAAAUACGCAUAAAACAUCGUCGAACCUUAAGUGUGCACACCCUGCGGGUUCGAGAACUAUGUAGACAUGACUCGAGAGACUCCUCGGUCAAUAUCCAAUAGCGGGACCUGGAUGCCCAUAUUGGAUCCUACAUAUUUUCCAAAGAUCUUAUCGGUUGAACCUCAGUGUCAAGGAUUCAUAUAAUCCCGUAUGUCAUUCCCUUUGUCCUUCGGUAUGUUACUUGCCCGAGAUUCGAUCGUCGGUAUCCGCAUACUUAUUUCAAUCUCGUUUACCGGCAAGUCUCUUUCCUUGUUCCGUAAUACAAGAUCCCGUGACUUACACUAAGUCACAUUGCUUGCAAGGCUUGUGUGUGAUGUUGUAUUUCCGAGUGGGCCCCGAGAUACCUCUCCGUCACACGGAGUGACAAAUCCAAGUCUUGAUCCAUACUAACUCAACGAACACCUUCGGACCUGUAGAGCAUCUUUAUAGUCACCCAGUUACGUUGUGACGUUUGAUACACACAAGGUAUUCCUCCGGUGCCAGCGAGUUAUAUGAUCUCAUGGUCAUAGGAAUAAAUACUUGACACGCAGAAAAACAGUAGCAACAAAAUGACACGAUCAACAUGCUACGUUCAUUAGUUUGGGUCUAGUCCAUCACAUGAUUCUCCUAAUGAUGUGAUCCCGUUAUCAAGUAACAACACUUGCCUAUGGUCAGGAAACCUAGACCAUCUUUGAUCAACGGGCUAGUCAACUAGAGGCUUACUAGGGAGAGUGUUUUGUCUAUGUAUCCACACAAGUAUUGUGUUUCCAAUCAAUACAAUUAUAGCAUGGAUAAUAAAAGAUUAUCAUGAACAAAGAAAUAUAAUAAUAAUUGAUUUAUUAUUGCCUCUAGGGCAUAUUUCCAACAGUCUCCCACUUGCACUAGAGUCAAUAAUCUAGUUCACAUCACCAUGUGAUUCUAACGAAUCUAACACCCAUAUAGUUCUGGGGUGUGAUCACGUCUUGCUCGUGAGAGAGGUUUUAGUCAACGGUUCUAAAACUUUCAGAUCCGUGUGCUCUUUACAAAUAUUUAUGUCAUCUUAUAGAUGCUACUACUACGUGCUAUUCGGAAAUACUCCAAAUAUCUACUCUACUAUAUGAAUCCGUUUCACUACUCAUAGUUAUUCGGGUUAGUGUCAAAGCUUGCAUCGACGUAACCCUUUACGACGAACUCUUUAACCACCUCCAUAAUCGAGAAACAUUCCUUAGCCCAUUAGUUACUAAGGAUAACUUUGACCGUUGUUCAGUGAUUCAAUCCUGGAUCACUCUCUAUACCUCUUAACAGACUUGUGGCAAGGCACAUAUCAGGUGCGGUACAUAGCAUGUCAUAAUGUAGAGUCUAUGGCUAAGGCAUAGGGGACGACCUUCGUCCUUUCUCUCUCUUCUGUCGUGGUGCGGUACACAACCAAGAACUCCUUCUUUGUUGAUCUAUUUUGAACUCCUUCAGAACUUGUCAAGGCAUGCAUCUUGUUGAAACUUCUAUUAAGCGUUUCGAUCUAUCUCCAUAGAUCUUGAUGCUCAACAUUUCAAGUAGCGUAAUCCAGGUAUUCCUUUGAAAAACUCCUUUCAAACAACCUUUUAUGCUUUACAGAAAUUCUACAUUACUUCUGAUCCACAGUAUGUCAACCACAUAUACUUAUCAGAAAUUCUAUAGUGCUCCCACUCACUUCUUUGGAAAUACAAGUUUCUCACAAACCUUGUAUAAACCCAAAAAGCUUCGAUCAACUCAUCAAAGCAUAUAUUCCAACACCGAGAUGCUUGCACCAGUCCAUAGAAGGAUCAGUGGAGCUUGCAUACUUGUUAGCACCCUUAGGAUUGACAAAACUUUCCGGUUGUAUUACAUACAACCUUUCCUCAAGAAAACCAUCGAGGAAACACUGUUUUGACAUCCUAUGUGCAAUAUUUCAUAAAUAAUGCAGCAACUACUAGCAUAAUUUCAACAGACUUUUAACAUCGCUAUGAGUGAGAAAGUCUCAUCAUAGUCAACUCUUUUGAACUUUGUCGGAAACAUCUUUGCGACAAGUCAAGCUUUUCUUAAUAGUGACUUAUCACCAUCAUCGUCUGUCUUCCUUUUAAAGACCCAUCUUUUCUUAAUAGUCUUACUACCAUCAAGUAGUUCUUCCAAAGUCUACACUUUGUUUUAUACAUGGAUCCUCUCUCGGAUUUCAUGGCCUCCAACAAUUUGUCGGAAUCCGGGCCCACCAUUACUUCUUCAUAACUCGUAGAUUCAUUGUUGUUCAACAACAUGACCUCCAAGACAGGGUUACCGUACCACUCUGUAGUAGUACGCGACCUUGUCGACCUACGAGGUCUGUAAUAACUUGAUCUGAUGCUCAAUGAUCACUAUCAUCAGCUUCCACUUCAAUUGGUGUAGGCACCACAAGAACAACUUCCUGCGCCCUGCUACACUCUGGUUGAAGUGAUGGUUUCAAUAACCUCAUCAAGUUCUACCACCCUCCCACUCAAUUCUUUCGAGAGAAAGCUUUCCUCGAGAAAGGACCCGUUUUCUAGAAACAAACACUUUUCUUCCGGAUCUGAGAUAGGAGAUGUAUCCAACUGUUUUGGAUAUCCUAUGAAGAUGCAUUUAUCCGCUUUGGGUUCGAGCUUAUCAGACUGAAACUUUUUCACAUAAGCAUCGCAGCCCCAAACUUUCAAGAAACGUCAGCUCAGGUUUCUCCAAACCAUAGUCUAUACUGUGUCAUCUCAACGGAAAUACGCGGUGCCCAAUUUAAAGUGAACGCGGUUGUCUCUAAUGCAUAACCCAUAGACGAUAGUGGUAAUUGGAUAAGAGACAUCAUAGUAUGCACCAUAUCAAAUAGGGCGUGGCUAUGACGUUCAGACACAUCAUCACACUAUGGUGUUUCAGGUGGCAUGAGCUGCGAAACAAUUUUCACAUUGUCUUAACUGCGUACCAAAAACUCGUAACUCAGAUAAUCAUCUCUAUGAUCAUAUCGUAGACAGUUUAUCCUUUUGUCACGACGAUCUUCACUCUGAAAUAGCUUUGAACUUUUUAAUAUUUCAGACUUAUGAUUCAUCAAGUAAAUACUCAUGUAUCUACUCUAAUCGUCAGUGAAAUAAGAACAUAACGAUAUCCACUGCGUGCCUCAGCACUCAUUGGACUGCACACAUCAAAAAUGUAUCACUCCCAACAAGUUACUCUCUUUUUUCAUGUGGCAUGAUUUGGAUUUCUCAAGUGAUUCAAAAUCAAGUGAAUCCAAACGACCCAUCCGCAUGGAGUUUCUUCAUGCGUUUACACCAACAUGACUCAAGUGGAGUGCCACAACUAAGUGGUACUAUCAUUAUUACCUUGUAUCUUUUGGCACCAAUAUUAUGAACAUGUGUAACACUACUAUUGAGAUUCAAUAAACCAUUGAUGGUAAUUAUUCAAGCAAAUAAAAUAACUAUUAUUCUCUUUAAAUGAAUAACCGUAUUGCAAUAAACACGAUCCAAUCAUGUUCAUGCUCAACGUAAACACCAAAUAACAAUUAUUUAGGUUUUACCACCAAUCCCGAUGAUAGAGGAAGCGUGCGACGUUUGAUCAUAUCAACCUUGGAAACACUUCCAACACAUAUCGUCACCUCGCCUUUAGCUAGUCUCCGUUUAUUCCGUAGCUUUCAUUUCGUCUUACUAAUCACUUAGCAACCGAACCGGUAUCCAAUACCCUCGCGCUACUAGGAGUACUAGCAAAGUACACAUCAACAUCAUGUAUAUCAAAUAUACUUCUUUCGACUUUGCCAGCCUUCUUAUCUACCAAGCAUCUAGGGUAACUCCGCCUCAGUGAAAGUUCCCCCCAUAACAGAAGCACUUAGUCUCAGGUUUGGGUUUAAUCUUGGGUCUCUUCAUUAGUGCAGCAACUGUUUUGCCGUUUCACGAAGUAUCCCUUCAAGCCCUCGCCUUUCUUGAAACUUAGUGGUUUUACUAACCAUCAACUAUUGAUGCUCCUUCUUGAUUUCUACUUUCGCAGUGUCAAACAUCGCGAAUCGCUCAAGGAUCAUUAUAUCUUUCCUUGAUAUGUUAUAGUUCAUCACGAAGCUCUCACAGCUUGGUGGCAGUGACUUUGGAGAACCAUCACUAUCUCAUCUAAAAGAUUAACUCCCAUUUGAUUCAAGCGAUUGUCGUACUCAGACAAUCUGAGCACACGCUCAACGAUUGAGCUUUUCUCCUUUACUUCGUGGACAAAGAAUUUUGUCGGAGGUCUCAUACCUCUUAACAAAGGCACAAGCAUGAAAUCACAAUUUCAUCUCUUCAGAACAUCUCUUAUGUUCCGUGACGUUUUAAAACGUCUUUGGCGCCUUGCUUCUAAGCCAUUAAGUAUUUUGCACUGAACUAUCGUGUAGUCAUCAGAAACGUGUAUGUCAGAUGUUCACAACAUCCACAGAUGACACUCGAGGUGCAGCACACCGAGUGGUGCAUUAAGGACAUAAGCCUUCUGCGGAGCAACGAGGACAAUCCUCAGUUUUACAGACUCGGUCCGCAAAGUUUGCUACUAUCAACUUUCAACUAAAUUUUCUCUAGGAACAUAUAAAACAGUAGAGCUAUAGCGCAAGCUACAUAGUAAUUCGCAAAGACCAUUAGACUAUGUUCAUGACAAUUAGUUCAAUUAGUCAUAUUACUUAAGAACUCCCACUCAAAAAGUACAUAUCUCUAGUCAUUUGAGUGGUACAUGAUCCAAAUUCACUAUCUCAAGUCCGAUCAUCACGUGAGUCGAGAAUAGUUUCAGUGGUAAGCAUCUCUAUGCUAAUCAUAUCAACUAUAUGAUUCAUGCUCGACCUUUCGGUCUCUUGUGUUCCGAGGCCAUGUCUGCACAUGCUAGGCUCGUCAAGUUUAACCCGAGUGUUCCGCGUGUGCAACUGUUUUGCACCCGUUGUAUGUGAACGUUUGAGUCUAUCACACCCGAUCAUCACGUGGUGUCUCGAAAAGACGAACUGUCGCAACGGUGCAUAGUCGGGGAGAACACAAUUUCGUCUUGAAAUUUUUAGUGAGAGAUCACCUCAUAAUGCUACCGUCGUUCUAAGCAAAAUAAGGUGCAUAAAAGGAUUAACAUCACAUGUAAUUCAUAAGUGACAUGAUAUGGCCAUCAUCAUGUGCUUCUUGAUCUCCAUCACCAAAGCACCGGCACGAUCUUCUUGUCACCCGCGUCACACCAUGAUCUCCAUCAUCAUGAUCUCCAUCAACAUGUCGCCAUCGGGGUUGUCGUGCUACUCAUGCUAGUACUACUAAAGCUACGUCCUAGCAAUAUAGUAAACACAUCUGCAAGCACAAACGUUAGUUUAAAGACAACCCUAUGGCUCCUGCCGGUUGCCGUACCAUCGACGUGCAAGUCGAUAUUAACUAUUACAACAUGAUCAUCUCAUACAUCCAAUAUAUCACAUCACGUCGUUGGCCAUAUCACAUCACAAGCAUACCCUGCAAAAACAAGUUAGACGUCCUCUAAUUGUUGUUGCAUGUUUUACGUGGUUGCCAUGGGUAUCUAGUAGGAUCGCAUCUUACUUACGCGAACACCACAACGGAGAUGUAUGAAUUGCUAUUUAACCUUUCUCGAAGGACCUCCUCGGUCAAAUCCGAUUCAACUAAAGUUGGAGAAACCGACACUCGCCAGUCAUCUUUGAGCAACGGGGUUGCUCGUAGCGAUGAAACCAGUCUCUCGUAAGCGUACGAGUAAUGUCGGUCCGAGCCACUUCGAUCCAACAAUACCGCGGAAUCAAGAAAAGACUAAGGAGGGCAGCAAAUCGCACAUCACCGCCCACAAAAACAUUUGUGUUCUACUCGAGAUAACAUCUACGCAUGAACCUAGCUCAUGAUGCCAUUGUUGGGGAACGUCGCAUGGGAAACAAAAAAAUUCCUACGCGCACGAAGAUCUAUCAUGGUGAUGUCCAUCUACGAGAGGGGAUUUCCGAUCUACGUACCCUUGUAGAUCGCACAGCAGGAAGUGUUAAGAAACGCGGUUGAUGUAGUGGAACGUCCUCACGUCCCUCGAUCCGCCCCGCGAACCGUCCCACGAACCGUCCCGCGAUCCGUCCCACGGUCCGCUCCGAUCUAGUNNNNNNNNNNNNNNNNNNNNNNNNNNNNNNNNNNNNNNNNNNNNNNNNNNNNNNNNNNNNNNNNNNNNNNNNNNNNNNNNNNNNNNNNNNNNNNNNNNNNNNNNNNNNNNNNNNNNNNNNNNNNNNNNNNNNNNNNNNNNNNNNNNNNNNNNNNNNNNNNNNNNNNNNNNNNNNNNNNNNNNNNNNNNNNNNNNNNNNNNNNNNNNNNNNNNNNNNNNNNNNNNNNNNNNNNNNNNNNNNNNNNNNNNNNNNNNNNNNNNNNNNNNNNNNNNNNNNNNNNNNNNNNNNNNNNNNNNNNNNNNNNNNNNNNNNNNNNNNNNNNNNNNNNNNNNNNNNNNNNNNNNNNNNNNNNNNNNNNNNNNNNNNNNNNNNNNNNNNNNNNAGUCCAUCACAUGAUUCUUCUAAUGAUGUGAUCCCGUUAUCAAGUAACAACACUUGCCUAUGGUCAGGAAAUUCAGACCAUCUUUGAUCAACGCGCUAGUCAACUAGAGGCUUACUAGGGAGAGUGUUUUGUCUAUGUAUCCACACAAGUAUUGUGUUUCCAAUCAAUACAAUUAUAGCAUUGAUAAUAAACGAUUAUCAUGAACAAAGAAAUAUAAUAAUAACUGAUUUAUUAUUGCCUCUAGGGCAUAUUUCCAACACACUUUUCUAGAAUAUUCGCCCCCUUGUGGAGGUAUUGUGCACUAUAAUCGUUAACACGUGUCGAUACCAUGUUCCAUGACUCUGGGUUGCUGUCCUGGAUUGAGGAUCGGGGUCGAGUCUGGGUCAGUAUCGAUGGAUGGCCAUGACAUGACCCCGAACACCCUGGUACAACAUGUACUCUUGUCAUGCAGCGGGACAAUGUAAUCUUGGUAUGAACUCAAGCUCGAAGCUCGCAGGCCAUGAACAAAUAAGCUUGGCAUUAUAGGAUCCUACCUCGCCCAACGAAGUCAUUGUUUCCUUCCAUCUACAUGAACGUGGCCAACCAACCAUCUCACCAAAUGUGCCCAUGCCGUCACGUAGGUAUGUGCCCGGAAUGAGGUGAGAAGUGUGCAACAUGGCGAGAUGAGUGUUAGUGCAUCCGCUUGCGCUCCACCUAUGAGAUUCACCUGGGCACUAAACUCGCCGUAGAGGUGCUUGUCUUUGGAGCCGAAGUGAGGGCCACCAUUGCCGCAGUCCAGCAUGAGCACUAAAAUAAUAGUAUUAUCCUGUUUGUAUUAGGUCGAGAUGUUAGGAUUAUGUUUCUUAAUUCGAGACAACAAUUAGUGUUUGUACUUGCAUUAAUUUAUGUAUGUGCAAAAUAUUAUGUUUAUGUAUAAAUAAUUAAAUAUGUGGGGUUUAUAUGAAAUAGAUGUGAAAUCUUCUAACUACAAAAUAUUAUGAAUGAUUCCAAAAAUAGUUUGGCCACUUUCAGAAUUAUUUGAUAACACAGUGGCAUCAGAUUGUUAACCUUCAGAAUUGGUCAGUAGACUUUAAUAAAUAGCUAUGUCAUCCUGUUGUUAUCUACCUGAACUAUAUACAUGUGUUUCACUAUCAAUGUGAUUGCCAAAUUUGAUAUUUAACCUGUAUUAGGUUAGAACAAAGCACAUCUUAUAUAUCAUCCGGAUUACUGGUUUCAUAUGAUUUGGCUUUUGCACCAUGGGGGCAGUAGGUCAUCUAGUCUAUUUAGAAGAUGGUAUGGAUGGUGUUUUAAUUGAAUCUCAAGCUAUAGACUCUUUGAACAUGAAGAAUACGCCAAUCUCUUGGCCAUCAUGUGUCAUCCUUACAUCUACAAAAAUUGGUAUGUAUUCUUGCACUCCAUAUUUCAAGGAAAACCACAAGCCAAUAUAAUGUUCCGACAUCUAGAGUAAAAUGCACAUGCAGUCCCUAAACUUGUCUGUCUAUGUCACCUAGAUCCCCAAACUUGGUAAGUAUUUCACUUGAGGCCUUCUACUAUAUCAUAUCAUAAGUAAGGGCGUCUUCAAUGUCGACCCGCAAACACGAAUGCCGGAGCCAAAAAUCAUUUGCAUACAUUUGACAUUGGGUUUCAACUAACCGAUCAAAUUUCAUCAAAUACGAAAAAAUUCAUCAAAGUUCAGAUAGAAAAUAGAUGUCUAAUACAACAAAAGUUCAAAUUCAACCGAAUGUUCAACAAGUUCUUCAUGGAUAUAUAAAAUUCAACGAUACUAGCUAGCUCCAAUUCUGGCACAUGUUGUCCCACACAUACCGUCCCUUGAGUUUCAACCAACAAUGCAUGUACAUGAAUGGCUUGCCCUCUGCCAUGUAGUACAUCACGGCCAUGCAUGCAUGCUACAGAAUAUCUAGAGCAACAAUGAGUAAAUGAAUCAAUCAGUGCGUAGAGCAAGAUUAUUUUUUUCAAAACUUACGAUCUCCAUGAUUUGUUGCGCGCAAUGGCCACAUUGUCACCAGGCGAUCAAUCGUGCCACAAUACUUUGUGAGGAAGUUCUGGAUGGUGUUCCAUCGAUACAACUUCAUACUAUGUUCAUGGAUGAUAUGCAUGUUAUAGGACACAAUGUGUUAUCGCACAUGAAACAAAAAGGAAUCAUGCACGCGCUGCCAAAAGAGCCCCCUUCUGCUCUUGCUUACGAAGUCCGUAUGUACGAUCAACCAUGCAUCGUACAAUAACUCACCGUCCAUGAUCGAGUACCCCGCCAUCCUUCUUAAUUUCUUACUCUAAACAACCUCAUUGACAUUUACCGAACAUCUACCGGGCAUGGUGUCUCAUGAACGUGGGCAAAGGGUGCCUAGCUGCGGACUAAUCAUGUGUGGAGUUUAUCCAAAAUGAAAACCCUAAAGCGCCCCUAGUUUUUUCUUUAGGGCUUAAAACGCCCCUAGAUAUAGCGGCCGACGCUUUGCGGGCCUCCCGUAUAUAUUCUGCUGGACAGGGUAAUGUUUGGCGCACCUGUUACGGCCUGAAAAAGCCCGAAAACGAUAAAACGGCCGCAAAUACACGGGCCGGCGGGAAAGCGCAUCUAGCAGCUAGAGUUGCUCUAACCCCCGGCCCGCAAGAUUCAUUUCCCCGAUUCUCCUCAUCCAGAUCGCGCCGCCGCCGCCGCCGCCGCGCCCCUCCUCCACACCGCCACCGUCCCAGCUCCAGCUGCCAGCCCUCCGCGCACAUCCGGCUGCCCAGCAGCCACUCCACGCCGCCGGCCUCCACCACCGCGCCUCCCCCGAGCCCCUCUGCUUCCUCUGCGCGCCGUCCAAGGUGAGCUCCCCUGCUCCUCCUCCCUCUCUCCCCGUUACGUUCCGGACACCGUUGAGGGAGCUCCGCUCGAACAGAGAGGUACGGAUGCCAUGGCUUCCAUGUAAGCAAGCUCCAAGCCGGCCCUGUUUCCCUGUUUUCUUUCCAUCAGCUAGUAACCGAGGCUAUCUUUGUUACUGUACUAAAGUACAUCCAUACAAUGGGCUGAAGAUAAUAGUUUUGUUAGAUAAUGUGCUGAAGAAACAUAUCAUGUGUAUAUAAAUGAUACAGAGCAUCCUAGUACCUAUCUUUCUUACUAGGAUUGUAAUGCAGCACUACAGUUUAAUCAGAACAACAGUACAAUGCAUACAAUGGUACGUAUUAAGAUAUCUAAUUGUUAAUGAUGAGCUAACUUUGAAUUAAGUUUUACCUGAUAUAUGUUCAUAUGGGCAGCAAAAUGGUAAAAGAUAACUCCAUAUCGUUUAAUCAGAACAACAAUACAGUCCACGGGCAUUACCAGCUUUUCACUGAUUAUACCACAUAUAAGCUGAAAAAACAGGCACUAGAAAGAACGAGCUUAUUUUCGCAUGAGCUUACCUGUAGCUUAUUUUCACAGGAUAACUCAAAAGAACUGACCUCGAUGGCGCUCCUCCGAGCCCUCCGCCGAGCCCUUCCGCCGCUCUACUUGCCGGCGGCGCCUCUUUCCCGGCGCGCCCCAGGUCCUCCUGCGCUCCCUCCCCAUCCUCUCUGGCUCCUGGAUCCAAUCGGGUUCCGGCCGUUCUCCGCCGUCGCGGCCACCACCACCGCCGUCGCGCGGGCGCCGGAAAUGGGCGCCAGCCUCUUCAGAGGGCUCACGGAGACCAGGUCCCCCAAGCGACGGCCUGGAUUCGUGUCCCGGCGCAAGAGGGCCAGCCUGCGACCCAAAGGUGCGGUGAACCCUGCCAUUCCAUGUUUCAUAGGUGUCACGAUUCAAAGAUCUGCAUGGUUAAUUUGCAUUAUCACCAUUUUAAUUGUGCGCGCCUGAUGUGCUGAUUUGUGUGAUUCAUUCGAACUGUGCGCUGCUCUUGCAGUUUCAGUCUGGUUAACACUGCUGAUGCUGCUGUUAUUGGUUGGCAGGUCCGCACUACUGGGUGAAGUGCAAGCCGGGGGAGCCUAUCCCUUCGAGUCAGCCGAAUGAGGGCAGCGUACAGGGGAGGAAGGAGAAGAAGCGAAUCAAGCAGCGCAAGGACUUUAUCAUGGUGUGCAUUUUGUUCAGUUCCCUGCAAUGCUUGUUUUGAUUGUGUGAUGGGUUUAUGCAAGGUUAUCAAAAUCUAUCUGUGUCUCUGGAGUAGAAAACGUAAAAGGCCGAUGGAAUUAUGAGAAUGUGGGUAGUUUUAACCGGGGAAUGAAAUCCUGAGAACACAAGUAGUUUUUUCAUGCUACCGAGUAGCUAGAUAUCAUGUUAGAAUGGAACUAGCUAAUCAUAGGAGUGAAAUGCAUGGCUAGUCCAUAAACUGAAACUGAAAGCACACUUUAGGCCACAAGCUCAAAAUCUGCAUGGAUUAGGCCAUAAACUGAAUUAAGAGCACACCUUAGGCUAGAAACCGCUUCGGGGUGAUUAAACCUGCACACGUGGCUGCCAGCUCGGCUGUGGCUGGACCUACCCGAGUCAUAGAUUUCAUAGGGGGCUAUUUGCAAAAGGGCCACAACUGCAAAAUUCCCUCGAGAUCCCCAAUUCUUCUGGUCACAGGGCGGCGGUGGCGACUCCCGAAAGAAAAUAAUUAAAUUUCUGCACUUAAAGAAAGCAAAGAAACCAAAAAAAUCAGUUUUCGCAAUGGUUUCUGUACUAAUUCAGUUUGUGCACUAAAAUUCAUUUUCUGCGCUGAAAUAGAGUGUAUCUAAAGAUUCAGUAUCUAAACUAAAGAAGGUUUGUGGAACAACUGAACUUUUAAACUUAAACGUAGAUCAACAGUAAAUUUUUGGUCUUUUCAGUUCCUGUAGUAAUUCAGUUUGUGCACUAAAAUUCAUUUUCUGCAGUAAAACAGAGUGUAUCUGAAGACUCAGUAUCUGAACUAAAGAAGGUUUGUGGAACAGCUGAACUUUUAAACUUAAACGUAGAUCAAAAGUAAAGGUUCAGUCUUUUCAGUUCCUGUACUAAUUUAGUUUGUGUACUGAAAUUCAUUUUCUGCACUAAAAGGGAAUAUAUGUAAAGGUCCGGUAUCUGAACUACAGAAGGUUUGUGGAACAGCUGAAUUUUUAAACUUAAACAGAGAUCAAAAGUAAAGGUUCAGUUUUUCUACAUAAACAGAGCACAUGUUCAGAUCAAUACAAACAGGAACAAAACCCUAGGCAUGCUUAAAAAAUAAACCUCAAUACCAUAAUUUCACAUCAUUCCAUUGUCAUAUACAUGAACGCCACCACAGAGAUGACGCAAUCGACCUUGAUCAUAGAUGGGAAAAAAAAACUACUGAUUGGAAGAGGACAGGGAUGGCGGAGAGAAGAGGAGGAGAAAAACAUACUGUAGCCGGCGUUGAGCCGCCGUCUGUGAUUAUCGAUCAAAUUCCUCUGGUCAUGGUGGCUAUGGUGUCGAGGCAGAGAGGAGAUGAGAAGAGGAAAACGGAAGGGGUUCGCUCCAGCCGGUGCGGUAGGCGCGACUCUUUACUUUCGAUAAUUUGAACAUAGCACACUGUCAAAGCUAUCUCUCGCAGAUGCGGUACAAUGUUAGCCGAGCUUGCAGCCAUGUGUGCAGGAUCAGGCCCGGCGAAGCGUUUUCCGGCCUGAAGUGUGCUCUUAGUUCAGUCCAUGGCCUAAUCUGUGUAGAUUUUGAGUUUAUGGAGUAAACUGUGCUUUCAAUUUGAGUUAAUGGACCAACGAUGCAUUUCACUCUAAUCAUAGUUUAGACGGGUAGUCGAAUAGGUAUUUUAAAGGCAUCGUGCUAAUACAAACACCUACAUUUCUAUUGCUUACAUUCAUUCAUUCAUGUUGCUUGGGCAGGCUGAGAAGAGGAAGCGCAAAGCACAGUAUUCUGUUGCUGUGAAGAGGAAGGAGGCGGAACGGACAGAAAGGAAGAUGGCUGCUGUGGCAAGAGACCGCGCAUGGGUGGAAAGGCUGGCAGAGCUAAAACAGAUGGAGGCAAAAAAGAGAGCUGCAAUGGCUUGAGGAGCUCCUCUCUCUGGAAACAAACGGCAAGGCAGGCGUCUAACUUGUUUCUGCUGCUGCCUUUUGUCCCUGUUUUUUUUCCUCCCCUUAUAGCCUGAAUUUGUUCUGUGUGAACAGUUGUCACAACCAUUGUGGGUGGGUGGAACUUUGGCUGGCUGUACCAAACGCAACCUUAGUAAUUCAUGUGGAAAUUAACAGAUUGUUGGCCGCUCUAACUUGUACAGGUUUUUUUAUUGUGCAUAUAUAGUGGAAAAUAUAUCGUGUACUGAACAUAACUUUAUAUUUGAAUGCCACUGGAACUUUAUAUUAUAGUAACAGGAAAAAAAAACGGCUAAGCAUUCCUUCACGCGUGUAAUUCCAUUGCCGAUUUAGAUGGGCAAUUAGGUGACAGUUUGGGCAAUUUGCAUGGCACUUCUGCCUCCUUUUUAUGCCAACACGCUUUGCCCGGCAGAAAGGGGCAGCAGUAGCAUUCUUCGUUGUAGAAUUCCUGAUUGGCAUUGCUGCAGCGUGCAGUCCCUUUUCAGACACCAAUUCAAGGUGAGUUUGGUUGAUUCCACAAAAGUAGAAUUUGCACUUAUUAUGUUGGCAUGAUGAUCCUGGUAACUUGUUCUAGCUAGCUAACUUUAUUAUGUUCGACCUAUCAUAUAGCCAAUAUGCAGCGUUUGUUAGUGCACAUAUACGUCUCUGUAACCAGAGGGAACAAUUUCUUAAAGGCAGUAAAUUAGAUGAACAUAUACAAUGAGAUAAUGGUUUCAUGCUUACAUUGUCCAACCACAGCAAGGCACACGAUGAAGAAGAGAGGAACCGCGUACACCAGACUGCUCCCUCUCAUGUUUGAUCCUCAACUUCCAACGAUCUAAUGAAUUUUAAGAGAGAGGUGUAGAUGCAAAAGAGGCAAUGGCCACAGACAAACCCCUCUCACCUCCAUAUAGGGAUUGACUAUUCAUCACCCAGGAUGAAGAAUUCUUAUUCUUCAUCCCACCUCCUCACGCACCCUAUAGUCACCGUAAGAACCAAAAUGCAUGUGAGGUAAUAUUACGGUGUGUACUUAAGUGCUUCUUAACAUCCACCGUGAGAAACAAAUAUAUCAUACACGUGAGGUAAUAUUACGACAUGCAUGUGUGAAGUGAGGUAAAGUUAUAACACGUUGGUGAGAAUUCAAUACAUGUGAGGUAAGAUUAGACCAUGUUGGUGAGGUAAGAUUAUGAGGUGCGUGUGAGGUAAAAUUACGAUAUCCAACCAGAAAUAUAUUUUGAGAGUUUUUCACCCUCAAUGAUGAAUAGACUUUCUAUUUUCCAUACGAGACGCCUGCAAGCCAUAUUUGCAGAUCGCACAAUUGUCUCAUAUAUGAAUGCGUAUAAUCAGCAGGAUUUUGCCAAUCAACAGAAUUUUGCCAAUCCCGGAUGUAUAUUUCUGGUUAUAUGCGAAUGCGUAUAAUAAGGAUGUAGAUUUACCUGCACCCGGGCCCUUCUAUCCUGGCUCUAUAAUGUUGCUUUAAGAUCUGUGUGACACAACUAACUUUUUACAUGAUUUUUUUUUCUUUUUUGGUUCUCUCGUAUAAAACAUGUCUUGAAGUUCAAACACUUACAGCGUGGCAAAGCUUUCUAUCUAGAAUCUUGUCUAAAUCUUUCAGAACUUUUUGAUCCGACAUAAAUAGUAAAAAUAAGAUUUUUUAAUCAAAUAAAACCUAUUUUGUAUAUUUAUAUUGUACCAAAAAAUCUAAAAGUCUUAUCCUCGAUUCUAGUUAGAAAGCUUUGUUGUUCUGCAAAGGUUUGGAUAUCUAGACAUGUUCCAUGUGAAAGAAACAAAAAAAGAAAUGUACUUGCAUGAGUCGCGAUGUGAAGAUGGGUGGUUAGGAUAGAAGGGCCCGGGUGCAGAUGCUCUAAAACCUGUUUUCGGUAUAAUCAGCAGGAUUUUGCCAAUCGCACAAUUAGCACAUACUCCCUUCGUCCCAAAUAAGUGACUCAAAAAUGACUCAAAUUUACAUUAACUUUAAUACAAAGUUGAUUUAUUUUUGAAUCACUUAUUUUAAAACGGAGGGAGUCCAUGGUACGUGCAUAACGUGAGGUAUUUCUGAAGUCGUGGUUAUCUCCCCUAAUAAUAAAGUACGCACUGCUUCUGACGUCCGUCGCGGCAUUUUUGUAAAAACAUCCCUGUAGUUUUCUCUAAUUAACCCACGGUAUGUUUUUAAGUGAGGCCGAAUCGUUUUUUUCACAUUUUACACAAAACCCUCUUACUUUCGUGCUAAAUAACCCGCGGUUCAAAUUAUAUUCAGAGCGAAUCGUUUUUUAAAUUUUGUACGUACACCCCUCACAUAUGCGUUAAUAACCUCGAAGUCCAUUCAGAAUAAAUAUGUAUUUUCAAAUAACAAUAUCUUUUAAACCGCAAAUUCAAUUUAAACAUGUUAUAUAUAAAACUUGAUUAGAAAAAUGUGUAGAGUUUGAAUAUGUUGUUAUUUUACAUAUUAAAUAUUUAAAAAAAUACUAUUAUAUACAAUGCUAAUCAAUAUUUGUCUUUAUUUCGUACCGACUAUUUGUAUUGUAACAUGUUAACUUAAGCAUCAAUAUUUAGGAAAUGUUAUAAUCUUUGGACAUGAUAUACUUGCACUAGGUUCUUUCUUUGUACAUAUUUUAUAAUCUAAGACCUUACGUACGUGUUUUUUUUUACAGUAUCCACGCGCGUUUUUAUCAAUGGACUACAUUUUUUUAUUUUUUAUUUUUCUCCUGUUGCAACGCGUGGGCAUUUGUGCUAGUGAAUGCUUACACGGCAAGAUAUAUUACCAUGCGUGCGUCAAAUCACGAUGAAUAGCAUCUUAUGCACCUGGUGAGUGGUGAUGAGUCUAAGGAAAGGAAGAAUUCCAUUGCAAACGCCGAGCUCAAUUCGAGCUCCAGACGCCCCACGCCCAGGAGCCAAAUGGAGAGCUCCAGCUCAGCUCACGAACUUCACAAUUAACUCAGGCUCGGCGACCUCGCAAAACUCGUCUUUCCAGGACAGUGUGCAGACAGUAGCCUCUCCGAUCCGUAGGCAAGACAAAGGCUUCAGUAACUAGUUUUACAUAGAGCUUCUUAUUUUCUGAAAGAUACAUAGAGCUUUACUGCUGACAGUAGGAGGAAGAGCAAUGCUUGAAAGCUCUUGCUAAAGCAAGGGAGUGAGCUACCAAGUUGCUGAUUUUAGGAAUGUGGGAGACUUUGUAGGAUCUCAGAGAAGAAGCCGCAUGGAAGCAGUUUGCUAGAAGCCGGCUGAUGAUACUCCAGUGGCCGGGCUUUGAUAGUUUUUUUUUUACGGAACCUCGUCACAGGGGAAGGAGCUCUCGCAUUGUAUUAAGAGCAACUUUAGCACACCCCGCAUCUGUCCAACCCGCAAAACGUGUUUGCAGUUCGCGGAAAAACACCUUUGCGGGUCGGCGCGCACGGCCGCGGAUGCAGAUCCCUCAUAACGGACCCCUAAAAAAGCGUAUUCUUUUUUAGGGUCAUCUUUGCGGGGUCUGAUCUGGCGCAGCUCCUCCCGACCCGGAAAACCUAAAUUUGCACCUUAAUUUGAUCCAACAUAAUGCAUUUCUUUGCUUUUUCAACAACAUUGAAUACAUAAGCCGCAACACUGUCUUCGUGCAUUCGUCGUACUGUAUGAGCGGCAACGACGAACCACAGAGCCGCUGCGCGAGCGCCGAGCCCGGUGGACGGCCGGACGAAUCCCUGCCCGCAAAUCGUCGGCGGCGCCGGGAGGACGAACCCGUCCCUGCAUGCGGUGAUGCGCCCUUGCCGGGGCUGCGGGAGAUGCUCCACGACCACUCCAUCGCUUGGCCCAGCCACCGGCGGCCGGCAAAAGCCAAAUCCGGCUGUCCCGCGAUGAAGGUCCGCAGAUCCGCAAAUCCAGCAACCCGCCGACGCACGGGGGAGGGGAGGCCUCGUGCGUGUGGCGGCCUUUCGGCGAGCUCCUGCCGGCUGCUUUCGUCAGAAUCUUGGGCGACGGGGUGGCGGCGGCGCGAGGGGGGAGAGGGGAGGUGGUUGGUGGGGGAAAGCGCGGGCUCCCCCCACCAACCGCUUUCAUUUAUAUGCAGGGCACCGCAACAACGAGGGGAAACCCGCAAAUACGCGGGUUGGGGCCGAGAUUUUGCCGCGCCCCCCAAAUUUUUUUACGGGCCGGGGCGGGAUGCGGGGUCUGAUCGGGCAGGGUUUUCCGCCCCAACCCGCAUUUUGACGGUUAUUUUCCGGAUCGGGGCGGGAUGCAGGGUCUGCUAGAGUUGCUCUAAGAAGAAGAGAAUUGAUCUAGUUUAUAAGGAAAACCGUAUCGAAAACCUCAUAAAAUGAUCCGGUUUAUCAGGAAAACCAAGCCAAAAAACCGCACAUGCAGUGUAGCCUCGUCGACCACCCAACCCAAGACCACAAUUGCAACAAACACACACGACCGGCUCCGGAGCCGCCGCCCCGACAUCGCUCGCGAGCCGCAUCGUUGCACGACACAGACACCUCCUAGCCCUUGCUACACGAGAUGCCCACCCGUAGACCACAAACGUUGCGCUAGACUUCUGGGGCUGUCGCCCGACGUGUCAGCCAGAACGACCCCACAGAUCGCGUCGACCGAGCCGAAGAACUCGCUACCCUUGUAACGACAUAGGUGUCGAUGUUUUACAUCCAUCGUCCGGGGUCGCUGCCCUGGCAUCCACCACCCUGACCACAAAGCAACCAUGCAACUGCCAUAAACCCGCCAUCCCAUAAGCGUCAAGGUUCCAAGGCAACGCCACCAAGAAGGUAACGACAUAGGUGUCGAUGUUGCCCGCUCCGAUGGAGCUUGGGUUUUCACCCGGAGAUCACAUGACACUUGUGGCAGUAGAGGUAGCUUCACAAUAAGGCCUUCACGAAGGAAUGUGACGCCCGAGAGCGACGCCAUCAUCGACACUGACCAAGCAAGUGCAAGGCAUUCACCCGGAGCACCUUCUUCACCGCUGAGCCACACAAGGAAGCCCAGAGCAUAUGAGCGCAGCAAACUGAGCAGUGAGAAGGGGGCAUCGUUGACGACCACCAAUCCACAUCUUCCUUGCGGGCCGGAGACCUAUCUCCACAACCCACGAAGCACACCCACCCAGUAUGCGACACUGCCACACCGCCAUCCAUAAUUGUGUCUCACCGCCGCCCCCACAGCUCCACAAGCCAAGGGAGGAGCCCCGGGCACCCGAGGGCGCCCUGUCGCUACCACAUGAGCACAUCCGAGCGCCACCAUCGACAGAUUUGGGAGUUGGACCCGCGGCGGUCAACCACAUCACGUCCCCACCCAAUCCCAGACGAGGGGGUAAGAGGAAGGUGCCUCCACCAUGUCGAGGGCCGCCGCCCUGGCUCGCAUCUCCGGCAAGGCGUAGCUUCCACAAGGGAAGCCAGAUCCGUCGAUCUGGCCCCUCUGGCUGAGCAGCUUCAAGCAGCGAGAGAGCCUCCACAGCCCGCAAACUCCGACAUUGGAGCGCCCACCACCAGCGCCCUCACAGCCACCGGAAUUGCCUCCACCGCGCACUACCAGAUCCUUCACGACGACGCCACCGCGCGCCCACGAACCUCACAACCGGGUCCACCACAGCUCUCUCGCGCCACCUUCGAUGGCGAGGGCCGCCAUCACCGCGGCGAAGCCAACGACAGCUGUUAGAGCAUAUAUCUCCAUAUGUGGUUUUGGUAAUUGAUGACAAUUCCUAUGGACUAAUGGUUGCCUUAAGUUACAUUCAUAGGAUUUGUCCAUAGGCACUUCUUGAAGUCCAUCUGUUGGGUUCAAGGAGUUUAUAUGAUGACCAAGAUGGUAUUCAAGGUAUUAUCCAAAGAAUGGUCAUAGAGACACAUGGUUGAUCAAGAUCUCAGACAAAGAGUAAAUCAAGAUGAUCAACANNNNNNNNNNNNNNNNNNNNNNNNNNNNNNNNNNNNNNNNNNNNNNNNNNNNNNNNNNNNNNNNNNNNNNNNNNNNNNNNNNNNNNNNNNNNNNNNNNNNNNNNNNNNNNNNNNNNNNNNNNNNNNNNNNNNNNNNNNNNNNNNNNNNNNNNNNNNNNNNNNNNNNNNNNNNNNNNNNNNNNNNNNNNNNNNNNNNNNNNNNNNNNNNNNNNNNNNNNNNNNNNNNNNNNNNNNNNNNNNNNNNNNNNNNNNNNNNNNNNNNNNNNNNNNNNNNNNNNNNNNNNNNNNNNNNNNNNNNNNNNNNNNNNNNNNNNNNNNNNNNNNNNNNNNNNNNNNNNNNNNNNNNNNNNNNNNNNAAGAUGAUCAACACACAAAGCGUACAAGAUGUACCGAGAGGGAUCAAGUGAUCCCAUGGUAUGGUAAGCAUUGUCCAUUACGUGUUUAUGUACUAACCCAUGGUCUUCGUGAGAGUUCUAUGUGGGGGUUAGGUGUGUUUCCAUGGGCUUGCGUCAAAAGGAAGAUCUCAUACAACCCAUGAAGUAUGACGUCAAGUUGUGAUCGUAUUAUCCAAAGAAUGGUCAUAGAGACACAUGGUUGAUCAAGAUCUCGGACAAAGAGUAAAUUAAGAUGAUCAACACACAAAGCGUACAAGAUGUACCGAGAGGGAUCAAGUGAUCCCAUGGUAUGGUAAGCAUUGUCCAUUACGUGUUUGUGUACUAACCCAUGGUCUUCGUGAGAGUUCUAUGUGGGGGUUAGGUGUGUUUCCAUGGGCUUGCGUCAAAGGGAAGAUCUCAUACAACCCAUGAAGUAUGACGUCAAGUUGUGAUCGUCAUCAAGAUUGCGAUGUGCAAGUUCAAGUGGAUCAGCACGAAGAUAUCAUGCAUGAAGCUUGCCAUCCAUUGUGGUGGCAAUGGACUUGUGAAGAUAUGCUGAAGAGUGGCUCACCCAUAGUGAGUAUGGGGGAGCAAUCAAUUAGUCUUCAUCAAGCCAACACAAUCAAGAAAGGUGGUCCAUCUUGAGGAAUCCAAGAUCAUCAUCAUCUAGCUCAAGAGGACGAGGUGCAAGGUAUAGGUUUGCCCUUGAUAGGUUUUCUGUUUAGGAUAGAUUGCUAUACUAUCAAGGGGGGCUAUCAAGUGAGUAGCUUGAUCGUAUCGUUCGUUGAGAGCUCAAACCAUUUGCAUCCUUGCAUCAUACUUUUUGGUUCUUGUUUGGUGUUUCUCUUUGUGAGUUUUAGAGCUUAUGGUCAUCUUUGUGACAAGCUCGAGUUCAUCGAAAACGGAGUCCAUAUGCAUCUACUAUGAUGUUUUCGAUGUUGGUGUUUUUGCCGGUUCUUCAUUCAUAGAGGACUCACAUCUCUAUAUCAUUGGCAUUUUCAUCGCUGUUUGGAUAGCUCUUGUCGUCCUGAAUCCAACAAGCUUGGGUUUGCUCGAUUCGGAGCUCGUAUGCGAAAGUUAUGGUUGUUUCAGUGACGAGCGGUAGUACCGCUGGACCUAGCGGUAGUACCGCUAGAGUUGGCGGUAGUACCGCUGGCCCUAGCGGUAGUACCGUUAGAGCUGGCGGUGGUACCGCUGUCCAACGGUAGUACUGCCCCUGGCCAGCUGUAGUACCAUCAUCUUUGCGGUUGUACUGCGUCGGACCUUUUUGCGAAGACUUUCUUGGCGGUGGUAGUGCCUUUGCACUACCAGGGGCCUAGCGGUAGUACCGCUGGGAUGAGCGGUAGUACCGCUGGAGUGCCAGCGGUAGUACCGCUGCAGCCAGCGGUAGUACCGCCCCUGGUUAGCGGUAGUACCGCUGGAGUGCCAGCGGUAGUACCGCUGCAGCCAACGGUAGUACCGCUGGGCUCGGGCUGUAAGUGGGGGUAACGGUCUGAUUUGUUCCCCCACUAUAUAAAGGGGAUCUUCUUCCCCUUGGCCUCAUCCAUUCGUUGAGAUCUUGUUCUACCUCCAUUGUUGACAUUCUUAGAGCUUGCUUGCUCUCAAUCCCUCCAAUGAUUCUUGCUUGUUCUUGAGGGAAAAGAGAGAGGAGAUCUAGAUCCACAUCUCCAUCAAUCACUUUCUCCUCUAUGUGAGGGGAACCCCUUGGAUCUUGAUCUUGGAGUUCUUUGUGAGCUCCUUGUUCUUCCUCUCAUAUUUCUCCAUAGCUUUCGUUGUUGUGGAGGGAUUUGAGUGUGAGGGACUUGACCACUUUGUGUGUUCUUGCCAUUGCAUUGGUUGCAUCGGUUUGAGUUCUUCACGGUGAUACGUGGAAGUGAAGGUUGAGAAGCUUAUUACCUUUGGUACUUAGUACCCUAGAUAUUGUUCUUCGUGGAUGCUUUGGCGUCCUAGAAGCUUGGUGGUGUCUCGAAGCUCAAUCAUAGUGGUGUGAAGCUCCGGGAAAGCGUCGGGGUCUCCAAUUAGGUUGUGGAGAUUGCCCCGAGCAAUUUGUACGGGUACCGGUAACCGCCCCCAAGGGUUGCCACGUGUACGGGUUCGGUAACCGCCCCCAAGGUUUGCCAUUUGUACGGGUUCGAUGACCGCCCUCAAGGGUCCCUUAGUGGAAUCACGACAUCUUGCAUUGUGCGAGGGCGUGAGGAGAUUACGGUGGCCUUAGUGGCAUCUUGGGGAGCAUUGUGCCUCCACACCGCUCUAACGGAGAUUACAUCCGCAAGGGUGUGAACUUCGGGAUACAUCAUCGUCUCCCCGUGCCUCGGUUAUCUCUUACCCGAACCCUUUACUUAUGCACUUUACUUUGUGAUAGACAUAUUGUUUAUUGUAAUAUAUCCUGCUAUCACUUAGUUGUUUAUCUUGCUUAGCAUAAGUUGUUGGUGCACAUAGGUGAGCCUAGUUGUUUGUAGGUUUUGUGCUUGACAUAUUAAACGUUAGUUUUAUUCCGCAUUUGUUUUAGCAUAAACCUUAAUUAUUUUAAAGCGCCUAUUCACCCCCCCCUUCUAGGCGACAUCCACAUCCUUUCAACAGCGACAAGAGGAGGGCGCUCAGAGGGGGGAGCCCGGCGGCGUCGGACUAGGUUCCCCCGAGUCGCCCUAUGAGGAGCGACGUGGAUUGGGAUCUGUAUCCUUUGAAAAAUAACGGGAUUGGAUAGUGGGUCCCUUGCUUUUCAACUGCAUAUGCAAGAAUCUUGCAAUCUACUCUAUCUGUUUUUAAAUAUAAGUCUUUUUAAAGAUUUUACUAGAGGACUACAUACAAAAUAAAAUGAAUGAAUCUACACUUUAAAAUAUAUCUGUAUACAACCAUAUAUAGUCUUCUAGUGAAUUUUUUUAAAGACUUAUACUUAAGAGCGGAUGGAGUAUGAGAAAAGAGACUUUGAUCCAUAACAAAGCCUUGAGCCUACAAAAUAGAACUCACAUUCGCAAAGAAAGCCCGAAGAAAAUAGUCAUCUGAAGAAGGUAACUUCAGCCACGCUCCCAAGUCCAGUGGUAGCAUCGUUUCCCUACUUUGGUAAAAGCAACUCUAGCAGACCCUGUAUAAUCGUCGAAACUGUAAAAUUCCGGCGACUUUACGGGUUUGGGUUGUUUUUCCUACCAGAGCAGAUACUGUAAACGCAGCCCGAUCGUAAAACUUUUGCGGUGGCCCGUAAACGCGAGCACUCGACCACUAUAUCUACGGGUUCGGCCGCUGGAUGCAGGUCGAAACCCUGUCCCUCCGCCGCCACGAAAAGUCCCCCCACCUCACCGUCGGCGCCUUCAAUCCGCCGUCGCGCGCCUCCAUUCUGCCGCGUAGCCGCUCCAUUCCAUCGCCCUUGAUGGCCAACUCCGGUAGCCGUAGGAAUGACGACCCCGAGAGGGCUCGUUGCGUCAGAUCCGACGCCGCCCGUAAGCGCACCACCCGCCGGUACACGCAGUGGGGCCAGACGCCGCCGCUGUCGCUCCUCCGUCGCGAGACAGAGAAUUACGACCGCGCGCGGCCGCCUCUUCUCCGGCAGCUCCUUUGAGGCGUCGAGCUCGCGCUCGUGCUCAUCCCUCCCCCCGGUGAAGAGGGAGCUCGAAGAGCUCCCGUCGAUGAAGAUGAAGCUGGAGGCCGAGACGGUGCCGGAGCGACAUGUCGGGGCCGUCGUCGGACUGGAGGAUUUCCUUCCUCCGGCGGAGGCGGAUAGCCUUUUACCCGUGCUGCUGGCGCGAAGUGCACGAGAGGCAAAAGAGGACAAGCAGCGCCGCCGGAGGGAGGAGGAGAUCGACACCAUGCUCUACGAGCAGGGUGUCGCGUCGGCCCUCGCCUUCGGCCACAAGGUGAAGGAGUGGCGCCGCGAAGCGACUGCGCGGAAGCACAUCUACGUCGAGCUCUCCUCCGACGAGGACGACGACUGAGCGCACUGCGCAUCUACUACUGCACGAGCUCGACUCCGGUGAGCUUAAUUUUGUGGAGUGCGGUAGGAUAGCUAGUAGCUCUAGUGAGCUCCAGUAGAUGUGAUUUACCUCUGCCCCCCUCUAAUAAGUGAUAGUAAGUGAUGCAGUCUGAAUGUGGUUCCAAUUUCAACCGCGAAUGUUUUUAUUUCUAAUUAUGCAGUUUGAUUAUACGGGUUCUAUUCUGCAACCCAACAUUUCGUCCCGCAAAACCCCACUUCAUCGAACUGUAAAACACGUUUGCAGGUCGCAAUUAUACAAGGUCUGCUAAAUGCUCUAAGGGUUGAAAUCUGCAUCCGCAGAAGCCUUUGGACCUGCAGGGCGGGUGGGAACAUUUCAAGCAAAUGAAGAAAGCAAAGCUCGACACUGCGAGAACUGAUGGCUGGGCUCUCAACGCUGUGAACAGAGAUUGUCACAAGGGGAGAUGCAUUGCUGAAAAACAAGGCUCAGGAAAGUUUCAUGCAAGCGAAAGAAGAAAGCAAAUCGCACAUGGUCCUGAAGAACAAAGUCCACAAACCAAGUCCCACACCAAGUUACAUAUCCUGUUUUACAUUCUGACCUAAAACGUGUCACCAGCACACGACGCUGCACGAAAUCUAGAAUUAGCACACGAGGAGUUAAAAUGCUGUUACAUAUUGUGGAGGAAGAAGCAGUCAAGCGCCGCCAACGAUGUGCUUCUCAUACAAGGCGACAAUGUCCUUCUUGUUGGGGUUCUUCAGCUGCAGCAGCUGGGCGCCGAACCCUUGCUUGGUCAGCUCCUGCUUCAGCUUCAGCACCGUGAACUUGGUGUAGUCCUCAGUCUCCGUCUCUGUCCCCUCCAGCUGCUGGCUCCCGUUGUUGGUGUCCUCUCCGAAGAACACGGAUCCACCAUCCUCCGUGUGAUUGUUCUUGAACGGGCUCGUUGUGCUCUUCGAUCUUUUCCUUCGCCUCCCAGUGUCGUCAUCAUCGACGUCCAUGUAAUGGACUGACUCGGUGGCUUCACCCCUCGCACGCCUAGAGUAUGAGGCCUUGACCUUGCUGUCAAGCGCAGUUUCAUUGAGCCGAACAGAGGUGAGCUCCUGCUGGAGCAUGUCCAGCUUGCCUUGUGUUGAUUGCAGCUGCAGUGACAGGGACUCGGCUCUCUUGUUGGCUUCAGCACAAGCUUCACGCUCUGUUGCCAGUAGACUCUCGAGCACUUGGACCGUGUUGGAUCUUUGCUGGUUGUUCUGUUCCAACAUCUCCCCAAUCUGUUUUUCCCUCUCGUCAACCCUUUCGUCAAGCAUUCUGACCUUGGAUAGAGCAUCCAACUCAGACUGAUGAAGUCGCUCCAUUUCUUCCACCAUCUUACUUUUCUCUCGCUCUAGAGUUUCAACCUGUCUCUCCAUUCUUUCUAUCAAAGUGAGUCUCUCCAUUGCUAGUCGCUGUGCUUCACCCUUGUCUCUCUGAGCAGCAGCAGCUUCUACACGAGCUAAAUCAGCCAACUCUACUGCUCGUUUAGCCUCCCUUUCAGCAUCCUUGCACCUCAUGUCUGCCUCGUCAAACUUUUUGCACUCAGAUAGGAACUUCUCCUGAAGAUGGUUCUUUUCUUGUUCCAGGAUCCCCACUUCCUUCUCACGUGACUGAGCUUCAGUUUUAAUAGACUCCAAGUUAUCAGUCAAUAAUCUGAUUUCUUCCUUCAGAGCCACCGAAUCUGACUCAUGGUUCUUCAACUUUGCUUCAGUAACCUGGAUUUGGUCAUCAUUAGACAUGAGAUGUUAUAUCACAUUUGAGGGUGGGAAAGGAGGGAUGGAGGGAGAGAGGGGGGUACCUCAAGCCUAGACAUCAAACUUGUCUUGUGAACUUCAGUUUUGUUGAUUUUUGCAUUCAAUGUAGAUAUCAGUUCUUCCUGUUGAUAGAACAAGAAACCAAAAAGGUAAACAACCAGGCACCCACACAUCUACGAAGACUUAAAAGGUAAAAUGUCGAGUGCAAGAGAAAGGUUUACCUUCUCGUGCAGCUGGGUAGCAAGUUCCGCCCUCAAUGCAUCUUCCCUUUCUUGCACUUUCUUAUUUGUGCGUUCCUGUGCUGAAGCUGCUCUCUCAAGAGCUGUUUUGGCCUCAUUGGCAGCAUAUUCAUAUUUACGUUUCCACUCAGAAGCUUCCUCUUGAGCAGAUUCAGCCUGCUCUCGUACAGCAGAUAAUCUGCCUUCACUAAUGCUUACCCUAGAUUCCAGAGAAGCAAUCAGGGAUUUUAACUUGCUUUCAUCUGCCUUCUGCUGUGAAAUGCAGUGAUCGUAUUUGCUCUUCCAAUCAGCACAUUCGCGUUUUGCUUGUUCAAGAGCUGAAGACAAGCUCUUACAGCGUUCAUCCAACUUGCUAACCUUGUUUUGAAGUUCAGCUAUUCGAACAGAGUAGUCCUUUGACAUCUUCUGCUUAUCAUUGAUAGUUUCCUCAUAGCGCCUUAAAUACUCAGCUCUGUGCCCUUCACUUGCCUCUAGUUGCUUCCUGAGCAAUGAUAACUUAUCAUCGCUUGAACUGCAUUUCAAUCUCAGGGCAUUCCUUUCAGCAUCGAUAUGCUCCAAUUGUUUUCUGAAAAGGUCUAGCAUUGGGCCCGCCAAACUGCAGCAAUUCAUUGGCAUAUGAUGAAAUUUAAGUGAAUACAGAAGCAAAUGAAGUAAAUGAGGACCAUGGUUAAGACGUUCAGCAAAACAGAUACUGUAGAGAUGGUAACAGAGGAUCGAUUUGGUUCCUACAAGUAUAUCAUGCAGCUAAGGUUGCAAGUGGAGUGUCCACUAAGCCCACACUUAAUGAAGUAGAUAGUACAAUGUAAACUAGCCCAGCAAAUACAAGCUAUAACUGAUUUGAGCAGUUUUGAAUAGGAAACAGGCAAAAAUGUGCGCCGCUUGUAUCCCUACAUGCAGCCAACUUGAACCGUGUAGCUUCAAAGUUAUAUUAUCAAGUUCAAAGUGCAAAUUAUGAUCUAUCAUGUCCCAAAAUGAGAACAUUACGAAAAAUGAUGAGGUGCCUACCACUGAUGCAGAAAUGUAACAAGCUUUGUCCAUUUCUUCGGCCCAUAAGAAGUCGCCUCAUACUCCAUGAGGAGGCCAUCGAGGAGCUGCAUUAUAUCAAACAUAAUUGUGUUAGUAUUAUUAAAUUUUAAGCCAAAAUGAAUACAGCAUUCCAAAGAUUUGCAUCUCAGGGAAAAGCUUAAAAUAGUCUUACCCUGACUACAUCAUCCAACUUUGAAUCAGGACGGUUACAUGCUGCCCGCACUUUUGACUCCAUGCUCUGUAUUUUAUUUGAACAUUGCAAGUCGGCCUCCAGAAAAGCAUUCCUUUUAAAAUCCUGCAUUCAUAGCAUUACCAUUUAUCUGCUGGCACACUUUGGUACUGAUGUACUCCCUCUGAUUCACAAUAUAAGUAGUGCACAUAUUACGAAAAACCACUUAGGUCAUAAAUUUAUCAAACAAACAUAAUCAUAUAUUAUGAUAUUAUUUGCAUUGGUAAUUCUUUUUUACAUCAAUGAUCAAGCCUAAAACUCUAUGAAUGGCAGAACUUCUAAAACACUCAUAUUAUGAAUUAGAUGGAGUGAUUUAACAGCAAGCACCCAUGGAUUGAUUGAACUUGAUUAGAAAGACAAGUAAUAGCAGGCAUAGUCAACUGAAGUAGUAGAUGAGGAGCAGCAGUCACCUCAAAUCUCUUCCUUAGAGUAGUCUGAAGAAGCUUUUCGAAUUUAGAACGAGCUGACCCAGCACCAAAAGCAGAGGCAUUAAAAACACUAAUGGCCUUGUUCACUGCACGUUCAUGUGCUUCUCGCAAAGCAUCCUGCCAAAACCGACCUAUCAGAACCUCCCAAAAAAGCGGAAGGAGAAAUGCAUCUUGCUUAUUAGCAAUGCCUACCUCUUCUGCUGGCUUUUUGCAGUCAAAAGAAGAAUUGUAAGUAUCCACAGCAGAAUCAUAUGCUCUACGACAUUCGGCUUCCUCCACACUCUGCAUAACAAAAAACUAUGAGACAGCUCCUCCACAACAAAAAUAAGAUAUCGAAAUCAUGAUAAAACAGUAGAGAUACAGUAACAAAAGAGCAGUGAAUCAGUAACCCCACCCCUCAAAAAACGAAUGACUGUAGUUGCUCACCAGACCAGUUUUGUCACCUCAUAUCACUACAUAUCAUUUCUCUAAAAUGUUCAUAACGAAUAACUGUAGUUGCUCACCACAGCAUUUUUGUCACCUCAUAUCACUGCACAGUGUCAUUUCUCUAAAAUGUUCAUAAAGUCCUUUCAUCCGCUGCCUCAAUAUACUUUAAGUCAGUUCUCUAAACAGUUCAUAUCUUACCUUCUUCCUCCACUGAGCAAUUAUGUAAGUUAAGUGAUAAAUUCACAGCAUGCCAUCCAUAACAUCCAUUCACUAAGGGAUAUUUAUAACGACAUAAAAAUCUAGCAGAUAUAAAGCACACACCAUUUGCUACAAAUAUUACCUUCUGCAAAUGAGCUCUACAACAGUUUAAACUCUUUAAAUGCUUAUGGAUUGGAAUGGACUAAAAAGGUAGAAAGCAAUUUAAAUGAAUAUAAUGCAGAACAGGUAUGUUCUUCAAUAGCAUGGUCGUAAUUAAAUUGCAAGCAAUGCCAACAGUUGGUUGUGCGAUUUAUACAUAAGACAUAAAUCAUAAUGCCGUCAUCAAUUUGGGCAUACCUGCCAUGACGAAGAUAUUGUCGGGACUGCACCAGUAUUAAUCGCAUCAAGAAAUGAUUGUGUCAAUCCAGCAAGGAUGGGGCCUGUCAUGGUACUAGCUCCAAGUUGUUUAGGUCUUGUUCGAUCGAACACAAAUUUUGUGAAAGCAUCCAGGCCAGAUGUAAACUCUGGACGAAAUGUAUUCAUCUGCAAACAAGAGACAAACUAAGCAGACAAAAAAAUAGUACAGAAAUGAAAGCAUUCGUCAAGAACAAAAAAUUGGUUUUUUGGCAUCCAGCUGUCGGUACAAAUUUUAAUUAACUUUGUUGCCCUGUACUUCUAACUUAGCCUAGAUUAGCUUAGAUUUAGCUAUAGCUUCAGUUUUCAUUUGUACAAUUGUAAGAAAAAAUAUACUCCCUCCGUUCCUAAAUAUAAGACCUUUUAGAGAUUUCACUAUAAACUACAUAGUGAUGUAUGUAGUCAUAUUUUGGGAUGUAGAUUCAUUCAUUUUGCUCCGUAUGUAGUCUAUAGUGAAAUCUCUAAAAGGUCUUAUAUUUAGGAACGGAGGGAGUAUAAAUAUGUGCAGUAGAAUGCAACUGCUUUCUUCAGGAAAAUAACGAGCAUUUAUCAAGAAGAAACAGUUAAGAAAAUAAGACCAUAACGAAUAUGUACUAAAAUUACAAUGUGCAAAACUCUAUAAGGGAACACGCAAAACAUUCAUUUACACUAUAUCUUGCUAAACCAUAUACAAUCUUAAGAGAAUUUUCCUGCAACAACUGUUACUCUUAAGCAAAAAAGCAUUCAUUGUCUAACAAUGAACUGCAUGGAUAACUCUCCUAGUCUUACACUAGGCAUUAUAGAUAGUCUAAUAAGAAAAGCUUCGCAAAAAUAAGAUUCUACCCGAAUGGUAAUGAUACAUGGUCUGCUUCUUGCGGACAUUGCCAUAAAAUGUCACUAUGGUAGGUUAUCUAUUGCAGUUGACAGGAAUAAUACUUACAGGAAGUUGGUCAAGGCGCUGGAGAUCUUUCUCAUUGUUCACAGGUCGCACAAGCGUAAAGCAUUCCCUGUCUGGAAAAAGAGCGCGGAUUGACUCCCGUAUCUUUCAGAUAUGUUGAGAAAAAGAUGCAUCAGUAUCUUUUAAGAUAUGUUACAAAAAAAAAAUUACAACAGUAUGUAUGCAAAAUUUACUUAAGCAGAAAUGCAUUAGAACGAAGUGCUGCCACCAUACCCCAUUCUUAGAAGAUACAUCUCUUCCGCCACUUUGAACAGGCCUUAGAGCUAGUUCAAGGUAAUCUCUUGGUGUAAUUUUUCUGUUGUCUUCCGACAGAUCCAAGUAGAAGUCCUGUUGGAACCAAACCAACAAGCCAGUGAUUUUCAAAGAUGUACCAAAGGAAAUGCAGGUAUGGUUAAAGACCAGAGAUGUUUCAUAGAACAUGUGUGUACAAUUACAAAACCAUCAUGUGAAGUGUGAAUAGACUUUAUAUUAGGACAAAAUAAAGACAAUGUCUUACCCUCAACAGCCAAAUAAAGACAGGUGAGAAGUGCCCAAGUUCAGAGGCACUGGACCUUCCACCUGAGGCCCUAACCCGUAUGUGCUUUGUCAUUUCUGUGACUAGUGAAAGACGGUCAAUCGAGGCUUCAUCUAUUCCUCCCAUCUGGAAGAAACAACAAGGUUUCGAGAAAAUAGAUUAGAGUAUGAAAGAGAGAGGGGGGCUUCUGCAAUAUUACUGUAGCAUGCCCUCCCAAAGAAUAGAUGCCAGAAACCUUAGUCAUUCAGUCAAAAAUGUACCUGGUUGUAUAUGAACAUGCUUGAUAACAGAACAGCCAACGAAAAUAUUUGGAUACUGUAGGUGCCCUGUCAAAAAAAGGAAAGAGUAAUAAGACAAUAGAAUAGAAAGCAGAUAGAAAAUUAUAUCCUAAUGCACAUAAGCAACCAUAAAAAAUCACCAGAAGCAAAAAAAAAAAAAAAAAANNNNNNNNNNNNNNNNNNNNNNNNNNNNNNNNNNNNNNNNNNNNNNNNNNNNNNNNNNNNNNNNNNNNNNNNNNNNNNNNNNNNNNNNNNNNNNNNNNNNNNNNNNNNNNNNNNNNNNNNNNNNNNNNNNNNNNNNNNNNNNNNNNNNNNNNNNNNNNNNNNNNNNNNNNNNNNNNNNNNNNNNNNNNNNNNNNNNNNNNNNNNNNNNNNNNNNNNNNNNNNNNNNNNNNNNNNNNNNNNNNNNNNNNNNNNNNNNNNNNNNNNNNNNNNNNNNNNNNNNNNNNNNNNNNNNNNNNNNNNNNNNNNNNNNNNNNNNNNNNNNNNNNNNNNNNNNNNNNNNNNGGAAUACAGAAAAGCUAUUCACUUAGGAACCUAUCUUUGAACAAAUAGCCAACUAGCAGAGAGAAGGUUGAUGUCCUAACCAGAGUUGUGAACAUCUCAAAAUUACAAUUAGAAAACAUGAAAUUGCGUAAACGGAAUACAGAAAAGCUAUUUACUUAGGAACCUAUCUUUGAAUAAAUAGCCAACUAGCAGAGAGAAGGUUGAUGUCCUAACCAGAGUUGUGAACGUCUCACUAGGAAUAGUUGGAGAGAAAAAAACACUCCAGGAUAAGAUAUACUGAAUCUAAAUGUGGUAAGAAUGUCAACAGAAAUGAGCAUCGCACUUUAAAUAUAUAGCUUUUGUAUAUACUGAUGGGGAAAAACUACUAACUGCACAUCGCCUGCUGAGUUAAAAAGAAAAGCACCACAUGAAAUUUGCAGACUGUAUUGUAUGGACAAAAAUAGAAUCAACAAAAUUGACAUGAGAAAUCUGUAUGUCCAAAUAAGUCAUAGUCAUAACCAUGGCAUUGAAGGAAAACCCAUAAAUAUUGGAAGUAGAAAAUCUUUUGACCAUCUCAACAUCAAAAUUCAACUAGCCACUCAAAUAAAUGUGAUCCCAAAUAAAUAAAUACAUGCUCCAGGAACAUUUAGCAGACCAUGACAUAGUCAUUAAACCAAAAAAAGGGUCAGUUUCAAAGUAAAGUUACACGGCAUACCGUUUGGUCAUAAGCAUCAAUGCCUUCAGUGUCCAACAAUACAAGAUUGUAUUCAGUUCCAUCAAGACCAGUCCUCUUCAAAGGUGCACUCCACAUCCAAAGUCCCUUGGUGCAAGGUUUAUGCGUCGAUGCAACUUGAAAACCACUGCUUCGCCCUAGAAGCUGCAUACGUAGAUAAUCAUUAUCGUCUAAUGAUGAAAUGGAGAACGAGGUUCAAAAGCAUGCAGCAAAGAAGUAUUAUUUAGCAAAACAAACACAAAGGUUCAAGUACGUCCAUAGAUCCAUCCAUCCAAGAUAAAUGUUCUGACACAGUCUGAUGGAUUAAUACGAUAUAAGGAUUUGAAUGCGAGGUUCAUCUGAUGGAGCUGAUAGAACUUAACUGGAUAUGUUUUAUUCGGUACGUACUACACACCAUGCUAUGAUAUGUCAGCCUCUAUUCAUGUGUUAGCAGUUUCUUUUUCCAAGUACAAAAUACUUUUAAUCCAAAACACUGUGCAUUCAAUGAUCCAGCAAUGUAUUGUCUCUUACCGAUGUGGUUCAACGUUCUUGUUUUAUCUUUCACACUUUCCUUUAUGCCUUAUUUUAAUCAAGCAUGUCAUUCAUGUACUCUGCAACAGAAGUACAUACAAUUUCAAAUAUAUCCUGGAUCCUGGUAUUUACCACCAAAAUCAUGUCAUUACGGCCAGAGGCACCUAACAGCAGUACCAAUGAUUUUGUCAAGAUGACGGCAAUCACUGUAUUUCCAUCUCAAGUGAUUGUUUGAAUUAACUUUUGCUGUUCUCUCAUACGCUUUCCUUUAUGACUUAUAAUCAAGCAUGCCAUACAUGUACUCUGCAAGAGAAGUACAUAAGACUUAGAUAUAUCCUGGUAAUUUACCACCCGAAAUUGUGUCGUUAUGGCAAGAGGAAACCUAACAAGUGCACCAAUGAUCUUGGAAAGAUGACGCCAAUCACUGUAUCUCAAUCUCAAGUGUGUUUGUUCUACCAAUUUCGUAGUUCAACUGUUGGAGCAGUUGGAACUAGAGUGGUUUGCUACUGAUGUCCUCACAAAUACUGACACAAGAAAUAUACUUCAUGAGUAAACGUUAUAUCCAGCCCCGGACCAGCUGUGAAAUCAGUUCCAAAUCCCAAAUCGUUCGCUCCAGCAGAGCGAGUUGACGGCAAAACCCCAACCGAACCCCGCUCCCAUUCGAUUCCAACAAAUAAGUAAACCCUAGAACCCCAAAUCCACCCUAACCCGCUGGCUCGGGGUGGCCAAACCACCCCUUUCCACCCUCCCGAGCAUCCCCGCGCCGGAGCUAAACGCGCCGAUCUACCGAGCCGCGCAAACCCUAGGCGCGCAUUCGCCAAUCCACGAAGGGCCCAGAGAGAGAGAGAGAGAGNNNNNNNNNNNNNNNNNNNNNNNNNNNNNNNNNNNNNNNNNNNNNNNNNNNNNNNNNNNNNNNNNNNNNNNNNNNNNNNNNNNNNNNNNNNNNNNNNNNNNNNNNNNNNNNNNNNNNNNNNNNNNNNNNNNNNNNNNNNNNNNNNNNNNNNNNNNNNNNNNNNNNNNNNNNNNNNNNNNNNNNNNNNNNNNNNNNNNNNNNNNNNNNNNNNNNNNNNNNNNNNNNNNNNNNNNNNNNNNNNNNNNNNNNNNNNNNNNNNNNNNNNNNNNNNNNNNNNNNNNNNNNNNNNNNNNNNNNNNNNNNNNNNNNNNNNNNNNNNNNNNNNNNNNNNNNNNNNNNNNNNNNNNNNNNNNNNNNNNNNNNNNNNNNNNNNNNNNNNNNNNNGAGAGAGAGAGAGAGAGAUGGUACCUGGUUGAGGACGAAGCUCUUGCCCUGGCGCGCGCGGCCGCAGACGGAGACGACCCCUACGGGGCCCUUGACGAGCUGCAGCGCGGCGACGGCCUCCGGGUCCAUGACGAACUUGCCCUUGUCGUCGCAGUAGACGAGCCGCAGCGGGCGGCCCAGGCCCCCCGCCGCGGCGGCGGGCGCCGCGGGGGAGGCGGAGGCGUCGGCGGCCGCCGCGGCGCUGGGGCUCCCGCGCAGGCCCAGCCUCUGGAGCAUCGCGUCGUCGCUCGCCGUCAGGGGUCGCGCUGCUUGUGUUUCAAAAGGAAAAAGGGGGAAUGGAGCGGAGGAGGAGCCAGGCGUGUCGUCCGUGGGGGUUCUUGGACAAGUGAGUAGAAAGAAAGAAGGCGGUGUUGGACAGUUUGGAGGCGACGUGGCGGCCGCCUUUUGGGCUGGAGGCGACGCCCGUUGCGCUGGACCUGGGUGUUGGGUGGGGCCUUGGUCGGUUCGCUUCGUUGGUCUUGGUCGGUGCACUCCACGAGGUUGGGUUCGGACCUUGGUCUCCUGCUCGAUUGCAAGGGUUGAUAUCCACGAGCCUAGAAUCACAUUCAUGCGAGCCGGGCUUCCACAGUUUCUUCCCCAUUUUUUCCAUCUUCUUUGNNNNNNNNNNNNNNNNNNNNNNNNNNNNNNNNNNNNNNNNNNNNNNNNNNNNNNNNNNNNNNNNNNNNNNNNNNNNNNNNNNNNNNNNNNNNNNNNNNNNNNNNNNNNNNNNNNNNNNNNNNNNNNNNNNNNNNNNNNNNNNNNNNNNNNNNNNNNNNNNNNNNNNNNNNNNNNNNNNNNNNNNNNNNNNNNNNNNNNNNNNNNNNNNNNNNNNNNNNNNNNNNNNNNNNNNNNNNNNNNNNNNNNNNNNNNNNNNNNNNNNNNNNNNNNNNNNNNNNNNNNNNNNNNNNNNNNNNNNNNNNNNNNNNNNUUUUUUCCAUCUUCUUUGUUGUUUUGCUUUUUGAUCAGGUUUUCUUUGUUUUCGCUGGGUUUUUUUCUUUUCUUCUUUGCUUUUUGUUGUUUUUCGUUGUACUUUCUCACUUUUUCACUGGGGUUUUUAUUUUUUUUCUUUGUUUCUUUUUUCCAUCUUCUUUGUGUUUUUUUGGUUCUCUUUUCACCUUUCUUUUGAUAUUUAUUUUUUUAUUUGGGUUUCAUUCUAUAUUUAUUUCGUAUAUGCCCACAACAUUUUUAAUACAUGUCUAGCAUAUUUUCAAUACAAAUCUAGCAUUUUCUAUUAUUUUUUAACAUUUUUUUCAAAUGCUUGAUUAAUAUUUUUGAAAUACAAUAAUAAUAUUUUCUAAUAAAUUGUCAACAUUUUGCCUAUGCAUAUUUAACAUUUUCCAAAUGCUUGGUUCAUAUUUUCUAAAUGCAAUAUUAAACAUGUUCAACAUUCAAACAAAUUUAAAUGUUUUAAACGCUUUAUUAAAAAAUUUAAAUACUUGUUCAAUUAUUUUAAAUACUUGAUUAACAUUUUUAUAAUACUUUUUCAACAUCUUUUAAAUGCAUGUUUAAUAUUUAUCUAAUACUUGUUCAAUAUUUUUUAAAUGCUUGAUUAACAUUUUUCUAAUACUUGUUCAACAUUUUCUAAAAUGCUUGAUUAAUAUUUUUGACAUACAUGUUGAAAAUUUUCCAUCACUUUUUUAACACAUGGCAAACUUUUUUAUAAAUACGUUUUAACAUUUUUAAAUGGUUCUUUAACAUACUUCAAAUAUUUUUAACAUUUUUUAAAUACUUUAUUAGCAUUUUUAUAUAUAGUCAAACUUUUACAUCAUUUUUAAUACAUGUUCAACAUUUUUCUAUAUAGAUUAACAUUAUUCCAAUGCUUGAUUAACAUGUUCUAAAUAAUUGUUCAACAUUUUUUUCAAAUGCUUGAUUAACCUUUUUUGUACAUCAUCAAUUAUUUUCAUUAUUUUAAAUACAUGGUCAAUAUUUUUCUAUACACAUUAAAAUUUUCCACAUGCUGGAUUAUCAUUUUUCAAACACUUGUUAAACAUUUUUCCAGAUGCUUGAUUAUCAUUUUUCAAACACUUGUUAAGCAUUUUUCCAAAUGCUUGAUAUACAUUUUGUUGGAAAUAUGCCCUGGAGGCAAUAAUAAAUUAGUUAUUAUUAUAUUUCUUUAUUCAUGAUAAUCGUUUAUUAUCCAUGCUAGAAAUUGUAUUGAUUGAAAACUCAAAUACAUGUUUGGAUACAUAGAAAACACAGUGUCCCUAGUGAGCCUCUAGUUGACUAGUUCGUUGAUAAAAGUUGGUCAAGGUUUUCUGGUCAUAAGCAAGUGUUGUCACUUGAUAACGGGAUCACACCAUUAGGAGAAUCAUGUGAUGAACAAGACCCAAAUUAUGAACGUAGCAUGUGAUCGUGUCAUUUUGUUGCUACUGUUUUCUGCGUUUCAAGUAUUUGUUCCUAUGACCAUAAGAUCAUGUAACUCACUGACACCAGAGGAAUACCUUGUGUGUAUCAAACGUUACAACGUUACUGGGUGACUAUAAAGGUGCUCUAUAGGUAUCUCCGAAGGUGUCCGUUGAGUUAGGAUGGAUCAAGAUUGGGAUUUGUCACUCCGUGUGACGGAGAGGUAUCUCAGGGGCCACUCGGUAAUACAACAUCACAUACAAAGCCUUGCAAGCAAUGUGACUCAAGUACUAGUCACGGGAUCUUGUAUUACGGAACGAGUAAAGAGAAUUGCCGGUAACGAGAUUGAAAUAGGUAUAGGGAUACCGACAAUCAAAUAUCGGGCAAGUAACAUACCGGAGGACAAAGGGAAUGUUAUACGGGAUUAUAUGAAUCCUUGGCACAGAGGUUCAACUGAUAAGAUCUUCGUAGAAUAUGUAGGAUCCAAUAUGGUCAUCCAGGUCCCGCUAUUGGAUAUUGACCGAGAAGUGUCUCGGGUCAUGUCUACAUAGUUCUCGAACCCGCAGGGUCUGCACAUUUAAGGUUCGAUGAUGUUUUAGUAUAGUUGAGUUAUAUGUGUUGGUGACCGAAGGUUGUUUGGAGUCCUGGAUGAGAUCACGGACGUCACUAGGGUUUCCGAAAUGGUCCGAAAAGGAAGAUUGAUAUAUAGGAUGGUUUCAUUUGGUCACCGAAAUUUUUUCGGUCAUUACCUGCAAUGUACCGGGAGUGACGAAUGGGUUCAGGAUAUUCAUCGGGAGGGGCCCAACCACCCGGGAGUGAGUCCAGUAACCCUAUGGUGGCGCACCAUCCCUUAGUGGGCUGGUGAGUCCAGCCCAAGAGGGCUAUGGCGCCACAAGGAGAAAAUACCAAAGGAAAAGAAAAAAAAAGGAAAUAGGGAGGUGGGAAGGAAGGAGUGGACUCCUUCCCCCAAACCGAAUUGGGGUGGAAGUCCACCUCCUCCUCCUUGGCCGGCUCCCUUGGGGUUCCCUUAAGCCCCAAGGCUAUCCCCUCCCCUCCUCCUAUAUAUAUUGGUGGUUUUAUGGCUUUUUGAGACACAACUCUGCCACGUGCAACUCAAACCUAUACCACGUAGUUCUUCCUCUAGAUCGGAUUUCUGCAGAGCUCAGGCGGAGCCCUGCAGGAGUAGAUCAUCACCACCACCGACGCGCCGUCACGCUGUCGGGUAACUCAUCUACUUCUCUGUCUCUCUUGCUGGAUCAAGAAGGCCGAGAUCGUCAUCGAGCUGUACGUGUGCUNNNNNNNNNNNNNNNNNNNNNNNNNNNNNNNNNNNNNNNNNNNNNNNNNNNNNNNNNNNNNNNNNNNNNNNNNNNNNNNNNNNNNNNNNNNNNNNNNNNNNNNNNNNNNNNNNNNNNNNNNNNNNNNNNNNNNNNNNNNNNNNNNNNNNNNNNNNNNNNNNNNNNNNNNNNNNNNNNNNNNNNNNNNNNNNNNNNNNNNNNNNNNNNNNNNNNNNNNNNNNNNNNNNNNNNNNNNNNNNNNNNNNNNNNNNNNNNNNNNNNNNNNNNNNNNNNNNNNNNNNNNNNNNNNNNNNNNNNNNNNNNNNNNNNNNNNNNNNNNNNNNNNNNNNNNNNNNNNNNNNNNNNNNNNNNNNNNNNNNNNNNNNNNNNNNNNAGGUGUCGUCCGUUCGGCGCUAGAUCGGAACGGAUCAUGGGACGACGGUGAUUUGAAUCACGAAGCUGUAUCACUACAUCAACCGCGUUUCUUAAUGCUUCCCGCUUAGCGAUCUACAAGGGUAUGUGGAUCAAAUCUCCUUCUCGUAGAUGAACAUCACCAUGAUAGGUCUUUGUGUGCGUAGGAAUUUUUUUGUUUCCCAUGCAAUGUUCCCCAACAGUGGCAUCAUGAGCUAGGUUCAUGCGUAGAUGUUAUCUCGGGUAGAACACAAAAGUUUUUGUGGGCGUUGAUGUUCGAUUUGCUGCCCUCCUUAGUCUUUUCUCGAUUCAGCGUAUUGUUGGAUUGAAGCGGCCCGGACCGACAUUACUCGUAUGCUUACGAGAGACUCGUUUCAUUGACUAACAUGCAACUAGUUGCAUAAAGAUGACUGGCGGGUGCAUGUUUCUUCAACUUUAGUUGAAUUGGAUUUGACCAAGGCGGUCCUUGGAGAGAGGUUAAAUAGCAAUUUGCACAUCACCGUUGUGGUGUUUGCGUAAGUAAGAUGCGAACAUACUAGAUACCCAUAGCAGCCACGUAAAACAUGCAACAACAAAUUAGAGGACGUAUAACUUGUUUUUGCAGGGUAUGCUUGUGAUGUGAUGUGGCCAACGAUGUGUUGUCAUAUAUUGGAUGUAUGAGAUGAUCAUGUUGUAAGCCAAUGACAUGAUGUGAUAUAUUGGAUGUAUGAUAUGAUCAUGUUGUAAUAGUUAAUAUCGACUUGCACGUCGAUGCUACGGCAACCGACAUGAGCCAUAGGGUUGUCUUUAAACUAACGUUUGUGUUUGUAGAUGCGUUUACUAUAUUGCUAGGUUGUAGCUUUAGUAGUAAUAGCAUAGAUAGCACGACAACCUCGAUGGUGGCACGAUGAUGGAGAUCAUGGUGUGGCGUCGGUGACGAUGAAGAUCAUGCCGGUGCUUUGGUGAUGGAGAUCAAGAAGCACAAGAUCAUGGUCGUAUCAUGUCACUUAUGAAUUGCAUGUGAUGUUAAUCCUUUUAUGCACCUUAUCUUGCUUAGAACGACGGUAGCAUUAUAAGGUGAUCCCUCACUAAUUUUUCAAGAUGAAAUUGUGUUCUCCCCGACUGUGCACCGUUGCGACAGUUCGUCGUUUCGAGACACCACAUGAUGAUCGAGUGUGAUAGACUCAACGUUCACAUACAACGGGUCCAAAACAGUUGCACACGCNNNNNNNNNNNNNNNNNNNNNNNNNNNNNNNNNNNNNNNNNNNNNNNNNNNNNNNNNNNNNNNNNNNNNNNNNNNNNNNNNNNNNNNNNNNNNNNNNNNNNNNNNNNNNNNNNNNNNNNNNNNNNNNNNNNNNNNNNNNNNNNNNNNNNNNNNNNNNNNNNNNNNNNNNNNNNNNNNNNNNNNNNNNNNNNNNNNNNNNNNNNNNNNNNNNNNNNNNNNNNNNNNNNNNNNNNNNNNNNNNNNNNNNNNNNNNNNNNNNNNNNNNNNNNNNNNNNNNNCAAAACAGUUGCACACGCGGAACACUCGGGUUAAACUUGACGAGCCUAGCAUGUGCAGACAUGGCCUCGGAACACAAGAGACCGAAAGGUCGAGCAUGAAUCGUAUAGUUGAUAUGAUUAGCAUAGAGAUGUUUACCACUGAAACUAUACUCAACUCACGUGAUGAUCGGACUUGAGUUAGUGGAUUUGGAUCAUGCACCACUCAAAUGACUAGAGCGAUGUAUUUUUGAGUGGGAGUUCUUAAGUAAUAUGAUUAAUUGAACUUAUUAACAUGAACAUAGUCAAAAGGUCUUUGCGAAUUAUGAUGUAGCUUGCGCUAUAGCUCUACUGUUUUUUAUAUAUUCCUAGAGAAAAUUUAGUUGAAAGAUGAUAGUAGCAACUUUGCGGACCGAGUCUGUAAAACUGAGGAUUGUCCUCAUUACUGCACAGAAGGCUUAUGUCCUUAAUGCACCACUCGGUGUGCUGCACCUCGAGCGUCGUCUGUGGAUGUUGCGGAUAUCUGACAUACACGUUUUGAUGACUACGUGAUAGUUCAGUGUGUAAUACUUAAUGGCUUAGAAGCAAGGCACCGAAGACGUUUUGAAACGUCACGGAACAUAAGAGAUGUUCUAAGAGAUGAAAUUGAGGUUUCAUGCUCGUGCCUUGUUGAUAGGUAUGAGACCUCCGACAAGAUUCUUUGUCUACAAAGUAAAGGAGAAAAGCUCAAUCGUUGAGCAUGUGCUCAGAUUGUGUGAGUACAACAAUCGCUUGAAUCAAGUGGGAGUUAAUGUUCCAAAUGAGAUAGUGAUGGUUCUCCAAAGUCACUGCCACCAAGCUGCUAGAGCUUCGUGAUGAACUAUAACAUAUCAAGGAUAGAUAUGAUGAUCCUUGAGCGAUUCACAAUGUUUGACACCACGAAAGUAGAAAUCAACACCUACCCACCUGCUUGUUACAUGGCACGAGUUCAUGCAUGGCCCCGUCCUCAACGCUACCCCGACACUAUGCGCGCGGGACCGCCUACACUUGCAGCUGCGACACACGGACAUACAUAUUCCCUCAUCACUUGCAGUAGAAGAGUUGAGUUGCCGCUGCUCUCACUCACACGCGCGUGCCCACACACCAAAGAUUUUCCCCAUGCUAACUAAAAGGUUGUGACGUACGCCCUUCCCUUCCCUGCUCUCACAAGAUGAAGGACGCAGCGAAGUAUUUGAUCAUCAUCGUCGCCGGCGGAGCUGCGCUCGUCGGCUGCUGCAGCGGUUUUGCGGCGGCGGCGGAGUGCUGGGGCGGUUUGGAAGCGGCGGCGGAGUGCUGCGGCGGUUUGGCGGCAGUGACGAGUGCGCUGCAUCCGCGUCGUCGUGGCCGAUGUCGAGGAGCGCGCCCCACGCGCGGCGGCAGUGGGGGAUGGAGCAACCCUAGCGGAGCUGGACGGCGGUGGGGGAUGGAGCAGCCGUGUCGGAGCUUGGUACAAAUUGUUGGGGGAGGGGGCCUCAACAUAGCACCGCCAGUGGCCCCGUCCCAAUGCUCCCCCGAUACGGUCGAUUUUCGUGUUUUGAACCUUCUUCAGAAUUUAAGCAAAUGUCUGAACGUCCACAAUACCCUUCCACCGUGUUUGCUUUCGGUUUGUGAGGAAAACGAAUGUCCGAACUGAUCCGCGGACGGAUGCGGAACCGUGUCUUAUCCGAGCGGAUCAUAUCACAGGCCAAAGGCAGCGGGAGCGUGGGAUAUGAUCCACCUGCAUGUCCAAACUGAUAGCAAGAAUAUUUGGCAGUCCUAACACUGAUCAGUAGCAACACACCUCUGCUCACUGCCCGCAAAACAGACACACACACCUCUGUUCACGCAAAAAAAAAAAACAGCAACACCUCUCAUCUACUAGAGCAUCUCGAGUUGUCCUCAUCUACACGGGGAUCUGUUCCUUGUUUUUACUCCCUCCGUCUCAGUUUACAAGUCCGUCACAUAUACAUAGGUCGCUAGUAUGAAAAAUCAACGUAUAUAAAAGAGUCCGUCACAUUUACACGGCAAAAUUCAUAAAAUUGUUCGUGUUUAUCAUUUAAAAAAUCAAAAUGUGUUCACUUUUUGUUCUCUUCUUAUUUAUUAUCUUUAUUUUGUUUUCCCAAUUUUUUGUUUUUCCUGUUCACUUUAAUUCAAUGUAUAUAACAGAGUUUUCUUUUGGUUCAUCGUAUAUUAAAAAAAUUCACUAGUCGUUAAAAAAUGUUCAAUGUAUAUUGCAAAAAAGAAUUGUGUGGAUUCAAAAAAUGACCAUCAUAUAUUAAUGGAUUGUUCACUGUAUAUUAUAAAAAAUUGGUAUUCAUUAACAUUUUCUAUAAUUUGAAUUUUUUAUGUAAAUUCCCAAACAUGUUUUUUAAAAUAUGAUUUGACCAAGCUUUCUUCCUUAUGGAAAAUUAUUAGAAAUAUAAGCAUGAAAAACGCAAAAAUAAAAAACAAAAACAAAUCACUAUUAGCCUAGAAGCUAGCGAUGAGAUACAUACUUGUAAAUGUAUUACGAUCACACGCAAAAUCUAACAAAUCGAUUUUAGCUAGCUCGGUAUUUUUUCCUAAAAAAGACUAGCGAUCAGAAUUUUUUGUACGGGCAGCUAGCGACCAGAUCAGAGUAUAGGCCGCCCAACCAGGCGAACACGGAGUGAGCUGGUUUCUAGUUUGGGCUUUGAAAAAUUAAAAUCAAACAAACAUGGGAAACAAAAAGAAUUGAGGUGGCGUUGAUAUCAUACUUAAAUGUUACCCCCUCCGUUCCUAGAAUUAAGUAUAAGUCUUUUUAAAUAUUUCAAUAGUUGACUAGAUACGUAGUAAAACGGAUGAACCUAUACUUUAAAAUUUGUUCAUAUACAUACGUAUGUAGUUUUUUAUUGAAAUGUCUAAAAUACUUAUAUUUAAGAACAAAGGAAGUAGGUACUAUCUUACAUCCAGGUGUAACAAAGACGGACCCAAUAUUAAAUAUGGUACAAAUUUUGCUAGCAAUGCAGUAUGUAUAUAUUGUUAGGUCAUAGAGUUGUCAACAUUGAAUUGUUGAUGUUGAAUAAAUUAUAGUUGAGGUACCAAAACUGUUAAGCCAAACAACAGCGGUAUUAUUAAUGUGGUGAGUUCUUUAGUAGCAGGGAGAUAAUCGACUAUAUUUUCUUCAUGCCGCCUUGAGUUUUACUGAUGCCGCUCUGACCGUCCAUUGAGCAGUGAGAGAAAUGCAUAUUUCAACUCUCAACUCUUGCUCUAGUCUAAUCUACAACCCUCUUCUCUUAAAAACCAGCCAGGAUUCGACCCUCCCCUCCCCAUACCCUGGUUUUAACCUGUUGAGGAUCCAGUCAUCAUGUCGAAUCAGCAAACCAUGUGCGAAUAAAAUAAAAUUUUCCGGAAAAAAAAAACAAGAGAAUUUUUUUUAAAAAAAUCUGCAAUUUUAUAAUACUUAUGUGAAAUAAAAAUAUAUUUUCUUUUUUUUCUUUUGUGAAAUACAUUUUUCUAGAAAAUGAAACUGAUGAUAAUUUCAUUAAUUUAAGAAUUUGUUUUUGAAACUUUCCUAGAAUGCUUAUUAUUAAUUUCUAAAAUUUACUGAUUUUAUUCAAAAAUUCCUAGAAUAUUUAUUUUUCUUAUAAAUUUUGGUAAAACAUUUUGGCAGAAUAUUAUGACAAAAAAUUGAUAUUUUUUUAUUUCCCUAAUUUAUAGUAUUUUUCUAUUUUUAGCUUACAAAUUUUUUUCGUAUUUUUCUGGGGACUCUAUUUUUUUUACUCGGGUGGCUUGCUGACUUGAUGGUCAACAGGUUAACUAGAUGGCGUGGGCCUACAAUUCAACAAAUCACUAUUGAGGCAAGUUGCACAUGAGUCAAGAUGUACUUGGGACACGUCCCCAUAUCUUCAUGUUACAAGCACAUCAUAGCAAUUGUCAUCCAGAGCACAACAUUGUAUCAUUAAAACCGCGAGAACAAAUAUAAGGUUGUGAGAGUAAGAACCCAUACCGGUUGUUAAAGGUCCUAUUAAAAAACUAGAAUUUAAUUCGUUAACAAAGACUUACCAGAGCCUUUAUCAUAGUGCACCAUCUCUCAUGGGUUCGAUAACUCAGUGUCUCUCCUUAAGAAAAAGGGAGAGAACCUUCGCUAUCCAAACUGAAUCUCAAAGGUCAUAAGGGGCUAGAAGGUAUAUCAGGAGAAGCACAAGACUCAGUAAAUUGGGUUGGGUGGAAAUAGGAUUCGCAGACAGAAGCUAACCUAGCCCGUCUUUCAGUAGUACCAGGAGCACUUUUCUUGUUUGCCAUGUCCAAUUUAUCAAUGGCAUCACCCUCAUCAUUAAGCACAUAUUUAUCCAAGGGGUUAGUUCCUCAAUAUCCACGGGCCUUGAAUCCUCAUUGGGACCAUCAGUACCAUUUUGUUCAAAAGCCUCCACGGAGAAUGAAAGAAGAUAGAGCUACUUUUUAUUUCCACCAACAUCUCAAAAGGAAUUUCAGUUGGUCCCUACAAACAAUUUUAACUCUCGGUCUCAUAAAAGUUCCACAUCCACCAAAAUUCCAAAACUGAAAACAAUUUGAGCUAUCACCUUCGAAGAAUACCAUUUAGGAGGGAUCACUUGAAUAGUAAGCCAAGCUUCAACUAGCUCAUCGAAGGGAUCAAUUGAACUAAUUCAUUCCACCACCUUAACAGAAAUACCAUCAAUAGGCAAGUCAAAAGUUGAGAAUUCAAUCAAAUCUUCCACUUUCUUCCAUCGGGAAGACUUUGUCAGGAAUGACUCGGGAGAAACUGAACGAAUAUUCCAUGGCCACUGUUUGAUUUUGCAAAAGAUGCCAUCCGGCUUUUCAACUGAAUCAUCAUUGAAAAUCUCUCCUUUAACCGCAUUGACCACUCCACAAUUUUCGAAAUUAAGCCAUUUUGACUCAUCCCUAACAUGCACAUCCAAAUGAUAAACCCUAAACCCAGAGCAGAUUGACCAAAAACUGCAACCACAAUGUGUAACUGAGUCCAACCAAUGUAGUUAUCCACAUUAUAAUCUUUUAAGCCACAGAUGAUACAGAUCUUUGAAGCUAAUGCAUUUACCCACAUAGUGCCCUCGACAACCACAAAUAAAGCACAUCAUAUCUUUAAUCCGCAAAAUCUUGUUGUUUAGCCAAAAUCAUAUGAAGAGCCUUGCCAAAAAAAUAGGAUCCCGAUAUUCACCACACGUGUGGCAUAGUAGAUAUCCGCCCACACACGGUGUGUGUCAUACGCAGGAGGUAGCCCACACUCGUUGUGUGUGGACGAACAGUAGAACUCCCCACAUGUGUGGGCGCAGCUAUUGUGCCAUACGCCCAACAAGUACUACUCAUUCCACCCGCGCGUGUGGCACGAAGCAAAUCUGCCCACACAGUCUGACGCAGCUAUGUUAGUUACCCGCGGUACGACACUUUAGUUAUCCUAGGGAUGACAACUCUUGUUACCCGGGAUGGCAAAUGUAAUUGUAAAAGCAUGGCAACUCUCUCCUUUGGUUAACUAUACUUACCCUCGGGACGACACUUUAGUUACCCCGGGAUAAUUGUCAUGUGUGUUUAUCUAGUUGUCGUGUGUGGUCCAACCAUAUUUUUCAUGUAUGGUUAAUUAUAGUUGACAUGCAUGUUUACUUGGUUGCCAUAAACGCGCAAUUGUGGUUGCCAUCUAGCAACGAAUCAUAGUUGAUAUAUGUGUUACGUAGUUGCCAUGUACGUGCAACUGCAGUUGCCUUCUAGCAAUGAAUCAUAGUUGACAUGUGUGUCACGUAGUUGCCAUGUACGCGCAACUGUAGUUGUCAUCUAGCAACAUACAAGCGUCGUGUGGGCGAAGAGCAGUUCAUCCACACACGCGUGGACUGUUGGAAAUAUGCCCUAGAGGCAAUGAUAAAUUAGUUAUUAUUAUAUUUCUUAGUUCAUNNNNNNNNNNNNNNNNNNNNNNNNNNNNNNNNNNNNNNNNNNNNNNNNNNNNNNNNNNNNNNNNNNNNNNNNNNNNNNNNNNNNNNNNNNNNNNNNNNNNCCUCAGUGCCAAGGAUUCGUAUAAUCCCGUAUGUCAUUCCCUUUGUCCUUCGGUAUGUUACUUGCCCGAGAUUUGAUCGUCAGUAUCCGCAUACCUAUUUCAAUCUCGUUUACCGGCAAGUCUCUUUACUCGUUCCGUAAUACAAGAUCCCGCAACUUACACUAAGUUACAUUGCUUGCANNNNNNNNNNNNNNNNNNNNNNNNNNNNNNNNNNNNNNNNNNNNNNNNNNNNNNNNNNNNNNNNNNNNNNNNNNNNNNNNNNNNNNNNNNNNNNNNNNNNNNNNNNNNNNNNNNNNNNNNNNNNNNNNNNNNNNNNNNNNNNNNNNNNNNNNNNNNNNNNNNNNNNNNNNNNNNNNNNNNNNNNNNNNNNNNNNNNNNNNNNNNNNNNNNNNNNNNNNNNNNNNNNNNNNNNNNNNNNNNNNNNNNNNNNNNNNNNNNNNNNNNNNNNNNNNNNNNNNNNNNNNNNNNNNNNNNNNNNNNNNNNNNNNNNNNNNNNNNNNNNNNNNNNNNNNNNNNNNNNNNNNNNNNNNNNNNNNNNNNUUGCAAGGCUUGUGUGUGGAAGUCGCCCAUUGCCUGGGCAUCCGCGCGCUUAGGGAGGAGGGAGAUCAUGGCCUGGUUGAGGCGUUGGAAUCCUCGGCCCCGAAGCUGAUGCAGCUGUUGGAACACGGCGAUGAAGUCCGGCUUUACAGUAUCCCAGCAAGCGCGGAGAAACUCCGCGGUGAAGCCGUCUGGUCCGGGCGCCUUACGCGCCGGCAUGCGCGUGAUCGUGUGCCAGAUUUCCUCCUCCGGGAAUGGGGCGUCGAGGUCAUGCAGGCCAUGAUCCGUCUCGAUAAGGUGCUCGAGGUUAAGCGCGCGCUCGCGGUCUGGGGCCGUGCCAAUGAGGUCAUCGAAGUGGCCGAAGACGGCCUGCGCCAUCUCGUUCUGCCCCGUGUGGGUCUGCUGGCCAGAGGACAGGCUGAAGAUGGAGUUCUUCUGGCGCCUGUAAGAGCACUGCCGAUGGAAGAAGGCAGUGUUGGCGUCCCCUUCCCUGAGCGAUGCAAUGCGCGCACGCUGCCGGGCCAUUGUGCGCUCGAGAGAGGCGAAGCCCAGGAAGCUAAGUUUCAGACUUUUGUGCAGCCAGACCUCGUGUGGCGAGAGCGUCCGGUCCUCCUGGGCUUUGUCGAAACUGAGGAUGAGCACCCUCCAUAGCGCGAGCUUGUGCUUUACGUUGCCCACUGAUUUGGCACUCCAGCUAGUGAGCCUUUUGGCUGUCGCUUGCAGGCGCAGCUGGAGGCGACGGAAUGGGUCAUCGUCGUGCACCGAGGCCCAGGCUAGCGCCACCGUUUCCUGGAAUCCGUCAAGGCGCAGCCAGAACUCCUCAAAGCGGAACCUGCGGUGAGCUGGGGGUGUGAGGGAGCAAUCCAGCGGGAGGGGGUUGUGGUCAGACACCACAGAGGCGAGGCAGCGAAAGUGGCAGUCGCCGACGGCGUCAUCCCAGUCUGACGUGCACAGGACCCUGUCCAGGCGCACCAGCGUUGGCGGAGAUUGCGCGUUGGACCAGGUGUAACGGCGGCCAUUGAGGUAUACCUCCCUCAGGGCCAGAUCGCUAAUGCAACGCCGGAAGCGGCCCAUCAUUCUCCGGUUAAGGUUCCCGUUGUUCUUAUCCUCGUCGCGCAGGAUAAGGUUGAAGUCGCCGCAAAGCAUCCACGGGCCCGUGCAGUCACGGCGCACGUCCCGGAUCUCCUGGAGGAACGCGACCUUGCCGUCCUCGUCUUGGGGGCCGUAGACAACGGAGAUCCACCACGGCGUGCCCGCAGGAGAGGCAACCCUAGCGGUGAGUGCAUUGGUGGUGAGCAGUGGGUCGGAGAUCGUCAUGACUCUGCUCUUCCAAGCAAGGAGGAUGCCCCCACGUGUGCCCUCCGCGGGCAGGGACAAGAAGCCGUCGAAGUCGAGGCCUAGGGUCUCCAGAACAAUCGAGGGGUCAAUGAGGGCCAUCUUCGUUUCUUGCAGGCACACUAUCGAUGCGUCGGUCGUGGCGACGAGCGAGCGGAUCGCCAGGCGGCGCGCCCUCGCGUUCAGCCGCGCACAUUCCAGAUCAGCAAAUUAAGGUUGUGAGACAUAAAGAACUAAUUCGACAGCGGGAUACAACGGCGGGCUAGACCUCCACGAGGCAGCCAUCGUGCACGGACAUGCAUGGGAUCGGGGUUACAAUCGCGGGCAGCUCGCGAUCGACCAGCUUGGCGAUAGCGGCGAGCACGUCCACCGAAAUUUCCGUCGCGAACACGCCGUCGUAAGCUUUCAUCGCGUCCGCCGUGAUCACCUGGUUGGCACCGAUGAUGCCCAGGGUGCGCAGAAUUUGCACGCGAGCCCGCCGCUCAGCUGUGGGGGGCACCGAGGUCGCCACCUUCGGGGUGGCCGAGCGGCCGCGGUGCGGCGAGAAGCAGAGGGUGGGGCGACGAGGGCGCUUCCCCGGGAGUUGGCAGGGCGGCUUUGAGCUGGCCAGUGGCAGCCGCGAGGAAGUCCCCCAGCGUCUAGGCGAUGGGGCGCUGUUCGGGUCUCGGGCGCGAUCUCCGCAGCGUGAUGGGCGGCGAGGCGAAUCGGCAUGCAGUGGGGCGAGGGGUCUCCAUCGAGUGUGGGCUGGCUGGCAGGGGCGCAUUGCUGGGCGCAAGGCUGUCGUCAAGGCCCGGCCCAGCCGAGGUGUUGCCAAGGCCCAGCCCGAGAUGGGAGGGUGGCCCAUGCGUCAGCUGAGGGGAGCCCGCGUCUGGUACGAGGGCUGUGGGAUUUGAAUCCGGCGUGGGGUCGUCCUCGGGGUCGACAGGGCGGGAGGGCGAGGCCUCCUCGGAGACGUCAUCGCGCGGGCUGGCAGCGGGUGACGCUGCCAAAGACCCCCUUUGGCCCGACAGGAUAUCCUCCUCAGGUGCCGCGGACGGGGGAGGCAGGGAAUCGGGGACCAUCUCGUCCCCGAGCGGGUCAGGGGUCUCAUCGUGCCCAGCACGCCUUGGAUCCGGGGCCGGUGGGGCCGGCGCAGCGGCCGAGCCAGGCGGGGUGCAGAGCGGAUCGCGCUCGUGCGCAGAAGGCGACAAGCCUGGCCGGUGGGUGGCGGGCCCUGUCCCUGGCGAGGAAGGGCGGCUGAGCAAUUGGGGGCCGCCAGCUGUCCCCGCCGAAAGAACACCGGUCGCAUCUUGGACCGUGGAGGGCCCGGCCGCACUUUGGACAGGAGAUCGGUCAUUCCUCUGCCAGGUUGCUUUAUCUUUUGCAGGUUGAUGACGGUUGCAAUGGGGCCCAGUCCUCCCGGGUCAUGGCAACAUGCCUCUCAUGCGCGCAGUGGCAGCCGCCGGCGCCGGCGGCCGGAACGUACGGAAGCGGUGAUCGGCGGACUUCCAGAAGGGGUCGACCGCGACCCCGUCAAGACGGCGCGAGCCCCCGGCGGUGGCCCACGCCAGGGAGUCGAGCGGCGCACCGUCGGCAUGGCCAGCGGGCGCACCCGGCGCGUUGGGGCGUCGGCGCUUACGGCCGCGGCGGCGACCAGGGCCAUGACCAUCAUUGCGCCCGGGGGGAGGAUCCCCUCCGGCGUCCCCAGGGCCGCCGGCGUGGCGGGCGGGAGGGGCCGCGUGCCGGCUGUUCUCAUCGUGCACCACCCUGAUGGCGAUCUGGUAGGUGAGGGAGCGCACUGUGGGGGCCUGGGAGGGGGCACGCGCCGGGAUGCAUUCGACGAUCUCGAGGACGACGUGGCGGCGAAUGGACGACGGGUCGCGGGUGCGGCCAGAGAGCCGGAAGGUGGCGAGGUCGGACCUGGAACGAGUCUCGGGAUGGAGGCGCUCCACCCAGCAGGAGUCGCUGAGGAUGCGCUCGACCGUGCUCAAGUUCCAAGCUUGCGCCGGGAUGCCGCGGAGCUCGAGCUCGAUGCGGUGUCCCAGGCCAUCAUAGCCGGCGUGGGCGAGCUUGCUCCAGGGGCGCAGAGACAGCGAGAAGGAAGGGCCCUCGAUGUGGUGAUCGCCAUAGAUCCUGUCCUUGAUGGCCUGCGAGGCGUAGACGAUGAGGAAGUCCUCGGGGUGGCGGAGGUGGAUCGAGAAGUCGCCGGGCUACAGCUCGAGGUUGUUGAAGAGCGCGUCCGCGACCUCAUCGGUGGCGACGGGCGGCCUAGGGCCGGUGAUGGUGGCCACCAUCCCACGUUGCAGCACCGCCUCGGCUUCCUCGAUCUCAACGGAGCGGGGGACGAUGACGCGCGCUGGGCCGAGGGGGGUCAACAGCGGGCGUCGCAGCGCGGGGCGGCGGGGGUGGGGGCGUCGCGGCGCGGGGCGACGGAGGGGGUGGCGUCGGAGCCGCAUGCCGCUGGGGCGGAGCGGCCGAAGCCAGGAAAGCGCGGUCGCGAGCGCAACUCGUAGGGGUGCAGUUCCGGGAAUCGUGGCCAAGGAGGAGGCAACGCCGGCAGCGGAGCCCGUUGGUGCGGUGGCGGACGGUGUGGCCCGGGUCGAGGCAGCGGAAGCAGAGGCCCGCCGAUUCCUCCGGCGUAGGGCUGCGGCUGAGCUGCAGCGUGGGCGCGUCCGCACGCCGGUAGUUGCGGCGAUGCCGGCUCCUUGGUUGCCCCCAGGCUCCGCCCGCGUCCGGCGCUGGCUGCGUCGCGUCCUCCACGCGGUGGACCUCCGAGCGGGGGCCCAGGCGGGUAGAAGCAGGGGCGCGCGGGGGCGGGAUGGGGGCCGCCUGCGGCUGGCGCACCGGCGGCGGAGGAGGAGGGGCGGUGCGGGCGACGUCGCGGUAGGAGCGCGCACCGGAGGAGGAGCUGUCCGAGUCCUUCCAUCGGUCCUCGCGGUGGUGGCCGCGCGGGUCGCGGCCGUCAUCGGAAGUGGCCAUGGCGCGGCGGAAGCGGGGGCGACCGGCGGGCAGGACGGCGGCGGGGCUGCUCGUCUAGGCGCGGGCGCUGGCUAGGAGCGGGAGCUGCGAGGAGCGGAGGGGGGGGGGNNNNNNNNNNNNNNNNNNNNNNNNNNNNNNNNNNNNNNNNNNNNNNNNNNNNNNNNNNNNNNNNNNNNNNNNNNNNNNNNNNNNNNNNNNNNNNNNNNNNNNNNNNNNNNNNNNNNNNNNNNNNNNNNNNNNNNNNNNNNNNNNNNNNNNNNNNNNNNNNNNNNNNNNNNNNNNNNNNNNNNNNNNNNNNNNNNNNNNNNNNNNNNNNNNNNNNNNNNNNNNNNNNNNNNNNNNNNNNNNNNNNNNNNNNNNNNNNNNNNNNNNNNNNNNNNNNNNNNNNNNNNNNNNNNNNNNNNNNNNNNNNNNNNNNNNNNNNNNNNNNNNNNNNNNNNNNNNNNNNNNNNNNNNNNNNNNNNNNNNNNNNNNNNNNNNNNNNNNNNNNNNNNNNNNNNUUAUGGACACAUGGGUAGAUUUUAAUUAUGGACACAUGGGUAGAUUUGAACAUUGCCCUAUUGUAGCAAGGAAUGGGUUAAUUAAAUUAAAAGAUGUGCUAGAAACUAUCCAUCAUUGUGUAUCUAGUGACUCACGACGGCCUUAUUUGCAAUAAAAGCAGUUCUAGGAGCUUCUCUGAUGCACUCUUCCAUUUUUCGUGGCAUGUAGGAAGAUGGCUUGCUGUUGUACUGCUGAAUUUGGUCCGGACUGUAGACAACUCAUCUCUAUUUCACCAAAAAGAAUUAGUACUGCUAGCCCCCUGAUGCCAAAGUUGGUUGAGUUCACGAUGUUGAUAAAAUACUGGCAGCCAAUCUGUUCAUUAACAGCAAGCAACUUGCUGAUCAGCACUGAGCUGUGAUGAAACCCACAUGUCUUCCGUCACUGCCAUGGUCAGCCGUCAUCGCAGCCACCAACAGCGCUCGACCCAGGGAUCUUUGACAACCGUGCACCCUUCAUCACCUUCCUCAGCCUGUCCACGUCCUGCCACCUCCCAGCAUCUGCAUAUAUGUUGGACAGCACCACAUAAACGCCAUGGUUGUUCGGGUCCAGUUUCAGCAUCUCUUGCACAGCCCGUUCCGCUACAUCAAUGUCACCGUGGCCCUUGCAGGCUGUAAGCAGAGCCCCCCAGAUCAUAGUAUCCGCCUUGCAUGUCAUCCCACGUAUCAUCUCUUCAGCCUCCGAUAGGAGUCCACUCCGACCGAGGAGGUCGACCAUGCACCCAUAGUGUUGGAUGCUCGGAGUCACACCAAAGUCUUCCAUAGAUGUGAAAACUCUGCGGGCCUCAUCAAGCAGCCCUGUGUGACAGUAUGCUGACAGAACCCCGACAAGCGUGGUUGCAUUAGGCGGCACGCCCUCACGGCGCAUCUGCUGGAACAUCGCGAGCGCGUCCUUUCCAUGCCCAUGGUGUGCCAACCCUGAGAUUAGGGCAUUCCAUGUUGCUGUAUGCCGCUCCGGCAUCCCCUUAAACACCGUUACCGCCUCCUCGAUCGCCCCAUUCUUUGCAUACAUGUCGACUAAUGCCGUGCCAAGGAUCACCCCCACAGGCGCCGCCAUCCCCCUCCUCUCCAUGAUAUCAUGCACACGCCGCCCAAUCACGAGCCCGCCCGACUUUGACCGUGCGCAGGCUGACAGCACCGAUGCCAGCACCACAGCGCCGGGCUCGAACCCCUCGUUGAGCAUCUCAUCAAAUGCUCCCAUGGCGUCCUGGUACCGCCCGUUCUGCGCAUAGCCAGAGACCAUGGUGGUAUACACCACCACGCUUCGAAGUGGCAAUUCAUCGAACACCUUCCGCGCGACACCAAUGAGUCCAGCCACCGAGUACGCGCGGACAAGGCCGUUGGCAACGUAGGUGUCGCGAUUGAGCCCGUGCUUGACGACGAGCGCGUGGAUCUGCUUGGACACAGGAAGGGGGAGACGAGCGGAGGCCUUGAGGAGGAAGGGGAAGGUGUGCCGGCCGGGAGAGUAGGAGCCGGCGGAGUAGCGGAGGUGCGAGAAAAAGGCGAGGGCGGAGGCGGGGUCGGGGGAGGAGGCGAGGGCGCGGAGGGAGGUGUUGAGCAUGAAUGAGUUGGGCGCGUAAGGGAGGGAGGAGAGGAAGCGGAGCACGGCUGCCGGAGGGGAGAGCGAGGCGUAGGCGUCGAGCAGGCGGGAGGCCGCGAAGGCGUCGUCGGCGAUGCGGCCGGAGACGAUCAUGGCCGCGUGGAUGAGGGUGAGGCCGCGGAGGGUGGAGCAGCGGUCGGCGAGGAGGGAGAGGCUGACGUGGCCGCGGACUCCGGCGGCGCCGCCGCCGCCGCCGAGAAGAUGUGUCGCGGGCAUUUGGGCGUGUUUGAAUGCGACCGAAGUUGUGUAAGCUGAGCACAAAGUAACUCCGCGUCAUAUUUCAUACUCGGGAAAUACUUGUUAUAGAAAUGCAUGUAUCUAGAUUUAUUUUAGUUAUAAAUAUAUCCAUUUUAUUUAUUUCUGGGACAAAUAUUUCCGGACGAAGGUAGUAUAUUCAAACAUACACAAUGUCAGUCGAAAUUCGCUGGUUUUGGUUAUUGGCCAUUUUUUCUUUAGGUAACAAAAUAGAUCAACAAUCUAGCUCUAUUGAUUGAGGAAAGAUGUUGUACCACAUGAAAAACUGAAUAAAAAUAUAUCAACAAAUUAUCUUUAUUCACUAGAAAAGACUGAAUAAAAGUGUGUAAGAAAGCGAAUCAAUUUGUGAUUGGAUGGUUAUAGAGACAAUGGUAUACCCAUUCUAUCAGGAUUUAAGACUUGGUGCGCGUAUUAUUUUUAGAUUUAUUUUAGAAUUUACACCGAUGUGUAUUUAAUGAGAGGAGACGUUCCGUCGACGAUGAGGCGCAUACGAUGACUUCGUAAAUUUUAAAAUGAUAUAUCGACUCGGUCUCUCAGAUGUGCUCACAUUGUUAGGAUAAGCAUGCGUGCCUUUGUAAGAAUGAAUAUAUGCGUGUUUAUAUAAACGUGUGCAUCUGUAUUAAUUAACAAUGUAUGUAUUUAGAAUAUUAGAAAUUCAAAGUUGUCGUUGUUUCAUUAAUCACAUAUUGUUAAAGGAUAAGCAGAACACUGUGCCUAACUAAUUUUGACUAAUCUCAAAUAUGUUAAAGGACAUGCAUAGAUUUUCAUUCUGGGGCGUGUGUAUAUGAUUGAUGAUUGCUCGUUCCAAACGGCUCGAUCGCACGUAGGACUGGGCAUUCGGUUCCCCCGGACCGAUCGGUUCGGUUUUUUGGUCUAUUAAAUAUUUCGGUUUUGAAGAAAUACUAACCGAUCGGUCAAUGUGAAAUCAGCUAACCGAGCAUACUAUGCACAGAUAUUUCGGUUCGGUCAUCGGUUUGACCGCACAACACCCAUAAAUAUUCAAUGCUUUGUUCUGAACGUGCAGCGGCUGAAUUACAAAGCAUGCUUGCUUGACCCUGUUCAAGCAGUAAGGGAUCACUAUUUUAUUUUGAUGUACAGUGCGUGUAGUUGUAGCUCUGCGCCUCUGUCUACCUCCCAUACUUGGAUGCGAGUAUACAUGGAUUAAAACGGAGGACCCAUGGCAGAGCGUCUUGUCACUUGUGGGUUGUGGUCAUAGUUGUUCUCCAGGUGCGGAGGCAAUGGAUGUGUGGCGCCAUCGAUGCUGCCGGCGACACUGCUACUAGUUCAUCUGGGACGAGUCGGCUAGGAUUUGGGGCGCCUCAUCUCCGGUGAAUAAUGUGUAGCCCGCGCGUCAGGACCACCCCCCCUAAUAUAAAAGAUGCGACCAUCGGGAAUGCCAGGAAGGGCUAGAACACCAUGAAUUAGGGAUUAAACUUCAUGCGGGAGGCGGUGGGUAGAGGACCAGGGGUCUGGCUCUCAAUGCGAGAUGCGGGAUGUGGAAGACGGCUGCGGGACUAGUGGCCUGCACUACACACUUCUUUCUAGGGGAGCGCACUGGUAAUCGAGCGCAAGCCCGUGGGCGGUGGGACGGGCCUUUGUUUUAGUCGGUGUUCGGUUAGUUCGGUUGUCGGAGGGAUUAACCCGAAUUAACCAAACUAAUUUCGGUUUUCUAGCAUUUGAAACCGAUCGUAGUACCGAAGUUUUCGGUUUCGGUGUAUUCGGCUUCGGUGUCGGUUAUUUCGGUUCGGAAAAUCGGUUUCGGGUUAUAUGCCCAGCCCUAAUCGCACGAACCAAAAACCGGUGAUGUGUAUGCGCUGGCCACGGCGCCAGCUCAGUUUGCUUCAUAAUUGGGAAAAACUGUACUUCCUUUAUAUUUAAAUAUUUAUAGUUAAAGAAAAAUAAAGUUAUUUUCAAUUACUCCUUCCUUUUUUAAUAUAAGUUUUUAAAAAAAUUAUUAAAAGACUACGUACGGCUGUACAUAGACAUAUUUUAAAGUAUAGAAUCAUUCAUUUUGCUUCGUAUAUAGUCCCUUAAAAAAAUUCAAAAAACUUAUAUUUGAGAACAGAUGCAGCAUAAGUAUUUAGAUACAGAAGGAGUACCUUCUUAUUGGCCCUCCCAAUCAACACUUGGUAAACAUUUUAACUACAUAAAAAUGCCAUGAUAAACUAUAAGACCCCUUCUGAAAAUUGCCAUAGUAAACUGUACAAAAAAUUUCCUACAUGGCCAAAAUGAUAUAGUAAAAUCUGUAAAAAAAAAGAAGAAGAAACCAGCAGAAAAUGUCAUAAUCCAAAAUACAGAAAUGAAAGUAUCGUGAAAGCAUGAUCAAUGUAAAUAAAAUUGCCAUACCAUUAGAACUGAAAUGGCCAUGUUAUUAAAAUUGAAAUUGUCAUGCUCUUAAUAAUAAAAUGGCCAGGAUCAAAAUAGAAAAAAAAAAAAUUCCUACAAAGAAAUGACAGCUAUGUGUAACAAGUACAUCAACGGAUCAUGAAGGCUACGUCAUGAAAAAAAUGAAAAAGUUUGUUACAAUAAAAAAGUUCAUACAUGGUUGCAUUUUAAUUAAAACAAGACAUACAUUAAUUUGCCAUGGUAAGCUAAAAAAAUAUGAAAAAUGAUGUACUUUAAUUUACCGUGUUUGUAUAGUUUAAGUUGCCAUGAUAAUAAAAAUUAUUUGGCCAGGGCAUCAUUUUUUUUGGUUUUGGAUGAUACGGAUGCAAAAUUGAAAUGUUAUAAACAAAAACAAAUUUGCCAGGAUAGAAAUAUUAAAAUGGUAAUCUUACCUGGUUGGUGUUCACUAGGAGAACGGUAACAAACAAACCUUUUUUAUGGCCGUUUUAAUUUGACACGGGCUCAAACGAUGGCAAUUUUAAUACGAAAAUUGCCGUUUCUCACAGAAACUGUCAUGUCACUCUGAAGAAUCUAUCAUCCCCUCAUGACCAAAUAUUGUCAGCAAAUCGUUCGUAAAUACCACCCCUUCCUGGCGAACGUUCGCCAUGUAAGCGGACCCUAUUAAAAUUGGCAUGCAAUAAAAAAUAAAUUUCCUACAAAUGGGCCUGUUUUUUGUCAUAACAUAACAAUCACACAUUAAAAAUUGCCAUCAAUUAAAAAUAAAAAAUGCCAUUAGAAAUGAUUUGUUCGCGCUCUUGAUGAUAUAUGGCCAUGAUAAAAAAGCUAAUAAACAUAAAAAGACAUGACAACUAUGUGUAACAAGUAUAUGAAUGGAUCAUGAAAACAUAAAAUGCAAGUAUAUGAAUGGAUCAUAACAUAAAAAAGUUUGAUAUGAGUGGGUCCCACGUCCUACGUCAAGCAUUCUCGGCAAAGCUAACGAAUAGCAAACUGCCAUGUGUCCACCACCUGAGGGCAUCUUCAAUGGUUUCUAUGUAGUUUUGUUGGUAAAAUUAUCCAUGUCAUCAACCAACAAGGGAUCAUACAACUACUCCAAUGGUAGCAUCUAAAUUAUCCAAUAGAAGAAGAGGAAAUAAAUGCAAUUGCUCUUUAUGUAACCUUGGAGCUUGUGCAAGAGCUGUUGGUUAAUCUACAUAUAAUUUUUCUCCCUCUCUCAUCAUUUAUUUAUUGCCACAUCAUCAUAUAUUCUAGGUGGCAAAGUUAUCAACAACUAUCUUACAGCCAUUGAAGAUGCCCUGACAGGUAGAUCACACGCCCUACGCUGAGCAUGUGCUUUACCGGGGAGCUACUCUUCGCAAAGUUGACAAAUAGCAAACUAUCAUGUGUCGAGCUCGUGCUUUGCCGAGACCUGGCACGACAAAGUUUAUUUAGUUUACUGAGACCUUGGUUGCUGACCUGCUGUCAACAAAGAUGCCAGGCUCUAUAGGUCGGCACAUUUUAUCGAGAGCUUAAUUCGGCAAACUUAGCAGCGUGCUCCAGUUCAAGAGUCUUUACCGAGAAGAACUCUUGGGAUAACAUAUGUUGCUGAGUGUGACUCUCAGUAAAGUUUUGUCCAGCAACCUUUUUUUUCUUAUUUUGGUUUAUCCCUGCGGAAAAACAUAUACAACAACAGUUUAUUUUUCUUCUUUCUUUGUUCUUUUGUUUUUCUUUUUUUCUUUAUUCGUUUAUUUUUUAUUUUUCAAGUUUAAUAUCUUUUUUUACAAAAGUUCAUAUUUCCAAAUUUCUUGGGAAACACAAAAAAUUGCACAUGCUUUAAAAAAAUGUUGAUAUUUUCAAAAAAUGACCGUGUUUUCGAAAGUUGUUCAUAAAUUUAACAAGCAUUUACAUUUCUAAAAGAGAAUUCGGGAAUUUCACAAAAAAAUUCUAUUAUUCCAAAAUUGACCGGAAAUGUUUCCUGUUUGAAAAAAAGUUCAUGUUUCAACAAUUGUUCGCAAAAUGUUCAUUUUUUCAUGAUUUCAAAAAAUGUCCACGAUUUUUAAAAGAUGAUCAGUUUUUGGAAUUUUUGUUCUGUAUGUUUCUCUUUCAAAUGGUCACAACUUCUCAAAAAUAAUUCAUAAAUUAAAAAAUUGUUCCUGCUUUCAAAAAUAGUUGACAAUUUUUUUAAAAUGUUCUUGAUUCCAUUUUUGCGGGAGUUCCCAAUACAUAAUUUUUUUAAAAUGUUCGUGUUUUUUCAAAAAUGUGCUUUUCAGAAGUUGCUCUUAAGGUUAUUUAAAAAUUAUUUGGAACUUAAAAAAUGUUACUUUUAAAAAAAAUGUUCAUGUUUCAAUUUUUAGUAGUUCUGAAAAGCUUCAUGCUUUAAAAAUUGUUCAAAAUUUUCAAAAAAUCUCCGUGUUUUAAAUUUUCUUCUACAUUUUGAAAUGUUUUCAUGUUUUGAAAAUUAGUUCUGAAAUUCAAAAAAUGUUUGCCUUUUUAUUUUUGCUCACAAAUUUAAAUUACUAUUGAGGUUUGAAAUAAUGUUCUAGGCUUACAAAUUUGUUUAGAAGUUCAAAAUAUGUUCAGAUUUUAAAAUUUUGUUCGCAAAUCCAUAAAAUGUCUGAGUUUUGAAAUAAUUGUUCGCAAUUUUGAGAAAUGUUUCUUGUUUUCAAUGUUUAUUUCUUUGUUUUCAAAAAAUGUUUGGCUUUGUUGGAAAAAAAUUCAUAAUUUUGAUAUUUUUUAUUUUUUGCAAUUUUGGGUUUUUAUCAAACUUUAAGUUUUAUUGCUGUUGUUGCUGUUUCUUUUACUGUUGCAUUGCACAUUUAGAACAAGACCUAGUUGGCCACAGCGGGUAAACAUUUGUGAAAUAUGAGUAUGUGUAGUUGCCAAGUUUGAUUUCCUAUGUCCAAUUUAGAGCACACGUUGAUCUGUUUGUUUUUAAUGUGCCGGUUCAUGGCCUUCCAGAUACGCUCCAACAACGUCAAAACAUGAAGGUACACUAUUUUCUCCGUCACAAUUUAGAAGACAGAGUUAAAUUUACGCGCACCACAAUAGACAAGAUUUAAAAUGCAUUGCAUUUACUCUUAUGCUCCUAGCAGCUAAUUAGUACUUUGUUGUAUUAUUUUUGUAUAGAUGUGUAAUGUGAAUGUUAUUUUUCAACCUAUCUCACAACCAAUCAAUAACCACCUAGGUUCCGGAGGAAUUGCAAGCACACCUUCUAAACCGUGACGGAGGGAGUAUAAUAUUUCUCCUUGUUGUUAUUGAUAAAUUUAUUACAUUGAAUGGUGCUAUGCUGCCUAGGAUAUAUAGAUAUGCCUCUAGUUAACCUACAACAGAUUAAAUAUGAUAGAGGAUAUGAUAUGCUUAAAGGAAAAAAAAACAAGUGUUGAUGUUGAUGGUUCUUUUGUUGUGCCAAAUGGAGAAGGCCGUGUUCAGGAGCUUAAGCCAUGGCCACCACCCUCAGUUUUGCCACCAACUGGAGGUUAUCAAGGAAGACUGUAAAAAAUAAAAGGCACCGUCGUAUAUUUACUCUGUACCACUCGAUGACUGAGAGUUUACAACUUGUUAGAACGACAGUAGUAGUAGUAUAUUACAGUACAUGGCGGUGAAAAAAUGAACUAAUGCUUCGAGAGCGGGAAGCCGAUGCCGUGCCGCGUGGUGGGGAAGGUGACGAAGAGCAUGCUCCCGACGACCCCGAUGGCGAUGGGCAGCACGGUGAGCACCUGCGCGGCGUCCUCGGAGGGCACGGGGUAGAAGCAGGACACGACGUUGUGGUCGAAGAGCGCGACGGCGACGAAGACCAUGACGGUGACGACGGCGUGCACGAAGUCGAUGAAGCGCAGCCUGUACGUUGCUGCGGCCUGCGGGUCGAUCGGAGCGCCGCCGUCGAUGACCCAGAGCCCGCGGCGCGUGGCGAAGCCGUAGCGCACGGCGCCCUUGGCGUCCCGGAAGCUGUCGGUGAAGCUGAGCGCGAAGCAGGAGAUGCCGCAGAGCGCGACGAGCGCGGCCGCCAUGGCCCGGUUGGCGCGCACGCAGUGGCCCUGGUCCGUGACGAUCGGGGACAGCAGCUGGAACGCCAGCACGGUGCCCGUCGGCAGCAGCGUCGCCAGGUGCGCCGUGCUCUGGUACGUCUGGCUGAUGGCCCGCUGCAUCGGGCUCAGCCCGUCGCCUGCGCCGUCCCCGUCGCGGACGGCCGGCGGCCUCGCCAGGAGCGGCCGCUCCUCGUCGACCUCGUCCGCGCGCCCCUGCCGCGCCACCGCCUCGCUCUGCGCCGCCAUUGCCGCGUCGAUCCAAGCUCCGAAAGAAAGAAUCCUGGCUACGAACGAGUGGAGUGAAUCGGGGAUGACAGAGGGGAAUGCGGAUUGAUUGAUGUGUGACAGCCGGUGCAACGGAGAAGGGAUUUAAAGGGGGGUUACGGGGAGUGCCGCGCGCGGCAUGACGGCAUGGGUGGAGCUUGCCGGGGCGUUUGUGGCUUGCCGGCGGGCGCUUGCGCUUGGCUUGCAAGAAACAGGAACCUUGAUUGAAAGAAACCGGAACAAAUCGGUGGAGGUUUUGGCCGUUGCUUGCAAGGGAGGUGGACCGUAACGCGGGACGCGACCCGACCCUUGCCGCUUCAAGUCAAAGCCGUCGGUUACCUCCUGCAGCCAGUGGCCACGUAACACUAGCAGCUGCAGAGCAGAGCACCGCGGCCGCGCGCGCAGUGGAGUAACGCAAGGGGCAACGCGAACACGCUUAGCUAUAGAUAGAUAGUUGGUAGAUAGAUAGAUAGACACUGCUUUGCUGCGCGUGAAUGCUUUGGCACGAUGAUCCGAUUAAGCAAAGGGUCGAGCAGGUAGCGUGCGGACGCCAUGGGCGAUCCAAAUACGUAAGAUAGAGAGCCAUUGCUCGUGCUGUGCAUUGCAUGCCGUCCAGUGCGUUUUUGUGUGCGUGGGUGAAAGGCUUUGGCACGAUGCGUGUUACUACUACUGUAUUAGGCAAAGACUUGAGCGGGUAGACGUGCGUCCGUGUCGUGCCGGCUGCAUUUGUGCGGCCCACUACGGCGCCACAAGGACACGAGUCUCGUAGGGGGAUUGUUUAUAGGAUAUUUUUUGGGAAACUCUUGUGUUCUUUCCAUCCGCAUCGACCUCCUCCGUGGGCGCGUAGCAGUCUCCAUAUUUUUUCCCAAAUCCUUUAUUCUUAAAUAGCUACAAUCCACUAGCUAUUUUUCUCUUCACGCGACAAUGCCACGUCAUCAAGUCGUGUAUAGAGUCAUAAGUUAUUUUUUCUAUUAGUCUCUUCAUGCAAAACAUACCACCUCAUGCAUUAUUUUUUUCAGGGAAUUAAAUCAUGUAAGAAAGUUUUAUACUUGUUUUUGUUUUAAUUUUGGUAUUCUACCAAUUAUUCAUACAUUUUUUAACAAGGUUCCCCGCUGCAACGCGCAGGGCAUCGUCUAGUUAUAACGUCCACACGUACGGUAGAUUUGCAUUUCACUGGCACGUCUUUAUCCACGUUAAUUGUGUUUUGCAUGAAUUUUAAAGGAAUCUUUUGCAUUUUCAAUGUCACGUAGACAUCAUCGUGUGUGUGCGUUGGAGAGUUAUUCCAUACGGCCCACCACAUGCAGUUGCCAGCUCUGUUGUGUGGACGAACCAUUUUCUGCCCACAGUCGCACCUAGUCCAUGUUGGGGAACGUCGCAUGGGAAACAAAAAAUUUCCUACGCGCACGAAGACCUAUCAUGGUGAUGUCCAUCUACGAGAGGGGAUUUCCGAUCUACGUACCCUUGUAGAUCGCACAGCAGAAGCGUUAAGAAACGCGGUUGAUGUAGUGGAACGUCCUCACGUCCCUCGAUCCGCCCCGCGAACCGUCCCACGAACCGUCCCGCGAUCCGUCCCACGAUCCGCUCCGAUCUAGUGCCGAACGGACGGCACCNNNNNNNNNNNNNNNNNNNNNNNNNNNNNNNNNNNNNNNNNNNNNNNNNNNNNNNNNNNNNNNNNNNNNNNNNNNNNNNNNNNNNNNNNNNNNNNNNNNNNNNNNNNNNNNNNNNNNNNNNNNNNNNNNNNNNNNNNNNNNNNNNNNNNNNNNNNNNNNNNNNNNNNNNNNNNNNNNNNNNNNNNNNNNNNNNNNNNNNNNNNNNNNNNNNNNNNNNNNNNNNNNNNNNNNNNNNNNNNNNNNNNNNNNNNNNNNNNNNNNNNNNNNNNNNNNNNNNNNNNNNNNNNNNNNNNNNNNNNNNNNNNNNNNNNNNNNNNNNNNNNNNNNNNNNNNNNNNNNNNNNNNNNNNNNNNNNNNNNNNNNNNNNNNNNNNNNNNNNNNNNNNNNNNNNNNNNGCAUUUAGGAUUUGUGCUUGACAAGUACCCUCUUAGUUUAUUUCCGCAUCAGGUUCAAGCCAAAUCUGAACAAGUUUUUAAAUAGCCUAUUCACCCCCCCCCCUCUAGGCGUCAUCGAGGUCUUUUCAAUUGGUAUCAGAGCUAGGUCUCUCUUUAAUUAGGUUUCACGACCUAGAGAGUAUCGAUGUCGACUAUUGGAUUAGUGAACAAUGGCAUCUUUGACUUUGAUGGCACAAAUUAUACCCUAUGGAGAAUUCGUAUGCUUCAUCACUUUCGGGCCAUGGGCCCAAAUACUUUACGAAUUGUUCUUGUAGGGAUUGCCGACAAAAAGGAUGAUGCAUCUUCAUCUACUAAUGAAAUGUAUCUUGAUUGUGAGGCCUUUCUUGCCAUUCAUCGAACCAUAAGUCCUGAAGUGUUUAAGUCUAUCUCGACUUGCAAGUCAGCUCAUGAAGUUUGGACUAAACUUGAAGAUAUAUAUGGUGGGUCCAAUCUUGAUGAAGACGGUAUUAUGAUGAAGGAGUUGGUGCAUGAACUCUUCACUCUUUUCGAUCUUAAAGAGUCCACCACUACUUCCAUAUCCGAUUGCUUGCACACCUCAACAUCUUCAAUCUCACAAGGUAAUGACAUGGUGAGUGAAGAAAUAUAUGUUGAUGAAAAUGUCAUAGCCUUUAUGGACACGAGCAUAUCUAGCACCACACAUAGCGUAAAUUAUUGUGCUGAUAGGUCAUGCAUUUCACCUAAAGAUUCCUUGACAAAUGUCUGUGGUGAUAUGCCUGCUUCCUCGUGUCCUCUUGAUCAAAAUAUCUUAUUUCUCCCUAGUUGCUCUAUGACUAAUCAUUUAGGGGAUAUCAAGAAAUAUGAAGUACUUUUGACUAAUAAAGAAUCUGAUUCACCAAAAGAAUCGUCAUCAACUCCUCCAGUUCACAUGUGCCUCAUGGCAAGAGGUAAUAAUGAGGUAUCAUCUUCCCUGUGCAAUAACGAUGAUAUUUGCGAUGAGGAUGAUGAUGAUGACUUGACUGAAAAUAUCUAUGUGAUCAGUAAAAUUCUUCAUAAAGCUAAAAAUAACGCUCUUCAAAGAUUCCAAGAUGUUCUUGCUUACUUUGAAAAUUGUAAUGAUUCACUUAAUCAUGAACAAGCUAAAAGUGAACAACUUGAACAUGAACUUGAGAAGAGUCAUCAAGCAUGUAGAGACUUAAGAUCUUCAAAAGGAGAGAUUGAAGUUGCUCAUGAUAAACUUAAAAAGGAUUUUGAGUUCCUUCUCCUUGAAUGCAAUAAUGUCAAGGGAGAGCUCAUCAAAACCUCUAAGAUCUAUGAGGAGCUUCAAUCUACUCAUGAGAAGUCUCUAUUUGCUACUUACUCCUCUCAUAGUGUUGAUGAUACUUGUACAUCUAACUCUACCUCAUUUGGAGUAUCAACAUUGAAGGAGAAUGUUGAGCUACGUGCUCAACUUGAUUUACUAACUAGCAAUUAUGGGAAGUUGGAAGAAAACCAUGUAAUGCUCACAAGCUCUCAUGCUGAUCUUCUGACAUCCCAUAAUGUGCAAAAGUGAGCUCAUGAGGCUAUCAUCACCAAGGUAACAUCAAGCGAGCCUCAUGUGGACAAUGGCACUACUUCUAGUCAAAGUACUAUAUUUCCAUGUGCUAGUCCUCGUAAUUCGUCUACUCAUAAUGUUGCUACCUCAUGUGAUGAAUUACUUUCCUUGCCUUGUUGCUCUAACAUUGAAGCCUACACUUCCUCUAGUACUUGCAUUGAUACUAACCGUGCAGAGGAAAUCAAAGAGCUCAAGGCCCAAGUCACUUCUUUGAAGAAAGACUUGGAACAGUGUCAUGAAGGGAUGCCCACAUUCAACAACGUCCUGUGUGAGCAAACAUCUCCAAAUGACAAAAAUGAGUUUGGAGUAAACUCAAACAAGAACAAGAGGGGCCUAGAACAAGUCAAGAAUUCGGCCAAAAUCAUUUGCUUCAAGUGCAAAGUUAAAGGGCACCAUGUUAGAUCUUGCCCUCUGAAGACGAAGUCUCAAAGUCACAAGCAACAAGGGAAGCGGCCACAAACUCAAUCACAUAUUCAACUACAAGUUGAAGGAAGGCCUCUUCCCAAUAAGACCCAAGCCAACACUCCCCAAGGUGAGAAAUCAACUGGGAAGAAAACAAAGGGUAGAUGUUGCUACUUAUGUCGUGAGAAGGGUCACGUCGCUUUGUCUUGCACGAAAGGUAACUUAUCCAACCCAAUCACUAUUGAUGAUACAUAUUCCCUUGGGAAGGAUAAGGUUGGCAAUGUGUUUGCCAAGUUUGUUGGUACUCAAAAUGGUGUCAAGAAAAGAACCAUUUGGGUUGCCAAGCCUAUUGUGUUUAACCUCUUAGGACCCAAUGUAGUUGGGGACCAACAAGCUCAAACUUGAUCAAUAGGUGACCUUGGAGGACAUUAGAGACUUGGAUACAUAAUGAAGAAUUAAGGGGUCUUCAUCAUUCAUAUUAUCUCAAGCCAAGUCAUUUGGAUUAUCGAGUUCCUACCUUAUAUCCAAUGUGCCUCCUUUACGAUAACUUAUACUUAAACUGUUUACAUUGUUAGGUGCUUGCCCCUUUGCAUGUUGUGGUUUUGUACCUUGCAUGCGUUUGUAUAUGUUGUGCUUCCAACUUGCUUAUCUUGAGUAAUCGAGUAUGUGUAUGUUGUUUUGCACAUCAUGUACAUGUGAGUCCUGUAUUGAGCCUAUUUGCAUCUUGUCUGUAUUUUUGUUGGCUCUUGUGAGAGAUUAAUGGACUAUCCCAUUGUGGGGGAGUGAUGUGCUUUGCACACCUCACAAUCCUAUAAAUGUGUAUACAUGGGGAAUACCACUUAGUUUUGAUGCUUCAAGAUUAUCUAGUGUCUAUGUGGUAUGUCUUACUCAUGAGAAAUUCAAAUUCUAUAUGGUCCAUUAAGUAUCUCUUGUUGAUUUUAAUUUGCCACUUGUUAAUGUUAUUGGUUUAUCACAUUAUGGGGGAGUAAUAUGCUAUGUGCAUAUUACAAACCUAGAAAAUGUGUACAUUUGACGUAUUGCCACUUAGCAUUGAUAUUGUAAACUAUCUUGUUCCUAGGUGGCAUGUUAGCUCUACAAGUGUCAUUUGCUUGCGUUUUAUGGGUAAAGAUGAUCUUGGAUAUAUUUGUGAUCUACCAAUGAGUAUCAUUUCAAAAAUACUUCUUGUCCUUGACAAUUGGUAUUCCCAUCAUAUGAUUGGAAUUGAUAAUCAUCUUUACAUUGGAUUUUGUGUUUCGUGUGUCUUUCUUGCCUCUUAUGAAUCUAUUUUUAACAUGUCUAGUGUGGUUAUAGAUAUAGAGAAAGUGAUGAUCCCAUCGUGUGCGUUUUGAAUUCAAAUGCAAAUUCUAUAUAAUGCACGUCCCUUGGGGGAUCUAUCCUAUUCCCUUUUAAAAACACUCUCUUUAUUCACCCAUCAUAAAAUCAUUUGAUCCCCAUCAAGUGUGUGUUGAUGGGAGGCAAGUAUUGCUCUUUAUGAUGCUUUGUGCCAUCAUGAAAAUUUGUAGAGGGCUUUGUUUGUUGGAACCUAGCUCUCUCUUAGAAACUAGAUACCUCUGUUUGUUUUCCUUCAAAUGGUUUCUUGUUGCCUUCUAUUUGACAUGUGUCAAUGGAUAUCUCAUUCCUUGAUGUAUCUUUUAAUUGAUAUCUUUCAAGUGAUAGUUCUUUUGUUUUAGGAUCUUAUUGUCACUUGAUAUCUUGUCUUUUGAUGACUUAUCAACUUUGUGUUGAGUUGAUUCUUGAGAGUCUUGAGCAUGCAUAUCUAGCUACUAUAUACAACUUCUUUUGCUUGCUUUCCUCCUUUGACCCAAUAUAUAAGGGAAACUCCACCCUGUCAUAAAUUGGCUAAAGUGUGCAUGAAAUUCAAAUUCAUAUCUAUAUGCACAUAUGUGUGUGGAGUUUGUCCUAUGUAUUGCUGGUCUUCUAACUCUUUGGUCCCAAUGAGUUUGGGCACCAUUUUGUUUAUUUUGUUGUUCCAGGAACAACUGGAGAUGCAUUGGAUGCUCGGCUCACCUAUAAGGAAGAUGUUGAGACCAUGUGAUUAUUGGAGCCAAGUUAGGAUGAUCAAAGAACAACUAUCUACUACAUCAAUCCAAUGUUGUCUCGGUAACAAGUAUCCACUUCAUGCAUUCUUUUCUUGCAAAGGACCCAACCUGUCUUUUCUUUUCCAGGUUGCAUCAUGGCAUGAAUCUCUUGAUUUAUUCUCAUAGUACUUGUUUGCUUUCUCAAAGCAUCCGAACGAUGAUGUCUUACUGCUAGUUGGGAUGUCUUUGAUGUUCGUAUGUUGGAAGUUCAUAUUAUACAAUAAAAAAAUAUUAGGCCAUGUGCUAUGCUUCCAAGCAAAAGAUCUCAUUGAUAUAUUUAUGACUUCCCUUUUGGAUAUCUAGUGUUCUUCCUUCUUGUAACCAUUUCGUGUGUACAUCCUUCUUUGUGGAUAUAUAUAUCAUCAUGAUUGUCUUCUACUUAGAAUCUUGGUCACAUGAGAGAAGUUACAUCUCUAAUUGAUAUCCUCUUUUCUUUCACGUCCACCGCUGCAUUUCCUUUUUCGGUUUUGGUGGCAACGUGAAAGGUUUGUUUUGAGUGCGUAUCUUAUUUUCCUACAUCUUUGGUGCACUCUUUGGCCGUGAAGAUUAUUUUUCCUCAUGCUUGUCUUGAUGAGGGUUUUGCCAUUUUCAAUUAUUAUCCCUCCUCUUGACAAGAUCCUUACUUCCUAUCUUCACAAUGGGUUGUCACAAGCGUUGGUUCUUAUUUUGUUUAUUAGUAAGCUUGUGAACCCAUUUUCUAGUAUGUGUGUGUGGGAAUGAUAUGUCUUGCACUUUGUAUCUCAUAUUCAUCAAGACUAUGUUGAUGAGCAAUGCUCAUCCUUAUCUUAAGUCUUCUCAAGUGCUUUGCCAUGACUCACACACAUUACUUUGGUUGAGCUUAUUCUUAAGUUGCUUCCUUUACAUGUUGCUCAACCAUUAGUUUUGUGCAAUUGAUAUGCCUAUUUUCUCAUCUAUCUUCUUGCACUCGUUGUGUGUUUCUAUUAAUUCUGGGGGAGCAACGAUCCUAUUUUGUGCACCUGUGUCAAAUACAAAAAUCUCAUAUUAGUGCACAAAUCAUGGGGAGCUUCUCUAGUUUUUUUGAUAAAGCACUAUGUUGCCUUUAUCAUAAUAUCUUUUAUUCAUGUGGUUCGAAGGAACAUAUGAUUGUUUGUUCCAUCUGGGAUCUUUUGAUUGCUUGCCUCUAUCUUUGUAUGUCUUUGUGGCAUAUGAUUCCUUUUUGCAAUUUUUGGGUCCUUAAUAUAGUUUGUUUUCCUCCAACUACUUAUCAUUGUAUUUGUGUAUUUUUCUGCACUCAUUUGCCGAGAAAUACACACUUUUUGGAGGACCACCUACUAUAUUUGCUUUCUAAACUUUUCGUCUAUUUUGGCAAUCGAUGCCAAUGGGGGAGAAGUUUAGAGAGUUUACUUUGGAUAUGUUUAGAGGGUUUUGCUUUUAUUGCGUAAGCAUUUACAUCUUGCUCACAUGCACUAUUACCUUGUAUGUGUGCGCUUGGUUAUGCUUAUUUCCUUAUAUAAACUCUCUUGAAGUGGUUGUCUUCAAUUACCAAAAUGGGGGAGAUUGAUAGAGCAUAAUAUAUCUACAUCUGUGGUUUUGGUAAUUGAUGACAAUCCCUAUGGACUAAUGGUUGCCUUAAGUUAUAUUUAUAGGAUUUGUCCAUAGGCACUUCUUGAAGUCCAUCUGUUGGGUUCAAGGAGUUUAUAUGUUGACCAAGAUGUUAUUCAGGUAUUAUCCAAAGAAUGGUCAUAGAAACACUAGGUUGAUCAAGAUCUCAGACUAAGAGAAAAUCAAGAUGAUCAACACACAAAGCGUAUAAGAUGUACCGAGAGGGAUCAAGUGAUCCCAUGGUAUGGUAAGCAUUGUCCAUUACGUGUUUGUGUACUAACCCAUGGUCUUUGUGAGACUCCUAUGUGGGGGUUAGGUGUGUUUCCAUUGGGCUUGCGCCAAAAGGAAGAUCUCAUACAACCCAUGAAGGAUGACGUCAAGUGGUGAUCGUCAUCAAGAUUGUGGUGUGCAAGUUCAAGUGGAUCAGCACGAAUAUAUCAUUGAAACUAUUGUCAAUGAUCAUGUGUUGAUAAGGACAAUCUCAUGUGCUAACAAGGACAAGAUCAAGAUAAGCAUUCCUGAGCACUACAUGCUUGAUUCUUGUGGAUGUUCACAUGGUGGACAGGACAAGAUCAAGAUAAGCAUUCUUGAGCACUACAUGCUUGAUUCUUGUGGAUGUUCACAUGAUGGACAAAUGAAGAUAAAUACAUAAGCUAGGCUUUCCACAUUGUGUAUGGGAAAGCUACUUGAAGACUUCAUCAUGUCCUGCUUUCAACUUGAGCCAAGAAGGAACAACAACAUCAAGCUCAGGUGAAAGGGCUAACACCCGAGGACCGGAUGUCCGACACCCAUCGGAAAUCCGGAAGCCACCACUAGUAGAACUUGUGAUGUAUAACACGGACUUCCGGGCCACUCCGGACGUCCGUAUACUGAUGAAUUCAAAUAUGUUCAGGCACACCUACAGGCCUCGGACGAUCGACCCCUGUCGGACGUUCGGUCGCUGUUUAAUUCAAAAUAGUUUCAGUCGUAUCUACAGGCCCCGGAAGACCGACCCCUGUCGGACGUCCGACCCCUCGCGGUCGCCCGGACUUCCGACAACUGUCGGACGUCCGGACCCUGUGUGACUUAAAGUGUCCCCAACGGCUCUUUUUCUCUCCCCACUAUAAAUACCCCCCUCCCACUUCGUGAGAGGGCGGCCCAACACAGCCUUAUCCUCAUAAGAACACAUUUCCACCUCACACACAUUUGCUCACUCCAAAUCUUAGAUCCCAAGAGCAUUUGUGAGCCCCUUUGAGAGUUGUUCCAAUCAAAAGAUAGAUCUUCUCCCUUUCCUUCUCUCAACCCAAGCUAUUUGUGAUUUGAGCAAGUUUUGAUCAUUCCCCGUGAUCUUGUUACUCUUGGAGGUUGGAGACUCCUAGGCGGUAGGAGUUCUUCGGAGAGGAAUCAAUCCGUGUGAUUUCCCCCCGAAAAGUUUGUGAGGGUUUGGAAGCCACCUCAAAGGCUUACCACUAGUGGUUGAGAAACGCCUUCGUGGAGUUAUCUCAAAGGGAGAAUAGGGUGAGCCUUCGUGGCGUUGGUGUGCCUUCGUGGUAACAUCCACCUCUCUAACGGUGACUAGCUUCCCUCCAAGGAAGUGAACAUCGGGAUACAUCUUCGUCUCAGUGACCUUGGUUAUCCUUAACCCUAACUCCUUACUUGUGGUUUACUUGUGUUAUUUGAGCAUACAUACAUUGCAUAUUGCUUGUGCUCAUUAUAUUGUGUUGGCCAUUUCUUGUACAAGAUUAAUCAUUCAAGCAUACCCUCUAUAUUCACACGUACAUACUUGCAGCCCUUGAUAUAUCGUGUGAUAUAGUGUGAUCUAGUAUCUUGUGUUGUUCACCUACUUGUCGUGUGAUAUAGCUCAAGUAAGUUUGUGUAACUUACUUGUGCUUGUUAGUAACUGCAUUGUGUCCAUCUUAGUAGAUCGUGUUGUUGAUACACGUUGCAGUGCCUAGUGCAUUUAGGAUUUGUGCUNNNNNNNNNNNNNNNNNNNNNNNNNNNNNNNNNNNNNNNNNNNNNNNNNNNNNNNNNNNNNNNNNNNNNNNNNNNNNNNNNNNNNNNNNNNNNNNNNNNNAAUAACAAAAUAGUUAAUAGUUUGGAUAGUCAAAAUAAUUAAUUUUGAAAAUAGAAAAUAGUUUUGAAUUAUUUAUUCAAUUUCAAACACUUUUCAUUAUCAUAGUUUUGUCAAAUUCUCAAAUAUGCAAAAAGAAUUUUAAUAAACAUAGUUUUUAAUUGAAAAUAACAAAAUAGUUAAUUUUGAAAAUAGAUAAAAAUUGAAACUAUAUGAGAAUUUAUAGAGAAAAUUAAACCUAAAUUCAAAGUGACCUCACUUUGAAUUCAGGUUUAAUUUUCUCCAAAAUUUCAAAUAUAGUUACAAUUUUUAAAUUUACAGUCAGUUUAGGCCCAUAAUCCUGCUUUAGAGAGGAGCUCGAUGGUGAUGUUGCGACGGGGCUUAUAAACUAGUGUUAGUCCCCCUCGCUGGGCGAGGUGGGACUAAACUUAUCGUGCAGCCAGCGGAGGGGCUUUAAUCCCGGUUCGAGCCCCGAAUCGGGACUAAAGAUCCACCUAUAUAAGCGGGAGUUAGAAAAUUUCCAACCCAAAUCGCAUUUCGUUCUCUCUUCUUCCUCGUUCUCCUCCCCGGCGCGGCACCGACGAACUCGACGACGCCGUCAGGCUGCCCACCGUCCUCCUCGCCGCCGCCUGCCGUCCUCCUCACCGUCGUCCUCGUCGUCCUCGCCGCCGCCGUCCUCCUCGCCGACGCCGUCGUCGACGCCUCCGGCCGGUAAGCCCCCCGCCCCCUCCUCCCGAACACUCCGGCCAGUAGAAGAAAAGAAGAAAAANNNNNNNNNNNNNNNNNNNNNNNNNNNNNNNNNNNNNNNNNNNNNNNNNNNNNNNNNNNNNNNNNNNNNNNNNNNNNNNNNNNNNNNNNNNNNNNNNNNNGAGGUUGGUGAUGAUCUAAUCUCGGCAGGGCUCCACCCGAGCUCCGCAGAGACGCGAUCUAGAGGUAAAACCGUGGAGGUAUGUGGUCGGGCUGCCUUGAAAAAGUUGUCUCAAAUCAGCCCUAAUUGCUCCAUAUAUAUAGGAGGAGGGAGGGGAGGCUUGCCUUGAGGCUCAAGGAAACCCAAGGGCUGCGCCACCAAGGGGAGGAGGAGUCCUCCUCCAAUCCUAGUCCAACUAGGAUUGGAAGGUGGAGUCCUUCUCUCCUUUCCCACCUCCUUUUUUUUCUUUUCUCUUUGAUUUUCUAUCUAUGGCGCAUAGGGCCUUCUUGGGCUGUCCCACCAGCCCACCAAGGGCUGGUGCGCCACCCCCAAGGCCUAUGGGCUUCCCCGGGGUGGGCUACCCCCCCGGUGAACACCCGAAACCCAUUCGUCAUUCCCUGUACAUUACCGGUAACUCCGAAAACCUUCCGGUAAUCAAAUGAGGUCAUCCUAUAUAUCAAUCUUCGUUUCCGGACCAUUUCGGAAACCCUCGUGACAUCCGUGAUCUCAUCCGGGACUCCGAACAACAUUCGGUAACCAACCAUAUAACUCAAAUACGCAUAAAACAACGCCGAACCUUAAGUGUGCAGNNNNNNNNNNNNNNNNNNNNNNNNNNNNNNNNNNNNNNNNNNNNNNNNNNNNNNNNNNNNNNNNNNNNNNNNNNNNNNNNNNNNNNNNNNNNNNNNNNNNGUGCUGAACGCGGAGGUGCCGUCCGUUCGGCACUAGAUCGGAGCGGACCGUGGGACGGAUCGCGGGACGGUUCGUGGGACGGUUCGCGGGGCGGAUCGAGGGACGUGAGGACGUUCCACUACAUCAACCGCGUUUCUUAACACUUCCUGCUGUGCGAUCUACAAGGGUACGUAGAUCGGAAAUCCCCUCUCGUAGAUGGACAUCACCAUGAUAGAUCUUCGUGCGCGUAGGAAUUUUUUUGUUUCCCAUGCGACGUUCCCCAACAAUGGCAUCAUGAGCUAGGUUCAUGCGUAGAUGUUAUCUCGAGUAGAACACAAAUGUUUUUGUGGGCGGUGAUGUGCGAUUUGCUGCCCUCCUUAGUCUUUUCUUGAUUCCGCGGUAUUGUUGGAUCGAAGUGGCUCGGACCGACAUUACUCGUACGCUUACGAGAGACUGGUUUCAUCGCUACGAGCAACCCCGUUGCUCAAAGAUGACUGGCGAGUGUCGGUUUCUCCAACUUUAGUUGAAUCGGAUUUGACCGAGGAGGUCCUUCGAGAAAGGUUAAAUAGCAAUUCAUACAUCUCCGUUGUGGUGUUCGCGUAAGUAAGAUGCGAUCCUACUAGAUACCCAUGGCAACCACGUAAAACAUGCAACAACAAUUAGAGGACGUCUAACUUGUUUUUGCAGGGUAUGCUUGUGAUGUGAUAUGGCCAACGACGUGAUGUGAUAUAUUGGAUGUAUGAGAUGAUCAUGUUGUAAUAGUUAAUAUCGACUUGCACGUCGAUGGUACGGCAACCGGCAGGAGCCAUAGGGUUGUCUUUAAACUAACGUUUGUGCUUGCAGAUGUGUUUACUAUAUUGCUAGGACGUAGCUUUAGUAGUACUAGCAUGAGUAGCACGACAACCCCGAUGGCGACAUGUUGAUGGAGAUCAUGAUGAUGGAGAUCAUGGUGUGACGCGGGUGACAAGAAGAUCGUGCCGGUGCUUUGGUGAUGGAGAUCAAGAAGCACAUGAUGAUGGCCAUAUCAUGUCACUUAUGAAUUACAUGUGAUGUUAAUCCUUUUAUGCACCUUAUUUUGCUUAGAACGACGGUAGCAUUAUGAGGUGAUCUCUCACUAAAAAUUUCAAGACGAAAUUGUGUUCUCCCCGACUAUGCACCGUUGCGACAGUUCGUCUUUUCGAGACACCACGUGAUGAUCGGGUGUGAUAGACUCAAACGUUCACAUACAACGGGUGCAAAACAGUUGCACACGCGGAACACUCGGGUUAAACUUGACGAGCCUAGCAUGUGCAGACAUGGCCUCGGAACACAAGAGACCGAAAGGUCGAGCAUGAAUCAUAUAGUUGAUAUGAUUAGCAUAGAGAUGCUUACCACUGAAACUAUUCUCGACUCACGUGAUGAUCGGACUUGAGAUAGUGAAUUUGGAUCAUGUACCACUCAAAUGACUAGAGAUAUGUACUUUUUGAGUGGGAGUUCUUAAGUAAUAUGACUAAUUGAACUAAUUGUCAUGAACAUAGUCUAAUGGUCUUUGCGAAUUACUAUGUAGCUUGCGCUAUAGCUCUACUGUUUUAUAUGUUCCUAGAGAAAAUUUAGUUGAAAGUUGAUAGUAGCAAACUUUGCGGACCGAGUCUGUAAAACUGAGGAUUGUCCUCGUUGCUCCGCAGAAGGCUUAUGUCCUUAAUGCACCACUCGGUGUGCUGCACCUCGAGUGUCAUCUGUGGAUGUUGUGAACAUCUGACAUACACGUUUCUGAUGACUACACGAUAGUUCAGUGCAAAAUACUUAAUGGCUUAGAAGCAAGGCGCCAAAGACGUUUUAAAACGUCACGGAACAUAAGAGAUGUUCUGAAGAGAUGAAAUUGUGAUUUCAUGCUUGUGCCUUUGUUAAGAGGUAUGAGACCUCCGACAAAAUUCUUUGUCCACGAAGUAAAGGAGAAAAGCUCAAUCGUUGAGCGUGUGCUCAGAUUGUCUGAGUACGACAAUCGCUUGAAUCAAAUGGGAGUUAAUCUUUUAGAUGAGAUAGUGAUGGUUCUCCAAAGUCACUGCCACCAAGCUGUGAGAGCUUCGUGAUGAACUAUAACAUAUCAAGGAAAGAUAUAAUGAUCCUUGAGCGAUUCGCGAUGUUUGACACUGCGAAAGUAGAAAUCAAGAAGGAGCAUCAAUAGUUGAUGGUUAGUAAAACCACUAAGUUUCAAGAAAGGCGAGGGCUUGAAGGGAUACUUCGUGAAACGGCAAAACAGUUGCUGCACUAAUGAAGAGACCCAAGAUUAAACCCAAACCUGAGACUAAGUGCUUCUGUUAUGGGGGGAACUUUCACUGAGGCGGAGUUACCCUAGAUGCUUGGUAGAUAAGAAGGCUGGCAAAGUCGAAAGAAGUAUAUUUGAUAUACAUGAUGUUGAUGUGUACUUUGCUAGUACUCCUAGUAGCGCGAGGGUAUUGGAUACCGGUUCGGUUGCUAAGUGAUUAGUAAGACGAAAUGAAAGCUACGGAAUAAACGGAGACUAGCUAAAGGCGAGGUGACGAUAUGUGUUGGAAGUGUUUCCAAGGUUGAUAUGAUCAAACGUCGCACGCUUCCUCUAUCAUCGGGAUUGGUGGUAAAACCUAAAUAAUUGUUAUUUGGUGUUUACGUUGAGCAUGAACAUGAUUGGAUCGUGUUUAUUGCAAUACGGUUAUUCAUUUAAAGAGAAUAAUAGUUAUUUUAUUUGCUUGAAUAAUUACCAUCAAUGGUUUAUUGAAUCUCAAUAGUAGUGUUACACAUGUUCAUAAUAUUGGUGCCAAAAGAUACAAGGUAAUAAUGAUAGUACCACUUAGUUGUGGCACUCCACUUGAGUCAUGUUGGUGUAAACGCAUGAAGAAACUCCAUGCGGAUGGGUCGUUUGGAUUCACUUGAUUUUGAAUCACUUGAGAAAUCCAAAUCAUGCCACAUGAAAAAAGAGAGUAACUUGUUGGGAGUGAUACAUUUUUGAUGUGUGCAGUCCAAUGAGUGCUGAGGCACGCAGUGGAUAUCGUUAUGUUCUUAUUUCACUGACGAUUAGAGUAGAUACAUGAGUAUUUACUUGAUGAAUCAUAAGUCUGAAAUAUUAAAAAGUUCAAAGCUAUUUCAGAGUGAAGAUCGUCGUGACAAAAGGAUAAACUGUCUACGAUAUGAUCAUAGAGAUGAUUAUCUGAGUUACGAGUUUUUGGUACGCAGUUAAGACAAUGUGAAAAUUGUUUCGCAGCUCAUGCCACCUGAAACACCAUAGUGUGAUGAUGUGUCUGAACGUCAUAGCCACGCCCUAUUUGAUAUGGUGCAUACUAUGAUGUCUCUUAUCCAAUUACCACUAUCGUCUAUGGGUUAUGCAUUAGAGACAACCGCGUUCACUUUAAAUUGGGCACCGCGUAUUUCCGUUGAGAUGACACAGUAUAGACUAUGGUUUGGAGAAACCUGAGCUGACGUUUCUUGAAAGUUUGGGGCUGCGAUGCUUAUGUGAAAAAGUUUCAGUCUGAUAAGCUCGAACCCAAAGCGGAUAAAUGCAUCUUCAUAGGAUAUCCAAAACAGUUGGAUACAUCUCCUAUCUCAGAUCCGGAAGAAAAGUGUUUGUUUCUAGAAAACGGGUCCUUUCUCGAGGAAAGCUUUCUCUCGAAAGAAUUGAGUGGGAGGGUGGUAGAACUUGAUGAGGUUAUUGAAACCAUCACUUCAACCAGAGUGUAGCAGGGCGCAGGAAGUUGUUCUUGUGGUGCCUACACCAAUUGAAGUGGAAGCUGAUGAUAGUGAUCAUUGAGCAUCAGAUCAAGUUAUUACAGACCUCGUAGGUCGACAAGGUCGCGUACUACUACAGAGUGGUACGGUAACCCUGUCUUGGAGGUCAUGUUGUUGAACAACAAUGAAUCUACGAGUUAUGAAGAAGUAAUGGUGGGCCCGGAUUCCGACAAAUUGUUGGAGGCCAUGAAAUCCGAGAGAGGAUCCAUGUAUAAAACAAAGUGUAGACUUUGGAAGAACUACUUGAUGGUAGUAAGACUAUUAAGAAAAGAUGGGUCUUUAAAAGGAAGACAGACGAUGAUGGUGAUAAGUCACUAUUAAGAAAAGCUUGACUUGUCGCAAAGAUGUUUCCGACAAAGUUCAAAAGAGUUGACUAUGAUGAGACUUUCUCACUCAUAGCGAUGUUAAAAGUCUGUUGAAAUUAUGCUAGUAGUUGCUGCAUUAUUUAUGAAAUAUUGCACAUAGGAUGUCAAAACAGUGUUUCCUCGAUGGUUUUCUUGAGGAAAGGUUGUAUGUAAUACAACCGGAAAGUUUUGUCAAUCCUAAGGGUGCUAACAAGUAUGCAAGCUCCACUGAUCCUUCUAUGGACUGGUGCAAGCAUCUCGGUGUUGGAAUAUAUGCUUUGAUGAGUUGAUCGAAGCUUUUUGGGUUUAUACAAGGUUUGUGAGAAACUUGUAUUUCCAAAGAAGUGAGUGGGAGCACUAUAGAAUUUCUGAUAAGUAUAUGUGGUUGACAUACUGUGGAUCAGAAGUAAUGUAGAAUUUCUGUAAAGCAUAAAAGGUUGUUUGAAAGGAGUUUUUCAAAGGAAUACCUGGAUUACGCUACUUGAAAUGUUGAGCAUCAAGAUCUAUGGAGAUAGAUCGAAACGCUUAAUAGAAGUUUCAACAAGAUGCAUGCCUUGACAAGUUCUGAAGGAGUUCAAAAUAGAUCAACAAAGAAGGAGUUCUUGGUUGUGUACCGCACCACGACAGAAGAGAGAGAAAGGACGAAGGUCGUCCCCUAUGCCUUAGCCAUAGACUCUACAUUAUGACAUGCUAUGUACCGCACCUGAUAUGUGCCUUGCCACAAGUCUGUUAAGAGGUAUAGAGAGUGAUCCAGGAUUGAAUCACUGAACAACGGUCAAAGUUAUCCUUAGUAACUAAUGGGCUAAGGAAUGUUUCUCGAUUAUGGAGGUGGUUAAAGAGUUCGUCGUAAAGGGUUACGUCGAUGCAAGCUUUGACACUAACCCGAAUAACUAUGAGUAGUGAAACGGAUUCAUAUAGUAGAGUAGAUAUUUGGAGUAUUUCCGAAUAGCACGUAGUAGUAGCAUCUAUAAGAUGACAUAAAUAUUUGUAAAGAGCACACGGAUCUGAAAGUUUUAGAACCGUUGACUAAAACCUCUCUCACGAGCAAGACGUGAUCACACCCCAGAACUAUAUGGGUGUUAGAUUCGUUAGAAUCACAUGGUGAUGUGAACUAGAUUAUUGACUCUAGUGCAAGUGGGAGACUGUUGGAAAUAUGCCCUAGAGGCAAUAAUAAAUCAAUUAUUAUUAUAUUUCUUUGUUCAUGAUAAUCUUUUAUUAUCCAUGCUAUAAUUGUAUUGAUUGGAAACACAAUACUUGUGUGGAUACAUAGACAAAACACUCUCCCUAGUAAGCCUCUAGUUGACUAGCCCGUUGAUCAAAGAUGGUCUAGGUUUCCUGACCAUAGGCAAGUGUUGUUACUUGAUAACGGGAUCACAUCAUUAGGAGAAUCAUGUGAUGGACUAGACCCAAACUAAUGAACGUAGCAUGUUGAUCGUGUCAUUUUGUUGCUACUGUUUUUCUGCGUGUCAAGUAUUUAUUCCUAUGACCAAGAGAUCAUAUAACUCACUGGCACCGGAGGAAUACCUUGUGUGUAUCAAACGUCACAACGUAACUGGGUGACUAUAAAGAUGCUCUACAGGUAUCUCCGAAGGUGUCCGUUGAGUUAGUAUGGAUCAAGACUGGGAUUUGUCACUCCGUGUGACGAAGAGGUAUCUCGGGGCCCACUCGGUAAUACAACAUCACACACAAGCCUUACAAGCAAUGUGACUUAGUGUAAGUCAUGGGAUCUUGUAUUACGGAACGAGGAAAGAGACUUGCCGAUAAACGAGAUUGAAAUUGGUAUGCGGAUACCGACGAUCGAAUCUCGGGCAAGUAACAUACCGAAGGACAAAGGGAAUGACAUACGGGAUUAUAUGAAUCCUUGACACUGAGUUUCAACCGAUAAGAUCUUCGGAGAAUAUGUAGGAUCCAAUAUGGGCAUCCAGGUCCCGCUAUUGGAUAUUGACCGAGGAGUCUCUCGGGUCAUGUCUAAAUAGUUCUCGAACCCGCAAGGUCUGCACACUUAAGGUUCAACGAUGUUUUAUGCGUCUUUGAGUUAUAUGGUUGGUUACCGAAUGUUGUUCGGAGUCCCGGAUGAGAUCACAGACGUCACGAGGGUUUUCGGAAUGGUCCGGAGACGAAGAUUGAUAUAUAGGAUGANGUGCUGAACGCGGAGGUGUCGUCCGUUCGGCACUAGAUCGGAGCGGAUCGUGGGACGGAUCGCGGGACGGUUCGUGGGACGGUUCGCGGGACGGAUCGAGGGACGUGAGGACGUUCCACUACAUCAAUCGCGUUUCUUAAUGCUUCCCGCUGUGCGAUCUACAAGGGUACGUAGAUCAAAAAUCCCCUCUCGUAGAUGGACAUCACCAUGAUAGGUCUUCGUGCGCGUAGGAAAUUUUUUGUUUUCCAUGCGACGUUCCCCAACAAAGUGAUCACGAAGGCAAUUGAGGUGGAAUAAGGUCCUUCUAGCUCCACCCUAGCCUAAGUGAUGUCUUUGUUAGCACCGAAGGGGGUGGAUGAGGUUUCGUUCUAGCCGUGGCUCUUCAAAUGUGGAUUGGUUGGUUUUAGGUUUGUCAUCUUUUUGUGCCGAAGUGUUGCUUCUUCAAUCGUGGCGACUUGCCAAGCGAAGAGUGAUUUCCCAUCCAAGAAGCAUUCAUUUUCUUCAAGUUCACAUGUGUUGGGGUGGGCUACACGUGUGCCUACCAAAAAUCUACAUGUUUUUAUGUGUCUCCAGUAGUGGUUACUCGCCGACCCUUAGGGUCUUGGUUGUAGUUUCAUUUUCUAUAAGGGUUUACUACGAUAAGGGAUAUCUGACCCUGUUUGCGUCUGUUGUGACGUACCUUUUCCAUCUUUUAAAUAACUCGGAUGUUGCUCUAUUUUUAAGAAGCUUCCAUUCUUAAAAUAACUUCUAAAAACUACCAAUAAAGUCACCAAAAUCCAUCUUAGAUUGGCUCUAAAUUGGAAAACAUAAUUUUUCAUCUUGGAUUAACUAAUGGACUUGAUUUACCCCACGCACGCACGCCCACACACACACAUUGGUUUCACAUAUCGUCUACCGUAAAAAGGCAGGUGGAUAGGGCGCCAUUUUCAAUUAUGUCUAUCCGACUAGAGCAUACUGCCACACAUCUGUUUACCUAACAAAUGAUGGCAUUUUAGUCUGCAUAUCGGUCCUCUAGGGCCCUAGUUUUUUUCCCAAUGUCAAACCAUGUCGAAAUAGUAUUUCGUUGGACAUGUUACUAAUAUUGUACAUCUAGUUAUGCAGAGGUGGAUUUGGACUAGGAAAAUUUAUAUCACUUUAACGUGAUGAUUGGUGGAACUCCCUUUUUUGAAAAUCAAAAUACAUUACUUAGGCAAGUGGUAGAAGCUUUAUGCCAUUUUUCUAGCAUCCAGUGCAGCAAUGGCCCCUUGAACAACUUUCUUGGACCAUUCCAGGGCCGUCUUGAUAAGCCAUUCUGGAAGCUGAGCUGAAAGAUAGGCAUUAUUCCGUCUUCCACUCGCUCAAGUCAUUGGCACUUUUGCUUAGCACCAAAUGCCUUGUAUCUCUGGCCAAUCAUUGCAACAGAUGGCAUAGAACAAACAAGAGGAUUGGUAUACUCCGUUGUAUUCAGACCACAGGUGAUGCCUUUCGAUCUUUCUGUAGAGGAUUGAUAUACUCCGUAUUCAGACAACGAGUGAUGCCUUUCGACGGAAGAUGCAAUUGGAGCCCGAGCUACAUGAAGCUCGUUUCCAAAAUUCUAUUUUCCAGAGUGCAACAAAAUUCGAAUUUAUUUGUGGACACGAACACACAUGCAUACCGCAUAUGUGCAAAAUUUUGUAGCAUUAUACUCCCUCCGUUCCUAAAUAUAAGUCUUUUUAAAAAUUUCACUAGAAGACUACANNNNNNNNNNNNNNNNNNNNNNNNNNNNNNNNNNNNNNNNNNNNNNNNNNNNNNNNNNNNNNNNNNNNNNNNNNNNNNNNNNNNNNNNNNNNNNNNNNNNUAACCUUUGUAGGGAUAUACUCCCUUCGUCCGGAAAUACUUGUCCUAGAAAUGUAUAAAAUGAAUGUAUCUAUAACUAAAAUAAGUCUAGAUACAUCUAUUUCUAGGACAAGUAUUUCCGGACGGAGGGAGUAUAUAGGAGUACAUGAGGGGUAGAGGCUUUGACUACUACGUCAUGGUUCAGUCGUACCGGUCCACCUACCGAAUCAGGGACAUAAACCGGUCCACCGCACUCUCAUAGGUCGUCGCUGCCGCCUUCCAUCAAUCCAUUUUCAGAACAGUUACUGACACAUCGACCUUGCAAGGCCUGUCGUCGAUGCCCCCAUGGCGCCAGACAGCGCCUCCUCCUUACGCGCGCUCAUCGUCACUCAUCCGUCGUCGAGACUUUGCUGCGCCUCGCCGCCGAGACUCCACGACGUCGAUGUGUGACAGGGAACGCCGCUCCACCGUAGAUGGCGAUCAAAGGUCCCUCGAGCCCGUGUGUACCUCCAUGAAUGAUGCCCCCAAAGGGGAAACGGCACCAGAGUGUCGCCGUCAUCCGAUCUACUGAUCUAGGGUUUCCCCCGGAGGUAGCAGAGAGUGGUCUUGAACUUCUCCUCGGGGAUGCCUUCAGGAAGGGAACGACGUAGACGUCGCCGCCAUCGCCGGCCUUGUUAGUAGUCGAAAGCAAGCUUUCACCCAGAUCUGUUCGAAGAACCCAUCUCUCCUGCACGGACCACCACAUCCUGCAACGUCUCCGGGAGCGGGAUCCCAAGAUCCGCCGCCACCGGCGGCGCCACAAGGACCCACUACUCUGUUGGGAUAAAAAAAAGCUAGGAAGUCUUUUGUUUCAAACUCUUUACUCUGUUGGGAUAAAAAAAGGUAGAAAGUCUUUUGUUUCAAACUCUUUACUCUGUUGGGAUGGUGAUCCGCCUGAGUUUUUCCUAGCUGAUUUGGUUAGAGAUGUAACUAUCAUUUGAGUUUAAUAAAGUGAGUCACACCUUAAAAAAAAUGCUACCGUAGCACUUUUGAAUACUACUACUUGUCUUUCAUUUCAAUGUAUUGGAAAUGCCCUUCCCCCUUACAUUUUUUAUAUAUUUAUUUUCUUUUCUUUUUUAUUCUUAAAUGUGUGAACCUUUUCAAAUCAUUUUUAAACAGGAUUAUGUAAUUUUUCAAAUUUGAUUUUUUUAAAUCAAUUAACUAUUUUUUAACAUUUUCAUGAACUUUUUUUUAAAAACAAUAAACCUUUUUUCAAAUCCAAUGAACUUUUUUUAAUUCAACAAUUUUUUUCCAAACCUACUGAAUUUUUUUCUACUCGAUGAACUUUUUUCCAAAUCCGAUGAACUUUUUGAAAUCCAAUGAACUUGUUUUCAAAUCCGAUGAAUUGUUUUCAACACUGAUUAACUUCUUUUAAAAUCGAUGAAUUUUUUUAAUAAUUCAUUAUUUUUUGUGUAUUUUCCCAAUUUCGUGAACUUUUUAAAUCCACGAACAUUUAUAAUAAAUUGAUGACCUUUUUUUUAUUUCAUGAACAUAUUCGAAAUCAUAAAAAACCCAAAGGCCGGUCUUUCUCUUGAACCAUCAGGGCUGUACAGCUAGAAAACAAAUGCUAGCGUGAGUCAAUGGAGGGAAAGAUUUUUUUUUCAGCGAGGGAGGGGCAGCGAAUCCGUAAAGAGCGAUUGAGCGAGGUUAAAUGGGUCACGACCCGUUGCUGGUCGUUGUAGGCGUCACUUCUCCAACGAGCGCCUACAACGCCAAAUAGGGGCUCCCGACUCGACCCAGCCUGGCUCAUUGAAAAUAAUCGAUUCGGCCGUUCCUAGCAAACCUGACUAAGGAUUGUUGUAAAUUUUGGGUGGGUCAACAUGUAUAAUCGACUAAGUCAAUCAAAUGGAUCAAAAAAUUUAUGCACGAAUCUGGUUGGAAUAGAUGCGGGCAACAAAACGCAUCAUAAGUGCUUCUGUGCUUGUGACAUGGUCAGUAUACUCCAAUGCAGCCCCGACAAGAUAUGUCGGCUAGUCUCCGCCAGAGGGACCCGGUGCUCAUGUUGGUGGUUGGCGACGGUCUAUGUAGCAUCAUCGUACGAGCAGCAGAAGAAUUCUUCACAUACAAGUUCGUCAGGCAAGUUAUGUCCGCCAGCCUCGCGGGAUUGAAGCGGCAUAUGUUUGCUCUAUCGGACAUAGCGUCACUCUUUGAUGUCGUCGAAUUUCACGGAUAGGCUUGUGACAGCUCGAAUUGAUACAACGGUUUUUGGUAUGCACUUUGGUAGCAGCGAAAGCGUUCGAGUGCCCUGGCGGAUGUGUUAUGGGGUGUCGGCCUUCUGAGGUAUUGUAUGUGCUAUGGUGUUUUAGGCCUAGUUGUUAGUCGUUAUUUAGGUUUUCAUUCGGUUUUCCUUGAUAAACUGAGCACCAUUUUUCUUUCUUCUUCUUUUGUCAUUCGUUUUAUGCAGUGCAUUCCUGUUCUAGGAUGUUAUUUAUAAUACUUCUUCUUAUCAAUGAUUUUGGCAACUCUCUUGCCAACAUUCGGAAAAAAAAAUGUCGGCCAGUCGCCGACCAUCGCAGCAGGCUACCUUUUUUUUUAGGAGACGCAGCAGGCUACGUGUGCAGCGCACCCCCGGCUUCUUGGGGAAAUUUAGGUCAUCGCUUCAGCUGCUAAAAAAAAAAAAAAAAUAGGCCGUCGCUUCCCCGUUCGCACAGGCUUAGCCUAGCUUAGCUUAGCAUGGUCCAUGACUUGCGAGACUUCAUCGCUGCUCUGCUUGCGAGACUGGCCAAGCCUCGCUUAGCAUGGUCCAUGACGGGCAGCAGCUGCUGCUGCGUCAUUGCACAUUUGCAUGCAUCCGCGAUGCCCUGCCAAUGGCAGCACGCACGCCGGCCGGCUUGUACUUCCUUUGUUACUAAAUAUAAGUCUUUAAUUUUUUUACUAGAGGAGUAUUUAGGAAGCAAAACGAGUUAAUCUAUAUUCUAAAAUAUGUUUAUAUGCAUCCGCAUUUAGUUUUUUAGUAAAAUCUCUAGAAAGAUUUAUAUUUAGAGAUGGAGGGAGUACAACACAAGGACAACACGCACGGAUCACGACGAGCAUAUCUACACCAGACUUAGCAAAUAUGAUUCCAAAAUAUUUAUAGACAUGUCUGACCGGAUGUGUUUGUUUUAAAUCUUUAUUUUUUUGUGCGUAUAAUUAUUUUUUCUCAUAUGUUUGAUCACUUGCAUGUGGUUGAUAAAGAAAAAAUGAAUAAGAAAAAAAAAACGCCCAGAUGAAAUCGCGUCCUACGUGACGAACUGACCGGACAUUCCGGAUCGCGUUCCUUAACCCUUAUAUCAUUUUCAGAUUUAAGAUGUAUACGAGGGGUGUCGGUUAGUCCAGACGUUUAGGAAGAAAGUAAUGAUUUAAUUGGGUCAGAUUUUUUUAACCACGGCAAAAAAACAUUUUAAAUAUUUGAAAAAUAUAAGAAAUCCGGCUAUAGAUACUCUUAUUACUUGUGCAGUGACUCGAUGAGAUCGAGCUGGAAGUCGGAAGCUUAUCUACAUCCUGGCAUGCAAGUAGACCCGUAGAUCACUCAACGUGCUGGCAAGUGAGUGUAGUUUGUGGAGUGGUUUGGGGUGUCCCCGUUAUCCCGGGAAAUGCCUUGGAGUCUGCUCAUUUGGGUGUAGGUUUGGGUUAGUUAAGGAUUGUCUCGUAUUAGCCUCGCAAGGAGGUCCACCGUUGUUUAUACCAGUAUAUCAUACUAUGAUUUUUGAACACUUUGCAUCGUCUAACGAUCUAACCAAACAUGAAGCAUAAUCUAUUGCUCGGCACCCUACAUGGGGAUGAUAACACUAGCAUUAGAGCAUCUACAGUCAGACUGAUCAAAUCCCGCGGAAGCAUCUGGACUUUCUCUCGUAUUUUGCUCUGUGCAUUCAGAUACCUCUUAUCCGGACUCUCAAAUCAAUACAAAGCAUCUCAUCUCCCCCAUCCCGACCAUGUCACCAACGGUAUCUGCCGCAGUACCAAGUGCAAGCAUCCUCAUAGCAGCCGUGCAUUUCUGCUUGAAAGAAAAAGAGAGUUGACCGCAACAAUCUCUUGUGAGCUUGAAGUAGUCAUCGUAUGCCUCCACUCCCUCCAUAAUGCGCAAGAACAAUGGUUUUCGCAUACGAAAACGACGAUGAAAAAAUGUAUCAUCCGGAAAAGUUGGUUCCGGAUCAAAGUAAUCCUUCUGCAGUAGCUUUGCUCCGGAUACUCUAUCCCGAUUGAUGACUCUUCUUCCUUUGAUUGAUCUCUUGAAAUUAAGAAUGUAUUUCAUUUUUCGGUCUAUUUCCUCUUGCAUGCUCAUGAGUAUCAUCAUGUUCACUUCUUCAUCCGAAUUCGAUGAAUCAAAGAACUCAUCUUUAAUCAGUUGAUCAAGCUCCGUUUGUCCAUACUAUUCGCCGGACGAAACAUCAGAAUCCAUCGUUUUCCCUAAAAAUUUGACCAACAUAUCCGGUCAGAUAUUCUAUCGAACACAUCCGGUGCAAGAGACAGCCAGAGAGUUGUCGGACGAACCGCGAUGUCUUCCGGGCCGACGAUGUCGUUGUGCGCGGAGAGGUAAGGAGAAAUGAUCCCUGUGACCGAGCGGUUGAGGUGGAAGAGGCUACUAGGCGACGGAUCCGACAGUUCAACGGGUUGAAUUUGGUGCAAUUUGCGAUAGGGUCGGGCUGUCGGGUCCGGCGUGGCGGACGUGUCCACGUGCGCACGGACUCCCCCAUAUCCGCGCCAUGUUUGGACUGAAAAUGAGGGUGCCGGUCAGUCCGGGCGUUUGAGGCCGGUUUGAGAGGCAUGCAUGGAUCGGAUUUUUAUGACCGGACAGUGACCGAGCGGUCUGCCGAGACGUUUGAGGAGAAUUUAAAGGGUCCGGUUGUAGAUGCUCUUACUAGCUCUCUAGCUAUAAACUAGCUUGAUACCUUGGUUUUGUUCUGGUUUUAGAUCGAGGUGAGUGUAGAACCUCAACGCCGUACAGUAUCGAUUUGCUUUGGCAAAGAGAGCAUAGAAAUGAAUGGGGGCUUUGAGAGCAUCUGCAUCGGACAUUACUAAUUUGACCUCUCAAACGCCUCUCGACAUAUCCGGACAGUGAUCAGACGUGUUUUUUAACUCUUCAUAUAUGUUGUAAAAUAACCACGUUUCGUAAAUUCUUCUCUUAUUUUGUUAGUCAUUUUGUCGAGUACAUCGCGUGCGAACAGACAGAGAGCACAUACCAGGCCUAGCAAGCCCGUGAUUGCACUAGGGAAUGAUUGGCACUCCAGCAAAAUUACGAUGCGAAGAAGCAACGACAACAAACACUAGCAUGGUGACCGGCGCAAAAUUACAACGCCCGACACGCAAAAUUACAAUGCCCCGGCUCCGGCAAAGCAGCAACGACAGCAACAUACGUACAUGGUAGCAGCACACUAGCAUGGUAAUCGACGCAAAAUUACGAUGCCCCGACACGUAAAAUUACGACGACCCGUCACACUCAUGAGCUCUCGCCAAGGGCUCAAGAGUUUCGGUGUAUGACUGCUUGUGGGACAGACUGAAAUAGCUAUUACGUGGAGUAGAGCGCCCGGGGGUGACCGGACAGCCUUAUAUCGUCCUCAUAUUUGAGACGGAUUUGAGGAGUGCCGGUGAGUCCGAACGUAUAGGGAUGAAAUGAGUUGUCCGGUUAGGUCAUUUUUUUUACUGGACACUAACCGGAAUGGCGUUUCGGUCGUAGGGGUCCGGCUGAAGAUGCUCUUAUCUUGGGUUUAGUUUUUUUUAACAGGGAACGACACCGAAGGGCCUAGAUACUGCAUUUAUAUUUCAAUGGAGUUGUACAACUUACAGUAUGGAUCUUCAGAAAUACAACAAUACAAAAACGGCCCUUGACAAUUAGAGCACACACCCUGGACAGAAGAGAAGAAAAUCAAUCGAGUCCUUCGUCGUCGCUGAAGAAACGAGGCCUCAAACGACGGCCUCCCACACAAGCAUCUGGGACAAAACCACUUGAAGAAAGGCGGGAGUGAAGGGCCUCCGCUAGUCCUCCAGAAUGCCUCCGAUGGAAGUUGAUAAAGACCUCAUGCAGUGCCGGCGUCAAGGUUCAGAGCUGUUGCCUGCCAGCAUCUUGAGUGGGCAGCCAAACGCGGACCACCGAGAAUCUUCUCCAUCUAUGUGCAGUAUCACAACUUUCUAGGCAUCCUCUGCCACCGCAUAUCACCGCAUCUAGCAGCCCCUUCCCCUCGCCACCACGAAUUUUUGUUCAAAAGGACCCCCUGUCGAAUGAGAUUGUCAAAAGAGAUCAUCCGCGAGUGAAAAGGAGCGAAAGGACCCCCACCUCGGGUGGCGGCAGGCGCGCCAGGCGGCACGUGGCACCUGCCGCCACCGCAGGAGGCGGCUGUGGGGCCUGCCGCCACCGCCCCAGGCGGCUGGGGCCUGCCGCCACCGGCUGAGGCGGCCAGCGCCGGAUCCCGUUCCCGCCACUCCUGUCCGUAACGAACAGCGCCGGGUGGGCCCUGCCGCCUCGGGAGCAGGCGGCCAGGGCACUGUUUCCGCGCGGCCGACCGGCCGACACUGUUGCUGAUUGCGCUGAUUUCCGUACGCGCUGAUUCCCAGGCUUAUUUCCCGCUCCCACCGACGAAACAGUGCGAAUUUUUCCCCCUCCCACCGACGAAACAGUGCGAAACUUCUUCUUUAUAAGCGAACCGCGUCGCUGCCUCCUCUCUCACUCUCUUCUCCUGCCGUUGCCUCCCGUGUCACUCUCUUCUCUUUCUCUUUCUCACUCUCUUCUCUUUCUCUCAAGAGCUACUCCGUAUGAAUGUUUAUGUGGCGAUUUAGGACGGUUUAAAGUUAGAUUUUGAAGACGUUGUAGUUGAAGAAAAGAUAGAUCAAGGUAAGAGCUUUCCAUUUGUGUUGGUCGUGUUUGCAUGCAUGAUGUAUUUAUUUUGUUUGAUUAGUUUCUAAGUAUGUGUUUUCUUUUGUCUUAGGGAGCGUAUUAUCACUUUUGUGAAACUAUUUUGAAGACGUUGUAGUUGAAGAAAAGAUAGAACAAGGUAAGAGCUUUCCAUUUGUGUUGGUCGUGUUUGCAUGCAUGAUGUUUUUAUUUUGUUUGAUUAGUUUCUAAGUAUGUGUUUUCUUUUGUCUUAGGGAGCGUAUUAUCACUUUUGUGGAACUAUUUUGUCAUGCGAUAUGAACUACUAAGUUGAAGAUCAAGGUAUGAGACUUUGUUCAUAUUUGUGUUCAUGUGAUAAUAGGUCGACUAUGUUCAUAUAUUACCGAUGAUUUGUUCGUGUUUGCAUGCAACUGGUAUUUAGAAAGGAGCCGGAAAAAUGCCUAUGUAACUAGCAUUUUUGUAAAAAGCAUGUAAUAAUAUGUUAGCUCCAUUAGUAUUAUUACACGCAAGACGCGUGUGUAAUAUAUUUGUUUAUUUGAUAAUUUGUCAACCCCGUAGAAAUAUGACUCGUGAUACAUAUAUAUAUAUAUAUAUGCAUGCAGUAUGUAUUUUUAGACUUUUGCUAGCACGGAAAUAAUUAUGUGUGUAAUAUUUUUGUUCAUAUGAAAAUAGGUGGAAUUCGCUGAUAUUAUUCUGGUGAUAUAUUAUAUUCGGAAGGAUAUCCUUAUUUAAACCAGAGGUAUGAAUGACAUAUUGUAAUUCAUCUUCUAUUUAUUUUAUAGAUGUAGUGUCACGAUAAAUGAUACAAUAUAAAUUAUUAUGCGUAGAUGUAAUGGAUGUUGUUAAAUUGUUAUAUGUAAAAAAGAUAAGUAAUGGAUGUUGUUAUUACAAUGUAAAUAUAAAAAUAUGAUUUUUAAUGGACUAACGAUGUAAAUAUGGCUGCUCGUUAGGUACUAUGGAAAAUUUGUUAGUGUUUUAUGGGCACAUCGUACGUGAGGAUCCUUCUGGUGUGGAUGUGUCUAGGUGCGGGAUGACUACGGUUGUAGUGAAAGACAUGGUUAAUGUAGAGUAUGCGGCAGUUAGAAGGUGCAUCCGAUCGGUGUUUGGUUCAGCGAUGAAUGGAAAAAAAUGACCCUGGAGGCUUUCGUGGUUGAGGGAGGAAAUCGUUGGGUUCUGCGACGGGUUACUGGUGAAAGAGCAUGGGCGUCGUACAUGGAUUUUGCAAGCAAUCCCAAUAACUCCAUGUAUGGACAACCCAUGGUUUAUGUGGAGUUCAUUUCUGCCAGUGAUGUCGCCGAGUGCAGUAGCGGUGCCGGUGAGGCCGAGUUGGCCAUAACUGUAGCCCCCGACGCCGGCCCAUCGGAACCAAGUGGUGGCAAACAUAUGGCCAUAACUGUAGCCCCCGACGCCGGCCCAACGGAACCAACAGGUGGCCAACAAGUGUAUGACACGGGAUAUUGGUCUGCGGUCGUUGACAUGAGCGAACAUGUCGAGGGAUUGCCGGAGGCGCUAGAUGAUGACGAUGAUGGUCAUUCUUCCGCGUCUUCGGAAUCAGAUGAUGAUGAAGUUGUUCCUCCUGAGAAUGCGGUCGCUGCAGCAAUCAACCCAGAGUUUUUACAGGUUAUGAGCAUCACCAAUGAAUUUCACUCUGUUGCUGGCCUAGACGCGGGGAGUCUGGCCGUUGGACAGAUUUUCCCAGAUAAGAAAUCUGCUAAACAAGCAAUACAUAGCUAUGCAAUUGCUAUACACAGGCAACAUAGAGUGAAGCAGUCUGAUAAAAAGGAGUUGAAGCUCAUAUGCAUCCAUCGCGAAGCGGGUUGCGCGGAAGAGUUAUUGCUCGCCAGAAGCCUGGGGUAUGUCAGCCAUGGCAUGUCACAAAAAUAGAGCAACAUGGUUGUGAGCAAACCGGCACUCUUUCAGAGCACCGCAACGUGACUGCAGAAUAUGUGUCACAGGUGAUGCAAACCAUUGUGCAGCAAAGUCUUAAUAUUAGUAUUAGGGCUUUGCGUGCAACUGCAUCUGAUCUGAUUGGUUUCCCUGUCAGCUAUAGCAAGGCUCGUCAUGCAAAGGAAAAGAUAUUUCAGAGGUUGUAUGGAACCUAUGAGGAGGCGUACUCUUUUGCCCCUAGAAUGUUGCAUCAGAUUUCAGUUGCUAACAGGGGGACUCAAGUUUUCCGGAAAGAACGUCCAAAUCCAUUGAACCCGGACGAGCAAAUCCUGGACCGCUUAUUCUGGGCAUUCGCCCAGACUAUACAAGCAUUCAAGCAUUGUCGUCCGAUUGUAUCAAUUGAUGGUACAUUUCUCACUGGAAAGUACAAGGGCACACUCUUAGUGGCGAUGGUAGCUGAUGCAAACAAUCAACUUCUUCCUAUUGCCUAUGCACUAGUGGAGAGCGAAAACAAACAUAGUUGGCUAUGGUUCCUGUGUUGCCUGAAGAUGGGUGUCAUCAAAGAUCGGGAAGGGGUUUGCAUCAUCUCUGAUCGCAACACCGGACUAUUAAGCGCGCUUGAGAUAAUUAAGGCUUCACAAGAUCCAGAUUGGGGGUGGCCCGAUCUGGAGACAAGGUGGUGCAUGAGGCAUUUGACAGCUAAUUUUUAUUCGAAAUUCAAAAACAAAGAUUAGUUCAAGCUAUUCAAGAGGAUGUGCAUGCAGAAAACUACAGCAAAAAUGAAUGCUAUCUGGGCAGGUAUCAAUGGUCAGAUCGAGCGCGCAUCCCUCCCGGCGAGAGAAGACCGGAGGGGUCGUCGAACAGCAAUAAAUUUGAGCCAGUGGAUUAAUGAGAAUUGUCCCAAUUUGUACAAGUGGGUGCAUUCUCAUGAAACUGGCGCUAGAUACGGUAUAAUGACAAGCAACAUGUCCGAGGUGUACAAUGGUGUUCUUAAAGGGGUGAGGGCACUACCUAUCACAACACUAAUUGAUGAAACUUGGAACCGGACUGUGUCAUACUUUGCAGAUAGAGUCACCGUUGCCAAGGCACUAGUUGAUUUGAACAAGACCUGGUCUGAGAAGAUGCAAAGACAUCUUGAUGACAAAGCAAAGAAGUCGCAAAGACAUGGGUGCAGGCAGGUAGAUGCACUUAGGAAUAAAUGGGAAGUUAGUGUGCGAGCAAAGUUUGUGAAGGGUCACCACAGGGGAGAGAAAAAACAAGCUGUGACGCUUGGCGCAACCUCGUGUGAGUGCACUUGCAACAAGCCCAAGCUUCUGGGAUAUCCUUGCAGUCACGUAUUGCGGGCAGCUGCAGAUCAACAAAUUAGUGUCGAGCCAUACGUAUCACCAUACUUCAACAUGCACAAUUUGUACAACACUUGGAACGGUGAGUUUUGGGCAUGGGGCAUUGAUACGAACUACAAGCAAUUAUGGCCAGAAGGCACCACAUGGGUUCCAGAUCCCGCAUUGAUGCGAACCAGCAAGGGACGGCGUCAGUCUAGGCGUCAUCGCAAUGACAUGGACCAUAGCCAGUUGGGAGAACCAAGGCGAUGCCGUGUAUGUAGGUGUGCUGGUCACCCGCGUAGGGAGUGUCCGUAUCGUAACAACAACACUGCGUGAUAUGUAAUCAUGCUAUGUAUUCAUCUCAUCAAGAAAAGCCCUCUGCUCCACACAGUAAUCUUCCCAUUCUUUCUUCUGCUCUGCUUUCUCCUCUGCUUCAGCCUUCUCACGACGCUCUUCCAAGUCCAAGCUAGCCCAUGCACGGCGACCUCUUUCACGAAUCUCGGUCACCGCCCAGUCCGGCAUUUCCGUGUCAAUCCAAUGAUAGUACAUGCACAGAGGAGGAGGAGACUAAAGGAUGGAUCAGAUUCAAGUAAACAAUAAUAUCAAAUAACAAUAAUCUGGAUGACUUGAGCAUACCGGAGGCCUGACGUACGCAGAAAUAGAUUCGGGUGGAUCAGAUUCAUAAUUGGCGCACAUGAAAAACUUCAUGCCCAACCAAUCUGAAAAAUCCGUCACCUCCUUCACCUUGCAGACAUCUCCGCACCAACAUCGAACUGCUUCCACCCCCCGAGGCAAGCUUGCACUCUGCAUUUUCCUAGGCCUAAUGCUCUGAUCCGAACAAGGCAAACUCAUACUGACUAUGGAGGUGCAGGUGCUUUGAAGUCUGUCUGAUGGUGAAGAGAGUUUCACUCCCUGCCUCCUUUUAUAGGCUCUGCCGGAUGUCUACGCAGGAAAAAAGGGCGCGAAAACGAGAAACUGCAGCGGGAAAAUUUGGCGGGAAAAUAACGCGGGAAAAUUAGGCGGGAAACUAUUGCACUGCUCGUCCGUCGUUAUCGCGUGUACAUUCUAAAAUAAGUCCAUAUACAUCCAUAUGUAGUCUUGUAGUACGAACUCUUAAAAGACUCUUGUAGUUACUUUUGUAUAAAUGAUAUUUUUUUCAAACCAUGAAAGAUAAUUGUGUGUGAUCAUUAUAGAAGAUAAAGAAGAAACAAGUACAAAGCUCUAAGCGUCAUAAAAAAAAAGACCAACUUUACUAAGAGCAUCAUUAUAGAACCAUGAAAGAGAAUUGUGUGUGAUUAUACGAACAAGGAUUCAAAAUCAUUUACUUUCAUGUAAAUGAUAGUUGCAUUUUACGUAUUAAGAUUACAUAUUAUGGCGACCAACGAGAGCAUCAUCACCAAGUGAUUAGUUAGUAAUGUUUUCUACUUUAUUCCAUGGCAGUGUCACUGCUGCGAUAGCAAUCAAAGAUUCACUCCCAAAAUAUUUGACCGAGAGCUAAAACAUACUUUCUCUAUAAAUAAAUUUAAGAAACGCUAUUGUAAACAAUGUCGACCUAGAGAUAAAAGCCCCACGAAACCACCGUAACGAACAGUGUCGACCAGGAGACAAAGAGUCCCUCUGAAAUCGCCGCGGUGAACAAUGCUGACCCGAAGAUGAGAGCCCCGUGAAACCACGGAAAAAACCGCCCGCCUUCACCGGCGUGGAUAUCUUGGUUUGGUUCGAGGGAUGGGGGAUAACCACGGCCCAACAAAAUAUCCGUAGUAUAUGCCUCCCAUGCACUUAGCCAUCCGUGCAACUUGCACAAUAUUUUUGUUCAAAAGGAUUGCAAGGUCGGAACCGGAGCAAGUUGGCAGGAGUAAAUUUUGGCUGUUUUGUCGGUGGAGAGCAGGAAAAAUUCGCACUGUUUCGUCGGUGGGAGCGGGAAAUAAGCCUGGGAAUCAGCGCGUAAGGAAAUCAGCGCAAUCAGCAACAGUGUCGGCCGGUAGCGCGGAAACAGUGCCCUGGCCGCCUGCUCCCGAGGCGGCAGGGCCCACCCAGCGCUGUCCGUUACGGACAGGAGUGGUGGGAACGGGAUCCGGCGCUGGCCGCCUCAGCCGGUGGCGGCAGGCCCCGCGGCCGCCUCCUGCGGUGGCGGCAGGUGCCACGUGCCGCCUGGCGCGCCUGCCGCCACCCGGGGUGGGGGUCCUUUCGCUCCUUUUCACUGGCGGGUGGUCUCUUUUGACAAUCUCAUUCGACAGGGGGUCCUUUUGGACAAAAAUUCCGCCACCACGGCAGGUCGGAAGGGGGAUUUGUGAAACAGCACAGUAGAAACAGAGAAGGAGAAAACGACGCUUAUUGAAUUGAGUCACAACCGAGCACCUCCUAACUAUCUCCCUUAUAUCCAUCUCAAAUGCCCGGACAUUUGAAACGGGUUUGAGAGGCCCGGCCGAAGAUGCUCUUAUCCUGGGUUUAGUUAAGUUUAGGUGCACGGCAUUCGAUUGCUAAAGGUGUAAAAUGGACUGGUCAUGCACGCAUCUUUUUGCCAAACCGGGGAUCAAAAUCAUUAGGUCGGGCAUUCACCUCUUAAUAAUGUGAGGACGGAUAUUUGCACUGUAUGGACUCCAUCCAAGUUCACAAUCAUCCUACUGAUCUUGACGCCUUAAGAUUCCCCUUUGAUCUCAUGACACCAUCAUUGAACAGCGAAAACACAUGACCCACAAGGCAACAAAGGGCACGUACAUUUGUGUUCGAGUUACUUUCCAUCACUACAUGCAUCCUGACGAACCACCACCCCUUGGCCCAUGUUUCUUUGCCCUGAAAUGAAAGAUAAACCUUCAAUUCAGAGCGCGGCAUGCACCACGGAAAGAGGAAGAGACCUUUCAAUCCCGUGAAACUGAAGCAGGUGGUGGUAAUAGCUGAUCACUGCUAGGAUCGUGCCACGAAUGAAAAGGCCCGGCAUAUGAUCCAAUCGUGCAACUAGCAAACCCUACACAGUACCCCUGCUCUGGAAUUGACAUGUCUUUUUCCCUUAAAAAAACUGCCUGGCUUGUCUGAGCCUGCUUCGUUUGCUCUGCUUGCCCGGUCGAAAUAAUGCGGCCGAUCGUUGAUGGGCCACGGCGUGGUUGCACUUGCAGGCAGCAACUGCUCCCGGAUCAGCGACGCCUGUCUGCCUAAUUAAGCUUGCCCGGGUUAAGCUCGCUUCUGUCACUCUUUGCCGGCAGUGUCUAUUUUACUUAAUACAGUACUACCUACGGCCAUUCUUCUUAGUAGUCACAACCAGAGUCCAAAGGAAGAAGAUUCUCAACGCACAAGUCACGAGUAAGUUUCUUUUUCUUUAAGUAUCCAGCGACUGACUUGCCCAUUUAUCCAGCAGGCUUUCUGCUUUACCACCUGCAUCACAUGUCACGUCGUUUGUUUUUUACAUUUUCGGUCAAGAUUUUGGGUAGCCUCAGUCAGCAGCGCAACAUAGCCCGAAAAUUCAGCUCGCAGGAUGGGUGACGAGGGAAGCAGUACGUGCUUGCCACAUAAUAAAGGACGAAAAAUUCUAAACAUACGGAGUAAUACGGGGGGUUUUAUGGACUCCUUCGUUAGCUGAUCUCCACCGCCCUGAUUCUAAGGGGUGUGGGCCCCCUCGCCCUUAUUUCUUUUAAUCAUCUUAGCCCAUCUAAUCCUUUCCGUAAAUUUCCGUAAAAACUGUCCGUACUUGUAGCGUCGCUUAUAAAGGAGUAAAGGACCUGUCUCUUCUGGCCCGUUUGGAAAGGGGUUUUUUCACUGUUUUGAUCCGAGGGGUGUAAGUUAAUCACGCAACGAACUCGUUUCGAAAGAAUUUCACGUUUUGACCCUUUUUUGAAACGCCAUAGACCGUGACGUUGCAGCCCUCUUAAGAAGCGCCACUCUAUUGUGGUGUUGCAGACCUUCCUUGAAACGCCUGUCUAAUAUGGCGUUGCAGGCCUGAGGUGAAACGCGAGUUGAUAUGGCGUUUCUUGGCUUUAUAUUCUUCCACCCCGACCCCCUCACCCACCAACCACCAUUUCUCCUCUCAUCUUGUUCUUCCUUGCACGAAAAAGCUCUCCCUUGUCCUCAAGAUCCCCCCUUCAAUCUCCCUCCUCCCUCAACCCUUUAGUUGGUUCUUUGGGGUAAAUCAAAGAGGCCGGUAAGCUCCUCCAAUCCCUCCAAUUAGUUUUUGCAAUGAUUUUCUAUUUGUGUAGAUUUUUUUUGCACUAGGUGUUCUAUUUAUGUUGCAUUGUAUUGGUUGGUUUUUUAUUAUUGAGGAGAUUUAGUGUUAUGGUUAGGGUUAUGCCUANNNNNNNNNNNNNNNNNNNNNNNNNNNNNNNNNNNNNNNNNNNNNNNNNNNNNNNNNNNNNNNNNNNNNNNNNNNNNNNNNNNNNNNNNNNNNNNNNNNNGCCCCCGCCCCCGGCCCCGUCAUGGCGCCGCACGGUGGCCGUCCAGGCCGCGCUCUCAACCUCGGCGAGCCGCAGCUCCAGCCGCGGGGCGGGGACGCGCUGGGUGUCGGCGGUGGGCGGCGCGGCGGCGGAGGAGUCUCCUUCCUCAGCGUCGCGGGCGUGCGCCUCUGUCUAGGAUCGGCACCUGCAGGUGCGUGCGUGCGCCUCUGUAUCGACAGUGGCAUGUAUUUGCUAACAGUGCUAUAUUUGCCAUCGAGAGUGGCCUGUAUUUGCUGACAAUUUAUGUUUAUUAGAUUAUCGUCAAGGUCAAAUGCUGACAGUUAGUGUUGUUAGGCAGAGCUAUAAAGACAUUUGUGAUAAUCUUAAACUAUUUUGUCACUGGUCCAAACCUCCCAUGCAUAAAUAGGAGCUGCAAUCUAACUCCACCUGACAUUGCUUUAGUUGUUUGCGGAUAAGAAGUGCACCCAUACAUUGUUCUUAAGAGAAAGUAUGCUAUUCGAAGCUGCCAUGAUUUUCUUUGUUAUGCAAGAACAAAAACUUUGCGAUUAGAGACAAUUUAAAUGUUCAUUGUGUGAUUUGUGUUAGGGGUCGAAGUGAUAUGAUGAUUGUGUGAUGUAAACUAUUAAACCAUGCAUCAAUAAUCUUCUUUUUCGUGUUUGUUUGAAGGUUUAUUGUGUUUUUCUACUGAAAAUUGUGAUAUGUCAAAUGACAGUUUUAAGGGUUGGGGUUGGGGCAAAGACUAGAACCCUCAAACCCAACCCUUAUAACGGAAUAUUCUGUUAUAAGGGUUGAGUUUAAGGGUUCUAGUCUUUGCCUCUGUUUUUCAAUCCUUAAAAGUGUCAAAAAUGAUCAAUUCUUAACCCUUAAAACUGGUUUUAGAUUUAAGGGUUUGAGGGUUCUACUAGAAAUGCUCUUAUCAUCUCCAUACAUGGUGUUGAGCGAGACAACGCAAAAUGUAGCACGCAAAAAUUGUACGGUUGACCUCCUUGCCGGCCGGGCUAGUACUUAUUAACUAACCCAAACCAACACACAAAUGUGCAAACUCCAAAGUUAGCAUUUCCCACACAAACCGGCCGGCGUCCGGGACACCACAAACCACUCCACACGAACUACUUCUACUUGUUAGCACGGUGAGUGAUCUGCGGGCAUGCCAGUGCCAGCACCUCACUCCUCACCGGCUCACCGAGUCACCGCGCCAGUUAACAAUCCACCUCCUGUCGGUGUUGUUGUCUCGCUACUGGCUCUCAAUGACCUGUGCAUGGAUGUGGAGAUGAUGUUAGGCUAGAAGAAAUCUGAUGCCGUUGCGGACGAUGGCGACGUCCGUGAACGUCGUGAUCUUUUUGAAGACGUCGUCUAGGCCCUUAUCCUUCUCCUCCCAUGCAACGGGGAUAACCCCAGAUCGAGCAAGUUGGUUCAGACAGUGACGAUGCUAUGACGUCGUUACCGGAUCAAUCCUUCUUUCAUUCAUUGAAGGGAUGGACUAUGCAGCGGCGCCGCACCUUGGCGCUCCCAUGCGGCCGCUGUUGUACGCAUGCAUAUACAUGCAGUGCAAAUCUAUGAUCUAUUAGUAUUACUAAGUUAAGUAUUGUCAUCACUUAAAAAAGUGAGCUAAAUAUUGCCAUAAUGCGGCUAGUCCCCUCUCUCUCUCCUAUGCAUGCAUGGGAUGAAGUCAACAAAGAUUCUCAUUAAUGUUUGAGAUUCAAAAAGUUUUAUCUACAAAACCGUUAAUUCAAUCAAUGAUCCGAUUUCAUCAUUGACUUUCUCGCGAUGAGUUUAUCGAAACUAGAUCCCAUGUCGACAUGUUUCGUCAACUAUUUUUUUCCAUUCAUACUUGCCAUAUUUUUUGACCCACUUGCCAUAUUAUUGAUCACUUACUUGCAUGAGAAAAAUAACUUGAUUGACACUUUUUAAUAUUGUUUCGUACAAAGGCUUGUAGCAGUUUUCAUUAUACAUGAUAUAAAAAAAUGUCAUGGGUUGUGUUUGCCAAUUUAAAUAUGUCAACUUGUCAUGUUUACAUAUAACUUUGCCAGAAAACUAUUUUGUGUGCUUGUUAGUUUAACUAUGCCGAGUUGUCAUAUUUAGAAAUGAUGAUCAAAAAAGAUUUCCUGUGGUCACCGGUUCUAAAUAUGUUGAGUUGUCAUAUUUUUACCCGUAAUCGCCUAAAAAAAGUUGUUUGUUCUUGUCAUUUUGAUUAUGUCAAGAUAUAAUAUUUAUACGCAAUUUCAAAAAGUUUAACGAUUAUGUUAUUUUUAUCACACAAGUAAGUACUUACUAAUAUGAUAAGUAAAUGCAAAAAAAAAUGUGAUAAAUAUGAAAAAAAAAAGUUAUCAAAACAUGUCAAGAUAGGAUCUAGUUUUAAAGAUUUCGUCGAAACAAAGUCAACGACGAAAACGGAUCAUUGAUCGAAUUAAUGGUUUAAGAGAUAAAGUUUUUUAAAUUCCGGUCAUUUAGUAUAAAUGUGACGACAUCAUGUAUGCAUGCAUGCAUGCAUGACCCCCCCCCCCCCCCCCCNNNNNNNNNNNNNNNNNNNNNNNNNNNNNNNNNNNNNNNNNNNNNNNNNNNNNNNNNNNNNNNNNNNNNNNNNNNNNNNNNNNNNNNNNNNNNNNNNNNNNNNNNNNNNNNNNNNNNNNNNNNNNNNNNNNNNNNNNNNNNNNNNNNNNNNNNNNNNNNNNNNNNNNNNNNNNNNNNNNNNNNNNNNNNNNNNNNNNNNNNNNNNNNNNNNNNNNNNNNNNNNNNNNNNNNNNNCCCCCCCCCCCCCCCCACGGUAUGUCGAGAAUAGGGCGCUUCUGGAUAGAUUUUUGGUUCAUUGAAUUUAACAGUGAUACUGUUGAUAUUAAAAAAAUGUCACAAGGCCGGCUGGCCGGUGGCGGUGCGUGUGCUGCCAUUGGCAUUUGGCAGGGCAUGGCGGGUGCAAAUGUGUGCAUGCAGCGCCUGGCCCUGCACGGCUGCACCACCCUGUACCAUGCUAAACUAAGCCAGGCGCGCGGACCCUCCCAUGCACGAACCUACCUGACCGGACCUCUGCGAACUCGAAAGCGAUCCCCUGUAUUUUCCCGAAGAAGCCGGGGGGCGCGCUACACACAUAGCUAGCAAGCAUCUGCUGCGACGGCCAGCGAAUGGCCGGCAGAUCUUGCCAGGCAGGGGCUGCUGUAUGAUAGGGGUAGAAUGUGAGUGGAUGAGUGAUCUUAAGAGCAACUCCAAUGAAUUGACCUAAAUGAACCACGAUUUUUUUUUUCAUUUGGGUCGGCCAGGCGGACACGAACGUCCGCUUCCGCAAAUGGGUCGACGUCUGCGUCCAACGCUGACUAGAUUUAUUUUUGCUGGCGUGCGUAAAAAAUACAUAAGUGCAUAAUUAAAAAUUAAAAGCCGGUCACGAAUGCCGGCGAGAGUACACGCGUCCACAAUACAUUAAUUAAACAUAAAAAAUAUAUAUAACUACGAGGGCAGCCCUAGACGUCGUCGUCGUCAUCGGGGCCGGUGAGGUCGACCAGCGUAGGCACAGGGCCGCCGAGGGGAACGCUGUGUUCUAGAGCGCAGCUGCCUGCGCCUCCGUUGUCUGUCCCGCCGGCGCGAGUUGUGCUAGUGGCGGUGGCAGCACAGCAGCAAGGGCAAGCUCCUCCGCCUUCACCUCCCGCCGUUCCACCUCCACCUCCUUCUCCAGCUCCAUCAGCCGAAGGCCUUCGGCGCGCUACGCCAGCAGGUGAUGCGCCCUCUAGUGCUUGAGGUAGACUUGCUCCUGAUGCAGUGUCGCGCCUAGCUAGAUGGGCGGCGCAGCGGCGAACUCGUGGACGAUGUCGGUCCACUGAUAGACCUCCCGCGGCUCCGUGGGCUCAGGUUUCGGCGGAUGUGGCACGACGUAGUCACCGACGUUCGACAGGAAGAUAGCCUCCGCGAGCUGCUGCUCGUACGCCGCCUCCUCGUCAGCCCUACACCGCGCUUCCUCCUCACUGUCGCGGAGAACAGCUGCGAGCGUCGCCUGGCAGGCGGCCUCAGCCUCCUGGUCCUUUUCGCUGAUGAUAGGCGGGUGCGGCGGAUGGCCUCCUGGCUGCACUUCGCACACGCCACGGCGGCGCUGCUCCUCGUGCUCCACCGCGAGCCAAACCUUCCAGUUAGGGGAGUCGGCCGCGUACGCAGGGUCUCGCCGUUGCUCUGUCGUCAGCAGACGCCGACGUCGGCUCACCUCCUCCACAUGCACCCGCGCCGACCGCGGCAUGGCCGGCACCGGAAUCCUCUUAGGAUCCACAUGCCAGUCGUGCGGCAGCGUGACAUCGGGGUAAGGAAGCGGCACGCGGUGUUCCCAGUGCCACCGCGCUUGGUGCACCGGGACGAUCACACGCUGGCAAGGCCGAUGGGAAGACGACGGCGGAGAGAUGGCGCGGGGGUAGAGCGGGGUCUUGCCCUUGUUUGGGAAGCCGCCGGCCAUGGUGCUAGGGUUUUGGUCGCCGAGGAGGUGACUCGAUGUGGACGGACGGGGUUCUGGAAGAAGGUGGCAGAACCCACGCUCAGAUUAAAAAAGACCGGCCGCGGUCGCUGACGCGUGGGCCUGAGGGUGGCGGCCGUCAUAAAUAUUGUUGACCGCGGUGGUUGGCACGGACACCGAGAGGGUGCACGCGUCCGCGCCGACGCAUUUUCGUCCUAAAUUUGGGCAAGAAAUGGGUUGGCGCGGACGCAAAGCGGACGCGUUUUGACAACGGGUCGGCGCGUUGGGCCUUCAUUUUUAUCUACGCCGAUCCAAACGGACGGAGGCGGACGAAAUGAAUGGGCCCAUUGGAGUUGCUCUAAGCACACUCACUUCUAGAGUAUAAGUACAUCUACAAUCAGACAUUCAAAUAUGACCCCUAAACGUUUAUAGACGCGCUCGAUCAAUGAUCGGACGACGGGCGUGCCCCGUCGGUCCGCACAGUCACACUCUUUUUUUUUUAUAUAUCCGGUCACUUGCAUGUGAUUGAUUAAGAGAAAGAGAAAGAAAGAACAUAAUGAAUAAAGAAAAGGAAAAUAUGAUCCGGAAUGGGGUCGCGUCCUAUGUGACGGACUGGCCGGACGCGUCCCAACGCGUCCGCAAGCCCUCGUAUCCUCUCCAUAUUUGAGAUGAAUAUGAAGGUUCGUGGACAACCUGGACAUAUAGGAACGAAAUGAAGGGUCCGGUUGUGUCUUUUUUUUCUUUCCUUCUUUUGUCCGCUCAUUGACCAGACACAUCCGUACACGUAUGAGGGAUCAUUUGAGGAGUACCGUUGUAGAUGCUUUAAGAGCACCUACAGCCAGAACUUGCAAAUUCGGCUCCUCAGUCGCUCGUGGAAACGACAAGUCAGUGACCGGGCGUGUCCGUUUUAAAUCUUUACUUUUUCAUCCACACAACUGCACUAUUCAUAGUUUUCCUUGUAAGUCCGGUCACCUGCACAUGACUGAUAAAUAAGAAAAGAGAGAAAGAAAAAAUGAAUAAAGGAACAGAAAAGGUGGUCCGAGAUGGGGUCGUGCCCUACGUGCUGAACUGACCGGACGUGUCUGGACGCAUCAGCAAGCUUUUACAUCGUCCUCAUAUUUGAGAUGAAUAUGAAAGGUGUUUGUGAGUUUCAACACUUAAGAUGGAUAUCAGGGGUCCGACUGUGUUAACUUUUUAUGAUCGGUCAAUGACCAAACGAGCUGCCCAAAUGUUUAAGACGAGUUUAAAAGGUCCUGCUCUAGAUGCUCUAAAGAGGACAUGAAUCUUAAUCCAACAAAUACCGAUUACUACAACAGGCAAAUGCACUAUCUAGCUGCAGGUUUACAGAAUGAUACAUUAGCUAGCUAUAUAGGCUAUCUAGACAAAACGAAGUUGAAACUUUCAAUCUCGCGCAUUCUCCUUUUCAGUAGUACUCCCUCCACUCCUUUUUACUUCGCGUAUUAGAUUUCUGUCAAGUUAAACUUUGCAAAGUUUAAUCAAAUUUAUAUUAAAAAAUAUCAGUAUCUACAAUAUCAAAUAUAUACAUUAUGAAACUGUAUUUUUUAAAGAAUCUAACAACAUUAAUUUGCCAUGGUGAAUGUUGAUAAUUUUUUCUAUAAGAUUGGUCAAAAUAGAGAUACUUUGACUUUGGACAAAACUUAUAUGCAGACUAAAAGGGAUCGAAGGGAGUACUCCAAAAAGGAAUUACUAGCAUAUAGCUAAUCAUCUAGCAAGAUUAAGGAAGUGCUCUAGCCAAUCAGAUAGGGAACCUAAUCUAGCUAGCUAUUUCUGGAUGCCGAACACACUAUGGAGAUGUCAGCUUGGGGCUUUUCCUUUUUUUCCAGCUGAACCUUUUCUCCCUCAGCAUCUUGCUUUCAGUUUCUCAGGAUUGGCCUACCCCCUACACUUUCCCGGCUUAUACGGAACACUAAUCAUCUACCAGCAACGUUCUCUUGUAGCCCCAACUCAGUCAUGUCGCCAUUUCCGAAAGCACUGUCUCCCACUUCAACUCCCGCCGUCUCAGUGCUGCAGAUCUAUACAGUGUGAUGGAAAUCUGAAGCUGUGAUGACUGUGAGCGAUAUAUUUUUGCUGUUCAUGAUGCAACCAGCAGUGCCUAUCAAUAGUGCAAAGUAUAAUCUUCACUUUCUUCCCUGUGUAAAAGCGUGAUCGAUUGAGAUUUGAAGGGCACGCAUCGCACCCGACCAAACGGCGUCUGUGAGGUUCUGUUGCAAAUGGUCCUGCAUAUAGAAAAGAGAAACCCAACCACGGGUGCAAUUCCGGCAGGGCCACAUGGCAUUUCUGAAACCAUCUUUUGCUAAUCUGGCAACGAUGGGACGUGUCUUUGGCUCAGACCCGGACAGGUAGCAGGUUUGCUUUGCAUGAUCUGGUAAGCCAAUAAUCGCUCUGUCAAAAAUGAGAACAAAAAGGUAUAUAUGACUUUUCCUAAAAAAAGCAAUGUAUAUGACUAGAUGCAACAAUGUCUACAUCCACAUUAGUUAAUCCAAGAUGCAUGUAGAUGCAGCCGUUAUUGGUCAGUGCUAUUAUUUAGCUUUUCUUUACCAGGUUUGUGCUAAUCUUUUUUUCUUUAGCAGGUCUGUGUUAAUCUUUUUUUAGGUGCUCAGUGCUACUUUUUCUAUGAACCUGCAACUUACACUGGCCGUAAAAAAAAACUUACAGCUAAUUUUUCAUGAAAAGAAAUACAAAUUCUUUUUAUAUUUUCCUUUCAUUUUUAUUGUAUCUCUAUAUUUAUAUUUAUUCAUGUCUUUUUUCCUUUUGUAUUUUAAUUAAUAAAUAUUUGUUUUUAUGCAUGAAAUAUUUUUAAAAUAUGUUCUAAUUUACUAAUAACAAAACAUGAAUAUUUUAUGAUAAGAAUUUUUCAACACUCGAUGAGUACAUUUUGAAUACUUGGUAAACAUUUUGCAAAUUUGCAAGGAAUUUUUUUCAACACAGGACUGACAUUGCUUAAAAUACAUAAUGGACAUUUCACAAUACACGAUAAUUUAUUCAAGAAAAACUUUAGCACAUUUUUUUCUCAUUUCCAAAAAUAUCCAUGCCAUUUCAUAUGCUCGCACUUUUCAACAAGUGGUCAUGUAAUUUUAAAAUAUCACACAUAUUAAGAAAAUAUGCAUGUUAAUGAAAAUUAAUAUAAACACACAUGAAAAAUGUUCAGGUAACUGAAAACAUAAUUAGAUUUCAAAACAUAAGCAUGUACCAUGGAAACACAAAAAUAGGAGUUUAAAACCGGAGCAAACCCCCAAAAUUGUGAAAACAAGCACUAGAAAACAACACUUGAUAAUUUACAAACAUAGAAACGGAUAAACAAAAUUCGCUAGACACUCAACUAGAUGUGAAGUAAAUAUAUGACAAGGUAAGCAAUGGCAACAAGCUGCCUAGAGAACACAAACAUAGAGUAAAGCAGGGUGGAACAUAUUAAUCACAAUUUGGAGUUGAGAAUUUAUCCUGAAGUUCAUACUCUCAUGGAAUGGUUAUUUGAGUUGGAUGGAUGUGAGAGCCAAGGCCUCCUGGACGCAGCGUAGGUUCACCCUCUUCUCCUUCCGCCCAUCGAAGGAAGUAUCUCAAUCACUAGUGGUUGAUCUUGAAGUGACCACUAACAUUUAUGGUUUCUUUGAUCUACAGGAUUUUAAAAACACAUAAAUAGGAAAAGUAUAGGAUUGAAGUGGCAUUUCCAUUUGAACCCUAAGGAUUAUCAAGGAGUGUUUGAUGUCACAGAGAAACAAAGAAAUUGUCAAAAGAGGUUGAAGUUGAUACUGGCUUUUCUAUGAAAUACAGUAUAAAAGAUUUCAUGGAAAAAUUUCCUAUGGGGUACAACCCUAUGAAUCAAAGGACCAAUGUAGGAAAAAUUCCUAACAAUUACAAUCCUUAAAAAAUACUAUGAAAUUCCUUUGAAUCAAAGGAUUCCUUAUAAUUUUCACCGGAGCAUACCAUAAUAGGGAAGCUUCACGAUAUCGUUCAAACUGACUAAGGUUAGAUCAUCUACAACCACACUUGGCAAAUCCACCCCCUAUACGUCCAUGGACGCGCCUGGGCAGGUCCACCGGUGCAUCGAGGUGGCUCCUUAUAUCUCGUGCCCCGCAUCCACAUAUCUUAAAUUUGGACUCUCAAAUACAUGGAAAUCCAUGCACAUGUAUCAUACACGCCAAUGUAGCACGAAAAUAAAAAAAUGAUUGAUAGUAAAAAUACUUGAUUCUUACAAUUUUUUUAUUUAAAGUGCACAACUAAAUCAUCAGCUCUUUAGUUUCCAUUAUGGUCACAUAUGCUCCAUAAUAACAUUGAGUAGUUGUGCAUGCACCUGAUGAUGUCAAAGAUUUUGAUGUAUUUGCAGAAAGUUUAUAAGUUGGUUUGCAUCUUGAUCUUCAAGGAUUUAAACUUGUUCUCCAGUCGCUUCAAUAGUAUUGGUUUGGGCAACACCAUCACCCUCAUCCUAGACAAUCAUGUUGUGAAAAAUAACACAACAUGUUAUCACGUGCCACAAAGUUUCUCAUUCCCACAUCAGUGCAGCUCCACGAACAACUCCGAGUGAGUUUGAAGCACUCUGAAUGCCCUCUCCAGGUUCUUCCUAGGUGUUUCAUGUAUUUUUGCAAAGUGGCUUUGUUUGCCACCGUAUGGUUUUGAUAUGGUCUUCAAAAACGUCGCUCGCUGAGGAUAGAUGCCAUCGACAAGAUAGUAUUCGAUGUUGUAGUCAUGGUUGUUGACAUUAUAGUUGUACGGUGGCGAUUCUCCAUUACAAAUCCUCCGGAACACCGGAGACUCUUGAAGCACGUUGAUGUUGUUGUGAGAAUGCGAGAUUUCACACAAAGCAUGCCAAAUUUACAAGUCAUGUGAUACUACUGCUUCCAGUAUGAUGGUGGUCUCUUUGGUGUGACCAUGAUACAUUUCUCCCAAACCUUUAGCGCACUUCUUCCAUUGCGAAUGCAUACAAUCAAUUGAUUAGAGCAAUCCUCAAAACCCUAUGGCCUCUCCAAUAGUCAACAACUUUUCUGUGUUUUGCACAUUUGGUUCUCUAAGAUACUCUCCUUCAAAUACUUGCAAAAUGGCAAGUGCAAACUUGACAGUUGUCUUUAGGCAUGUGCUCUCCUCCACUAAGACCAUCUCACCAACAGCAUCUACGGCAAUACCAAGUGCAAGCAUCCUCAAAACAAGUGUCCAUUUAUGCUUAACAGAGAAAAAAAGUUGGUCACAUCAAUCCCCUUUGAGCUUGAAAUAGUCAUCGUAAGCCUCCAUUCCCUCCACAAUCCCAAAUACAAUGAUUUUUGCAUGUGAAAACGGUGACGUGCCAUGGAUCAUCCGGAGAAGUUUGGUCUGGAGCAAAGUAGUCAUUCAACAAUAGCCAUGCUCUGAAGACCCUAUCCCGAUUGAUCACUCUCCUUCUUUUGAUUGAGCCCUUCAAGGUGAGAAUAUGCUCCACUUGCCGGUCCAUUUCCACCUGCAUGCUCAUGUCCACUUCUCGUUCAAAUCUGACGAAUCAAAGAACUCAUCUUGAAUCCUUUGAUCAAGCUCGGUUGAUCUAUACUCCUCGUCCGAUGAAUCAUCAAAAUUCAUCGUUUCCCCUAAAAAUCGCAAGAAAUCGGGUGAGACAAUAUGUCGAAUAACAUAGAAUGCAAGGGGCAUCCCGAGAGUUGCUUGAUGUACCAUGGUGACGUACGGACCGGCGACGACGUCUGUGGCUGCGAGGACGGGAGAGAGGAGUGUUGUGCCGAAGCUGUCGACAUAGAGGCUCGAAACGACCACGAAGGGGGCGCGACGGCGGGCAUCAUGGAGGAAGAAGAAGAGAAGAUGGCAAAUGGGUGGAGGAGGUAGACUUGGUGCAAUUUGUGGUAGGUUAGGCCUGUCAGGCGGACCCACCUGGACACCUUCAUAUAUGCCCUAGAUUUGGGCCGGAUAUGCAGGGUGUCGGUCAGUUCGGGUGUUUGAGGACCGUUUGAGACGUGUGUCUAGAUCGCACUCUUAUGACCUAUAAGUCAUCGGACGGUCCGUCCGAGCAUUGAAGACAUGUUUGGGACGUUCAGGUGUAGAUGUUGUUACACUAAGUCGUCUUUUCUGUGUCCCGUGUGCGUCCGAAACAUUAUGGGGAUGCCCCGCAAAACCAAAAAAAAGUAAGGCCAACUUCAACGCAUGAUCCGAAACGGACGAACAUCUGAAUUUUUCCCAUUAGGAUAUGAGAAUGGGGCAGCGUCCGAUCGUUUUACUGGAUGCGUCGAUCAUGUGCCCAACACGUAGCUGCAUCUUGUUCGGCUGCAUGCAAAACGAUCCAAGCAAAGAUUACACCAUGCCAACGGCAAUAGGUUACGCCGGCAACAAAGAUAGCGACCGGCAUACUAGCGAGCCUUCAAAAUGAACAUGUAUUUUCACGCUGGCAACAAAAGACAGCAAUCGCAGCUUUCUUCUUUGCCGCAAUGGUCUGUCGUGCUCUCCUCUUGGCAGAUUCACGAUCGAGGUGCAAUUGAUCCUCCGACUUGAGCUCCGACCGCGGGUUCUUCGGGCCCUUCUUCUUCGUCGGGGCAUGCGGUGGCGGUCGGGUCGUCGAGUUUUUUCGGGGCCAUGGAGGAGGGAGGGGAAGCGCAUGAUGGUUUUGGAGAAAGAAAGGAAAAUGAGGGUGUUAUGUCCUCGACGAACGGGUCAGGGAAGGAUAAGGGCACAUCCAUCCGUGUGAUGUCCGUUUUGACACAAAUACGGUACAAAUUCAGGCUGGUAAUGAAUAAAAAUGACAGAAAACAGAUAUUUACACGUUUGCUCUCAUAGGUUGAACAACGUUUUACUUUUUUUUACCUCUAAACAAAGCUAGGUGGUCGGAUCAUUUGGGUCGCGCGUUGCCCUAACUACUGCGUCCCGUGUGUGUUAAAAAAGGAUGCGCCUCGUACCACUUGCUGUGUCCUUCACUUGGGGAUAUGCCGGGCAACUUUUUUGUUCUUUCCAAAGGGGUUUUUCACUGUUUUGACCUUCUCGGGUUAAGUUAAUCACGCAACGUACUCGUUUCGAAAGAAUUUCACGUUUUGACCCUUUUGAAACGCCGUAGAUCGUGGCGUUGCCGUCCUACAUACAAACGUCACUCUAAUGUGGCGUUCCUGGACAUGCACAAAACGCCUGUCUAUUGUGACGUUUCUGGCCGUGUGAAACGCCAGCCGUUGUGGCGUUGCAGGCCUGACAUGAAACUCCACGCACCCUGGCGUUUCUUACCUUUAUAAUUUGCCAGCCCGACCCCGUCGGCCACCAACCUCCUUUCUCCUCUCUCUCGUUCGUUUCUUUGGCGAAAAAGAGAGUCUCGGCCUCCAGAUCCCCCCCCCUUCGAUCUCCCUCCUCCCUCAACCAUUUUGUUGGUUCUUUGGGGCAAAUCGAAGAGGCCGGUAAGCUCCUCCAAUCCCUCCAAUUAGUUUUUGCAAUGAUUUUGUAUUUGUGUAGAUUUUUUUUUUGCACUAGGUGUAACGUAUGUUUUGAAGUAAAAACUAUUUUGUGAUGGUUAAUAGGUGUAGUUUAUGGUGGUUCUAGGUCUAGUUUGUGGUGGAUGUAGGUAUAACCUAGUUGUACUUCAUAUUAUUGAUAUUAGAUGAAUGCCUAGGUUUAGUUCAUAUUAGUGGCAUUCGGUGAAUGUCUAGAUUUAGUUCAUAUUAGUGGCACUAGGUGAAUGCCUAGAUUUAGUUCAUAUUAGUGGUAGUAGGUGAAUGCAUAGCUUUUUUGGCACACUAGUUUAAUGCCUAGAUUUAGUUCACACUAGUUUAAUGCCUAAAAUAAUUUUGUUCAUAUUAUGUAGGAUGUUUCAGCCGAAUAAAUAUCCGGGACUUGAUGAGUUCUACGAGCAGAAGCAUCGUGCGGUGCUGGUUGAAAGAGGAGAGGUAAUUAUGAUGGUCUUGAUGAUUAUUUUUCUAUAUUCCAUGAUUUUCAUAUUGUGACAAAUUAUGUGUUUGAUGAUUUAGGUUCCUCCAGUACUUCGUUUGAGGGGGCACAACCCGAAUGAAUCUCUGCUAUAUGACCCUCGGUACGAGCCCUAUUUUAGAAGAAUGGAUCUUCUUCAGUUUGUGCUCAACUUUAAAGGCACACCACCAUGGUUGAACUCCACAACCCUUACCGCCCUUACGGACCGUUGGAGGCCGGAGACGCACUCUUUUCACCUUCCUCUUGGUGAGAUGACAAUAACUCUGGAGGAUAUUGGUAUGAUCACCGGGUUUCCUAUCGAGGGCAGGGCUCUUACAGGGAAGGUUAGGUCCGAUGGAUGGCGACAACGGGUUGCAGCAUUGGUUGGUGUUGAACCCGAGCCAUGGACUAAUGAAGCCCGGAAGGAUCCUAGGCCAUCCGGUGUGUUGUUCUCUUGGAUACAGAGAUAUUUUCGCAAGUGCCCAAGGGAUGCUAGUCCGCUUGUUGUGGAGAGGUUUGCCAGGGCUUACCUCUGGAAUCUUUUGACCCAAGUGGUGUUUCCGGAUAGCACGUGGGACACAGCCUCGUGGAUGUUUUUGGAUCCUCUCCGUGACUGGGAUGUCAAGUGGAGUUGGGGUUCGACGGCACUAGCCUUCUUGUACCAUCAGGUACGGUUUAAUAUCAUGCAUUUUUUUAUUCAAUUGGUAUAUGAUGCAUUUUCAUUAUAUUAAAUGGGUAUAUGAUGCAUUUUCAUUUUAUUCAAUUUGUAGUUGGAUGGAGCAUGUAUGAGGAGCAAGCCAACGUCCACUCUUGGAGGUUUUGUUUGGGCCCUACAGGUUUGGAUGUGGGAGCGUAUGCAUGUUGGUCGUAACCUUAGCCUUCCUCCGGAAGAACCUUGGAUGUACCCGUUUGACGGAGAUGAGGAGCGGUACCCCACUAUCGCACACACAUGGGCUAAUGUCCAAUGGACGAGUAUCGCAGCUAUGGGGCGGUAUAAGGCAUACAUAAGCGAGCUAGACAUGCUGACUUAUGAACAGGUAAAUGCUUUCGAAAAUUUGUCUGGAAAUUUUUCAUGGAUGGUCGAGUGACUUGUCGUUAUGUACGUGAAUUGGAGGCCGUACACGGUACUUAGGCAGUUUCCUCUGAGCAACAUGUGCCUUCGUGACCAGCAUCUUUGGCGUGUGCGGUGCCCCAUGAUAUGCUUCUUUGCGGUGGAGUGACAUCUUCCUCAUCGUGUUUCAAAGCAGUUCGGGGUACAACAACGCACCCCGCCGGAUUACGUCGAGACAAGUGUGCAGCUACAUAAGUGAGUAUAUUGUAUCACGUGUUUAUCCUGUUGAUCAAUGUCUAACACGAAAAAAUGGAAGUGAUAUAGUAUUGAACUAUUGCUUUGUAGGACAAACCGGCAAACCAGUAAGAGUGUCAUCAAUUGGGAGGAGCACCACAUGAUUUGGGUGGACAUGUGGAAUGCUCAGAGACAUGCUCGAGUUGAAAAUGAUCAAACACCCGACACUGACGAGGCGGCAUAUUUAAGGCAUUUGGAGUGGAUGCAUACAGAGUAUAGAGUUAUCCAUAAGGCAGCCUGGACUCGUUCCGAUUGCUUGGACUUACUGCCGAGUGGGGCUGCUGAUGCUACAUUCAACAAUUCUAUUAGGGAGACAGUUGGAGCGCAUCUUGACUAUGGCCCUCUUCAUGACCGAGUGGUACAUUUAUUCUUGAAAAUAUGAACAAGUGUCAUUUAUUCGUGGGUUGUAUGUCACAUAUGUUUUAUCCAGGGCACGAAGCCAUGGAGAUGUAUCAACGAUAGUAACGUGGCCCUUGGUCGUGCCCCAUCUUCACAAACGGACGGGUUUGUUAGAACUACUUUGCAGGUUAGAUGCCUUGUUAACCUUUGUUUUAGUUGUCGUAGCUUUCUUAGCAUAUUAACAUGUCAUUAUCUUUUCCUUGCGCAGAAGGUCGCCAAUCGGUGUCGCACACUAGCGGCUUUACUUUCUUGCCACGGUGUUUCGUCCACCGAUGUGAGGGCACGUGCGCAGUACACGAUGGAUGUGCAGUCUUCCGCUCGUCUGUCUGCCAGCCGUCCACGGGCCUCUUCCGCUCGUCCGUCUUCGAGUCGAGCACGUGCUUACUCUAGCCGAGCACAUGUUGAGGAGUUUGAAGAAGAAGAAGAGGAGUCAGACAACGAGGCCGCGGAUCCGGACUUCAUCGAGUUUGGGGCUUCGUAGAUGGAAGAUGCUCCGCAGCCAAGUCAACCCACUCAGGCGACGGAAGAAACACGUCGAGCUAGCUCAAGGAACGUCCGACGUCCUGGCUGGCAGAAUACUCCAGAGGGCUACGUCCUGGCUGAAGUUUGAACUAUCAACUUGUCUUGUCAUGCUAACUUGGGUUAUGAAGUUUUAAGUAUCAACUUGUCAUGUCAUUCUAACUUGGGUUUUAUAGUUUGCAGUUCAAAGUAUUCAUAGAAAUUUUGGUACUGGAGUAAGGAAACGCCACACGGGCUGGCGUUUCUUGUACAUCCUGCAACGCCAACAGGCCUGGCGUUUCUUGUAGGGCUGCAACGCUGACGAGGACAUGAUAUUUGCAGUACUGGACUAAGGAAACGCCGCAGAGACUGGCGUUUCUUGUAGAGCGUGCAACGCCAUCAGGCCUGGCGUUUCUUGUAGGGCUGCAACGCUGACGAGGACAUGAUAUUUGUGGUACUGGACUAAGGAAACGCCGUAGAGACUGGCGUUUCUUGUAGAGCUUGAAAUGCCAAUGAGGGUGGCGUUUCACAUACAUGAUCUUGCCCAUUAAGCAUUUUCACACAGACAUCAUACAUACCACAUUUAGCACAUGCACAUAGACAACAUACAGAUGACAUAUGCAACUAAGAACAAAGAAUACACACAUCAUAUAAAGAAUACACACAACAUAGCCCAUAUAAAGUACAAACAUCACAAAGAGUUCCCAUUAAAGUUCACGUCGAAAGAUGCAUAAUAGGUUCUUAAAGUACAUAAUAGUGGAUUUCAUAGUCAGAUAGCACGCAAGCGAACAAGGUUCAACACAUAGGGUUCAAACAUGAAAGCGCGCAUGAAAAUAUAAGCCUCCGGCUCUAUUGUGUCGAGCAAGGCCCCUUCCCCUUUUUCUUCUUCCUCUCUUCAUCCUCUUCGUCUUCCCUUUUGCGCAUUUUUGAAGCCUCUUCCAGCACCCUCUCCAUGAAGAGUUCAUUCUCCCGCUCUCUCUUUGUUGCACCCUCUGCCAUAGCAAUCUUAAAUUUAGCUGCCCAUUCAUUGUGACGUUGCUCCAUCACCUUCUUGUGAUGCUCCUUCAUCUUUUUCUCAUAAGCACGUUGCUCAAGAAACAUUUUGAGGUCCUUCUUCCUCCUUGCUUCAUUCUCCUUGUACUCGCGCUCCCUCUCCAUCUUCUUUGCUUCGGCUGCGUCCUGCUCUCUCAACUUCUUUGCAGCCCUCUCCAUCAACCGCUGCUCCUCACUGGUUGCAUCCUUCUCCGCCCCCACUCCAUUUUCUCCUUGUUGGGUUGAGACGCCGCCAUACCUACAUAAAAACAUCAAGGCUCAUAGUUAAUACAAUAACAUACAAGUAGCAUGAAAAACAACAUUAUAGAUAAACUUACGGAAAUGGUCCUCGUAGGUAACCAAACAUUCCUCUACCACCACCCGAACGUCUACCCAUAAAACCACCACGUCUACAACCACCGCCGGAUCCUCGUCCCAUAGCAAGGCCACCACGUCUACCACCGCUGGAUCCUCGUCCCACAGAAAGGCCACCACUUGAACCACCACGUCUACCACCGACGGAUCCUCGUCCCAUAGCAAUGCCACCACUUGAACCACCACGUCUACCACCGCCGGAUCCUCGGCCCACAGGAAGGCCACCACUUGAACCACCACGUAUACCACCGUCGGAUACUCGUCCCAUAGCAAUGCCACCACUUGAACCACCACGUCUACCACCGCCAGCACUUGAACCACCUCUGCCCCCCCCCCCACACAUCACUAGUAGAUGCGUUGUUUCUUUUGCAAGUCCUCUUAUUAUGUGUCGUUUAAUUGCAAUCACCGCAUUGGUUCCUAUCACAUGGCUCCAUGAAAUGUCCACUACCAAACUCUCUGGUGCUCAUCAGGUCAUCCAUAUCAUUCAUGUAUCGUUUUGUUCUCCUUCUACCCUUCGGUUGAACCAUCAUCUCUGGAUCCGGCCUAAUAUUAGGGCAGUGAUACUCUGGCCACUGUGAUGGGUCAAUAAAAAGGUGGAAUCUCCACACCCAUGUUAACUGAUGAGUUUGCAAGUUGAAUUCAUGCAACCUCACAACUACACCAUCAGAGAAGGGCAAAUUCCUCAUGCGACAUGCCAUCAUCAUGUGCGAGCAUGUCCAGUGGUACUUACUAGGCCGCUCACAAGUGCAAUGCCGCGUCCGAAGGGAAACCAUAAAUGAGCGACCACCAUAUGAUUGCACAUCUCUCGUUGAACCGCCUGGCUCAUCCACUUGGUAUUUCAUUUCAGUGUUAUCGAAACAAGUGGCUCGCUCCAUGGCUGACUUCUCCUUUUGAAACUCUAGCCACUAGGCAACCUUCUUCGGAUAGAUCUCAUUGGGAGGUUUCUCACUCUCACUAAUCAACUUGUCAAAUUCUUCGAAGUGCUUCAGAAAAUACUCAUUUAGCUUGUAACCUCCGGCUCUAUUGUUCAAUUGUUUCGUGAACGACUCAAUGGAGAAGGCCACACGUGCGGAGUUAAGAUCCUUCGCCAGAUCUUUGUUCUUACAAGCCCAGUAAAAGUUUGCAACAAAGUGCCUCAUGCACCAUCGAUGGUGAAGCCUCGCAAGCCCUGGAAUGUGAACAUUGUGACGCCCUCGGCUUAAUCGUACGCUAACCAAACACGCAAUUGCGUACGAUCAAACCCAAGGACUCACGGGAGGAUAUCACAACACAACACUAGACACAAAUAAAAUAACAUCAGCUUCAUAUUACAAGCCAGGGGCCUCGAGGGCUAGAAUACGAAAGCUCGAUAAGCACACGAGUCAGCGGAAGCAACAAAUAUCUGAGUACAGACAUAAAACAUGGGGUGCCUUAGAGAAGGCUAGCACAAAAGAUACAACGAUCGAACGAGGCGAGGCCUCCUGCCUGGGAACCUCCUAACUACUCCUGAUCAUCAGCGGCCUCCACGUAGUAGUAGGCACCGUCGGGGUAGCAGUCGUCGAUGGCGGGGACCUCCAUCUCCUGGGCUUCAUCAUCUGGUCGCAGCAAACGGAUCAAGGGGACAAGGGGGGAGCAAAGCAACGGUGAGUACUCAUCCAAAGUACUCGCAAGUCUUACAUCAGAACUAUUCUAAUUAUGCAUCAGUAUCAAAGAAGGGGGGGGUUAUAUGUGGACUGACUGCAGCAAUGCGAGAAUAGAGAGAGAAGGCCUAGUCCUAUCGAAGACUAGCAUCUUCAGGGUCUUGCAGCAAUAGACGAGAGUAGAACAGAGGUAAACAUUAAUAGUCAUAUUGUUGCAGCAAAAUUAAAGUGAGGUCACGCCUAAAGAUCCUCCCUCGACUCCCUGCGAGGAAGCAAUCCCGAGGCAAACUAAAUCCAGUUAAGUAACAAUUGUAGUUGUAUAAGAUCGGGGCACAACUCCAAGUCGUCCUGUAACCGUGGACACGGCUAUCCGAAUAGUUAAUUUUCAUCCCUGCAGGGGUGCACCACAUGUCCCGUCACGCUCGAUAACACUCUGGCCGGACAUACUUUUCUGGGUCCUGCCCGGCCUCGGAAUAUCGACACGUCGCAGCCCCAUUUAAGACUAAUCAGAGAGGCCAGCCCGCCGGUCUAUAUCCUAAGCACAAAGGGUUCAUGGGCCCAGUUCCCCUUCACGCUCCUGCACGUGGCGUGGGCGGCCGACGUCAGUCCUAGCAUCCCUUAAUCACAAGCGCGAUGCAUCUCGGGACCACUCGGGCGCGCGCCGCUACACUGCUGGCAUCUGAAAAGCUUCGGCUGAUACCGCGACGCCGAGUACCCAUAAUUCUUCCCGCGUAGCCGGUUAGUGCGAAAAGGUCUCCGACCAACCCAGAUCAAAUACCCAAAUCCAUUAGCAUUUUAAUUAGGCCAGCAACACAGUCUCGCGGGAAUCCACCCGGCUUACAACUAAUCACCAAUGAUCCCAGUAACAUGGUCGAGUAACUGUGUGGUCGUAACAUCGGGGGGAAUCCGAGGUAUCACCCUCGUUGGAUUCCGAACGAUGUACCCGUCAAGGUGGGCUUAGAGGAAUCACCCUCGGGGGUCCCACACUCACGGGGUGGCACGACAGAGACGUCAUCGGGAAUGGUGAAAGAGGAAUCACCCUCGAUAACCACGACCGACUAGCUAUACUACAGAGAUAUCAUCAGGAGUACUUAGCGAGGUGUCACCCUCGGUACCCGACAGUAUCCCUGUAGCGUCGUACAACGAAGGGGGGUGCAUAUGCUGUGUCAGGUCUGGCUCGUCGAUCAGAGAUCGAGAAUUGAAAACAAGCGGGGCAACUGAGCUACGGGGUCAGAGGGGAUGACUGCUCCACCUAUACUAAGCAUAUUAAAGGUACAGGACUGAAAGUAGCAGUUCAUCAAAAACAGGCUAUGCAUCAGAUAUAGGAGCUAACUACAACAGUAGCAAAAUACUAAUGCAAGCAGUAGGAAGAAAGACAUAGGCGAUAUAGGAAUGAUCAAGGGGAGUUUGCUUGCCUUGCUGCUCUGCGGCAAAGGACUGAUCGGCAGGGUCGUAGAUGUACCCGGCAGCAGCGUCAGUCUCGGGGUCUACCGGUAAGAAGAGGGGGAAGAAACAAUAAAUAAUAGCACCGAUGCAACACAAAGCAUGACAUGGAAAUAUGCAGGCUAGACAUGAGCUAACGCAGCAACAUCCGUCAUAGACAGGUCGGAAGAAUAUCUGACGAUAUUUUCCGGGUCUCGGGCUACUACCGGUUAUACUGGAAAUGAUGGAAAAGUUCCAUGUUUGCUAUGCUAGGGACGCGUGACAGACGAACGGACCGUGUAUCCGGGUUCGUCUCGCUUUGCUGAUCAACUUUCAUGUUGAAAAUAUUUUGAUCUGACUUACGGAUUAUUUAAUAUUAAUUUUCAAAGUUUUAUUAAUUAUUUAAGAAUUAAAAACAGAUUUAAAAGGUUUAGUAAAAUCCUAUUACGACAUCAUCGCGAUGUCAUGCUGACAUCACAUUUGACUGGUCAACUGACCAGCGGGUCCCGAACGUCAUAGGCACAAGUUUUUAUUAAGAUUAAUUAUUUAUUAAUCAGAUUAAUUCAACGAGGGACCCACGUGUCAUACUCUCAUUAGGUUAAUUAAUUAUUUUAACUAAUAUAUCUAUUUAUUUAUUUAUUUUAAGAAAAACAUUAUUUUUAUAAUUUAUAUUAACUCUCGCGUGGGGCCUCCCUGUCAUAGACAGCGGGUGCAUUGGCCCCACCGGUAAGUGACCCUAGGCCAUUUACACAUUUUAAUCACAAUUAAAUAACCAUACAAAUGUCGUAUCUCUCCACAUGCCUAUAUACGCAAACACAUACAUAAUACGGGUAUCGAAUACAUAUAUACAUACAUACGGAAUACAACAUUUGAUUUUAUUUCUUUUCUCUCAAAAACUCUCAACACUCAUCUCUCUCUCUCUGUUAACAGAGACAGAGAACUCUCUCUAACUCAACCUAGAGGAACUAAAUACUCAAAUCCUCCUACCGGAGUCCACCGUCGACGGAUCGAGGCCCCGUUUGCCGGAACGGAACCGGGACGUCGAGGAGAACGACAAGGUGGGAGGAGCCCGAGGAGGGGCUCACCGACGGUGACGGGACGGCCCGGUGAAGCCGGAGUUUGCACGAAGGUGGCGGUGGAGAAGGCGUGGAGGCGGUGACGGUGACGGUGACGAUGGUGGUGACGUGCCGGCGAGGGGGAGCCGGUCGGAUCCGGCGAGAUGAUGACGUCUCCCCUGCCCGGUCCCUCCCGGACCGAGCGGGAGAUGGCCGACGGGGGCCGGGGCUGUUGGUAGGCCGGCGAGGUUGGAGGGGCGCCGGCCGAGGUGAGGGGGGUGCUCGCCGGCCGGGAGAGAGGAGGGGCUCGCCGGCCGGGAGAGGGAAGCCGCGAGGUGGGGGGGCCGCCGGGGGAAGGAAGGCCGCCGGCGGGAGGAGGAGGCUCGGUGGAGGGAGGAGGAGGCUCGGUGGGGAAGCUCGCCGGCGGGAGGCAGGGGAGGGCCCGCCGAGGGGUGAGGGGGAAGGCCGCCGGCGGGAAGGAUUUGGGAGGGAGGAGGCGAGGUGGAGUGAAGGGGGGCGACGGGAUGGGAUCUGGCUCGGUUCGUGGGGAGGAGAGGGUCGUGGGGGUGGGGGCUGUCUCUCGUGGGGUGGGAGGACCGAGAGAGAGAGGGAGUGUCGGUGGGGGGUGGGGCCCCCCACGAGGGGGGGUGGCUGGCGGCGGCGGUGGGAGUAGCGAGGGAGGGGCUCGCCUCUCGCUAGGGUUUGGCGAGAGGGGCGCGGGAGGUGGCCGGCUGGGCCUUGAGCCCAGUUGGGCCAGGGGGUUUGUUUACCUUUUUUUUUGAUAUGUUUUAUUUUGUUUUCGUUUGUUUUCCCUGUUUCCUUUUUUUCUUAUUAUUUCUUUCUUUCAAUUUUCUUUUCUUUCUCUUAUCAUUUUUUUUAUACUUUCCCUUUUUUUUACAUAUAUGUUCUUUCGAUAUUUGUCAUGAAUUUAUAAUACACUUUUCUUUUGUCCUCAAAUUUUGAACCCGGAUAGGCUUGAAUCAACGCGGGUCUGAGAUGGAAAUUCGGUGAUGUGGCAUCAUUAGCGGUUGAUCACUGUAGCUUAAUUACAAUCACUACUGUAGUAAAAGUCGAGGAUGUCACAAACAUCCACGGCCUUCAAUAUGCCUUGGUGCCGAUCGGAUAUGAUGCAUACCUCCCUAUUGGGAGGAAUCACCGUGCUUCUCACAAGUCUCAUGAACCAUUUCCAGUUGUCUUGGUUCUCCACUAACACCAAAGCAAAUGCUGUUGGAAUUGUGCCCUAGAGGCAAUAAUAAAUAUAGUUAUUAUUAUAAUUCAUGUAUCAAGAUAAUCGUUUAUUAUCCAUGCUAUAAUUGUAUUGAAUGAAGACUCAUUUACAUGUGUGGAUACAUAGACAAAACACCGUCCCUAGCAUGCCUCUAGUUGGCUAGCCAGUUGAUCGAUGAUAGUCAGUGUCUUCUGAUUAUGAACAAGGUGUUGUUGCUUGAUAACUGGAUCACGUCAUUAGGAGAAUCACGUGAUGGACUAGACCNNNNNNNNNNNNNNNNNNNNNNNNNNNNNNNNNNNNNNNNNNNNNNNNNNNNNNNNNNNNNNNNNNNNNNNNNNNNNNNNNNNNNNNNNNNNNNNNNNNNAGACCCAAACUAAUGAACGUAGCAUGUUGAUCGUGUCAUUUUGUUGCUACUGUUUUUCUGCGUGUCAAGUAUUUAUUCCUAUGACCAUGAGAUCAUAUAACUCGCUGGCACCGGAGGAAUACCUUGUGUGUAUCAAACGUCACAACGUAACUGGGUGACUAUAAAGAUGCUCUACAGGUCCGAAGGUGUUCGUUGAGUUAGUAUGGAUCAAGACUUGGAUUUGUCACUCCGUGUGACGGAGAGGUAUCUCGGGGCCCACUCGGAAAUACAACAUCACACACAAGCCUUGCAAGCAAUGUGACUUAGUGUAAGUCACGGGAUCUUGUAUUACGGAACAAGGAAAGAGACUUGCCGGUAAACGAGAUUGAAAUAAGUAUGCGGAUACCGACGAUCGAAUCUCGGGCAAGUAACAUACCGAAGGACAAAGGGAAUGACAUACGGGAUUAUAUGAAUCCUUGACACUGAGGUUCAACCGAUAAGAUCUUUGGAAAAUAUGUAGGAUCCAAUAUGGGCAUCCAGGUCCCGCUAUUGGAUAUUGACCGAGGAGUCUCUCGAGUCAUGUCUACAUAGUUCUCGAACCCGCAGGGUGUGCACACUUAAGGUUCGACGAUGUUUUAUGCGUAUUUGAGUUAUAUGGUUGGUUACCGAAUAUUGUUCGGAGUCCCGGAUGAGAACACGGACGUCAGGAGGGUUUUCGGAAUGGUCCGGAGACGAUGAUUGAUAUAUAGGAUGANNNNNNNNNNNNNNNNNNNNNNNNNNNNNNNNNNNNNNNNNNNNNNNNNNNNNNNNNNNNNNNNNNNNNNNNNNNNNNNNNNNNNNNNNNNNNNNNNNNNAUGAUCAUGUUGUAAUAGAAAUAUCGACUUGCACGUCGAUGGUACGGCAACCGGCAGGAGCCAUAGGGUUGUCUUUAUACUAACGUUUGUGCUUGCAGAUGCGUUUACUAUUUUGCUAGGAUGUAGCUUUAGUAGUAAUAGCAUGAGUAGCACGACAACCCCGAUGGCAACACGUUGAUGGAUGAUCAUGGUGUGGCGCCGGUGACAAGAAGAUCGUGCCGGUGCUUUGGUGAUGGAGAUCAAGAAGCACGUGAUGAUGGCCAUAUCAUGUCACUUAUGAAUUGCAUGUGAUGUUAAUCCUUUAUGCACCUUAUUUUGCUUAGAACGACGGUAGCAUUAUGAGGUGAUAUCUCACUAAAAUUUCAAGACGAAAUUGUGUUCUCCCCGACUGUGCACCGUUGCUACAGUUCGUCGUUUCGAGACACCAUGUGAUGAUCGGGUGUGAUAGACUCAACGUUCACAUACAAUGGGUGCAAAACAGUUGCGCACGCGGAACACUCGGGUUAAGCUUGACGAGCCUAGCAUGUGCAGACAUGGCCUCGGAACACAUGAUACCGAAAGGUCGAUCAUGAAUCAUAUAGUUGAUAUGAUUAGCAUAGGGAUGCUUACCAGUGAAACUAUACUCAACUCACGUGAUGAUCGGACUUGGGAUAGUGUAAGUGGAUCAUGAACCACUCAAAUGACUAGAGAGAUGUACUUUUUGAGUGGGAGUUUAGCAUAUAAUUUGAUUAAGUUGAACUCUAAUUAUCUUGAACAUAGUCUAAGUCCACUUUGAAUAUAUUUGUGUUGUAGAUCAUGGCUCACGCGACAGUCAUCCUGAUUUUUAAUACGUUCCUAGAGAAAGCUAAGUUGAAAGAUGAUGGAAGCAACUUUGUAGACUGGGCUCGUAAUCUUAAGCUAAUCUUACAAGCUGGGAAAAAGGAUUAUGUCCUUAAUGCUGCGCUAGGAGAUGAACCACCCGCUACGGCUGAUCAGGAUGUUAAGAACCCUUGGUUAGCACGUAAGGAGGACUACUCAAUAGUUCCAUGUGCAGUCUUGUAUGGCUUAGAACCGGGACUUCAACGUCGCUUUGAGCGUCAUGGAGCAUUUGAGAUGUUCCAGGAGUUGAAGUUUAUCUUUCAGAAGAACGCCCGGAUCGAGAGGUAUGAGACCUCCGAUAAAUUCUAUGCUUGCAAGAUGGAGGAAAACUCGUCUGUCAGUGAACAUGUGCUCAAAAUGUCUGGGUACUCAAACCGUCUAGCUGAGCUGGGGAUUGAACUCCCGCAAGAGGCUAUCACUGACAGAAUCCUUCAAUCACUGCCGCCAAGCUAUAAAGGCUUUGUGUUGAACUACAACAUGCAAGGGAUGAACAAGUCUCCCGGCGAGUUGUUUGCGAUGCUGAAAGUCGCAGAGUCUGAACUCCGUAAAGAGCAUCAAGUGUUGAUGGUGAAUAAGACCACUAGUUUCAAGAGAAACAGCAAAGGCAAGCAGGGAAAUUCGAAGAAGAGCGGCAAGCCUGUUGCCAAUCCGUCGAAGAAACCCAAAGCUGGACCUAAGCCUGAAACGGAGUGUUACUAUUGCAAGGGUAUGGGUCACUGGAAGCGCAAUUGCCUCAAGUAUCUGGCAGAUAAGAAGGCGGGGCAAAGAAAAAUCAGGUAUAUUUGAUAUACAUGUUAUUGAUGUGUACUUAACCGGCUCUCGUAGUAGUGCCUGGGUAUUCGAUACCGGUUCUGUUGCUCAUAUUUGCAACUCGAAACAGGAACUACGGAAUAGACGAAGGCUGGCGAAAGAUGAAGUGACGAUGCGCAUAGGAAAUGGUUCCAAGGUUGAUGCAAUCGCCGUCGGCACAGUGUCACUUCAACUACCGUCGGGAUUAGUGAUGAACUUAAAUCAUUGUUAUUUAGUGCCUGCGUUGAGCAUGAACAUUAUAUCUGGAUCUUGUUUAUUGCGAGACGGUUACUCUUUUAAGUCAGAGAAUAAUGGUUGUUCUAUUUCUAUGAGUAACAUCUUUUAUGGUCAUGCACCGAAUGUGAGAGGAUUGUUCAUAUUGAAUCUUGAUAGCGAUACGCAUAUACAUAACAUUGAGACAAGAGUUAGAGUAAACAAUGAUAGCGCCAUAUUUUUGUGGCACUCCCGCUUAGGUCAUAUUGGUGUAAAGCGCAUGAAGAAACUCCAUGCUGAUGGACUUUUGGAGUCACUUGACUUUGAUUCACUUGACAUGUGCGAACCAUGCCUCAUGGGCAAGAUGACUAAGACUCCGUUCUCCGGAACAAUGGAGCGUGCAAGUGACUUAUUGGAAAUCAUACAUACCGAUGUGUGUGGUCCGAUGAGCGUGGAGGCACGCGGCGGAUAUCGUUAUUUUCUCACCUUCACUGACGAUUUGAGUAGGUAUGGCUAUGUCUACUUGAUGAAGCACAAGUCUGAAACAUUUGAAAAGUUCAAGCAAUUUCAGAGUGAAGUGGAAAAUCAUCGUAACAAGAAGAUCAAGUUCCUACGGUCUGAUCGUGGGGGUGAAUAUCUGAGUUUCGAGUUUGGUGAUCACUUAAGAAAAUGUGGAAUUGUUUCACAGUUGACACCGCCUGGAACACCACAGCGUAAUGGUGUGUUCGAACGUCGUAGUCGUACUUUGUUAGAGAUGGUGCGAUCUAUGAUGUCUCUUACUGAUUUGCCGUUAUCAUUUUGGGGUUAUGCAUUAGAAACAGCUGCAUUCACUUUAAAUAGGGCACCAUCAAAAUCCGUUGAGACGACACCAUACGAACUGUGGUAUGGCAAAAAGCCAAAGUUGUCGUUUCUUAAAGUUUGGGGAUGUGAUGCUUAUGUCAAAAAGCUUCAGCCUGAAAAGCUGGAACCCAAAGCGGAAAAGUGCGUCUUCAUAGGUUACCCAAAAGAGACAGUUGGGUACACCUUCUAUCUCAAAUCCGAGGGCAAAGUGUUUGUUGCUAAGAACGUAACUUUUCUCGAGAAGGAGUUUCUCUCAAGAGAAUUGAGUGGGAGGAAGAUAGAACUUGACGAGGUUGUCGAACCUCUCAUCCCUCUGGAUGGUGGCGCAGGGCAAGGGGAAACCUCUGUAGUUGCGACGCCGGUUGGGGAGGAAGUUAAUGAUGAUGAUCAUGAAACUCCAGUUCAAGUUUCUGUUGAACCACGCGGGUCGACGAGAUCACGUGCUGCUCCAGAGUGGUACGGUAAUCCCGUCUUAUCAAUCAUGUUGUUAGACAACAAUGAACAUGCAAAUUAUGAAGAAGCAAUGGUGGGCCCAGAUUCCAACAAAUGGCUAGAAGCCAUGAAGUCCGAGAUAGGAUCCAUGUAUGAGAACAAAGUGUGGACUUUGGAGAUACUACCUGAGGGCCGCAAGGCUAUUCAGAACAAAUGGAUCUUUAAGAAGAAGACGGACGCUGACGGCAAUGUGACCGUUUAUAAAGCUCGACUUGUGGCAAAGGGUUUUUCACAAGUUCCAUGAGUUGACUACGAUGAGACUUUCUCACCCGUAGCGAUGCUUAAGUCCGUCAGAAUCAUGUUAGCAAUAGCUGCAUUUUUCGAUUAUGAAAUCUGGCAGAUGGAUGUCAAAACGGCGUUCCUUAACGGUUUCCUUAAGGAAGAGUUGUAUAUGAUGCAACCCGAAGGUUUUGUCGAUCCUAAGAAUGCUAACAAGGUGUGCAAGCUCUAGCGAUCCAUUUAUGGACUGGUGCAAGCAUCUCGGAGUUGGAACAAACGCUUUGAUGAGGUGAUCAAUGCAUUUGGGUUUAUACAAGUGGUUGGAGAAUCUUGUAUUUACAAGAAAGUGAGUGGGAGCUCUGUGGCAUUUCUAAUAUUAUAUGUGGAUGACAUAUUACUGAUUGGAAACAACGUAGAGCUUUUGGAGAGCAUAAAAGGUUACUUGAAUAAAAGUUUCUCUAUGAAGGACCUAGGAGAAGCUGCUUACAUUCUAGGCAUUAAGAUCUAUAGGGAUAGAUCAAAACGCCUGAUAGGACUUUCACAAAGCACAUACCUUGAUAAAGUUUUGAAGAGGUUCAAAAUGGAACAGUCCAAGAAAGGGUUCUUGCCAGUUUUACAAGGUACGAGAUUGAGUAAGACUCAGUGCCCAGCAACUGAUGAAGAUAGAGAGCAUAUGCGCUCCUUCCCCUAUGCUUCAGCCAUAGGUUCUAUCAUGUAUGCAAUGCUGUGCACUAGACCGGAUGUUAGCCUGGCCAUAAGUAUGGCAGGUAGGUUCCAAAGUAAUCCAGGAGUGGAUCACUGGACAGUGGUCAAGAAUAUCCUGAAGUACCUGAAAAGGACUAAGGAGAUGUUUCUCGUAUAUGGAGGUGACGAAGAGCUCGCCGUAAAAGGUUACGUCGAUGCAAGCUUUGACACAGAUCCGGACGACUCUAAGUCGGAAACCGGAUACGUAUUUAUUCUUAAUGGGGGUGCAGUAAGCUGGUGCAGUUCCAAGCAAAGCGUCGUAGCAGAUUCUACAUGUGAAGCGGAGUACAUGGCUGCCUCGGAGGCGGCUAAGGAGGGUGUCUGGAUGAAGCAGUUCAUGACGGAGCUUGGAGUGGUGCCAAGCGCACUGAAUCCAAUAACCUUGUUCUGUGACAACACGGGUGCCAUUGCCUUAGCAAAGGAACCACGGUUUCACAAGAAGAUCAGACACAUCAAACGACGCUUCAACCUCAUCCGCGACUACGUCGAGGAAGAUGACGUAAAUAUAUGCAAAGUGCACACGGAUCUGAAUGUAGCAGACCCGCUGACUAAACCUCUUCCACGGCCAAAACAUGAUCGACACCAGAACUGUAUGGGUGUUAGAUUUAUUACAAUGUAAUUCACAUGGUGAUGUGAGGGCUAGAUUAUUGACUCUAGUGCAAGUGGGAGACUGUUGGAAUUGUGCCCUAGAGGCAAUAAUAAAUAUAGUUAUUAUUAUAAUUCCUGUAUCAAGAUAAUCGUUUAUUAUCCAUGCUAUAAUUGUAUUGAAUGAAGACUCAUUUACAUGUGUGCAUACAUAGACAAAACACCGUCCCUAGCAUGCCUCUAGUUGGCUAGCCAGUUGAUCGAUGAUAGUCAGUGUCUUCUGAUUAUGAACAAGGUGUUGUUGCUUGAUAACUGGAUCACGUCAUUAGGAGAAUCACGUGAUGGACUAGACCCAAACUAAUAGACGUAGCAUGUUGAUCGUGUCAUUUUGUUGCUACUGUUUUCUGCGUGUCAAGUAUUUGUUCCUAUGACCAUGAGAUCAUAUAACUCACUGACACCGGAGGAAUGCUUUGUGUGUAUCAAACGUCGCAACGUACCUGGGUGACUAUAAAGGUGCUCUACAGGUAUCUCCGAAGGUGUUAGUUGAGUUAGUAUGGAUCAAGACUGGGAUUUGUCACUCCGUGUGACGGAGAGGUAUCUCGGGGCCCACUCGGUAAUACAACAUCACACACAAGCCUUGCAAGCAAUGUAACUUAGUGUAAGUUGCGGUAUCUUGUAUUACGGAACGAGUAAAGAGACUUGCCGGUAAACGAGAUCUAAAUAGGUAUGCGGAUACUGACGAUCGAAUCUCGAGCAAGUAACAUACCGAAGGACAAAGGGAAUGAUAUACGGGAUUAUAUGAAUCCUUGACACUGAGGUUCAAACGAUAAGAUCUUCGUAGAAUAUGUGGGAUCCAAUAUGGGCAUCCAGGUCCUGCUAUUGGAUAUUGACCGAGGAGUCUCUCGGGUCAUGUCUACAUAGUUCUCGAACCCGCAGGGUCUGCACACUUAAGGUUCGACGUUGUUUUAUGCGUAUUUGAGUUAUAUGGUUGGUUACCGAAUGUUGUUCGGAGUCCCGCAUGAGAUCACGGACGUCAUGAGGGUUUCCGGAAUGGUCCGGAAACAAAGAUUGAUAUAUAGGAUGACCUCAUUUGAUUACCGGAAGGUUUUCGGAGUUACCGGGAAUGUAUCGGGAAUGACGAAUGGGUUCCGGGAGUUCACCGGGGGGGGGCAACCCACCCCGGGGAAGCCCAUAGGCCUUGAGAGUGGCACACCAGCCCUUANNNNNNNNNNNNNNNNNNNNNNNNNNNNNNNNNNNNNNNNNNNNNNNNNNNNNNNNNNNNNNNNNNNNNNNNNNNNNNNNNNNNNNNNNNNNNNNNNNNNUGGUUAGGGUUAUGCCUAGUUUGGUUGGACAAGGGUUAGGGUUAGUGUUAGGUUUUGUGUUAUGCCUAAUUUGGAUGGACAAGGUUUAGGGUUAGGGUUUGUGUUAAUGCCUAAUUUGGAUGCAAAUGGUUAGGGUAAUGUUNNNNNNNNNNNNNNNNNNNNNNNNNNNNNNNNNNNNNNNNNNNNNNNNNNNNNNNNNNNNNNNNNNNNNNNNNNNNNNNNNNNNNNNNNNNNNNNNNNNNNNNNNNNNNNNNNNNNNNNNNNNNNNNNNNNNNNNNNNNNNNNNNNNNNNNNNNNNNNNNNNNNNNNNNNNNNNNNNNNNNNNNNNNNNNNNNNNNNNNNNNNNNNNNNNNNNNNNNNNNNNNNNNNNNNNNNNNNNNNNNNNNNNNNNNNNNNNNNNNNNNNNNNNNNNNNNNNNNNNNNNNNNNNNNNNNNNNNNNNNNNNNNNNNNNNNNNNNNNNNNNNNNNNNNNNNNNNNNNNACAAAUAUGAGGAAGUGUUGACAUUUCUUGAUAGUCCUACUUAUGAAGAGGUUGUGGCAGAAACUCGGAUAAGAUUGAAGUGGGUUGAUCCAAGUGACCACGUAGAAUUAUUAGGAACAUAUGAUGUUGGGUCGACACACAAGUGUCGAAUGAAGACAAUGCCUAUCAAGUCUAAUUUGCAUUGGCUUGCAUACAAGGAGGAUGUUGCAUCCUCGAUAGACAAGUCACUCGAAGUGUUUGCUAGUACGGUGCUCAAUGCUCCUCUUCAUGUUGACUUGAACCAACCCUUAGUAGAUGAUUUGAGCCCGUAUAAUGGUGUGGCACCUAUUGUUGAGCAUAAAGUAGAAGUGCAAGUCAAUGAGUAUCCCCAAUAUGAGUUUGGAGGUAGUGCACCGAUCAAAGAUGAUGGUCAUGAGUCCGACGAAGAGUAUGAGAGGCAACACAACAUUGUUGGUGACGUAGAGGCUCAAGUAAGGCAUGAUGACAUGGAUCCUGACAUUGUUUAUCAGCGUGCUUGUGUGGANNNNNNNNNNNNNNNNNNNNNNNNNNNNNNNNNNNNNNNNNNNNNNNNNNNNNNNNNNNNNNNNNNNNNNNNNNNNNNNNNNNNNNNNNNNNNNNNNNNNACACUAAUGAUAGCAAUGACACAUGAUGAUAAUGAUCAGGUGUUGCCUGUGGCAUUUGUUGGGGAACGUCGCAUGGAAAACAAAAAUUUUCCUACGCGCACGAAGACCUAUCAUGGUGAUGUCCAUCUACGAGAGGGGAUGAGUGAUCUACGUACCCUUGUAGAUCGUACAGCAGAAGCGUUAGAGAACGCGGUUGAUGUAGUGGAACAUCGUCACGUCCCUCGAUCCGCCCCGCGAACUAUCCCGCGAUCAGUCCCACGAUCUAGUACCGAACGGACGGCACCUCCGCGUUCAGCACACGUACAGCUCGACGAUGAUCUCGGCCUUCUUGAUCCAGCAAGAGAGACGGAGAGGUAGAAGAGUUCUCCGGCAGCGUGACGGCGCUCCGGAGGUUGGUGAUGACCUUGUCUCAGCAGGGCUCCGCCCGAGCUCUGCAGAAACGCGAUCUAGAGGAAAAACCGUGGAGGUAUGUAGUCGGGCAGCCGUGGAAAAGCCGUCUCAAAUCAGCCCUAAAACCUCCGUAUAUAUAGGUGGGAGGGAGGGGACCUUGCCUUGGGGCUCAAGGAGCCCCAAGGGGGUCGGCCGAGUCCAAGGGGGAGGACUCUCCCCCCCCCAAACCAAGUUGGACUAGGUUUGGUGGGAGGGAGUCCCCCUUCCUUCCCACCUCCUCCUUUUUUUUUCUUUCUCUCUUGAUUUUCUUCUCCUUGGCGCAUAGAGCCUUUUGGGCUGUCCCACCAGCCCACUAAGGGCUGGUGUGCCACNNNNNNNNNNNNNNNNNNNNNNNNNNNNNNNNNNNNNNNNNNNNNNNNNNNNNNNNNNNNNNNNNNNNNNNNNNNNNNNNNNNNNNNNNNNNNNNNNNNNACUUAGUGUAAGUUGCGGGAUCUUGUAUUACGGAACGAGUAAAGAGACUUGCCGGUAAAUGAGAUUGAAAUAGGUAUGCGGAUACUGACGAUCGAAUCUCGGGCAAGUAACAUACCGAAGGACAAAGGGAAUGACAUACGGGAUUAUAUGAAUCCUUGACACUGAGGUUCAAACGAUAAGAUCUUCGUAGAAUAUGUGAUAUCCAAUAUGGGCAUCCAGGUCCCGCUAUUGGAUAUUGACCGAGGAGUCUCUCGGGUCAUGUCUACAUAGUUCUCGAACCCGCAGGGUCUGCACACUUAAGGUUCGACGUUGUUUUAUGCGUAUUUGAGUUAUAUGGUUGGUUACCGAAUGUUGUUCGGAGUCCCGGAUGAGAUCACGGACGUCACGAGGGUUUCCGGAAUGGUCCGGAAACGAAGAUUGAUAUAUAGGAUGACCUCAUUUGAUUACCGGAAGGUUUUCGGAGUUACCGGGAAUGUACCGGGAAUGACGAAUGGGUUCCGGGAGUUCACCGGGGGGGGCAACCCACCCCGGGGAAGCCCAUAGGCCUUGAGGGUGGCACACCAGCCCUUANNNNNNNNNNNNNNNNNNNNNNNNNNNNNNNNNNNNNNNNNNNNNNNNNNNNNNNNNNNNNNNNNNNNNNNNNNNNNNNNNNNNNNNNNNNNNNNNNNNNGGGCGGGGCGGCCACGGCGGCCGGGGUGGAACCCUCCAUGGCGGCGACGGCGCGGGACGAGCUGGGAAGGCGAGGCAGUUUUGCCUCCCGCGCGAUUUGGGAAGAGGACUGUGGGUUGGGGGCAGUCCCCCCCCCCCCANNNNNNNNNNNNNNNNNNNNNNNNNNNNNNNNNNNNNNNNNNNNNNNNNNNNNNNNNNNNNNNNNNNNNNNNNNNNNNNNNNNNNNNNNNNNNNNNNNNNNNNNNNNNNNNNNNNNNNNNNNNNNNNNNNNNNNNNNNNNNNNNNNNNNNNNNNNNNNNNNNNNNNNNNNNNNNNNNNNNNNNNNNNNNNNNNNNNNNNNNNNNNNNNNNNNNNNNNNNNNNNNNNNNNNNNNNNNNNNNNNNNNNNNNNNNNNNNNNNNNNNNNNNNNNNNNNNNNNNNNNNNNNNNNNNNNNNNNNCCCCCCCCCCCCAACCCUCACUUCUAUAGGCUGGGAAGGGGUUUGAGGGUUCGACCUCUAAUUUUUUUUACGGUUUUAAGGGUUUAAGGGUUCUAUUCUACACCAUUUUUUCGAUGAAAACUGUAAAAAAAACGUUUAUUUUUAAGGGUUUGAGGAUUUGAGGACUCUACUAGAGAUGCUCUAACACUAGCAACAAGCCAAUAAACCGUUACAACAACUUCAACGGGCCGAUCCAAAUGGACAGCGAUGUCAUUCGCUUUUUGUCCGUUUGGGUCGGUCGUCCGUCCAGCGUCCGCCCUGUUUUAGAUAUGAGUCGACAGCACGUCCAACGCACCGACUCAUAUGUGCCGGCGUGGUCGGCUAACCGUCCUAUGUUGCAUGAUUUUUAUAGUUUGAAUCAAAUAACAUAAUUUGAACCAAAAAUAGCAUAGUUAUUACAAGCCGAAUAAAAAUAAAAAUACAUCACAUAGUUCUCACAUAGUUUUGCAAACGAAUAAAAGAAGAUAAAUCUAUUAGUUUCCAACAUGAGCCCACAUAUGCUCAACCAAAUCAUUUUGCAGUUGCACGUGAGUUUCCCAAUCACGCAUGUGUGGAUGAAAUUGGAUGAACUAUUCAAACGUUGCCGCUCCUCCAUGCUCAGGCACAACAUUCUCACCCUGAAACUGAAACCCUUGAUCGUACAGACGUUCCGGGCGGUCGUCUUCUACGAUCAUAUUAUGCAUAGUCACACAAGCAAUCAUCACUUCCCACAGUUUCUACGUGCUCCAGAUAUUAGCAGGAUACCGAACGAUGCUCCAUCGAGAUUGCAAAACACCAAAGGCACGCUCGACAUCCUUCCUAGCACCAUCUUGCUCUUGGGCAAAUCUUUUCCUCUUCUCUCCGACAGGGUUGGGUAUUGUCUUGACAAUAGUGGUCCACUGAGGAUAGUUACCGUCACCCAAGUAGUAUCCUUUGUCGUAAUUGUGGCCGUUGAUAGUAAAGUUCACCGGUGGGCUGUUGCCUUCGGUAAGCCUAGCAAACACCGGCGAGCGCUGAAGCACGUUCAUAUCAUUGUGUGAUCCGGCCAUGCCAAAGAAAGAGUGCCAGAUCCAGAGAUCUUCAGACGCAACGGCCUCUAGUAUGAGAGUGCAAGCCUUGACAUGGCCCUUAUACUGCCCUUGCCAAGCAGAAGGGCAGUUCUUCCACUCCCAGUGCAUGCAGUCCAUGCUACAAUCAUCCCUGGGAAGCCCCUGCUGGCAUUCAUCGCCAACAAACGAGCUAUAUCUUCAACAGUCGGCUCUCUCAAGUACUCAGGGCCAAACACAACAAUAACAACCUUGCAUAACUUAUACAGGGACUCUAGGCAAGUAGACUCUUUCAUACGGAUAUACUCGUCAAUAAGAUCACCAGGCACUCCGUAUGCAAGCAUUCGGAUGGCGGCACUGCAUUUCUGAUAAGAGGAAAAACCUAUCUUGCCAACGACAUCCUCUUUGCACUCGAAAUAGUCAUCAUAGCCGACCACCCCCUCUCUAAUACGGUUGAAAAGAUGCCUACUCAUACGGAAACGACGACGUAAUUUUUGAUGCUUGUACAACGGGUUUGUUGUAUCAAAGUAGUCCUUCCAAAGAGGGAAAUGCCCGCUCUCUCGGUUAUGAUUCAACACCGGAAGGUGGCCCGGAAUGGAGCUACGGAACAACGGCUGCCGGCUGUUGAGAUAGUGAUGGACCAACACGGCAACCAAUAUCUCCUCAUCAUCAUCGGGCCAUGAUCGAACGAUCGUUCCCUCGUUACAACAGAAGCGCCCUGAUCAGGGCCACCCUAAUUACCAACGCGGUUUUGGUUCCCUCUCGCCAGCGCACAUAAAAGGAUGGAGAGUAGCCGACACCUACGUGAGAUAUCGAUUCCCGUAUGGUCUACUCCUACUCCUUCUAUCCGUAAAACCCUAACCGAUCUGGGGGAGCGCUGCACGAUUGGAAGACCAUCACCAAGCUAUGCUCCUGUUCCACAGUAGCGCCGGUGGCACCCGGAGGGCCGCCGCUUCCCGCUACGACCGUCUGCCCCGAGCCUGCAUCACGUGUGCAUCGAGCAGGCACGGGACAUCGCAUCGCCUACACCAAUGACCUCAACCAUUGGUGGUAAGAACCAAUAUCUCUCUCACUUGUUAUGAUUAGGUGAUCUAAUGGCUAGGCAUUAGAUCCACUCGUGUUAAUCUUACGGGAUUAUGACUAUAAAUGGUAUCUUGAGCCGGUUAUGCCUAGAUUAGAUCCCUAAGUAUGAUCAAAUCAGGUUCUCCUAGUCUCAUUAUGCCACGUUUCCGCUUCAUGUUUUAAGGAUUAGGCCAUAUUUUAUGUUCCUGUUAAAGCAUGUAGAAGUAGGGGAUUCGAAUGUUUUAAGAAUCAGGAAAUUACCCCAAAUUGACAGAAUCCGAAACCCUAGGUCAAUCCCCAUUUUUUUUGUGUGCAAAUCCCAAUCAGAACGAAAUGUAUGAAUUUUGGGGAUAGAUGGUUUGGGGCUCACCUAGUUGACGUCGGCCCUCGGGUCCACGCAGCCGCCGCGGUGCGUGCGCCCAUGGCCGAAACGCCACCAUCUCUCGGGACGACGUGCAGGAAGAUGCAGCCGCGCCGCUGCGCUCACGGACGCAUGCGUCACAUGGCCUAUGCGCCUUGCACGUUGUCGUGGCCGACGAAAUGCAUCACCGGAGCCACGCUCGACGGAGGAGCACGCGGGACGAAGUCCCCUGCACGCUGCUCCGGCGAGUGCAGCUGUCGCAUCGCCAUCUCCAGCGCCCUUGCUAUCGCCGAAGCCAACGAAGUUGGCCACCCGCGUAUACGACUUUUCGUUGCGGUCGUUUUGGCAGGCCGUGGAGUUCAAACGGAGUUUGUAAGACCAAAUUUCACCCGUUCUACGGAUACAACCUAAAUGGAUCUUAGCACCGGGGCAGACCGUGGGUCGAGUUUCAAAGGUAAGUUGAUCGCGCCGGGGAGCCAUCUUUCACCACUAAGAAUGACCUUUUAUUUUGCAUGUAAAUGAUAAGAGCGCAGAAGAGCUGUAUGCACAUUUUUGUCCAAGAAUGACACAUGUUCUUGCCCAAACAUGCGGAUGGCAGCGGGAUGGGUGAUAGAGCAUGCAAAACUUCAUUUUUGGGGGUUUUGGUGCACCGAGAAGCGUCCUCCUUCUAUCCAGACUAACAUGUAGGCCUUGUUGGAGCACAAAUAGAAUCAUAUCACAUUAUUAUGUAUGUUAUUGUCCCAAUAUGUGUCCGUGGGAGAGCUUACGAAACGAUGGUAGAGGCUAGGAGUGUGCACGCCAAUGAUUAAAUCAUCAGGAACUCAAAUUUUCAAGCCGUUUUUGGGCUGUGAAAAUUGCCGAAGUCGACGAAGUUGGCCAUCGGGGAAUCCGACUUUCGUUGUGGUUGUUUUGGCAUGUCGUGGAGCUCAAACGGAGUUCGUAUGACCAAAUUACGCUGGUUCUACACAUACAACCUAAACUGAUGUCACCACCGGGGCAGACCGUGGGUCGAAUUUCAAAGGUAAUUUUAUCGCGCCGGGGAGCCAUCUUUCACCACUUAGAAUGACCUAUUAUUUUUCGUGUAAACGAUAAGAGCGUAUAAGAGCUGCUAUGCACAUUUUCGUCCAAGAACGACGCAUGUUCUUGCCCAAUCAUGCGGAUGAUAGCGGGAUGGGUGAUAGAGCAUGCAAAACUUCAUUUUUCGGGUUUUGGUCAACCGAGGAGCCUCCUCCUUCUAUCCAGACUGACAUGUAGGCCUUGUUGGUGCACAGAUUGAAUUAUAUCACAUUAUUUUGUAUGUUAUUGUCCCAAUAUAUGCUCGUGGGUGAGCUCACGGAACGAUGGUAGAGGGUAGGAGUGUGCACGCCAGCGAUUAAAUCAUCAGAAACUCAAAUUUGCAAGCCGUUUUUGGUCUCCAAACGUUGGCAAAGCCAACAAAGUGGGCCACCCGGGUAUACGAAUUUUCAUUGCGGUCAUUUUGGCAGGUCGUGGAGCUCAAACAGAGUUUGUAUGACCAAAUUACGCUCGUUCUACGGAUACAACCUAAAUGGAUUUCAGCACCGGGGAAGACCGUGGGUCGAGUUUCAAAGGUAAGUUGAUCGUGCCGGGGAGCCAUCUUUAACCACUCAUAAUGACCUAUUAUUUUGCGUGUAAAUGAUAAGAGCGCAUAAGAGCUGCUAUGCACAUUUUCGUCCAAGAACGACGCAUGUUCUUGCCCAAACAUGCGGAUGGCAGCGGGAUGGGUGAUAGAGCAUGCAAAACUUCAUUUUUUGGGGUUUUGGUUCCCCGAGGGGCCUCCUCCUUCUAUCCUGACAUGUAGGCCUUGUUGGUGCACAAAUAGAAUCAUAUCACAUUAUUAUGUAUGUUAUUGUCCCAAAAUGUGUCAGUGGGAGAGCUCACAAAACGAUGGUAGAGGCUAGGAGUGUGUACGCCAACGAUUAAAUCAUCAAGAACUCAAAUUUGCAAGCUGUUUUUGGCCUGUGAAACAUUGCCGAAGCCAACAAAGUUGUCCACCGGGGUAUCUGAAUUUUCGUUGCGGUCGUUUUGGCAGGUCGUGGAGCUAGAACGGAGUCUGUAUGACCAAAUUACGCGUGUUGUACGCAUACAACCUAAAUGGAUUUCAGCAUUGAGGCACACUGUGAGUCGAGUUUCAAAGGUAAGUUGAUCGCGUCGGGGAGCCAUCUUUCACCACUGAGAAUGACCUAUUAUUUUGCGUGUCAAUGCUAAGAGCGCAUUAUAAAACUGGUCGGAAUACGCCAAAACUGCGAGUUUUGACGAGUUCCCCAUAAACGGUCCCCGGGUUUCCCGAAAUGUUUUGAUCGCAGCGGUACGCAAAAUCAAUGACUAAUAGGAUAGGAAACUGGCUGGAAUAGGCCAAAACUGCGAGUUUUCACGAGUUCCCCGUAACCGGACCCCUGGGUUCCGAGAUGUUGGGAUCACACCGGGACCCAAAAUCAGUGAGUAAUAGCAUACAAAGCUGGCCAGAAUAGGCCAAAACUGCGAGUUUUGACGAGUUCCCCAUAACCGGACCCCGGAUUCCCCGAAAUGUUCAGAUCGCAGCGGUACCCAAAAUCAGUGACUAACAGGAUAGAAAACUCACCCGAGUAGGCCAAAACUACGAGUUUUGACGAGUUCCCCAUAACCGGACCACGAGGUUCCCGUAACGUUCGGAUCGCAUUGGGAGCCAAAAUCAGUGAGCAAAGCCUACAAAACUGGCCAGAAUAUGCCAAAACUGUGAGUUUUGACGAGUUCCCCGUAACCGGACCUCGCGGUCCCAAAACGUUCGGAUCCCAUAGGGACGCAAAAUUAGUGAGCAAUAGCAUAGAAAACUGACCGGAAUAGGCCAAAACUGUGAGUUUUGACGAGUUUCGAGUAACGAGACCCCUGGAUUCCCGAAACGUUCGUAUCGCAUCGGGACCCAAAAUCAAUGACUAAUAGGAUAGAAAUUUGACUGGAAUAAUUUUGACGAGUUCCGUGUAACCGGACCUCGGGGUUCCCGAAUCGUUCGGAUCGCAGCAGGACCCAAAAUAAGUGAGUAAUAGCAUACAAAACUGGCCGGAAUAGUCCACAACUGCGAGUUUUGACGAGUUCCCCGUAACCGGACCAAACGGUUCCCGAAACGUUCGGAUCACAUCGGGACCCAAAAAAGUGACUAAUAGCAUACAAAACUCGCCGGAAUACGCCAAAACUGCGAGUUUUGACGAGUUCCCCAUAACCGGACCUCGGGUUUCCCGAAACAUGCGGAUCACAACGGGACCCAAAAUCAAUGACUAAUAGCAUACAAAACUGACCGGAAUAGGCCAAAAGUGCGAGUUUUUAUGAGUUUCCCGUAACCGGUCCUGGGGGUUCCCAAAGCGUUUAGAUUGUAGCGGGACCCAAAAUCAGUGAUUAACAACAUUCAAAAUUGACCGGAAUAGGCCAAAACUGCGAGUUUUGGCGAGUUCCCUCUAACCGAACCCCGGGGAUCCUGAAGCGUUCGGAUCGCAGCGGGACCCAAAAUCAUUGAUUAAUAGCAUUCAAAACUUGCCGGAAUAGGACAAAACUGCGAGUUUUGACGAGUUCCCCAUAACCGGACCAAAUUGUUCCCGAAACAUUUGGAUAACAUUGGGACCCAAAUUAAGUGACUAAUAGCAUGCAAAACUGGUCGGAAUACGCCAAAAAUGCGAGUUUUGAAAAGUUCCCCAUAACCGGUCCCCGGGUUUCCCGAAAUGUUCGGAUCGCAACGGUACCCAAAAACAGUGACUAAUAGGAUAGAAAACUGGUCGGAAUAGGCCAACACUCCGAGUUUUGACGAGAGCCCCGAAACUGGACCCCGAGGGUCCCGAGAUGUUGGGACCACACCGGGACCCAAAAUCAUUGAGUAAUAGCAUACAAAACUGGCCACAAUAGGGCAAAACUGGGAAUUUUGACGAGUUCCCCAUAACCGGACCACGGGUUUCCCAAAAUGUUCGGAUCCCAGCGGUACCCAAAAUCAGUGACUAAUAGGAUAGAAAACUCGCCCAAAUAGGCCAAAACUACGAGUUUUGACGAGUUCCCCAUAACCGGACCACGGGGUUCCCGAAACGUUCGGAUCGCAUCGGGAGCCAAAAUCAGUGAGUAAUAGCAUACAAAACUAGCCAGAAUAGGCCAAAACUAUGAGUUUUGACGAGUUCCCUGUAACCGGACCCCGCGGUUCCUCAAACGUUCGGAUCGCAUCGGAAUCGAAAAUCAAUGACUAAUAGGGUAGUAAAUAGCCGGAAUAGCCCAAAACUAAGAGUUUUGACGAGUUCCCCGUAACCGGACCAAAGGGUUUCCGAAAUGUUCGGAUCACAGCGGGACCAAAAAUGAGUGACUAAAUGCAUAAAAAACUUGUCGGAAUACGCCAAAACUGCGAGUUUUGACGAGUUCCCCAUAACCGGACCCCGGAUUUCCCGAAAUGUUCGGAUCGCAGCGGUACCCAAAAUCAGCGACUAAGAGGAUAGAAAACUCGCCCGAAUAGGCCAAAACUACGAGUUUUGAUGAGUUCCCCAUAACCGGACCACGGGGUUCCCGAAAUUUUCGGAUCGCAUCGGGAGCUAAAAUUAGUGAGUAAUAGCAUACAAAACAGGCCAGAAUAGGCCAAAAUUGUGAGUUUUGACGAGUUCCCCGUAAUCAAACCCCACGGUUCCCAAAGUGUUCGGAUCGCAUCGGGACCCAAAAUCAAUGACUAAUAGGAUGGAAAACUAGCCGGAAUAGCCCAAAACUGCGAGUUUUGACGAGUUCCCCAUAACCGGACCCCAAGGUUCCCGAAACGUUUGGAUCACAGCGGGACCCAAAAUCAUUGACUAAUUGCAUACAAAAUUGGCCGGAAUAGGCCAAAAAACGAGUUUUGACGAGUUUCCCAUAACCGGACCUCGGGGUUCCCAAAGCGUUCGGAUCGCAAUAAGAACCAAAAUCAGUGAUUAAUAACAUACAAAACUGGCCGGAAUAGGCCAAAACUCCGAGUUUUGACGAGUUCCCCGUAACUGGACCCCGGGGUUCCUGAAACGUUCGGAACGUAGCGAGACCCAAAGUGAGUGAGUAAUAGCAUACAAAACUGGCCAGAAUAGGCUAAAACUGCGAGUUUUGACGAGUUCUGCACAACCGGACCUCGGGGUUCUGGAAACGUUCGGAUCGCAUCGGGACCAAAAAUUAGUGACUAAUAACAUACAAAACUCGUCCGUAUAGGCCAAAAAUGCGAGAUUUUACGAGUUCCCCGUAACCGGACCUCGGGGUUCCCAAAACGUUCGGAUCGUAGCACGCUCCAAAAUCAGUGACUAAUAGGAUAUAAAACUAGCCGGAAUAGGCCAAAACUUCGAGUUUUGACGGGUUCCGCGUAACCGGACUGUGAGGUUUCCGAAACGUGCGGAUCGCAGCGAGACCCAAAAUCAUUGAUUAAUAGCAUACAAAACCUGCCGGAAUAGGCCAAAACUACAAGUUUUGACAAGUUCCCCGUAACCGGACCAAAGGGUUCCCGAAACAUUCGGAUCACAUCGGGACCCAAAAUAAGUGACUAAUAGCAUACAAAACUGGUCGGAAUAUGCCAAAACUGGAGUUUUGAUGAGUUCCCCAUAACCGGUCCCCGGGUUUCCCGAAAUGUUUGGAUCGCGGCGUUACCCAAAAUGAGUGACUAAUAGGAUAGAAAACUGGCCGGAAUAGGCCAAAACUGCGAGUUUCUACGAGUUCCCCGUAAGCGGACCCCGAGGUUCCCGAAAUGUUCGGAUCACACCGGGACCCAAAAUCACUUAGCAAUAGCAUACAAAACUGGCCAAAAUAGGCCAAAAAUGCGAGUUUUGACGAGUUCCCCAUUAUCGGACCCCGGGUUUCCUAAAAUGUUUGGAUCGCAUCGGUACCCAAAAUGAGUGACUAAUACGAUAGAAAAAUCGCCCGAAUAGGCCAAAACUACGAGUUUUGCGAGUUCCCCAUAACCGGACCACGGGGUUCCCGAAAAGUUCGGAUCGCAUUGGGAGCCAAAAUCGGUGAGUAAUAGCAUACAAAGCUGCCAAGAAUAGGCCAAAAUUGUGAGUUUUAAUGAGUUCCCCGUAACCGGACCCGCGGUUCCCGAAACGUUCGGAUCGCAUCGGGACCCAAAAACAAUGACUAACAGGAUAGAAAACUAGCUGGAGUAGCCCAAAACUACGAGACCCAAAAUCAGUGACUAAUUGCAUGCAAAACUGGCCGGAAUAGGCCAAAAAACGUGUUUUGACUGUUGGGGAACGUCGCAUGGGAAACAAAAAAUUUCCUACGCUCACGAAGACCUAUCAUGGUGAUGUCCAUCUAUGAGAGGGGAUUUGGAUCUACGUACCCUUGUAGAUCGCACAGCAGGAAGCGUUAAGAAACGCGGUUGAUGUAGUGGAACGUCCUCACGUCCCUCGAUCCGCCCCGCGAACCGUCCCACGAACCGUCCCGCGAUCCGUUCCACGAUCCGCUCCGAUCUAGUGCCGAACGGACGACACCUCCGCGUUCAGCACACGUACAGCUCGACGAUGAUCUCGGCCUUCUUGAUCUAGCAAGAGAGACGGAGAGGUAGAUGAGUUCUCCGGCAGCAUGAUGGUGCUCCGGAGGUUGGUGAUGAUCAAUCUCAGCAGGGCUCCGCCCGAGCUCCGCAGAAAUACGAUCUAGAGGAAAAACCGUGGAGGUAUCUGGUCGGGCUGCCGUGGCCAAGUUGUCUUAAAUCAGCCCUAAUACCUCAGUAUAUAUAGGAGGGAGGGGGAGGGACCUGCCUUGGGGCUCAAGAGAUCCCCAAGGGGUCGGCCGAAGGGGGGGGGGGAGGAGGAGUCCUCCUCCAAUCCUAGUCCAACUAGGAUUGGAAGGUGGAGUCCUUCUCUAUGUUCCCACUUUCCCUCUUUUUUUUCUUUCUCUUUGAUUUUUUCUCUCUCCUACGCAUAUUGCCUCUUGGGCUGUCCCACCAGCCCACUAAGGGCUGGUGCGGCACCCCUAAGGCCUAUGGGCUUCCCCUAGGUGGGCUGCCCCCCGGUGAACAUCCGGAACCCAUUCGUCACUCCCGGUACAUUCCCGGUAAUGCCGAAAACUUUCCAGUAAUCCAAUAAGGUCAUCCUAUAUAUCAACCUUUGUCUCCGGACCAUUCAGGAAACCCUGGUGACGUCCGUGAUCUCAUCCGGGACUCCGAACAACAUUCGGUAACCAACCAUAUAACUCAAAUACGCAUAAAACAUCAUCGAACCUUAAGCGUGCAGACCGUGCGGGUUCGAGAACUAUGUAGACAUGACCCGAGAGACUCCACGGUCAAUAUCCAAUAGCGGGACUGGAUGCCCAUAUUGGAUCCUACAUAUUCUCCAAUGAUCUUAUCGGUUGAACCUCAGUGCCAAGGAUUCAUAUAAUCACGUAUGUCAUUCCCUUUGUCCUUCAGUAUGUUCCGUAAUACAAGAUCCCGUGACUUACACUAAGUCACAUUGCUUGCAAGGCUUGUGUGUGAUGUUGUAUUACCGAGUGGGCCCCGAGAUACCUCUCCGUCACACGGAGUGACAAAUCCUAGUCUUGAUCCAUACUAACUCAACGGACACCUUCGGAGAUACCUGUAGAGCAUCUUUAUAGUCACCCAGUUAUGUUGUGACGUUUGAUACACACAAGGCAUUCCUCCGGUGCCAGUGAGUUAUAUGAUGUCAUGGUCAUAGGAAUAAAUACUAGACACGCAGAAAACAGUAGCAACAAAAUGACACGAUCAACGUGCUACGUUUAUUAGUUUGGGUCUAGUCCAUCACAUGAUUCACCCAAUGAUGUGAUCCAGUUAUCAAGCAACAACACCUUGCACAUAGUCAGAAGACCUUGACUAUCCUUGAUCAACUGGCUAGCCAACUAGAGGCUUGCUAGGGACAGUGUUUUGUCUAUGUAUCCACACAUGUAUUUAAGACUUCAUUCAAUACAAUUAUAGCAUGGAUAAUAAACGAUUAUCUUGAUACAGGAAUUAUACUAAUAACUUAUUUAUCAUUGCCUCUAGGGCAUAAUUCCAACAGUCUCCCACUUGCACUAGAUUCAAUAAUCUAGUCCACACAUCGUCAUGCGAAUUACAUUGUAAUAAAUCUAACACCCAUACAGUUCUGGUGUUGAUCAUGCUUUGCCCGUGGAAGAGGUUUAGUCAGUGGGUGUGCCACAUUCAGAUCCAUGUGCACUUUGCAGAUAUUCACGUCCUCCUCCUCGACGUAGUCACGGAUGAGGUUGAAGCGUCAUUUGAUGUGUCUGGUCUUCUUGUGAUACCGUGGUUCCUUUGCUAAGGCAAUGGCACCCGUGUUGUCACAAAACAGGGUUAUUGGAUUCAGUGCACUCGGCACUGCUCCAAGAUCCGUCAUGAAGUGCUUCAUCCAGACACCCUCCUUAGCUGCCUCCGAGGCAGCCAUGUACUCCGCUUCACAUGCAGAAUUAGCUACGACGCUUUGCUUGGAACUGCACUAGCUUACCACACCCCCAUUAUGAAUAAAUACGUAUCUGGUCUGCGACUUAGAGUCGUUCAGAUCUGUGUCAAAGCUUGCAUCGACGUAACCUUUUACGGCGAGCUCUUUGUCACCUCCAUAUACGAGAAACAUCUCCUUAGUCCUUUUCAGGUACUUCAGGAUAUUCUUGACCAUCGUCAAGUGAUCCACUCCUGGAUUACUCUGGAACCUACCUGCCAUACUUAUGGCCAGACUUACGUCCGGUCUAGUGCACAUCAUUGCAUACAUGAUAGAACCUAUGGCUGAAGCAUAGGGGACGGAACUCAUAUGCUCUCUAUCUUUAUCAAUUGCUGGGCACUGAGUCUUACUCAAUCUCGUACCUUGUAAAACUGGCAAGAACCCCUUCUUGGACUGUUCCAUUUUGAACCUCUUCAAAACUUUAUCAAGGUACAUGCUUUGCAAAAGUCCUAUCAGGCGUUUUCAUCUAUCCCUAUAGAUGUUUAUGCCUAGAAUGUAAGCAGCUUCUCCUAGGUCCUUCAUAGAGAAACUUUUAUUCAAGUAAUCCUUUAUGCUCUCCAAAAACUCCACGCCAUUUCCAAUCAGUAAUAUGUCAUCCACAUAUAGUAUUAGGAACGCCACAGAGAUCCCACUCACUUUCUUGUAAAUACAGGUUUCUCCAACCACCUGUAUAAACCCAAAUGCUUUGAUCACCUCAUCAAAGCUUUUGUUCCAACUCCGAGAUGCUUGCACCAGUCCAUAAAUGGAUCGCUGGAGCUUCCACACUUUGUUAGCUUUUUUAGGAUCGACAAAGCCUUCGGGUCGUAUCAUAUACAACUCUUCCUUAAGGAAACCAUUAAGGAACGCUGUUUUGACAUCCAUGUGCUAGAUUUCAUAAUCGAAAAAUGCAGCUAUUGCUAACAUAAUUCUGACGGACUUAAGCAUCGCUACGGGUGAGAAUGUCUCAUCGUAGUCAACUCCUUGAACUUGUAAAAAACCCUUUGCCACAAGUCGAGCUUUAUAAACGGUCACAUUAUCGUCAGCGUCCGUCUUGUUCUUAAAGAUCCAUUUGUUCUGAAUAGCCUUGCGGCCUUCAGGCAGUACUUCCAAAGUCCAUACUUUGUUUUCAUACAUAGAUCCUAUCUCGGACUUCAUGGCCUCCAGCCAUUUGUUGGAAUCUGGGCCCACCAUUUCUUCUUCAUAAUUCACUGGCUCAUUGUUGUCCAACAACAUAAUUGAUAAGAUGGGAUUACCGUACCACUCUGGAGUAGUACGCGGUCUCGUCGACCUGCGAGGUUCGACAAGAACUUGAUCCGGAGUUUCAUGAUCAUCAUCAUUAACUUCCUCCUCAACCGGUGUCGCAACGACAGGGGUUUCCCCUUGCCCCGCGCCACCAUCCAGAGGGAUGAGAGGUUCGACAACCUCAUCAAGUUCUAUCUUCCUCCCACUCAAUUCUGUCGAGAGAAACUCCUUCUCGAGAAAAGCUCCGUUCUUAGCAACAAACACUUUGCCCUCAGAUUUGAGAUAGAAGGUAUACCCAACUGUCUCUUUUGGGUAACCUUUGAAGACACACUUUUCCGCUUUGGGUUCCAGCUUUUCAGGCUGGAGCUUUUUUAAAUAAGCAUCACAUCCCCAAACUUUAAGAAACGACAACUUUGGUCUUUUGCCAUACCACAACUAAUAUUGUGUCGUCUCAACGGAUUUCGAUGGUGCCCUAUUUAAAGUGAAUGCAGCUGUUUCUAAUGCAUAACCCCAAAACGAUAACGGCAAAUCGGUAAGAGACAUCAUAGAUCGCACCAUCUCUAAUAAAGUACGAUUACGACAUUCGGACACACCAUUACGCUGUGGUGUUCCAGGCGGUGUUAACUGUGAAACAAUUCCACAUUGUCGUAACUGAGCACCAAACUCAAAACUCAGAUAUUCACCCCCACGAUCAGACCGUAGGAACUUGAUCUUCUUGUUACGAUGAUUUUCAACUUCACUCUGAAAUUGCUUGAACUUUUCAAAUGUUUCAGACUUGUGCUUCAUCAAGUAGACAUAACCAUAUCUACUCAAAUCGUCAGUGAAGGUGAGAAAAUAACGAUAUCCGCCGCGUGCCUCCACACUCAUCGGACCACACACAUCGGUAUGUAUGAUUUCCAACAAGUCACUUGCACGCUCCAUUGUUUCGGAGAACGGAGUUUUAGUCAUCUUGCUCAUGAGGCAUGGUUCGCACGUGUCAAGUGAAUCAAAGUCAAGUGACUCCAAAAGUCCAUCGGUAUGGAGUUUCUUCAUGCGCUUUACACCAAUAUAACCUAAACGACAGUGCCAUAAAAACAUGGCGCUAUCAUUGUUAACUCUAACUCUUUUGGUCUCAAUGUUAUGUAUAUGUGUAUUAUCACUAUCAAGAUUCAAUAUGAACAAUCCUCUCACAUUGGGUGCAUGACCAUAAAAGAUAUUACUCAUAGAAAUAGAACAACCAUUAUUGUCUCACUUAAACGAGUAACCGUCUCGCAAUAAACAAGAUCCAGAUAUAAUGUUCAUGCUUAACGCAGGCACUAAAUAACAUUUAUUUAAGUUCAUAACUAAUCCUGAUGGUAACUGAUGUGAAACUGUGCCGACGGCGAUUGCAUCAAUCUUGGAACCAUUUCCCACGCGCAUCGUCACUUCAUCCUUUGCCAGUCUUCGCUUAUUCCACAGUUCCUGUUUCGAGUUGCAAAUAUGAGCAACAGAACCGGUAUCGAAUACCCAUGCACUACUACGAGAGCUGGUUAAGUACACAUCAAUAACAUGUAUAUCGAAUAUACCUGAUUUUUCUUUGGCCGCCUUCUUAUCAGCGAGAUACUUGGGGCAGUUACGCUUGCAGUGACCCAUACCCUUGCAAUAAUAGCACUCGUUUCAUGCUUAGGUCCAUCUUUGGGUUUCUUCGUCGGAUUGGCAACAGGCUUGCCGCUCUUCUUUGAAUUACCCUUCUUUCCUUUGCCGUUUCUCUUGAAACUAGUGGUCUUAUUCACCAUCAACACUUGAUGCUCUUUACGGAGAUCUUACUCUGCGACUUUCAGCAUCGUGAAUAACUCGUCGGGUGACUUGUUCAUCCCUUGCAUGUUAUAGUUCAACACGAAGCCCUUACAGCUUGGUCGCAGUAAUUGAAGAAUUCUGUCAGUGAUAGCCUCUUGCUUGAGUUCAAUCCCCAGCUCAGCUAGAUGGUUUGAGUACCCAGAUAUUUUGAGCACAUGUUCACUGACAGACGAAUUCUCCUCCAUCUUGCAAGCAUAGAAUUUAUCGGAGGUCUCAUACCUCUCAAUCCGGGCAUUCUUCUGAAAGAUAAAUUUCAACUCCUAGAACAUCUCAUAUGCUCCAUGAUGCUCAAAGCGACGUUGAAGUCCCGGUUCUAAGCCAUACAAGACUGUACAUUGAACUACUGAGUAGUCCUCCUUGCGUGCUAACCAAGCGUUCUUAGCAUCUUGGUCAGCCGCGGCGGGUGGUUCAUCUCCUAGCGCAGCAUUAAGGACAUAAUCCUUCUUCCCAGCUUGCAGGAGCAACUUAAGAUUACGAGCCCAGUCUACAAAGUUGCUUCCAUCAUCUUUCAACUUAGCUUUCUCUAGGAACGUAUUAAAAUUCAGGGUGACUGUCGCGUGAGCCAUUGAUCUACAACACAAAUAUUUUCAAAGUGGACUUAGACUAUGUUCAAGAUAAUUAGAGUUUAACUUAAUCAAAUUACUUCCUAAACUUCCACUCAAAAAGUACAUCUCUCUAGUCAUUUGAGUGGUUCAUGAUCCAAUUCCACUAGCUCAAGUCCGAUCAUCACGUGAGUUGAGGAUAGUUUUAGUGGUAAGCAUCCCUAUGCUAAUCAUAUCAACUAUAUGAUUCAUGAUCGACCUUUCGGUCUCAUGUGUUUCGAGGCAAUGUCUGCACAUGCUAGGCUUGUCAAGCUUAACCCGAGUGUUCCGCGUGUGCAACUGUUUUGCACCCGUUGUAUGUGAACGUUGAGUCUAUCACACCCGAUCAUCACGUGGUGUCUUGAAACGAAGAACAGUCGCAAUGGUGCACAGUCGGGGAGNNNNNNNNNNNNNNNNNNNNNNNNNNNNNNNNNNNNNNNNNNNNNNNNNNNNNNNNNNNNNNNNNNNNNNNNNNNNNNNNNNNNNNNNNNNNNNNNNNNNNNNNNNNNNNNNNNNNNNNNNNNNNNNNNNNNNNNNNNNNNNNNNNNNNNNNNNNNNNNNNNNNNNNNNNNNNNNNNNNNNNNNNNNNNNNNNNNNNNNNNNNNNNNNNNNNNNNNNNNNNNNNNNNNNNNNNNNNNNNNNNNNNNNNNUGUCUCGAAACGACGAAUUGCAGCAACGAUGCACAGUCGGGGAGAACACAAUUUCGUCUUGAAAUUUUAGUGAGAGAUCACCUAAUAAUGCUACUGUGGUUCUAAGCAAAAUAAGGUGCAUAAAAGGAUUAACAUCACAUGCAAUUCAUAAGCGACAUGAUAUGGCCAUCAUCAUGUGCUUCUUGAUCUCCAUCACCAAAGCACCGGCACGAUCUUCUUGUCACCGGCGCCACACCAUGAUCUCCAUCAACGUGUCGCCAUUGGGGUUGUCGUGCUACUCAUGCUAUUAUUACUAAAGCUACAUCCUAGCAAUAUAGUAAACGCAUCUGCAAGCACAAACAUUAGUUUAAAGACAACCCUAUGGUUCCUGCCGGUUGCCGUACCAUCGACGUGCAAGUCGAUAUUAACUAUUACAACAUGAUCAUCUCAUACAUCUAAUAUAUCACAUCACACCGUCGGCCAUAUCACAUCACAAGCAUACCCUACAAAAACAAGUUAGACGUCCUCUAAUUGUUGUUGCAUGUUUUAUGUGGUGACCAUGGGUAUCUAGUAGGAUCGCAUCUUACUUACGCAAACACCACAACGGAGAUGUAUGAAUUGCUAUUUAACCUCUCUCAAGGACCUCCUUGGGCAAAUCCGAUUCAACUAAAGUUGGAGAAACAGACACUCGCGAGUCAUCUUUGAGCAACGGGGUUGCUCGUAGCGAUGAAACCAGUCUCUCGUAAGCGUACGAGUAAUGUCGGUCCGAGCCGCUUCGAUCCAACAAUACCGCGGAAUCAAGAAAAUACUAAGAAGGGCAGCAAAUCGCACAUCACCUCCCACAAAAACUUUUGUGUUCUACUCGAGAUGACAUCUACGCAUGAACCUAGCUCAUGAUGCCACUGUUGGGGAACGUCGCAUGGGAAACAAAAAUUUUCCUACGCGUACGAAGACCUAUCAUGGUGAUGUCCAUCUACGAGAGGGGAUUUGGAUCUACGUACCCUUGUAGAUCGCACAGUAGGAAGCGUUAAGAAACAUGGUUGAUGUAGUGGAACGUCCUCACGUCCCUAGAUCCGUCCCGUGAACCAUCCCACGAACCAUCCCGCGAUCCGUCCCACGACCGCUCCGAUCUAGUGCCGAACGGACGAUACCUCCGCGUUCAGCACACGUACAACUCGACGAGGAUCUCGGCCUUCUUGAUCCAGCAAGAGCGACGGAGAGGUUGAUGAGUUCUCCGACAGCGUGACAGCGCUCCGGAGGUGGGUGAUGAUCUAUCUCAGGAGGGCUCCUCCCGAGCUCCGCAGAAAUACGAUCUAGAGGAAAAACCGUGGAGGUAUGUGGUAGGGCUGCCGUGGCAAAGUUGUCCCAAAUCAGCCCUAAUAUCUCAGUAUAUAUAGGAGGGAGGGAGAGGGACCUGCCUUGAGGCUCAAGAGAGCCCCAAGGGGUCGGCCGAAGGGGGGAGGAGGAGUCCUCCUCCAAUCCUAGUCCAACUAGGAUUGGAAGGUGGAGUCCUUCUCUAUUUUCCCACUUCCCCUCUUUUUUUUCUCUUUGAUUUUCUCUCUCUCCUGCGCAUAGGGCCUCUUGGGCUGUCCCACCAGCCCACUAAGGGCUGGUGCGGCACCCCUAAGUCCUAUGGGCUUCCUCUGGGUGGGCUGCCCCCCGGUGAACAUCCGAAACCCAUUCGUCACUCCCGGUACAUUCCCGGUAAUGCCGAAAACUUUCAGGUAAUCAAAUGAGGUCAUCCUAUAUAUCAAUCUUCGUCUCCGGACCAUUCCGGAAACCCUCGUGACGUCCGUGAUCUCAUCCGAGACUCCGAACAAUAUUUGGUAACCAACCAUAUAACUCAAAUACGCAUAAAAUAUCGUCGAACCUUAAGCGUGCAGACACUACGGGUUCGAGAACUAUGUAGACAUGAACCCAGAGACUCCUCGGUCAAUAUCCAAUAGAAGGACCUAGAUGCCCAUAUUGGAUCCUACAUAUUCUCCGAAGAUCUUAUCGGUUGAACCUCAGUGCCAAGGAUUCAUAUAAUCCCGUAUGUCAUUCCCUUUGUCCUUCGGUAUGUUACUUGCCCGACAUUCGAUCGUCAGUAUCCGCAUACCUAUUUCAAUCUCGUUUACCGGCAAGUCUCUUUACUCAUUCCGUAAUACAAGAUACCGUGAAUUACACUAAGUCACAUUGCUUGCAAGGCUUGUGUGUGAUGUUGUAUUACCGAGUGGCCCCGAGAUACCUCUCCGUCACACGGAGUGACAAAUCCCAGUCUUGAUCCAUACUAACUCAACGGACACCUUCAGAGAUACCUGUAGAGCAUCUUUAUAGUCACCCAGUUACGUUGGGACGUUUGAUACACACAAGGCAUUCCUACGGUGACAGUGAGGUAUAUGAUCUCAUGGUCAUAGGAAUAAAUACUUGACACGCGGAAAACAGUAGCAAUAAAAUGACACGAUCAACAUGCUACGUUUAUUAGUUUGGGUCUAGUCCAUCACAUGAUUCACCCAAUGAUGUGAUCCAUUUAUCAAGCAACAACACCUUGCACAUAGUCAGAAGACCUUGACUAUCCUUGAUCAACUGGCUAGCCAACUAGAGGCUUGCUAGGGACAGUGUUUUGUCUAUGUAUCCACACAUGUAUUUAAGACUUCAUUCAAUACAAUUAUAGCAUGGAUAAUAAACGAUUAUCUUGAUACAGGAAUUAUACUAAUAACUUAUUUAUCAUUGCCUCUAGGGCAUAAUUCCAACAGUCUCCCACUUGCACUAGAGUCAAUAAUCUAGUCCUCACAUCGUCAUGCGAAUUACAUUGUAAUAAAUCUAACACCCAUACAAAACUCGCCGGAGUUCCCCGUAACCGGACCAAAGGGUUCCCGAAGCAUUCGGAUCACAUCGGGACUCAAUAUAAAUGACAAAUAGCAUACAAAACUGGCCAGAAUACGCCAAAACUAUGAGUUUUGACGAGUUCCCAUAACCGGACCCCGUGUUUCCUAAAACGUUCCAAUCGCAACGGUAACCAAAAUCAGUGACUAAUAGAAUACAAAAUUGGCCGGAAUAGGCCUAAAUUGUGAGUGUUGAUGACUUCCCCGUAACCAGACCCCGGGGUUCCCGAAACAUUCCGAUCACAACGAGACCCAAAGCGAGUGACUAAUAGCAUGGAAAACUGGCUGGAAUAGGCCAAAACUGCGAGUUUUGAUGAGUUCCCUGUAACCAGACCCGCAAGGUUCCCGAAAUGUUCGGAUCACAGCGGGACACAAAAUCAGUGACUAAUAGCAUACAAAACUGGCUGGAAUAGGCCAAAACUGUGAGUUUUCACGAGUUCCCCGUAACCGGAUCGUGAGGUUCCCGAAAUGUUCGGAUCACAACGGGCACAAAAUCAGUGACUAAUAGCAUACAAAACUAGCCUUGGAAUAGGCCAAAACUGUGAGUUUUGACGAGUNNCCCGUAACCGGACCCCGAGGUUUCUGAAAUAUUUGGAUCACAGCGGGACCCAAAAUCAGUGACUAAUAGCAUAGAAAACUAGCCGGAAUAGGCCAAAACUGUGAGUUUUGACGAGUUCUCCGUAACCGGACACCAGGGUUCCUGAAACAUUCGAAUCACACAAAAACCCAAAAUCACUGACUAAUUGCAUAAAAAAACUGGCCAAAAUAGGCCAAAACUGUGAGUUUUGACGAGUUCCGCGUAACCGUACCGUGAGGUUCCCGAAACGUUCGGAUCACAGCGGGAACCAAAAUCAGUGACUAAUAGCAUACAAAACUGACCGGAAUAGGCCAAAACUAUGAGUUUUGACGAUUUCCGCAUAACCGGAACCCGGGGUUCCCGAAACGUUCGGAUCACAUGAGGACCCAAAAUAAGUGAGUAAUAGCAUACAAAACUGGUCGGAAUAGUCCAAAACUCCGAGUUUUGACGAGUUCCCCAUAACCAGACCCUCGGUUUCUCGAAAUAUUCGGAUCACAGCAGGAUCAAAAAUCAGUGACUAAUAGCAUACAAAAUUGGUCGGAAUAGGCCAAAACUGCGAGUUUUGACGAGUUCCCCGUAACCAAACCUCGGGUUUCCUAAAGCGUUCAGAUCGCAGCGGGACCCAAAAUCAGUGAUUAAUAGCAUUCAAAACUGGUCGGAAUAGGCCAAAAGUGCGAGUUUUGACGAGUUCCCCGUAACCGGACCCCCGGGUUCCUGAAACAUUUGGAUCGCAGCGGGACCCAAAAUCAUUGAUUAAUAGCAUUAAAAACUGGCCGGAAUAGGCCAAAACUAUGAGUUUUGACGAGUUCCCCGUAACCGGACCAAAGGGUUCCCGAAACAUUCGGAUCACAUCGGUACCCAAAAUAAGUGACUAAUAGCAUACAAAACCGUCCGGAAUACACCAAAACUGCGAGUUUUGAUGAGUUCCCCAUAACUUGUCCCCGGGUGUCGUGGUUUUGUCACGGCAGAUGUCCUCGUGAAAGGACUUAGUGAUGGAGCCAUCGGACCUUGGUGGCGACUCAAAGGGGUUGAGGGGAAGCGAGACUCUGGUUUACCCAUGUUCGGUCCCUCCGAUGGAGGUAAAAGCCCACGUCCUGCUUUGAGCAUAUUAAUGGUGGAAUCAAUUAAAAGGAGGGCGUAACUAGCCUGACCUAGCUCUCGAUGGAUUGUAAGUUGACCCUAUCUACCCGAGGUACUCGCCUUUAUAUACAGGUCGAGGUCCUAUGUUUUACAAGAGUCCAGGCCACAUUACAAAUCGUGGCCUGCCAUAUCUCUAAACCGCCAUGUCUUCCAAACAAGGAGAAGAACACGAGACUCUUCUUCUUCGUGAGUCUUGAACCGCCAUCUAGGCUCUUGGGCCCGGCCGGCUCUUCGUUCAAGAUCUCCUUGCACCUUCCAGAUCCUGGGCCAAGGCCUAUCUUGAUUACGAAUGUUGAAUCGUCGUGCACCUAACCCGGCCCAAUAGGGCGGGUCAUACGAGAGGUAAUAUCCCCAACAUUAGGCCCCAGAUUGACUUGAAUUUAUUCAUGACAAUAAACUUGUAUAUCUGUCCACGACGACUCACACAUGAUCUUUGACCUUUCUUCUUCAAUGAGUGAUAAGCCGCCAAUCUUCAUGAUUCGCUUGAAUCGCCAGGUCUUUUAUUGGUGAUCCAUCUUCCCCAUUAUUCCAUGGAUCUCGAUGAUGUCAUUUCCAACAGAUCUUUUGACUUAUCGUGUCAUCUCGAAAAUCUGGGCGCCUUCAUUUCCGAUUUUUACUAGGCCUCCUUGGCUCCCGCGCCUCCUGUUUCAAUUUCUGUCUUAGGCCUUUAAAUAGCCGCAUGGGGAAGAGGUAUCCCCACCUACCUCUAUUCCAUCGCCCCACUGCGUCUUCUUCCACAAGCUCAUGCCACGAACGCUGCGUUGCCCGCAACCUCCGCUUCGGACCAGCAGCCUCCCAGACUGAUUUGGGCGUGGUCCUUGACGCAAACCUCUGCGGCCUGCUUGCGCAUUCGCCCUCCUUCAACAGGUAACUCAUCUUUCUUUCGGUAGAUCCAAAUCUUGAACUCCCCCAGUUCUUAUGGUAGCAUCGGAGCUCUUCGAGCAUUCUAUUUUGCAUCGUCGACCCGUAUAUGCAUUGCUUGGAUCUCGUAAUUUGGCAACGAACUGUGGUAGACCCAUUAAUACUCCUUGGUAAAUCUGUUGUUCCCCUCAUUGCUUCACAAGAUCCCCACACUGCUCCAUAGUGCACCUUUGUUCUUAGCGCUUUUAUUUUGGCAAUUUAUUUUCCUUAAUAAAUUCACCCGUAGAUCUGUAAUUUCUUGCAUCAUAUUGAAAACAUGUUUAUCGUUAACCAGAAAACUUCUAAGGGGAAUUUAGAAACGUAACCCGCCCUUAGUGUUGUGGCUAGUCACAAUGUCCUUUUAGAUAUUUCCCCAAUUUUUUACUGGCUAGUCACUCUUGACGUGCAACUAUUCCUGACUUGAUGCCUCCACGGCAACGGAGCUAGAAAAGAGCUGCUCCCAAUUUCUCAACAAUUAGAUAUUGUCUUGCAAUAGCACAACAGCGCAUGGGAUCGAGGCAGUUUUCGAGGGUAGAGUAUUCAACCCAAAUUUGUUGGUUCGCGCGACGGGAAGUGAAAGAAUAUUCUCAAGUAUUAGCAGCUGAAUGCGUCAGAUUCAACCACACCUGAAAGAUUAGUGUCUGCAAGCAAAGUGUCAACAACAAAGUAGUAUGAUAACAACGGUGCCACAAACAAUCUGUUGACGGCAGACUUUUCCUAACUGUUGUAUCAAUGGCGCCAGAAAAGUAUUGUAGCAGGUAGCAGCAGUGUAACGAGUAACAGCAGUGGCAAGCAACACAGUAGUGACAGCAGUAGCAAGUAGCAACAGUAGCAAGUAGCAGCAGAGCAAAGCAAGUAACAACAGCAACAAGUAACAGUAGCAGCAACAAUAGUAACAGCAGCAGAGCAAAACAAGUAACAACAGCAGUGGGACAAACUCGUAGGCAAUGGGUCGGUGAUUUGUCGGAUGACAUUCAUCAUGCAACAGUUAUAACACGAAGAGAUAUGUGGCUAGCUCCCGUUCGUUAAUGUGUUGUAGGCAUGCAUUCCGUGUGUCGUCAUACGUGCUUAGGGAAAAGAACUUGCAUGACAUCUAUUGUCCAUCCCUCCCGUGGCAGCGGGGUCCAAAAGGAUAUUACGGAUAUUAAGGUUCUCCUUUUAAUAAAGAACCAGACCAACGCAUUAGCACUUGGUGAGCACAUGAACUCCUCAAACUAUGGUCAUCACCGGGAGUGGUUCUGGUUAUUGUCACUCCGGGGUUGCCGGGUCAUAACACAUAGUAGGUAACUACAACUUGCAAGAUCGGAUCUGAAACACACAUAUAUUGGUGACAACAUAAUAAUUUCAGAUCUGAAAUCAUGGCACUCGGGCCCUAGUGACAAGCAUUAAGCAUGGCAAAGUAGUAGUAACAUCAAUCUCAGAACAUAGUGGAUACUAGGGAUCAAUCCCCAUCAAAGCUAACUCGAUUACAUGAUAGAUCUCAUCCUACUCAUCACCGCCCAGCGAGCCUACGAAUAGAUUACUCACGAACGAUGAAGAGCUUCAUGGAAUUGGAGAGGGAAGAAGGUUGAUGAUGACGAUGGCGACGAUUUCCCCUCUCCGGAGCCCAAAACGGACUCCAGAUCUGCCCUCUAGAUGAAGAAUAGGAUGUGCCGGCGCCUCCGUAUCGCAAACGCGAUGAAAUCUUCUCUUCUGAUUUUUUUGGGACGAAAGGGAAUAAAUAGCGCUGGAGUUGGGGGCGGCAGAGCCACGUGGGCCCCACAAGCUUGGUUGCCGUGGCCAGGGGGUGGCCGCGGCGAUAGGGCUUGUGGCCCACUAGCCCGUCCCCUCCGGUGGAUCUUUGCACAGGUAUAUUUCAUAUUUUCCAGAAAUAUUCUCCGUAAAUUUUCAGGACGUUCUGAGAACUUUCAUUUGAGCAUGAAAACAACACCAUGGCAAUUCUGCUGAAAACAACAUCAGUCCGGGUUAGUUCCAUUCAAAUCAUGCAAAUUAGAGUCCAAAACAAGGGCAAAAGAGUUUGGAAAAGUAGAUACGAUGGAGAUGUAUCAACUCCCCCAAGCUUAAAACCUUGCUUCUCCUCAAGCAACUCAGUUGGCAAACUGAAAGAGAAAGAAAAACUUUGACAAACUCUGUUUGAUCUUGUUGUUGCAACUAUGUCUAACUCAUAAACAGAAUUUCAGCAAGAUCACAAUUUAACCACAUGAGCAAGUGACACAUAGGUCUCACGGUAAACGAAUAUCAAUGGCAUAAUCAGCUAGCGAGCAAAUAAUAAUGAGUUUCAGAUACCAACAAUUCAAUCAAAAUAAGCAUGAAGCAAUAUGAAUAGGUGGUAUCUUGCUAGCUCUUUGUGAGACCGCAAAACAUAAAUGCACAGCACUUUCAAAGAUCAAGGGCUGACUAAACAUUGUAAUUCAUAGCAACGAAGAUCCAGUCAUAGUCAUACUCAAUAUCAAUCAAAAGCAAAGCAUAAAAAUGAAAGAGGUGCUCUCUAAUUGGUGCAUAUAUAAGAAGAGGAUGACUCAACAGGAAAAUAAAUAGACAGGCCCUUCGCAGAGGGAAGCAUUGAUUUGCAGAGGUGCCAAAGCUCAAGCUUUGAAAACAGAGAUAAUAAUUUUGGGUGGCAUGCUUUCAUUGUCAACGCAAUGACCAAGAGUUCUCAAUAUCUUCCACGCUACACAUGCUAUAGGCGUUUCCCAAACAGAAAAGUAAAGUUUUAACUCCCCCACCACCAAUCAAUCACACUCCACGGCUAGCUGAAUCCUCGGGUACCGUCCAUACUAAAUCAAUCCGGGGGAGUCUUUUUUACAGUUAUGUUUUCGAUUUAGGCAUGGAACUGGGAAUUCCAAUUAUCGACCCCUUUCGUGAAUGACAGUGAAUAAACACAUGUCGAGGAUAACACGCCUAACAUGGAAGAUACCAAUAGCCCCCUGUCACCACAUGAGCGGUUCGGGCAUGCAAAAUAGAUUAUUUCUUGAAGGUUUAGAGAAUGGCACAUGCAAAUUUACUUGGAACGGCUGGUAGAUACCACAAAUAGGUAGGUAUGGUGGACUCUCAUGGAAAAACUUUUGGGUUUAUGAAAGUGGAUGCACAAGCAGUAUUCCGCUUAGUACAAGUGAAGGCUAGCAAAAGACUGGGAAGCGACCAACUAGAGAGCGACAACAGUCAUCAAGAUGCAAUGAGUUUGACUAACAUCGAGUGCAAGCAUGAACAGGAUAUAAAUCACCAUGAACACGAACAUCUUAGAGGCUAUGUUGAUUUUGUUUCAACUACAUGCAUGAACAUGCGCCAAGUCAAGCCACUUGAAACAUUCAAAGGAGAAUACCAUCCUAUCAUGCUACAUCAUAGUCAUCUCAAAAUCUAUGCUGGCAUUCAAGACAAACCAUUAUGAGCUCCUAGCUAAUUAAGCAUGGCAUCAGAAACUAUGAUCUCUAAGUUGUCAUUGCAAACAUGUUUCUCUCACAACAAAGCUGAAUAUGGGACGACAAGCUAGUCAUAUUUACAAAAACAAAAUAGAUAGAGUUCAUACCAGCUUUUCCGGUCUCAGUCACUUCAUCAUAUAUCAUAAUUAUUGACUUUCACUUGCAUGAUCGAAUGAUGUGAACAAUAAUAAGAGUGCUCGUGCAUUGGACUAAGCUGAAUCUGCAAGCAAACACAAAGGAGAAGACAAAGUAAUAUGGCUCUUUGAAAGCUAAACAGGUAUGCAUGCAAGAGCCACUAAACAUUGUAACCAAUAUCUUCUACCUUGACCCAAAGAAAAAGAAAACUAUUUACACGGGAAAGCUCCCAACAAGCAAAAGAAGAAAGGAAAAUCUUUUUGGGUUUUCUCAAAAAGGACACAAAACAAGAAAACGAAAAUAAACUAGCAUGGAUAAUAAAGAGGCAAAGUGUAAACACCGACUAACAAAGUGAAAGCAUAAGCAUGAAUGUAAGGUCGGUGAGAACACGUACUCCCCCAAGCUUAGGCUUUUGGCCGAGCUUGGUCUACUUCCAAGGCGGGAAAUAACCAGCUCCGGGAUACUCCGGAGCGGACUGUGGAUGCCACUGCUAUGUGAGCUCCUCUGGCUCCCACUGAUAAACUGGCGUCUGGUACUCGACUAGCGUAUCGGGCACGGGCACCUGUGGUUGUGCCAAGCCCCAAUAUGCGUAGAUGUCUGAGGGCAUACUAGUGUACCUGCCUGCAUGAAGAUCGAACAAAGAAGGAGCAGGCAAAGUAAUAGUCUCUCGAGUACCCUGACUAAAUACCAGGUUAUAAAUCAUCCGUCUACUAGCAUCUCUAUCCAGAAAAUCAUGGCGAACCAUGCUGUCAUAAUCCACAUAUUUCUCAAGAAGAAGCAUCUCUUCUUCCUCCCCCAGUCUAAUGGGUAUCUCAAAGUGUCUGGCAAGACGGGUAGCACAGAUACCUCCAUAGACGACACCUUUGGAACGGUUUGUGUUCAACCGCUGAGCUACUAUAGCACCUAGGCUAUAAGUCUUAUCGUUAUAAAGGCCUUCGUGCAAAACCACAAGGUCUGGAGAGCUAAGUGAUCCAGCCUCCCCACGGCCAAUCAAACAUUUUCCCACAAAUAAUGAGAAGUACCGAAGCACAGGAAAAUGUAUGCUAGCAAUUCUAGCGCGAGACUAUCCUCUCUCCUCUCCAACAGCAAUAGUACCUAUGAAAUCCUCCAAGUCCUGUGGACGAGGAUCAUGAAUAUCCCCAACAUAAGGUAAUUUGCACACAUUCGAAAAAUCCUGCAGUGUCAUGCACUGGGGGAUAUCGUAUAACAUGAACUCAACCAUGGGAGGAUUCUUCCUCGGAUAAAAGUUGAAGCUUUGAACAAAAAUAUUGGUGAGGAGGAGGUAUUGUGAGCACUUAUCUUCAACGAACGCCAUAAGACCUGCGUUCUCCACCAAGUAAUAAAAGUCUUCAUAAAGCCCAGCGGCGCGCAAAAAUUCAUCACUUGGCCACUCGCACGCUCGAACUUCUGUGACUCGAGGAACCACGUACUUGAGGUGGUUCUUCUCAUCCUCCUUGGGGUUACGGCUUGAAGAGCCUCUCAAGAACCUCCUCAUCCUUUUCCUUUUCUAGCUCUGAAAAAUUCUGAAAUUUUUAGAGACUUCAAAAGAAAAGUGAAUAAAGAUUAACCCAACUCGUAGCAAGUACUCCUACUAGGGCCUAGAGACCGUAUCACACGCUAAAACUACUCAGGACCAGCUAAAAUCAACAUUUCAAGCUCAAGAACAGGGUCACCAAGGUAGCAAGAAUACGCGAAGGAUAAAGCACUAGAGCAAAAACUAAUUGGACCAAUGGAGGAGUCACUUACCAAGGAGUAAUUUCCCCAAAACAGUUCAGAGAAUGGUGCUUUGAGCAAGGAGAUCGAAAAUCACAGCCAAAUGAGCAAGAACACGGGUUUGAGCUGCAAAACGAUUUUUUUUGGAGGUAGACGAAGAGGAUGGGAGCUGGAAUGAGUGGAGGGGGUCCCUGUGCGCCCCACAAGCUUGGUUGCCGCGGCCAGGGGGAGGCCGCGGUGAGAGGGCUUGUCGACCACUGGUGUGGCCCCCAGACCAGCUCUCAGUCCCAGUAUUUUUCAAAUAUUCGAGAAAAAAUCAUACUAGAUUUUUAAGACCAUCGGAGAACUUUUAUUUUCGGGGUAUUUUUCUCCGGGAUGCUAAAACAGGAAACAUUGAACACUAAACUAAAUCUAUCAUUUUCCCUCUAAGCAACAGAAAGUGAAAGCUUAAAACAGAGGUAUGUGACUCCUUGAUUCAUCCAUUUCAUGGUCAUCGAAAGAAAUCCGUCAACGGGGUUGAUCAAAUCCUCAUGACAAAAAAUUUCGAAUCGCAAAUGGAAACGGAGAAUUGUCGAACAGCCACUAAAUCACCUCAAUGGGGAUAUGUAUCUCCCCAACAAGCAAAUCAUACUUCAUCUUGACACGAGGAAUAUGGCAUUCAAAGCUCCCAAUAAGAAUCGAUGAAGUUUUUUCGAUAGCACUGAUGCAAUGUACUUGAUAUCGUUUCUUCGGAAAGUGCACUGUAUGCUCAUUACCGUUGACAUGGAAGGUGACAUUGCCUUUGUUGCAAUCUAUAACAGCCCCUGAAGUGUUUAAAAAAGGUCUUCCGAGGAUGACAGCCAUGGCAUCGUCCUCAGGAAUAUCCAAGAUAACAAAGUUUGUUAAGAUAGUGGUGCUAGCAACCACAACAGGCACAUCCUCGCAAAUGCCGACAGGGAAAGCAGUUGAUUUGUUGGCCAUUUGCAGAGAUAUUUGAGUGGGUGUCAACUUAUCCAGUUCAAGUCUACGAUAAAGAGAGAGAAGCAUAACACUAACACCGGCUCCAAGGUCACAUAAGGUAGUUCUUCUGCAGUUUCGUUUAAUGGAGCAAGGUAUAGUGGGCACUCCGGGAUCACCAAGUUUCUUAGGAGUUCCACCUUUGAAAGUGUAAUUGGCAAGCAUGGUGGAGAUCUCAGGAUCUGGUAUCUUCCGUUUAUUGGUCACGAUAUCUUUCAUGUACUUGGCAUAUGGAGACAUUUUGAGCAUAUCAAUUAACAGCAUCUGCAGAAAGACGGGUCUUAUUUUUUCAAUAAAGCGCUCAAAAUCCUCAUCGUCCUUUUUCUUGGAUGGCUUAGGAGGAAAGGGCAUAGGUCUCUGAACCCAUGGCUCCCUUUCUUUACCAUGCUUCCUAGCAGUGAAGUCAUUCUUAUCGUAUCUCUUAGGUUGUGGGUUAUCAGGAUUAACCGUAGGUUCAAUAUCCACAUCCUUAUCAUUGCUAGGUUGAGCAUUAUUAUGAACAUCGCUGUCCAUUUUGUCACCAGGUUCAUGUUCCUCACCAGAUUGUGUUUCUGCAUCAGACGCAGAAACAUCAUUUGGUUCUUCAUGGGUGACAACAUUUGGUGAACUGACAUGUAGGUUUCUAUCAUCCUUCUUCUUAUUCUUAGGAUGACUGGGUGUAUCAACAUUAAUUCCUUGAGAAUCAUGAUCAAUUCUCUUAGGGUGGCCUUCAGGAUACAAAGGUUCCUGAGUUGUUUUGCCUCCUCUAGUAAUGACUCUGACAGAGUUGUCAUUUAAUUCAUUGAGCAAGUCAUUCUGAGCUUUAAGUACUUGUUCUACCUGAGUAGUAAUCAUAGAGGCAUGUUUACUCAGAAGCUUCAAAUCAUUGACAUUUCUGUCUACACAAGCACUUAAAUGACUAAGCAUACGAGUACUUUGUUCCAAAUGUCUGCUAACAUAAUCAUUGAAACUCUGUUGUUUGGCAAAAAAGUUGUCAAAUUCAUCGAAGCAUAGGCUAGCAGGUUUGUCAAAAGGAAUAUCACUCUCAUCAAACCUAUGCAGAGAAUUCACUUCUACUACUUGUAUCGGGUUAUCGAGACCAUGGAUCUCUUCGAUAGGUGGUAGAUUUUUUACAUCUUCAGAUAUAAUGCCUUUCUCUUGCAUAGAUUUCUUGGCUUCUUGCAUAUCUUAGGGACUGAGGAAUAGAAUACCUCUUUUCUUAGGAGUUGGCUUAGGAGGUGGUUCGGGAAUAGUCCAAGCAUUAUCAUUGAUCAAGAUGUUAUUCAGCAGGUUCUAAACUUGUUCUAUAGUUUGUUCCCUAAAAACACAACCGACACACCUAUCUAGGUGGUCUCUACAAGCAUUGGUAAGUCCGUUAUAGAAGGUAUCAAGUAUCUCGUUCUUCUUAAGAGGGUGAUCAGGCAAAGCAUUCUGUAGCUGGAUGAGCCUCCCCCAAGCUUGUGGGAGACUCUCUUCUUUGAGUUGAGCAAAGUUGUAUAUUUCCUACAAGGCAACUUCCUUCUUAUGGGCAGGGAAAUAUUUCUCACAAAAGUAAUAGACCAUAUCCUGGGGACUACUCACACAUACAGGAGCAAGAGAAGUGAACCAUGCUUUAGCGUCAUCCUUUAGAGAGAAAGGAAACAGCUUAAGGAUAUAGUAGUAGCGGAUCUUCUCCUCACUAGUGAAAAGGGUGGCUAUAUCAUGUAGUAUGGUAAGAUGGGCUACGACCGUCUCAGACUCAUAACCGUGGAAUGGAUCAGAUUCGACUAGAGAGAUUAUCUCAGGGUCGACAGAGAAUUCAUAAUCCUUAUCGGUGAUAAAGAUAGGUGAAGUGGCAAACUUCGGGUCGUAUUUCAUCCUAGCUUUCAGAGAUUUUUCCUUCCACUUGAGAAGUAAUUUCUCAAUGUCAUAGGCGCCCUUACAUGCAAGAAAAUCCUCAGCUAUCUCUCCCUCCAUAAUGUAACCCUCAGGUAUAUUAGGCAAUUCAUAUAUAGGAGAGCUAGAUCUAGCAGGAGCAAAAGCAGGUUCUAUCUCAAUAGUCUCGGCAGUUUCAGAAGCAUCACGAGCAUUGGCAGUAACUCUAGCAAUAUGAGCAUCAAGGAAUACCCCUAGUGGCAUAUCAGGCAAAGUGGUAUCUCUAGCAGUAUCAACCAUAGCAUCAUUAGGCGAAAUAGCAUCUCUAGCAUCAUCAGGCAAAGCAGUAUCAAGCAUAGCAUCUCUAGCAGUAUCAGGCAUAACAUCUCUAGUAGUAUGAGGCAUAACAUCAUCAAGCAUAGUAGCAUCAUAAGCAUCAUCAAGCACAGGCGACAUAUCAAGAUUUCUAGCAGGAGGUGGUGUCGCAAACUUACUCAUAACUGAAGGUGAAUCAAGUACAGAGCUAGAUGGCAGUUCCUUACCUCCCCUCGUAGUUGAGGGCAAGACUUUGGUUUUUGGAUCUUUCAGAUUCUUCAUAGUGAUCAGCAGAUACUUGUCACGCCCUAGAUGCGACCCUAUCCUUAAUUUGGCGCGAGGGACUCGUCAGGGAUAGAAGCGCAUCUCGUCGUUUUGCAAGAAUGGAUGUCGUCACAAGUACAUGUACUGAAUAGAAGAGAUAUAUAUAGAGUUGGUUUACACUCGCCACAAGCUACGUCAGAGUCACAUCAGUACAUUACAUAAUCAUCAAGAAUAAGAGCAGGGUCCGACUACGGACGAAAAGAAACGAGAAAAGAAGAACGACGUCCAUCCUUGCUAUCCUAGGCUGCUGGCCUGGAACCCAUCCUAGAUCGAUGAUGAAGAAGAAGAAGAAGCAACUCCAAAUGAACAAUCAACGCGCUCGCGUCAAGUAACCUUUACCUGUACCUGCAACUGGUGUUGUAGUAAUCUGUGAGCCACAGGGGACUCAACAAUAUCAUUUCCAAAGGUAUCAAGACUAGCAAAGCUUAAUGGGUGAGGCAUGGUUAAGUGGUGAGGUUGCAGCAGCGGCUAAGCAUAUAUUUGGUGGCUAAACUUACGAGUACAAGAAAUAAGAGGGGGAUGAUCUACGCAUAACGGACGUGAACUACUGAUGAUCAAAUGAAUGAUCCUGAUCACCUACCUACGUCAGACAUAACCCCACCGUGUCCUCGACAGGAGAAAGAACUCACGAAAGAGAUGGUCACGGUUACGCACAUAGUUGGCAUAUUUUAAUUUAGUUAACUUCAAGUUAUCUAGAACCAGUGUUAAACAAAGUUUCCACGUUGCCACAUAACCGCGGGCACGACUUUCUGAAAAGAUUUAACCCUACAGGGGUGAUCCAACUAGUCCAUCACAAAUUAGAACAAGCCGCAAAGAAAUCCUCAGUCACGAAGCUCACGAUCUCGUCGGAUUUCCUAGUGGAAAACCUCAACUCUGAGAUUACCCAAAGCAUCACCGGAAUCCCGAUGCACAAGAUAUCUCGUCAAAGGUAAAACUAAUCCAGCAAGGCCGCCCGGCGUGUCGACGAUCCCGAUAGGAGCCGCGUACCUCGUUCUCAGGACACGACGGAUGAGCGACUAGUACGAGUGCCAAACCUCGAGUUUCCUUGCAGUGGCCCCGCACAGUGCUCUGUUUUGGACCAGCACCAUCAGCACUGGACCUCCCUGUAUUAUGUAGAAUUACUCCUCGGGUAGCACUAACUCAAUAUGCAUUUCAGUUUAUCAAAUUAUUAUGUUGGGCAAAAUAUUAACAAUGUUGGGCCUUGCCAGACCAGCUUUAAUCUAAAACGAAUUAUCAAGGGGGUCCCCAUAACAACCCCGAUCGUGUUAGGAGCACUCAAUUAUGGAACAUAACAACGGUAGCCGAAACUAAGGGGGCAAAGGUGGAACAAAACACCAGGCUAGAAAGGCCGAGCCUUCCACCUUUUACCAAGUAUAUAGGUGCAUUAAAUUAAAUAAAAUUUAAUAGGGUGAUAUAACAAGGAACCCAUGUUAACACAUGGAAACAACUACACCUGCAACUAGCAACGCUAACAACAAGGAUAAGCAAGCGGUAACAUAGCCAAUCAGUUGUUUGCUAGGUCGAACAGGUUGAAGGUUAUCAUGGCAUUGUUGAGAGGCUGAUAUUUGAUCGGCCGGGCCCUGGCGGCGGCUGAGGGAGGAGCUGCGGGCAUGGAAAACGAUGGGGGGUUCAGGGUUUCCUAAAAAUUAGGGCAAGGCUUAUUUAUAACAAAUGGGGGGGCUAGGUUUAUCCGAAUUCGGCCCCAUUUUCGCCCACGCGAUCGUAAACGAACGAACUCGAAUGCGGGGUCGGCUAAACGACCGCGUAGAGUAGGCUAGCCGGGGAAGAGAGGGAAACGGUGUGGCACGGAAACAAAUUUUAAAACACCGACAUACGUCCGACGGUGGGCCGAAUACGGUGCCGCUACGGUCGACCGUUCGGGUACCGGAUGAACUCCGAUCACGACGAAAUUCGACAGGCGGUCUAGCGAUAACUAAUUACGACCGCAUGCCAAGUUUCACCCCGAUCAGAGAAAGUUUUACAUGCACUUCUAAAACAGGGUUUCAACGGUGCCGGGGGCGCGUGCGUGUGCGGUCGGCUCAGAAGGGACAACGACGAGAACCUGCAACUAACAACGGAUGCAAGUUUCGAAAACUGGCGGCAACAGGAUGCCGAUGCAAUGCAGAUGAUGCGCAUAAUGCGAUGAUGAUGCGACAAAAGAAAAUAGACACACGACGAAAAUGGAAUAGAAGGGGAAUCUUGUGGAACGUCGGCAUCAGGCUGUCACAAUAAAUCCCAAAUGACUCAGAGAAUACCGCGGCCUCCCUCCCCGGCAACGGUGCCAGAAAAAUGCUGUUGACGUGCAACUAUUCCUGACUUGAUGCCUCCACGGCAACGGAGCCAUAAAAGAGCUGCUCCCAAUUCCUCAACAAGUAGAAAUUGUCUUGCAAUAGCACACCAGCGCGUGGGAUCGAGGGAGUUUUCGAGGGUAGAGUAUUCAACCCAAAUUUGUUGGUUCGCGCGACGGGAAGUGAAAGAAUAUUCUCAAGUAUUAGCAGCUGAAUGCGUCAGAUUCAACCACACCUGAAAGAUUAGUGUCUACAAGCAAAGUCUCAACAACAAAGUAGUAUGAUACCAACGGUGCCAGAAAUGAUAUGUUGACGGCAGACUAUUCCUAACUAUUGUAUCAAUGGCGCCAGAAAAGUAUUGUUGUAGGUAGCAGCAGUGUAAUGAGUAACAGCAGUGGCAUGGAACAGCAGUAGUGACAUCAGUAGCAAGUAGCAACACUAGCAAGUAGCAGCAGAGCAAAGCAAGUAACAGCAGCAGCAAGUAACAGAAGCAGCAACAGUAGUAACAGCAGCAGAGCAAAACAAGUAACAACAACAGUGGGAAAAACUCGUAUGCAAUGGGUCGGUGAUUUGUCGGAUGACAUUUAUCAUGCAACCGUUAUAACACGGAGAGAUAUGUGGCUAGCUCCCGUUCGUCAAUGUGAUGUAGGCAUGCAUUCCGUGUGUCGUCAUACGUGCUUAGGGAAAAGAACUUGCAUGACAUCUAUUGUCCAUCCCUCCCGUGGCAGCGGGGUCCAAAAGGAUACUACGGGAUAUUAAGGUUCUCCUUUUAAUAAAGAACCGGACCAACGCAUUAGCACUUGGUGAACACAUGAACUCCUCAAACUAUGGUCAUCACCGGGAGUGGUUCUGGUUAUUGUCACUCCGGGGUUGUCGGGUCAUAACACAUAGUAGGUAACUACAACUUGCAAGAUCGGAUCUAAAACACACAUAUAUUGGUGACAACAUAAUAAUUUCAGAUCUGAAAUGAUGGCACUCGGGCCCUAGUGACAAGCAUUAAGCAUGGCAAAGUAGUAGCAAUAUCAAUCUCAGAACAUAGUGGAUACUAGGGAUCCAUCCCCGUCAAAACUAACUCGAUUACAUGAUAGAUCUCAUCCUACUCAUCACCGCCCAGCGAGCCUACGAAUAGAUUACUCACGAACGAUGAAGAGCUUCAUAGAAUUGGAGAGGUAAGAAGGUUGAUGAUGAGAAUGUCGACGAUUUCCCCUCUCCGGAGCCCAAAACGGACUCUAGAUCUGCCCUCCAAAUGAAGAACAGGAUGUGGCGGCGCCUCCGUAUCGCAAACACGAUGAAAUCUUCUCUUCUGAUUUUUAUGGGACGAAAGGGAAUAAAUAGCACUGGAGUUGGGGGCGGCACAGCCACGUGGCCCCCACAAGCUUGGUUGCCGCGGCCAGGGGGGUGGCCGCGGCGACAGGGCUUGUGGCCCACUGGCCCGUCCCCUCCGGUGGAUCUUUGCGCAGGUAUUUUUCGUAUUUUCCAGAAAUAUUCUCCGUAAAUUUUCAGGACAUUCCGAGAACUUUCAUUUCUGCACAAAAACAACACCAUGGCAAUUCUACUGAAAACAGCGUCAGUCCGGGUUAGUUCCAUUCAAAUCAUCCAAAUUAGAGUCCAAAAUAAGGGCAAAAGAGUUUGGAAAAGUCGAUACGAUGGAGACGUAUCAGUCACCACUUUGUAGGUCCUUACGACCCGCCAUUCAUCCUUAUGCAGAUCUCUGUUCCUGUCUUUUAAGCUUCGCAGUCAUAGGCACCAUCUCCAAAUGCAACUGGUUACCGACAGAGGUCGACGACACCUUCCUUGCAAAUUUCGUGAAGGUGGGUAAUCUCGCGCCGGAGGAAGCGGUUGGCUGGCAAACUGCCUUAGGGGAACAACGCCCACAACCCGCUGAUUGAGAGGUAGUUGUAUUUACUAAUCACAUCGAGCGAAGAUUCACGCAGCCCGGCUCAAAGUUCUUCAGGGACACCCCACAUUUCUUCAACCUCCAUCCCCAGUACUUAGGCCCAAACUCCAUCAACGUUCCAAGUAUUCUGCGAAGAUUACUUGCAAAUAGGGCCCACCGUGCUCUUGUUCAGGAAGUUCUUCUAUUUGAACCGCGAGAUAGAGUUAGCCCAUAGGCCUUGCCAAGAGUUUUGAGGAGUCAAUAUCCAGAGGCGACGAGAAUGCGGGUUCCCGGCCGCUUCACUGCCCAGUCACCCCAAAGGUUGGGCAAAGACUUGGUUUUACUGCCGGGACACCUCUCCACCCAAUGAGAACCCCUUACCAGGUUUUAGGCAGGAGGGUCUGCCCAUGGACUUUAAAUUGGAUGAGAUGCUAAUUGAUCAAGAGGAAGCUUCACUUACCCCUGUCUUUGCAAAGCUCAGGGUUUUAACCGCCAACGGCCUUACUAGCAUUGAUCUGAUCCGAUGUUGGGUGGAAUGGAGGAUUAUGCCUUUAAGCCACCGGGACGGCUUAAUGCGUGAGUACAAUGGAGACAUAAACCAUCCACAAUGCUUCUACCACGUUAGACUUGAAGAAGGGAACAUUAUUGAUAUCGUGAAGAAAUUAAGUGGCGAGCCUAUUGAGAACUGCUCCAAGAUUGGGUUAAGACCGUUCUGCGUUUCCAACCCGGCUCCAGAGGUGAACCAUCUCAACUCGCCUUUCUAGAUUUUUAUAUACUCAGGCUUGUCUCUGAUCCGGGCUUUAAUACGUCAAUCAGAAGGACUCGUCUUUUUGGAAACGAAGACCCAAAAUUUUCGUCAAGAAAGUGCCAAAACCUGCCCCAAAGAAUAAGAAAACCAGGGGCAAAGCCGCCACAAAGGAGUCAUCCAUUGUGGGAGAGUCUUGGGUCGCCGAGGAACAAUCAGAGGUAAAUGCUCUUGUCUUCAUUAUUCUAACCCGACUUGUACUCAUGCAUUGCCUCUUCUAUUUAUAGGAUGAUGACAUAGAGAGCCAAGAUGAAGACAUCGAGGUAAUUUCCAUUUCUUCCGACUCAAAAUCUUCUCCCCCAAGCCGGCAAGGCGAAUCUAUAGGAAAGUCCCACUGUCUCACCCAGAUGCUUAUGUGGAUCCCAAUUUCCUUUUGAAGAAGGCGAGUUUUACGCCAAACCGUCAUACUCGAAGCCGCUCUGGGGACCUCCUCUCCGGCUUGCCUGAGAAAACGGCUCGUCGUAAAUGACAAAGUGAGGUACAUUUUUUAUAUUAAACGUCCUUCCUUCUCGUGCAAAUUAUUUUCACAGCUUCCUCAACCUCUAAAUCUUAUAUCCAACAGGUUUCACCUCCUUCAUAUGGCGAUUCAGCUGCUUCAGCUCUUCCCCCGUUAAUCCGCCUUCAGGGGUAGGUUCCUUUGUCAACAUGCUCUUUUUGGUGCCAAUCUUUCUAUUUUAACAUAUUUACCAUAUUUUAUUGGGCUUAAGCAAAGAAGAGCAAAAACCGGCGAGUCGUCGUCCGCUCCUAAGGCGGCUGAAAUAUUUGGAAUGAGUACUUCCAUCCCAGAAGCUCAAGGUGAACCGGCUGAGAUUCACGCCGAAGACUCUGAUGAUUUCCUUGAGAUCCGGGAUGAGCUUCCGAGCCCUCAAAAGGAAACAACCGAAUACCUCAACCCGCCAAGUCCUCAAAAGGUGGCUGACGGCGUGAUGCGUGACUCAGAUCCAGUCAUCGUUGUUGGUACAAGUUUUUCCAAACCUGCAUCUGCAGUACUGACCAAGCAUGCGCCCAAUGAUGCCCCAGUAUUUGUGGAGAAGGACAUGUCCAAGUUGAAGCUUCCCAAUUUUGAGAAGCUGGAGAUUGAUGAACUGAAUUCUAGCUUUGUGAGUCACCAUGAGACGAGCGAUGAAAUGGAAAAGAGCUUGGUUAACAUGAUGAGAAGAAAACAUGAGGUAUGAUACGUUUUAACCUCCUUGACAUGUCUUCCCAUUAGCGCUCCAAAGGGCGAGUCAUCUUUGAUGAAUCGAGCUUUGUAUAAAUUUUCAACCUAUAGCCCCCAAGGGUCGGCUCAUCUUUUAAAAGAUGAGUCGGGUCUUUAAUUUGCAUUUGAAGAAAGCUUCAACUUGUAGCCCCAAAGGUCGGUCAUCUUUUUAAACAUGAGCCGGGUCUUUAGCAUAUAUUUGAAGAAAACUUCAACCUGUAGCCCCCAAGGGCCGGGUCAUUAUUUUAAAGAUGAGCCGGAUCUUUAGCAUAUAUUUGAAGAAAACUUCUACCUGUAGCCCCCAAUGGACGGGUCAUCUUUUUAAAGAUGAGUCGGGUCUUUAGCAUAUAUUUGAAGCAAACUUCAACUUGUAGCCCCCAAGGGCCAGUUUGUAUUUUUAAAGAUGGGUUGGGUCUUUAGCAUAUAUUUGAAGAAAGCUUCAACCUAUAGCCCCCAAGGGCCGGGUCAUCUUUUUAAAGAUGAGCCGGGUCUUGCUUUAAGGUAUUACCUUAGAAAAAUGAAUCGUACAUUAGCCCCCAAGUGCCAGGGAUGUUGCUUGCAAUGUGCAUGAGACUUGCUUUGCCUUGCUGUUUCACAUGAAUCAUUGACCCAGGCCGACUCAACCAUGGCCGGCCUGAAGCAAAGUCUGGCUGAACAGCAAGACGCUCGAGCUAAAUCUGAAGAGAGACUUUGCCUUGCACUGGCUGAUAUGGAAAAAAUGAAGGCAGAGCACCAGGAGCACAAAAACAAGGCCGAAACUGAGCAAGCCGCCUUACUGAAAAGGGCGGAGCAGGCCGAGGAGCAGAUGAAGGCCGCCGUGCAGCAACUGUCCAGGUUAAAACUUCAUAUCUCAAAAAUGGCCAACUCUGUGUUUGGUAAGUGUCCACCGCCACCUUUCCUUCCAAAAUCGUGUUGUAAGACCUUCCGGCGACUUAUGAUCAUUGAUUUGUACCGCAGGUCCUCGAGCCGCCACUCUUCAUGAUGAUUACGUUUUAAAAUUAAAAGCAAUAUAUACCUUGAUAGAGCAACUGUACACUGGUGGUGUGAUGACUAUGAAGGCCGUUAUGGGCAACAAAGAGCCCAUAAAAUCAAUCAAGUAUAUGCUGGGAUGCUUGUCCACGCUGCCACCCCAAAUAGAAGAGCUAAAAAGGUGAGGCGCCCGGAAAGGAGCACUAACCACCCUGGGUCGGUGCUUGGCUUAUGCACGAGAGCUUAAGCCGGAGGAAGCGACUAGGGGAUUUCCAGAGUACAGUGAUGAUGGGGCAGAAUUUACUGAAGAAGAUUACCAUCACUGUGUGAAGGAAUCUCGCUUCACGGCGAUUCAACUCGCUGCCGGUCUAGACUUAACCAAGUAUCAGGCGGCUUAUGAUGAGCACAACAAGCGGGUAACUCCUCCCUCGUAUUAAAUCAUCGUUCUGACUCCGAAUCGCCGUAAGCAUCCUUUUGACUCUAAUGCCGACCUGUCCACCAUCUUGACUGAUGAGGAUGAGUUCUGUGCCUUGACAAUUGCAAUUGAAAAUUGGGUGACUUACAGAUCCAAGAUGGCGAAAGCUCAAGGCAGGAUAAUCCGGUGGCUUGAGCCAGGAAUUACUUGAAGAUCACCGCGAAGAACAGUUUAGAAAAUCCGUUGUCGGGUUUAUGCAAAUUUUUAUGGCCUUCCAAGCCAUGUAAUUUUCUACAGAUGAAAACAAUAUUGUGGUACACCUGUACCUUUGCUGACUUUGAAGUCUUACCCUUUUGUUAAUAUGAAUCGCCUUACUAGGUCUCUUUGCCAUGUCUUUGACAGAUAAUUACCCCCUGUUGUGAGAGAAUAAAUAAUAAGUCGGCUCAGUGAGACGCAGCGGUUUAGACUGAGUUUCUAGAAAACUCUUAACUAUGCUACAAAGAUACUUUGUAGUCAUAAAGGUUCCCGGCUCAAUGAGUCACGAUAGGGUAGGACGAGCUUGCAAGGCUCUAGUGCUACCCGAGGAAGGCUUUUGCAACAACCUUAGUUGUUUAGACCGGUUGAUCAGUGAACCCAUGGCUUGUCUAUUUUCCAUAUGCCGGCUCCCGCUAGCACCCUUCAUGUUUUAACCUAGGCAAGUUCAGGGUUCAAAAGCGGAUUGACUCGCCAAGAGUACAUGGGACCAUAGGGCGAGUCGCCAAACACACAGUCCAGUAUAACCAUUGUAAUGCAUUAAAUUUUUGCUAGCCUAGAGGGUAUUCAGGCUGAACUCAGUGAGUAGAAGCCCCCAAGUGACCUAUGAUUAGGGAUAGGUCGGACAGAGGAUUGCGGAAGCGUUUACGCUCUUACUGCAAAACGACUUCGGAGCUAGUAGCCCCCAAGUAAGCCGGCUUGAUUCUCGAAACCAUAUAGGGUGUUGACUCCGUAACAGCAGACCUUCCCUUGCAACGGCACCAGAAAAUUGCUUCUAGCACUCUCCGACAAUCGAAAAUAGAAGAAUGUUGUUGACGGCCCACCAACGCGUGGGAUCGUAGCAGUUUUCGAGGGUAGAGUAUUCAACCCAAAUUUGUUGGUACGCCUAUAUGAGGUGAGAGGAUACUCUCAAGUAUUAGCAACUGAAUAUGUCAGAUUCAACCACACCUGAAAGAUUAGUAUCUGCAAGCAAAGUAUCAGUAGCAAAGUAGUAUGAUAACAACGGUGUCAGAAACGAUCUGUUGACAUGACAGACUAUUUAUAACGAUUGUAUCAAUGGCGCCAAGUUGCCUCGUUGACGGAAAUUGUCAGUUCCAUCAACGACCAGUGAACCAAAACUGUAGCAGGUAGUUGUUGGAAAUAUGCCCUAGAGGCAAUAAUAAAUUAGUUAUUAUUAUAUUUCUUUGUUCGUGAUAAUCGUUUAUUAUCCAUGCUAUAAUUAUAUUGAUUGGAAACACAGUGCAUGUGUGGAUACAUAGACAAAACACUGUCCCUAGUAAGCCUCUAGUUGACUAGCUCGUUGAUCAAAGAUGGUCAAGGUUUCCUGACCAUAGGCAAGUGUUGUCACUUGAUAACGGGAUCACAUAAUUUGGAGAAUCAUGUGAUGGACUAGACCCAAACUAAUAGACGUAGCAUGUUGAUCGUGUCAUUUUGUUGCUACUGUUUUCUGCGUGUCAAGUAUUUGUUCCUAUGACCAUGAGAUCAUAUAACUCACUGACACCGGAGGAAUGCUUUGUGUAAUGUCGCAACGUAACUGGGUGACUAUAAAGAUUCUCUACAGGUAUCUCCGAAGGUGUUCGUUGAGUUAGUACGGAUCGAGAUUGGGAUUUGUCACUCCGUGUGACGGAGAGGUAUCUCGGGGCCCACUCGGUAAUACAACAUCACACANAGUCCCGGAUGAGAUCCAGGACGUCACGAGGAGCUCCGGAAUGGUCCGGAGGUAAAGAUUGAUAUAUAGGAAGUCCUGUUUUGGUCACCGGAAAAGUUUCGGGCUCAUCGGUAGUGUACCGGGAGUGCCGGGGACCAUCGGGAGGGGUGUCACGCCCCAAGGGGUCUCAUGGGCUAUGGGAAGAGAUAAACCAGCCCCUAGUGGGCUGGAAUAAAUUCCCACUAAGGCCCAUAAGGUUUGAGAAGGAAAAAACACAAGGUGGAAAGAGUUUCCAAGUGGGAAGGUGGAAUCCUACUCCAAGUAGGAUUGGAGUAGGACUCCUCCACCUCCAAUUUCGGCCAAACCUUGAGGGUUUGAGGCUGCCUCUUCCCUCCCCCUCCCUCCUAUAUAUACUAAGGUAUUAGGGCUGAUUUGAGACAACUUUGCCACGGCAGCCCGACCACAUAUCUCCACAGUUUUGCCUCUAGAUCGCGUUUCUGCGGAGCUCGGGCGGAGCCCUACUGAGAUUAGAUCACCACCAACCUCCGGAGCGUCGUCACGCUGCCGGAGAACUUAUCUACCUCUCCGUCUCUCUUGCUGGAUCAAGAAGGCCGAGAUCAUCGUCGAGCUGUACGUGUGCUGAACGUGGAGGUUCCGUCCGUUCGGUACUAGAUCGUGGGACUGAUCGCGGGACGGUUCGCGGGGCGGAUCGAGGGACGUGAGGAAGUUCCACUACAUCAACCGUGUUCACUAACGCUUCUGCUGUGCGAUCUACAAGGGUACGUAGAUCGAAUAUCCCCUCUCGUAGAUGGACAUCACCAUGAUAGGUCUUCGUGCGCGUAGGAAAUUUUUUGUUUCCCAUGCGACGUUUCCCAACAGUGGCAUCAUGAGCUAGGUUCAUGCGUAGAUGUAAUCUCGAGUAGAACACAAAAGUUUUUUUGGGCGGUGAUGUGCGUCUUGCUGCCCUCCUUAGUAUUUUCUUGAUUCCGCUGUAUCGUUGGAUCGAAGCGGCUCGGACCGACAUUACUCGUACGCUUACGAGAGACUGGUUUCAUCGCUACGAGUAACUCCGUUGCUCAAAGAUGACUGGCGGGUGUCGGUUAUUCCAACUUUAGUUGAAUCAGAAUUGACCGAGGAGGUCCUUGGAUGAGGUUAAAUAGCAAUUCAUAUAUCUCCGUUGUGGUGUUUGCGUAAGUAAGAUGCGAUCCUACUAGAUACCCAUGGUCACCACGUAAAACAUGCAACAACAAUUAGAGGAUGUCUAACUUGUUUUUGCAGGGUAUGCUUGUGAUGUGAUAUGGCCAACGAUGUGAUGUGAUAUAUUGGAUGUAUGAGAUGAUCAUGUUGUAAUAGUUAAUAUCGACUUGCACGUCGAUGGUACGGCAACCGGCAGGAGCCAUAAGGUUGUCUUUAAACUAACGUUUGUGCUUGCAGAUGCGUUUACUAUAUUGCUAGGACGUAGCUUUAGUAGUAAUAGCAUGAGUAGCACGACAACCCCGAUGGCGACACGUUGAUGGAGAUCAUGAUGAUGGAUAUCAUGGUGUGACGCCGGUGACAAGAAGAUCGUGCCGGUGCUUUAGUGAUGGAGAUCAAGAAGCACAUGAUGAUGGCCAUAUCAUGUCACUUAUGAAUUGCAUGUGAUGUUAAUCCUUUAUGCACCUUAUCUUGCUUAGAACGACGGUAGCAUUAUGAGGUGAUCUCUCACUAAAAUUUCAAGACGAAAUUGUGUUCUCCCCGACUGUGCACCAUUGCGACUGUUCUUCGUUUCAAGACACCACGUGAUGAUCGGGUGUGAUAGACUCAACGUUCACAUACAACGGGUGCAAAACAGUUGCACACGCGGAACACUCGGGUUAAGCUUGACNNNNNNNNNNNNNNNNNNNNNNNNNNNNNNNNNNNNNNNNNNNNNNNNNNNNNNNNNNNNNNNNNNNNNNNNNNNNNNNNNNNNNNNNNNNNCUCCCCGACUGUGCACCAUUGCGACUGUUCUUCGUUUCAAGACACCACGUGAUGAUCGGGUGUGAUAGACUCAACGUUCACAUACAACGGGUGCAAAACAGUUGCACACGCGGAACACUCGGGUUAAGCUUGACGAGCCUAGCAUGUGCAGACAUGGCCUCGGAACACAUGAUACCGAAAGGUCGAGCAUGAAUUGUAUAGUUGAUAUGAUUAGCAUAGAGAUGCUUACCACUGAAACUAUUCUCGACUCACGUGAUGAUCGGACUUGAGAUAGUGGAUUUGGAUCAUGUACCACUCAAAUGACUAGAGAGAUGUACUUUUUGAGUGGGAGUUCUUAAGUAAUAUGAUUAAUUGAACUAAUUGUCAUGAACAUAGUAUAAUGGUCUUUGCGAAUUACAAUGUAGCUUGUGCUAUAGCUCUACUGUUUUUAUAUGUUCCUUGAGAAAAUUUAGUUGAAAGUUGAUAGUAGCAAACUUUGCAGACUGAGUCUGUGAAACCGAGGAUUGUCCUCGUUGCUGCGCAGAAGGCUUAUGUCCUUAAUGCACCACUCGGUGUCCUGCACCUCGAGCGUCGUCUGUAGAUGUUGGGAACAUCCGACAUACACGUUUCUGAUGAUUACACGAUAGUUCAGUACAAAAUACUUAAUGGCUUAGAAGCAAGGCGCCGAAGACGUUUUGAAACGUCACGGAACAUAAGAGAUGUUCUAAAGAGAUGAAAUUGUGAUUUCAUGCUUGUGCCCUUGUGAAGAGGUAUGAGACCUCCGACAAGAUUCUUUGUCCACGAAGUAAAGGAGAAAAGCUCAAUCGUUGAGCGUGUGCUCAGAUUAUGUGUGUACGACAAUCGCUUGAAUCAAGUGGGAGUUGAUCUUCCAGAUAAGAUAGUGAUGGUUCUCCAAAAUCACCGCCACCAAGCUGUGAGAGAUUCGUGAUGAACUAUAACAUAUCAAGGAUAGAUACAAUGAUCCUUGAGCGAUUCCCGAUGUUUGACACUGCGAAAGUAGAAAUCAAGAAGGGGCAUCAAUAGUUGAUGGUUAGUAAAACCACUAAGUUUCGAGAAAGGCAAGGGAUAGAAGGGAUACUUCGUGAAACGGCAAAGCAGUUGCUGCACUAAUGAAGAGACCCCAGAUUAAACCCAAGCCCGUGACUAAGUGCUUCUGUUAUGAGGGGAACGGUCACUGAGGCGGAGCAACUCCAGACACUUGGUAGACAAGAAGGCUGGCAAAAGUCGAAAGAAGUAUAUUUGAUAUACAUGAUGUUGAUGUGUACUUUACUAGUACUCCUAGUAGCAUGAGGGUAUUGGAUACCGGUUCGGUUGCUAAGUGAUUAGUAACACGAAAUGAAAGCUACGGCAUAAACGGAGACUAGCUAAAGGCGAGGUGACGAUACAUGUUGGAAGUGUUUCCAAGGUUGAUAUGAUCAAACAUCACACGCUCCCUCUACCAUCGAGAUAGGUGUUAAACCUAAAUAAUUGUUAUUUGGUGCUUGCGUUAAGCAUGAACAUGAUUGGAUCGUGUUUAUUGCAAUACGAUUAUUCAUUUAAAGAGAAUAAUGGUUACUCUAUUUGCUUGAAUAAUCACCUUCAAUGGUUUAUUGAAUCUCGAUUGUAGAGUUACACAUGUUCAUGAUAUUGGUGCCAAAAGAUACGAGGUAAUGAUGAUAGUACCACUUACUUGUGGCGCUGCCGCUUGAGUCAUGUUGGUAUAAAUUGCAUGAAGAGGCUCCAUGCUGAUGGAUCUUUAUACUCACUUGAUUUUGAAUCACUAAUGACAUGCAAAUCAUACCACAUGAGCAAGGCCUUGGUUUUAUUGAGAUGAAAUAAGAUAGUAACUUGUUGGAAGUGAUACAUUUUGAUGUAUGCAGUCCAAUAGGUGCUGAGGCACGCAGUGGAUGUCAUUAUGUUCUUACUUCAAUGACGAUUUGAGUAGAUACAAGAGUAUUUACUUAAUGAAUCACAAGUCUGAAAUAUUGAAAAUUUCAAUUCUGUUUCAGGAGUGAAGUUCGUCGUAACAAGAGGAUAAACUGUUUACGAUAUGAUCAUAGAAAUGAAUAUCUGAGUUACGAGUUUUGGUACGCAGUUAAGACAAUGUGGAAAUUGUUUCGCAGUUCAUGCCACCUGGAACAUCAUAGUGUGAUGAUGUGUCUGAACGUCAUAGCCACGCACUAUUUGGUAUGGUGCAUGCUAUGAUGUCUCUUAUCGAAUUACCACUAUCGUUUAUGGGUUAUGCAUUAGAGACAACCGCAUUCAGUUUAAAUAGGGCACCGCGUAUUUCCGUUGAGAUGACACAGUAUAGACUGAGGUUUAGAGAAAUCUAAACUGUCGUUUCUUGAAAGUUUGGGGCUUCGACACUUAUGUGAAAAAGUGUAAGCUCGAACCCAAAGCGGAUAAAUGCAUCUUCAUAGGAUAUCCAAAACAGUUGGGUACAUCUCCUAUCUCAGAUCCGAAAGCAAAGUGUUUGUUUCUAGAAACGGAUCCUUUCUCGAGGAAAGGUUUCUCUCGAAAGAAUUGAGUGGGAGGGUGGUGGAACUUGAUGAGGUUAUUGAACCAUCACUUCAACCACUGUGUAGUAGGGCGCAGGAAGUUGUUCCUAUGGCGCCUACACCAAUUGAAGUGAAAGCUGAUGAUGGUGAUCAUCGAGCAUCGGAUCAAGUUACUACAAACCUCGUAGGUUGACAAGGUCACGUACUACUUCAGAGUGGUACGGUAACCCUGUCUUGGAGGUCAUGUUGUUGAGCAAUGGUGGGCCCGGAUUCCGACAAAUGGCUGGAGGCCAUGAAAUCCGAGAGAGGAUCCAUGUAUGAAAACAAAGUGUAGACUUUGGAAGAACUACUUAAUGGUCAUAGGACUAUUGAGUAAAGAUAGAUCUUUAAAAGGAAGACAGACGAUGAUGGUGAUAAGUCACUAUUAAGAAAAGCUCGACUUGUCGCAAAGAUGUUUCCGACAAGAUCAAACAGUUGACUAUGAUGAGACUUUCUCACUCGUAGCGAUGUUGAAAGUCUGUUAGAAUUAUGUUAGUAGUUGCUGCAUUAUUUAUGAAAUAUUGCACAUAGGAUGUCAAAACAUUGUUUCCUCGACGGUUUCCUUGAGCAAACAUUGUAUGUGAUACAACCAGGAGGUUUUGUCGAUCCUAAAGAUACUUGCAAGUAUGCAAGCUCCAGCGAUCCUUCAAUGAACUGGUGCAAGCAUCUCGGAGUUAGAAUAUACACUUUGAUGAGAUGAUCAAAGAUUUUGGGUUUGUACAAGGUUUAUGAGAAACUUGUAUUUCCAAAGAAGUGAGUGGGAGCACUAUAGAAUUUCUGAUAAGAAUAUGUGGUUGACAUAUUGUGGAUCAGAAGUAAUGUAGAAUUUCUGUAAAGCAUACAAGGUUGUUUGAAAGGAGUUUUUCAAAGGAAUACCUGGAUUGCGCUACUUGAACGUUGAGCAUCAAAGAUCUAUGGAGAUAGAUCGAAAGCGCGUAACGGAAGUUUCAACAAGAUGCAUGCCUUGACAAGUUUUUUAAGGAGUUCAAAAUAGAUCAGCAAAGAAGGAGUUCUUGGUUGCGUUGUAAGGUGUGAAUUUGAGUAAGACUCAAAACCCGACCCCGGCAGAAUAAAGAGAAUAGACGAAGGUCGUCUUCUAUGCCUUGGCCGUAGAAUCUGAAGUAUGCCAUGCUGGGUACCGCACCUGAUGUGUGCCUUGACUCAAAGUCUGUUGAGAGGUACAGAGAGUGAUCCAUGAUUGAAUCACUAGCAGCGGUCAAAAUUUAUCCUUAGUAACUGAUGGACUAAGGAAUUUUUUUGAUUAUGGAGGUGGUUAAAGAGUUCGUCAUAAAAGGUUACGUCGAUGCAAGCUUUGACACUAAUCCGAAUAACUAUGAGUAGUGAAACGAAUUUGUAUAGUAGAGUAGAUAUUUGGAGUAUUUCCGAAUAGCACAUAGUAGCAGCAUCUAUAAGAUGACAUAAAGAUUUGUAAAGAACACACGGAUCUGAAAGUUUCAGAACCGUUGACUGAAACCUCUCUCACGAGCAAGACGUGAUCAGACCCCAUAACUAUACGGGUGUUGGAUUCGUUGGAAUCACAUGGUGAUGUGAACUAGAUUAUUGACUCUAGUGCAAGUGGGAGACUGUUGGAAAUAUGCCCCAGAGGCAAUAAUAAAUUAGUUAUUAUUAUAUUUCUUUGUUCAUGAUAAUCGUUUAUUAUCCAUGCUAUAAUUGUAUUGAUUGGAAACACAGUGCAUGUGUGGAUACAUAGACAAAACACUGUCCCUAGUAAGCCUCUAGUUGACUAGCUCGUUGAUCAAAGAUGGUCAAGGUUUCCUGACCAUAGGCAAGUGUUGUCACUUGAUAACGGGAUCACAUAAUUUGGAGAAUCAUGUGAUGGACUAGACCCAAACUAAUAGACGUAGCAUGUUGAUCGUGUCAUUUUGUUGCUACUGUUUUCUGCGUGUCAAGUAUUUGUUCCUAUGACCAUGAGAUCAUAUAACUCACUGACACCGGAGGAAUGCUUUGUGUUUAUCAAACGUCGCAACGUAACUGGGUGACUAUAAAGAUGCUCUACAGGUAUCUCCGAAGGUGUUCGUUGAAUUAGUAUUUAGCGAGACUGGGAUUUGUCACUCCGUGUGACAGAGAGGUAUCUCGGGGCCCACUCGAUAAUACAACAUCACACACAAGCCUUGCAAGCAAUGUGACUUAGUGUAAGUUGCGGGAUCUUGUAUUACGGAACGAGUAAAGAGACUUGCCGGUAAACGAGAUUGAAAUAGGUAUGCGAAUACUGACGAUCGAAUCUCGGGCAAGUAACAUACCGAAGGACAAAGGGAAUGACAUACGGGAUUAUAUGAAUCCUUGGCACUGAGGUUCAAACGAUAAGAUCUUUGUAGAAUAUGUGAGAUCCAAUAUGGGCAUCCAGGUCCCGCUAUUGAAUAUUGACCGAGCAGUCACUCGGGUCAUGUCUACAUAGUUCUCGAACCCGCAGGGUCUGCACACUUAAGGUUCGACGUUGUUUUAUGCGUAUUUGAGUUUUAUGGUUGGUUACCGAAUGUUGGUCGGAGUCCCGGAUGAGAUCCAGGACGUCACGAGGAGCUCCGGAAUGGUCCGGAGGUAAAGAUUGAUAUAUAGGAAGUCCUGUUUUGGUCACCGGAAAAGUUUCGGGCUCAUCGGUAGUGUACCGGGAGUGCCGGGAGGGGUGCCGGGGACCAUCUGGAGGGGUGUCACGCCCCAAGGGGUCUCAUGGGCUAUGGGAAGAGAUAAACCAGCCCCUAGUGGGCUGGAAUAAGUUCCCACUAAGGCCCAUAAGGUUUGAGAAGGAAAAAACACAAGGUGGAAAGAGUUUCCACGUGGGAAGGUGGAAUCCUACUCCAAGUAGGAUUGAAGUAGGACUCCUCCACCUCCAAUUUCGGCCAAACCUUGAGGGUUUGAGGCUGCCUCUUCCCUCCCCCUCCCUCCUAUAUAUACUGAGGUAUUAGGGCUGAUUUGAGAAAACUUUGCCACGGCAGCCCGACCACAUAUCUCCACGGUUUUGCAUCUAGAUCGCGUUUCUGCGGAGCUCGGGCGGAGCCCUGCUGAGAUUAGAUCACCACCAACCUCCGGAGCGCCGUCACGCUGCCGGAGAACUCAUCUACCUCUCCGUCUCUCUUGCUGGAUCAAGAAGGCCGAGAUCAUCGUCGAGCUGUACGUGUGCUGAACGCGGAGGUGCCGUCCGUUCGGCACUAGAUCGUGGGACUGAUCGCGGAACGGUUCGCGGGGCGGAUCGAGGGACGUGAGGACGUUCCACUACAUCAACCGCGUUCACUAACGCUUCUGCUGUGCGAUCUACAAGGGUACGUAGAUCGAAUAUCCCCUCUCGUAGAUGGACAUCACCAUGAUAGGUCUUCGUGCGCGUAGGAAAAUUUUUGUUUCCCAUGCGACGUUCCCCAACAGUAGUAGCAGUGUAACAUCAGUAGUGACAGCAGUAGCAAGUACCAAGAGUAGCAAGCGAGAGUAGUAGCAACACUAGUAGCAGAGCAAGACAAGUAAGAGCAGUAACAGCAGUAGUAACAGCAGCAAAGCAACACAAGUAACAGCAACAGUAGGACAAACUCGUAGGCAAUGGGUCGGUGAUUUGUUUGGAUGAUAUUCAUCAUGCAAUAGUUAUAACACGGAGAGAUAUGUGGCUAACUCCUGUUCAUCAAUGUGAUGUAGGAAUGCAUUCCGUGUGUCGUCAUACGUGCUUAGGGAAAAGAACUUGCAUGACAUCUAUUGUCCAUCCCCCCGUGGCAGCGGGGUCCAAAAGGAAACUUGCAAGAUCGGAUCUAAAACACACAUAUAUUGGUGACAACAUAAUAAUUUCAGAUCUGAAAUCAUGGCACUCGGGCCCUAGUGACAAGCAUUAAGCAUGGCAAAGUAGUAGCAACAUCAAUCUCAGAACAUAGUGGAUACUAGGGAUCAAUCCCCAUCAAAACUAACUCGAUUACAUGAUAGAUCUCAUCAUACUCAUCACCGCCCAGUGAGCCUACGAAUAGAUUACUCACGAACGACGAAGAGCUUCAUGGAAUUGGAGUGGGAAGAAGGUUGAUGAUGACGAUGGCGACGAUUUCCCCUCUCCGGAGCCCAAGACGGACUCCAGAAAGCUCCCAACAAGCAAAAGAAGAAAUAAAAAUCUUUUUGGGUUUUCUCAAAAGGACACAAAACAAGAAAAUAAAAAUAAACUAGCAUGGAUAAUACAGUGGCAAAGUGUAAACACCGGCUAACAAAGCGAAAGCAUAAGCAUGAAUGUAAAGUCGGUGAGAACACGUACUCCCCCAAGCUUAGGCUUUUGGCCUAGCUUGGUCUACUCCCAAGGAUGGUCCUUGCGAAACCCAAAAUCAUAAUGGGUGGUAUACGGGAGUGCUGCAGCCACUGCCUGAAUAGCUGCCUCACGAAGUCGAGCAGCAGUCGCCUCCCUCUCAUACUCCUCUGCCUCUCCUAUGGUUAUGUAGUGUCUUCGUUUUACCUGAAAGUCGAAGAAAGCAGGAGCAGGAAGGGUAAUAUGGAAAACACGCUGCCGGUUAAAUAUCAAGCGAUAUAGGAGGGAUCCAUGAUCUCUCUCAAGGAACUGGCAGCGUGUUAGAGCGACAUGAUCAAGGUAAGCUGUACAGAGAGGAGGGUCUUCUGGAAGGAUGGAUACUCCAAGAAAAUUUGCUAAGCGUGUAGCAUAAACUCAACCAAAGAAAUCCCCCUCACUGGCAUUUUUAUUCAGCCUCCUUUCUAUUAUAGCUCCCAUAUUGAAGCUCCUGUCACUUGUUACUGCGCUCUUAAGGAUACUAAGGUCGGAAGCGCAUAGGUGACAAUGUGCACCCUUGUCGUUAAUGCACCUAGCUAUGAAGAGGGCAAAGUAGUGCAAGGCAGGGAAAUGGAUGCUUCCUAUGGUGGCUUGCGUGAUAUCUCUGGUUUCUCCAACAGUUAUACUGGAGACAAAGUCUCUGACCGAAGACUUAGAAAGAUCAUUACUACUACCACCAUCGGGUAUCUUGCAAAUCCUAUUAAAAUCCUCCAAAUCCACGGUAUAGGAUUUAUCAUACAGAUCAAACAAUAUGGAUGAGUCACGGCCAACUGAAAAUUUAAAUCUACGCACGAAAGAGGCAGUGAGCAUAGCAUACUAUUCACAUUUAUCUGAGAGGAAUUCUUCUAACAUGGCAUUGCGGACAAGUGUAUCAAACUCAUCCUUGAAACCUGCUUCAAUCAUGAACUCGUCGGAAGGACAUUGACAUGGUUGUACCGGUGCAUCACUUAGUUGAAAAGGUUCGGGCUCCCGAAAAGAAAGACGGGGACCCUUCUUACUUGAGGAACCACCAUGAAAUUUCCUCCUGAACAUAAUUUCAUUUUGCUGAAAUUUUUGAAGUUCAAGAAAAAAGUGAAUGAAAACCAACCAUGCCUUGUAGCAACUACUCCUACUAGUGCCUAGAGACCGUAUCACGCGCUAAAACUACUUGGAACCAGCUAAAAUCGACAUUUCUAGCUCAAGAACAGUGUCACCAAGGUAGCAAGAAUACGCGAAGGAUAAAGCACUAGAGCAAAAACUAAUUGGACCAAUGGAGGAGUCACUUACCAAGGAGUAAUUUCCCCAAAACGGUUCGAAGAAUGGUGCUUCGAGCAAGGAGAUCGAAAAUCACAGCCAAGUGAGCAAGAACACGGGUUUGAGCUGCGAAACAAUUUUUUCUAGAGGUGGAAGAAGAGGCUGGGAGCUGGAAUGAGUGGAGGGGGUCCCUAUGGGCCCCACAAGCUUGCUCGCCGCCACCAUGGGGGUGACGGUGGCAGGGGUUGUGACCCACUGGUCUGGCCCCCAGGCCAGCUCUCAGGUCCAGUAAUUUUCAAAAAUUAUAGAAAAAAUCAUACUAGAUUUUCAGGACCAUCGGAGAACUUUUAUUUUCGAGGUAUUUUUCUCCGGGACGCUAAAAUAGAAAACAGGAAAAACAAAACUAAUUCUAUCAAUUUUCUUCUAAGCAAAAGAAAAUGAAAGCUUAAAAGAGAGGUAUGUGACUCUUUGAUUCAUCCAUUUCAUGGUCAUCGAAAGAAAUCCGUCAAUGGGGUUGAUCAAGUCCUCAUGACAAAACCUUCUCGAAUCGUAAGAGAGAAUGGAGAAUUUUAGAAUAGCCACUAAGUCACCUCAAUGGGGAUAUGUAUCUCCCCAACAAGCGAAUCAUACUUCAUCUUGACAUGAGGAAUAGGGCAUUCAAAGCUCCUACUAAGAAUCGAUGAAGUCUUUUCGAUAGCAUUGAUGCAAUGUACUUGAUAUCGUUUCUUCGAAAUGUGCACGGUGUGCUCAUUACCGUUGACAUGGAAAGUGACAUUGCCUUUGUUGCAAUCUAUAACAGCCCCUGCAGUGUUUAAAAAGGGUCUUCCGAGGAUGACAGCCAUGGCAUCGUACUCAGGAAUAUCCAAGAUAAGAAAGUCUGUUAAGAUAGUGGUGUUAGCAACCACAACCGGCACAUCCUCGCAAAUGCCGAGAGGAAAGCAGUUGAUUUGCCGGCCAUUUACAGAGAAAUUUCAGUGGGUGUCAACUUAUCCAAUUCAAGUCUACGAUAAAGAGAGAGCGGCAUAACACUAACACCGGCUCCAAGGUCACAUAAGGCAGUUCUUACGUAGUUUCCUUUAAUGGAGCAAGGUAUAGUGGGCACUCCGGAAUCAUCAAGUUUCUUAGGAGUUCCAGCUUUGAAAGUGUAAUUGGCAAGCAUGGUGGAGAUCUCAAGAUCUGGUAUCUUCCGUUUAUUAGUCACGAUAUCUUUCAUGUACUUGGCAUAUGGAGAAAUCUUGAGCAUAUCAGUGAACCGCAUCUGCAGAAAGAUGGGUCUUAUCAUCUCAACGAAGCGCUCAAAAUCCUCAUCAUCCUUUUUCUUGGAUGGCUUAGGAGGGAAGGGCAUGGAUCUCUGAACCCAUGGCUCCCUUUGUUUACCAUGCUUCCUAGCAGUAAAGUCAUUCUUAUCGUAUUUCUUAGGUUGUGGGUUAUCAGGAUUAACCGUAGGUUCAAUCUCCACAUCCUCAUCAUUGCUAGGUUGAGCAUUAUUAUGAACAUCAUUGUCCAUAUUGUCACCAGGUUCAUGUUCAUCACCAGAUUGUCUUUCUCCAUCAGACGCAGAAAUAUCAUUAGGUUCUUCAGGUGUGACAGUAUUUGGUGAACUGGCAUGUAGGUUUCUAUCAUCCUUCUUCUUCUCCUUAGGAUGACCUUCAAGAUACAAAGGUUCCUGAGUCAUUUUGCCUCCUCUAGUAAUGACUCUGACAGAGUUGUCAUUUAAUUCAUUGAGCAAGUCAUUCUGAGCUUUAAGUACUUGUUCUACCUGAGUAGUAAUCAUAGAGGCAUGUUUACUCAGAAGCUUCAAAUCAUUGACAUUUCUGUCUACACAAGCACUUAAAUGGCUAAGCAUAUGGGUACUUUGUUCCAAAUGUCUGCUAACAUAAUCAUUGAAACUCUGUUGUUUGGCGACAAAGUUGUCAAAUUCAUCAAAGCAUAGGCUAGCAGGUUUUUCAAAAGGAAUAUCACUCUCAUCAAACCUACACAGAGAAUUCACUUCUACUACGUGUAUCGGGUUAUCGAGACCAUGGAUCUCCUCGAUAGGUGGUAGAUUUUUGACAUCUUCAGAUCUAAUGCCUUUCUCUUGCAUAGAUUUCUUGGCUUCUUGCAUAUCUUCGGGACUGAGGAAUAGAAUACCUCUUUUCUUAGGAGUUGUCUUAGGAGGUGGUUCGGGAAUAGUCCAAGCAUUAUCGUUGAUCAAGAUGUUAUUCAGUAGGGUCUGAGCUUGUUCUACAGUUCGUUCUCUAAAAACACAACCGGCACAACUAUCUAGGUGGUCUCUAAAGGCAUCGGUAAGUCCGUUAUAGAGGAUAUCAAGUAUCUCGUUCUUCUUAAGAGGGUGAUCAGGCAAAGCAUUCUGUAGCUGGACGAGCCUCCCCCAAGCUUGUGGAAGACUCUCUUCUUGGAGUUGAGAAAAGUUGUAUAUUUCCUGCAAGGCAUCUUGCUUCUUAUGGGCAGGAAAAUAUAUCUCACAGAAGUAAUAGACCAUCUCCUGGGGACUGCUCACACAUCCAGGAGCAAGAGAGGUGAACCAGGCUUUAGCGUCGUCCUUUAGAGAGAAAGGAAAUAGCUUACGGAUAUAGUAGUGGCGGAUCUUCUCCUCAUUAGUGAAAAGGGUGGCUAUAUCGUGUAGUUUGGCAAGAUGGGCUACGACCGUCUCAGACUCAUAACCAUGAAAAGGAUCAGAUUCGACUAGAGAGAUUAUCUCAGGAUCGACAGAUAAUUCAUAAUCCUUAUCGAUGAUAAAGAUAGGUGAAGUGGCAAACUUCAGGUCGUAUUUCAUCUUAGCUUUCAGAGAUUUUUCCUUCCACUUGAGAAGUAAUUUCUCAGCGUCAUAGGCAUCCUUACACGCAAGAAAAUCCUCAGCUAUCUCUCCCUCCAUAACCUAACCCUCAGGUAUAUCAGGCAAUUCAUAUCUAGGAGAGCUAGAUCUAGCACGAGGAAAAGCAGGUUCUAUCUCAAUAGUAUCGACAGUAUCAGAAGCAUCACGAGCAUUGGCAGUAACUCUAGCAAUAUGAGCAUCAAGGAACACCCCUAGUGGAACAUCAGGCAAAGUAGUGUCUCUAGCAGUAUCAAGCAUAGCAUCAUCAGGCAUAGCAUCUCUAGCAGUAUCGAGCAUAGCAUCUCUAGCAAUAUCAGGCAAAGCAGUAUCAAGCAUAGUAUCAUCGGGCAUAGUAUCAAGCAUAGCAUCUCUAGCAGUAGCAUCAUAAGCAUCAUAUGCACACGCGACAUAUCAAGAUUUCUAGCAGGAGGUGAUGUCGCAAACUUACUCAUAACUGAAGGUGAAUCAAGUGCAGAUCUAGAUGGCAAUUCCUUACCUCCCCUCAUAGUUGAAGGAAAGACUUUGGUCUUCGGAUCCUUCAAAUUCUUCAUAGUGAUCAGUAGAUAUAAAUCCCAUGUAACUCAGAGAAUAUAGCAAUACCUCGCCGGCAACGGCGCCAGAAAAAUGUUGACUCCGUAACGUGAGACCUUCCCUUGCAACGGCACCAGAAGAAUGCUGGUAGCACUCUCCGGCAAUCGAAACUAGAAGAAUGUUGUUGACGGCCCACCAGCGCGUGGGAUCGUAGCAGUUUUCGAGGGUAGAGUAUUCAACCCAAAUUUGUUGGUACGCCUAUAGGAGGUGAGAGGAUACUCUCAACUAUUAGCAGCUGAAUAUGUCAGAUUCAACCACACCUAAAAGAUUAGUAUCAGCAAGCAAAGUAUCAGUAGCAAAGUAGUAUGAUAACAAUGGUGUCAGAAACGAUCUGUUGACACGGCAGACUAUUUCUAACGAUUGUAUCAAUUUCGCCAAGUUGCCUCGUUGACGGAAAUUGUCAGUUCCUGUCAACGACCAGCGAACCGAAAUUGUAGCAGGUAGCAACAGUGUAACGAGUAAUAGCAGCGGCAAGGAACAACAGUAGUGACAGCAGUAGCAAGUAGCAACAGUAGCAAGCGAUAGUAGUAGCAACAGUAGCAGCAGAGCAAGACAAGUAACAGCAGUAACAGCAGUAGUAAUAGCGGUAGUAACAGCAGCAGAGCAAGACAAGUAACAGCAACAGUAGGAGAAACUCGUAGGCAAUGGGUCGGUGAUUUGUUUGGAUGAUAUUCAUCAUGCAAGAGUUAUAACACAGAGAGAUAUGUGGCUAGCUCCCGUUCGUCAAUGUGAUGUAGGCAUGCAUUCUGUGUGUCGUCAUACGUGCUUAGGGAAAAGAACUUGCAUGACAUCUAUUGUCCAUCCCUCCCGUGGCAGCGGGGUCCAAAAGGAAACUACGGGAUAUUAAGGUUCUCCUUUUAAUAAAGAACCGGACCAACGCAUUAGCACUUGGUGAACACAUGAACUCCUCAAACUAUGGUCUUCACCGGGAGUGGUUCCGGUUAUUGUCACUCCGGGGUUGCCGGAUCAUAACACAUAGUAGGUAACUAGAACUUGCAAGAUCGGAUCUAAAACACACAUAUAUUGGUGACAACAUAAUAAUUUCAGAUCUGAAAUCAUGGCACUCGGGCCCUAGUGACAAGCAUUAAGCAUGGCAAAGUAGUAGCAACAUCAAUCUCAGAACAUAGUGGAUACUAGGGAUCAAUCCUCAUCAAAACUAAGUCGAUUACAUGAUAGAUCUCAUCCUACUCAUCACCGCCCAGCGAGCCUACGAAUAGAUUACUCACGAACGACGAAGAGCUUCAUGGAAUUGGAGAGGGAAGAAGGUUGAUGAUGACGAUGGUGGCAAUUUCCCCUCUCCGGAGCCCAAGAUGGACUCCAGAUCUGCCCUCCAGAUGAAGAACUGGUUGUGGCGGCAUCUCCGUAUCGCAAACGCGACGAAAUCUUCUCUUUUUAUUUUUUCUGGGACGAAAGUGAACUUAUAGAGUUGAGGUUGGGGGCAGCAGAGCCGUGUGGGCCCCACAAGCUUGCCCACCGCCACCAGGGGGUGGCGGAGGCAGGGCUUGUGGCCCACUGGCCCACCCCCUCAGGUGGAUCUUCGCGCUGGUAUUUUUCAUAUUUUCCAAAAAUGAUCUCCGCAAAUUUUCAGGACGUUUGGAGAACUUUGAUUUCUGCACAAAAAUAACACCAAGGCAAUUCUCUUGAAAACAGCGUCAGUCUAGGUUAGUUCCAUUCAAAUCAUGCAAAUUAGCGUCCAAAACAAGGGAAAAGAGUUUGGAAAAGUAGAUACGAUGGAGACGUAUCACGUGCCUAUGUUUGAACCGUGCAACGUGGCAACUUUGUCCUCUUUGGCUUACGAGUAUCCAGUUUUGAAAUAAGUGCAGCAUGGCGACUUAUGCUCUUUGAUACUGAUAGCGUCCAUGCUUGGACGGCUUAUGAAACAAUAAACACUCAUGCUCUCAAGAAGCUAAAACGGCAGAGACCCCGAAGUUCGUGGGCGCCGGCUUUAUUGCUAUAAAUAUAUAUAUAAAGAGAGUACAAUGACUAAACUAUGUACAAUGAUAAGGAGCAUGUGGCUCUAAGUGUAAUAAGGCCGCAAGUGGGCAAUGUUCCAAGGCCGGGUUGUUUCAACCUCUGUCAUUGGCCUAUCUGGACGAAGAUCCACCAGGUAGUAGGAACCAUUAUGAAGACUCUUGCUGAUGACAAAUGGCUCUUCCCAUGGGGGGAUAACUUAUGCAUACCAGUAUGAUCCUUAAUCAAACGGAGCACUAAGUCACCCUCUUGAAAAACUCGGCUUUUGACUCGGCGGCUAUGAUAGCGUCGCAAGUCUUGUUGGUAGAUCGCUGAUCGUGAUGCUGCGAGGUCACGUGCAUCCUCGAGAGCAUCCAACAAAUCUUGACGGGCCAGCUCAUUGUCUUCCUCAACAUAAGCGGCAACUCGCGGCGAGUCGUGCUUGAUAUCACUUGGUAACACUACCUCAGCUCCAUAAACCAAUAAGAAAGGUGUAUAACCAGUUGAUCUAUUAGGGGUGGUCCUGAUACUCCACAGGACAGAAGGAAGCUCUUCAACCCAACACCCCGGGGUACGUUCCAGAGGAACCAUAAGUCGGGGCUUGAUCCCUCGCAGGAUUUCUUGAUUCGCCCUCUCCGCUUGUCCGUUGGAUCGGGGGUGCGCAACUACAGAGACAUCAAGCCGGAUGUGUUCCUUUUCACAAAACUCCUUGAUGGCGCCUUUGGAUAGAUUAGUACCAUUAUCACUAAUGAUACUAUGGGGGUACCCAAAACGAAAAAUCUAUUUCUUGAGGAAAUUGACAGCCGUAUCUGCAUCACAACUACUGACCGGCUCUGCUUCAACCCACUUGGUAAAGUUUUCCACCGCCAAUAGCAGGUGAGUCUUUUUAUUGGAAGACAUCUUGAAAGGACCGACCAUGUCAAGCCCCCAAACCACAAAAGGCCACGAAAUUGGGAUCAUCCGCAAUUCCUAAGCCGGCACAUGCAUCUGACGCCCAAAUUUCUGACAUCCAUCACAUCUGUGCACUAUGUCCUCAGCGUGUGCGUGACCAAUCAACCAGUAGAAUCCAUGUCUAAAGGCCUUGGACACCAAAGAGCGUGACCCGACGUGAUGACCACAAUCGCCCGCGUGGAUCUCAUUAAGGAUCGCACACCCUUCUUCAGGUGAGACGCACCUUUGAAAAACUCCAGAAGUGCUUCGUUUGUGCAACUCAUCGUUAUGUAUGACCAUGUAUUUGCAUCGCCGGAUAAUCGGGCGGGCCAGCAACUCAUCAGUAGGUAACUCGCCCCGUGCUAAAUGCGCCAUGUAAGGGACCGCCCAAUCCCGAGUGGCACGAAGAGCAGCCACAAGUUGUGACUCCAGGUCAGGGACUGCUAUGUACUUUUCAGAAGGCAAUUUCACUGACGGGUUAUGCAAAAUAUCCAAAAAUAUAUUGGGAGGAACCGGCUUAUGCUGCGACCCGAGUCGUCAAAAGGCAUCAGCUGCUUCGAUGAGCCAGCGAUCGAUAUGAUAAACUUGAUAACCAUGAAAGUGACCCGCCACGUCUGACACAUCACGUCUAUAAGCCGCCAUCAAAGGAUCCCUGGAAUCCCAUGUUCCAAAAAUUUGCUAUGCCACCAGAUCUGAGUCACCCAGGCAUCUGACUCGGCUGAUAUUCACCUCUUUGGCGAUCCUAAGUCCAUGAAGCAAAGCUUCGAAUUUUGCCGCAUUGUUAGUACACGGGAACAUGAGUCGGAGGACGUAGCAAAACUUGUCACCGUGAGGUGAAGUUAGUACUACGCCAGCCCCCGAGCCCUCCAACUACCUAGACCCGUCAAAAUGGAUAGUCCAAUACAUGUGAUCAGGUCUGUCUUCUGCGAUUUGCAGCUCGGUCCAAUCAUUGAUUAAAUCCACUAAGGCCUGAGACUUGAUGGCCGUGCGAGGCGUAUAUUUUAUGUGGUGAGGACCAAGCUCGAUAGCCCACUUAGCAAUCCGCACGACUGCUUCACGGUUUUGUAUAAUGUUGCCAAGUGGCGUAGAGCUGACUACCGUGAUCGGGUGCUCGUGGAAGUAGUGCUUCAGUUUUUGACUCGCCAUGAAGAUCCCAAAAACCAACUUCUGCGACUGUGGAUAGCAUUGUUUGGAGAGUGUUAAGACUUCGCUAACAAAAUACACCGGCCUUUGGACCGGAUAUUCCUUUCCUUCUUCCUUGUGUUCGACAAUCACUGCAACGCUUACUGCCUUAGCGUUGGCAGCAAUGUACAGGAGCAUAGGCUCUUUGUCAAGAGGAGCGACUAAAACUGGCAACUCGGACAGUUGUUUUUUCAAGGCCUCGAAGGCUUCAUUAGCUGCAUCCGUCCACACAAAAUGGUCUGCUUUCUUGAGCAACUGAUAGAGAGGGAUUGCCUUCUCCCCAAGGCGACUUAUGAAACGACCCAGAGCCACAAUACGACCCGCCAUGCGGUAGACUUGGUUAAUAUUGGCCGGCUUGCCAAGUGAAGUAAUCGCCUUGAUUUUGUCUAGCUUAGCCUCAAUGCCUCGGUCUGACACCAAGAAGCCCAAUAACUUCCCUGCAGGAACACCGAAGACAUAGUUGGUCGGGUUAAGCUUCAUCCGAUACACGCGCAGAUUGUCAAACGUUUCCUUAAGAUCCUCCAGGAGCGACUAUUUCUUCUGAGAUUUCACCACUAUGUCAUCAACAUAAGCAUGAACGUUGCGACCAAUCUGACUGUGUAAGAAAUUUCGGAUGCAGCGUUGAUAAGUCGCCCCCGGACUCUUGAACCCAAAUGGCAUAGAUACAUAACAAAAGGCACCAAAGUGAGUUAUAAAGGACGUAUUCUUCUGAUCCUCCAAAGCCAUCUUGAUCUGGUGGUAACCUGAGUAUGCAUCCAAUAAACACAGUCGCUCGCAACCCGCCGUAGAGUCAAUGAUUUGAUCGAUACGAGGGAUGGUGAAAGGGUCUUUCAGGCAAGCUUUGUUAAGUCGGUAUAAUCAAUGCACAUGCAAAAGGAACCAUUCUUCUUGAGUACUAAAACCGGAUUGGCCAACCACUCCUGGUGAAAAACCUCCACAAUGAAGCCAGCAGCCAAGAGCCACGCUACUUCCUCUCCAAUCGCCUUACGCCUUUCCUCGUUAAACCGGCGAAGAUAUUGCCGAACUGGCUUCAUCUUGGGAUUUAUGUUAAGGUGGUGCUCGGCGAAUUCUCUUGGUACACCCGGCAUGUGAGAAGGUUUCCAUGCAAAGAUGUCCUGAUUCUCAUGGAUGAAUUCGAUGAGCGCGCUUUCCUAUUUGGGAUCCAGACCCGUCCCAAUGGUGAAUUGCUUGGAAGGGUCGCCAGGCGUGAAAUCCACCAGCUUAGUAUCAUCUGUUGGCUUAAACUUAAGGGGCGGCUCUGAAUCGAUCGUGGGCUUCUUGAGUGGGGUCAUGUCCGCUGGGUCGACAUUGGUCUGAUGAAACUUAAGCUCCUCAGCUGCACAGGCCGACUCAACAUAUGUAGCGUGUCCCUCCUCGCUCUCUUGAGCUAUCUGACGAUCUCCAUUGACCAUGAUGGUUCCUUUAGGGCCUGGCAUCUUGACCUUGAGAUAGACAUAAGAUGGGCGGGCCAUGAAGCGGGCGUAAACCGGCCGACCAAAAAGCGCGUGGUAAGGGCUUUUGAUCUUGACCACCUCAAACAUGAGAGACUCGCUCGUGUAAUUAGACUCGGUGCCAAAAGCCACAUUGAGUUUAAUCUGCCCAACUGGAUAUGCCGAUUUACUCGGGACAAUGCCGUGGAAGACCAUGGAGGAUGGAAUCAAGUCGCCUUCAGAGAAACUCAUUCUUCAAAAAGUGUCGUAGUAUAGGAUGUUGAUGUUGCUGCCUCCAUCCAUGAGGACUUUGGAGAGAGUGUAUCCCAUUACCUGUGGUGCUACGACCAAUGCUAAGUCGCCAGGGUUGUCAACCCGGGGCGGGUGAUCCUCCCUGCUCCAAAUAAUAGGCUGCUCACACCAAUUGAGAUACCUCGGGAGCGCCGGCUCACUGACGCUGAAGGUUCUGUGUUUGACCUUUUUGUCCCUCUUGCAAGUCAUGGUAGUAAACACAUGAUACUGCCCACUGUUCAACUAUUUGGGGUUGUUCUGGAAACCGCCAUUGCCAUUCUGCUGUCGUGAGCCGCCUUGUUGAAGUUGCCUCAGAAAACCGCCCUGCACAUUAUAUUGCUGGUUAUUCUGGACCAGAUACUGCCUAGCAUUGGAAUGUGACCCGCCAUGAGGACCGGGGUUGGGGAAGUCGCAGAACGGACCCCUGUGGGAGCCGCCCAACCCGAAUUUGUCCUAGUGUCCACCACUACCCCCUCCUUGGUUGCUCUUGAGCGCCUUAGCAUGAAAAUCCUGCAUCACGUAGCAGUAUUCCCAAUAAUGGGUGGAUGGACCUUCCGCUCUGGUAUGUUGCGGGCAAGGGCCCGUGUGCAUCUCGUGAUAGUUGAUACGUCUCCAACGUAUCUAUAAUUUUUUAUUGUUCCAUGCUAUGAAUCUGAACAUUCAUGCCACAAAAAAGAAGUUACAAAGAACAAAUAUGUUAGGCAGCAUUCCACAUCAAAAAUUUGGUCUUUACCACUUCCCUACUCGAGGACGAGCAGGAGUUAAGCUUGGGAAUGCUUGAUACGUCUCCCACGUAUCUAUAAUUUUUGAUUGUUCCAUGCUAUUAUAUUAUCAACUUGGGAUGUCUUAUAUGCAGUUAUUGUUGGAAAUAUGCCCUAGAGGCAAUAAUAAAAUGGUUAUUAUCAUAUUUCCUUGUUCAUGAUAAUCGUCUAUUGUUCAUGCUAUAAUUGUAUUAACAGGAAAGAGUAAUACAUGUGUGAAUAAAUAGAUCACAAUGUGUCCCUAGCAAGCCUCUAGUUGGCUAGCUCGUUAAUCAAUAGAUGAUCAUGGUUUCCUGAUCAUGGAUAUUAGAUGUCAUUGAUAACGGGAUCACAUCAUUGGGAGAAUGAUGUGAUGGACAAGACCCAAUCGUAUUGUUCGUAUGCUAAAGCUUUUCUAAUGUCAAGUGUCUUUUCCUUCGACCGUGAGAUUGUGCAACUCCCGUAUACCGUAGGAGUGCUUUGGGUGUAUCAAACGUCACAACGUAACUGGGUGACUAUAAUGGUGCACUACGGGUACCUCUGAAAGUGUCUGUUGGGUUGGUACGAAUCGAGAUCGGGAUUUGUCACUCCGUGUGACGGAGAGGUAUCUCUGGGCCCACUCGGUAGAACAUCAUGAGCUCAAUGUGACUAAGGAGUUACUCACACAAUGACGUGCUACGGAACGAGUAUAGAGACUUACCAGUAAUGAGAUUGAACAAGGUAUACGUAUACCGACGAUCGAAUCUCGGGCAAGUUCUAUACCGACAGACAAAGGGAAUUGUAUACGGGAUUGAUUGAAUCCUUGACAUGCUUCCCGAACCCAUAGGGUCUAUACACUUAAGGUUCGAUGACGCUAGGGUUAUAGGGAAAUGUUAUAUGAGGUUACCGAAAGUUGUUCGGAGUCCUAGAUGAGAUCUCGGACGUCACGAGGAGCUCCGGAAUGGUCUAUAUGUAAAGAUUGAUAUAUAGGAUGGAUGGUUUUGGACACCGAAAAUGUUUCGGGGGUCACCGGCAGCGUACCGGGACCACCGGAAAUGGUCCCGGGGGUCCACCGGGAGGGGCCACCAGGCCCAAGAGGUAGCAUGGGCCAAAAGGGGAGGGCAACCAGCCCAAAGUGGGCUGGUACGCCUCCCACAAGAGGCCCAAGGCGCGGGAGGGAGAGAAGGGGGGGAACCCUGGCGCUGGUGGGCCUAAGGCCCACCUAAGGGAUGCGCCACCCCCUCCCCCUGCCCUAGCCGCCACACCUCCCAUCUGGGGGGGCUGCCACACCACCUAGGAGGGAAACCCUAGGGGUGGCACCCCCUCCCCUCCUCCUACAAAUACCUAGGGGUUUGGGGCUGUUUUGCACACGGUUUGUUCUCCUCUCGGCGCAGCCCUGCUCCCCGCCUUCCUCCUCCUCCCAUGAUGCUUGGCGAAGCCCUGCCGAGAGACCUCGUCUUGCCAUCGACACCACGUCGUCGUGCUGCCUGAGAUCUUCCCCAAUCUCUCCCUCCUCCUUGCUGGAUCAAGGUGCGGGAGACGUCACCGGGUUGCAUGUGUGUUGAACGCGGAGGUGUCGUGGUUCGGCACUAGAUCAGAAUCUCACCGUGAUCUGAAUCGCCACGAGUACGACUCCAUCAACCGCGUUCUAGCAACGCUUCCGCUUAGCGAUCUUCAAAGGUAUGAAGAUGCACUCACCCCUCUCUUGUUGCUGGUCUCUCCAUAGGAAGAACUGAAUAUGCGUAGGAAAUUUUUUGAAUUUAUGCUAUGUUAUCCAACAGUGGUAUCAGAGCCAGGUUUUCUAUGCGUAGAUUCUAUGCACGAGUAGAACACAAAAGGUUGUAGGCGAUGAUUUGUCAAUUGCUUGCUGCUACUAGUCUUAUUCUUUUCUGGCGGUAUUGUGGCAUGAAGCGGCCCGGACCGACCUUACACGUACGCUUAUGUGAGACUGGAAGGCGUUCUUGCUAGAAAUCCAAAUCAGCCACGUAAAACUUGCAACAACAAUUAGAGGAUGUCUAACUUGUUUUUGCACGGUUUGACAUGUGAUGUGAUAUGGCCAAAGUUGUGAUGUUGCAUGUAUGAUGUAUGAGAUGAGCAUGUUAUUGUAAUAGGUUUCACGACUUGCAUGUUGAUGAGUAUGACAACCGGCAGGAGCCAUAGGAGUUGUCUUAAUUUAUUGUAUGAGAUGCAACGCCAUGUGCUUACUACUUUUACUUCAUUGCUAACGGUUAGCUAUAGUAGUAGUGAUAGUAGUAGUUGGCGUCACGACUUCACGGAGACACGAUGAUGGAGAUCAUGGUGUCACGCCGGUGACUAUGAUGAUCAUGCGAUGUCUGAAGCUGGAGAUCGAAAGAGCAAAGAUGAUAAUGGCCAUAUCAUGUCACUAUAUGAUUGCAUUGUGAUGUUUAUCAUGUUUUUCGUCUUAUUGCUUAGAAUGAAGGUAGCAUAAUAAUAUGAUCCCUCUUAAAAUUUCGAGAACGUAUUCCCCUAAGUGUGCACCGUUGCGAAGGAUCGUUGUCUCGAAGCACCACGUGAUGAUCGGGUGUGAUAGAUUCUAACGUUCACAUACAACGGGUGUAAGCCAGAUUUACACACGUGAAACACCUAGGUUGACUCGACGAGCUUAGCAUGUACAGACAUGACCUCGAAUACAAGAGACUGAAAGUUUGAACAUGAGUCGUAUGGUUGAAUACGAUCAGCAUGAAGUUGCUCACCAUGAUGACUAGUCCGUCUCACGUGAUGAUCGGACACGGGUUAGUCAACAUGGAUCAUGUAUCACUUAGAUGACUAGAGGGAUGUCGAUUUAAGUGGGAGUUCAUACUUAAUUUGAUUAAAUGAACUUAAUUGUCAUGAACUUAGUCUAAAAGUUGUCUUUAUAAAUAUUGUGGAUGGCCAACGUCAACAUCAAUUUCAACGCAUUCCUAGAGAAAAACAAGCUGAAAGAUGAUGGUAGCAACUAGGCGGACUGGGUUCGCAACUUGAAGCUCAUCCUUGAAGCAGCUAAAAAGGCUUAUGUCCUUGAUGCGCCACUAGGUGACCCUCCCGCUCCCGCAGCAGCCCAGGACAUUCUGAACGUUUGGCAAACGCGAAGUGAUGACUACUCUCUGGUUAGGUGUGGCAUGUUAUACAGUUUGGAAACGGGGCUCCAAUGGCAUUUUGAGCAACACGGUGCAUAUGAGAUGUUCCAAGAGCUGAAACUGGUUUUUCAAGCUCAUGCCCGUGUCGAGAGAUAUGAAGUCUCCGACAAGUUCUUUAGUUGUAAGAUGGAGGAGAACAGUUCUGUCAGUGAGCACAUACUCAAAAUGUCUGGGUUACACGGUCGUCUGACUUCACUUGGAGUCGAACUUUCGAAUGAUGCCAUAAUUGACAGAAUCCUCAAGUCUCUCCCACCAAGCUACAAAGUUUUUGUGCUGAACUACAACAUGCAAGGGAUGGAGAAGACCAUUCCCGAGUUGUACUCGAUGCUCAAGUCUGCAGAAGUAGAAAUCAAGAAAGAGCAUCAAGUGUUGAUGGUCAACAAGACCACCAGUUUCAAGAAGGGCAAGGGUAAGAAGAACUUCAAGAAAGACGGCAAAGCCGUUGCCGCGCCCGGUAAGCCAGAUGCAGGGAAGAAGAAAAAGAAUGGACCCAAGCCUGAGACUGAGUGCUUCUAUUGCAAGGGAAAAGGUCACUGGAAGCGGAGCUGCCCCAAGUAUUUAGCGGACAAGAAGGCCGGCAACGUUAAAGGUAUAUGUGAUAUACAUGUUAUUGAUGUGUACCCUACCGGCGCUCGUAGUAGCUCCUGGGCAUUUGAUACUGGUGUUGUUGCUCACAUUUGUAACUCAAAGCAGGAACUGCAGAAUAAGCGGAGACUGGCCAAGGACGAGGUGACGAUGCGCAUCGGGAAUGGCUCCAAGGUCGAUGUGAUCGUCGUCGGCACGUUACCUCUACAUCUACCGUCGGGAUUAGUUUUAAACCUUAAUAAUUGUUAUUUAGUACCAGCUUUGAGCAUGAAUACUGUAUCAGGGUCUUGCUUAAUGCGAGACGGCUACUCAUUUAAGUCACAGAAUAAUGGUUGUUCUAUUUAUAUGAGUGAUAUGUUUUAUGGUCUUGCUCCGCUGGUGAAUGGUCUAUUCUUGAUGAAUCUCGAUCGUGAUGUUACACACAUUCAUAGUGUUAGCACCAAAAGAUGUAAAGUUGAUAAUGAUAGUCCCACAUACUUGUGGCACUGCCGCCUUGGUCAUAUCGGUGUUAAGCGCAUGAAGAAGCUCCAUACUGAUGGACUAUUAGAGUCUCUUGACUUUGAAUCAUUUGACACAUGCGAACCGUGCCUCAUGGGCAAGAUGACUAAGACUCCAUUCUCAGGAAUAAUGGAGAGAGCGACCGACUUAUUGGAAAUAAUACAUACUGAUGUGUGUGGUCCAAUGAAUGUUGAAGCUCGCGGUGGCUACCGUUAUGUUCUCACUCUCACCGAUGAUUUGAGUAGGUAUGGGUAUAUCUACAUGAUGAAGCACAAAUCUGAGACGUUUGAAAAGUUCAAGGAAUUUCAGAGUGAGGUUGAGAAUCAACGUGACAGAAAAAUUAAGUGUCUACGAUCUGAUCGUGGAGGAGAAUAUUUGAGUCACGAGUUUGGCACACACCUAAGGAAGUGUGGAAUCGUUUCACAACUGACGCCGCCUGGUACACCACAACGCAACGGAGUGUCUGAACGUCCUAAUCGCACUUUAUUAAAUAUGGUACGAUCUAUGAUGUCUCUUACCGACUUACCUCUAUCAUUUUGGGGAUACACAUUAGAAACUGCAGCAUUCACUUUAAAUAGGGCACCGUCUAAAUCCGUUGAGACGACACCGUAUGAACUAUGGUUUGGCAAGAAACCUAAGUUGUCGUUUCUUAAAGUUUGGGGCUGCGAUGCUUAUGUGAAGAAACUUCAACAAGAGAAGCUCGAACCCAAAGCAGAGAAAUGUGUAUUCAUAGGAUACCCUAAGGAAACUAUUGGGUAUACCUUCUAUCUUAGAUCCGAAGGUAAAACCUUUGUUGCCAAGAACGGAUCCUUUCUAGAGAAAAAGUUUCUCUCGAAAGAAGUAAGUGGGAGGAAAGUAGAACUUGAUUAGGUAAUUGCACCCCGUCUCGGACAGGAAAGUAGAGCAGCGCGGGAAAUUGUUCAUGUGGCGCCGACACCAACUGAAGAGGAAGUUAAUGAUAAUGAUCAUGAAGCUUCGGAUCAAAUUACUACUGAACCGUGAAGGUCCACAAGGGCACGCUCCGCACUAGAGUGGUACGACAACCGUGUGAUGGAAAUCAUGCUGUUAGACAACAGUGAACCUUUGAACUAUGAAGAAGCAAUGGCGGGCCCGGAUUCCAACAAAUGGCUUGAGGCUAUGAAAUCCGAGAUAGGAUCCAUGUAUGAGAACAAAGUAUGGACUUUGGUGGACUUGCUCGAUGACCGGCGAGCCAGAGAAAAUAAAUGGAUCUUCUAGAAGAAGACUGAUACAAACGGUAAUGUGACCGUUUAUAAAGCUCGACUUGUCGCAAAGGGUUUUCGACAAAUUCAAGGAGUUGACUACGAAGAGACUUUCUCUCUUGUAUCGAAGCUGAAAUCAGUCCGAAUCAUGUUAGCAAUUGCCGCAUUUUAUGAUUAUGAAAUUUGGCAAAUGGACGUCAAAACAGCGUUCCUUAACGGGAAUCUUCAGGAAGAGUUUUAUAUGAUGCAACCAGAAGGUUUUGUCGACCCUAAGGGUGCUAACAAAGUGUGCAAGCUCCAGCGCUCCAUCUAUGGGCUGGUGCAAGCAUCUCGGAGUUGGAACAUUCUCUUCAAUGAGGUGAUUAAAGUGUUUGUGUUCAUACAGGUUUCCGGAGAAGCCUGUCUGUACAAGAAAGUGAGUGGGAGCUCUGUAGCUUUCCUCAUACUGUAUGUGGAUGACAUAUUAUUGAUGGGGAAUAAUAUAGAGAUGUUGGAGAGCAUAAAGGCCUAUUUGAGCAAGAGUUUUUCGAUGAAGGACCUUGGAGAAGCUGCAUACAUAUUAGGCAUCAAGAUCUAUAGAGAUAGAUCGAGACGCCUCAUAGGUCUUUUGGAAAGUACAUACCUUGACAAGAUAUUAAAGAAGUUCAAUAUGGAAAACUCAAAGAAGGGGUUCUUGCCAGUUUUGCAAGGUGUGAGAUUGAGUAAGACUCAGUCACCGACCACGACAGCAAAUAGAGAGAAGAUGAGUACUAUUCCCUACGCUUCAGCCGUAGGCUCUCUAAUGUAUGCCAUGCUGUGUACCAGACCUGAUAUAAACCUUGCCAUAAGUUUGAUAGGGAGGUACCAAAGUGAUCCCGGUAAGGAACACUGGACAGCGGUCAAGAAUAUCCUUUAGUACCUGAAGAGGACUAAGGAGAUGUUUCUCGUUUAUGGAGGUGACGAAGAGCUCGUAAAGGGUUACGUUGAUGCUAGCUUCGACACAGAUCCGGAUGACUCUAAGUGACAGACCGGAUACGUGUAUGUUCUGAAUGGUGGGGCAGUGAGCUGGUGCAGCAGCAAGCAAGAAGUCGUGGCAGCAUCUACAUGUGAAGCGGAGUACAUAGCUGCUUCACAAGUGGCUCAUGAAGGAAUUUGGAUGAAGGAGCUCAUCACCGACCUUGGAGUGGUUCCAAGCGCGUCGGGUCCAAUGACACUCUUCUGUGAUAACACUGGGGCCAUUGCCAUAGCCAAGGAGCCCAGGUUUCAUCGGAAGACAAAGCACAUCAAACGCCGCUACAACUCCAUCCAGGACCAUGUCCAGAGUGGAGUAAUAGAUAUUUGUAAAGUACAUACGGAUCUGAAUGUUGCAGACCCGUUGACUAAACCUCUUCCUCGAGCAAACCAUGAUCAACACCAUAAUGCUAUGGGUGUUCGAUACAUCACAAUGUAACUAGAUUAUUGACUCUAGUGCAAGUGGGAGACUGUUGGAAAUAUGCCCUAGAGGCAAUAAUAAAAUGGUUAUUAUCAUAUUUCCUAGUUCAUGAUAAUCGUCUAUUGUUCAUGCUAUAAUUGUAUUAACAGGAAACAGUAAUACAUGUGUGAAUAAAUAGAUGACAAUGUGUCCCUAGCAAGCCUCUAGUUGGCUAGCCUAUUGAUCAAUAGAUGAUCAUGGUUUCCUGAUCAUGGACAUUAGAUGUCAUUGUUGGAUCAAGGUGCGGGAGACGUCACUGGGCUACACGUGUGUUGAACGCGGAGGUGCCGUGGUUCGGCACUAGAUCGGAAUCUCACCGGGAUCUGAAUCGCUGCGAGUACGACUCCAUCAAUCACGUUCUAGCAACGCUUCCGCUUAGCGAUCUUCAAAGGUAUGAAGAUGCACUCACCCCUCUCUCGUUGCUGGUCUCUCCAUAGGAAGAUCUGAAUAUGCGUAGGAAAUUUUUAGAAUUUAUGCUACGUUACCCAACAUUUAUAUGCCAUUUUAUAACAUUUUUGGGACUAACCUAUUAACUCAGUGCCUAGUGCGAGUUUCUGCUUUUUCCGUGUUUUUGACCUUUUUCAGAAAAGAAUAUUAAACGGAGUCCAAACGGAAUAAAACCUGCGGGAUGAUUUCUUCCAUAACAGAAGAUACGCAGAGGACUUGAGAACCAAGGAAGGAGGUCUCGUGGGAGGUCACGAGCCCCCUAGGCGCGCCCUAGGGGGGGCGCGCCUAGCAGGCUCGUGGGCCCCCCAUGGCUCCUCUGCCUACCUCUUUCGCCUAUAAAUUCCCAAAAAUCCCGAAACCUCCAGAGAGGGCCACGAAAAUACUUUUCCGCCGCCGCAAGCUUCUGUCUACGCAAGAUCCCAUCCGGGGACCGUUCUGGUGCCCUGCCGGAGGGGGAUUCGGACACGGAGGGCUUCUUCAUCAACACCAUUGCCUCUCCGUUGAUGCGUGAGUAGUUCACCACAGAACUUCGGGUCUAUAGCUAGUAGCUAGAUGGCUUCUUCUCUCUCUUGGAUCUUCAAUACAAAGUUCUACAUGAUCUUCAUGGAGAUCUAUCCGAUGUAACUUUGUUUUGCGGUGUGUUUGUCGAGAUCCGAUGAAUUGUGGAUUUAUGAUCAGAUUAUCUAUGAAUAUUAUUUGAGUCUCCUCUGAUUUCUUAUAUGCAUGAUUUCGUAUCCUUGUAAUUCUCUUCGAGUUAUGGGUUUCGUUUGGCCAGCUUGAUCUAUAAUUCUUGCAAUGGGAUAAGUGCUUGGUUUUGGGUUCAUACCGUGUGGUGAACUCACCCAGUGACAGAAGGGGUAGCGAGGCACGCAUCGUGUUGUUGCCAUCAAGGGUAANNNNNNNNNNNNNNNNNNNNNNNNNNNNNNNNNNNNNNNNNNNNNNNNNNNNNNNNNNNNNNNNNNNNNNNNNNNNNNNNNNNNNNNNNNNNNNNNNNNNUCGGGCAAGUAACAUACGAAGGACAAAGGGAAUGACAUACGGGAUUAUAUGAAUCCUUGGCACUGAGGUUCAAACGAUAAGAUCUUCGUAGAAUAUGUGGGAUCCAAUAUGGGCAUCCAGGUCCCGCUAUUGGAUAUUGACCGAGGAGUCACUCGGGUCAUGUCUACAUAGUUCUCGAACCCGCAGGGUCUGCACACUUAAGGUUCGACGUUGUUUUAUGCGUAUUUGAGUUAUAUGGUUGGUUACCGAAUGUUGUUCGGAGUCCCGUAUGAGAUCACGGACGUCACGAGGGUUUCCGGAAUAGUCCGGAAACGAAGAUUGAUAUAUAGGAUGACCUCAUUUGAUUACCGGAAGGUUUUUGGAGUUACCGGGAAUGUACCAGGAAUGACGAAUGGGUUNNNNNNNNNNNNNNNNNNNNNNNNNNNNNNNNNNNNNNNNNNNNNNNNNNNNNNNNNNNNNNNNNNNNNNNNNNNNNNNNNNNNNNNNNNNNNNNNNNNNNNNNNNNNNNNNNNNNNNNNNNNNNNNNNNNNNNNNNNNNNNNNNNNNNNNNNNNNNNNNNNNNNNNNNNNNNNNNNNNNNNNNNNNNNNNNNNNNNNNNNNNNNNNNNNNNNNNNNNNNNNNNUAGGCCUUGAGGGUGGCGCACCAGCCCUUAGUGGGCUGGUGGGACAGCCCAAAAGGGCCCUAUGCGCAUUGGAAGAAAAAUCAAAGAGAAAGAAAAAAAGGAGGAGGUGGGAAGGGAAGGAAGGACUCCCACCCACCAAACCAAGUCCAACUCGGUUUGGGGGGGAGACCUUCCCCCCUUGGCUCGGCCGACCCCCUUGGGGCUCCUUGAGCCCCAAGGCAAGGCCCCCCCUCUCCCACCUAUAUAUACAGAGGUUUUAGGGCUGAUUUGAGACGACUUUUCCACGGCAGCCCGACCACAUACCUCCACGGUUUUUCCUCUAGAUCGCGUUUCUGCGGAGCUCGGGCGGAGCCCUGCUGAGACAAGGUCAUCACCAACCUCCGGAGCGCCGUCACGCUGCCGGAGAACUCUUCUACCUCUCCGUCUCUCUUGCUGGAUCAAGAAGACCGAGAUCAUCUCGAGCUGUACGUGUGCUGAACGCGGAGGUGCCGUCCGUUCGGUACUAGAUCGUGGGACUAAUCGCGGGAUUGUUCGCGGGGCGGAUCGUGGGACGUGAGGACAUUCCACUACAUCAACCGCGUUCACUAACGCUUCUGCUGUACGGUCUACAAGGGUACGUAGAUCACUCAUCCCCUCUCGUAGAUGGACAUCACCAUGAUAGGUCUUCGUGCGCGUAGGAAAUUUUUUGUUUCCCAUGCGAGGUUCCCCAACAAUUCUAAUGGUGCAGUAUUAUCGAACAUGUCAAAUAUGUACCCUUAGGAUCCUUGUGCAUGUAAGAUAGCAUUACGGAUUUUUGUUCACGUUUAACUCACUUUUCUUCUUCUUACUCCAUCCAUUAUAUUUGUCUCCCUUGCUUGGGUAUCUAGGAACAUCAAAAAUACAGUAUAGCCUAGAAUUUAUCGAGAUGCAUUGAAUCCUUUAACAAAGGACCACAUCACUGUAAUGAGAAAAACUCAUGCAGUCAACCUGGUCAUCUCAUCUGCAUUAACUAAAGUGUGAAUCAAAUCCUCUAGUUCAGUUGUAACCAUAAAAGUAAAAAAGAACUGUAACGGAGCAAAACUAAGACUCAUUAACUCAUGGAUGUUUACUCGGAUUUCCUUUUUUGUGGAAUCAUUGUUGGACUAACAAAAUAGCAAACAAUAGUAGCUAGCUUUCCCGAGAAAAUAUCAAAACCGCAAUCUGCACCAAUUACCGAGGAGAAAAUUGGAAAUUUGCCACUUUCAAUAUAUGGGUUCUUAAAAUUGUCAUUUUCAAGAUUGGCUUCGCACAUUUGCCACUCAGCUCGUUGGCUCCUUGAUUAUCAUGCCACUUUCCUCCUACUUUUGAUUUUCAUUUUCCUUUAACAUUUAUAAGCAUUGGAAAAGACCAAACCAGCCCUGUUGCAUAUACACGUAGUAUCCAAAUUUCACUUGACACUUUGAAGCGGAGGACAGCGUACCGGCCACCUAGAAUACCGGGUGAUCUCGUCAAUGCAGACUGCUUCACCGAUCUCCUUGACGCAGAGUGUCGCACAUCGUCUAGAGUCCAGACGUCGCAUGCCGCGGAUAUUCUCAGCGUCCCGAGCAGGACGGCGGGCUUUGCAGCUAUGGCGCACGCGGAGACGGCGCGAGCAGCAAGCAGCCUAGUGGCGCCGGCGGGGGCUGCUUCAGUAGCCACUCUUAUCGACAUCCUCAAGUAGUUGCGUGAUGUUCUCCAAUUCAGUGCUAACUGAACUUCAGAGGAGACCAAAACCUGUAGCCGCGGGCUGGCUCGAGUGCCUGCGAUGGGCCUCAUCGGCCGUGUAGUAGGCUCUCCUCACGAGCUCCUCGCGGAAGAUGGCGUGCCGCGACUGCGCGCCGGCGAGCACGGCGGCCGCGGCCAUGGGAGCGGCGGGGCCGGAUUCCUCGCGCCCCGCCACGGCGGCGCGGGCCCGUCUCGCGGACGGCGGGCUUCGGCAGGGGCACGGGAGGGCUCCCCCUUGGUCGGAGGCGCGCGCGAAGGAGAGGGAGGGCGGGGUCCGGCACCGGGUCGCUUGCAGUUCGUCGGCGAAGGCCGGGGCGCCGCGGGGAAGGAGCUCGAGCGCGGCGGGGAGCUGCGGCGUCGAGAGGCGGUGGUGGGGGCGGCACUUGACGGAGCAGGUGACCGCCGCCGGCAUGGCUGCUGGUUGGCUUGGCGAGCUGGGGUUCGGCAAGGGGACUUGGUGGACAUUGAAGAAAGAGGCCCCUGAACUGCGGGUUAGUUUGGAUUAAAUAUAGGAUGGUUUGUAUAAAAUGUAAAAAACGAUUCGUUCUUUGACUUAAAUCCGGACUGCGGGUUGAUUUUAGUAAACGGCGGGGGCUUUUUUGUAAAUGCCGUGGUGGGUUUUUCGACGGAAGCAAUAACCGCUUUAUUAUUAGAUAUAGAUAUUUGCAAUGUCCGGUUGUAGACGCUCUUGCAUUUGUUGGUCUCUUUAUCUGGUUGGGAUUACUUGUUAUGCCUUGGUAUACUAGUUGGUAGUAGUACGAUCCUACGUACGUACCUCGCGGUUGCGUGGUAUAUCCACCAUUGUUCCCGCAUACGAUCGUGAGCAGUGGCAGAAGCGACCAUCUGAGCUCAAUUUUUGUACCCCAUGCACUUUGUUCCAGCGAAGACGAACUAGCUUAGAAAAAAGGACCGGACUAGUAGCAGAAAAAUACACCGAAGAAAAGGUACGUCAAUAAAAGAAAAGGGAUAGAUAGAAAACCAUCUUUUACGAAUGUUUACUACACAAGGAUCAAGCAUGCUACACAAGGAUCAGGGAUGCGUCCCGGUACCAAUUGUUGUUGUCCGUCACAUGGGGAGGAGCAGGCAGGGUCCUUUUUUUCUCCACGCGCGAGAAGAGACAGGUUCUUCAUGUCGCCAGCAUGUACUGCUUCCCUCGUCACCCUGCUGUGAAUCUUGGAAAAUGUUGGAGCCUACGCAUGCAAGGUUGAGAAUCUUGACGAAAAAUGACUGUGAAAACAAACGACGUGACAUGUGCUGCAGGUGCGCAUCGCAGCCAAAGCCUGCUGGAUAAAUAGGCCAGUCAUCAUCCGAUAAUAAAAGGAUAAAGAAGCCGCUCGUGAAUUGUGUUCCGCAGAGAAUCUUCUCCACUUGGAUACGCUCUGGACUAGGAAUCAGCUUGUUCAUUCAGGAGAUAGUGGGAUUAGGGGAACAGUGAAGCUUAAUUAGGCAAACUGGCAUUGCAGUGCCGGGUUAGAAAAAGGCUAGAUCCGGGAACAGUUCCGGCGCUGCUGCUGCAUGCUGGUCAAAAAAAGGUGACGCAUCAACCAUCCGUCGCAUUAUUUGGACGGGCCAAGCAGGCACGGCCGGACAAGUCAGCCAGGCAGAGCCCGGCUCGCCGCCGUGCUAAAAAACUGGGAGCGAGGGAGAAGUUGGUUAUUUCGCCGGCGAGCGAGCCGUCGGCGUCGACCAAUCGAGCGGAGCGAACGGGUGCGCGUUGCUUUCGCGCGGACGAUACAUACGACCGGAGUUGAUACGCCAUGAAUGAAUGGUGAUAGUGGCACAGACCGCGGUGCCGGCUGCCGGGGAUGGAGAGAUCGAUCCGGUACGCAAACGCGUCGUGCAGCUCGUGCCCGCGUUCACUGCCCGUGCAUGCAUACAUGUUGCAGAUUAUCGUACUCCCAUGGCUUUCUUUUUCACUCUGAAAUAGCAAGUCCAAUCAUGCAUCCCAUGCUAGGAGUGGGAAGCAAGGGAACCUAGCGAUGAACAUGCAUGCACCGAUAGUAGUGCUGACAGGACUGAGGAAGAAAAAGACGAAACUCUAAGGCAUCUUUAAUAGCUGCCCUAUUUUAGGAUAUCGAAAUGGAGUAUAUGUGGAAUAAAUUUAGGGGAUCAAAAAGUGUUUUUUGGGACGACAAAUUGACAUCUCCAACUGUUGCCUUAAAAUAAGGCACCACAAACAGCAAAAUCUCUCUUUCCGUUUAAUGACUUCGAUUGAAAGUUCUAAAUAUUCAAAGCUUAAACAUGCCGACUACAAAAUAUGGUUCAACUACGACAUAGAAAUUUAAACUAGAAACAGUGAGACACUACAACUAUCCGCGAUAAUGUAUAUUUGCAACAACAGCUGUCAAAUUUUAGGGUUGCCCACAAAAUGAAUUAAAAGUUUGUGAUAGGUCAACUAUUCGAGAACUUUUGCUCCCGUAAGUGCUAUAAAAAGGUGAUGCUAUCUCUAAAGCGGAUCCUCAAACCAACCGCAACCGUCCGGAGUGUGCAGUCCUAGCGUGUUUAGCCAUCCAGAACGAGUUGUAUCGGUUCGCCGAGCAGUCUGGACGUACUUUUUUCGGCAAACCCAACAAAAUAUUGGGGGCGGGGGCUUUGCUGGAGUCCGAAAAUCUACUAAGUUAAACUCCAAUACCCCCGGCCCAAAACCACUCCCAAACCCCACGCAUCCAUCAUGCCAUUUUCUCUUCUUUCAUUUUUCUCUCCCGCCUUCGUCGCCGCUCCACCCAACCACCCCUCCCUCGUCCGCCACCUCACACCCCUCGUAGAAUCAAUGAGUCCAUCACCUCCAACACUACACUCCGUCCCGAUGUCACUUUUCCUCCGCCUCCGUUCCACCUCUCCUUCGACCGUCGUGUAAGUACCAUCCGCUCCUACAAUACUCACCAUGCGUGGCAACUGUUCGGUAAAUUUCUCAUGUUAUUUUUUGUCCUUCUUUGAAGCAACAAAUUUGGAUAUGGAGUACAUAUAUGAGCAAUAUGUUGAGUCGUCCAAUGGCUUGUCCGGCACAGAGGACUACAUAGGUGACAUAACAAUGACGCAAGCGGUCCCUGCACACGUGGAGCAUGCGGAGGUGCAUGUUAUCAAUUUCAAGGCAUCGAUCAAGGGUCAUCGAGUGCUGAAUCGCAAUAGGGCGUGCGACUAUUUGACGUUGAUGGACGACUGAUAUACUCCCAAUUCGCCGGAUGAAGGUGGCCAAGCAUGUGCGCGAGUUAUGUUAUAUUUUAUGAUUUUUAGUUUUUUACAUCAAUAGUUAUCGAGAGAAUCUUGAGCUAUUUUACCAUUAGUUAUGUUAAUUGUUGAGUGCAUCUAGCUUCAUAUAUGAAUUUUAAGAAUUUUGACUGAGUGGACUUGCAUUUGUAAGUCAAAUUUUGUAAAUCGAAUAUUUGGCCUCGGUUAGUUCAAUUCCUAGAUCCCUGACUGUUCUAUAGGGCAUGAUCGGGCUUCCCCGGCAGCCCCUCCGACGACAGAGAUGUGGGGGGAGUGGGAAAUGGAGGGCCUUGCGUUGGCGGCACUAGGGGUCAUUUGUUGAAGCUUUGAAUGGCCGAUAUGAUGAUUUCGAUCCCCGGUUUGGCAAAAGCUGCGUGCCCAGUCCUUUAUCCCUCUAGUAAUCAAACGCUACGCACCAACGGAGGAUAUAUGAAAGCCAACUUUCACUGGUAUCCCCGCUUUGCCAAAGCAAAUGUACUCAAUACGAGAGGCACUAUGAAGCAAGUAUUGGUGUGAGUGUGAGACCCGCUUCAUCAACGGUUUCUUGGCUUACUGCCGGCGUUGUCAUCAUUCCCAUGUACGUACCUCGUUGAGCAGAGAAGGAUAACGUUUGAUCAGAAAAUGCAAAAUGUGCAAAACAAAACCUACGGUUGACCUCUUUCUUUGCCGGGCUAGUACGAGACAGUGCUCAUUAACUAACCCAAACAAACACACAGAUGUGCAAACUCCAAGGCUAGCAUUUUCCGUACAUACCGGGCGGCCGCCGAGACACCCCGAACCACUCCACACGACUACACGAACGAACUACAUGCCACAAAGCCGGCUCGCCGGUGCCGGUGCCUGUGCAUGGCAGGGCAUGGCGCGCGGGUGCAGAUAUGUGCAUGCAGCGUCUGGCCUGCUGCACCCUGCACCACCCUGGACCAUGCUAAGAUAAGCUACCCCUGCGGCACGCUGCUACCUGACCGGGCCUGUGGGAACUCGAAAGCGAUCGCCUGAAUUUUCCCGAAGAAGCCGGGGGGCGCGAUGCCUCGGCUGCGAUGGCCAGCGAAUGGCCGGCAGAUCUUGCCAAGUUGCGAGGGGGUGCUGCAUAGGUCGGGGCGUAGGGGUGGUGAGUGGACGAGCGACAGCGACCACAUCACGAACACGAAAGUGAGUGAGAUGGACGGGAUUCUCGGACCCCGCGUCAAACCCUUGCUGAUGCACGUCAAAAGAUGUGGCAACCAAGCAGCUGUUGUGUUUGUUGUGCUUGGCAUGGCAUGCACAUCUUUUCGACCUCAUAGCACCACACGCUUAGGAAAUGUUUCGAGAAUGAGAAAUGCGGAAGCAGGGAAAGACAGAUUUGACUCGAAUCUUUACAUCUUUAGAUAAUAAUAAAUAGGGUAUCGCUUCUGCCGGAAUUUCCGACGCGUCAGUUUUGCAUAAAACCCCUUCUAUUUUUGGGAAAUCAACCCACAAUCCUCACUUUACAGAAACAUCACUUUUUGCUCUCAGCGUCUUAUCCACACACGCUCGCUCCGGAUCCCCUCCAAUGGCGCCCGCCACCCCCUCCUUCCUUCGGCCCCCGCAGCUGCAUCCCCACCGCAUCCGCCUGCCCGCCCCUCUUCCCUCCGCGUCCUUCCGCCUCUCCGAAAUCCUCGGUGGCCGCGGCCUCUGCAACGGCGAGGUCGGCAUCCGCAAGGAGCUCCUUUCGCCCACCCCGCCCUCACCUCCUCCGUCCACGCCCUCGGGAGACUCCUCGUCAGGAUGCGCCGAGUUGGACCCGCCGGCUGUGGACCUGGACGCGUUCGAGAAGGAGAUGAUGGGCCUCACGGACAGCUUCCCCGGCGGCGAGGUCGGGCUCAAGGACUUUGUCGCCAAGAACCCGCCUCCUCCUCCCAAGAGAGCCCAGACGGACGGGAAAGCGUCCUCCGCCGUGGUUCCGGCGGGGCGUCCUAGGCCGCCGGAGCUGCCGCUGUUCCUCCCCGGCAUGGUGGUGCUCGUCAAGAACACCAACAACGCGUCCCACAUGUACUGCAGCAUCAUGCAGCGCGUCACCGAUGGGAAGGUGGGGGUGUUGUUCGAGGGCGGGAACUGGGAUAGGCUCAUCACCUUCGGCGUCGACGAGCUCGAGGGCCGGGAGAAGGGCCCGCCCAUGGUGAACCCCAAGUCGGUCGUGCUCGAGGCGCUCGUCGAGGCCUAGCAUGCAUUAUACAUACAGUUGUGGUAUACUUUGCGUGUCGGCGAUGAACUGGGAGUUGCCCGUGUGUAGUUUGAUAGGCGUUGUCAUUUGUUGUGAUCCAUAUCACCUUGAACCGGUUUUUUAUUCUGUGGCAUCAUAUCCAUCCUGUCAUGUUCGUUCAAUGUGUCGUGUGAUGUCUACGAUUGAAUUUUCAUUUUGCUUCCUGCAAGAGCACUAGCCCAAGCCGUUUCUGAGGUUGUAUGCUUGUAGUACAAAGUAGGCUGAUUGCACGUGAAAUGCAGUCAAAGAAAGGUGCACCCUACAACACCAUCAAUUUUAGUCGGAUUGGCGACAUUUGCUGUGGUGCGUAUCAUCUUGAACCCGUUGUUCGACCUGUGGAUUCAUAUCCAUCCCGUAUGCUUGUAGUAUAUCUUUGAUUGAAUUUCAUUUUGCUUCCAGCAAUAGCAGUAGACCAGGCUGAAACUGAAACAAACAGUUUUAACCGGUGAAACUGAAAGUGACUAAUUCUCCGAUGAGACGUGCCUUGUGAAUCUACGAACAGAUUAUCCAUGUUCAGGUUAAACAGAGGGAGAUCAUCCAUGACUGCUGGUCAUGCGUAUUCUAUUCCUUCUAGUGAUGUGAUGUUACCCUGCCUGCAGAAGUGUCUUUUGUGAACAUUGUGGUCUUGCUCCACGAUUUCAGAUAGUACCGCUGAUUUUUUUUGUUUGACAAAUUACUAUUGAUUGUCGGUCAUUGAAGUCCUGCACUGUCCAUGUUGCUACUGAUGAACGUGAAACACGUAGGAGUAUGUGUAUAUUCUCUACAUAGUCCCGACAGGUAGGCCCAAAGUCUGCCUCUCCACCCUCCCCAGCGAUACGGUUCAAGCUGAGCGACGUCACAGGUGAAUCCUCAGCCUGAUGUAGCGUGGUUCGAACAAGGACCGCAGACUAGACCUCGGACCGUGCAAAGAAGCAACCUCCACGCCAUUGGUCUUCCAAGGUUCCAAUCCACGUCACCACCACUGCCAAUAACGGCGAAACCUGGAAGAAGGAAACAAUGCACUACACCGCCCUUUCGAGAUCGUCCCUCCCCUGUCAAUUUAUGAGAUGGCAGUGGGCAGCUUUAACGACCCGGUGAUCCAAGGAUCGGUACAUGGGGAAUUGGGGAUAAGAUAUUGAAGGAGAUGAAGUACAAAGAAAGUUGGGUGGGAGGAGAAGGAAACAAUGCACUACACCGCCCUUUCGUGAUCGUCCCUUCCAUGUUAUUUUACGAGAUGGUGGCAGUCAGCUCCUAUGGUCCAAGGGUCGUCGGGCGGGGAGGGGGGGUGUGAGUGCGAAUUUCCGAUUAUGUUUACAAUUCACGAAAUUGUGUUAUGGUAUUGCAUAGGCUUUGCUCUUCAGUUUCCUUCUUUUCUUCUUGACAACACAUGAGUUAUGUGUUUCUUUUGCCCCACCCCCCAUUUUCACUCCCUACUGUAUAAAAAGUUACAGAGGUAGUACUUCGGAGUUCGAUUGUGUUUUUAACUUUGAUACAAGAAUAGGUGGAUGCUGUCCAUUUUCAUCUUAAUAUUUCCCCCACUUCUCUGUUUUGCAGGGAAGGGCCGACGGAUAGGCCAGCUGCCUCGUCAAGCUCAACAACUGAUUUGCAGAUUUAGAUUAUCAUAUUCUCAGACUCCGUGGACAGCUCAAAAAGCUAAAAGGAGCAACGGUUGAUGGAUUUCUGCAACCUGUAUGAACAGAAUAUACUGUGCAUGUUACAGUAUUUGAAAUUAAAUGGAACCACUCGGGCGGCUAAAGCUUUAGCGUGUAGUGCAAUUGUGCAAUGCUGCAUGUGAUUAUUUUAGCCAUGAUGUUCCAAUGCUGAAGAUGUUAUAUGAGUUAUUUUCUUCCUUACAAGGCAUUUGUUUGGUGUUGCAGGUUGCUAAAGAGAUCAAUUCAGAGGCCAAGUCACAUAAUGAUUCCAUAUCUCAGCUGGUAAGUCUAUCCCUAAUAAUAAUAAAGUGUCGAUUGCUUAUGUUGUCCGUCGUGCCACUUUAAAAAAAAGCCCCCGACGUUUCCUAAAAUCAACCCGCGGUCCGGAUUUAAGUCAGAAAACGAAUCUUUUUUUUUUCAUUUUUCAAAAACUCCCCUAAUGUUUCAGGUAAUCAACCCACAGUCCGGAUUUAAGUCAGAAAACGAAUCGUUUUUUUGCAUUGUUUAGAAAACUCCCCGAUGUUUCGGGUAAUCAACCCGCCCUCCGUAUUUUAACAAUAAAACCUAACUUUUCAGUUAAUCAAUCCAAUUUUUAUCUAAAACAAAAUUAUCCAUAUCUUUUAAACCGUAACUCCGAUUUUAACAUGUUAUAUAUGAAAUUUGAUUAAAAAACAUGUAGAAUAUAAAUAGGAUGUUAUUUUUAGCUGUUGAAUACUUCUUAAAUAUUAUUUUGGGUGCAAACUUAAUCUGUAGUGCACGUUCCAUUUUUUUCUGUCUUUCCGGCGACGAUACGAAUUGCAAUAAACAUCCAUUAAAUUAAAACCAAAUUGAGAGGAAAGAAAACAUCAUUAACCACACAUGCACACCUUUAAAAAACCUCGUGGUGAGAAACAACAUAUUUCUCAUCUUAUUUCGAGUGACUGUACAUUCAAACGCGUUUUUGUUGUGUGAGCACUAAAGCCAUCGUCAGCAACACAAAUGUGAUGCCUUGUAAAAAUAUAUUGCGUUGAGAGCGUGUGUUAUUUUCUCUCCCGUUGCAACGCACGGGCUCUUUUGCUAGUAUAUAUAAGCGCAAAACGGAGGAUUUGCAACGGGUCGUAGCCGAUGAUAUUGGUUUCUGGACAAGUAAUAUCAUGUACAACCGAACCUUUCAAAUUACCCUUCAUAUCGCGCUCGAUCAGUGAUCAGUUAGAAGAGAAAAAAAUGAUCCAACUGAAUCGCUUAUAUUAUUCCUAUACUUGUGGACUGUUCACGAACCCUCGUAUCCCUUUCAAAUAUGACGAGUAUAUGAGCGCUCGUAGACGUGUCCGAGCGCGUCCGGUCAGUCCGUCACAUACGACGUGGCCUCAUCCGGGAUCAUCUUUUUAUUUUCUUUAUUUAUUCUUUUCUUUCUCUCCAUCAAUCACAUGUAAGUGACCGAACAUAUAAGAAAGAAAAUAAGAAGUAUGGUUGUGUGUGAGGACAAAUAAAGAACACACCGGACAACUGACCACACGCGUCCGCGCACGUUUAGUGCUCAUAUUUACAAUAUGUGGCUGUAGCUCUAAGAGCAUGGUUAAUAGUAUAGCCAACUGCUGGCUAUAAGCAUCCUUAUAGCUCAUCUUAUAGCUGGCCUGUACAAUAGUUAGCUGUAAUACUUUUUUCAUAUAUGGUCCACCUUUCAUUCUCACAAAGCACCUAGGAGCACAUGCUAGAGCCGUCUGUUCACGUAGAGUCCGCUUCCCUUCUCUCUCGUCUUCUCUUUCAUCCAACUCAGCAAAAAUAUAGUAUUUUAAUCCUUACAGCCUGCUGACUAUACCUUAUUGUACUUGUUCUAACAUGGAAAGUGUGUGGACUCUAAUGGAAUGAGUUAAAAAAUUGAUCCAAAGGAUGUUGAAUAAGUUUGUCAGACGUGAUAUUCUUUCCGUGACAAGACAACUAAGGCAAAGUUUUUCUCCCAUCGAUCUCGCACCACACACCAGCCGAUUCACCUCUGCAUGCUACUUCAGCGGCCGGUGAGAGAAAGGGGAAUCCUCGUGUUAAAGGCUAGUAGUUUCAGUGUUAGAUGCAUCCCUUCGAGUGUUAACUAAUAUAGGUGGAGGAAGUACUAGAUAUGUAAUGUUUCAUGUCAAAAAAGAAAGAUAAGUACUUUCUCCGUAAACUAAUUUAAGAACAUUUAAAUAGUUUAGUAACCUAAACUUUUUUAUAUUAAUUUACAGAGGAAGUAAUGUUUAGUCCUUGCAUAGACGACUGUCGGAAAAAGGAUGUUGUUUCUUCUUCAAACCGUUUUACAUUCUCGCAUCCUCCUCAAAUUCGUCUGACGAGAGAAAAUAGACUAAACUUCAUCAUAUAUUUCUGCCAACUUUUCGAAGCAUUGCUACAACACGAAAACACACUAUUGUUGUCUAGUUGCAGCAUCUCAGAACAACACUUUAUUUAGUUAGCUAUGCUAUCCAGACAAAAGGAAAAUGAAAUUUUGGGCAUGGCUAUACGUUAGUCAACUGAAAAAAAGUUUAGGGUCAUUUAAUUUCUUCAAUCGUAAGAUGGAAAUCAACGAUCUAGACCCUUCUUUGACCUCCGCACCUUCCUUUGAUCUCCUUCUUCCUGCCACCAGCUACCACCGGCCUAACCGCCGCUCCCGCCGCCCUCUAGCCUCGCCCGCAUCCAGUUUUGUUCUCCGGCGAAGCACUACCACCUCCGUUCACCAACGCCCCCACCUUAAACCCUAAGAUAGAUAAUGGGGUAGCCCUACGACAACCCCCUUCCUUCUUCUUCCUUCUCUCCGAGGAAUUCUCAAAAUUGACUGACCUCAAUUUGUAAUUCAGUCAGAUUGUCAUUUAACUGAUGUGUGAAACUUUCAACCUACCACAUUCCCCAUUUUAGUAGUACUCUCAAAGGAAUUAGUGUCAUAUUUUAGCGGAGGCGUGGGGGCAAGAUUAAGCGAGUGCUCUAGGCAAUCGGAUAGGGAACCUAAUCUAGCUAGCUAUUCUGGAUGAUGAACACGCCAUGGAGAUGUCAGCUUGGGGCUUUUCCAUUUUCCAGCUGAACAUUUUGUCCAGUAGCAUCUUGAUUAGCCUACCCCCCCUACACUUUCCCGUCUUAUAAGGAACACGUAUGGACAGCCUGAGAUGAAUAAAGUGUGAUGGAAACAUGUAGCUCUAACCAAUAUUUGUCUACUGUCCAUGAUGAAACUUGCCACACCUCAAUUGUGGGUAGCUCCGUAGCUGUACACUUAAUAUCCUUUUUUUUUGCGGAUAUCUAUAUAUUUCCUCAACUAAAAGGUGAUCGAUUUAGCAUCGCACCCCGACCAAAUGGCGUGUGUGAGAUUCUGCUGCAAAUGGUUCUACGUAAAGAGAGAAACCCAACCAUGGUUGCAAUUCCGGCAGGCCCACAUGGCAUUUCUGAAACCAGCUUUUGCUAAUCUGGAAAAGAUGGGACAUGACCGAGACAGGUUUGGUUACUAAUGUGACUUGGUGCUAAUCUAAGAUGCAAGUUUGGUUACUUGAUCGCAAGUCAAAAAGUGAAUAUGAUUGCGAAAAUUGCUUUUGCAGUCCGAGCUACAUGAAUGCAUCCUUUUGCAAAAAUUAAAAUUCAUAUUUUUAUAUUACAAAAAAUUCUAAAAAAUACAGAUGUACAUGGACGCAUAAUGUACAUGUGUAUAAAUUUUCACGACAAAAAACGUUGUAAUAAGGUAUGUGUAAGAAAAAUAACGAGGUAGGGCAUAGCCAAAUGAUGAGGGCAUAGGACGAAAAUAGAAAUCCUAUCUACACUCAUUGCGUCGAGUGAGAUAGUUUAUGUGUUUUUAGGGGAUUGCGUGAGAUGAUUUUCUUUCUUUCUAGACGGUAGUUGAGCUGGACAAAGGGCAAGCGAUCAAGGCCCGAGCGAACUGUACAAUCACAGAACCCAUUUUUCGUACGGUUUUGCGGAUUUCAGAGUUUAUGUUGUAUGCUUUUUAUUUGCCCGUAGUGCGCAAUUUUCCUUCUUUUUUGUUUCUUUGAUCUUUUCCAUACUUUACAUUUUUUCAUGUUUUCCUUUUCACUUUAUUGUACUCAUUUUUCUUCUCUCCAUUACUUUUGUUCAGAAGGAAUAUACAUAUUUUCCUAUUUUUUAUCUUUUUCUCCCAGUUUAUUUGACGUCUUUUUUCCUUUUAUUAUAAAUUUAUGAACAUUUGUGUCUUAUAGAAGAAAUAUUUUUCAAAUAUAUGUUAACCAUUUUGUUAAAUGAUGUGAAUAUCUUUCCAAAUUCAGGGCGAAUAUUUUUUAAGCAUGCGGUGAACAUUUUUCAGCAGUCCUUUUUUUGCAGGACGACUUGAUGAGAAAUCUAUAAAUUCAUGGUAAAUAUAUAAAAUACGCAACGACCAUUUUCAACAUGCAAAUCCCAUUUUUUAAAAUACAUAGUGAACAUUUUUCAAUACACGCUAAUGUUAAAAAACAUUAACGAAGUUUUAAAAACUGUUCAUGCAUUUUCAUAAGUGUUUGUACAAUUUCACAGAAUGAACAUGCAUUUCGGUAUAUUCUUGCCAGUUUUGCUAUUACUCACUCAUUUUGAGUCCCGAUGUGAUCCGAAAGUUUCGUAACCCUUUGUGCAUUUUACGGGAAAUUCGUCAAAACUCGCAGUUUUGGCCUAUUCUGGCCAGUUUUGUAUGCUAUUAGUCAUUGAUUUUGGAUCCCGUUGUGACCCGAACGUUUCGGGACUGUGGGCGUCCUGUUAUGGGGAACUCGUCAAAACUCAUAGUUUUGGCCUAUUCUAGCCAGUUAUGUAUGAUAUUAGUCACUGAUUUUGGGUCUCGUUGUGAUCCCAACAUUUCGGCAACAUCGGGGUCCGAUUACGGGGAACUCGUCAAAACUCACAGUUUUGGCCUAUUCCGGGUAGUUUUCUAUCCGAUUAGUCCUUGAUUUUGGGUCCCGAUGCGAUCCGAACGUUUGAGGAACCCCGGGGUCCGAUUACGGGGAACUCGUCAAAACUCGCAGUUUCGGCCUAUUCGGGCGAGUUUUCUACGCUAUUACUCAUUGAUUUUGGGUCCUGCUGCGAUCCGAACGUUUCACGAACCCUCGGUCCGGUUACGGGGAACUCGUCAGAACUCAUAGUUUUGGCCUAUUAGCGCCAGUUUUGUAUGCAAUUACUCACUGAUCUUGGGUCCCGCUGUGAUGUGAACGUUUCGGGAACCUCGUGGUCCAUUUACGGGGACCUCGUGAAAACUCGCGGUUUUGGCCUAUUCCGGCUAGAUUUGUAGGCUAUUAAUCACUGAUUUUGGGUCCCGUUGCGAUUCGAACGCUUUUGGAACCCCGAACUCCGGUUAUGGGGAACUCGUCAAAACUCACAGUUUUGGCCUAUUCUAGCGAGUUUUUUUUGCAAUUAGUCAGUGAUUUUGGGUUUUCCUGUGAUCUGAAUGUAUUAGGAACCCGAGUGUCCGGUUACGGAGAACUCGUCAAAACUCGCAGUUUUGGCCUAUUCCGGCUAGUUUUCUAUGCUAUUAGUCACUAUUUUGUGUCCCGUUGUGAUCCGAACGUUUCGAGAAUCCCGGGGUUCGGUUACGGGGAACUCGUCAAAACUCACACUCUUCGCCUAUUAGGGCUAGUUUCCUAUCCUAUUAGUAACUGAUUUUGGGUCCCGCUGAGAUCCGAACGCUUUGGGAACCCCGUGGUCCGGUUACGGGGAACUCAUCAAAACUCGCUGUUUUGGCCUAUUCCGGCGAGUUUUGUAUGCUAUUAGUCACUUAUUUUGGGUCCCGAUGUGAUCCAAAUGUUUCGGAACCCUUUGGUCCGGUCAUGGGGAACUCGUAAAAACUCGCAGUUUUGCCUAUUCUGUCCAGUUUUGUAUGCUAUUACUCACUGAUUUUGGGUCCCGCUGUGCUCCGAAUGUUUGAGGAACCCCAGGGUCUGGUUAAGGGGAACUCGUCAAAACUCGCAGUCUUGGCCUAUUCCGGCCAGUUUUGAAUGCUAUUAAUCACUCAUUUUGGGUCCCGCCGCGAUUCGAACGCUUUGAGAACCACGAGGUCCGGUUACGAGAAACUCAUCAAAACUCGCUGCUUUGGCCAAUUUCGGUCAGUUUUGUAUGCUAUUAGUCACUGAUUUUGGGUCCCGCUCUCAUCGGAAUGUUUCGGGAGUCCGGUUAUGGGGAACUCGUCAAAACUCGUAGUUUCGCCGUAUUCCACCCAGUUUUGUAUGCUAUUAGUCACUUAUUUUGGGUCCCGAUGUGAUCCAAACGUUUUGUAAACCCUUUGGUCCGGUUAUGGAGAACUCGUCAAAACUCAUAGUUUUGGACAAUUCCUGCCAGUUUUGUAUGCUAUUACUCACUUAUUUUGGGUCCUCCUGCGAUCCGAACGUUUCGGGAACCCCAGGGUCUGGUUACACGGAACUCGUCAAAACUAUUCCACCUAGUUUUCUAUCCUAUUAGUCGUUGAUUUUGGGUCCCGAUGCGAUCGGAACGUUUCGGGAACCCCGGAGUGUGGUUACAGGGAACUAAUGAAAACUCGUAGUUUUGGCCUAUUCCGACCAGUUUUGUAUAAUAUUACUCACUGAUUUUGCGUCCUGUUGUGAUCCGGACGUUUUGGGAACACCGGGGUACGGUUACGGGGAACUCGUCAAAACUCGCAGUUUUGGCCUAUUCUGGCCACUUUUGUAUGCUAUUACUCACUAAUUUUGGGUCCUGCUGCGACCCGAAUGCUUCGGGAACCUCAGGGUCCGGUUACAGGGAACUCGUCGAAACUCGGAUUUUUUGGCUAUUCCAGCCAGUUUUGUAUGCUAUUAGUCACUGAUUUUGGGUCCCGCUGUGAUCCGAAUGUUUCGGGAAGUUCGGGGUCCGGUUACGCGGAACUCGUCAAAACUCGCAGUUUAGGCCGAUUCCGGCUAGUGUUAUAUCCUAUUAGUCAUUGAUUUUGGGUCCUCUUGCGAUCCAAAUGUUUUGGGAACCUUGGGUACGGUUACGAGGAACUCGUCAAAACUCACAUUUUUGACCUAUUCGGGCGAGUUUUGUAUGCUAUUAUUUACUGAUUUUUGGUCCCGCUGUGAUCCGAACGUUUCGGGAACCCCGGGGUCCGGUUGUGGGGAACUCGUCAAAACUCGCAGUUUUGGCCUAUUCUGGCCAGUUUUGUAUGCUAUUACUCACACACUUUGGGUCCCGCUGCGUUCCGAACGUUUCAGGAACCCCGGGAUCUGGUUAUGGGGAACUCGUCAAAACUCGCAGUUUUGGCCUAUUCCGGCCAGUUUUGUACGUUAUUAAUCACUAAUUUUGGGUCCUGUUGCGAUUCGAACGGUUUUGGAACCCCGAGGUCCGGUUAUGGGNAACUCGUCAAAACUCGUAGUUUUGGCUUAUUCUGGCCAGUUUUUUUUACGCAAUUAGUCACUGAUUUUGGUUUUCAUGUGAUCCGAAUGUUUCAGGAACCCUAGUGUCCGAUUACGAAGAACUCGUCAAAAUUCGCAGUUUUGCCUAUUUCGGCUAGUUUUCUAUGCUAUUAGUCACUGAUUUUGGGUCCCGCUGUGAUCCAAACAUUUCGGAAACCCCGAGGUCCAGUUAUGGGGAACUCAUCAAAACGCGCAGUUUCGGCCUGUUCCGGCCAGUUUUGAAUGCUAUUAAUCAUUGAUUUUUGGUCCCGCUGCGAUCCGAACGCUUUGGGAACCCCGAGGUCCGGUUACGGGGAACUCGUUAAAACUCGUUGUUUUGGCCUAUUCCUGCCAGUUUUGUAUGCUAUUAGUCACUGAUUUUGGGUCUCGCUGUGAUCCGAAUGUUUCGGGAAACCCGAGGUCCGGUUACGGGGAACUCAUCAAAACUCGCAGUCUUGGCCUAUUCUGGCCAGUUUUGUAUCCUAUUAGUCACUGAUUUUGUAUCCCGCUGUGAUCCGAACAUUUCGGGGACCUCGGGGGUGUGGUUACGGGGAACUCAUCAAAAUUCACAGUUUUGGCCUAUUCUGGCGAUUUUUGUAUGUUAUUACUCACUGAUUUUGGCUCCCGAUGCGAUCCGAACAUUUCAGAAACCCCGUGGUCCUGUUAUGGGGAACUCAUCAAAACUCGUAGUUUUGGCCUAUUCGCGCGAGUUCUUUCCUAUUAGUCACCGAUUUUGGGUACCGCUGCGAUCCGAACAUUUUGGUAAACCCGGGGUCCGGUUACGGGAACUCGUCAAACUCUUGGUUUUCGCCUAUUCUGGCCAGUUUUGUAUGCUAUUACUCAUCGAUUUUGGGUCCCGGUGUGAUCCGAACAUUUCGGAACCUCGGGGUCCGGUUACGGGGAACUCGUCAAAACUAGCAGUUUUGGCCUAUUCCUUCGAGUUUUCUAUCCUAUUAGUCACUGAUUUUAGGUACCGCUGCGAUCCGAACAUUUCAGGAAACCCAGUGUUGGGGUUAUUACUUGCGGUAUGACCCGCCCUACUGGUCCGGAUCAGGUGCACGGCGAUUCAACAUUCAUAAUCAAGAUAGGCCUUGGCCCAAUAUCUGGAAGCCGCAAGGAGAUCUUCAACGAAGAGCCGGCCGGGCCCAAGAGCCUAGAUGGCGGUUCAAGACUCAAGAAGAAGAUGAGUCGCCGUGAUCUUUUCCUUGUUUGGAAGACACGGCGGUUUAGAGAUAUGACAGGCCACGAUUUGUAAUGUGGCCUGGACUCUUGUAAAACCUAGGACCUCGACCUGUAUAUAAAGGCGAGUCCCUUGGGUAGAUAGGGUCAAGUUACAAUCCAUCGAGAGCUAGGUCAGGCGAGUUACGCCCUCCUUGUAAUCGAUUCCUCCAUCAAUAUACUAAAAGCAGGACGUAGGCUUUUACCUCCAUCGGAGUGGCCGAACCUGGGUAAACCCGAGUCUCGCUUCCGUUCAACCCUUUGAAUCGCCACCAAGGUGCGAUGGCUCCAUCACUAAGUCCUUUUACGAGGACAUCUGCCGUGACAAAACCUCGACAGUUGGCGCCCACCGUGGGGCUAGCGCACGGUGGAGUUGAGUUCUCAAAGGGAUCCCUUCUGGGGUUUGGGAGCUACGUGGUCGGCCUCAUGACUAAAAGCCACCGUGGAAAGUACUACAUCGACAACUCUCAGUGGGGGCCUGAUGCCGAUUCAAUCGAGUCUGGAUACAGGGUCCCCUUCGGCAAGAUUCAUGUCUUCAUUGGCAAGUUUGGGGCUCCCGUACCUGAGUCAGACACCUUCACCGACAUCGUCGAGCCGGCCCGGUACGCCCAUCCCGCCAAACAUCAGGUCAGGACACACCACGCCUUCGUUGGUUUUACAUAGGGAAUCGACCUACCGGAUGAGCCGGUGAUCCAGAAGAACACCCCUGUCAACUCGGACGACGAGUCGUCCAUUAGCGACACAGAUUCAAUCUAUCCUCUGCACGAAGGGAGGCUUGGGGAAUUUCCUGAGGCGGCAAUCUUCGAGGACGUUGAAGGACCCCAUCGUCAGGUCGCCAUCUACAUGGCGGGAGCAGCAGCGCCUCAGCCGACCGCAACCGGCAACAAUGAAGCUAGCGGAUCAGGAAAGACUUUGGCUCAAGCCAUGGUAGAUUUGGUAGCAGAGAUGGCAAAACUCACGACGAUUACUGUGACGACGGAGAACCAAGAACAUGUCAACGCCGAGUUAGCGAAACUAAGGGAGGAGAUGGCCAAGAUCCAAUGGGACAUUGAAGGCGAGGCCGCCAGAAUGGCGACUCAACAAGCCCAGUUCGCCGUGGAGACAUAGCGACUAAGUGUUGAGGGAUGGCGGCUUGAACGACAACAAUGCGCUUCCGAUGCGAUUCAACAAAGGAGGCAUCGCAAUCGUCUGCGAGUCGAUCUGAAUCCGACUCGACUCUUCGACGGCCCAAAUACACGUGGGAUGGAGCCUAACCGGCCAUGGCAAGUGACCCAGCGCAUCGACCCGACCCAGCCGCCGCCCAACGGCAGGUGCCUCAGCCAACACCGACUCAGGCGCCAUGCUUUCAGACGCCGCGGGGUCACUUUUCAAACCCCGUUGAUAACGUACUGGUAGCGACCCACAACCUAGAGUCCCUUCCCAUCCAUCGAAACUCUCUAGCUCAGGUAGAGGCAAGAAAUGCCAUCGAGAUGUUGAAAACGGCGGUGGUUCAACGGGUGCAGUAUUCAUACAGCCGUGAGCGGCUGCACUCCACACCCCAAGCAAGUCAUACCAGGAGCCGUCAUGAUGACCCGCCUGCGGUGUCCAGCAGCGAUCGGCGACAACAUCCACUAAUUAACCUGCCCGGGAUGCCUGACACCCGGGCUCAGGACCUCGUGGAUGUAGCACGAGCCGCCUGCCUUACGGAGAUGGCGGCCGCGGUAGGUCAAGGCUAUCCGGCUUACGUGUCGCCUUCCCUCGUGCAGGCCGAGUCACGCGACAGGAACAUAGGGAUACCCUGUCUGUCACUGGCCCUCUGCAACGAGCGUAUGCCAAAAGAUUUUAAAGGACCACACAAGGUUCCCAAUUACAUGCCGGAUCUCGAGCCAGGGGCGUGGAUUGAAAGUUACGAGCUUGCGAUGGAUAUGCUUGAUGUUAACGAGGUAGUAUGUGCCAAGUACUUUAUAAUGAUGCUUGAAGGGAGGACACACACUUGGCUGAAAAACCUGUCGCCCAACUCCAUCAACACCCGGGCCGAGUUAAAUGAGUGUUUUAUCAAAAACUUCCUUGGGACUUGCAAGCGCUCAAUGACUAUCAUCGACUUACAGCAUUGCAUCCAGCGCCCACACGAGUCGGCCCAUCAUUGGACCCGGCGGGUUGCGAAGGUGAUCUACUGAUCGGAUGGUAUUUCGGCGGCUUAGGCCGUGCUAUUCCUGGAGAAAAACUGUCACUACCAGCCUCUGGUAUUGAAGCUUGGGCGACUCAAGCGCAAAGUGCAGGAUAUGGGAGAACUGAUGGACACACUUACCAGGUACGCUGAGUAUGAUGACACCAAAGAUCCCGAGGAGGACGACGAUAAGGUCAGCAGUGCCAGGAGAGGGGAGUCAUCCAAAGGCAACUCACAGUCCCAGGGACGAAAUAAUUACAACCCUAGGGACCAAGGGAGGAAAAGGUAGCAGGAAGGCGUAACUGAAUUCGUUGCCAAUACCAACACGGGGAUCGGGAACCAGCGUCCGAAGAAAAGAGGUUUUAGUGGCAAGAAGCCACGCAACUAUUGCUACUUCUUGAGCUUGCGUUGGUUUUUCCCUUGAAGAGGAAAGGGUGAUGCAGCAAAGUAGAAAUAAGUAUUUCCCUCAGUUUGAGAACAAAGGAAUCAAUCGAGUAGGAGUAUCAUGACGAGGCACCAAUGAACCUGCGCAAAAACAAACAAACUUGCACCCAACGCGAUAAAGGGGUUGUCAAUCCCUUCACGAUUACUUGCAAGGUGAGAUCUGAUAGUGAUGAAAGCUAAAUAGAUAAAAGUGCAGCAAGGUAUUUUUGGUAUUUUUGUAUGUAGAUCUGAAUAUAUGAUGUGUAAAAUAGACCCGGGGGCCAUAGUGUUCACUAGAGGCUUCUCUCAUGAUAGCAAGUAUUACGGUGGGUGAACGAAUUACUGUCGAGCAAUUGAUAGAAUCGCGCAAAGUCAUGACGAUAUGUACGGCAAUGAUCAUACAUAUAGGCAUCACGUCCAAGACAAGUAGACCGAUACUUUCUGCAUCUACUACUAUUACUCCACACAUCGACCGCUAUCCAGCAUGCAUCUAGUGUAUUAAGUUCAUAAGAAAUGGAGUAACGCCUUAAGCAAGAUGACAUGAUGUAGAGGGAUAAAUUCAUGCAAUAUGAUAUAAACCCCAUAGUUUUACCCUUGAUGGCAACAACACGAUGCGUGCCUCACUACCCCUUCUGCCACUAGGUGAGUACACCGCACGGUAUGAACCCAAANGAACCCAAAACCAAGCACUUCUACCAUUGCAAGAAUUAUAGAUCAAAUUGGCCAAACGAAACCCAUAACUCGAAGAGAAUUACAAGGAUACGAAAUCAUGCAUAUAAGAAAUCAGAGGAGACUCAAAUAAUAUUCAUAGAUAAUCUGAUCAUAAAUCCACAAUUCAUCGGAUCUCGACAAACACACCGCAAAAGAAAGUUACAUCGGAUAGAUCUCCAUCAAGAUCAUGGAGAACUUUGUAUUGAAGAUCCAAGAGAGAGAAGAAGCCAUCUAGCUACUAGCUAUGCACCCCAAGGUCUGUGGUGAACUACUCACGCAUCAUCGGAGAGGCAAUGGUGUAGAUGAAGAAGCCCUCCGUGUCCGAAUACCACUCCGGCAGGGCACCAGAACGGUCCUCAGAUGGAAUCUUGCAGAGACAGAAGCUUGCGGCGGCGCAAAAGUAUUUUCGUGGCUCUCUCUGGAGAUUUCGGGAUUUUUGGGAAUUUAUAGGCGAAAGAGGUAGGGCAGAGGAGCCACGGGGGGCCCACGAGCCUGCUAGGCGCGCCUACGGGGCUCGUGACCUCCCACGAGACCUCCUGCCUUGGUUCUCAAGUCAUCUGCGUAUCUUCUGUUAUGGAAAAAUCACCCCACAGGUUUUAUUCCGUUUGGACUCCGUUUAAUAUUCUUUUCUGAAAAAGGUCAAAAACACGGAAAAAACAGAAACUGACACUAGGCACUGAGUUAAUAGGUUAGUCCCAAAAAUGAUAUAAAAUGGCAUAUAAAUGCAUAUAAGACAUCCCAAGUUGAUAAUAUAAUAGCAUGGAACAAUACAAAAUUAUAGAUACGUUGGAGACGUAUCAAGCAUCCCCAAGCUUAACUCCUGGUCGUCCUCGAGUAGGGAAGUGAUAAAGACCGAAUUUUUGAUGUGGAAUGCUACCUAACAUAUUUGUUCUUUGUUACUUCUUUAUUGUGGCAUGAAUGUUCAGAUCCGUAAGAUUCAAAACAAUAGUUUAAUAUUGACAUGUAAACAAUAAUACUUCAAGCAUACUAGCAAAGUAAUCAUGAACUUUUGACAUAACAAGGCCAAAGAAAGUUAUCCCUACAAAAUCAUAUAGUGUGGCUAUGCUGCAUCAUCCCCACACAAUGAAUUUAAAUCAUGGACAACCCCAGUAUUCGCUAAGUAAUUGUUUUCGCACUCUUACUUUCUCAACUUUUUGAACUCUCACGCAAUACAUGAGCGUGAGCCAUGGAUAUAGCACUAUGGGUGGAAUAGAGUGUGGUGGAGGUUGUGAGGCAAAAAAGGAGGAGAUGGUCACAUCGACUCGGCGUAUCAAUGGCCUAUGGAGAUGCCCAUCAAUAGAUAUCAAUGUGAAUGAGUAGGGAUUGCCAUGCAACAGAUGCACUAGAGCUAUAAGUGUAUGAAAGCUCAAAAAGAAAACUAGUGGGUGUGCACCCAACUUGCUUGCUCACGAAGACCUAGGGCAAUUUUGAGGAAGCCCAUCAUUGGAAUAUACAAGCCAAGUUAUAUAAUGAAAAUUCCCACUAGUAUAUGAAAGUGACAAAAGAAUAGACUCUCUAUCAUGAAGAACAUGGUGCUAUUUUGAAGCACAAUUGUGGAAAAAGAUAGUAGCAUUGUCCCUUCUCUCUUUUUCUCUCAUUAUUUUUUGUUUGGGCUCUUUGGCCUCUUUUUUUUAUUUUUUUGGUGGGCAUCUUUGGCCUCUUUUCCUUUUUUUUAUUUCCUCUCAUCGGACAAUGCUCUAAUAAUGAUGAUCAUCACACUUUUAUUUACUUACAACUCGAUACUUAGAACAAUAAUGACUCUAUAUGAAAUGCCUCCAACAGUGUACCGGGAUGUGCAACGAUCUAGCUUAGCGUAUGAUGUUGGAACAUCUCGCUAGCUAUCUUACGAUCAUGCAAUGGCAAAAAUGAAAAGGACGGCACAUGUCAUGAGACAGAAUGGUGGAAGUUGCAUGGCAAUAUAUCUCGAAAUGGCUAUGAAAAUGCCAUAAUAGGUAGGUAUGGUGGCUGUUUUGAGGAAGGUAUAGGGUGGGUUUGUGCACCGGUGGAAGGGUAGAGUGCAUCUAUACCAUGGACUCACAUUAGUCAUGAAGAACUUAUAUACUUAUUGCGAGAGUUCUAUUAGUAAUCGAAACAAAGUGCUAAACGCAUACUCCUAGGGGAAGGGUUGGUAGGUGUUAACCAUCGCGUGAUCCCGACCGCCACACAAAGGAUGACAAUCAAUAAAUCAAUUAUGCUCUGACUUCCUAACAUAGCGGUUCACCAUACGUGCAUGCUACGGGAAUCACUAACCUCAACACAAGUAUUUCUAGAUUCACAACACCCUACUAACAUAACUCUAAUAUUACCAUAUCGAUAUCUCAAAACUAAUUAUGAGGAAUCACACUUCUCUUACUAAUAAAUGCACUUGAAUAUGAAAGUUUUUAUUAUAUCCUCUUUGGAUGCCUAUCAUAUUUAGGACUAAUUUCAUAACACACGCCAAUUACCAAGUUAGUUAGAGAGAGCACUCUCAAAAUGAUAUAAGUGAAGAAUCGAGAGUUUUUAUUUCUACAAAAUAUGACACCACCGUGCUCUAAAAAGAUUUAAGUGAAGCACUAGAGAAAAAUCGUCUAGCUCAAAAGAUAUAAGUGAAGCUCAUGGGAGCAAAAUUAUCUAGCUCAAAAGAUAUAAGUGAAGCUCAUGGGAGCAAAAUUUCCUAGCUCAAAAGAUAUAUGUGAAGCUCAUUGAGUAUUCUUACAAAUUCACGAUGAGUGCAUGUCCCUCUCAAAAAGGUGUGUGAUACGUCUCCAACGUAUCUAUAAUUUUUGAUGGUUUCAUGCUAUUAUCUUGUCAAACUUUGGACGUUUUGUUUGCCUUUUAUAUCUUUUUUGGGACUAACUUAUUAACUCACUGCCAAGUGCCAGUUCCUGUUUUUUCCGUGUUUUUGACCCUUUUCAGAGGAGAAUUUGAAACGGAGUCCAAACGGGAUAAAAUCUGCGGAAUGAUUUUUCCAUAACAGAAGACACACCGGAGACUUGAGAACCAAGGCAGGGGACCUCAGAGGAGGUUGAUACGUCUCCAUCGUAUCUACUUUUCCAAACUCUUUUGCCCUUGUUUUGGACUCUAAUUUGCAUGAUUUGAAUGAAACUAACGUGGAGUGACGCUGUUUUCAGCAGAAUUGCCUUGGUGUUGUUUUUAUGCAGACAUGAAAGUUCUCAGAACGUCCUGAAAAUUUACGGAGAAUAUUUCUGGAAAAUAUGAAAAAUACCUGCGCAAAGAUCCACCGGAGGGGAUGGGCCAGUGGGCCACAAGCCCUGUAGCCGCCACCCCCUGGUGGCGGCUAGCAAGCUUGUGGGGCCCACGUGGCUCUGCCGCCCCUAAACUCAGCUCUAUAAAUUAACUUUCGCCCACAAAAAAAUCAGGAUAAAAGAUUUCGUCGCGUUUGCGAUACGGAGGCGCCGCCACAUCCUAGUCUUUAUCUCGAGGGCAGAUCUGGAGUCCGUUUUGGGCUCCGGAGAGGGGAAAUCGUCGCCAUCAUCAUCAUCAACCUUCUUCCCUCUCCAAUUCCAUGAAGCUCUUCAUCGUUCGUGAGUAAUCUAUUCGUAGGCUCGCUGGACGGUGAUGAGUAGGAUGAGAUCUAUCAUGUAAUCGAGUUAGUUUUGACGGGGAUUGAUCCCUAGUAUCCGUUAUGUUCUGAGAUUGAUGUUGCUACUACUUUGCCAUGCUUAAUGCUUGUCACUAGGGCCCGAGUGCCAUGAUUUCAGAUCUGAAAUUAUUAUGUUGUCACCAAUAUAUGUGUGUUUUAGAUCCGAUCUUGCAAGUUGUAGUUACCUACUAUGUGUUAUGACCCGACAACCCCGGAGUGACAAUAACCGGAACCAUUCCCGGUGAUGACCAUAGUUUGAGGAGUUCAUGUGUUCACAAGUGCUAAUGCGUUGGUCCGGUUCUUUAUUAAAAGGAGAACCUUAAUAUCCCGUAGUUUCCUUUUGGACCCCGCUGCCACAAGAGGGAUGGAAAAUAGAUGUCAUGCAAGUUAUUUUCCCUAAGCACGUAUGACGACACACGGAAUGCAUGCCUACAUCAUAUUGACGAACGGGAGUGUUGGAGCAUAUAUUGAGCAUAUAUCUCCAUAUGUGGUUUUGGUACUUGAUGACAAUUCCUAUGGACUAAUGGUUGCCUUAAGUUACAUUUAUAGGAUUUGUCCAUAGGCACUUCUUGAAGUCCAUCUAUUGGGUUCAAGGAGUUUAUAUGAUGACCAAGAUGGUAUUCAAGGUAUUAUCCAAAGAAUGGUCAUAGAGACACAUGGUUGAUCAAGAUCUCAGACAAAGAGUAAAUCAAGAUGAUCAACACACAAAGCGUACAAGAUGUAUCGAGAGGGAUCAAGUGANNNNNNNNNNNNNNNNNNNNNNNNNNNNNNNNNNNNNNNNNNNNNNNNNNNNNNNNNNNNNNNNNNNNNNNNNNNNNNNNNNNNNNNNNNNNNNNNNNNNACAGUAAUUUGUUCACCUAUGUUAGGUAGCAUGAAAGCAUCAAAAAUUCAUUCUUAUCACUUCCCUACUCGAGGUCGAGCAGGAGUUAAGCUUGGGGAUGCUUGAUACGUCUCAAACGUAUCUAUAAUUUUUGAUGGUUUCACGCUAUUAUCUUGUCUUCUUUGUAUGUUUUAUGUAUCUUUUUAUAUCUUUUUGGGACUAACUUAUUAAUUCAGUGCCAAGUGCCAGUACGUGUUUUUCUGUGUUUUUGACUCUUUUCAGAUCUCAUUUUGGAACGGAGUCCAAACGGAAGAAAAACCCCAAAAUGAUUUUUUCCCGUACGAAAGAAGUCGAGGGGGAUUUUGGGCCAAGCCACGUGGGCUCCAGGGAGCCCACAAGCCCCCACUCCGCCACCAGGGGGAGGCGGCGGUGGGCAGGCUUGUGGCCUCCGUGGCCGCCCCCUGACCUAGGUCUUGCGCCUAUAUAUUUUGAUGGUUCCCUCGAAGCAGAAAGGGUGAUGUAGCACAGCGACGGUAAGUAUUUCCCUCAGUUUGAGAACCAAGGUCUCAAUCCGACGGAAGAGUAUCUCAAGAUCCUGCAUAAACACAAAAGCUUGCACCCAACGCUAUGAAGGGGUUGCCAAUCCCUUAUAGAUUGUUUGCCAAGUGAGAACUGAAAGCAACAAAGUAACAAAGCAAACAAAAAGCGGAGAUGUAAACGAUGGAUGUGAAUAGACCCCGGGGCCGUAGUGUUUACNNNNNNNNNNNNNNNNNNNNNNNNNNNNNNNNNNNNNNNNNNNNNNNNNNNNNNNNNNNNNNNNNNNNNNNNNNNNNNNNNNNNNNNNNNNNNNNNNNNNAAUAGGUAUGCGGAUACUGACGAUCGAAUCUCGGGCAAGUAACAUACCGAAGGACAAAGAGAAUGACAUACAGGAUUACAUGAAUCCUUGACACUGAGGUUCAAACGAUAAGUUCUUCGUAGAAUAUGUAGGAUCCAAUAUGGGCAUCCAGGUCCCGCUAUUGGAUAUUGAUCGAGGAGUCUCUCGGGUCAUGUCUACANNNNNNNNNNNNNNNNNNNNNNNNNNNNNNNNNNNNNNNNNNNNNNNNNNNNNNNNNNNNNNNNNNNNNNNNNNNNNNNNNNNNNNNNNNNNNNNNNNNNNNNNNNNNNNNNNNNNNNNNNNNNNNNNNNNNNNNNNNNNNNNNNNNNNNNNNNNNNNNNNNNNNNNNNNNNNNNNNNNNNNNNNNNNNNNNNNNNNNNNNNNNNNNNNNNNNNNNNNNNNNNNNNNNNNNNNNNNNNNNNNNNNNNNNNNNNNNNNNNNNNNNNNNNNNNNNNNNNNNNNNNNNNNNNNNNNNNNNNNNNNNNNNNNNNNNNNNNNNNNNNNNNNNNNNNNNNNNNNNNNNNNNNNNNNNNNNNNNNNNNNNNNNNCUGCACACUUAAGGUUCAACGUUGUUUUAUGCGUAUUUGAGUUAUAUUGUUGGUUAUCAAAUGUUGUUCGGAGUCCCGGAUGAGAUCACGAACGUCACGAGGGUUUCCGGAAUGGUCCGGAAACGAAGAUUGAUAUAUAGGAUGACCUCAUUUGAUUACCGGAAGGUUUUCGGAGUUACCGGGAAUGACGAAUGGGUUCCGGGAGUUCACCGGGGGGGACAACCCACCCCGGGGAAGCCCAUAGGCCUUGAGGGUGGCACACCAGCCCUUAGUGGGCUGGUGGGACAGCCCAAAAGGCCUCUAUGCGCCAAGAAGAGAAAAUCAAGAGAAAAGAAAAAAAGGAGGAGGUGGGAAGGAAGGGAAGGACUCCCUCCCACCAAACCAAGUCCAACUCGGUUUGGGGGGGAGUCCUCCCCCCUUGGACUCGGCCGACCCCCUUGGGGCUCCUUGAGCCCCAAGGCAAGGUCCCCUCCCUCCCACCUAUAUAUACGGAAGUUUUAGGGCUGAUUUGAGACGACUUUUCCACGGCAGCCCGACCACAUACCUCCACGGUUUUUCCUCUAGAUCGCGUUUCUGCGGAGCUCGGGCGGAGCCCUGCUGAGACAAGGUCAUCACCAACCUCCGGAGCGCCGUCACGCUGCCGGAGAACUCUUCUACCUCUCCAUCUCUCUUGCUGGAUCAAGAAGGCCGAGAUCAUCGUCGAGCUGUACAUGUGCUGAACGCGGAGGUGCCAUCCGUUCGAUACUAGAUCGUGGGACUGAUCGCGGAAUUGUUCGCGGGGCGGAUCGAGGGACGUGAGGACGUUCCACUACAUCAACCGCGUUCACUAACGCUACUGCUGUACGAUCUACAAGGGUACGUAGAUCACUCAUCCCCUCUCGUAGAUGGACAUCACCAUGAUAGGUCUUCGUGUGCGUAGGAAAUUUUUUGUUUCCCAUGCGACGUUCCGCAACAAUGGUAUCAGAGCCAGGUUCAUGCGUAGAUGUCUUCUCGAGUAGAACACAAAAGUUUUUGUGGGCGGUGAUGUGCGUUUUGCUGCCCUCCUUAGUCUUUUCUUGAUUCCGCGGUAUUGUUGGAUUGAAGCGGCUUGGACCGACAUUACUCGUACGCUUACGAGAGACUGGUUUCAUCGUUACGAGUAACUCCGUUGCUCAAAGAUGACUGGCAAGUGUCGGUUUCUCCAACUUUAGUUCAAUCGGAUUUGACCGAGGAGGUCCUUGGAUGAGGUUAAAUAGCAACUCAUAUAUCUCCGUUGUGGUGUUUGCGUAAGUAAGAUGCGAUCCUACUAGAUAUCCAUGGUCACCACGUAAAACAUGCAACAACAAAAUUAGAGGACGUCUAACUUGUUUUUGCAGGGUAUGCUCGUGAUGUGAUAUGGCCAAUGAUGUGAUGUGAUAUAUUGGAUGUAUGAGAUGAUCAUGUUGUAAUAGAAAUAUCGACUUGCACGUCGAUGGUACGGCAACCGACAGGAGCCAUAGGGUUGUCUUUAUACUAACGUGUGUGCUUGCAGAUGCGUUUACUAUUUUGCUAGGAUGUAGCUUUAGUAGUAAUAGCAUGAGUAGCACAACAACCCCGACGGCAACACGUUGAUGGAGAUUAUGGUGUGGCGCCGGUGACAAGAAGAUCGUGCCGGUGCUUAGGUGAUGGAGAUCAAGAAGCACGUGAUGAUGGCCAUAUGAUGUCACUUAUGAAUUGCAUGUGAUGUUAAUCCUUUUAUGCACCUUAUUUUGCUUAGAACGACGGUAGCAUUAUGAGGUGAUCUCUCACUAAAAUUUCAAGACGAAAUUGUGUUCUCCCCGACUGUGCACCGUUGCUACAGUUCGUCGUUUCGAGACACCACGUGAUGAUCGGGUGUGAUAGACUCAACGUUCACAUACAAUGGGUGCAAAACAGUUGCGCAUGCGGAACACUCGGGUUAAGCUUGACGAGCCUAGCAUGUGCAUACAUGGCCUCGGAACACAUGAGACCGAAAGGUCGAUCAUGAAUCAUAUAGAUGAUAUGAUUAGCAUAGGGAUGCUUACCACUGAAACUAUACUCAACUCACGUGAUGAUCGGACUUGAGCUAGUGUAAGUGGAUCAUGAACCACUCAAAUGACUAGAGAGAUGUACUUUUUGAUUGGGAGUUUAGUGAAUAAUUUGAUUAAGUUAAACUCUAAUUAUCUUGAACAUAGUCUAAGUCCACUUUGAAUAUAUUUGUGUUGUAGAUCAUGGCUCACGCGACAGUCAUCCUGAAUUUUAAUACGUUCCUAGAGAAAGCUAAGUUGAAAGAUGAUGGAAGCAACUUUGUAGACUGGGCUCGUAAUCUUAAGCUAAUCUUACAAGCUGGGAAGAAGGAUUAUGUCCUUAAUGCUGCGUUAGGAGAUGAACCACCCGCUACAGCUGAUCAAGAUUUUAAGAACGCUUGGUUAGCACGUAAGGAGGACUACUCAAUAGUUCAAUGUGCAGUCUUGUAUGGCUUAGAACCGGGACUUCAACGUCGCUUUGAGCGUCAUGGAGCAUUUGAGAUGUUCCAGGAGUUGGAGUUUAUCUUUCAGAAGAACGCCCGGAUCGAGAGGUAUGAGACCUCCGAUAAAUUAUAUGCUUGCAAGAUGGAGGAAAACUCAUCUCUCAUUGAACAUGUGCUCAAAAUGUCUGGGUACUCAAACCGUCUAGCUGAGCUGGGGAUUGAACUCCCGCAAGAAGCUAUCACUGACAGAAUCCUUCAAUCACUGCGGCCAAGCUAUAAAGGCUUUGUGUUGAACUACAACAUGCAAGGGAUGAACAAGUCUCCCGGCGAGUUGUUUGCGAUGUUGAAAGUCGCAGAGUCUGAACUCCGUAAAGAGCAUCAAGUGUUGAUGGUGAAUAAGACCACUAGUUUCAAGAGAAACGGCAAAGGCAAGAAGGGCAAUUCGAAGAAGAGCGGCAAGGGUGUUGCCAAUCCGACGAAGAAACCCAAAGCUGGACCUAAGCCAGAAACGGAGUGUUACUAUUGCAAGGGUAUGGGUCACUGGAAGCGCAAUUGCCCCAAGUAUUUGGCAGAUAAGAAGGCGGGCAAAGAAAAAUCAGGUAUAUUUGAUAUACAUGUUAUUGAUGUGUACUUAACCGGCUCUCGUAGUAGUGCCUGGGUAUUUGAUACCGGUUCUGUUGCUCAUAUUUGCAACUCGAAACAGGAACUGCGGAAUAGGCGAAGGCUGACAAAAGAUGAAGUGACGAUGCGCGUAGGAAAUGGUUCCAAGGUUGAUGCAAUCGCCGUCGGCACAGUGUCACUUCAGUUACCGUCAGGAUUAGUGAUGAACUUAAAUCAUUGUUAUUUAGUGCCUGCGUUGAGCAUGAACAUUAUAUCUGGAUCUUGUUUAUUGCGAGACAGUUACUCUUUUAAGUCAGAGAAUAAUGGUUGUUCUAUUUCUAUGAGUAACAUCUUUUAUGGUCAUGCACCGAAUGUGAGAGGAUUGUUCAUAUUGAAUCUUGAUAUCGAUACGCAUAUACAUAACAUUGAGACCAAAAGAGUUAGAGUUAACAAUGAUAGCGCCAUAUUUUUGUGGCACUGCCGCUUAGGUCAUAUUGGUGUAAAGCGCAUGAAGAAACUCCAUGCUGAUGGACUUUUGGAGUCACUUGACUUUGAUUCACUUGACACGUGCGAACCAUGCCUCAUGGGCAAUAUGACUAAGACUCCAUUCUCAGGAACAAUGGAGCGCGCAAGUGACUUGUUGGAAAUCAUACAUACCGAUGUGUGUGGUCCUAUGAGCGUGGAGGCACGUGGCGGAUAUCGUUAUUUUCUCACCUUCACUCACGAUUUAAGUAGAUAUGGUUAUGUCUACUUGAUGAAGCACAAGUCUGAAACAUUUGAAAAGUUCAAGCAAUUUCAGAGUGAAGUGGAAAAUCAUCGUAACAAGAAGAUCAAGUUCCUACGGUCUGAUCGUGGGGGUGAAUAUCUGAGUUUCGAGUUUGGUGCUCACUUAAGACAAUGUGGAACUGUUUCACAGUUAACACCGCCUGGAACACCACAGCGUAAUGGUGUGUCCGAACGUCGUAAUCGUACUCUGUUAGAGAUGGUGCGAUCUAUGAUGUCUCUUACUGAUUCGCCGUUAUCAUUUUGGGGCUAUGCAUUAGAAACAGCUGCAUUCACUUUAAAUAGGGCACCAUCAAAAUCCGUUGAGACGACACCAUACGAACUGUGGUAUGGCAAAAGGCCAAAGUUGUCGUUUCUUAAGGUUUGGGGAUGUGAUGCUUAUGUCAAAAAGCUUCAGCCUGAAAAGCUGGAACCCAAAGCGGAAAGGUGCGUCUUCAUAGAUUACCCAAAAGAGACAGUUGGGUACACCUUCUAUCUCAAAACCGAGGGCAAAGUGUUUGUUGCUAAAAACGGAGCUUUUCUCGAGAAAGAGUUUCUCUCGAGAGAAUUGAGUGGGAGGAAGAUAGAACUUGACGAGGUUGUCGAACCUCUCAUCCCUCUGGAUGGUGGCGCAGGGCAAGGGGAAACCUCUGUCAUUGCGACGCUGGUUGAGGAGGAAGUUAAUGAUGAUGAUCAUGAAACUCCAGUUCAAGUUUCUGUCGAACCACGCAGGUCGACGAGACCACGUGCUGCUCCAGAGUGGUACGGUAAUCCCGUCUUAUCAAUCAUGUUGUUAGACAACAAUGAACCUGCGAAUUAUGAAGAAGCAAUGGUGGGCCCAGAUUCCAACAAAUGGCUGGAAGCCAUGAAGUCCGAGAUAGGAUCCAUGUAUGAGAACAAAGUGUGGACUUUGGAGGUACUGCCUGAGGGCCGCAAGGCCAUUCAGAACAAAUGGAUCUUUAAGAGGAAGACGAACGCAGACGGUAAUGUGACCGUUUAUAAAGCUCGACUUGUGGCAAAGGGUUUUUCACAAGUUCAAGGAGUUGACUACGAUGAGACUUUCUCACCCGUAGCGAUGCUUAAGUCCGUCAGAAUCAUGUUAGCAAUAGCUGCAUUUUUCGAUUAUGAAAUCUGGGAGAUGGAUGUCAAAACGGCGUUCCUUAACGGUUUCCUUAAGGAAGAGUUGUAUAUGAUACAACCCGAAGGUUUUGUCGAUCCUAAGAAUGCUAACAACGUGUGCAAGCUCCAGCGAUCUAUUUAUGGACUGGUGCAAGCAUCUCGGAGUUGGAACAAACGCUUUGAUGAGGUGAUCAAAGCAUUUGGGUUUAUACAAGUGGUUGGAGAAUCUUGUAUUUACAAGAAAGUGAGUGGGAGCUCUGUGGCGUUUCUAAUAUUAUAUGUGGAUGACAUAUUACUGAUUGGAAACAACGUAGAGUUUUUGGAGAGCACAAAAGGUUACUUGAAUAAAAGUUUCUCUAUGAAGGACCUAGGAGAAGCUGCUUACAUUCUAGGCAUUAAGAUCUAUAGGGAUAGAUCAAAACGCCUGAUAGGACUUUCACAAAGCACAUACCUUGAUAAAGUUUUGAAGAGGUUCAAAAUGGAACAGUCCAAGAAAGGGUUCUUGCCAGUUCUACAAGGUACGAGAUUGAGUAAGACUCAGUGCCCAGCAACUGAUGAAGAUAGAGAGCAUAUGGGCUCCGUCCCCUAUACUUCAGCCAUAGGUUCUAUCAUGUAUGCGAUGAUGUGCACUAGACCAGAUGUUAGCCUGGCCAUAAGUAUGGCAGGUAGGUUCCAGAGUAAUCCAGGAGUGGAUCACUGGACAGCGGUCAAGAAUAUCCUGAAGUACUUGAAAAGGACUAAGGAGAUGUUUCUCGUGUAUGGAGGUGACGAAGAGCUCGCCGUAAAAGGUUACGUCGAUGCAAGCUUUGACACAGAUCCGGACGACUCUAAGUCGCAAACCGGAUACGUAUUUAUUCUUAAUGGGGGUGCAGUAAGCUGGUGCAGUUCCAAGAAAAGCGUCGUAGCAGAUUCUACAUGUGAAGCGGAGUACAUGGCUGCCUCGGAGGCGGCUAAGGAGGGUGUCUGGAUGAAGCAAUUCAUGACGGAUCUUGGAGUGGUGCCAAGCGCACUGAAUUCAAUAACCUUGUUUUGUGACAACACGGGUGCCAUUGCCUUAGCAAAGGAACCACGGUUUCACAAGAAGACCAGACACAUCAAACGACGCUUGAACCUCAUCCGCGACUACGUCGAGGGAGAGGACGUGAAUAUAUGCAAAGUGCACACGGAUCUGAAUGUAGCAGACCCGCUGACUAAACCUCUUCCACGGCCAAAGCAUGAUCAACACCAGAACUGUAUGGGUGUUAGAUUUAUUACAAUGUAAUUCACAUGGUGAUGUGAGGGCUAGAUUAUUGACUCUAGUGCAAGUGGGAGACUGUUGGAAUUAUGCCCUAGAGGCAAUAAUAAAUAUAGUUAUUAUUAUAAUUCUUGUAUCAAGAUAAUCGUUUAUUAUCCAUGCUAUAAUUGUAUUGAAUGAAGACUCAUUUGCAUGUGUGGAUACAUAGACAAAACACNNNNNNNNNNNNNNNNNNNNNNNNNNNNNNNNNNNNNNNNNNNNNNNNNNNNNNNNNNNNNNNNNNNNNNNNNNNNNNNNNNNNNNNNNNNNNNNNNNNNAGAAGGAGGAGGAGGAGGAGGAGAAGGCCAAGGACCUUCUAUCCUUCUCCUCCUCCUCCUCCUCCUCCUCCUUCUUGAUUUCUUCUUCUUCUCCUCCUCCUCCUCCUCUUUCUUCUCCUCUUUCAUAUUAUCCUUGCUUUAAUUAACCCAACAAUGACAUAGUUAGCCCAUUUAGCUCCAAAAUACCGUAAUAAGAUCAAAAUGGCAUAAGAACCUUGGUUAGCUCAUGAAUAUUAUAUACUUAGCUUCUUUUCCUCUAAAAUGACAUAAUUGGAAUAUUUAGCUCAAAAAGACAUAAUUAGGUAAUUUAGCUCCAACAAGAGGAUAAGAGGAGAAGAAAUAGGCAAAAUGAAAAGAAAGAAGAAGAAGAGAUGAAGAAGAAGAGAAGAAGGAGGAGGAGGAGGAGGAGGAGGAGAAGGGAGGAAGAGGAGGAGGAGGAGGAGGAGGAGGAGAAGGCCAAGGACCUUCUAUCCUUCUCCUCCUCCUCCUUCUCCUCCUCCUCCUCCUUCUUCUUGAUUUCUUCUUNNNNNNNNNNNNNNNNNNNNNNNNNNNNNNNNNNNNNNNNNNNNNNNNNNNNNNNNNNNNNNNNNNNNNNNNNNNNNNNNNNNNNNNNNNNNNNNNNNNNAAGAGUUCUCCGGCAGUGUGACGGCGCUCCGGAGGUUGGUGAUGACCUUGUCUCAACAGGGCUCCGCCCGAGCUCCGCAGAAAAGUCGUCUCAAAUCAGCCCCAAUACCUCCGUAUAUAUAGGUGGGAGGGAGGGGACCUUGCCUUGUGCAAUUGCGCUUCCAGUGACCCAUACCCUUGCAAUAGUAACACUCCGUUUCUGGCUUAGGUCCAGCUUUGGGUUUCUUCGUCGGAUUGGCAACAGCCUUGCCGCUCUUCUUCGAAUUGCCCUUCUUGGCUUUGCCGUUUCUCUUGAAACUAGUGGUCUUAUUCACCAUCAACACUUGAUGCUCUUUACGGAGUUCAGACUCUGCGACUUUCAGCAUCGCAAACAACUCGCCCGGAGACUUGUUCAUCCCUUGCAUGUUGUAGUUCAACACAAAGCCUUUAUAGCUUGGCGGCAGUGAUUGAAGGAUUCUGUCAGUGAUAGCUUCUUGCGGGAGUUCAAUCCCCAGCUCAGCUAGACGGUUUGAGUACCCAGACAGUUUGAGCACAUGUUCACUGACAGAUGAGUUUUCCUCCAUCUUGCAAGCAUAGAAUUUAUCGGAGGUCUCAUACCUCUCGAUCCGGGCGUUCUUCUGAAAGAUAAACUUUAACUCUUGGAACAUCUCAAAUGNCUCGGUCAAUAUCCAAUAGCGGGACCUGGAUGCCCAUAUUGGAUCCUACAUAUUCUACGAAGAUCUUAUCGUUUGAACCUCAGUGCCAAGGAUUCAUAUAAUCCCGUAUGUCAUUCCCUUUGUCCUUCAGUAUGUUACUUGCCCGAGAUUCGAUCGUCAGUAUCCGUAUACCUAUUUCAAUCUCGUUUACCGGCAAGUCUCUUUACUCGUUCCGUAAUACAAGAUCCCGCAACUUACACUAAGUUACAUUGCUUGCAAGGCUUGUGUGUGAUGUUUUAUUACCGAGUGGGCCCCGAGAUACCUCUCCGUCACACGGAGUGACAAAUCCCAGUCUUGAUCCAUACUAACUCAACUAACACCUUUGGAGAUACCUGUAGAGCAUCUUUAUAGUCACCCAGUUACGUUGCGACGUUUGAUACACNNNNNNNNNNNNNNNNNNNNNNNNNNNNNNNNNNNNNNNNNNNNNNNNNNNNNNNNNNNNNNNNNNNNNNNNNNNNNNNNNNNNNNNNNNNNNNNNNNNNUCCCAUGGUAUGGUAAGCAUUGUCCAUUACGUGUUUGUGUACUAACCCAUGGUCUUCGUGAGAGUUCUAUGUGGGGGUUAGGUGUGUUUCCAUGGGCUUGCGUCAAAGGGAAGAUCUCAUACAACCCAUGGAGUAUGACGUCAAGUUGUGAUCAUCAUCAAUGGUUGAUCAAGAUCUCAGACAAAGAGUAAAUCAAGAUGAUCAACACACAAAGCGUACAAGAUGUACCGAGAGGGAUCAAGUGAUCCCAUGGUAUGGUAAGCAUUGUCCAUUACGUGUUUGUGUACUAACCCAUGGUCUUCGUGAGAGUUCUAUGUGGGGGUUAGGUGUGUUUCCAUGGGCUUGCAUCAAAAGGAAGAUCUCAUACAACCCAUGGAGUAUGACGUCAAGUUGUGAUCGUCAUCAAGAUUGCGAUCUGCAAGUUCAAGUGGAUCAGCACGAAGAUAGCAUGCUUGAAGCUUGCCGUCCAUUGUGGUGGCAAUGGACUUGUGAAGAUAUGCUGAAGAGUGGCUCACCCAUAGUGAGUAUGGGGGAGCAAUCAACUAGUCUUCAUCAAGCCAACACAAUCAAGAAAGGUGGUCCAUCUUGAGGAAGCCAAGAUCAUCAUCAUCUAGCUCAAGAGGACGAGGUGCAAGGUAUAGGUUUGCCCUUGAUAGGUUUUCUGGUUAGGAUAGAUUGCUGUUCUAUCAAGGGGGGCUCUCAAGUGAGUAGCUUGAUCGUAUCGUUCGUUGAGAGCUCAAACCAUUUGCAUCCUUGCAUCAUACUUCUUGGUUCUUGUUUGGUGUUUCUCUUUGUGAGUUUUAGAGCUUAUGGUCAUCUUCGUGACAAGCUCGAGUUCAUCGAAAAUGGAGUCCAUAUGCAUCUACUAUGAUGUUUUCGAUGUUGGAGUUUUUGCCGGUUCUUCAUUCAUAGAGAUCUCACAUCUCUAUAUCUUUGGCAUAUUCAUAACCGCAUGGUUAGCCCUUGUCGUCCUGAAUCCAACAAGCUUGGGUUUGCUCGAUUCGGAGCUCGUAUGCGAAAGUUAUGGCUGUUUCAGUGGCGAGCGGUAGUACCGCUGGACCUAGCGGUAGUACCGCUAGAGUUGGCGGUAGUACCGCUGGCCCUAGCGGUAGUAUCGCUGGCUCGCGGUAGUACCGCCCCUGGUCAGCGGUAGUACCGCUCCAGGAGCUUAGUACCGCCUGCCUAGCGGUUGUUCGUGGACGGACCUUUUUGCGAAGACUUUCUUGGCGGUGGUAGUGCCUUUGCACUACCAGGGGCCCAGCGGUAGUACCGCUGGGGCCAGCGGUAGUACCGCUAGCUGGCGGUAGUACCGCUGGAGUGCCAGCGGUAGUACCGCUGCAGCCAGCGGUAGUACCGCUGGAGCUCGGGCAGAGAGUGGGGGUAACGGUGUGAUUCUUCCCCCCACUAUAUAAAGGGGGUCUUCUUCCCCCUUGCCUUAUCCAUCUGUUGAUCUCUUGUUCUACCUCCAUUGUUGACAUUCUUAGAGCUUGAUUACUCUCAAUCCCUCCAAUGAUUCUUGCUUGCUCUUGAGGGAAAAGAGAGAGGAGAUCUAGAUCCACAUCUCCACCAAUCACUUUCUCCUCUACGUGAGGGGAACCCCUUGGAUCUUGAUCUUGGAGUUCUUUGUGAGCUCCUUGUUCUUCCUCUCAUAUUUCUCCAUAGCUUUUGUUGUUGUGGAGGGAUUUGAGUGUGAGGGACUUGACCACUUCGUGUGUUCUUGCCAUUGCAUUAGUUGCAUCGGUUUGAGUUCUCCACGGUGAUACGUGGAAGUGAGAAGUUGAGAAGCUUACUACCUUCGGUACUUAGUACCCUUGAUAUUGUUCUUCGUGGAUGCUUUGGCGUCCUAGAAGCUUGGUGGUGUCUCGGAGCUCAAUCAUUGUGGUGUGAAGCUCCGGGAAGCGUCGGGGUCUCCAAUAAGGUUGUGGAGAUUGCCCCGAGCAAUUUGUACGGGUGCCGGUAACCGCCCCCAAGGGUUGCCACGUGUACGGGUUCGGUGACCUCCCCCAAGGGUUGCCACGUGUACGGGUUCGGUGACCGCCCCCAAGGGUUGCCAUUUGUACGGGUUCGGUGACCGCCCUCAAGGGUCCCUUAGUGGAAUCACGGCAUCUUGCAUUGUGCGAGGGCGUGAGGAGAUUACGGUGGCCUUAGUGGCAUAUUGGGGAGCAUUGUGCCUCCACACCGCUCUAACGGAGAUUAGCAUCCGCAAGGGUGUGAACUUCGGGAUACAUCAUCGUCUCCCUGUGCCUCGGUUAUCUCUUACCCGAACCCUUUACUUAUGCACUUUACUUUGUGAUAGACAUAUUCUUUAUUGUAAUAUAUCUUGCUAUCACUUAGUUGUUUAUCUUGCUUAGCAUAAGUUGUUGGUGCACAUAGGUGAGCCUAGUUGUUGUAGGUUUUGUGCUUGACAUAUUAAACGAUUAGUUUUAUUCCGCAUUUGUUCAAGCCUAAACCUUAACUAUUUUAAAGCGCCUAUUCACCCCCCCCCUCUAGGCGACAUCCACGUCCUUUUCAGGGAGCUAGCCACAUAUCUCUCCAUGUGAUAUCUGUUGCAUGGUGAAUAUCAUCCAAACAAAUCAGCGACCCAUUGCCUACAAGUUUGUCCCACAGCUGCUGUUACUUGUUUUGCUCUGCUGCUUACUUGCUACUGUUGCUGCUGCUGUUACUUGCUCUGCUGUCACUUGCUACUCUUGCUACUUGCUACUACUGUCACUAGUGCUGCUACUCGUUACACUGCUCCUACCUGCUAUAAUUUUGGUUCGCUACUCGUUGACGGGAAAAGACAAUUUCCGUCAACACGCAACUUCUGGCGCCAUUGAUACAAUUGUUAGGAAUAAUCUGCCGUCAACAGAUCGUUUGUGACACCGUUGUUAUCAUACAACUUUGGUGUUGAUACUUUGCUUGCAGAUAUUAAUCUUUCAGGUGUGGUUGAAUCUGACUCAUUCAGCUGCUAAUACUUGAGAGUAUCCUCUCGCUUCCUAAUUGCGCACCAACAAAUUUGGGUUGAAUACUCUACCCUCGAAAACUGCCUCGAUCCCACGCGCUGGUGGGUAAUUGCAAGACAAUUUCUAAUUGUUGAGCAAUCGAGAAUAGCAUUCGUCCAACCAUUGCUAGAGAUGUGCUAAACAACAUUUUUCUGGCACUUUUGUUGGAGAUUGCUGAUACGUCUCAAACGUAUCUAUAAUUUUGAUGGUUUCACGCUGUUAUCUUGCCUUCUUUGUAUGUUUUAUGUAUCUUUUUAUAUCUUUUUGGUACUAACUUAUUAAUUCAGUGCCAAGUGCCAGUUCCUGUAUUUUUCGUGUUUUUGAGUCUUUUCAGAUGUGAUUUUGGAACGGAGUCCAAACGGAAGAAAAACCCCAAAAUGAUUCUUUCCCGAACGGAAGAAGUCCAGGGGGCUUUUGGGCCAAGCCAGGUGGGCUCCAGGGAGCCCACAAGCCCCCACUCCGCCACCAGGGGGGAGGCGGCGGUGGGCAGGCUUGUGGCCUCCCUGGCCGCCCCGUGACCUAGGUCUUGCGCCUAUAUAUUCCAAAUAUUCCGCAAAAAAUCAGGGGAGCCUCGAAAAUACUUUUCCGCCGCCACAAGCUUCCGUUUCCGCGAGAUCUCAUCUGGAGACCCUUCCCGGCACCCUGCCGGAGGAGACUUUGGAGUUGGAGGGCUUCUUCAUCAUCAUCAUCGCCCCUCCAAUGACUCGUGAGUAGUUCACUUCAGACCUACGGGUCCAUAGUUAGUAGCUAGAUGGCUUCUUCUCUCUCUUGGAUCUUCAAUACAAAGUUCUCCAUGAUCUUCAUGGAGAUCUAUCUGAUGUAAUCUUCUUUGGGGGUGUGUUUGUCGAGAUCCGUUGAAUUGUGGACUUGUGAUCACAUAAUCUAUGAUAUAUAUUUGAGUCUUUGCUGAUUUCUUAUAUGCAUGAUUUGAUAUCCUUGUAAGUCUCUCGGAGUCUUGGGUUUUGUUUGGCCAAUUAGAUCUAUGAUUCUUGCAAUGAGAGAAGUGCUUGGUUUUGGGUUCUGCCAUGUGGUGACCUUUCCGAGUGACAGUAGGGGCAGCAAGGAACACAUCAAGCAGUUGCCAUUAAGGGUAAAAAGAUGGGGUUUUUAUCAUUGGUUUGAGAUUAUCCCUCUACAUCAUGUCAUCUUGCUUAAGGCGUUACUCUGUUCUUAUGGACUUAAUACACUAGAUGCAUGCUGGAUAGCGGUCGACGUGUGGAGUAAUAGUAGUAGAUGCAGAAAGUAUGGGUCUACUUGUUUCGGACGUGAUGCCUAUAGAAAUAAUCAUUGCAUAGAUAUCAUCACGACUCUGCACAGNNNNNNNNNNNNNNNNNNNNNNNNNNNNNNNNNNNNNNNNNNNNNNNNNNNNNNNNNNNNNNNNNNNNNNNNNNNNNNNNNNNNNNNNNNNNNNNNNNNNNNNNNNNNNNNNNNNNNNNNNNNNNNNNNNNNNNNNNNNNNNNNNNNNNNNNNNNNNNNNNNNNNNNNNNNNNNNNNNNNNNNNNNNNNNNNNNNNNNNNNNNNNNNNNNNNNNNNNNNNNNNNNNNNNNNNNNNNNNNNNNNNNNNNNNNNNNNNNNNNNNNNNNNNNNNNNNNNNNNNNNNNNNNNNNNNNNNNNNNNNNNNNNNNNNNNNNNNNNNNNNNNNNNNNNNNNNNNNNNNNNNNNNNNNNNNNNNNNNNNNNNNNNNNNNNNNNNNNNNNNNNNNNNNNNNNNNNNNNNNNNNNNNNNNNNNNNNNNUAAACACUACGGCCCCCGGGUCUAUUCACAUCCAUCGUUUACAUCUCCGCUUUUACUUUGCUUUGUUACUUUGUUGCUUUCAGUUCUCACUUGGCAAACAAUCUAUAAGGGAUUGACAACCCCUUCAUAGCGUUGGGUGCAAGCUUUUGUGUUUAUGCAGGAUCUUGAGAUACUCUUCAGCCGGAUUGAUACCUUGGUUCUCAAACUGAGGGAAAUACUUACCGUCGCUGUGCUACAUCACCCUUUCCGCUUCGAGGGAACACCAACGCAAGGCUCCAAGUACACGGGGGAAUUCCUUUGCAUACUUGCCUAGGAAGUCCCUUAAGGCGUAGCCGUAGCUGAAGGAUUCCUGGUGCCGUCGACACAACUAUUUCUGGCGCCAUUGCAAGGGAUACACAGCAAAACAUCAGAAGUAUUUCUGGCGCCGUUGCGGGGGAGGAGAAAUAAAGAUCUAUCCAAGUAGGUCUCACAAACUCUUCUCUUGCAUUUACUUUUGUUGCCAGUUGCCUCUCGUUUUCCUCUCCCCCACUUCACAUUUGCCGUUUUCAUUCGCCUUUCUCCUUCGCCGUUUUCUCUUGCCCUUGCCAUUUUCCUUUGUAGGUUUCUUGCUUGCUUGUGUGAUUGUUUGUUUGUUGAAGACAUCAUGUCUGAAAACACCAAACUUUGCGACUUCUCGAGCACUAAUAAUAAUGAUUUUAUUAGUACUCCGGUUGCUCCUGCCACUAGUGCGGAAUCGUAUGAAAUCAACGCAGCUCUGCUGAAUCUUGUUACGAAAGAGCAAUUCUCUGGCCUUCCUAAUGAAGAUGCCGCAGCCCAUCUCAAUACCUUCAUUGAGCUUUGUGAUAUGCAAAAGAAACGAGAUGUGGAUAAUGACGUGAUUAAGUUGAAACUUUUUCCUUUCUCGUUGCGAGAUCGCGCAAAAACUUGGUUUUCUUCUUUGCCUAAAAAUAGUAUCGAUUCUUGGGAUAGGUGCAAAGAUGCUUACAUAUCCAAGUAUUUUCCUCCGGCUAAGAUCAUCUCCUUACGUAACGAUAUCAUGAAUUUCAAGCAACUUGAUCAUGAACACGUUGCACAAUCUUGGGAGAGGAUGAAGCUUAUGAUUAGAAAUUGUCCCGCUCAUGGCUUGAGUUUGUGGAUGAUUAUACAAAUCUUUUACGCUGGCUUGAAUUUCGCUUCUCGCAAUAUCUUGGAACGUUCAUGGAAAUCAUGUUAGGAGACGCUACAAAACUCCUAGACAAUAUCAUGACCAACUACUCUAAGUGGCACACUGAAAGGUCGCCUGCUAGCAAAAAGGUGCACGCUAUAGAAGAGAUUAACUCGCUUAGUGCUAAGAUGGACGAGUUGAUGAAUUUGGUUGCUAGUAGAAACGCUACCGUAGAUCCUAAGGACAUGCCACUAUCUUCUUUGACUGAGAGUAGCAACGCUAGUUUGGACGUGAAUUUUGUUGGUAGGAACAAUUUUGGCAACAAUAAUGCUUUUAGAGGAAACUAUGUUCCUAGGCCUUUUCCUAGUAACUCCUCUAACAAUUAUGACAAUUCCUACGACAACACUUAUGAAAUCUUAACAAAUUAUCCUCUGAUCUAGAGAGUAAUAUCAAAGAGUUCAUCAACUCUCAAAAGAUUUUCAAUGCGUCCAUAGAGGAAAAACUACUCAAAAUAGACGAUUUGGCUAAGAGCGUUGAUAGGAUGUCUUGUGAUAUUGAUGCUUUGAAAGUUAGAUGCGCUCCUACCAAGAUCAACUUGGAUGAAACUUUGAAAGCUAUGCGUAUCUCCAUGAAUGAGGGCAAAGAAAGAACCGCCCAAAUUCGCGCUAGACAUGAAUGCUUUAAAAGGGUGCGUUCUAGUGAUGCAAAUCAUGAAGAUCUUAAAGUGCUUGGUGUGUCUCCUCUUGAAUCUUUGUUUUCGCGUGUCAAACCUACUUAUGGAGGGGCUGGAUAUGAAUCCACUUUGGUUGAAAAACGCCCCAAUGAUUCAGAGUCCACCUAUCUUGAUGAUAAAGGUGUGGAGAGUGGAGUAGAAGAAGUCAAAAUUUUGGGUAGUAAUGAAACUCCCACUUUGGAUUUCAAGGAAUUCAAUUAUGAUAAUUGCUCCUUGUUUGAAUGCAUUUCUUUGAUGCAAUCCAUUGCAAACUCUCCACAUGCUUAUAGCCAAAGCAAAGCGUUUACCGCGCAUAUCGUAGAUGCUAUGAUGAAAUCUCUUGAAGAGAAGCUCGGACUAGAAGUGUCUAUACCUAGAAAACUUCAUGAUGAGUGGGAACCUACUAUCAAAAUCAAGAUAAAAAACUAUGAGUGCAAUGCUUUGUGUGAUUUGGGUGUUAGUGUUUUCGCGAUUCCAAAGUCUUUAUGUGAUAUUCUUGGUUUUCAUGAGAUUGAAGAGUGUUCUCUUAAUUUGCAUCUUGCGGAUUCUACCGUCAAGAAGCCCAUGGGGAGGAUCGAUGAUGUUCUUAUUGUUGCAAAUAAGAACUAUGUACCCGUGGAUUUCAUUGUACUUGACAUAGAUUGCAAUCCUUCAUGUCCCAUUAUUCUUGGUAGACCUUUCCUAAGGACUAUUGGUGCUAUCAUCGAUAUGAAGGAAGGGAAUAUUAGAUUUCAAUUUCCCUUAAAGAAGGGCAUGGAGCACUUUCCUAGAAAGAAAAUAAGAUUGCCUUAUGAAUCUAUGAUGAGGGCUACCUAUGGUUUGAGCACCAAAGAUGACUAUACGUGAUUCCAUCACUUUCGCCUAGCUAAGGGCGUUAAACAAAAGCGCUUGUUGGGAGGCAACCCAACGAAUCUAUCCUUUUUCUUUCUGUUUUGUGUUUUUCACACUUUCAUAAUUCUGUUAUGAUUGUGUUUUUUGUGUUUCUUUUUGCGUUUGUGCCAAGCAAAACCGUUAUGAUUAGUCUUGGGGAUGAUCGUUUGGUCACGCUGGAAAAGACAGAAACUUUCUGCUCACGAAAAGAAUUUUCAGUUUUUUAUGUAAGAGCUCUGCUGUUAACAGAUUCUGUUUUUGUUGUGUUGGUUGCUUAUUUUGAUGAAACUAUGGAUAGUAUCGGGGGGUAUUAGCCAUGGAAGAUUGAAAGUAAAGUAACCCAACAUCAGCACAAGUAGAAUUUAAGUUUGCUACAGUACCUAAGGAAGUGGUGGUUUGCUUUCUUGUACUAAUGUUAUCACGAGUUUCUGUUUAAGUUUCGUGUUGUGAAGUUUUCAAGUUUUGGGUGAAGUUCUUAUGGACAAAAAGAUAAAGAGUGGCAAGAGCUCAAGCUUGGGGAUGCCCAAGGAACCCCAAGAGAUUUAAGGAUGCCGUAAAAGCCUAAGCUUGGGGAUUCCCCGGGAAGGCAUCCCCUCUCUCGUCUUCAAUCCAUCGGUAACGUUACUUGGGGCUAUAUUUUUAUUCACCACAUGUUAUGUGUUUUUGCUUGGAGCGUCUUGUAUCGUAGGUGUCUUUUUUUUGUGUCACAAUCAUCCUUGCUGCACACCUAGAGAGAGAGACAUGCACUCACCGUGAUUUUGUCGAGCUUCACUUAUAUCUUUUGGUAGACAAUUCAGCUCACAUGUGCUUCACUUAUAUCUUUUGAGCUAGAUACCUUUUGUCUAUGUGCUUCACUUAUAUCUUUUAGAGUACAGUGGUGCGUGGCUUGGUAGUGGAUCUAUGCUUUGAAAGUAGUCUCAAAAGGGGUAGUUAUCCAAAGGGAUAUGAAAACUUCCACCUUCAUGUGCAUUGAAUAGUUAGAGAAGUUCGAUUCAUCUCAAUUAGUUUUGAGUUGUGGUUAUGGUAAUAUUGAAGUCAUGCUAGUAAGGUGUUGAGGAUCUAGAAAUACUUGUGUUGAAGUUAGUGAUUCCCGUAGCAUGCACGUAUGGUGAACCGCUAUGUGAUGAAAUCUGAGCAUGAUUAGUCUAUUGAUUGUCAUCCUUUGCGUGCCGGUCGGGAUCGCGCGAUGGUUUAUACCUACUAACCCUUCCCCUAGGAGUAUGCGUUGAAUGCUUUGUUUCGAUUACUAAUAAAACUUUUGCAACAAGUACAUGAGUUCUUCAUGACUAAUGUUGAGUCCAUGGUUUAGAUGCACUUUCACCUUCAAACUUCACUAUCUUUUUAGUCCCGCGCAACUUUCGCCGGUGCACAAAACCCACCAUUAGCCUUCCUCAAAACAGCCACCAUACCUACCUACUAUGGCUUUUUCAAAGUCAUUCCGAGAUAUAUUUCCAUGCAACUACCACCAUGAUAUGUGCCACCACGUCUACAUUGCCUUUGCACGAUCGUAAGAUAGCUAGCAUGAUGUUUCCAUUGAUGUCUAUGCCAUGCUAGAUCAUUGCCACGGUACACUACCGAAGGCAUUCCAUAUAGAGUCAUAGUUGCUCUAAGUUUUGAGUUGAAAGUGUGAUGAUCAUCAUUAUUGGAGCAUUGUCCCAUGUGAGGAAAUAAAAGAGUCCAAAGAAGCCCAUAAAAAAGAGGCCAAAGAGCCCACCAAAAAAAUGAGAGAAAGAGAGAAGGGACAAUUCUACCACUUUUUCCACACUCGUGCAUUUUGAGCACCAUGAUCUUCAUGAUUGAGAGUCUCUCGUUUUUUCACCACCAUAUAGCUAGUGGGAAAUUCUCAUUAUAUAACUUGGCUUGUAUAUUCCAAUGAUAGGCUUCCUCAAAAGUUCCUUAGGUCUUAGUGAGCAAGCAAGUUGGAUGCACACCCACUAGUUUUCUUUAAGAGCUUUCACAUACUUGUAGCUCUAGUGCAUCAUUUGUAUGGCAAUCCCUACUCAUUCACAUGGAUAUCUAUUGAUGAGGAUCUCCACAGCUCAUUGAUAUGCCUAGUUAAUGUGACUAUCUUCUCCUUUUUGUCUUGCAACCCCCACCACAUUCCACACCAUCUAUAGUGCUUUAACCAUGGCUCACGCUCAUGUAUUGCAUGAGAGUUGAAAAUGUUUGAGAAAGUAAAGGUGUGAAACAAUUACUUGGCCAAUACCGGGGUUGUGCAUGAUUUAAAUUCGUUGUGCAGUGAUGAUAGAGCAUGGCCAGACUAUAUGCUUUUGUAGGGAUAACUUUCUUUUGGCCUUGUUAUUUUGAAAGUUCAUGAUUACUUUGCUAGUUUGCUUGAAUUAUUAUUGUUUCCACGUCAAUAGAAAACUAUUGUUUUGAAUCUAAUGGAUCUGAACAUUCACGUCACAUAAGAGGAAUUACAAAGGACACCUAUUCUAGGUAGCAUGAAAGCAUAAAAAUUCAUUCUUAUCACUUCCCUACUCGAGGACGAGCAGGAGUUAAGCUUGGGGAUGCUUGAUACGUCUCAAACGUAUCUAUAAUUUUUGAUGGUUUCACGGUGUUAUCUUGCCUUCUUUGGAUGUUUUAUGUACCUUUUAUAUCUUUUUUGGGACUAACUUAUUAAUUCAGUGCCAAGUGCCAGUUCCUGUUUUUUCCGUGUUUUUGACUCUUUUCAGAUCAGAUUUUGGAACGGAGUCCAAACGGAAGAAAAACCCCAAAAUGAUUUUUUCCCGAACGGAAGAAGUCCAUGGGGCUUUUGGGCCAAGCCAGGUGGGCUCCAGGGAGCCCACAAGCCCCCACUCCGCCACCAGGGGGAGGCGGCGGUGGGUAGGCUUGUGGCCUCCCUGGCUGCCCCCUGACCUAGGUCCUGCGCCUAUAUAUUCCCAAAUAUUCCGCAAAAAAUCAGGGGAGCCUCGAAUAUACUUUUCCGCCGUCGCAAGCUUCCGUUUCCGUGAGAUCUCAUCUGGAGACCCUUCCCGGCACCCUGCCGGAGGGGACUUUGGAGUUGGCGGGCUUCUUCAUCAUCAUCAUCGCCCCUCCAAUGACUCGUGAGUAGUUCACUUCAGACCUACGGGUCCGUAGUUAGUAGCUAGAUGGCUUCUUCUCUCUCUUGGAUCUUCAAUACAAAGUUCUCCAUGAUCUUCAUGGAGAUCUAUGCGAUGUAAUCUUCUUUGGCGGUGUGUUUGUCGAGAUCCGAUGAAUUGUGGACUUGUGAUCACAUUAUCUAUGAUAUAUAUUUGAGUCUUUGCUGAUUUCUUAUAUGCAUGAUUUGAUAUCCUUGUAAGUCUCUCUGAGUCUUAGGUUUUGUUUGGCCAACUAGAUCUAUGAAUCUUGCAAUGAGAGAAGUGCUUGGUUUUGGUUUCUGCCAUGUGGUGACCUUUCCCAGUGACAGUAGGGGCAGCAAGGUACACAUCAAGCAGUUGCCAUCAAGGGUAAAAAUAUGGGGUUUUUAUCAUUGGUUUGAGAUUAUCCCUCUACAUCAUGUCAUCUUGCUUAAGGCGUUACUCUGUUCUUAUGGACUUAAUACACUAGAUGCAUGCUGGAUAGCGGUCGACGUGUGGAGUAAUAGUAGUAGAUGCAAAAAGUAUGGGUCUACUUGUUUCGGACGUGAUGCCUAUAGAAAUAAUCAUUGCAUAGAUAUCGUCACGACUCUGCACAGUUCUAUCAGUUGCUCGACAGUAAUUNNNNNNNNNNNNNNNNNNNNNNNNNNNNNNNNNNNNNNNNNNNNNNNNNNNNNNNNNNNNNNNNNNNNNNNNNNNNNNNNNNNNNNNNNNNNNNNNNNNNACUAUGUAGACAUGACUCGAGAGACUCCUCGGUCAAUAUCCAAUAGCGGGACCUGGAUGCCCAUAUUGGAUCCUACAUAUUCUACGAAGAACUUAUCGUUUGAACCUCAGUGUCAAGGAUUCAUAUAAUCCCGUAUGUCAUUCUCUUUGUCCUUUGGUAUGUUACUUGCCCGAGAUUCGAUCGUCGGUAUCCGCAUACCUAUUUCAAUCUCGUUUACCGGCGAGUCUCUUUACUCGUUCCGUAAUACAAGAUCCCGCAACUUACACUAAGUCACAUUGCUUGCAAGGCUUAUGUUUGAUGUUAUAUUACCGAGUGGGCCCCGAGAUACCUCUCCGUCACACGGAGUGACAAAUCCCAGUCUUGAUCCAUACUAACUCAACUAACACCUUCGGAGAUACCUGUAGAGCAUCUUUAUAGUCACCCAGUUACGUUGCGAUGUUUGAUACACACAAAGUAUUCCUCCGGUGUGAGUGAGUUAUAUGAUCUCAUGGUCAUAGGAACAAAUACUUGACACGCAGAAAACAGUAGCAACAAAAUGACACGAUCAACAUGCUACGUCUAUUAGUUUGGGUCUAGUCCAUCACGNNNNNNNNNNNNNNNNNNNNNNNNNNNNNNNNNNNNNNNNNNNNNNNNNNNNNNNNNNNNNNNNNNNNNNNNNNNNNNNNNNNNNNNNNNNNNNNNNNNNAGUAGGGAAGUGAUAAGAAUGAAUUUUUGAUGCUUUCAUGCUACCUAACAUAGGUGAACAAAUUACUGNNNNNNNNNNNNNNNNNNNNNNNNNNNNNNNNNNNNNNNNNNNNNNNNNNNNNNNNNNNNNNNNNNNNNNNNNNNNNNNNNNNNNNNNNNNNNNNNNNNNNNNNNNNNNNNNNNNNNNNNNNNNNNNNNNNNNNNNNNNNNNNNNNNNNNNNNNNNNNNNNNNNNNNNNNNNNNNNNNNNNNNNNNNNNNNNNNNNNNNNNNNNNNNNNNNNNNNNNNNNNNNNNNNNNNNNNNNNNNNNNNNNNNNNNNNNNNNNNNNNNNNNNNNNNNNNNNNNNNNNNNNNNNNNNNNNNNNNNNNNNNNNNNNNNNNNNNNNNNNNNNNNNNNNNNNNNNNNNNNNNNNNNNNNNNNNNNNNNGUGGGUGAACAAAUUACUGUCGAGCAAUUGAUAGAACUGUGCAGAGUCGUGACGAUAUCUAUGCAACGAUUAUUCUAUAGGCAUCACGUCCAAAACAAGUAGACCGAUACUUUCUGCAUCUACUACUAUUACUCCACACGUGGUCGCUAUCCAGCAUGCAUCUAGUGUAUUAAGUCCAUAAGAACAGAGUAACGCCUUAAGCAAGAUGACAUGAUGUAGAGGGAUAAUCUCAAACCAAUGAUAAAAUCCCCAUCUUUUUACCCUUGAUGGCAACUGCUUGAUGUGUGCCUUGCUGCCCCUACUGUCACUAGGAAAGGUCACCACAUGGCAGAACCCAAAACCAAGCACUUCUCCCAUUGCAAGAAUCAUAGAUCUAGUUGUCCAAGCAAAACCCAAGACUCGGAGAGACUUACAAGGAUAUCAAAUCANNNNNNNNNNNNNNNNNNNNNNNNNNNNNNNNNNNNNNNNNNNNNNNNNNNNNNNNNNNNNNNNNNNNNNNNNNNNNNNNNNNNNNNNNNNNNNNNNNNNNNNNNNNNNNNNNNNNNNNNNNNNNNNNNNNNNNNNNNNNNNNNNNNNNNNNNNNNNNNNNNNNNNNNNNNNNNNNNNNNNNNNNNNNNNNNNNNNNNNNNNNNNNNNNNNNNNNNNNNNNNNNNNNNNNNNNNNNNNNNNNNNNNNNNNNNNNNNNNNNNNNNNNNNNNNNNNNNNNNNNNNNNNNNNNNNNNNNNNNNNNNNNNNNNNNNNNNNNNNNNNNNNNNNNNNNNNNNNNNNNNNNNNNNNNNNNNNNNNNNNNNNNNNNCAAGGAUAUCAAAUCAAGCAUAUAAGAAAUCAGCAAAGAAUCAAAUAUAUAUCAUAGAUACUCUCAUCACAAGUCCACAAUUCAUCGGAUCUCGACAAACACACCGCCAAAGAAGAUUACAUCGGAUAGAUCUCCAUGAAGAUCAUGGAGAACUUUGUAUUGAAGAUCCAAGAGAGAGAAGAAGCCAUCUAUCUACUAACUACGGACCCGUAGGUCUGAAGUGAACUACUCACGAGUCAUUGGAGGGGCGAUGAUGAUGGUGAAGAAGCCCUCCAACUCCAAAGUCCCCUCUGGCAGGGCGCCGGGAAGGGUCUCCAGAUGAGAUCUCGCGGAAACGGAAGAUUGCGGCGGCGGAAAAGUAUUUUCGAGGCUCCCCUGAUUUUUUGCGGAAUAUUUGGGAAUAUAUAGGUGCAAGAACUAGGUCAGGGGGCGGCCAGGGAGGCCACAAGCCUGCCCACCGCCGCCUCCUCCUGGUGGCGGAGUGGGGGCUUGUGGGCUCCCUGGAGCCCACCUGGCUUGGCCCAAAAGCCCCGUGGACUUCUUCCGUACGGGAAAAAAUCAUUUUGGGGUUUUUCUUCCGUUUGGACUCCGUUCCAAAAUCAGAUCUGAAAAGAGUCAAAAACUCAGAAAAAACAGGAAUUGGCACUUAGCACUGAAUUAAUAAGUUAGUCCCAAAAAGAUAUAAAAAGAUACAUAAAACUUACAAAGAAGGCAAGAUAACAACGUGAAACCAUAAAAAAUUAUAGAUACAUUUGAGACGUAUCAGAGUUCAUGUGUUCACCAAGUGCUACUGCGUUGGUCCGGUUCUUUAUUAAAAGGAGAACCUCAAUAUCCCAUAGUUUCUUUUUGGACCCCGCUGCCACGGGAGGGAUGGACAAUAGAUGUCAUGCAAGUUCUUUUCCGUAAGCACGUAUGACGACACACGGAAUGCAUGCCUACAUCAUAUUGACGAAUGGGAGCUAGGCACAUAUCUCUCCGUGUUAUAACUGUUGCAUGAUGAAUAUCAUCCAAACAAAUCACCGACCCAUUGCCUACGGGUUUGUCCCACUCCUGCUAUUACUUGUUUUGCUCUCCUGCUGUUACUUGUUUUGCUCUGCUGCUGUUACUUACUACUGUUGCUGCUGCUGUUACUUGCUCUGCUAUCACUUGCUACUGUUGCUACUUGCUACUGCUGCUACUCGUUACACUGCUGCUACCUGCUAUAACUCUGGUUCACUAAUCAUUGACGGGAAAAGACAAUUUCCGUCAACGGGCAACUUCUGGCGCCAUUGAUACAAUCGUUAGGAAUAGUGUGCCGCCAACAGAUCAUUUCUGACACCGUCGUUAUCAUACUACUUUGCUGUUGAUACUUUGCUUCCAGAUAUUAAUCUUUCAGGUGUGGUUGAAUCUGACACAUUCAGCUGCUAAUACUUGAGAGUAUCCUUUCGCUUCCUAUUGGCGCACCAACAAAUUUGGGUUGAAUACUCUACCCUCGAAAACUGCCUCGAUCCCAGGCGCUGGUGGGUUGUUGCAAGACAAUUUCUAAUUGUUGAGCAAUCGAGAAUAGCAUUCGUCCAACCAUUGCUAGAGAUCUGCUAAACAACAUUUUUCUCGCACUGUUGUUCGAGAUUGCCAUCAGAGGUCACAAGCCCACCAGGCCCGGCGUAGGGGGGGCUAGCAGGCUUGUGAGCUCCCCGUGGCUCCCCUGCCCUAGGUCUUCCGCCUAUAUAUUCCCUAAAAUCCUAGAAAAAAACAGGAGAUCAUCGAAAAUACUUUUCCGCCGCCGCAAGCUUCUGUCUCCGCAAGAUCCCAUCUGGGGCACGUUCUGGUGCUCUGCCGGAGGGGGGAUUCGUAUACGAGGGCUUCUUCAUCAACACCAUGACCUCUCCGAUGAUGCGUGAGUAGUUCACCAUAGACCUACGGGUCCAUAGCUAGUAGCUAGAUGGCUUCUUCUCUCUCUUGGAUCUUCAAUACAAAGUUCUCCAUGAUCUUCUUGGAGAUCUAUCCGAUGUAAUCUUCUUUUGCGGUGUGUUUGUCGAGAUCCGAUGAAUUGUGGAUUUAUGAUCAUAUUAUCUAUGAAUCUUAUUUGAGUUUCUUCUGAUCUCUCUUAUGCAUGAUUUUAUAUCCUUGUAAUUCUCUUCGAGUUGUUGAUUUUGUUCGGCCAGCUUGAUCUAGGAUUCUUGCAAUGUGAGAAGUGCUUGGUUUUGGGUUCAUACCGUGUGGUGAACUCACCCAGUGACAGAAGGGGUAGCGAGGCACGUAUCGUGUUGUUGCCAUCAAGGGUAAAAAGAUGGGGUUUUCAUCAUUGGUUUGAGAUUAUCCCUCUACAUCAUGUCAUCUUGCUUAAGGCGUUACUCUGUUUGUCAUGAGCUCAAUACACUAGAUGCAUGCUGGAUACCGGCCGGUGUGUGGAGUAAUAGUAGUAGAUGCAGAAAGUAUCGGUCUACUUGUCUCGGACGUGAUGCCUAUAUGUAUGAUCAUUGCCUUAGAUAUCGUCAUGACUUUGCGCGGUUCUAUCAAUUGCUCNNNNNNNNNNNNNNNNNNNNNNNNNNNNNNNNNNNNNNNNNNNNNNNNNNNNNUAAUUUGUUCACCCACGGUAAUACUUGCUAUUUUGAGGGAAGCCUCUAGUGAACACUAUGGCCCCCGAGUCUACUCCACACUAUAUUUUCAGCCUUACUCUUUUUGUUCGUUGCACUUUCCGCCUUCAGAUCUCACUUUGUAAUCAAUCUUGAAGGGAUUGACAACCCCUUUAUAGCGUUGGGUGCAAGCUCUUUUGUGUUUGUGCAGGUACUCUAGACUUGACGAGAUUCUCCUACUGGAUUGAUACCUUGGUUCUCAACUGAGGUAAAUACUUACUGCUCCUGUGCUGCAUCACCCUUUCCUCUUCAAGGGAAAAACCAACGCAAGCAAGUCUCCGUCAACGUGUCAAAUUAUGGCGUUGUUGUUUGAGAAGUAGCAGUGUGCAGCAAGGAUGAUUUUGAUAAAACAAAAAGCAAAGACUCCUAUAAUACACGAAGCUCCAAGCAAAACACAUAUCAUGUGGUAAAUAAAAAUAUAGCUCCAAGUAACGUUAUCGAUGGAUUGAAGACGAAAGAGGGGAUGCCUUCCCGGGGCAUCCCCAAGCUUAGGAUUUUUGGUGUCCUUGAAUUUGGCUUGGCAUGACUUGUUCAUCCCCAAGCUUAGUCUCUUUCCACUCUUCAUUCCAUUGUCCAUAAGAGCAUCACCCAAAACUUGAAAACUUCACAACACAAAACUUAAGCAGAAACUCGUGAUAUCAUUAGCAUAAAAAAACAAACCACCAACUUUAUAGGUACUGUAGCAAACUUAAUUUCCAUUUAGAUUGAUGUUAUAUUACUGUAUUCUUACUUUUCCAUGGCUCGUACCCCCCAAUGCUAACCAUAGUUUCAUCAAACUAAGUAAUCAACACAACAAAAACAGAAUCUGUCAAAAACAGAACAGUCUAUGGCAAUCUGUAUAUUUCGUAUACUUCUCCUAUCCCAAAAAUUCUAAAAACUUAUGAAAAUUAGGGCAAUUUGCGUAUCAAUCAUAAGCAAAAAGAAUUAACUCAAAAUCUCUUUCUAUAUAGGAACUAAAAAUAAUUUCGUGAGCACAAAGUUUCGGUUUUUUAAGCAUGAUUAAACAACUAUCACCAAAACUAAUCAUAAAGGUUCUACUUGGCACAAACUCUAAUUAAAACAUAAAAAACACAACCAUAACAGAAUCAUGAUGGUGUGGACUCAACAAAACAGAAAGUGAAAAGCAAAAAUAAAUUUAUUCAUUGGGUUGCCUCCCAACAAGUGCUUUUCUUUAAAGCCUUUUAGCUAGGCAUUGAUAAUUCAAUGAUGCUCACACAAAAGACAAGAAUUGAAGCACAAGGAGAGCAUCAUAAAGCAUGUGAAAAUCACAUCUUAGUCUAACAUACUUCCUAUGCAUAGGAAUUUUAUAGGAAAACAAAUUAUCAAGACAACCAAUAGUUACCAUAUACAAGGAAGAAGAAAGAGACAAUAGCAAUCUCAACAUAACGAGAGGUGAUUUAGUGAUAUGAAAAUUUCUACAACCAUAUUUUCCUCUCUCAUAAUAAUUACAUGUGGUAUCAUCUUCAAAUUCAACAAUAUAACUAUAACAUAGGAUAUUCUUUUCAUGAUCCACAUGCAUGCAAAGUUGGCGCUCUACAAAAAUAGGGGGAAUAUCAUCAACUAAAGUCAUGACUUCUCCGAACCCACUUUCAAUAUUAAUGCAAACAUUAUUAUAAAUAUCAUAUUCAUCAUGAGGCUUAACCAAAUUUUCAAGAUCAUAAGAAAAAUCAUCACCCCAAUCAUGAUCAUUGCAACAAGUAGUGGACAUAGCAAAACUAGCAUCCCCAAGCUUAGGGUUUUGCAUAUUUUUAACAUGAUUGACUUUAAUAGAAUUUAUAGUGAAACCAUUGCAAUCAUGCUUUUCAUUCAAGGAGCCCUCGUGAAUCACUUCAUAAAUUUCUUCAUCACAAUUUUCAGAUUCACGCAUCUCAAGAAAAACUUCAUAAAGAUAAUCUAGUGCACAAAACUCACUAGCAAUUGGUUCAACAUAAUUGGAUCUCUUAAAGAGAUUAGCGAGUGGCUGAGGAUCCAUAAGUUUAUUCUUUCUGUUAUUUGAGUGCCAACACCAUCAUGCAAAGAAAAUGAGCAAGCAAACUAAGUAAGACAUAAAGGCAAACGAAAAAGGCAAAUAUUUUUGUAAUAUCUUUUUUAGAAGUGGGGGAGAGGAAAACGAGAGGCAAAUGGCAAAUAAUGUAAAUGCAAGAGAUGAGUUUGCGAUAGGUACUUGGUAGAUAUGCUUCCCUUGAAUACUCCCCGGCAACGGCGCCAGAAAUUCUUCUUGCUACUUCUUGAGCUUGGAUUGGUUUUUCCCUUGAAGAGGUAAGGGUGAUGCAGCAAAGUAGAAAUAAGUAUUUCCCUCAGUUUGAGAACCAAGGUAUCAAUCCAGUAGGAGUAUCAAGAUGAGGCACCAAUGAACCUGCGCAAAAACAAACAAACUUGCACCCAACGGGAUAAAGGGGUUGUCAAUCCCUUCACGAUUACUUGCAAGGUGAGAUAUGAUAGUGAUGAAAGGUAAAUAGAUAAAAGUGCAGCAAGGUAUUUUUGGUGUUUUUGUAUGCAGAUCUGAAUAUAUGAUGUGUAAAAUAGACCCGGGGGCCAUAGUGUUCACUAGAGGUUCUCUCAUGAUAGCAAGUAUUACAGUGGGUUAACGAAUUACUGUCGAGCAAUUGAUAGAAUCACGCAAAGUCAUGACGAUAUCUAAGGCAAUGAUCAUACAUAUAGGCAUCACGUCCGAGACAAGUAGACCGAUACUUUCUGCAUCUACUACUAUUACUCCACACAUCGACCGCUAUCUAGCAUGCAUCUAGUGUAUCAAGUUCAUAACAAACGAAGUAACGCCUUAAGCAAGAUGACAUGAUGUAGAGGGAUAAAUUCAUGCAAUAUGAUAUAAAAAACAUCUUUUUACCCUUGAUGGCAACAACACGAUGCGUGCCUCGCUACCCCUUCUGUCACUAGGUGAGGACACCGCAUGGUAUGAACCCAAAACCAAGCACUUAUCCCAUUGCAAGAAUUAUAGAUCAAGCUGGCCAAACGAAACCCAUAACUCGAAGAGAAUUACAAGGAUACGAAAUCAUGCAUAUAAGAAAUCAGAGGAGACUCAAAUAAUAUUCAUAGAUAAUCUGAUCAUAAAUCCACAAUUCAUCGGAUCUCGACAAACACACCGCAAAACAAAGUUACAUCGGAUANNNNNNNNNNNNNNNNNNNNNNNNNNNNNNNNNNNNNNNNNNNNNNNNNNNNNNNNNNNNNNNNNNNNNNNNNNNNNNNNNNNNNNNNNNNNNNNNNNNNAUGUAUAUGCGUAUCGCUAUCAAUAUUCAAUAUGAACAAUCCUCUCACAUUCGGUGCAUGACCAUAAAAGAUGUUACUCAUAGAAAUAGAACAGCCAUUAUUCUCUGACUUAAAAGAGUAACCGUCUCGCAAUAAACAAGAUCCAGAUAUAAUGUUCAUGCUCAACGCAGGCACUAAAUAACAAUGAUUUAAGUUCAUCACUAAUCCUGACGGUAACUGAAGUGACACUGUGCCGACGGCGAUUGCAUCAACCUUGAAACCAUUUCCUACGCGCAUCGUCACUUCAUCUUUCGCCAGCCUUCGCCUAUUCCGCAGUUCCUGUUUCGUGUUGCAAAUAUGAGCAACAGAACCGGUAUCGAAUACCCAGGCACUACUACGAGAGCCGGUUAAGUACACAUCAAUAACAUGUAUAUCAAAUAUACCUGAUUUUUCUUUGCCCGCCUUCUUAUCUGCCAGAUACUUGGGGCAAUUGCACUUCGAGUGACCCAUACCCUUGCAAUAGUAACACUCCGUUUCUGGCUUAGGUCCAGCUUUGGGUUUCUUCGUCGGAUUGGCAACAACCUUGCCGCUCUUCUUCGAAUUGCCCUUCUUGCCUUUGCCGUUUCUCUUGAAACUAGUGGUCUUAUUCACCAUCAACACUUGAUGCUCUUUCCGGAGUUCAGACUCUGCGACUUUCAGCAUCACAAACAACUCGCCGGGAGACUUGUUCAUCCCUUGCAUGUUGUAGUUCAACACAAAGCCUUCAUAGCUUGGCGGCAGUGAUUGAAGGAUUCUGUCAGUGAUAGCUUCUUGCGGGAGUUCAAUCCCCAGCUCAGCUAGACGGUUUGAGUACCUAGUGUUGGAAUUAUGCCCUAGAGGCAAUAAUAAAUGUAUAGUUAUUAUUAUANNNNNNNNNNNNNNNNNNNNNNNNNNNNNNNNNNNNNNNNNNNNNNNNNNNNNNNNNNNNNNNNNNNNNNNNNNNNNNNNNNNNNNNNNNNNNNNNNNNNNNNNNNNNNNNNNNNNNNNNNNNNNNNNNNNNNNNNNNNNNNNNNNNNNNNNNNNNNNNNNNNNNNNNNNNNNNNNNNNNNNNNNNNNNNNNNNNNNNNNNNNNNNNNNNNNNNNNNNNNNNNNNNNNNNNNNNNNNNNNNNNNNNNNNNNNNNNNNNNNNNNNNNNNNNNNNNNNNNNNNNNNNNNNNNNNNNNNNNNNNNNNNNNNNNNNNNNNNNNNNNNNNNNNNNNNNNNNNNNNNNNNNNNNNNNNNNNNNNNNNNNNNUAUAGUUAUUAUUAUAAUUCCUGUAUCAAGAUAAUAGUUUAUUAUCCAUGCUAUAAUUGUAUUGAAUGAAGACUCAUUUACAUGUGUGGAUACAUAGACGAAACACCGUCCCUAGCAUGCCUCUAGUUGGCUAGCCAGUUGAUCGAUGAUAGUCAGUGUCUUCUGAUUAUGAACAAGGUGUUGUUGCUUGAUAACUGGAUCAUGUCAUUGGGAGAAUCACGUGAUGGACUAGACCCAAACUAAUAGACGUAGCAUGUUGAUCGUGUCAUUUUGUUGCUACUGUUUUCUGCGUGUCAAGUAUUUAUUCCUAUGACCAUGAGAUCAUAUAACUCACUGACACCGGAGGAAUGCUUUGUCUGUAUCAAACGUUGCAACGUAACUGGGUGACUAUAAAGAUGCUCUACAGGUAUCUCCGAAGGUAUUAGUUGAGUUAGUAUGGAUCAAGACUGGGAUUUGUCACUCCGUGUGACGGAGAGGUAUCUCGGGGCCCACUCGGUAAUACAACAUCACAUAUAAAGCCUUGCAAGCAAUGUAACUUAGUGUAAGUUGCGGGAUCUUGUAUUACGAAACGAGUAAAGAGACUUGCCGGUAAACGAGGUUGAAAUAGGUAUACGGAUACUGACGAUCGAAUCUCGGGCAAGUAACAUACCGAAGGACAAAGGGAAUGACAUACGGGAUUAUACGAAUCCUUGGCACUGAGGUUCAAACGAUAAGAUCUUCGUAGAAUAUGUAGGAUCCAAUAUGGGCAUCCAGGUCCCGCUGUUGGAUAUUGACCGAGNNNNNNNNNNNNNNNNNNNNNNNNNNNNNNNNNNNNNNNNNNNNNNNNNNNNNNNNNNNNNNNNNNNNNNNNNNNNNNNNNNNNNNNNNNNNNNNNNNNNGGUUUCCGGAAUAGUCUGGAAACGAAGAUUGAUAUAUAGGAUGACCUCAUUUGAUUACCGGAAGGUUUUCGGAGUUACCGGGAAUGUACCGGGAAUGACGAAUGGGUUCCGUGAGUUCACCGGGGGGGGCAACCCACCCCGGGGAAGCCCAUAGGCCAUAAGGGUGGCGCACCAGCCCUUAGUGGGCUGGUGGGACAGCCCAAAAGGGCCCUAUGCGCCAUAUAAAGAAAAAUCAAAGAGAAAGAAAAAAAAAGGGAGGUGGGAAGGAAGGGAAGGACUCCCACCCACCAAACCAAGUCCAACUCGGUUUGGGGGGGAGCCUUCCCCCCUUGGACUCGGCUGACCCCCUUGGGGCUCCUUGAGCCCCAAGGCAAGGCCCCCUCCCUCCCACCUAUAUAUACGGAGGUAUUGGGGCUGAUUUGAGACGACAUUUCCACGGCAGCCCGACCACAUACCUCCACGGUUUUUCCUCUAGAUCGCGUUUCUGCGGAGCUCAGGCGGAGCCCUGCUGAGACAAGGUCAUCACCAACCUCCGGAGUGCCGUCACGCUGCCGGAGAGGCCGAGAUCAUCGUCGAGCUGUACGUGUGCUGAACGCGGAGGUGCCGUCCGUUCGGUACUAGAUCGUGGGACUGAUCGCGGGAUUGUUCGCGGGGCGGAUCGAGGGACGUGAGGACGUUCCACUACAUCAACCGUGUUCACUAACGCUUAUGCUGUACGAUCUACAAGGGUACGUAGAUCACUCAUCCCCUCUCGUAGAUGGACAUCACCAUGAUAGGUCUUCGUGCGCGUAGGAAAAUUUUUGUUUCCCAUGCGACGUUCCCCAACAGUGGUAUCAGAGCUAGGUUCAUGCGUAGAUGUAAUCUCGAGUAGAACACAAAAGUUUUUGUGGGCGGUGAUGUGCGUUUUUCUGCCCUCCUUAGUCUUUUCUUGAUUCCGCGGUAUUGUUGGAUUGAAGCGGCUUGGACCGACAUUACUCGUACGCUUACGAGAGACUGGUUUCAUCGUUAUGAGUAACCCCGUUGCUCAAAGAUGACUGGCAAGUGUCGGUUUCUCCAACUUUAGUUGAAUCGGAUUUGACCCAGGAGGUCCUUAGAUGAGGUUAAAUAGCAACUCAUAUAUCUCCGUUGUGGUGUUUGCGUAAGUAAGAUGCGAUCCUACUAGAUACCCAUGGUCACCACGUAAAACAUGCAACAACAAAAUUAGAGGACGUCUAACUUGUUUUUGCAGGGUAUGCUUGUGAUGUGAUAUGGCCAAUGAUGUGAUGUGAUAUAUUGGAUGUAUGAGAUGAUCAUGUUGUAAUAGAAAUAUCGACUUGCACGUCGAUGGUACGGCAACCGGCAGGAGCCAUAGGGUUGUCUUUAUACUAACGUGUGUGCUUGCAGAUGCGUUUACUAUUUUGCUAGGAUGUAGCUUUAGUAGUAAUAGCAUGAGUAGCACGACAACCCCGAUGGCAACACGUUGAUGGAGAUCAUGGUGUGGCGCCGGUGAAAAGAAGAUCGUGCCGGUGCUUUGGCGAUGGAGAUCAAGAAGCACGUGAUGAUGGCCAUAUCAUGUCACUUAUGAAUUGCAUGUGAUGUUAAUCCUUUUAUGCACCUUAUUUUGCUUAGAACGACGGUAGCAUUAUGAGGUGAUCUCUCACUAAAAUUUCAAGACGAAAUUGUGUUCUCCCUGACUGUGCACCGUUGCUACAGUUCGUCGUUUCGAGACACCACGUGAUGAUCGGGUGUGAUAGACUCAACGUUCACAUACAACGGGUGCAAAACAGUUGCGCACGCGGAACACUCGGGUUAAGCUUGACGAGCCUAGCAUGUGCAGACAUGGCCUCGGAACACAUGAGACCGAAAGGUCGAUCAUGAAUCAUAUAGAUGAUAUGAUUAGCAUAGGGAUGCUUACCACUGAAACUAUACUCAACUCACGUGAUGAUCGGACUUGAGCUAGUGUAAGUGGAUCAUGAACCACUCAAAUGACUAGAGAGAUGUACUUUUUGAGUGGGAGUUUAGCGAAUAANNNNNNNNNNNNNNNNNNNNNNNNNNNNNNNNNNNNNNNNNNNNNNNNNNNNNNNNNNNNNNNNNNNNNNNNNNNNNNNNNNNNNNNNNNNNNNNNNNNNUUGGAUCCUACAUAUUUUUCGAAGAUCUUAUCGUUUGAACCUCAGUGCCAAGGAUUCAUAUAAUCCCGUAUGUCAUUCCCUUUGUCUUUCGGUAUGUUACUUGCCCGAGAUUCGAUCGUCAGUAUCCGUAUACCUAUUUCAAUCUCGUUUACCGGCAAGUCUCUUUACUCGUUCCGUAAUACAAGAUCCCGCAACUUACACUAAGUUACAUUGCUUGCAAGGCUUGUGUGUGAUGUUGUAUUACCGAGUGGGCCCCGAGAUACCUCUCCGUCACACGGAGUGACAAAUCCCAGUCUUGAUCCAUACUAACUCAACUAACACCUUCGGAGAUACCUGUAGAGCAUCUUUAUAGUCACCCAGUUACGUUGCGACGUUUGAUAUACACAAAGCAUUCCUCCGGUGUCAGUGAGUUAUAUGAUCUCAUGGUCAUAGGAAUAAAUACUUGACACGCAGAAAACAGUAGCAACAAAAUGACACGAUCAACAUGCUACGUCUAAUAGUUUGGGUCUAGUCCAUCACGUGAUUCUCCUAAUGACGUGAUCCAGUUAUCAAGCAACAACACCUUGUUUAUAAUCAGAUGACACUGACUAUCUUUGAUCAACUGGCUAGCCAACUAGAGGCUUGCUAGGGACGGUGUUUUGUCUAUGUAUCCACACAUGCAAAUGAGUCUUCAUUCAAUACAAUUAUAGCAUGGAUAAUAAACGAUUAUCUUGAUACAGGAAUUAUAAUAAUAAUUAUAUUUAUUAUUGCCUCUAGGGCAUAAUUCCAACAGUCUCCCACUUGCACUAGAGUCAAUAAUCUAGNNNNNNNNNNNNNNNNNNNNNNNNNNNNNNNNNNNNNNNNNNNNNNNNNNNNNNNNNNNNNNNNNNNNNNNNNNNNNNNNNNNNNNNNNNNNNNNNNNNNGAUCCAGCAAGAGAGACGGAGAGGUAGAAGAGUUCUCCGGCAGCGUGACGGCGCUCCGGAGGUUGGUGAUGAUCUUCUCUCAGCAGGGCUCCGCCCGAGCUCCGCAGAAACACGAUCUAGAGGAAAAACUAUGGAGGUAUGUGGUCGGGCAGCCGUGAGAAAGUCGUCUCAAAUAUGCCCUAAAAGCCCCAUAUAUAUAGGAGGAGGGAGGGGGACCUUGCCUUGGGGUCCAAGGGAUCCCCAAGGGGUCGGCCGAGCCAGGGGGGAGGACUCUCCCCCCCAAACCGAGUCCUACUUGGUUUGGUGGGAGGGAGUCCUUCCCCCUUCCCACUUCUUCCCUUUUUUUUCCUUUCCUUUGAUUUUUUCUCUCUUGGCGCAUAGGGGAUUGGUGGGCUGUCCCACCAGCCCACUAAGGGCUGGUGUGACCCCCCCAAAUGCCUAUGGGCUUCCCCGGAGUGGGUUGCCCCCCUCCGGUGAACUCCCGGAACCCAUUCGUCAUUCCCGGUACAUUCCCGGUAACUCCGAAAAACCUUCCGGUAAUCAAAUGAGGUCAUCCUAUAUAUCAAUCUUUGUUUCCGGACUAUUCCGGAAACCNNNNNNNNNNNNNNNNNNNNNNNNNNNNNNNNNNNNNNNNNNNNNNNNNNNNNNNNNNNNNNNNNNNNNNNNNNNNNNNNNNNNNNNNNNNNNNNNNNNNGGAGUUUAGCGAAUAAGUUGAUUAUGUUAAACUCUAAUUAUCUUGAACAUAGUCUAAGUCCACUUUGAAUAUAUUUGUGUUGUAGAUCAUGGCUCACGCGACAGUCAUCCUGAAUUUUAAUACGUUCCUAGAGAAAGCUAAGUUGAAAGAUGAUGGAAGAAACUUUGUAGACUGGGCUCGUAAUCUUAAGCUAAUCUUACAAGCUGGGAAGAAGGAUUAUGUCCUUAAUGCUGCGUUAGGAGAUGAACCACCCGCUACGGCUGAUCAGGAUGUUAAGAACGCUUGGUUAGCACGUAAGGAGGACAAACUCAAUAGUUCAAUGUGCAGUCUUGUAUGGCUUAGAACCGGGACUUCAACGUCGCUUUGAGCAUCAUGGAGCAUUUGAGAUGUUCCAGGAGUUGGAGUUUAUCUUUCAGAAGAACGCCCGGAUCGAGAGGUAUGAGACCUCUGAUAAAUUCUCUGCUUGCAAGAUGGAGGAAAACUCAUCUGUCAGUGAACAUGUGCUCAAAAUGUCUGGGUGUUGGGGAACGUCGNNNNNNNNNNNNNNNNNNNNNNNNNNNNNNNNNNNNNNNNNNNNNNNNNNNNNNNNNNNNNNNNNNNNNNNNNNNNNNNNNNNNNNNNNNNNNNNNNNNNUGAUCGCGGGAUUGUUCGUGGGGCGGAUCGAGGGACGUGAGGACGUUCCACUACAUCAACCGCGUUCACUAACGCUUCUGCUGUACGAUCUACAAGGAUACGUAGAUCACUCAUCCCCUCUCGUAGAUGGACAUCACCAUGAUAGGUCUUCGUGCGCGUAGGAAAAUUUUUGUUUCCCAUGCGACGUUCCCCAUCAUAUGGGUUGGCACACGUGGAUUCAUGUGAGUACUUGAUGUGUGUUUUGGUGAUCAAAUUGUGGGUUCGUGACAUUGGGAACCUAUGCAUAGGGGUUGGCACACGUUUUGACUCUCCGGUAGAAACUUCGGGGCACUCUUUGAAGUCCUAUGUGUUAUUUGUAUAGAUGAUUCUGAGAUUGUGUGAUGCACAUCGUAUAAUCAUGCCCACAGAUACUGUAGGUGACAAUGGAAUAUCUAGGUGACAUUAGGGUCUUGGUUGAUAUGUAUCUUAAGGUGUUAUUCUAGUACGAACUCUAUAAUAGAUCGAUCAGAAAGAAUAACUUUAUGGUGGUUUCAUACCCGACAAUAAUCUCUUCGUUUGUUCCCCGCUAUUAGUGACUUUGGAGUGACUCUUUGUUGCAUGUUGAGGGCUAGUUAUAUGAUUCAAUUAUGUUAUCUUUGUUGAGAGAACUUCACUAGUGAAAGUAGGAACCCUAGGCCUUGUUUCCACGCAUUGCAAUACCGUUCGUGCUCACUUUUGUUACUAGUUACCUUGCUGUUUUUGUAAUUUCAGAUUACAAAAACCUAUAUCCACCAUCCAUAUUGCACUUGUAUCACCUUCUCUUCACCGAACUAGUGCACCUAUACAACUUACCAUUGUAUUGGGUGUGGAGACUCUUUGUUAUUUGGUUGCAGGGUUGCUUGAGAGAGACCAUCUUCAUCCCACGCCUCCCGCGGAUUGAUAAACCUUAGGUCACCCACUUGAGGGAAAAUUGCUACUGUCCUACAACCCUCUGCACUUGGAGGCCCAACAAAAUCUACAAGGAGAAGGUUGCGUAGUAGACAUCAAGCAUUUUUCUGGCGCCGUUGCCGGGGAGGCUAGGUAAGCGGCACUCACCUCCCGUCAACGAAGCAUUUUUCUGGCGCCGUUGCCGGGGAGGUUAGCGCUUGAAGGUAUAUCUUUAGAUCUUGCAAUCGAAUCUUUUUGUUUCUUGUUCUUUCGCUAGAAAACUACAAAAAAAAUGGAAUUGAGGAUGCCUCAUAUGCUCCAUCUUUUCAAUGUCUUUCGUGAGCAUGAUGGGAAGGAAAAUUGUGCUGAGGUGCUGAAAGAAGAAUUACAUAGAAUUCUUGGAAUAGAAUAUGUGAAUGAUGAGCAUGAUUGCAAUGUUCUUAGCAUGAAUUCUUUGAAUACCCAUGAUGCUAAUGAUAUGAAAAGCCACAAGCUUGGGGAUGCUAUAUUUGAUGAAGAUGAUCUUUUUAGUUCUUCCAGUUUGAAUGAUCAAAAUCAUUUUGAUGAAAGCAUGCCCCCUAUCUAUGAUGAUUAUUGCGAGGAUACUUAUGCUUUGAAGAAGAGGGAUGAUAAAAUUUGUCAUACUUUCGAAAACCCCUUUGCUAAACCUUGCUUUUUCAUUGUGGACACAAUUUGUAGUGCUCAAGUCUUUCACGAUACUCCCACUACUAUUCUUGAGAAUAGAUUUCCUUAUGUGGAGAGUAGUAAAAUUCCUAUGCUUGUACAUCAUGAAAAGAAAGCCUUAGGUGCUGGUUAUAUUGUUGAAUUCAUUCAUGAUGCUACUGAAAAUUACUAUGAGAGAGGAUCAUAUGCUUCUACUUAUUGCAAUAGUAUCAAGCUUCCUCUCCAUGUGUUGAAAUUUUUGAAGCUAUGAUUGUUUUGCCUUCCUAUGCUAGUUGAUUCUUGCUCCAACAAGUUGUUUGUUCACAAAAUCCCUAUGCAUAGGAAGUGGGUUAGACUGAAAUGUGCUAGCCAUAUGCUCCAUGAUGCUCUCGUUGUGUUUCAAUCCUUACCUUUUAUGUGAGCAUCAUUGAAAUCAAUGCCUAGCUAAGGGCGUUAAACAAUAGCGCUUGUUGGGAGGCAACCCAAUGAAUUUAUUUUUGCUUUUUUGCUUUUUGUUUUGCUUUUUCCACACCAUCAUAAUUCUUUUAUGAUUGUGUUUUUCGUGUUUUAAUUAGCGUUUGUGCCAAGUAAAGCCUUUAUGAUAGCUUGGGUGAUAGUUGUUUGAUCAUGCUGGAAAAAGACAGAAACUUUCUGCUCACGAAAUUAUUUUGCAUUUAUCCAGAAAGAGCUUUUGAGUUGAUUCUUUUUGCUGCUGGUAGAUAUGCUUUUUGCCCAAUCCGUCGUAAUUUUUCAGAUUUGUUGAGCUACCAGAAGUAUACGAAGUAUACAGAUUGCUACAGACUGGUCUGUUUUUGACAGAUUCUAUUUUUGUUGAGUUGGUUGCUUGUUUUGAUGAAACUAUGGUUAGUAUCGGGUGGUACUAGCCAUGGAAAAGUGAGAAUACAGUAGCCCAACAUCAAUAUAGCUAGAAUUCAAGUUUGCUACAGUACCAAAGGAAGUGGUAGUUUGUUUUCUUGUGCUAAUGUUAUCACGAGUUUUUGUUUAAGUUUUGUGUUGUGAAGUUUUCAAGUUUUGGGUGACGUUCUCAUGGACGAUGAGAUAAGGAGUGGAAAGAGCUCAAGCAUGGGGAUGCCCAAGGCAUCCCAAGCCAAAUUCAAGGACACCAAAAAGCCUAAGCUUUGGGAUGCCCCGGGAAGGCAUCCCCUCUUUCGUCUUCAAUCCAUCGGUAACAUUACUUGGAGCUAUAUUUUUAUUCACCACAUGAUAUGUGUUUUGCUUGGAGCGUCUUGUAUCAUAGGAGUCUUUUCUUUUUGUUGUGUCACAAUCAUCCUUGCUGCACACCUUUUUGAGAGAGAGAGAGACAUGCACUCAUCGUGAUUUUGCUAGAAUGCUCAUAGUGCUUCACUUAUAUCUUUUGAGCUAGAUACUUUUGCUCAUAGUGCUUCACUUAUAUCUUUUGAGCUAGACACUUUUGCUCUUGUGCUUCACUUAUAUCUUUAGAGCACGGCGGUGCGUGAUUUGGUAGUUGGCUUACGCUAUGAAAGUAGUCCCAAAUGUGCUAGGUACCCAAAGAGGAUGCAAAAAACUCCAUCUUCAUGUGCAUUGAGUAGAAAGAGAAGUUUCGAUUCCUCUCAAUUAGUUUUGAGACAUGGAUUCGGUAAUAUUAAGAGUUAUGUUAGUAGGGUGUUGUGAAUCUAGAAAUACGUGUGUUGGAGUUAGUGAUUCCCGUAGCAUGCACGUAUGGUGAACCGCUAUGUUAGGAAGUCGGAGCAUAAUUGAUCUAUUGAUUGUCAUCCUUUGUGUUGAGGUCGGGAUCGCGUGAUGGUUAACACCUACCAACCCUUCCCCUCGGAGUAUGCGUUUAGCAAUUUGUUUCGAUUACUAAUAAAAACUUUCGCAACAAGUAUGUGAGUUCUUUAUGACUAAUGUUGAGUCCAUGGAUAUUAUGCACUUUCACCCUUCCACCAUUGCUAGCUUCUCUAGUACCGCGCAACUCUCGCCGGUGCACAAAAUCACCAUAUGCCUCCCUCAAAAUAGCCACCAUACCUACCUAUUAUGGCAUUUUCAUAGCCAUUCCGAGAUAUAUUGCCAUGCAACUUUCACCGUUCCGUCUCAUGACUUGUGCCAUCAUUGUCAUAUUGCUUUGCAUGAUCAUAAGAUAGAUAGCAUGAUGUUUUCAUGGCUUGUCCGUUUUUUGAUGUCAUUGCUAUGCUAGAUCAUUGCACGAGGCAUUUCCUAUAGAGUCAUCAUCGUUCUGAGCUUUGAGCUGUGAGCAAAUAAAAGUGUGAUGAUCAUCAUUGUUAGAGCAUUGUCCCAUGUGAGGAAAUAAAAAAAAGAGGCCAAAGAGCCCAAAAACAAAAAAAAGAAAAGAAAAGAAAAAAGAGGUCUAAGAGCCCAAAUAAAAAAAGAAAAAAGAGAGAAAAAGAGAGAAGGGACAAUGUUACUAUCUUUUUCCACACUUGUGCUUCAUCAUAGCACCAUGUUCUUCAUGAUUGAGAGCUUCUUGUUUUGUCACCACCAUAUACACUAGUGGGAACUUUCAUUAUAUAACUUGGCUUGUAUAUUCCAAUGAUGGGCUUCCUCAAAAUUGCCCUAGGUCUUCGUGAGCAAACAAGUUGGAUGCACACCCACUAGUUCUCCUUUAGAGCUUUCACAUAUUCAUAGCUCUAGUGCAUCUUUUGUAUGACAAUCCCUACUCAUUCACAUUGAUAUCUAUUAAUGGGCAUCUCCAUAGCCUUUUGAUACGCCGAGUCAAUGUGACCAUCUCCUUCUUUUGUCUCACAACCACCACCACACUCUAUUCCACCUAUAGUGCUAUAUCCAUGGCUCACGCUCAUGUAUUGCGUGAUAGUUAUAAAAAGUUUGAGAAAGUAAGAGUGGGAAAACAAUUACUUGGCCAAUUACGGGGUUGUGCAUGAUUUACAUUAGUUGUGUGAGGACGAUGGAGCAUAGCCAGACUAUAUGAUUUUGUAGGGAUAACUUUCAUUGGCGUUGUUAUUUUGAAAGUUCAUGAUUACCUUGCUAGUUUGCUUGAAGUAUUAUUGUUUUCAUGUCAAUAGCAAACUAUUGUUUCGAAUCUUACGGAUCUGAACAUUCAUGUCACGUGAAAGAAGUUGCAAAGGACAACUAUGCUAGGUAGCAUUCCUCGUCAAAAAUUCGGUCUUUAUCACUUCCCUACUCGAGGACGAGCAUGAGUUAAGCUUGGGGAUGCUUGAUACGUCUCCAACGUAUCAAUAAUUUUUUGAUGGUUCCAUGCUAUUAUCUUGUCAACUUUCGAUGUUUUAUAUGCAUGAAUAUGCUAUUUUAUAUAGUUUUUGGGACUAACCUAUUAACUCAGUGCCAAGUGCCAGUUUCUGUCUUUUCCGUGUUUUUGACCCUUUUUCAGAUGGAGUCCAGAUGGAAUGAAACUUUACGAUGAUUUUUUUGGACAAAAAGAGACCCCCAAAGCUUUGGAAGAAGGCCAGAAGAGCCACGAGGGAGUCAUAAGCCCAUGGGGCGCGGCCUACCCCCUGGUUGCACCGUGCGGGCUUGUGACCUCCUCGUGGGCCCAACUGACGCAAUUCCACCACCAUAAAUUCCUAUAAAUUCAGAAACCCUGAGAAAUAAACCUAGAUCGGGAGUUCCGCCCCUGCAAGUCUCUGUAGCCACCAAAAACCAAUUUGGAGCCCGUUCCGGCACCCUGCCGGAGGGGGAAUCCAUCUCCGGUGGCCAUAUUCAUGAUCCCAGCGAUCUCCAUGACGAGGAGGGAGUAGUUCUCCCUCAGGGUUGAGGGUAUGUACCAGUAGCUAUGUGUUUGAUCUCGCUCUCUCGUGUUCUUGAGAUGUCUUGAUCUCGAUCUACCGUGGGAUUUUCUACUAUAGUUGGAUCUUAUGAUCUUCUUCCCCUCUCCCUUCUUGUAAUGAAUUGAGUUUCCCCUUUGAAGUUAUCUUAUUGGAUUGAGUCUUUGAGAACACUUGAUGUAUGUCUUGCACGUGUCUAUCUGCUGUGAUCAACUUGCGGGUUUGUGACAAUUGGGAACCUAUGCAUAUGGGUUGGCACACAUGGAUUCAUGUGAGUACUCGAUGUAUGUUUUGGUGAUCAACUUGCGGGUUCGUGACAUUGGGAACCUAUGCAUAGGGGUUGGCACACGUUUUGACUCUCCGGUAGAAACUUCGGGGCACUCUUUGAAGUCCUAUGUGUUGGUUGAAUAGAUGAUUCUGAGAUUGUGUGAUGCAUAUCGUAUAAUCAUGCCUACGGAUACUUGAGGUGACAAUGGAGUAUCUAGGUGACAUUAGGGUCUUGGUUGAUAUGUAUCUUAAGGUGUUAUUCUAGUACGAACUCUAUAAUAGAUCGAUCAUAAAGAAUAACUUUAUGGUGGUUUCGUACCCGACAAUAAUCUUUUUGUUUGUUCCCCGCUAUUAGUGACUUUGGAGUGACUCUUUGUUGCAUGUUGAGGGCUAGUUAUAUGAUUCAAUUAUGUUAUCUCUAUACCUAUUUCAAUCUCGUUACCGGCAAGUCUCUUUACUCGUUCUGUAAUACAAGAUCCCAUGACUAACACUUGAGUCACAUUUGCUUGCAAGGCUUAUAUGUGAUGUUGUAUUAUUGAGUGGGCCCCGAGAUACUUCUCCGUCACACGGAGUGACAAAUCCCUGUCUUGAUCCAUCCUAACUCAACGGACACCUUCGGAGAUACCUGUAGAGCACCUUUAUAGUCACCCAGUAACGUUGUGACGUUUGAUACACACAAGGUAUUCCUCCGGUGUCAGUGAGUUACAUGAUCUCUUGGUCAUAGGAAUGAAUACUUGACACGCAGAAAACAAUAGCAACAAAAUGACACGAUCACAUGCUAUGUUCAUAGUUUGGGUCUUGUCCAUCACAUCAUUCUUCCAAUGAUGUGAUCCCGUUAUCAAGUGACAACACUUGCCUAUGGCCAGGAAACCUUGACCAUCUUUGAUCAACGAACUAGUCAACUAGAGGCUCACUAGGGACAGUGUGUUGUCUAUGUAUCCACACAUGUAUUUGAGUUUCCAAUCAAUACAAUUCUAGCAUGGAUAAUAAACGAUUAUUAUGAAAAAGGAAAUAUAAUAUUAACUAAUUUAUUAUUGCCUCUAGGGCAUAUUUCCAACACGCAACAAACUCUGGGCUGCUCCAUGUGGGGCCGUUGAAUUGGGCGUCGCGCUAGCGCGUCUACUGGAGAUGCUCCGGUCCCCGCGCAUUAAAAAUGCUACAGUUGCAUGCUAAAAAAUUUAUUGGGCGUGGAAUUUUUAUGCGGCCGUUGUAGAUGCUCUGAGGGUGUUCUCCCAAUCCAACCCCACUCCUUGGGUCGUGCCCUACGCAUAGGGAGUUCCUUAUAUACGCAACUCAGAUUGGCUAAGCAAUACACAACAAGAUUUACUAAUCAUCCAAUUCAUGCACGUCCAUCAUAUACAACAAUGCCGCACGUAAAUAACAAAUGUUGUCAGCAAAAAUAUAUAGUUCUAUGAUAAAGAUCAUAUUAAGUGCGCAACUCAAACAUUAGCUAUUUGGUUUCCAUUGUGGGUGCACAUAUGCUUCACAAGAUCACAUGGUAGUUGCACAUGCACCAAAUGAUCUCGUAGAUCCUGAUGGAUGUGCGGAAAGUUCAUAACCAGAUUUAAAUCUUAUGGGAUUUGGACUUGUUCUUCAAGAACAUUAAAAUCAUUGAUUUGGGCUACCCUAUCACCCUCAUCCGCAACAAUCAUAUUGUGCAAAACAAGACAACAUGCCAUCAGUUGCCUCAAAGUUUCUGAUUCCCACAUCAUAGCAGCUCCACAAACAAUUCCACAACGAGCUUCAAACACUCCGAAUGCCCUCUCCACAUCCUUCCUAGCUGCUUCAUGCAUUGUUGCAAAGUGGCUUUGUUUGUUGCCUUGUGGUUCAGAUAUUAUGGUCUUCACAAAUGUCGUCCACUCUGGAUAAAUGCCAUCGACAAGAUUUAUUUCAUGUUGUAGUCGGGGCCGUUGACAACGUAGUUGCACGUGAGUGAUUCGUCAUUACAAACCCUCCUCAAAACGGGGGAUCCUUAAAGCACAUUGAUGUCAUUGUAAGAACAUGACAUUUCAAAGAAAACAUGCCAAAUCCAUAAGGCAUGCGAUGCCACUUCUUCGAGUAUGAUGGCGUCCUCUUUGGGGCGACCUUGACAUAUUUCAUGCAAACUUUUGGGACAGUUCUUCCAUUGCCAGUGCACGCAAUCAAUCGAUCCAGACAUAUAUCAAAAACCUCUUGCCUCUCCAAUAACCAACACCUUUUAUGUGCCCUCCACAUUUGGUUCUCUCACAUACUCUGGCCCAAACUCACACACCACGACGCGGACAAACGUGACAACAGUCUUUAGACAUGUGCUCUCUCCAUCCGUACCAUCUCAGUAAUAGCACCGACUGCAGUACCAAGUGCAAGCACCCUCAAAGCAACCGUGUACUUUUGCUUAGCAGAGAAAGAAGAUUGGACGCAGCGAUCCCUCGUGAGCUUGAAGCAGUCAUCGUGUGCCUCUACUCACUCCACAACGCACAAAAACAAAGAAUUGCACAUACGGAAAUAUCGACGAAACCAUGGAUCAUCGAGGAAAGAUGGAUCUGGAGCAAAGUAGUCCUUGUACGAUAACUGUGCUCCAGAGACCCCUAUCGCGAUUAAUAACUCCUCUCCCUUUGAUUGAGACCUUAAAGUUGGAAAUAUGCUCCACCCGCCGGUCCGUUUCUUUUGCAUGCUCAUGAGCAUGAUCAUAUUCACUUCUUCGCUUUAAUCCGACGAAUUCAAUAAGUCAUUCUCAAUUGUUUUAUCAAGCUCCGUUUGUCAUGCACCUCCGUGUUGAAGCAUCAAAAUCCAUCACUAACCGAACCGUCCACCGUGCGUUUGAGAGCGUGGUUUGAGAUGCCUCGUUGUAGAUGCUGUAUAGAGGAAGGAAAAUAUCACGCCCGUGUUGUGCUCGCGACCGCACAAUCAUCGGCAUGCAUGCAUGAUGAUGAGGUGAUGCAAGGCGGGCAGAGGCAGACGAUCCUGGUUGUCACUGUGCCGUCCGUUGCGCUGCUCGACGAUCGGAUGCUUUUUGGCUGCACGCGCAUGCGACUGUGCGACGGAUGGCCUUGAUGAUUACCCGUGUGAUUGGCAAGUAUCGCUGUGUGCUAUCCCUUGGACUCGGGACCCUGAACGACGCCGUUGCAUUUCUCUUCGUAGAGUAGUCUCGUACCUUUAGAACGGCCGCCGGAGUGGCACAAAGAAGCACCCAAAAAAGCACAGACCUGAAUAAAACAUGGUCUCUCUCUCGUGCAAGAGAGAAAGAAAGGGAUGGAUAGAUAGAUAGAUAGAUAGUCCGUCACACUGGGACAGACAGAGCAGCGCAGCACUUUUUCUUUCUUUAUAAGCGCACGAGAAGAGACAGGUUCAUUUAUGUCGGAAGCAUGUGCGCCACCCUGCCCUGCCAGCUGAAUUUCGGAAAAUGUUGCGGUAGUGAGAGCAUGGUUAAUAGUAUAGCCAACGGCUGGCUAUAAGGAGUCUUAUAGCCCACCUUAUAGCUAGCUUGUACAAUAGUUAGCUAUAAAAGAGUACUAUUUUUAUCAUAUAUGGUCCACGUUUUAUUCUCACAAAGCAUCUAGGAGCAUGUGUUAGAGUUGACUCUUCACGAAAAGCCCGCUUCCCUUCUCUCUCCUCUUCUCUCUCAUCCAACUAAACAGAAAUAUAGUAUUUUAAUUCUUACAGCCUGCUGACUGUAUUUUAUUGUACUUGCUGUGAGUGAAGCUACGCCUAUGCAAGAAGAGAAUCUUGACUAAAAAUGAAAGAGAUCCAAACACAAACGAUGUGACAUGCGCGGUAGGUCUGAGCGCGUGCCAAAGGCAAAGCCCGCUGGAUAAGUACUAGGUCAGCCGACAAAGGAAACUAGACGUUAAUUGUGUGCAGAAUCUUUGUUCCUUUCGACUCACCGCGGGGUAGGAGUAACAUAGGAAUGAGCAAAUUCCAUUCCAAUAGAGAGAUGAAUCAGCUCAUGCAGAAGACACAAGGAUUUAGAGCAACUCCAAAGUGCUAACCCAUUUCGUCGGUAUGCAUCUGUUUGGAUUGCGCCGGACAAAAAAGUUGGUUCAACGUGCCGAUCCAAACGUACGCGCGUCCGUUUUUCGUUCGCUCGCGACCCAUUCUGAACGUAGAUUCAGACGUCAUUUGCAUCGUCGCGGACACGAAUCGGACACGCGCCUCGCCCGCGUGCUCCUUCCCGUCUCUCCUUUUUAUCCUCUUCGCCCCAUCCGUCAUCCGCAAGCACACAUACCCUAGGACGGCGAUCCAUUUCCCACCGGACACCAUAGCUCUCCAGCAGCAAAUCCACCGACAGGGUGCCUCCUUCGUCCCGGUGUGCGAGGUCUAUUGGUGGAUCUGCGGCGGCGGUGGGAUUUGUCAAAAUUUUGCGCAUCCUUCACACGGGAUUUGGCGAAUCCGGUCGUCGACGGACUGCGCUUGCCAUGGACUGGUCGGGUGUCGGUUCAACAGGUCCGGGCAAUCCCUCGGUGCCACAUGCAGGCGCUCAAUCCGCCUCUAACCGCUCGGGACUGACCCGACGCAGGUUCGCCGGCAAGGCCACGGCCAGCCGCCGCCCUGGCUCGGCGUUGCCCCAAAAGCUUGCCGGCUCACCUUUGUCGUUCAUACAAUGCGACGACUGCUCGCUAUAGGUCAUCCGAUGCGUUUCUUGGACGUCGGAAUAUCCCGUUUGAGCGUUUGUGAAGUGCAAAAACGAUGGGUACGAUUUCCGUUCGGUCUUUUGCUCUUUGCUUGAUGCAAUUUUGGUAGCUUAUUAUUUGUUCAAUACUGUGUGUAGGAUGGAUGCAUUUUUUGGUAUUGGGAACAAGAAUACAUCGAUCUAUUAAUUUCAUGAAAUUUUCUAGAUGUUCGUGCACUUUUAUCUAAAAUUGAAGGUAUAGAUGAGACUAAAUAAGAGAUCAAAGGGGAAGCAACAUUUAUUCAUUAACAUUGAAGAAGAAAUACGUUGUGCUCAAGAAUCCACAGAUCAAGAACUAAGACAUAGAGAAGAUCUUAGUCCAAGUAUGAGGUGCAGCUAAGGAAGUCGGACUUCUUUUAAAAUGUUUCAUUGUGGUUCUUGUUUUUUAUAUUAUAUUCUUGUUUUCUAUAUUAUAUUUGUACUGAAAAAAUGGUAAAAUAUAUAUUCAUUAAAAUGCAUUUGGUAUAAAAAUAAUGUUCAAAUCUGAAGCAAAAUGAAUAUUGACCGACCUUGGGAACGAAAAAUUGGUCGAUGUGUUGGACGCACGGCAGACCCAUUAACAAAAAAGGGCGGACAUGUCGAUCCAAACGGAUAAAAAACGAACAAAACGCGCGUCUGCUUGGGUCGCGCGGUUGAAGUUGCCCUUAGAUCUACAUUGCUCGGGAAGAGUGACACGACAUGAGCGAGCAUAACCAUAAUAAUUACCUAGACAUGCAUUGUUGUGCUGAGUUAAUUAGGAAAAGGGGAGUGCUCUGCAUCGGCGCGCCGGCCGAAACUUUCGGCCGGCCGCGCGCGGGCCGCCCGAUCCACCAAACCCCCGUGCGUCCGCACCGUUUGGAUCUUCAUGCAACAUUUUUCCUUCGAUGCAACAAAUUUUCGAUGCGAUGCAACAAUUUUUUCAAUGGUUGCAACAAAAAACAAAAAAUUGUAGCAAAAAAAAAUCUACGUGAUCGUAGCAAAAAAACGAAGCUGAUGGUACGUGGUAGCAAAAGCCAAACGCGAGUUGUAACAUAUAUUUACGUGACGUGUAUGCAACUUUUUUAGUGAACGGUUGCAGCAAAAAAUGAUGCCGGUUGUAGCAAAAAUUAACACGGUUGUAGCAAAAGUAAAAACAUCAAUUGUAAUGAAAAAUUCGAAGAACUGAAGUUGCAACCAAAUGUAUAUACAACAAAUAUGACGCUGGUUGCAACAAAUUUACACGAGAAAAAAGUUGCAUGAAAAACGUUCGUAUCAAAAAAAACACGGUUGCAGCAAAACUGACGGAAAAGUGUUGCGAGCAUCUGCCAACGAGGCGCGCGGCCCGCGCGCGACCGGCCGAACGAUUCGGCCGGCGCGCCGGGUGGAAACGAUUCCCUUAGGAAAAAGGCAAGAUCCGGGAACAGUUCUAGGGCUGCUCAGAGAGCAAACCAAACACGCCCAGACAUGCCGCGCUGCUAAAUAUCUGGCCACGCCGCCGGGGGGGGGGGGGGGGNNNNNNNNNNNNNNNNNNNNNNNNNNNNNNNNNNNNNNNNNNNNNNNNNNNNNNNNNNNNNNNNNNNNNNNNNNNNNNNNNNNNNNNNNNNNNNNNNNNNNNNNNNNNNNNNNNNNNNNNNNNNNNNNNNNNNNNNNNNNNNNNNNNNNNNNNNNNNNNNNNNNNNNNNNNNNNNNNNNNNNNNNNNNNNNNNNNNNNNNNNNNNNNNNNNNNNNNNNNNNNNNNNNNNNNNNNNNNNNNNNNNNNNNNNNNNNNNNNNNNNNNNNNNNNNNNNNNNNNNNNNNNNNNNGGGGGGGGGGGGGGGGUGGAAACACGUAGUUGUGAUUUAUCUCGCCGCCGUCCGUCAUCGUCCGACAUCUGCCUUAUUAGAAAUAUGAGCUUUUUGUUAUGUCAUUUUACUAACACAAAAGGUAGAUAAAACAUGACUACCAUAUUAAUUAUAAGACAAGUCAUGAAAUCGUACAUAGAGUAUGAGAAUAUUAUCUGAAGUGGUGAGUAGUGUUGGGAUAUCCUCCCCAUGUGGGUUGUGAGGAGAUGAUCAUUUGAGGCCUUUUAGGNNNNNNNNNNNNNNNNNNNNNNNNNNNNNNNNNNNNNNNNNNNNNNNNNNNNNNNNNNNNNNNNNNNNNNNNNNNNNNNNNNNNNNNNNNNNNNNNNNNNNNNNNNNNNNNNNNNNNNNNNNNNNNNNNNNNNNNNNNNNNNNNNNNNNNNNNNNNNNNNNNNNNNNNNNNNNNNNNNNNNNNNNNNNNNNNNNNNNNNNNNNNNNNNNNNNNNNNNNNNNNNNNNNNNNNNNNNNNNNNNNNNNNNNNNNNNNNNNNNNNNNNNNNNNNNNNNNNNNNNNNNNNNNNCAUUUGAGGCCUUUUAGGCAGCCCAAAAGAGGUGCAGAAGACUACUACCCAUUAGGGUUAUGAUCUAGGGUCAUUUUGGUCGUUGCACGUGAGUGGAUGGCGAUGCUUUAUCCUCCAUCUAGCAGCCACCACCUAGAGGGACAAGAUUAGUUUGGCCUCCAUUGGAGAAGAAGAGAGAAAGCCAAGUGAGAAAGGAAAGAAGAGAAAGAUUGUAGCAAGUAGCAAAGGGAGCUCGUCCCCAAGGUUGCGAUGAUCCAGAUCCACUACCUAGAAAAUUACUCCUGCCACAAGACACUUGCCUCAGGAGUGUUUUGCCUGCUGAAUAACAUUUUCUCCUCCAUAUAUGAUGUUGCAUAUGUUUCCUUUUGUGCUAAGCAACGAUCCUUGAGUUAGUACAUAAUGUGGUGCUGAGCUUACUUUGUUUCCGUUGCAGUUUUCACUUAACCACAAGUGUAUUUGUGUGCUUCCUAAGAGAGUGGCAUGAGAGCCUUGGUUGCUUAGAAGGUUGCUAAUCCAAGUUGCUUGAUUGUUGCUCGAAGUGCUGCUCACAAUGGCUUUGGAAGAAAGCGCUACUACAAGUGGCAUGAUAAAAGUUGAUUUUUUUCAACUACUCAUUAUGGAAGCUCAUGAUGGAAGACAUCCUUUAUUGCAAGGAUUUGUAUGAGCCAAUUGUGAAAGACAGGAUACCCAUAGGAGUCACGGAAGAAGAAUGGAGAGUGUUGCAUAGAAAGGCACAAUGUAUGAUUUGGUUGUACAUCAACCACAAUAUAUUUCACCAUGUUGCAAAUGACACAAAUGCAUAUGAGAUGUGGCAGAAGUUGGAGUCUAUGUAUGAGAGGAAGACAUCAAUGAACAAGGCCUUGGUGAUAAAAAAAACUUGAAAAGCUUGAGUACCGAGAUGGCACAAGUGUGAUUGAGCACUUGAAUUUCUCCCAAUGCCAUAUAAAUCAACAUUCAGCCAUGAAGAUUAACUUUGAGGAGGAGGUGCAAGCAUUGUUGCUGCUGAGUUCCAUGCCUCAUUGUUGGAACACGCUUGUUGUGUCACUUAGCAAUUCAGCUCCGCACGGGAAGCUGACUUUGAGAUGGUGAAGAACAACAUGCUGAAUGAAGAAGUGAGAAAGAAGGAAAAAUGUGAUGCCUCUCCUUCUGAUACGUAUGUGGCUGAAACCCAUGGGAAGAACGAGAAUGGUGGACGCGGUCACACUCGAUUUUAGCAUGACAAAAUGAAUCGAUGGGGAGAUCAAAGUCAAAACAGAGAAAAUAUAUUACUUGCUUUCAUUGUGGCAAUCCAGGACACAUAAAGAGUGAGUGGAGGAAAUAUAAAAAAGAGCUUGCACAGGGAAAACUUGCAAAGAAAAUUGAGUAAAAGGCUGAGAGCAGCUCAUCCAUGACUACAACAAAUGAGGACUAUCUAGUCAUCGAAGAUGAUGAAUGCUAUAUUGUUGUUCGUGAUGAUGCCAUGAGUUGGGUUGUGGAUUCAGGUGCAUUCUUCCACAUCACAUCACACAAAGAGUAUUUCACAUAUUACACCACUGGUGCCACUAGCUAAGUAAGGAUGGGAAGUAGUGGUUUGUCAACAAUUGUUCGCAAGGGCGCUAUAUGCAUUGAAACAAAUACAUGUUGCAGGUUGGUGCUCAAGGAUGUGAGGCACGUUCCCGACAUAAGGCUGAAUUUAUUGUUAGUAGGCAAGCUUGAUGAUAUCAAACAUCCUAGUUAUUUUGGUGAAGGAAAGUGGAAGCUCACCAAAGGCUCUUUGACUGUGGCUCGAGGAAGCAUGCAAGGUAAUCUUUAUGUGACUAAAACCAAGUUGUGCAAUGAGGUGUUGAACAUUGUUGAAAAAUACACUUCGGUGGAAUUGUGGCACAAGAGGCUUGGGCAUAUGAGUGACAAGGGAAUGCAUGCUCUUCCUCGCAUGGAGUACCUCCGUGAGUUGAAAGGUAUAUCCUUGAAACCCUAUGCACAUUGUUUUGCUGGCAAACAACAUAGGGAUGCAUUUCGUACACUCCCUCCACACCGUGCAGAAAAUGUUCUUGACAUUGUGCACUCAGAUAUUUGCUCCAUGACUGGAAAAUCUCUUGGUGGAGCAUUAUAUUUUGUGACUUUUAUUGAUAACCAUUCCACAAAGGUUUUUGUUUAUGUGUUGAAACACAAAUACCACAUGCUUGAAGCCUUUAAGGAGUUCCUUGCCAAAGUUGAGAGAGAAACUCGCAGGAAAUUGAAGUGUGUGAGAUCAGACAAUGGUGGUGAAUAUCGAGGUCCUUUUGAAAGGUAUUGCAGGAAGUUUGGCAUCAGUCUUGAGAAGAGUCCACCAAAUAUACCUCAACUCAAUGGUCUUGCAGAGAGAAUGAACAUGACACUCACAAAGAGGGUCACAGCUAUGCUCUCUCAUGCGCAUUUACCUAAUUCUUUUUGCGCCGAAGCAUUGAUGUAUGGUAUGUAUGCGGUUAACCUAUCUCCCUCAGUUACUCUUGCAGGUGAUAUUCCUCAGAGAGUUUGGUCAGGGAAUGAGUAUCAUACAAGCACUUGAAGGUAUCUAUGGUUGCAGGGCAUUUGUACAUGUCCGAAGGGGUGCAUGUUGGGAAAGAGUUUGGCUACAUGUUGUGGGAUCGAGUCAACAGGAAAAUUGUGAUAGCAAGACAAAGGAGUGCAUCUACCUCAGCCAACUAAGUGAAUAGUUUGGCUACAUGUUGUGGGAUCGAGUCAACAGGUAAAUUGUGAGAAGCCGGGAUGUGGUGUUAAUUGAAGAUGAGAUAAUAAAAGAUAUUGGGAAACCAGAGAAGCCAAUGACCAACACACCUCAGGUUGACAUGGAUCCAAUCUUGUCCUCCUCUCGUGCAUGACAAUCAUGGGGGAGAUGAUGACACUGAAGACAAUGGAGAUGAUGAUGAAGUUGGUAAUGAUGAUGCCCACAUAAAUCCACCCGAUUCACCACCAGUGCAACAACAAAGAAGAAGUGAUAGAGGUUGCAUUCCUUCUUGUGAGUAUCCAGCACAUCAAUAUGUGUUGAUGACUAAUGCUGGUGUUCCCUCAUGCUAUGAGGAGGCAAUGUGUGAUGAGAAUAAGGAAGAAUGGUCAGAAGCCAUGCAGGAUGAGAUGGAAUCCCUGUAUGAGAAUGAUACUUUUGAGGGCAAGAAAGCACUCAAGAACAACUGGGUGUACACAGUGAAGACUGAACAAACACCUCACACCCAAGGUACAAGGCCAGACUGAUUGUGAAAGGUUUCAGUCAAAAAAUGGGCAUUGAUUAUGAUGAGAUAUUCUGUCUAGUGGUUAAGAUAUCUUCAAUCUGAGUUGUGCUUGGCAUAGCAACCACCAUGGACUUGGAAAUCGAAUAAAUUGAUGUGAAGACUGCAUUCUUGCAAAUUGAAUAAGAGCUUGUAUAGCUUGAAGCAAGCUCCUCAGUAGUGGUACAAGAAGUUUGGCUCUUUUAUGACUAGGCUUGGUUACCAUAAAGCACAAUCUGAUCACUAUGUCUUUAUGAAGAGGUACGUCGAGGGUGACUUCAUUGUUCUCUUGCUGUAUGUUGAUGAUAUGCUGAUUGUUGGAAAUGACACAAAGAGGAUUGCUCUCCUCAAGAAGGCAUUGAGUAAAUCAUUUGCCAUUAAGGAUUUAGGACCAGCUAAGCAAAUACUUGGUAUGAAGAUCUCCCGUGAUAGAUCAAAGAAGCUUCUUUGGCUAUCGCAGGAAAGAUACAUUGAGAAUGUACUUGAAAGGUUCAAUAUGAAAGAUGUAAAAUCUGAUAUCUCUCCACUUGCAGGCCAUCACAAAAUGAAUUCAAAAGAGUGUCCUACAAGUAAGAAGGAGAAAGAAGAAAUGAGGAAAGUGCCUUACCAAUCUACUGUGGGCAGUUUGAUGUAUGCCAUGGUAUACACUAGGCCUAAUAUUGCCUAUGCAGUUGGAGUUGUUAGCCGGUUCAUGACAAAUCCAGGUAAAGCUCACUGGGAAGCAGUGAAGUGGAUUCUCACGUAUCUCAAGGGAACUUCUACAUCUCGUUCAUGCUUUGGAAGUGGCAAUCUUGUAUUGUAGGGAUAUACAAAUGCAGAUUAUGCAUGUGACAAGGAUCGUAGGAAGUCCACAUCUGGAUACCCGAUGACCUAUGCAGGGGGAUCAAUGACAUGGCAAUCAAGAUUGUAGAAAUGUGUUUCUAUAUCAAAUACAAAAGCUGAGUACAUAGCAGUAGUUGAUGCUGGCAAGGAAGUUUUGUGGAUGAAGAACUUCUUGCAAGAGCUCGGCAAGAAGCAAGAGAAGCAUGUGUUGUUUUGCGAUAGUCAAAGUGCUAGCCACCAUGCUAAGAAUUCAAGUUGUCACUCUCGAACCAAGCAAAUUGAUGUGAGGUAUCAUUGGAUUAGAGAUGUUGUGAGUUGCAAGUUGGUGAAACUUGAGAAGAUCCAUAUCGACGACAAUGGUUCGGAUAUGAUGACCAAGAUAUUGCCAAAUGACAAGCUACAAGCAUGUUCCAAGGUAACGGGCAUGGCGGUGCCCCCUCAUGAGUCGAAUGGGGAGAUUUGUUGGGAUAUCCUCCUCAUGUGGGCUGUGAGGAGAUGACCAUUUAAGGCCUUUUAGGCAACCAAAAAGGUGCAGAAGCCCACUACCCAUUAGGGUUAUGACCUAGGAUCAUUUUGACCUUUGCAUGUGAGUGGAUGGGGAUGCUUUUCCUUCCAUCCGGCAGCCACCACCUAGAGGAAUAAAAAUCGGUUCAGCCUCCAUUGGAGGAAAAGAGAGAAAACCAAGUGAGAAAGGAAGAACAAAACAUAUCUUGAAGAGAAACUAGAACAAGAAGUUGCGGCAGGAACUCAAACAAAAAGAACACGAACACGUACCGAGUUGCAGUAGUAGCAGCAAUAGUGGAAUUGGCGUUGACGUCGCCACCCGCCGUUUCUGAAUCUUGGAUGAACACAACAAGAUUUGGGGCUCAAGUGCUAGGGAUUGGAACAAUCUCACAAAAGAUGGUGGAACCACAGCUUGAAGGAGACAAGGUAGUUGAUGUGGAUCAUCACAACCUUGGGGAGGAGCUCCAUUUGCUUCUUCCUUCAAUCUUUCUCUUCUUCCUUUCUCACUUGGUUUUCUCUCUUGUUCUCGAAUGGAGGCUGAACUGAUUUUUGCCCCUCUUGGUUGUGGCUGUUGGAUGGAGGAUAAAGCAUCCCCAUUCACUCACGUGCAAAGACCACAAUGACCCUAGGUCAUAACCCUAAUGGAUAGUGGGCUUGUGCACCUCUUUUGGGCUGCCUAAAAGGCCUCAAAUGGUCAUCUCCUCACAGCCAACAUGAGGAGGAUAUCCCAACAAGUAGGAACAUGACAUAUCUAGAAUAGAAACUAGAACAAGAAGAUGCGGCAAGAACUCAAAUAAAAAGAACGCGGACACGUACUGAGUUGCAGCAGCAACAACAGUGGGAUUGGCGUUAACGUCGUCACCGGCCAUGUUGUCGAAGUGGUUAUUGACGUCGGGGAAGAAGUCGUCGUCUGGGAAGUGGCGUCCGUGAUGAAGAAGCCAGUAGUCACAUAGAACGCCCCCCAAAAACCUUAUCAGCCUUCUUCCAUAAAGGACGCUAAGCGACGGGGUUUUGGUGGCCUACUGUCACAACCUGCGAUGCACACCGCAAGUCGGGAUGGGAAGAACCUAGCAGCAACUCAGAGAAUGGAACUUGAUGACGAGAGGAAGACAAUGUUUUCAUGUGUCUAUUUGGAGAGGAACGACCUCCUUUUAUAGGCACAUGAGAAGGACGCGAAUAGACAACAACGAAAGGCAAAUCAAAAGAGGGAGACGAAAUGAACAUGCAGCAAUUGAAGGGUACAACGUUCGUAUUCAAUCUCGAAUACAACAAAUCUUUCCAGCUCCAAAGCGACCUUUCAUAUAUCACUCGUGCAUGGUAAAAAUUUAGUCAUCAACUCGGCUCAUUGACGGAUGGCGAAGGAGGAGCACUCGUGUAUGUCUCUUUUGUUUUCAUGCUUAUACACGUGGGAAAACAUCCUCCCUUAUAAAAAGGUUCAACUUCUACUAAAUUAGCAAUGUGAGACUAAACUUUAGCUUCACUUUUUUUUGCCUUGCACUAAUAGGCUUAAUGAAUUUUUAAGACUUAUCACAAAUUCUAAAACUGGUUAUUGCAUUGGGUCGGAUCAAAUUCUAGCAUGCCUCUCGUCUCCACGAUCCGUCCUCGUCGACACACCAAGCCAACGGUACCCAUUGCUUUCGCGCAUAUGAUACGACUGGAAAUUAAUAUGUCAUCGAGGUUGCCAUAAACCACACCGCUGCCUGUCGGGAGAGGAUAGAUCGUGCGUCCACCAACUAGGGGAACGCAUCGUGUCAUAGUUUUUCCCUCUCCGCCUCUCUGGUGUAGACGCAAUCAUGCACACGGCCAUGUGUACGCAUGCAUGUGCCAUAUGGUGAAGCUGGGACGAUGGAUAUGGACUAUGGACGAAGCCCAAUAUUAUGGAAUGGUUGAGUAGUUCCGUUUUGGAGCGUGACAUGUGAGAAGAAGAAAGAGACACCGCGAGUGUCAUGUCAAUUUAAGGUACUACACUAGCUAGCUGGCCUUUUUAGACAGGAGACAUGCUGUUUGGCCUUUGCUAGCAGUAGUACGGUCGUGGAUGAUAACUACGCGCGCCUUUUGAUUUGUGGCAACCGUGGAUGAUAGCUACAACAGUGAUUAGGUACCGUAGCUGGCUAGCAACAUUGUUUCAUGGAGAGACGCUCGUGUAGUUCGCAGCACGGCUUGAGUGACGGGAUUCCGCUCUUGACGGGUUCAAGGUUUCUCUUUCUGGGCAAGGCCGCAAAGAAACAAGGGGACCUGUUAACCGAAAAACAAAUGUACUAUGCCUUGUAUUUUUCUGAGUCAUGAUCGUACGUGCUUCCACUGUUGAGUGAUGCUAUCAUGAGAGCCAUCAUUCAAGCGAAUCUUCAGGCAUCAAGGUCAGUAGUACACUGGCACUGCGAUGAUUGUGGAACUUCAUUCCAUGGAAAUAUCUGUCUUGGCUUCGAGUUUGAGGUGAAUGCCCGACCUCAUGAUUUUGAUUUCCGGUUUGCCAACAGGCUGUGUGUCUAGUCCUUGUAGCCCUUUGGCAAUCGAUCAAACGCGGCACACCUACACCCCCUCUUUGCCCAAGAAAAUCAAUAGGACAGCACCAUGCCAUGCAUCGAGGUGUAAAGUGUGUUAGAAAGGACAAAGUGAAAUUGAUAGGAUCGAUGGAUACUGUAUUGAGCCUCACGAACGAGUAUAUACAUGAGUACAUAUUUAAAGGGUAAGAAGUCUCUUCUAUAAAUAAGGUAGAAGACAUAUUGUAAAUCUUAGAUUACGAAAUUCAUGUACAUUGAACAUAUCUCUAACAUCCCCACGCAGUCGUAACGCGGACGGUCGGACUGUAGAGAAUAACAUUCGACGCGCAUGCAACUGACUGAUCAGGUCAGUCGGACGACGUUGAUGGAAUGGAUCAUGUCGGGCGGGUGACCAAUCCAAUUGCACACAAGGGCCAUGGCACUACUCGAUGAUGAUGAUGAUGGCAUCGUAGACAAUGAAGUCGGGUCGUCGACUAGACCAAGACGACGACGGUCGGCGUGGAACGACGUGUUGGAGGAGGCCGAUGAUCCGGGGGCAGUCGACGAGGGGGCCGGCAAGGCCGAGGUAGCCGGUGAGCCCGACGCAGCCAGCAACCGAUAGGCCCGAGGUAGGCUGCGGGUCCUACAGCGAAGGAUCUUGACGCAGGCGGCGAGGGCGGCGGAGGCGGUAGGUGAUGCAGGGGUUCUGUUCGGAGCAGGGUGGCGACGAUCGACAUAGAGCGGUGGGCAGGUAGACGCAUGGACGAUAGACGUGACGGGUCGGAGUAGAGGACGGGUGGUCACACCGGUGUCGAGUAGAGGCGCGAGGUCAACAACGAAGGCAAACGACGCAAAUCGAUAUUAGAUCAGGAAAAAAACACCGAUCAUAGCUAGAGGGAGACAGAAAAAUCCGGAUCAAAGGAUUGAAAAAAGGACUAGGGCAGUCGGUCAACACGACCGACGGACGAACCCUAAGUACGAAUAGCAUGGCCCUCGAUGGCGAUCAUGAAGACCGAUCGCUCUGGGAGCGAUCAUGAAGCGACGACCGAAACUAGGAUUAGAUCAGUUCGGUCGAUCCAUAAGUGAACUGGUUAGAUGCAUAAGCUUGCAAUCAAGAUGUUCGUAGUUCAGAACUCAGGAAAGCGUAAUAAAUAAUUAUGGUCUAUCCCCUCUUUCGCUUUCUAUGUCAUAAACUUUAAAAGAGCAUAGAGCGAGGGGAAUGUUAAAGUAUAAUGUUCGAUCUUCUCCCACAGACUACAGUUUGAACUUUAGAAUGAAUUAACUGGUACAUAAAUUCAAUAAAGUGAGUACAUACAGUGAUACAGAUAUGGCCGGUAUCACCCACCUCAGCAACGGCUCAUUGCAAGCGUUAUGUUAUCAUCUCCAUUUUUGGUGUUGGCCAAGAGGGGCAUUGCUUAAUUAGAAAAUUCAAAACUGUGCAGACAUACUUGACCUCCUUGCCUGCCUAAUACGCGACAGUCCUUAACUAACCUGAUAACAAAAACCCAAAUGUGCAAACUCCAAAGCUAGCACUUGCCGGACAUACCGGCCGGCAACCGGGACACCCCCAAACCGCUCCGCGAACCACACUGACUUGCUAGCACGAUGGGUGAUCUACGGGUCUCCGCGAACCAAGUCGCCUAGUCAGUCUCGCAACCAGAGCAUCGACGAAGACCGGGCCUGCGCCAACUCGAAAGGAUUCGCCUGAUUUUUCCCCAAGAAGCCGGGGGGCGCGACGCACACGUAGGAGUGGCGAAUGGCCGGCAGAUCUUGCCAAGCAGGAGCAGUGAGUGGUCACAUCCCAAACACAAAAGUGAGUGCGAUCGACGAGAUUCUAGGACCCCGCGCGCGGCCUCAGACUGAUGCACGCAGAGAUAAAAAGAUGCGCGUCGACUAGCUGCCAUGGUUUCUACUGAAUGGCAGGCCAAUACGGGCACGCGCAUGGCUUCCAGCGACAGCACCAACUUCCUGCCGUUUUGUCCGCUAGAACAAGAAAAGUCUGGCUAGCUUACAUGAUGAAGUUUUUUUUUUUUCAAAAGUCAUAGAUUUUUAUUCCAUAAUAACAGAAUUACAAUCCUUAGCAACGAGAUCACUUGCAAAAGGGGGAGGGUGACCCAGCCAACAUGCUGUACUAUCCCCACAACGACCAUAGUUUGUUAGGAGGAGCUUAAUUUCUCUAAUCAUAUGAUCAUAAACGGAAUUAUCUAAAGAUACGUCAGCUAGGGCAUUGAUGGCCGCAGCACAAUCUGAUUGGAGCAUGAUAGUGGCAUCCGAGCGCUCGGUAGCAAGCUUGACUCCCUCUCGAAUAGCUUGUAAUUCCGCUUCCAGAGCAUCGUUGCAGUGAAAAAGCUUGCGGUAGGCAGCAAAUAUUACCUCGCCCGUUGGUGUUCUCAAGAUCAUCCCCGCGCCAGCUGAACCAUCAGAUAUAGCAUAAGAUCCAUCCACCGACAGCGCCACCAUGCCAUCUGGAGGGUGAGGCCACGAUAACCCUGGUGUCGAUUUGCAUGGGGGGCUGAUCUGAUCAGGAACCGUAGGAGAUUUCCCUUUAAUAAUGUCCUCCACACUACUUGAGAUCUGGGAGAAGGUGUUGUGGUAACUCUGCAAGAACGACGAAGAUACAUCUUGCGGUGGAGGGGCCUUCCCAUGUAGAAUCUCGUUUCGAACAUACCAGGAACGCCAUAGGACCAUGAUAAUUCUGCUACGAACCGAUACUUGGGCUUCAUCGAGGAGUUUAAGGAGCCAUUCCUUGCCUGUCCAGUUGAUCAACAAUCUGUCAGGUAAUGGCCAAUAAAGGCGCAUUCUGUCCCACAAGUCGGCUGCAUGUGGGCAAGCGAGGAGAGCAUGAAAUGAAGAUUCCUGCUCCCGAUCACAGACCUGGCAGAAGCCAUUCAGAUCAAAAUGCCGUCUCUUCUUCUCAGCGUCGGUAGGAAGGGAACCCGAGACGACUUGCCACGCAAGAUCUUUAGCUUUGGAGGGACCUUUGUAUCCCAUAUUAGCUUCCAAACUGGUCUGUCACCAGUAGGGUUUGCACUAGCUGAACCUGGAUUGAACUGAUCGUAGUGAAAUGCCAUCGCUACAUGAUAUGCACUUUUAACUGUCAAAACCCCUGAUUUCUCCCAUGGCCAAGAGAUAAAAUCCUCCCACCUCGGCGACGUUCUUAUCUUUAGGAUGGACUCCACAUCCGGUUGCUAGAAGUGUUGACGAAGCAUCUCAACCCUCCAACAUCCCUGAUCAUCCAGGAAUUCGCUCACUCUUUUUAGCGUGCAAUUCCGCUUUGGUGUGAUGGGUAUAAACGGCAUCCCCCUCGGUAUCCAAGGGUCUCUCCAAACCUUGACAUUCAUACCAUUGCCCACCCUCCAUAACAUUCCUUUCUUAACGAGUUGCAACCCAUGUUCAAGGCCACGCCAUACAGCCGAGGCAUUCCCAGUGAAGACCGUGUCGACCAAGUUGCCAUUAGGAUAAUAUUUAGCAUGGAGGAGAGAUGCGCACAACGAAUUUGGUGUCAUUAGUAAGCGCCACACCUGCUUGGCCAACAGGGCUUGGUUGUAGCCCGCAUGUCUCGGAACCCUAGACCCCCUUGAGCUUUUGGUAGGAGUAACUUGUCCCAAGACAUCCACGCCAUUUUCCGCUUCCCCUUCUCCACGCCCCACCAAUAUCGCCGAAUCAUUUUGGUAAGUUCAUCACACACCGAGAAGGGGAGUUUGAAAAUGCUCAUAACAUACACCGGAAUAGCUUGUGUUACUGCCUUAAUCAAAACUUCCUUACUUGCUUGUGACGCAUACUUUUCGCUCCACUCAACUAGCCGCUUGCUUAGGAUCGCUUGUAAGGAUUCAAACCUGCCUUUGUGCAUACGUCCAUCCGGAACCGGAAGCCCCAGGUAUUUAGCUUCGAACUCCUGUUGGGUUACUUGCAGAAUACCCUUAAUCUCAUCGACCACCAACGGCUCGCAACUAUCUUUAAACAGGAUCGAACAUUUGGAGCGAUUGAUAAGUUGGCCCGUAGCGACUGCAUAUGUAUGUAACACAUCCUUGAUGAUCGCAGCUUGGUCUGCCGCAGCGCGGAAGAACAAAAGAGAAUCAUCCGCAAAUAAGAGGUGAGAUAUAGCAGGCGCCCCUCGGCAUAUUUUCAGCGGUACAAGACCACGUUCCUGAACCGCCUCAUGCAGUAGAGAAGAUAGUGCAUCAGCGACGAAUAGGAACAAAAGGGGGGAUAGUGGGUCACCUUGCCGAAGACCCCUUGAAGGGGUAAAUUGAUGCAGAGACUUCCCGUUAAACUUCACCGCAAAUUUUACCGAUCGCACCGAUGCCAUGAUCCUGGUGACCCAGGCACUUGCAAAACCCCACUUCAAUAAGGCACGUUCCAAGAAGUCCCAAUCAACACGAUCAUAUGCUUUGGAUAGAUCCAGCUUGUAAGCGCAGUAAUCAUUCCUUGCAGAUCCUGUUUGGAGAUGGUGCAAACAUUCGAAAGCAAUGAUGGAAUUAUCUGAUAACAGCCUACCAGGGAUAAAGGCGCUCUGAUUUACCGAGAUGAGCUCAGCUAAGCAAGGUCGGAGCCUGUUCACCAUACACUUGGAUACCACCUUGUAAAUGACACUGCACAACGAGAUAGGACGGAACUCCUUCAGGGAGGCAGGGUGCUGGACCUUAGGUAUAAGAACAAUGAGAGUUUCAUUUACACCCUCCGGCAUUACCCCCGACAAAAAAAAAUCACGAACUGCCUUCACAACAUCCUCUUUCAACACCCCCCAGUUCCGCUGAUAGAAUCUUGCAGGGAAUCCAUCCGGCCCUCGGCUUUAAAUGGUCCAAUCUGAAACAGAGCGUCUGAAAUUUCCUUAACUGAGUAGGGCGCAAGUAGUUUCUCGUUCAUAUCGUCUGUAACUUUAGGCACAAUUUUGUUUAACAUAACCUCCGGUGUUAACGUUGGGUCCUUGGUAUACACCUCCUUAAAAUAAGAGGAUGCCAUCCGUUCCAUCUCCGAUGGGGACACACACCAUGAUCCAUCAUCUUUUUGAAGACGUCGGAUGUUGUUUCUCCUGGCACGCCAUACCGCGUGACGGUGAAAGUGCUUAGUAUUGCGAUCGUCUUCCUUCAACCAGGUUAUGCGGCUACGUUGAAGCCACAUCAUUUCCUCCCUGUAAAGCAAUUCAUCCAACUCUUCCAUUUUCUUCUUUACUAGCAACCGAUCGGCAUCAUUGAGCUGCAAAGCCUCGAGUUCCCCGCGAAGCUUCAUGAUCUGUUUCUCCACAUGACCAAAGUUGUCCUUACUCCACUUACGAAUGUCAGACAUGACCGAUUUUAAGGAAGCUGCCACAUUCCCAAGAUCACCAGUAGGUUUUACUUUCGCCCAAGCUGCCGCGAUAACCUGGGAAAGACGGCAGUCGCGUUCCCACAUAAUUUCAUACUUGGGAUGCCCCAUCCGCCGUACGUCAACCACCUCCUCUAGAUGCAAGAGCUGUUGGAAUGAUGCCCUAGAGGCAAUAAUAAAUAUAGUUAUUAUUAUAAUUCCUGUAUCAAGAUAAUCGUUUAUUAUCCAUGCUAUAAUCGUAUUGAAUGAAGACUUAUAUACAUGUGUGGAUACAUAGACAAAACACUGUCCCUAGCAAGCCUCUAGUUGGCUAGCCAGUUGAUCAAAGAUAGUCAGGGUCUUCUGAUUAUAUACAAGGUGUUGUUGCUUGAUAACUGGAUCACGUCAUUAGGAGAAUCAAGUGAUGGACUAGACCCAAACUAAUAGACGUAGCAUGUUGAUCGUGUCAUUUUGUUGCUACUGUUUUCUGCGUGUCAAGUAUUUGUUCCUAUGGCCAUGAGAUCAUAUAAAUCACUGACACCGGAGGAAUACUUUGUGUGUAUCAAACGUCGCAACGUAACUAGGUGACUAUAAAGAUGCUCUACAGGUAUCUCCGAAGGUGUUCGUUGAGUUAGUAUGGAUCGAGACUGGGAUUUGUCACUCCGUGUGACGGAGAGGUAUCUCGGGGUCCACUCGGUAAUACAACAUCACACACAAGCCUUGCAAGCAAUGUGACUUAGUGUAAGUUGCGGGAUCUUGUAUUAUGGAACGAGUAAUGAGACUUGCCGGUAAACGAGGUUGAAAUAGGUAUGCAGAUACUGACGAUCGAAUCNAUGCGACGUUCCCCAACAAGAGCAGGGGACAAUGAUCAGAUCUAGGAGAAGUUAAGUGUUGUACUUUUGCAAAGGGAAACAUGUCCCGCCAGUCAUCCGAGGCACACACCCUAUCCAGACGGACUCGUGUGUUACCAAUUCCCAGGCGCCCAUUAUCGUAUGUGUAUGGCACACCCGAGAACCCUUAAUCAAUCAACUCACAUAGUUCUAGUGUAUCCCGGAAGGCUUCCAUUUGAUUUUCACGCCUAGCCGUCCUGGAGAAGUGCUCGUGCUGCCAAAGGGCUUCAUUAAAGUCUCCCCCACCAUCCAUGGCAAAUUGGAUAUGCCCCUCAGUCUGAUCAGGUGAUUCCACAUACAAUGCCGAUUCUCUACACGUGGUUCCCCAUAAAUAAAGGUUGAUCUCCACUGCUUUCCUGAUCGUUGAACAGUGAUAAGAACAUCAAUGUAGCGCUAGCAGGAAUCUAACACAGUGACAUGAUAGGAUUCCUCCCAGAACAAGGCCAAUCCACCACUAUGACCAAUGCAAUCAACACCACUAAAACCCUUUAAACCUAUCCUCCACUUGAGACUCUCAAUUUUUGCACAGGUUUGUCUUGUUUCCGCAAGGAAGACAAAGCUUGGGGAGUGGACUUUUACAAGAGCCCCAACUUCACGAACUGUUCGGCGGUUCCCCGCCCCCCGGCAGUUCCAGAAUAAAUGACUCAUUAGGCCUGGCGGCGCUCCACCUGGGAGCCCGUCGAUAGAUUAUCCGAGUCUGUUUGAGCAUCAUCUUUCUUAGCACGUUUACUAUCUGAACUGGUGGAUGGAGAUUCUAAGUUUGUUGUGUCCUUCCCAUCUGUUAUCAACAGAAGUUUCCCAUCCUGAGCAGGUUCCACCACUUCAUCUUGUUCCACUAGUAGACGCUUGCAAGCAGAUUUAUCGACCUCCAUGGCCAGCGGGGGGUUCUUCUUAACAGGGCUAGAGGCAGUGCCUUUCAACUCCCUGUCAAGGAACGAUACACCUUUGACCGUCGACACCUUGGCAGCAGGGGGAUCUGGGAUAGUUUUGUCAGAACGGCUCUGAUCCCAAUCGCCUUUGAACUUCCCCGGGGGAUCGGCAUACAGAUAGUCACCGAAUUUGAGAUCCCGUUUCUCAUACACGCCAUUACCACACUCCUUAUGAUCAUGACCAAUGAUACCACAGGCUUUGCAAAACCUUGCUAGCUUCUCAUACCUGACGGCAUAGACUGAUCUCACUUUACCUUUGACAAUGCUCACAAAUUUCGUGAGGGGUUUCCUGACAUCAUGUUUUACCCUAACCCGGAUGUAAUCACCCCUGGAAUUACCUGCUAUUCUUGUUUCCAAUAUCUCCCCUGAUGAUCGAAGCAAUUUCUCAACCACAUCCACUCUACAAUAUCCAUCCGGGAGUUUAUGGAUCUGGAGCCAUAUGGGCAUAUGCACCAUAAGAACAUCUGUUGCCUCAGAGUAGCCAUCAUAUGGAGAAAAAAUCACAGCCAUAUUGCGAAAAAGCCAUGGUCCUUGGGACAUGAUCCGGUCCCAAUCCCCAAGGCACUGUGCUUGGAUCACAAAAAGGUUGGUGCUGAUGGGGCGGAACCUGACGGGUUUAGCCGUGUUCCACACAACUCUCAUAUCCUUGAAGAAUGCAGCUUGACUAAAGUUCUUGUAAGUUUGGACCCUAGCUAGGGCAAGCCAUGGGAUCUCAUCCGCGAGAUCUGGAGCUUCCUCUUCCACGAUCACAUCAUCGAAUUCUUCCUCAUGCAGAUCCAGCUUCUCGAAGAAAUCUCCGAGCUCCUCGUCUUGUUUCCCCUGGGAACCUAGGUUCGUCGAUGAGAACGCAUCUGGAGCCGAUGCCAUGGCGCAGCACUGGAGCAGAACCCUCGCCGAGAACAAGGCGUUCGGGACGAAGGGGAGAAGGUCGCGGGAACGGACAGGACGCCGGCAAAGCCGACGGUAAAAACUAGGGCGGGCGGAGGACCUACGGUGUGGAAUCGCCGAAGGGAUGUAAAACCCUAGCUCACGCUAGGGGAAAAAAUAGUACAUGACGAAGGAAGUUAAAAUAAUGAAGAUGGACUUCAACAUGAUCUCUACGAGAAAACGGUAUUGGUUUAAGAAGAUGUAGGCUGAUCUGUUCAAACUCGAUGACGACUGAUCCAUGACAUGGUGUGCGGACAGGAUCACGGUCGAUAUGGCGUGGUCGGACUACAACCAUGUUUUGUGUGCUCACAUGUGUGUCGGUCACUGAUAAAUGCGCCCAGAAUGGAAACUACAUACUUUUCUUUGUAGAUAGACAUAUGUGUGCCGGCGCUUGCAUAUCGUCAACGCAAACUCUUGACACUGACAUGAUCUAUCGCCAUGCACCCUUUUUACAUAAAAAAAUGUUGUACGUAUACGAAAAAUAGGUCGCUUCGUUGGACGCACAAUCGGUCCAUUUAAAAAGAACGGGCAUGUCGACCUAAACGUAUAAAAUGCAAACAAUAGGUGCGUCCUUUUAAAUCGUCCGCGUGUGUUUGAUUCCAAGGAAGUAGACUUUUUUUAGUUCGACAGGCUAAAGAAAAAAAUCUCUCCAACACCUUUUUUAGUCUUUUAAAAAAAGUCUCUCCUGUUUGGUUACAUAAAAACUAAAAAAAGUUAAAUUUUUUUAAUCUGGUCCUUAUAAACAAACAGGGCUGAAGCUAUUUUAACUCAGCUGUUUGUCCGAACCUUUUAAGGGCGGGUUUUGAGUUGCCUCGUGUAGAUGCUCUAAAAAAGAAGGGAAAUCUCACGCCCAAGUUGUGCGCGACAGUCCAAUCAUCGGCAUGCAUCCAUGAGGCGAGGCGAGGCCACGCGGACAGGUAGACGACCCCGGCUAUCACUCUGCCGUCCGUUGCACUGCUCGACGCUCGGAUGAUUUGGCUGCAUGCGCAUGCAUGCGACAGUCGCAUGGAUAGCCUUCAUGACUACCCAUCUCACUGGCAAGUAGUAUCGUUGUGUGGUUCCGCUCAAUGAAAACAAAGGGUGUGUUCAGUUUGAGGAUAAGGUGUCAUGGGAUGGGUUGAUUCCGUCCCUGGCAGCCCAUCCUCAUGUUCACUUGUGUUUUCAUCCGGAACCGGACCGUCCGCAUGCAAUGGAUAUUCCUUUAAGAUGCUUCCUCUACCGAUGCGUGGGAAAUGUAGGAACCGGAUCGUUAUUCAUCGAUUGAACGCAAAAAAAAAACAAAGCCUCACCGCUCACCCCUCACCCCCGAGGACGUCCCACCUCCGAACCCUAUCCUCUCCCUCUCCCUCUCGUUCUUCCCUCCCAGCCGCCACUCUCCCCUCGCAUCUGCUCUCCACCGACGGUGAGACGACGGCCAGCGACGGGGAAAGAACCGGACGGCCAGCGGCGGGAAGGAACCUGCAGCGCCCACCCCAUCUUCCUCCCGUUCGACCUGCAGCAGUUCCUCCCCCAGCUCGUCCUGUGCAGCAGCCCCUCCUCCUCCCAGCCCGACCCGCCGCGCCGAUCCCAUCUUCGUCGAGCUGCAGCAGCCCCUCCUCCUCCUGAAGGUAUGCAUCUCGUUGGCCAGCACCAUCCCUUCCCCGUGCCACUUUUCUUGUACUAGGAAAAACUAGGCUUCUUGCUGCUGUUAUGUUUGAUAGAGUCCAAUUUGGCAGUGUGAUGUGAAGUGUAAAAACAUGUUGAGGUUUGAGAGAGCUCCUUUCUUUCAUUUGUGUGACAUAUUGAGGGAUCGCAAGUUGCUCAAACCGACUAUACAUUUAGAUGUGGAGCAACAAGUGGCAAUGUUUUUGCAUACUAUUGGACAUAACCUUCGGAAUAGGGUUGUGGCAACAAACUUUUGUAGAUCAUUUGGGACAAUUAGCAUCUACUUUAGACGUGUCCUUCAUGCCAUAGGUCAGCUGCGUAAUGAUUAUAUCAGGCCCCCUUCAUUGGAGAUCCCAACAAAAAUAGAAGGAAAUCAUCGGUUUGACCCAUAUUUCAAGGUAUUUUAAAAAACUAUUCCUUAGCUAUUUAGGAUAUAAAUCAGGCCAUUUACUAUUUUGUCAAUAUAUAGGAUUGCAUUGGAGCUAUUGAUGGUACCCAUGUGCGAGCAUCGGUUACAAAAGAUGUUGAAGCCUCUUUUCGUGGUAGGAAGGGAUUCACCACUCAAAAUGUGAUGGCAGCGGUAGAUUUUGACCUCCGCUUCACAUAUGUGUUGGCUGGUUGGGAGGGGACAGCCCAUGAUGCGACUGUUUUAGCUGAUGCAUUAGCACGUGAGAGAGGGUUACAAGUGCCAGAAGGUAAGAGAUUGCCUUAGAUUUGUCCAUAUAUUAGUGCAAGCCUUAUCACCAUUUUUCUUUUUCUUUUUUUAGGAAAAUUCUACCUAGUUGAUGCGGGAUAUGGAGCCAAACCCGGUUUCUUGCCACCUUUCCGUGCCGUGAGAUACCAUUUGAACGAGUGGGGCAACAAUCCAGUUCAAAAUGAAAAGGAGUUGUUCAAUCUGAGACACUCAUCACUACGGGUGACGGUAGAGCGAGCUUUCGGAUCUCUCAAGAGGCGAUUCAAAAUUUUAGAUGAUGCCAAACCAUUCUUUCUAUUUCCGGUACAAGUAGACAUUGUCAUAGCUUGUUGCAUCCUUCAUAAUUAUGCACUAUCUCAAGGGACUGAUGAAUUCAUUAUGCCGGAGGUGACGUGGACCACCCAACCAGUUCGAACACAAAGGCAACAAGCAAGUGACCAUAGGGCCACGAUUGACCGUAGGCAACAAAUUGCUACACAAAUGUGGGUGGUUAGGCAGGCCAUGUUUGGAAAUUGAGUAGUAUGGCAUAUUACAUGUCAAAACCAUGUAUCUUUGAGUUUAUGUAAUGGCUCGAUAAUUGUACCUUUUGUUCUGUUGAAACAAUCUAUUACUAUCAUUGUUAUUCCUUUAUGGCUGGAGAGAAUGUUACUUACUAUAUUUGAUAUUUGUGAUGAUCCAUUCAAUUUUUUUAUGGCUGGACAGAAUGUUAUUUACUAUAUUUGAUACAUNNNNNNNNNNNNNNNNNNNNNNNNNNNNNNNNNNNNNNNNNNNNNNNNNNNNNNNNNNNNNNNNNNNNNNNNNNNNNNNNNNNNNNNNNNNNNNNNNNNNNNNNNNNNNNNNNNNNNNNNNNNNNNNNNNNNNNNNNNNNNNNNNNNNNNNNNNNNNNNNNNNNNNNNNNNNNNNNNNNNNNNNNNNNNNNNNNNNNNNNNNNNNNNNNNNNNNNNNNNNNNNNNNNNNNNNNNNNNNNNNNNNNNNNNNNNNNNNNNNNNNNNNNNNNNNNNNNNNNNNNNNNNNNNNNNNNNNNNNNNNNNNNNNNNNNNNNNNNNNNNNNNNNNNNNNNNNNNNNNNNNNNNNNNNNNNNNACAUUUUCAUGGCUGGACUUGUGAUCAUAUAAUAUUAAAUUGCUUGUUGAAAAUACAAAGAAAAUGCUGUCAAAAUUUUAAAUUAUAUGUUGUCCAAAUCUGAGAUAUAUAUGAGCACAUUAGAGGUAAUAUCACCAUUCAUAUGAAGAGGUGAGUGGAAUGAAAUUCUUCUCAUUUUACCUCCCAAACCAAACACAUGGACGGAAUUAACCCAUGCCAUUUUUUAUGUCCAACCGAACACAAGAAUGGAACCAACCCAUGCAUCCGGAAUGGAACCAUGACAUUUCAUACAUUUUGAUCCUCAAACCGAACACACCCAAAAAGUAUCCCUGCGUGACACUGCUACACCCCUCGGACUCGGGACCGUGAAUGACGCCGUUAUAUUUCUGUUCGUAGAGUCCACCUUGUACAACGGUGCAAUCAUAUAUACUGCUUGAUAUGUAUAUAUACGUACGUCCUCCUUGCAUCGUAUCCGCACGGUUGUGUCGUGAGCAGUAGAAGCGACUGUGUGAGCUCCGUUUUCGACCACUGCGCAAUAAUGUGCACUCGUAGCAGUACGUUAGAGCAUCUAUGGUCACAACUCGUAAAUCUAACAUCUCAAACAUUUGCAUAUGUUCAUGAACACUCAUCGAUCAGAUCUUAAAUAUUGUAUUUUAUAAUUAUACAUUUUAAAUUAAAAAAAUUAAAUUCAUAUUAUUACCUGCAACAUAAAUCUAAUAUUAAGCGGAGCUCGUCCGGCUCUGUUGUGCCCUUGUCUUGCGGCCGUAUGAGUCCCUGACAAUGUCGGUCCGGUCAUCGAUGAGGUAGAAUAGGACAUGGGACACUAGCAGGUUCAUGGGAGUCGAGCUCUCGCCGUCUCCCGUGCCCACUCUUCCUCGUCGGAGCCCGUGACUUGAACGGUGCCCAUGGACGUUAGUUCGGUGACGGAUCCUUUUUGGAAUGAGACGAUGUCGACCACGGCGCAUUUACGGCGCCCGUACCCGUGCAUUAUAUGGGACACCGAAGAGUGCGACUCCGCCUCUCCAAUGUCCACCACCGCUAAGGCCUCUGCCACCUCCCGCGUCCGCUGCCUCGCACGACGAGCAUGUCGCGUUAUGUUAGCGCCCGAGGACGCCCAAGAUGCAUCCUCUACGUGCAAACAAAGGGGUUGCGCGUGCGCCACGACGUUCGAACGCCAGAUGGACCGCACCGUCUCCGAUGAGGCAACGACGUCAGAUCCAGGCACCGAAUGAGUCGACGGAAUGGAUUCCCGGUGCUGCGAGUCCCGACCCUACUGUUAGGCGGCCGCCUCCCGGAAGCGGCGGAGUGCAAACCAGACAACCAUCUCGUCCUCGGGGCCGCAUGUGAUGAGCUCGUUGUUGAUGGAUCUGGAGGUGAAGGACUCAGAUCCGCUGCUCGUCAUGCCGGAGAAGGUCGAAGAUAGUAGGAGGUGUGCUUGGAUGGCGGAUGGGAACGAAGGAGCGUGGAGUGAAGUAGCUAGGAUUUGGUCCGACAAACGAAUGAGGAUGAAUAUAAGUGGGGUCAAUGUGGGCGCGUCCAGACUAUCUUAAAUCCGUCUCAUAUUUCAAUUAAAUAUGAAAGGUGCCGGUUAGUUCACACGUUUGAGGUUCGUUUGAGAGGUUCAGUUAGAUCAAAAUUUUAUGACCAAUUAAUGACUAGGCGGCUUACAGUACAUUUAAAAAAUAGGUGCGGCUCUAGAUGCUCUUAAAACGGACGCCAGAGUGGUAUAAAAUAAAAGAAUUCCAAAAAUACACACGUGAACGUGAAUGAAGCAUGCUCUCUCUUGUGCAAGCCAGAAAGGGGAGCGGUGUUUUGCUCCCGGGUUAACAAUAAUGUAAAUAAAUAUAUUAAAUGUUUAUAGAAUAUAUAUAUAUAUUUAGAUGAUUGUAUUAGUGUCAGAAAUAUGCAUGAUAAUUUUUGUGUAAUAAGGAACAUUGGUGUUUAGUCGAUAAAAAAAAUUGGGUUGACAUUUUGAUAUAACUUUUGAUAUUCAAUUUGUUUUUUUGGGCACAAGCCAAAAUAUUUUAUAUUUUUGCCUCAAAAUUUGCAUAUAGCAUUUUAAUGUAACUAAAUACACAAAUAAAUUUUAUCUUAAUUUUUUUAUUUUAAACCUUUUCAUGCUCCCCGAGAGCCAAAUUGCAUUUCCGAUAAACAACGCAGAGGUCUUUUCCUUUCUUCAUAAACGCACGAGAUGAGAUAGGUUCAUUUAUAUCGGAAGCAUGUGCGUACUGCUUCCGUUGUCACCCUGCCCUGCCAACAGAAUUCAGAAAAUAUUGUGCUACUGACGAUACACUAGUGGGGACAGGGCCUUUAGUCCCGGUUCCUGUCACGAACCGGGACUAAAAGUCUACCCUUUAGUCCCGGUUCAAGACACCAACCGGGACUAAAUCCUCCAAACCCUUUAGUCCCGGUUCGAGACACGAACCGGGACUAAAUCCUUCAAACCCUUUAGUCCCGGUUCGAGACACAAACCGGGACUAAAGGCUCCUUACGGGUCGGGACCAAAGCCUCGUGCGAUUUGGGACGACGUGGCCGGGCCUUUAGUCCCGGCCCAGAGGCAGGUCGGGACUAAAGGGUCCAGGCCAAAGGUCCUUUUUCUACUAGUGAUACAUGCAUGCUAGUGUUGCGAACCCGAGCUAUAUUGUGUAUCACAGUCCGUGAGUAGCUUCAAAUAAAUCUAAAGAGACGAUUUCCCGGUUGCGUAUGUGAAGACUCAUUUGGUUAGUACAUACCAAAGUUAGGCCCGAGCAUAUUGCUGCACAACCAUCUCAUCGGCAUUCGCAGGGCACAGAUUGUUUGCUCAUCUGACUUCUUUAAGCCAAAAAUGCUUCAGUUUAGAGCUAUCAGCCUUGCCUGACAGAGGGGAAGGGGGCUGAACACCAAUUACAACUUUAACCCGGUCCCGCCAGUUAACGGCACUCACAUGGCCAGUAAGAGCAAAUCAGUUGAUAGGAAGGCCACUUAUCAUGACCCUGUCCUUUAGGGUCAUCGUCAUCUCCCCGCACGCAAGGUGAAAAGAGUGUGUAUCGGACCUCCAACGAUUCGUAAGUGUGGUGAGUGUUGCAUGGUUCACCGGUGAUGGGGUUCAGUUGAAUUGCAACACAAAUGGGAGAAGACCCAAUCUUGCAAUGUACGACUCGUACCGCACGUCAUAUGAAAAAUCAUUUGCACCAUGACCCCUCAUGCGCAUAGCUACUACAGGCUGUAAACAAUGUGAACUUCAUAUCAGUACGAGAAACACACAUGAAAAACAUGAAUAAUUAUUAAGUCAAACUUCUUUUCUUCCGAUUCUUAAUGGCACGAGCACGAUGCUCUCUGUCGAACUAUUCGAUUAACCCGUCAUACCAAGGGGCCAUCAUCAUCCACCAUCCUACCAAUAAAUAACAUCAUCACCUUUUAAUAUAUGAAUAAUAUAUACAAUAUUUCAUCCUAUGAAAUACCUAUCUAAAACAUUCUAGCGACAAAAUAUGCAACCACAUAUCAGCUGGAGUACACAAACAAAUCUCUUGAACAACCCAUUCAUAACACAAACAUCAAAUUUCAUCAUCUUUUUUCGAAAAAAAAUUUAUCAACAAUAUGUCCAUCCAUAUCAUCAUCCAACAAAUUGAAUAAAAUCUACUAUAUACAAAUCAUCUAUAUAAUUUAACAAGCACACAAAAAUCCAUAAAACUAAGAAAUAAUCUACUAAUUGAACAUCACCCAUUCUUUGAAAGUGUUCUCUUAGUUGGAAGAAUUGAGGAAGACUACCUCAAGGAUGCUUGGGGACUUAGAUUCACGGAUUUUGGUGGAGGAUGGAGUAGAUAGGGGGGUGUGAGAGGGAAGAGGGGCUAGAGAGAGUCUGUUCGGUCGCUAGAGGAAGAAGAUGUGAAAGGGUGGGGCGGCCCCGCGCGGCUGUGUAACUUAUCAGGGCCAAAUGUCAAGGUCUGCGGCGUCUGAGUCUGGAGACCAGACGCCAGGAUCCCUGUCGUCUGGUCCUUUGCCACGUCAGCCCGUCAAUGAAGUUGUUCGUCGUGCGGUCCCGUACCACAUGUGAUGGUCCCUCGCCUUUGUCGUGCAACCCAUACGUCAGACAUGUUGACGUCACGAAAAUAUGUUAGAUUCAUUUUUUAAAAAAAUGAGACCAAAUCUGGAUUAAGUUAGCCUUUUAGGUAAAAAAUUGUCCACGCACUUUGGAAGGACACAGAAUCUUGACGAAGAUGUAGUAAAAGGCAAGCGGUCAAGAAACAAAGAGUUGAUGUGACAUGUGUUGCAGGUUUGAGUGCGUGCCAAACCCAAACUCAAAGCCUAUUGGAUAAGUACUAGGGCUCUGUUUGUUUCAGAAGUCCCCGGACUUUUUUAGUGCUAACUUAAAAGUCUAGUCCCUAUUCAUUUGUUUUCAGGGACUAAAUAGAGACUAAAGGUCAUUCAAUAACAUGUAAAAAAAGCAUGUUACCUUUAUUAAUGUAGUAUCCAUCCGUCCCAAAAUAACUGUCUCAACUUUGUACUAGUUCUAGUACAAAGUUAUACUAAGCUUAAGACAUUUAUUUUGGGACCGAGGAAGUAGUAGUUAUUAAAUGACAUGCUAAAAGUAGGGGAUUUGUUGGAAAAAGUGCCAAAAAAAUCCCAAAAAAACCCUCCCAUAGGGGCUUCUCCAAAUAGUCCCAAAUACCACCUUUUAGUCCCUAAAAGUCCCUUCUGUUUGUUUCACAUGGGACUUUUUGAGACUUUUUUUAGUCCCUACACCAAAAAGUCCCUGGAAACAAACGCCCCGUAGGUCACCCGAUAGAAUAAACUACUCGUGAAUUGUGUGCAGAGAAUCGUUGUUUCUUUGGAGUCGCUGCAGGGUAGGCGUAGCGUAGGAAUGAGCAAAUUCCAUUCCAAUAAAAGAGAGUUAAUUGCAAAAGACNNNNNNNNNNNNNNNNNNNNNNNNNNNNNNNNNNNNNNNNNNNNNNNNNNNNNNNNNNNNNNNNNNNNNNNNNNNNNNNNNNNNNNNNNNNNNNNNNNNNNNNNNNNNNNNNNNNNNNNNNNNNNNNNNNNNNNNNNNNNNNNNNNNNNNNNNNNNNNNNNNNNNNNNNNNNNNNNNNNNNNNNNNNNNNNNNNNNNNNNNNNNNNNNNNNNNNNNNNNNNNNNNNNNNNNNNNNNNNNNNNNNNNNNNNNNNNNNNNNNNNNNNNNNNNNNNNNNNNNNNNNNNNNNNNNNNNNNNNNNNNNNNNNNNNNNNNNNNNNNNNNNNNNNNNNNNNNNNNNNNNNNNNNNNNNNNNNNNNNNNNNNNNCUAGCUAGCUGGCCUUUUUAGGCCAACGACAUAGUGUUUGGCGUUUGCUGGCAGUACGAUCGGACUAUGAUCGGACUAUAAGCGCGGGAUAAUUUUACUGUUCUAACCUGUAACUGAAAUAUUAUGUAGGCCAAAGACAUAUUUGAAUCUGACUUCUUUAUCACGUCAACAUCCUGGCGUCCAAUUUACACGACGAACGACGGGGGCAAUUCUGACUUUUUUAUCAACGGGGGCAAUUCUUAAAUUUGUUUCAGCAAAAGGUCCGAACAGUAAAACUUUCCAAUGCGUGCGCCUUUUGAUUUGUGGCAACCGUGAUGAUAACUACUACAACAGUGAUUAUAGGUAUCGUCUACUAUCCAAAUUUAUGCAGGCCUUUCGAUUGUAGCUAGCGACACUAUUUUAUGGAGGCACGCUCCUGUAGUCGUGGUAGCACGGUUUGACGGGAUUCCGCUUUGACUGGUAUACGCCGCGCUUCGGGUUGAAAGUUUCUCUUUGUGGGAAAAGAAAGAAGGGGACCUGUUGAUGGGAAAUACUAACAGAAACACAAAUGUGUGCCUUGUAUUUUUCUGAGCCAAGUAGUACGUGUGUGCACUGUUGAGUGAUGCUAUAAUGAGAGGCAUCAUUCAAGCGAAUCUUCAGGCAUCAAGGUCAGUAGCACUGCGAUGAUUGUGAAAUUUCAGUCCAUGGAAGUCUUGGCUUUGAGGUGAAUGCCCGACCUCAUGAUUUUGACUUCCUGUUCGGCAAAAGGCUGCGUGUCUGGUCCUUGUAGCCCUUUGGCAAUCGAUCAAAUGCUGCGCACCUACACCCCUGUUUUGCGGAAUCAAAUCAAUAGGACAGGACAGCACCAUGCAUGCAUCAAGGCGUAAAGUGAGUACAUAGUACAGUGAUACAGAUGUAGCCGGUGCCACCCACCUCAGCAACGGCUUAUUUCUAGCGUUGUGUUAUCAUCUCCAUGUAUGGUGUUUCUUUAUUUUUAAUAGUAUAACAAAUUCGAGAAAUGUAUGUCUAAGAUCAAAAUUUCAAAACUACGACCCCGUGGAUCUAGCUGAAAUCAAAGAGGACCUUCUAGGUCUUACGUGGGCCCAAGAGUGGUCUUCGGUGUAGCACAGCCGAAGGGUUCCAGAACUCGGAUGACGAGCAUUCUUUGGAUUUUCAUUGGUUGAAGGGGAAUCUUCUGUUUACUUUAGGUCCAAGAAUAUUCAGGGCUCAUCUGUGCACGUAAACUUCAGGCCGAAACUGCAUUGAUCCACUCUUUGAUUUUUAUUAGGUCCAAGUAUCAUUUAGAAAAAAACGGGUUUAUCAAUCAGUACAACCAUUCCCUACCUUAGCCAUGAAAAAAGUGUACUUUCCCGCAACCCUUCCUCUUCAUCUGUUCCCGCCAUUAUCCUUCCCGCCAACCCUUUUCCUCCAAUUCUUUCCUCACAUUCUUUCUGGCCAUUUUCUUUCCCGCCCAAUUUUCGUGCCAACCACUUACCAUCAUUCUAUAAAACCGCCCCAUGCCUGAUUUCUUCUUCAUAUUUCCUUAGCAAUAUUUUCAGUCAUGUCCAGCGACAGUUCCUGCGGUUUUGCUUCACUGAUGUCUCAUUUACUCUUGUGCAAUGCCGCAAGAAUGUAGAUGCAAAAUACAUGAGGUGUGUAUUUGGAAGAAUUAGUCAGUAGUGAUAGGCAUGUGACGGAGUUGAGUAAGUGUUUUCCCCGACCCGAUCUCCUGGAGAAGUGCUUGGAAAGGAACCGAUAGGAGAUUCAACAAGAAAUUUUCCGUUUACUUGUUAGGUGGAAUAGGAUUGUUGAACUCAAGCAUAUGGCUGCGCGCAUUGUUGGUAGACUCUAUCAUGACUAAUCAAGAAUAAAAUUUGCACAGAAGCAAUACGAAGACCACGUUAAGGUAAUUCAUAUUUCAUUUCAUCUUGCACACUGUUAGACCAUAUGUUGGUAUGUAACUAGGUUAUUAUUGUUGCUUCUAAUUUUUAGAGGUACCUUGCGGACGCGGAACUAAUGAACAAGGAUAUCUUCAACUUUGGAUAGAUGAAGAUUAUUUGGGGCCAUAUACCUAAGGUACCUCAACAACGUGCUGCAUCGGCAAGGGGUGGCGCUAGCUCCAAGAGAGUGAUUGAAGACGAUAAUGAUGACUUCAUGCCAAGCAAACGAGAUCAUGACAGAGGAAAGGCCCUUGUGGCAUGUGAGAGGGGUGGCGGUAGCUAUAAAAAAGUGAAGAGCGAUGAUGAUGACUUUAUGCCAAGCAAGAAACCUCACAAAUAAUCCAAUGUUUCCGCCAGCUCAAAGAGUGAUAAAUCAAGAAAGAGUGUAGCAUCAUUGAAGGGGGCUGAUGCUGAUUACAAUUCCAUAGAUGAGUUUAUGCAAGGGAAACAUGUUCAAGUAACAUUUGGACGCAACCGUGAAGACCUCUCGAAGGCCCUUAUUAGUGAGAAUAGUAACGAUGACUUCAUGUUGUUGUUGCACGAUGUUGUAGAAUUAGUUUGUAGUGUUUUAUUGUAGGAGCAUUACGUUGUAUCUUAAUUUUCUAUUGUAGUUGUUGCACGACAUUGCAUAAUUUAUUUGUAGUAUCAGAAUUCUAAUAUGAAGUAGGAAACUAGAAAAUACAAUGAAAACAAAUAUGUAUCAUGCAUACUUAAUGGCUCACACAUGUAAGCAAGUGCGAUAGUAACACAUACAUGAAAGCAUGUCUCAUAGAUAGAUAGUAACUCGCACAGGAGAAAAGUGUGAAACUAACAUGGAUGGACAUAUGUGUCAUAUAUAGAUAAUCAUAUCACUACUCGGGAUGACGACGAAGUUGUGGCUUCAUCGGACGAGGACCGGAAGGCGAUAAGCGCUGAGACGGAUGAAGACACACAUUUCUUACUCGUGAUCCGCUUCUAGCUUGACUGCCUCGACCAUGUCCGCCUAUUACUCCUCUUGUCGCACUUGACGAUGUCAUAGGACCAUCUUCCUUGAGGUGAGGACACUAUUUCAUCCUAUGUCAAUACUUCGUGCAUAGCAAAAUACUUCGUGCAUAGCAAACAUUGACAGGUUGCUCCACCAACUUCAGAUUGGCCCAUAUCGUUGUGGAUGCGAGGUACCUUACGUCUACCCCUACUUGUUCGCUGAAGAACUGGAUCCUUGAUGUAUACUAUCUCACCACCGUUUACCUUGUUGAAAUUGUCGAUGACUCUAAACCGUGAUAUCUCACCGGCCAUGUGUUGAGUACUACCUCUUUUAAAUAAUAUGGGGACACGAAGGGGAUAGCGUCUAACUGAAUCUGGCCAUAGGCAACCAACACAUGUGAGCAAGGCAAGUGCAAGUACUUCGGUUUGUUGAAAUGGUUGUGAUUCGGAUAAAUCAAUCUCGUUAGCCACUUGACUACCCUGGCAGGGUUCCUGCCCCCCAUCGACUUGUAUGAUAUUCUCCUCCUAAGUCACAGGUUGCACUAGGUCAUAUGGGUCGAUUCUUCGGUCUUUGCAAUGCCUUAACAGGGUCAACCACUUUGUGGCCCAUGGUUAGAACCUCUAAGGGGCCCCAACGGCUUGGACUUGAGAUGGUUGAAAAAAGACAUAAAAGCUUGGCAAGAACGAUGCUUAUGACUCCUAUCUACCGACAUCAACUCCCACGGUGCAUUUUUACAUGAGUUCGUCCACAAAGCAUGAAUACUCAUGGAACAUACUUCGGAAUCCAUCACAAAACUAGUAGUCAACCAAUACUUCAACUGUCUAAUGUCCACUCUUUCUCGGUCUCGAAGUGUCAUUACACAAUUUUUAUACUCGCUAAGAUGAGCCCCCAAUUCAUUAUAUCGAACAUUACAAGGGCAAUAUUAUACGGUCAAAUUAACCGAUUCAGACAUUUUCACACGUAACACAUUUUCAUCUUCUCAUCAAUCAUCAUGAAAAAAUAAUCCCAGCUUAACUAAUUAAUCACUAGAAUAUCACCACACAAAAAGUAAAACUACAAGCACGCAACAUGAAUCAUCUACACUAACUGAAACACUAAAACAUAAUAUGCACAUAGCAGAAUAAUUAGAAAAAUAUACAACGACAUGGUUAUACCUUCGAUGCGUGCGUCCGCUGCCUUGCUCCUCUCUUCCAUUCAGCGGCACCGGCCACCUCCCAGAGUUCUUGCACCAUCGACACCACAACUGCGUCCACCUCGGCUCCCGGAGCUUGGACUCCAGCUACCUCCCACCAAGGUAAUUCACCACCAACCACACCUCUUCCACCCGAGGCCGCACCUCCUCCCCACCCCCACCUCCACCUCACCAUGACUCCUCCUCACCUAUGCUCACUUCUUGAAAAAAAGCUACCUGAUACGUCGAUUUUGCAUCAUGCUUUCAUGUUGAUAUUUAUCGCUUUUUGGGCUGUUAUUUCACUUCACGGUACAAUACUUAUGCCUUUUCUCUAUUAUUUUGCAAGGUUUACAUGAAGAGGGAGAAUUCCGGCAGCUGGAAUUCUGGCCUGAAAAAGGAGCAAGUUUGAGAUGCCUAUACCGCGCAACUCCAAAAGCCGUGAAAAUCAAGGUGGAAUCUUUUGGGAUUAUAUAAAAAAUACUGGGCGGAAGAAGUACCAGAGGGGCACCACGUGGAGGCCACAAGCCUGCCGGGCCCGGCCUACCCCCCUGGUCGGUCCUGGGAGGCUUGUGGGCCCCAUGUUGCCCCUCCGGCGCUCAUCUUUUUCUAUAUGAAGGGUUUCGUCCGGAAAAAAAAAUCAUAAGGGAGCUUUUCGGAGGUUUCGCCGCCGCCGCGAGGCGGAACUUGAGCAGAACCAAUCUAGAGCUCCGGCAAGACGAUCCUGCCGGGGAGACUUCCCUCCCUGAGGGGGAAAUCAUCGCCAUCGUCAUCACCAACACUCCUCUCAUCGGAGGGGACUCAUCACCAUCAACAUCUUCAUCAACACCAUCUCAUCUCCAAACCCUAGUUCAUCUCUUGUAACCAAUCUCCGUCUCGCGAGUCCGAUUGGUACUUGUAAGGUUGCUAGUAGUGUUAAUUACUCUUGGUAGUUGAUGCUAGUUGGAUUACUUGGUGGAAGAGUUUAUGUUCAGAUCCUUGAUGCUACUCAUUACCUCUCUGGUCAUUAAUAUGAUUAUGCUUUGUGAGUAGUUACUUUUGUUUCUGAGGACAUGGGAUAAGUCAUGCUAAUAGUAGUCAUGUGAAUUUGGUAUUCGUUCGAUAUUUUGAUGUGUUGUAUGUUGUUUUUCCUCUAGUGGUGUUAUGUGAACGUCGACUACAUAACACUUCGCCAUUAUUUGGGCCUAGAGGAACGCAUUGGGAAGUAGUAAGUAGAUGAUGGGUUGCUGGAGUGACAGAAGCUUAAACCCUAGUUUAUGCGUUGCUUCGUAAGGGGUUGAUUUGGAUCCACUAGUUUAAUGCUAUGGUUAGACUUUGUCUUAAUUCUUCUUUCGUAGUUGCGGAUGCUUGUGAGAGGGGUUAAUCAUAAGUGGGAUGCUUGUCCAAGUGAGGGAAGUACCCAAGCGCUGGUCCACCCACAUAUCAAACUAUCGAAGUAACGAACGCGAAUCAUAUGAACAUGAUGAAAACUAGCAUGACAGAAAUUCCCGUGUGUCCUCGGGAGCGUUUUCCCUCCUAUAAGACUUUGUCCAGGCUUGUCCCUUGCUACAAAAGGGAUUGGGCCACUUUGCUGCACCGUUGCUACUUUUGUUACUUGUUGCUUGCUACGAAUCAUCUCACCACACAACUACUUGUUACCGAUAAUUUCAGUGCUUGCAUAUAUUACCUUGCUGAAAACCACUUGUCAGAUCCUUCUCCUCCUCGUUGGGUUCGACACUCUUACUUAUCGAAAGGACUACGAUAGAUCCCCUAUACUUGUGGGUCAUCACUACCCCAUGGAUAGAUCGGACCCUAGAUAGCCCGCCGGGGAUGGCUAUCCUAUACCAUUUCUACGGGUCGGAUGAAAGAAUCGCUAAAAAAUGGAGGAGCUCAUCGGAAUUUCGCGAGAGGGAGGAGAGAGAGCAAACAGAGGAAGAACUGGAUCGAGGAAGAAGAAGCUUGGCCUUAUCCUGACCUCUCCGGUCGUGGGUUGGCUGAAGAUCUUCGGUCAUUUGUAGGCCCCAAAGGCCCUCUUCGGUCUGGGCUGAGCCUAAGUUAAUCUUUUCGGUUGACGGGUCACCCACAACUGUUUUUCGGUUCGUGUAAACAUGUCUUCGGCCUCUGGUUAAUCGAAGUUAUGUCUUUGGCCAAUGCUAGGCCGAAGAGUUGGUUUUCGGUCGCAGCUAUGAUGACGUGGUCGUAGUUUUGGAAAUUUUAUAUUAGAGCAUAUACAACGAGAUCCUUCAAACCCUCAUCAAAUGCCCGGGUAGGCCGCCCGGUCACUGCCCGAUCACAAAAAUUCGACCCAGACCGGCCUCUAAAUGGCCUCAAACGCCCGGGCAAACCGGACCUCCCAUUUUAUCACACCCCAAAAAUUCUUUCCAGCACAGUGGNNNNNNNNNNNNNNNNNNNNNNNNNNNNNNNNNNNNNNNNNNNNNNNNNNNNNNNNNNNNNNNNNNNNNNNNNNNNNNNNNNNNNNNNNNNNNNNNNNNNGUUCGAGAACUAUGUAGAUCAUGGAUAAUAAACGAUUAUUAUGAACAAGGAAAUAUAAUAAUAACUAGUUUAUUAUUGCCUCUAGGGCAUAUUUCCAUCAUGCAACAAACUCUGGGCUGCUUCAGGUGGGGCUUUGAGUGAGACAUGUCUACAUAGUUCUAGAACCCGCAGGGUCUGCACACUUAAGGUUCAGUGACGUUUCAGUAUAAUUGAAUUAUAGGUGUUGGUGACUGAAGGUUGUUCGGAGUCCCCGAUGAGAUCAUGGACGUCAUGAGGGUUUCCGGAGUGGUCCGAAAACGAAGAUUGAUAUAUAGGAUGGUUUCAUUUGGUCACCGGAAAGAUUUCGGGCAUUACCAGCAGUGUACUCGGAGUGAUGAAUGGGUUUCGGAUAUUCACCGGGAGGGGCCCACCCACCCGGGAGUGAGCCGAGUAGCCCUAGGGUGGCACACCAGCCCUUAGUGGGCUCGUGAGGCCAACCCAAGUGGGCUAUGGCGCCACAAGGAGAAAAAAACAAAAGAAAGGAAAAAAAGGAAAGAGGGAGGUGGGAAGGAAGGAGUGGACUCCUUCCCCCAAACUGAAUUAGGGUGGGAGUCCACCUCCUCCUCUCGACCGGCACCCUUGGGGCUUCCUUGAGCCCCAAGGCUAGCCCCUCCCCUCCUCCUAUAUAUAUUGGUGGUUUUAGGACUUUUGAGACACAACUUUGCCACGUGCUGCCCUCUCCUCUAGAUCAUAGUUCUUCCUCUAGAUCGGUUUUCUACGGAGCUCGGGCGGAGCCCUGCAGCAAUAGAUCAUCACCAUCACCGGCGCGCCAUCACGGUGUCGUAGAACUCAUCUACUUCCCCGUCUCUCUUGCUGUAUCAAGAAGGCGGAGAUCGUCAUCGAGUUGUACAUGUGUUGAACGCGGAGGUGACGUCCGUUCAGUGCUAGAUCGGAACGGAUCGUGGGACGACGGUGAUUUGAAUCACGAAGUUGUAGCACUACUUCAACCACGAUUCUUAACGCUUCCCGCUUAGCGAUCUACAAGGGUAUGUGGAUCCGAUCUCCCUCUCGUAGAUGAACAUCGCCUUGAUAGGUCUUCGUGUGCGUAGGAAAAAUUUUGUUUCCCAUGCAACGUUCCCCAACACUGCGUGCGCGAGCCGGCGCCUCAAAUAUAAUGCGUGCGAUAGCGUUUUUCAACCCGUGUCCAAAACUUUUCAGCGCGCACAAUUUUGCAGCCUUUGUUGGAAAUGUUUGGCGCCCAAAAAACGAAUAAUUUAACGCGUGAAGCAUUUUUUGGGCAGUUGUUUAAGAUGCUCUCAAGAAUAGGACUACUGGUUACAACAAACAUAACAAGAUAUACAUCACAUAGUGUACAUAACGUGACAGUUCACCCUCCCCCCUGCCCCGCCCCCCUCCGGCAGUCCAAACUGGGCCAGGCAAGACGUUGGACUGAAGCUAAAGCCACACAAAAAAUGACAAUGACAACACCUUGGUGAAGACAUCAGCAAACUAGGACGUCGUGGGGACAUGCAACGCCUUGACCUCAAGAAGUACCACAAGAUCACGAACAAAAUGCAGGUCGAUCUCCACAUGCUUGGGGCACUAAUGUGUUGUGUAUUUCAUAAGAAAUACUCCCUCAGAUUCAAAACAGAAGGGAAGCAAAAUUAAGAGAAGGUGAGACAAGCCUGGCCAAGUGAUGUACUGCAAUAACUAAUUUGUGGACAUGUUGACAUGAUUCAACCAUAACCAAACGGAUACAUGUCAGAAAGGUUACUAUUCCCUAACAGCUUGCAAACCAAACUUAUAUUGUGGGACGGAGGAAGUUGUUGGAAUUAUGCCCUAGAGGCAAUAAUAAAUAUAGUUAUUAUUAUAAUUCCUGUAUCAAGAGAAUCGUUUAUUAUCCAUGCUAUAAUUGUAUUGAAUGAAGACUCAUUUACAUGUGUGGAUACAUAGACAAAACACCGUCCCUAGAAAGCCUCUAGUUGGCUAGCCAGUUGAUCAAAGAUAGUCAGUGUCUUCUGAUUAUGAACAAGGUGUUAUUGCUUGAUAACUGGAUCACGUCAUUAGGAGAAUCACGUGAUGGACUAGACCCAAACUAAUAGACGUAGCAUGUUGAUCGUGUCAUUCUGUUGCUACUGUUUUCUGCGUGUCAAGUAUUUAUUCCUAUGACCAUGAGAUCAUAUAACUCACUGACACCGGAGGAAUGCUUUGUNNNNNNNNNNNNNNNNNNNNNNNNNNNNNNNNNNNNNNNNNNNNNNNNNNNNNNNNNNNNNNNNNNNNNNNNNNNNNNNNNNNNNNNNNNNNNNNNNNNNNNNNNNNNNNNNNNNNNNNNNNNNNNNNNNNNNNNNNNNNNNNNNNNNNNNNNNNNNNNNNNNNNNNNNNNNNNNNNNNNNNNNNNNNNNNNNNNNNNNNNNNNNNNNNNNNNNNNNNNNNNNNNNNNNNNNNNNNNNNNNNNNNNNNNNNNNNNNNNNNNNNNNNNNNNNNNNNNNNNNNNNNNNNNNNNNNNNNNNNNNNNNNNNNNNNNNNNNNNNNNNNNNNNNNNNNNNNNNNNNNNNNNNNNNNNNNNNNNNNNNNNNNNNNNNNNNNNNNNNNNNNNNNNNNNNNNNNNNNNNNNNNNNNNNNNNNNNNNNNNNNNNNNNNNNNNNNNNNNNNNNNNNNNNNNNNNNNNNNNNNNNNNNNNNNNNNNNNNNNNNNNNNNNNNNNNNNNNNNNNNNNNNNNNNNNNNNNNNNNNNNNNNNNNNNNNNNNNNNNNNNNNNNNNNNNNNNNNNNNNNNNNNNNNNNNNNNNNNNNNNNNNNNNNNNNNNNNNNNNNNNNNNNNNNNNNNNNNNNNNNNNNNNNNNNNNNNNNNNNNNNNNNNNNNNNNNNNNNNNNNNNNNNNNNNNNNNNNNNNNNNNNNNNNNNNNNNNNNNNNNNNNNNNNNNNNNNNNNNNNNNNNNNNNNNNNNNNNNNNNNNNNNNNNNNNNNNNNNNNNNNNNNNNNNNNNNNNNNNNNNNNNNNNNNNNNNNNNNNNNNNNNNNNNNNNNNNNNNNNNNNNNNNNNNNNNNNNNNNNNNNNNNNNNNNNNNNNNNNNNNNNNNNNNNNNNNNNNNNNNNNNNNNNNNNNNNNNNNNNNNNNNNNNNNNNNNNNNNNNNNNNNNNNNNNNNNNNNNNNNNNNNNNNNNNNNNNNNNNNNNNNNNNNNNNNNNNNNNNNNNNNNNNNNNNNNNNNNNNNNNNNNNNNNNNNNNNNNNNNNNNNNNNNNNNNNNNNNNNNNNNNNNNNNNNNNNNNNNNNNNNNNNNNNNNNNNNNNNNNNNNNNNNNNNNNNNNNNNNNNNNNNNNNNNNNNNNNNNNNNNNNNNNNNNNNNNNNNNNNNNNNNNNNNNNNNNNNNNNNNNNNNNNNNNNNNNNNNNNNNNNNNNNNNNNNNNNNNNNNNNNNNNNNNNNNNNNNNNNNNNNNNNNNNNNNNNNNNNNNNNNNNNNNNNNNNNNNNNNNNNNNNNNNNNNNNNNNNNNNNNNNNNNNNNNNNNNNNNNNNNNNNNNNNNNNNNNNNNNNNNNNNNNNNNNNNNNNNNNNNNNNNNNNNNNNNNNNNNNNNNNNNNNNNNNNNNNNNNNNNNNNNNNNNNNNNNNNNNNNNNNNNNNNNNNNNNNNNNNNNNNNNNNNNNNNNNNNNNNNNNNNNNNNNNNNNNNNNNNNNNNNNNNNNNNNCGUCGAGCUGUACGUGUGUUGAACGCGGAGGUGCCGUCCGUUCGGUACUAGAUCGUGGGACUGAUCCCGGGAUUGUUCGCGGGGCGGAUUGAGGGACGUGAGGACGUUCCACUACAUCAACCGCGUUCACUAACGCUUCUGCUGUACGAUCUACAAGUGUACGUAGAUCACUCAUCCCCUAUCGUAGAUGGACAUCACCAUGAUAGGUCUUCGUGCGCGUAGGAAAAUUUUUGUUUCCCAUGCGACGUUCCCCAACAGGAGUAUGUUGUAGAUCACGCCGAGUGAUCGAGGUGAACUAGGGUAUAUUUGGAUUGUGGCUAAAAGCUUCCGUAUGAAUAGUUUGGCUAUCACCAAAAACUUGUCUUUGUUUGGAUCAUGCACAAUUCAUUGGCAUUGCCAAUUAUCCUUUAGAUAGACAAAAUACUCCCUCCGUUCCAUGUUACUCCCUUCAUCCCAAAAUAAGUGUCGUGAUUUAGUACUGAAUUAGUAAAAAAUUUAUACUAAAUUAAUGACACUUAUUAUGGAUCUGGGGUAUUAAUACUUUGCAAUAAAUGAGGUUGCUUGUAUCACUUAGAGCAUCUUCAACAGUCCGUAUGUUCAAUCGUUGGUAUAAGUAUCCACAUCAACAACCAACAGCACAUCAUACAAGCUUUUCAAUGGAGUGUAUGUUAAUCGUAUGUAAAAUAACUAAGCAGGUCCACUAAAUAGUGAAGAAAUAACCAUGCUUGCCUCGGAGCUUGUGCGUGAACCGUUGCUUCAAGUUCAUACGAUUUCAUUAUCUCUCUUCUUUUAUUAUGUGCCAUGUCAUCAAAAUCAUUUAUGUAACAAUUUUACCAACGAUGAUCAUACGACCAUUGGAGAUGCCCUUACCGGCCAAGAGAUGUACUGCAAUAACUAAUUCGAGGACAUGUUAACAUGAUUCAACCAUAACCAAAUGGAUACAUGUCAAAAAGAUUACAAUUCCCUAACAGCUUGCAAACCAAACUUAUAUUGUGGGACGGAGGGAUUAUGUUGUAGAUCACGCCGAGUGAUGGAGGUGAAGUAGGGUAUAUUUGGAUUGUGGCUAAAAGCUUCCUUGUGAAUAGCCUGGCUAUCAUCAAAAACAUGUCUUUGUUUGGAUCAUGCACAAUUCGUUGGCAUUGCCGAUGAUCCUUUAGAUAGAAAAAAAAUACCCCCUCUGUUCCACGUUACUCUCUCUGUCCUAAAAUAGGAGUCGCAGAUUUAGUAUAAAUUUUAUACCAGAUCAACAACACUUAUCUUAGGCUGGCCAUAGUGGGGAUAUCAUAGCUAGUAACAUAGUUUUGGGACUAGCAAACAUGAUGAUGUAGCAAAUCUUUACCUAAUAAUAAAGAGGCUAUCGCUUCCGUCGGAAAACCCACCGUGGUGAUUUUACAAAAAAGCCCUUACUGUUUAUGACAUUAAACUCGUAGUAUAUAUUAAAUAUUUUUUAAAAUACUCAUAUCUUUUAAACCGUAACUCUAAAUUUAACAUAUUAUACAUGGAAUUUGAUUAGAAAAAUAUGUAGAAUUUAAAUAUGAUAUUAUUUUAUCUGUUAAACGUUUAAUAAAAAUACUAUCAGGGUGCAAUCUUAAUAAAUAAGUCAUUAUUCGUCUUUCUUUCAUACCGGUACUCAUCCGGAUUGGGAAUGAACACGUCAACAAAAUCAGGAUUAGAGAUGAAACUGAAGGUCACUUGACUGAUUCUUUGUACGUAUUAAAUCUACAUGCAAGCCGUGUUAAAAUAGAAGACCUGUGAAAUUUUGAACUGCAUUUUUGUAGGAUAAGACCAUCUUUAUUUGUAUCGUAACUAUAAAUUCUCAAAUUAUAGACAUUUUUUAUAAAUUAAGAGCGUGUGCCGUGUGGUAUUUCUUUCUCCCGUUGCAACGCAUGGGCCCUUUUGCUAGUAAUUAAAGAAGAGAGAGAGGGUUAGAGUAACAUAGGUAGAUACCGUAUCAUGUUAAAUGCUAUGCUACUAUGUGUCAUGCAUGUCAAUAAAUGAGAUCAUCUAUGAUACUAAUUUAUGAUACUAUGCAUAUGAAGGUAGUAUCAUACAAUAGUAACAUAUGCAUGAUACUACUAUAUGUUACUCCCCAUUAUGAGCAGCCUUAGGACGGAGGGAGUACAUACUAAAUCAAUGACACUUACUAUGGACCAGAGGAACUACUUACCAAGACUAAGAGGGUGCUUGGAUCCAAAAGACUAAAACUAGUCUCUUUAAGAGGCUAAAGUUCCAAGCACCCCUGAUUAAACAGAGGCUAAAACUAGUCUUGAGGCUAAAAUCUUUUAGUCAGGGGUAUCCCUACUAAAAUGUGCAUUAGUCAUCUCUCUCCUCAUACAAGUUCUGGAUUGGAGGGUUUGAAGGAUAAUAAAUGCUCAUUAACUUGAUUUUAGUCUCUUUACUACUUGGAUCCAAGCAUGGGUGAGGCUAUCAAGUUUUAGAAGGUGCUUGGAUACGUUUUAGUCCCAUGACUAAAAGUAAUGAGACUAAAACUUGCUAGCCUCAACCAUGCUUGGAUUCAAAUACUAAAGAGACUAAAAUCAAAUUAAUGAUCAUUUAUUAUCCUCCAAACCCUCCAAUCCAGAACUUGCCUGAGGAGUUAAAUGAAAAGAGAGAGGACUAAUGCACAUUUUAGUAGGGGUACGCCUGACUAAAAGAUUUUAACCUCAAGACUAGUUUUAGCCUAUGUUUAGUCAGAGGUGUUUGAAACUUUAGCCUCUUAAAGAGACUAGUUUUAGUCCCUUGGAUCCAAGCACCCUCUUAGUCUCGCUACUUUUAAUCAUGGGACUAAAAACGUAUCAAGCACCCUCUAACUAGGCUAGUCUGGUCUGAUAUCAGGGCACUGGCCCAUCACCGGCCAACCACAUCCUCACAAGUCAUAUGGCAACACACAAGAAGAACUGGUAAAACUGGGAGAGAAAGACAGGAGCAAAGCAAGACAUUGAAAUUUGGGCUAAAUGGCCUCCCACAGCAUACAUAUUAAUGAUAUAGGGUAGUUCCAGCAGCCAAAAGUCACGGCUGAUGAUGGCCAACUAAGUACUAGGUCACCGAAUAACAACAACUCCACCGGUUAUCAUACGACUACUCAAAGAUACACAAGGUUCGACUGGAAAUGGUCAGAACAGACGCUUCUCUGCUUCCAAAUCAAGAAUCACCAGCAGAUGACGAUGAUCGACUCGCGCAUCCAGCCCGCCUGCCCGCCCCCUAGAUCAGAGCUUCAUAUCCAUUGCUGGACGUCAAUCGCCCUGCCAACAACAGGCCUCUGCUCAUGAACCUGCAUACAAUGAUUAGUUAGCAGCUAGUUUUGUUUUCAUACUAGGAAGGCAUGAAGGUUUACAGGCAGUAGAAGUACUUACAGUGGCACAACUGUUGCCGAGGGAUUUCAAGGGCUGGGUUGGAGAUGAGUAGUUGGCACCACCAUCAUCACAAACCAUCUCAUCCCUUGCUCGGACCUUUUCAGCCAGGGAGAUGCCAAAUAUCUUGCAACUGUUGGUAGGUGCAGCACCCGUAUUCUCAACUGCAACACGGCUAUCGAUCACUUCUCCCGAACCAAGAUGAGGCCGGAGCGACGAUGCUUGCUCUGCCCUUCCAACGCCUUCAGCAGAGACAAACCUAGCAUACCAAUCAUCCUCAUUCUUAUCCAUGUGCCCAUGCCCGAACUCAAAUCGAGAGACCUUUGGAUCAGCCUUCUGAAACAUCAGAACAGAAGGUGGUGAUAACGAUGGCUGAGACGGCAGAACUUGUGCUGGUGGCCCGUAACCGAAUGCAUGCUGUUGUUGCGCGCGCCAUUUAUCCAACAGGGCAGAUGCAUAAGGACCAUCCUGUUGAUGAAAGCCGCCACUUCUCAUGCGCGCAUCAACCAGACUUCCUCGGUACGGACGGAAAACUUCUUGACCUUGCAAGACCUUUUGGAAUCUCUGAGACUCCCCAAAGCCAGAGCAAUGGUAGGGAAUCCCAAGUGGUGUUCUCACACCAUGGCUUGGGACCCCCCCUAGGACAUUGUUACUCCCAUUAUUAGAGCAACCUCGUUCAUCGAUGUACUGCAAGUUUCUUGCUUCACAUGGCUGUGAAGUAGCAACAGCAGUACCAUCAUGAGUUCUAUAACCCAAUAAUUCUUGACCUUGCAAGACCUUGCGGAGUUGUGCAGACUCUGCAAAAUCAGGGCGACCACCUCCAUCUAUGAAAAGGAAAAGGAUAGUUUCAGGUUAGAUGCGACAGAAAAGAAUUUGAUCAAGUGUUGUUUCAAACUACAAUAAGAAACAUACACGGGACCGUGUACUCUGGAUUAGCAUGCGGAAGAUAUGGUUUCAUCCGCUUAGAAGUUGGUGCAGCCAGAUGGGAUCCUGAAGCUGCACUGGUCAGCUCAAUCUCCCAAGGAGACAACCUGUUUGGCCGACGGAAUUCACCAUCAUCAUCCCACCUUACCUGUCAAGAUGGAAGUAGGUUAAUUAAAUAUAGGUACAUUCCAGGCAAUGCAAAACGCUCUUAGGGAUGAAGACCAGAGCAUAUAGUAGUGUAAAAACAGUAUAAUGCAUUUUUUCCUUACAACAUUGUGACUUCAUUAACCCUUAUGACACACAUCUACGGCCAAAUUUAAACUAACAUGAAAGAAUGGCAUGAAUAGUAAAUGUAUAUAAGAUAUUUUUCAUGAUGUUAAAUGUGACCUAACUUUGCAGAGAGUGCAAUUGUCCGUGUGAAACAAAGCAGACUUUACUGUUAAGGAAUUACGAAUACAACACUUAAAAGUCUUGCAGAACCAUUUCUGGUUCCUUGAUUAAAUUACUUAAUACUCCCUCCGUCCCAAAAUAAUUGUCGGAGAUUUAAUACUAAAGUGGUACAAAUUUUGUACUAGACCAACAUCACUUAUUUUGGGAUGGAGAAAGUACUAAAUUAUUAUGACUUCUGAGUUCCACAAUCAUAACUUAAUGACUUUGGUUUCUUUCAUAAAAGUAAUGCUAAUGUAAUAUCUUAGAAAGCCAAUUUGGAUUCAGUAAUUUGGAAAUCUUUAUACACUUCAGACAAAACCUGACAUCAGUAUAAAAUAAUGUGAGACGGCUUCUUGACAGCACAUUUUAAACCAAAUCGCACAUCAACAUGUCCAUGUUUGCUUCUUCUUGUUGUAUAAUACAGUGUCUAAGCAAUAAGGGCACGUCAAGACAGAAACAUAAAUACACAAAGCAAACAUCACAAUGCACUCAAUGGAUAAAAUCAAGAAGGUAAAAAAAGCGUCCUCGGCAAGGCGUGCUACUUUUGGCUGUAGGGGCAUUCGUAUUGCACUCAUAACAGCAUAAGUUACAAUGGGUGUCUAGAUUAGAUAAAAUCAAUAGACAUUCAAUUCAUAUUGCAUCUGUUACAACAUUUGAUCAGCCACUGCUUUCUACUAAAUGAGUUCCCGUUCGCUUAGAAGGUAAUCAAUAUGUCCAGUUGUGUACCCUCACCAUUAAAUACAUUAAUCACUAGCUGUCGCCAGAAUAAUAGGGGAGGAAUUCUGGUACGCUUUUGCACCUAGUGUGUGGUUAAGUUGCAUCAUAACUAGUUGGUGGUUAAGUUGCAGUGUUACUUUGACAGUACAAAACAGAAAGGUGUACUGCAAAAUUCCAAACGAAGCAUAUACGGUGAACAACUACUGUGAGAGACAUUAAAUUACGGCAUACCAGCAGGCAUUUCCAUUUUGAACCACGCCACCUAGGGUCUGCAUCAACAGUUCCAGUAAUUAUCCCUGUGUACCUGUAGGAUAAUCCCAUACAUUAGUAAACCAGCUGAAUUCAGUUCAGAUAAUACGAGUUAUUAGUAGGGCAGUUGCAGCAACAAACCUUCUUUCAGCAGCAUCCUCACUUUCAUAUCUCAUUUUGAACCUCCAGCCAACAGAAAAUGGUUGACUGAUGCUUUUGGUAAACUUCCAGUAGGGUACGAUGAAUUCAGAUUGACUUAACCUGUCAAUUAUUUAAGAAACAAUAUCAAACCAGAACUACUGUACGUUGCAUCACGAAAAAAAUGGAGUAGCAGCAAAGUACUAUAGCAGUAUUUACAAUUCUACUUUCAAAUCAAUUUAGCAUCACAAAUACAUGAUUUUACAAGGCAAAGAACAAAAAAAGCAUGAAGGCGAACUAGCACUCAAAACAGCGUCGCAAAACUAGUUUAAAAUCAAUUGUCAAAAGGGACACCACUCAAGUUUAAACCUUGAAAUUUCAGCAAAGACACUUAAGUAGCCAAGAAUCAUUAAAUAUCAAAACAUCAAAAAAAUGAUACUGUGUGUCAUUGAGAUACACAUCAGUCCACCACUAAAUAGUUCUAGCCCAGCCACAACCUCCAUGUAUAUCAGACCUUAUGCAAGCACAAGGUAUUCUAUUUUUCUAAGAGUGACACGGUAGUAUAAUUUAAAAAAAAACAAGCAUCAACUUCCGAAGGCAUUAAUAAAAUGACAAGCAAGCUGAUUAUUACCUGGGGUUAUAGAAGAUCUGGAACAUGCUCUUUGUAGACACAGCAUGUGUGACAUUAGCUAGUGUACCAAGGUUCGAGCAUUGGCUAUAUAGCGCCGGAAAAGCGGAUCCAUUUUUCAGCUGAACCGCACGGCGUACUCCCAGUCUAAGCUCCCCAUCGUCGCCCCUGGGAGUUGAUGAAAAAUGAUUAAAAUGGACCAACAACAUCUUGAGCUGCUUAGAUGCAUGAUCAUGUUAGCCUACCGCAGAAAGAGGACAGCAUCCCCGGAGACAAGCUUCUUCUUGUUGACAAAUGCACUCCAUCCGGUGGUUAGAAGGUGCCUGCGCGGCUGGCCUGCAUCACAUUCAGUUAGAUGUGGAUGUAUCAGCAAUCAAGACACCCUUAACUUGAUAUGGUUGUCCUUUGCAUGUCUCGAAAGUGACCAGACUCCCCGGCAAAAAAGCUGUCUAGCAAAUGAAUAAUGCAGCUGGCAUUUCUACCAAGUGAUGGUAGUAGUACUAUUUGUAGAGCUACCCUCCAAGGUACUGAGAGCAUGUGGUGAAACACAAGAAAGCAAAAUAAGGGAGUGCCAAGAAUACUGAAGCCAUACUUCAGAAGUGUACAAUCAUAAGCAAUGAUCACGCAAAAGCUCAGAUGGGCUUUCAAAAAGGCCAAGUGGUCAAACAUAAGUACAAAUCCAGGUCCAAGAUGAGCAAAGACGAUGCAAAGUUGUAAUACUUAAAGUGUUGUGCUCAGUAAGAACCAGGAGUGCUGGUGCUCAGUGAAGAAGUGAGCGCGCUCGCAAAAAUCGAUGUAUGAUUACUCAAAAUCUCAAAUGAAAGGACUCAAGCUUGCUUGCUGGUGCAGCCACAGCAUCAACUCGAAAUCGAUGUAUGAUCACUCAAAAUCCCAGAUGAAAGGAUUCAAAGCCAUAGCUGGUCCAGCCAUGGCAUCAACUCAGAACCGGAAAAUGAAUGCUGUGUGCAGGAGUUGGAAUGUACCAAGUGCACAGCCCAUAUCUAAGUAUCUUGCUACCGAACCAAGGUAAAAUCAUGAAUGUGUUUGUUCAGCUGUGGUGGUACCUCGAUAGAUGUGGCGGAACUUCCACUCGGUGCCGUGCAAAUCCUUGGCGACCAGCUCCUGAGACGGCCGCUGCUGGUUGUAGUCCUGCGUUCCCGGAACCAAACCAGAGAGCUUGAGCAAACAAGCUGACUGAAAGCGCAAUGGCAGAAAUGAGUGGAGAGAGGGGUUGACGGGGCCAGGCCAAUGCGCGCACCAGAUGGGGGAAGCAGUCCUCGGCGGCGCGGCGCGGCACGGAGAAGCCGCCGUGGGUGCUGGUGUCGGAGGCGGUGAGCGUCUUGCAGAACAUGUGCGGCAUCCUCGCGAAGCGCUGCUUGACGGUCUCGCCGUCCUCGCCGCCGCUCACGUCGUCCGUGGCCUCGCGCAUCCGCCGGACAAGCUCCUGCGGAUCAAGCCGGGGCUCGGUUAGCAAAACGCCGCAUGGAAACCGAACCGAACAGAGCCGCCAUUGCGGGCCUCGGAGCACCGGCACGCACCUCGUUCUCGGGGAGCAGGGAGAGCUGCGCGUACACCUCGUCCGUGGUCGCGUCCGCCUGCGAGCAAGCGCAAAACCAACCAACGAAUAACGGAGUGAGCCCGGCGGCAUGGUCGCGGGUGAAAGGAGAUACCAUCGAGCAGGGGAGCGACAGACGGACGGACACAUUGAAGCACGGAGGCGGCUGGGGGGCACUUACGUGGAGCGUGACGUCGACGACGCGGCAGAAGACGUGGGGCGGCACGGCGGCGGCGGGCGAAGCCGCGGCGUGCGCGGGCGCGUCGCCGAGGUGGUCGAGGUGGCCCUGCGGGAGGUAGACGACGACGCUGCCCUUGCGCGGCAUGGGUGCCACCGGCCCCGCGCAGGCGUGCCAGAGCUCGAGGCACACCGCGCUGGGCCGCGACGGCGGCGUCGCCACGGGGGAGCUCGCCUGGCCGUUGUAGCCCGACUGCGUCUGCGAGUGGGAGUGGGAGUGGGACUGGGAGGAGCAGUCCCCGCCGCAGCCGGUCCCGGCGAGCAGCGGCUCAGCGGACGACUCCUCCUCGUCCUCCUCCACGGUGUUGAGGUCGAUCCCCGCCAUCCGAGGCAGCGAGAAGCUGGAGCGCAAGGCGGUGUGGACGGUCGGAGACGGAUGGACGCAGGCGAAGAGGUUAAUGAAGCGGGGCGGGCGGGCGGNGGGGGGAGACGGCGCGGCGCGGCGGGGCAUGGCGGCAAUGGCCAUGAAUGAUGGAUGGGUGUGUGUCGAUGGUCUGGAUGGCCGGGGGGGCGGGGGGCGGGGGGCUGCUGCUACUAGUAGUGGUAGUGGCCAAAACAAAAGGUGGGAGAGGGAAGCGGCCAAGGCCAAGCGGGACUGCAACGGCGUCCGUCCGUCCGUCCGCGUGAAAAGGGGCGGGCGGGCGCAGUAGAAAUCAAUACUCCGUCGAUUUCUGCGUGCGUGCGUGGAUAUUUUCGUUCUUCUCCGUGGGAGGGGAAAGGGGGGGUGGGGGUGGUGGAUUAAAGAAAGGGGAAAGGUGAAAAGGAGAGCGGAAGAGGCGGGAGGCGGGCACAGUCAUGCAGCAGCAGCAGNNNNNNNNNNNNNNNNNNNNNNNNNNNNNNNNNNNNNNNNNNNNNNNNNNNNNNNNNNNNNNNNNNNNNNNNNNNNNNNNNNNNNNNNNNNNNNNNNNNNNNNNNNNNNNNNNNNNNNNNNNNNNNNNNNNNNNNNNNNNNNNNNNNNNNNNNNNNNNNNNNNNNNNNNNNNNNNNNNNNNNNNNNNNNNNNNNNNNNNNNNNNNNNNNNNNNNNNNNNNNNNNNNNNNNNNNNNNNNNNNNNNNNNNNNNNNNNNNNNNNNNNNNNNNNNNNNNNNNNNNNNNNNNNNNNNNNNNNNNNNNNNNNNNNNNNNNNNNNNNNNCAGCAGCAGCAGCAGCAGACCGCAGAGGUGGGUGUGUAGCGUGGGGGAUGGAUGGAGUGGAUUGACGGGAUGGGUGGACGGCAGGGAGGCAUGUACCCCUACUCCUACUCCACCUUCUUGUUGUACUAGAUAGACGACCGUAUUGUGUAUUGUAGACCGUGCAGGAGUACUAGCAGGAGUAGAAUUGCAAACGGUAAAUAGGAGAGCAGUAAUAAUGAGGGCUCCUAUACGGUGUUCCGAGGUGGUGCUUCCAUCUGUUCCACCCACCGGGCCUGUGGUUGUGCCUACUCGCUCCACUCAUUGGUCCUGUUUGGAUACUCUAAGAGCAAAUACAAUAGGUUGAUGUAGACGGAUUGUAAGACUUAAAAUAAUAUAUUUGUGAUGAGUUGGAAGAAAGAGAAGAGGAGCGGGCUACAAACUAAGAGUCGGCUGUAACACGUGCUCCUAGGCAUUUUGUGAGAGAGAAUGGUGGGCCUUGUAUCAAUAAAAUAGUACUUAUUUACAUCUACCUAUUAUACUUGCGGGCUAUAAGCUUGGCUAUAGAUGACGUGUCAACAUCAUAUAGCCAGCAGCUGGUUGUACUAUUAACCAUGCUCUAACCUGGUUAGAGCUAGAGUUAGAUUCUAACCCUUGAACUAACCUAAACCAACUUUAACUCUAAGGCUGGCCAUAGUGAGAGUAACUUAGGUAGUAUCAUGUACUUGGGACUAGCAAACAUGCUGAUGUGGCAGACAAUUAAAGACGAGAGAGAGGGUUAGAGUAACAUAGAUAGAUAUCAUAACAUGUCAAAUACUAUGCUAUUAUGUGUCAUGCAUGUCAAUAAAUGAGGUCAUCUAUGAUAGUGCUCCUCACUAUGACCAGCCUAAAGGUUUUUGGAUUGAAGGGUUAGAUGGACAAUAAAUAUUUUUUCUCGAUCAUUUGGCUACUUUGGACCUCUCUCUUUCCCUGGACCCCACCUACUCUAACCCAAAAAAGCAUCUCUUCGAUGGGUUAUUGUUUUUGGUGGGUUAGAUGCAUCUAACCAACUCUAACCCACUUGUUUGGAUCUUUGAAGGUUAGAUGGCUCAAAUCUAACCCACUCUAACUCUAACCCUAAGAUCCAAACAGCCAUUCAAGUGAGGUGUGGUUGUUGUUUUUACUACUACCAAGUUCUACAUUUUACCGGUUCCAAUGUUAGGCCCCUCUUUCAACCGAAGAAAGGGUUGAGCACACCGUAUAAAGUAGUGAUGUAACCUGGUUAUUUCAUCAUAUCUUAUGACAAAAGCUAAACUAGUUGAGAUUUGCUUGAAAAGAGAGAGAGAGAGAACCAAAAAAAAUUCGAGAUAUGGAAAAUUGAUGAGUUUGGAAUUGAAGGUUGGUAUUCAACAAGAUAUGGAAAAUUGAUGAGUUUGGAAUUGAAGGUUGGUAUUCAACAAGAAAUGUCAAAACGGUUACCGCUGAAAAAUGGUCAUAGAGAGACUUUUCAUGGAUAAAUACAUUGCUAGUCUUGUUGAUGAAGAUUUGCAUGCUCACAACAUCCAUGAAAAACCUCAAGAUGGCGGUGGUCAUUUCGAACGAGUUGGCUACAACGGCACUAACAACACCAAUGGGCCCAUAUAGAGUUAAAAUGGCUAGGCCUCAGGUGGAUCGCGAGGGGUCUCCGCAAGACAAGGAUGUACCCCUACUCCUACUCCUACUCUACCUUAUUGUUGUAUAGACGACCGUGUUCUGUAUUGUAGACCGUCCGGCUGCAGGAGUAGAAUCGCAACUGGUAAAUAGGAGAGCAAUAAUAAUGAGUGCUCCUCCGGUGCUCGGAGGCGGUACUUUCAUUUGUUCCACCCACCGGGUGGCGGUGUCACCGUGUCGAUCCAUUGUUGAAUGAUCAUCGGUGGUGUAGGGGUACUUGUGUGCCUGCUCGCUCCACUCAUUCAAAUCAGGUGUAGUUGUUUCAACUACUAACAAGUCCUACAUUUUUUACUGGUUCCAAUAUUAGGCCCCUCUUUCAACGCAUGAAAGGGUUGAGCAGACCGUAAACUGGUGCAGUAAAAUGGUUAUUUGAUCAUAUCUUAUGACAAAGCUAAACUAGUUGAGAGUAUGGGAAUGCUACUUUGAGAGAUGUUGAAGAGAGAGAGAACAAAAGAUGCAGGAUAUGGAAAAUUGAUGAGUUUGGAAUUGAAGCCCGCUAUUCAAGAAGCAAUGCCAAAACUGUUAUCGUGGAAAAAUGGUCAAAGAGAGACUUUGGAUGGUUAAAUACAUUGUUGGUCUUGUUUAAGAAGAUUCGCAUGCUGACAACAUCCAUGCAAAACCUGAAGAUGACGGUGCUCGUUUCGAACCAGUUUGCUACAAUGGCAGCAACGACACCAAUGGCCCCAUUGGGUUAAAAUGGCUAGGUUGCAGGAGGAUCGUGAGGGGUGUCGACAAGACAAGGAUGGUGAUGGUCCUCCGAGAAUAUGAUAUGAGAGUGGAAGAUUUGGCUAGGGACGGAGUUGUUGAGAAAAAACAAUCAUGGUAGAAACCUUCCAUUUUACAUAAACGUGGUUUGCCGGGAAUGAUCUUUGGUGUUCUAUUGAAAUGGUUGAACAUAAUUUUGACAUUAGUAGUAAGAUGGAACAAGUGAGGAAGAAUUUUUUAUAUGAAAUAUUGUUCAAAGGAAUAGUGUACAUGAACCCGGCUCUCCAAAUCCAAUUGACAUAGCAGAUGUUGAUAAUAUUUCUCAACUCUGCUCUCAUAAUGAUCAUUCAUAUGCUCAUAUUAAAGAAGAUUAUUCUUUCCAAUUGAAACGUAUAUGUUUCUAGUAGGAAAAAGGGAACGUGGCUCACGAGUGAUGGUAUAUGUGAAGCACACUAUUUUCGUUGGAGGGAAAAGGCAUAGAAACAAAACUUGAUCUUUACAAAUAUUUGUAGGUGUUUCCUAGAAUAUCCAAGGGAUUGGGUAGGAUAUUGAGAAGAGAUUUUUCAAAGAGUUGAUAUUUGUGAGAAAACUUGUCUUAUUGCUCUAUAGAAGAAUAUUAAAGCUUAAUCACAUAAAAAAUAAAUUCAUAACUUGUGUGCUGAAAAAAUUGUUUGGAUUUGCUCACCUGCUAGAGGAAGAUCUUGAGAUAUCUUGGUAGGUGUCAAUAAUGACAUGUUGGAUGUGGUCCAUGUUGAACUUGGAGUUUAUUUUGUUAGAAUCACGGUGUUUGAUUUCAAAUGCUAAAUUUCACUUGAAUUUAAUCUCUUUUUUAUGGUGCAUCAUGACAGUCUCAUGGCACGUUUGGUGGGUGGAUAUUUGAAGAUCAUUAGGAACAAUUAUGAAAAAAAAACAAACCUAAUGAAUGUGAUGAUUGGAGUUCUGUAUUCAAUGCUAUUAUGGAGAAUAUUGAAUGAGAAAAUUACGUCACAAUGGAAGAAAAAUACUUGGGCUAAUAAUAUGGUAGACCCACUUAUGAAAAAUUGGAUGGAGUUUCAUUUUGUACUAAUUGGGAAGAACAUUACCCACUCCCUUUCUCCUUCAAUCUAUAUAGGGAGAGUUUUCUGAUCACACUCCUCUCAUUAUUUGUAUACCAAUUCUCAUAAUACUUCUCAACACAUUUCUAGGUUUGAAAAUGCUUAGACAUCCAUAAAUUAUUUUAUAGAGUUUGCCACUUCUACCUAGAAUGAACAUUAUGACAUUUCCGGUAUAAAUAGACAACAAGAAUGAUCGAGAAUCAUUAGGAGAAAAGUUAAGGGCGCGGAAUAAGAAUAUUGAUGCUUUUUGUAGGAAGGUUACAGCGGUUCUCGUAGCUAAUCUAGACAUCAUUGGUAAAGAUACAUGGAUUAAUUUCUUGACUGCUCAUGACGAAAAUGAGCAAAAAGAAAUUUGAGAUCAAUUGGGGAGAAUUCUGAAACUAGAAGAGAUGAAGUGGUUGAGAAAUACAAAAAAAGAGAAAUUAAAGGUGGGAGAUAGUAACACUAGAUGCUAUCAUGCUAAAGCCAAUGGCACAAAGAGGGAAAUAGGAUUGUUUUCUUAGAGCAAGAUGAAUGGGCGAGGGAGGGAGAGGGUCAUUUUUGAACUACAAUACCAAUUUGAAUUAAAAAAAACCUUUGGAUGUGUUGAAUGUUCAUGAGUGUUCCAAAAUCCCUCAUAGAGAUGGUGGAACAUUAAUGGAACCUUUCUUUGUAGAAGAGUUUAAUUUGUAGUGUUUCAAAUCAAAGGAAAGAAAUCCUUAGUCGUGAUGGUUUACCUAUUGCUUUUUAUCAACAUUCAUGGGAGGUUGUUAAAUGGAAAUUGAAGGAAUCGCUAAUAUGACUUCUACACAGGUGUAUUAGAUAAUGUUGGAUUGAAUUAUGUUAUUAUUACGAAGCAAAUUCAAAAUCCUAGGCCUAAAUUUUUAUUGAGUGUGAGCUUAAAACUUAUUACUCAAGUUCUCAUGAAAAGACAUAGCGAAGUGGUGAAUCAUGUUAUCUCACAAAGUCGAACUGAUUUUGUUAAAGAUAUAUAUGUUAAUAUGUUAUGGAAGCAAUGGUUAUUCUUCAUGAAGCUUUGCAUUCUUUUUUGUAACUUUUGUUUCGAGGGUAACUCACAUAUAUAUGUUCCCUCUUGAUCCUAAAUUUUUUUCAAGGGUAAUUUAUGUUUUUCGCCGUGAGUAACAUAUGCAACACAUCCUAAUACGUUGUGUGGUAUGUAUGGCACAUGCAAAAACAGGAAGAUCUUCAAGUAUGGACACGAACGCUAGAGGCACAGGGGUCGGUUUCGGUUAUGCGCGUGCAGAUGAGAGGAGUUUCCACGAAUGGAAUAACUUGCCAUCUUAGUACGUAUGAGAUUAGUAUGGGCUUGUGAUUGUGCCAAAAAAAAUUCAUAUAAAUUUGAAAUGGAUGAACAUCUUUGUAAGAAAACUUGAACAAAUGAAUCCUAUAGAAAAGCGUCCCUCGAUUGUGAUCUUAAAUCUCACAUCCACAUACUCCCUGUGUUUCUUUUUAAUCCGCAUAUAAAAUUUAUCUAAAGUUAAACUUGAUUUUUUUGACCAACUAUAUAAAUGAAAAAUUACCAACAUUCCCAACAUAGAAUCAAUAUCAUUAGAUGCAUCAUUAAAUUAAUUUCAUACUAUUAUAUGAUUCUUGCAUUGUAAAUGUUGAUGUUUUUAAAGAUAAGUUUGAUCAAACCUUUUUUUUAGAUAAGUUUGGUCAAACCUUACGUAGUUUAACUUCAAAAAUAAAUUGUAUACGUAGAGUAAAAAUAGACGGAGAGAGUACUUGUUUUUGUUAAGGAUCAGAAUCCUCCAAAAAAUUCUUAGGAAGUCUCUGAAUGGAAGAGGCCCUAGGUAGGGGUAGUCAAAGCAGCAGUGGGGUAUUGACUUUCAUUUCUAGCGUACAUCUUUUUCAGUGUGACACACUUAUAAAUGGAUUGAGCUCUUAAAUAGCAUUUUGAAAACGUACCCGGCAUCGAACAUGCUACGAGUAGUUACUAUAUUUACCGUACGGGCUAUGAAUAGCAGCCACCUUAUCCGUGCUUCUUAUCAGAAAUACUUCUUCUAGCUCGAAACCACGAAUUCUCGACUACUCCCUAGCAUUUUUAGCCAGUAGGAGCAGUAGAUUUUCUACUAUAGUCAUGCCUCGAAUCCACCUCACUGAACUCGGAACGGCUGACGACACCGAGCAAGACCAGCAGCAGCAGUACAUCACAUCACAUCACCGAUCCCUGUCUACUCACCGCAAUACACGCACUCAUCCUGUCACCCACAUUAACACUACCACCAAUACUCCUACAGUAGAAUAGCUGGGUUUUUAGUAGUCGUCGUGGCAGGUCGCCCUGCGGCGCACGGCACUGACCGUAUUUUAUAAUUUAUUUACCUAUAUACGCCCGUACGUACGUGGUAGUACUAUUACUACUACGUGCGUAGCCAACCACCCGCGCCAGUCUGUCUGCCAGGGCCACCCCCACUCCCACUCCGGCGCCGUGCCAUGCCGCCGUCCCCGGACCUGUAUUCGCAGCUUCUUGUUUCGUGUAGUGUACAUCCGUACUGUACAGCCAGUAGAGUAUCCUCACAAGCUACUACUGCAUCGUGCGGUGAGUCGUUAAUGGCGGGCUGGGAAGACGGAGGCGAAGACGGAUGGGGUCAAAGCGCAUCGAAGGCGGAGCCGUACCUCCUGCAGCCCGGGCGUCCAUUACUCUACUCGUGCCCUGUAGCCAUCUGCCCGUGUCCCCUCACGAUCCUCAGCCCCGCUGCGGCUACUAGACUAGCACCGUAGCAGCAGCACCGGCGAUAUUAACACGGCGAGUCUUGUCUCGUCCCGGUUCGAGCUCGCUCGAGACGUUAAUGUCCGUGCGGUGGCACGCCACCUCGCCAUUAUUGGCCCGGUCCGGGCAAGCCACCGUGGUCCAGCCCGGCCCAGCCAUCAUACAUCGUCGUCGAUGGAGCAGCACAUAUCACCGGUCCGGAUCACAAGCGGAUGCGAUACGUGGUCCUCUCCUCGCUCGCCGGCCGGCCGCCCGGCCGGCUGGGGUUUAAAGGCCACGAUUCGAUUUGUCUGUCCCUCCCGUUCUUCUUUAAACUCCCCGUCCCGUCCACGGCGGCGCCACGCACAACGUUGGGCAGGGCCGCCGCUACCGUUAGAUCAUUUAUUGCUUGCCUUCCACCCUCCAGGACGCGUCGUGCAUGUCGGCCUAUGAAUCUCGGCGCGUGACCCGCCCUAUGCGAGCGGCGUGUACUUGGCGUACCGUCGGUCGAUGCAGAUAUAUACUAUUUGGUGUGUAGGGGUCGUAUCUUCGUACGUGAACUGUGCGUGCCCAUGCACGUACGUACGUACGUGCGUCCAGCGCCAUGGCCGUGCAGGCAGGAUCGGCUCGUCGGUGCGCGUAUUUUGGCGUUUUUUAUUUAUUGUUUGGCGUGACCGUCCGGGCAGCGGAUCACGAAAUGCGGAGUAGGAACAAAGCAUCCAUGGCCUUGGCUCCCCAUGCCUGGCUCAGGGCUCGCUUCUGUCUACUCUACUGAGCGCGGCUGCCGAGUUUGAUGGCGCUGUCGCUGCUGGGUGCUGCCAUGGCCAUGCCAUGCCAUGCCACCGCUCCGUCGAAAGCGCAGACGGAAAACGACCAAAAGCGGCUCGCAGUCACCACGCCGGGCCGCCAGAUACAUCCAUCCAUCGACCCCGCGCAUGCAUGCAUGCAUGCAUGCAUGCAUGUGUCUGUAUCAGUAUCACUGUAUAUAUGUAUCUAUGCAGAGAGAGAGAACACAACGCACAGCUACUCUAUGGCCGUGUUGGAAUCCUAGGGUUAGAGUUAGAUUGGGUUAGAGUUGAGCUAUCUAACCCUUAAAAAUCCAUUGGGUUAGAUGCAUCUAACCCAUCCAAAAACUCUAACCCUCUCAAGAGGUGCUUUUUUGGGUUGGAGUUAGGUGGGGACAAAAAAAAAAGAAAAAAAAAUCACUUCUACUGCAUCCAGCCCGCACCAGAUCCCACCAACCCCCCGUCCCUCCCGUCGCCCUCCCUCCCGCAGCCCCAGCCGCCGGCCGCUGCGCCCUGCCGCGCACCGCCGCCGGGACGCCCCGCAGCGCCCCGCCGCCGGCCACACAACGAUCGGCCACACCAAAUCCGGCAGUGAAUAUGGACAAAAGUUAUCAAAUGGUUGAGAAAGGGCAUUUAUUGCCAAUCUAACCCUCUCAUCCAAACACCUCUUGGGUUAGAGUUAGUUUAAGGUUAGUUGAGGAUUAGAAUCUAACUCUAACCUCUAACCGGGUUAGAGUAUCCAAACAGGCCUGUAUAUCUAUAGCGACGUGGUGAUCACUGAUUACAGCGACGUGCGGCCUGCUAGAUAGUAGUAGGAGUAGAUGCGAUGAUGAUGAGCAUCAUCAUCGUCUACUCAUGGCAGAGGCCCAGGACACAAUCGUGCAUUAAACAAACGUGUAUGCUGGGACCCCCGGUGCAGCUACAGCUACUAGGCGACAUCGGAGGGCAAGCAAAUAAAUCUCCUCCUAGUAAAAAAAAGGCCUGCCCAUAGCCUAUAGGGAGCGCACAGCUACUACGUACUACCAGCGCCCAGCGGCGACUGUAGCUAGCUGCGAAACUGAAACGGGCUAGGCCAACUUUCUCCUCGCUUUUAUCGGGCGUGGGGCAGCGCACGCAGUCGUCGUCGUCGUCGUCGCCGUCCAGCGGCAGGCAGCCUCUGCGCCGCGCGCUCCUGGGGACCCGGGCGCCCCUCCAUCGCCAGCUCCGGUUCCGCUCCAUGGAUCACGAGCGCCCCGCUCUGCUGCUGACGACGCUGUUGCCUGCCUGCCUGCCGCCAUCGCACGGCGCUGCCACCGCGCCGUGGUAAAUGUGCCCGUGCUGUGCGCGCUCCGUUGACGCCGGGGACGAGCAACGUCACCGCCGGUGGCCAUGGUAAUUAAGACCGGCACUGUGGAAGAUCGCACGCAGCAUCUCCUCGAGUCCGGGCGGGAUUGAUUGAUGGUGCACUGUGGGUGUGUGUGUGGGGGGGGGGNNNNNNNNNNNNNNNNNNNNNNNNNNNNNNNNNNNNNNNNNNNNNNNNNNNNNNNNNNNNNNNNNNNNNNNNNNNNNNNNNNNNNNNNNNNNNNNNNNNNNNNNNNNNNNNNNNNNNNNNNNNNNNNNNNNNNNNNNNNNNNNNNNNNNNNNNNNNNNNNNNNNNNNNNNNNNNNNNNNNNNNNNNNNNNNNNNNNNNNNNNNNNNNNNNNNNNNNNNNNNNNNNNNNNNNNNNNNNNNNNNNNNNNNNNNNNNNNNNNNNNNNNNNNNNNNNNNNNNNNNNNNNNNNNNNNNNNNNNNNNNNNNNNNNNNNNNNNNNNNNNNNNNNNNNNNNNNNNNNNNNNNNNNNNNNNNNNNNNNNNNNNNNNNNNNNNNNNNNNNNNNNNNNNNNNNNNNNNNNNNNNNNNNNNNNNNNNNNNNNNNNNNNNNNNNNNNNNNNNNNNNNNNNNNNNNNNNNNNNNNNNNNNNNNNNNNNNNNNNNNNNNNNNNNNNNNNNNNNNNNNNNNNNNNNNNNNNNNNNNNNNNNNNNNNCCGCGCCCGCCUCGCCUCGCCGCGCCGCGCCCGUCCCCUCCGCGCCCCGCCCCGCCGCGCAUGAUGGUCACGGGAGAGAAGACGGGGAGAGAGGGUGACAUGUGGGCCAGACGCGGACGAAAAGGACGCGAAGGCUGAUGUUUUUUGUCUGCUUUGGUCCCAAACCCAGACAAACUUUGGUCUGGAUAUAGGGUAGAAACGGACACGGACAUGGCAAAAAGUGGGUAUGCUCCCGUGCGGUGGGUCGUCUAUUUUGUCCGUUUUAUCUCAAACGAACACACCCAAAGGAUUUGGGGUCGCGCGAUGGAGUUGGCCUAAGGGGGCUGUGCAAUCCGAAUAUGAUCCUGUUUGAACCAUUUAGAUUACAUAAUCUAAUUUCUAUAAUAUAUUAUGUUCUCAAAAAAGAUCAAUUAUGGUGUAAAUUAUAAAAAUUAUAUGAACAGAUUAUUUAAAAUCGCAAUCUAUUCUACCCCAUCUAAAAUCGGAUUAUGGAUUGUUAAUGAGCGUAUCCUGAUGGUAAGAAUUAUACUNNNNNNNNNNNNNNNNNNNNNNNNNNNNNNNNNNNNNNNNNNNNNNNNNNNNNNNNNNNNNNNNNNNNNNNNNNNNNNNNNNNNNNNNNNNNNNNNNNNNNNNNNNNNNNNNNNNNNNNNNNNNNNNNNNNNNNNNNNNNNNNNNNNNNNNNNNNNNNNNNNNNNNNNNNNNNNNNNNNNNNNNNNNNNNNNNNNNNNNNNNNNNNNNNNNNNNNNNNNNNNNNNNNNNNNNNNNNNNNNNNNNNNNNNNNNNNNNNNNNNNNNNNNNNNNNNNNNNNNNNNNNNNNNNNNNNNNNNNNNNNNNNNNNNNNNNNNNNNNNNNNNNNNNNNNNNNNNNNNNNNNNNNNNNNNNNNNNNNNNNNNNNNNNNNNNNNNNNNNNNNNNNNNNNNNNNNNNUUGUUCCUAAUUUUUCUGACCAAACCCCCGCUCCGACCCAACGAUACAAUGAAUUUUUCUGUUCACAUAACACAUUACCCUUGUAAAGUUGGAGAUAAUUACAUUUCUGCCACUAUCAUCCUCCUUUUUAAAGAAAAACAGAGAACAAACAGAUGAUUAUACAAUGUAAAACUUGGAUUAUAUUCUGACCUCCAAACAUGUUCAUCAAAAUUAUUUUUAUAAACCAAAUUAUAUAGUCUAUCUUCAUAAUCCAAAUUAUCAUAAUCUAUUAUGGUUUCAAACAGGGUCAUACCAUUAAAUUAUAUCGGUUUGUAAGACGAUUUAAACAUACUUUCUUCUAUAAAUCCAAGAUAAACAUGGGCUUUGUGGGCGUACGGACAUCAUGCAAGCCAAGCCCGUGUCUCACUACUGUGACCCAUCAAAAUCCCUUUUUUUGUCUGUGUUCAUUUCGUCUAGCGUCGGCUGCCCGGAUUCAUAAAGUGUAUAGCGCCGCUCCACAUUGAAAUCGAUCAAAAGCGGCGCGACAUUCCACUCGCUUUGCCAUUAAAAUGAUGUGCCGAUCGAGGGUGUCGCUCGCGAUCUGUCCCCAAUGUCCAUGCAUGUUCAAUGCCGCCAAUGCAUUACUCCCUCUGUUUCGGUGUAUAAGUCAUCUUAGGUUGUGCACCGUGAUCAAGACGGAGAGUAAAAUGAGAGAAAUCAAUGCUAAUUUACAAUUAAUACCAUUGCAUGCAAUGGAUUGACCAAUGUAUGUUGUGUUAGUUAGUCUCAAGUCAUUAAAAACAUACGUGCCCCACGUCUCCUAUUGGUUGAUUCCUUUAUUCAUGUCAGAAAACAAGAAACGAGGUGAAAGUUAAUGCAUCGUGCCUAACUGUUUUGGGAUUAUUUGGUUUCGUAAGGUGACUUAUUCACCGAGACGGAGGGAGUACUAACGAGGUCGGCACAUAUAUCUACCAAGCCCGUUUAAUGUUUGGUCUGUCUGUAUGUUGCUAUUAAGUAGGCUCGCCGAUCGAGAAACCCAUUUCAACGCUUGACCUCAUCGCAAUGUGUUAUUCAAAGGCCGCCACACUUGACUAACUUUACGCCACAACACAAGUCGCUUCUCGUCCUCCUGACUUGCAUUGCAUCUGCCAUGACUGCAGGCUGCUGCGAAGUUUGUGGGUGAGCCUUUUCAUUGAGAUGAAGCACGAGGUGGCCGCCCUUGCAGCCGCCUGACACAACAUCCGUGACAAAGCAGAUCGAGGCCGAGGUCUCCGACGACGAAGACAAUCCCACACUACGGAAGAGCUCCGACGACACCGUCCCGACGCCUGUGACUGUGGAGGUCGGCUUCACCAUGGAGCGGGCGCAUUUGCACUACAAUGUGAUCGUGGUGGAGGUGCAACCUUGGUCGACGCCUAUGUCGGCGUUCCAUCAAACACGGGAGGAACAUGUUGUAGGAGCACCGGCUGGAGUGAGGGGGGACAGAUCAACGACGAGCGCUUGAGCGAGGAGUCCAUGGCGUCUAUGGAUGCGGCAAACCCCAACUUCGUCACGGAACAACGUAUGCUUUACGAUGCCCUCCGUGUUGAAGCUGUCUCUCGCAAGGAAGCGGUCACCACGGAGGCGCAGUUGCACGCUAUGAAAGACGAGAAUAACGCCAGCUGCGCCUUGUACGCCCCGUCGACGAACUAUCGGGUGGGCCAGUUCAAAUAUGAUAGUACACGCAGCCUCGUCUCUAUCGUGGAUCUCAUGUUCACCGGCAACGAACAAGGCACGGACUCCUCUGAGCCUUUUCAUUGAGAUAAAUAGGGCAUAAGAGGCGGCAGGGCGUGUUGUUCCAUAUGAACCAGUCCGUCUUUCGUGUUAUACUCUUCCUUGGUAGAGACUGUAACUUUACUUUAUUUAUUUUAUUGCCGGUGCUCAUGAAGACAAGGGCUUGGACGUCGAUCGCCACCGUAGCAUAGGUUUAGGGUCGGGUCGAACGGGCUUUUCAUACUAAAUGUUGGAAAUCUUAUGAAAAUCCAUCCUAUUUGCACGAAUGUCAUCCGGUUUGUAUAAAAUUUGUCUAUCUUAACACACAUUUCAUACGAUUGAUUCAUAAAGUGUUUGAAAUGUAUGUGAAAAACAUUAGAUGACGACCUUACGUAUUCAUGCUCACAAAUAGAUGCAUGCCAAAAUUUACAAGUCAUCGGUUAGAGAUAUACGUGGACAUUUGUGGGGCCGGGCCAAAAAAGCUCAAUGCUAAAAACCUCGGCCAAGCCCAAGCCUGACCCGAUCGUCGGGCCUAAUACAUUGGGCCUGAACCCGAGAAAGCCCGAGAAGGCUUGACUCACCCGGUCCAACACGACUAGAAUUUUGUUUUUCACAAGCCCAUGCUUGGCCCAUACGACCACGAGGCGUAACUUUCAGGCCCGAGCCCAGCCCGAUGGCAGGAUUAGGCCCGGCCCAACCCGGGAUUUUCUGUUCAGGUCGGGACGCGCCAUCCAUGCCGGGCUGUUCAUGACCAUGGCUAGUUAAAGACACUCUAAAGUCUAGUGUGGUUAGAAUAUCUACAACCAGACGCUUUAAACGAUCCCUUAUAUGCCUGCGGACGCGUUCGGUUAGUGACCGGACAGAAAAGAAGAAAAAAGUGAUCCAACCGGAUCCUUCGUAUCAUCCCUAUACAUGCGGGUUGUCCACGAACCCUAAUAUCCAUCUCAAAUAUGAGGAGGAUAUAAGGGCUCGCGGACGCGACUGGGCGCGCCCGAUCAACCACCCACGUAGGAUGUGGCCCACUCCGGACCAUCCUUUUCUUUUCUUUAUUCAUUCUUUUUUAUUUCUUUCUCUUCCUCUUCAUUAAUCACGUGCAAUGAUCAGACAUAUGAGGAAAAAAAAUAAAAAAAGUGACUGCGCAGACAGAUAAAUAGGGGACACGCCCAGUAACUAACUGGACGCGUGUGCAGGCGUUUAGAUGCUAACUAGCAAAAGAGCCCGUGCAUUGCAACGGGAGAAUGCAAGGCCUCAGAAUCGGACUCGAAGGCAUAGAUAUUCUUAUUGGAAUUAUGCCCUAAAGGCAAUAAUAAAUAUAGUUAUUAUUAUAAUUCAUGUAUCAAGAUAAUCGUUUAUUAUCCAUGCUAUAACUCUAUUGAAUGAAGACUCAUUUACAUGUGUGGAUACAUAGACAAAACACUGUCCCUAGCAAGCCUCUAGUUGGCUAGCCAUUUGAUCAAAGAUAGUCAGUGUCUUCUGAUUAUGAACAAGGUGUUGUUGCUUGAUAACUGGAUCACGUCAUUAGGAGAAUCANNNNNNNNNNNNNNNNNNNNNNNNNNNNNNNNNNNNNNNNNNNNNNNNNNNNNNNNNNNNNNNNNNNNNNNNNNNNNNNNNNNNNNNNNNNNNNNNNNNNNNNNNNNNNNNNNNNNNNNNNNNNNNNNNNNNNNNNNNNNNNNNNNNNNNNNNNNNNNNNNNNNNNNNNNNNNNNNNNNNNNNNNNNNNNNNNNNNNNNNNNNNNNNNNNNNNNNNNNNNNNNNNNNNNNNNNNNNNNNNNNNNNNNNNNNNNNNNNNNNNNNNNNNNNNNNNNNNNNNNNNNNNNNNNNNNNNNNNNNNNNNNNNNNNAAAGAGAAAGAAAAAAAAGGAGGAGGUGGGAAGGGAAGGAAGGACUCCCACCCACCAAACCAAGUCCAACUCGGUUUUGUUGGAAUUAUGCCCUAGAGGCAAUAAUAAAUAUAGUUAUUAUUAUAAUUCCUGUAUCAAGAUAAUCGUUUAUUAUCCAUGCUAUAAUUGUAUUGAAUGAAGACUCAUUUGCAUGUGUGGAUACAUACACUACAGGAAUCACCUGCUUUGCCGUCUGCCAUCACAGACGGCAAAGACAAAUACCCGGACGGCAAAGACAGUACCACAGACGGCAAAGAUUGUCACGGCCGGCAAAUUUUCCGCGUCAGCCUAUGACGGCAUAGGACAUUCUUUGCCGUCUGCCCCCCAAAGCGGACGGCAAAGCUCUUUGCCGUCAGCUUUCCUGAGGAGCAGUCGGCAAAGAGCUUGAGACGGCAGCCGAGAGGCGUUGCCUCCGUUAGGGGUUAACGGAGGCUCUUUGCCGUCUGUCUGCUGGUCAAUCUUUGCCGUCUGCCCUAUUGAAUAUCUUUGCCGUCUGCCUUCUGGUCAAUCUUUGCCGUCUGCCGUGUCCUCCCCUCCCCCUCUCUCCACUCCUGCCCCUCCUCUGUGCCCUCUUCUCUGCCGUCUGCCCCCCCCAGCAGGCAGACGGCAAAGAGCCUAUAUGGCCAGCUGCUACUGCCCAGGAAGCACAGCUGGGUGCCAUGUGGCACCUUUGCCGUCUGCUGGCUGAUGGUAAAGGCCUUUGCCAUCAGCUGGCAGACGGCAAAGAGCCCAUAUUGUCACUGUUUUGUUUAUUUUAUGUUAUUUCACAGCAAUAUUAUAUAUAAUUCAUAGCAAUAUAUACAAAGUUUGUUCAUCAAUGGACAUCCAUAUAUCGAAAGAACCAACAUAUACAAAGUUUCAUCCAUAUAUAUAUACAUAUAGUUCCACAUAUAUUGUUCAUCAACACAUUGUUCAUCAACACAUACAAAGAACCAACACAUUGUUCAUCAACUCAAAUAAAAAAGGAAACUAAAGCACUCCAACGCCAGCUUCCAUGCAUGUAGUACAUCCAAUCUGCAAAAUGGGAAUAAGAAAGUAAGUAGAAGAAGAACAACAACAUAUAUGACAAAUAAGCUAAAUUGAAGAAGAAAGAGAAGAAGCAAUAAGAGAACAAGGAGAAGAAAAACAAGAAGGAGGAGGAGGAGGAGGAGGAGGGGAAGGGGAAGGAGAAGGAGAAGGAGGAGGAGAAGAAGAAAAAAGAAGAGAAGAAGAAGGAGAAGAAGGAGGAGAAGAAGGAGAGAAGAAGAAGGAGAAGAAGGAGGGCUCCUUCUCCUUCUCCUUCUUCUUCUCCUCCUUCCUUCUCCUUCUUCUCUUCUUCUCUUCCUCCUUCUUCUUCUUCUCCUCCUCCGCCUUCUUCUUCUCCUUCUCCUUCUAUUCUUCUUCUCUUCUUCCUCUUCUUCCUUCUCCUUCUUUUUGAGCUAAAUAUUCCAAUUAUGUCAUUUUAGAGGAAAAGAAGCUAAGUAUAUAAUAUUCAUGAGCUAACCAAGGUUCUUAUGCCAUUUUGAGCUUAUUACGGUAUUUUGGAGCUAAAUGGGCUAACUAUGUCAUUGUUGGGUUAAUUAAAGCAAGGAUAAUAUGAAAGAGGAGAAGAAAGAGGAGGAGGAGGAGAAGAAGAAGAAAUCAAGAAGAAGGAGGAGGAGGAGGAGAAGGAGGAGGAGGAGAAGGAUAGAAGGUCCUUGGCCUUCUCCUCCUCCUCCUCCUCCUUCUUCUCUUCUUCUUCAUCUCUUCUUCUUCUUUCUUUUCAUUUUGCCUAUUUCUUCUCCUCUUAUCCUCUUGUUGGAGCUAAAUUACCUAAUUAUGUCUUUUUGAGCUAAAUAUNNNNNNNNNNNNNNNNNNNNNNNNNNNNNNNNNNNNNNNNNNNNNNNNNNNNNNNNNNNNNNNNNNNNNNNNNNNNNNNNNNNNNNNNNNNNNNNNNNNNNNNNNNNNNNNNNNNNNNNNNNNNNNNNNNNNNNNNNNNNNNNNACUAUGUCAUUGUUGGGUCAAUUAAAGCAAGGAUAAUAUGAAAGAGGAGAAGAAAGAGGAGGAGGAGGAGAAGAAGAAAUCAAGAAGAAGGAGGAGGAGGAGGAGGAGGAGGCCAAGGACGAGAAGGUCCUUGGCCUCCUUCUCCUCCUCCUCCUCCUUCUUCUCUUCUUCUUCUUCUUUCUUUUCAUUUUUCCUCUUUCUUCUCCUCUUGUUGGAGCUAAAUUACCUAAUUAUGUCUUCUUGGAGCUAAAUUGGCUAAUUAUCUCAUUUUAGAGGAAAACAAGCUAAGUUUGGAGGAGAAACUUACCGUAGUGGUCAUCAAGGAGGAGAAACACCACGGUUGCUCGCGCCGGCUUCGUCUGGAGACGGUUGCCCUGGAGAAGGGUCGUGCGAUGCCGCUCGGGAGUUAUUCUGCAGAAAAGAUAUUUUGCAAUGUCUCAGUUAGCAUGAUGACACUCAAUUAUUAAUACUAGUUUAUAAUGGAACUCACCGUGCCAAUCGAAGAGAAGACGGGCAUCGGCGGAGGGACUUGACCGCUCUUCUCGCACAGACCUUGAAGAGUGGGUCGUAUUAGUUAGUAUUGAAACAGACAUUACACACAUGAUUUGGCUAAUGUGAAAAAAAACAUACCACAAAAAGCUCGUAGAGGGCCCGUUGACCCGCCUCAUUCCGGGCCCUCUCCUCCUCAAGCAAUCGUGCCGUGCUGUGGUCCCUCUCAUCAAGAGCAGCCUGAAGAGCAGUCUGGCUUGCCAAUCUCUCUUUCUCAAGAGCAGCCUGGUUUGCCGCUCUCUCUUUCUGAAGAGCAGCCUGAAAAACCAUUCCUCGUUACCACAGUAAUGAUCUAUGGUGACACACAUAAUGAAAUGGAUGAAAGUGUUCUUAGUCCGUACAACUAACCUCGAUGGCAAGUUCGACUGGCCGUGGACGACGCGUUAUCUCAGGACAGUUGCUCGACUGGCGCGCCUUGAUCUCCGGAAGAGUGAGUGGACAACGUAUUAUCCCAUCUCCAAUGGCUAUCGAGCCAUGGGGCCUCCCGCCACCAGAUAUCAUCACCAACUCUGGAUACAAAGGUUCCUAGCUAGGGUUAAAGUCAUCCCCUUUCGUAGCCUUCCCCGCGUCCCUGUAUGCCACGAGCAUCUGGUGGGAUGAUAUGUUGGUGAAGUUACUGGGAUCAUCCAGGUCAGACUCAGAGAAUGCCUUCGCCUUCUUGUACGAGGCAGUAUGGGCCAUGCCAUAAACGUCGUACAAGUGUGGCAUCUCAGUCUUAUUGUGAUGCGCCUAAAAGAGAGGAACAAAAUAUUAGCAUAAGAAUGAAUUGCAUGAAUCAUGAAGCAAAUCACAUACCCAGUUUCGUCCAAACUGAAGUAAGUUGGCGCUGCCUUGAUGGUGUGGCAGACCAACCAUUUGGCUACGCCGAUCCUUCGCAUUAUCGUGGACGGCUCGCCAGCUGCCUGUGCACCACUCAUCAACCAACGCCUCCCAACAAUCCAUCUUAUCCGCACACCAUCUCGGGGGCACCUGUAAGUUAUUAGAAAGAAUUUUCAGCGCUAUGCCUAUGAAUGAAAUCAAGAAAACUACGUAGAAGGACUUAAGAAUAGGUAAUUACCUUCAUGUAUUGCUCCUUCUUCAGAAACUUUCCGCGGCAAUCCUUCUUCUCCUUCUUAAUACCACGCGUGGCGUAGUAAUCUCGAAUAGCCUGCGGCCGAGCCUCGUGGCGCAAGUUCUGUAGUAACCGCCUACACUCGACCUCGAGAACCCUGGCCGCCGCCUCCUCAUAUCCAUCCUCACACCUAUAGAAGGUCUGCAAUCAAACGUGAAAACACCGAUUAGUACAAUAAUUAGGUAUAUUGUUAAUUUUAGAUUCUGUAAAAGGAUAAUUUACCCAAAAGCUGUUGAUCACCAUCUCGGCCCUCGUGUGGCACAAGACACCGUCUAUAAUCUCCUCCGGCGGGGCCUACGCAGCCUGGUAGUGCUCCCAAGUAAAUCCUAGUGUAGGAACCUGACCCUCACCAGGCAACGUGACAAACCCCGGGAAAUUUUUCCGGCAAAGCACACCAAGGACGGAGUUCGGCCUGCAGACUCCAAGAGGUUGUACCCAUCCCCUGCAGUAUGAUAAGGUCAGCGCAUUAGAUAUUUGAACAAACUUGAAGGCAAAAGCUAAAAAAAGGGUAAAUGUACUUACCUAUCUCCUUCAGGUUUAAUCACCGGCCUCUGCUCGCGGGUAGCCGGGGCGACCGGGAGACGUGUACUACCACGCUUGUACACGGUAGCCGGGGCCCCGUCCACCUGCACAUCGCCCGCGCUAUCCGUAAGCUCAUCCCCGCCAUCCCCGCCCCCUGAGCCACCCGGACCCUCGGUCCAAUCCGGCAACUCGGUACGAUCCGGCCAAGGCGCCCAUCCGGACCUCUCCACGUCGGGUGAAGCCUCCGGAACCGUAGUCUCCUCCGGCUGCUCCUGGGCCGAGUGCACCUCGACCCGAGGCUGCUCCUGGACCGGAGUCUCAUGGGACGAAUGCCCGUGAAAACCAGGCUCCUGGACCGGAGUCCCCGUAGCCUCCUCCGCAAACAGGUCGACCAUACUAGUCCUAUGCUCGGGUGAAUGAGCUGGUGGUGGUGGCGAGGACGGCUCAACAGUCCUCCUGGAUCUUCCGCGGCCACCACCUCUCCCUAUACCGUUCCCCUUCUUCCCUACCCGACCAGCACCUCUACCAGCGGGCAAUGCCGCCGACGAAGAAGAACCCCCGGCUGGUGUCGAAAGACUGUCUGCCAAGGCUCUACGGAGAGAUAGGGGUGGAAGGGAAGUACCACCCCUCGUGUGGGGCGCCUGGGAAGAACCCGUCGAGCGCUCUGGACCCGCGCCCACCAUCUUUCAACACCUGCCAUGAUAAAGAUUAAAAGAAAUUAGUACAACAUAAAAAAAUUGAAUGACUGACAUGAAUAAUAAUACGUACAUGAAUAAUAAAUAUUAAAAUAUAUAUAAUUUAAGUUGUGAAUCUUACAAACUAAUAAUCAUCAUCAAUAAAUGCAUCAUCAUCAUCACUAUCACGCAUGUCUUCAUGAAUGACGUGCUCAUCGGGUUCAACGGCGUGAAGUUGUGAAAGGCCUUCCUUUAAUCGUUGAAGCAUUGACAGGUCAUCCGCAUCAGUAACCUCUACGAGUUCCAGGUCUUCUGGUUCCGGCUCGAGGCUGGAGUCGGAUUCAUUGUCGCUGUCUACUUCCAUGUUCUUGGAUGAAGCACGGCGGUUCUUGAAACGUUUCUUGGAAAGACGUGCUUCUUGGAAGAAUUCUCCAUCAUAUGUGUCUGGGUUAAUGUGAGGUUCAUAAUCCUGUUCAUUUGGGAGAGGUGGUCUGACAUGUGGCGGCACUUCAUAAACAACAUACCAACCUUCCAGAUUCUUUUCCGUUUGGCAUGCCCACGGUAGGUAGAAAACUUGGGUCGCCUGUCGAGCCGUAAUAUAGACAUCGGGAACAUCUAAAUGGGUGUUUGGAUUGAUUUCGACUAGUCCUAUAUGUUCAUGAGUCCUUCUAGUCUCCUUCGGCUGGAACCAAUAACAUUUGAAGACUACGACGUUCGGUGGGUUUUCACCAUAGAAUUGAAGUUCAUAAAUUGCUUCAACUCUUCCAUAAUACUCGAUAACACCUUCGCCGAUAGCAGAGACACCACAAUUUGUAGAUUUCCGGUCGGACAUAGAUAGCUCUUUGCCAAAGGUACGAAAGAGAUACCCGUUGAUGUUGUAUUUCUCAAAUGAACGGACCUUAUAGUCAAAACCAUUAGCGACUUGUCUCAAUUCGGCGUCCAUAGACUCUGAAUUUGCCUACAAGUUUAAUACGAAACGGUUGUUGCAUUAGCCGCAAGUUAGACCAAAAAUGAAAUGGUCCAUUAUUGAUAAUUACCGUUUGUUUGAACCAAGAGAUGAAACCGGGAUAGCCGCCUCCUGUCUUUGACAGAAGCUCAUACUCUUCGACGGAAUCAUUUUCGAUCACCGCUCCAUCCGAGAAUUUGACGACGUAACGGCUGUUUGAAAUAUCCGGGAAUAAGAGCAGUUCAAAUGAAUUAGAAGUUACGGGAAAAUGUGUCGAGAACUCACUCGAUGUACGGCCGCACUUUUGUUAGGUUGUUGAAGAUAUACAAAGAAAUGUUCCGCCAUUCUUCGAUAUCCAACGUUAUUGGUUUCGAAGCACCGGCUGGUGCGAGCUUCCCUUUGAAUAGGCUGAGGUUGGACCCACCUUUUUUAGGGUCUCCAUCAUUGUGCCGAGGCUUCGGAUUAUGCAAAUGAUGAUUUUUGGCUUCGUAGUAUGCUGUCACAAAGUUUGCCACCUCCUCAGUAAUGAAUGCCUCAGCCAUCGAUGCUUCAAUUCUACGCUUAUUUUUAUAUUUAGCUCGAAGGGUCUUGUGCAUCCUCUCAGUUGCAUAGCACCAUCGAUCUUGCACCGGCCCACCCAAUCUUGCCUCGGUCGGUAGAUGUAAAAUCAAAUGCUGCAUUGGAUUAAAGAAGCCCGGUGGAAAGAUCUUCUCUAACUUGCACAACAACUCCGGUGCAAACUCCUCCAUGCCUUCUACCACGCCAGGCGACAAUUCUUUCGCACAAAGAACACGGAAGAAAUAGCUCAGCUCCGCCAGUACUAGUCAUUCAUCCUCAGGAAGAAAGCCACGUAACAUCACCGGCAUUACCCGCUCUAGCCAUAUGUGCCAAUCAUGACUCUUGAGACCAAAGAUUUUUAAUUUUUCAAGACUCACUCCCCUCUUUAGAUUCGCUACAUACCCAUCGGGGAACAUCAAGUGCAUUUUGACCCACAAGAUAAUUUCCCUCAUAGCUGGCCUUCCAAGAUUGAACCAGGCCUUUGGCUUCGACCACUUCUGCUUUCCUUUGCCUUCUCGCAUGUUUUGUAACGGUCUAGGACAUAGUGUCUCUUGAUCGACUCUAGCCUUAAUAUUAUCCUUUGUCUUCCCAUCUAUGUCGAACAAUGUACCAAAAAUAGCCUCUCCGAUAUUCUUUUCAGUGUGCAUCAUGUCGAUAUUGUGUGGAAGAAGGAGGUCUUUGAAGUACGGCAGAUCCCAGAAGCAUGGCUUGUGAGUCCAGGCGUGUUUUGAAUUAUACCCCUUGAAAUACCCUGGACGCUCUGGUUCAGGCUCGAGGGCGUUUAACUGAUCCAGGAUCUGUUGGCCUGUGAACGCAUGUGGUGCCAAGUUUUUGACAACUUUACCUUUGGUAACGUUCUUCUUGUCUUUUCUGAACUGAUGGUCAGGAUCCAGGAACUGUCUAUGCAAGUCAAAGCAAGAAUACUUCCGACCCUCCUUCAACCAAUGAAACUGAAGAGCUGCCUUGCAUUGGGGGCACGGGAACCUUCCAUGCACACACCAUCCAGAGAAUAGCGCAUACGCUGGCAAGUCAUGCAUAGAGUACAUGUACCACACAUGCAUUUUGAAGUUUUCUUUUCUAGCGGCAUCGUAUGUCUUGACCCCAUUUUCCCAAGCUUCUUCCAAUUCAUCCUUAAGCGGUUGCAGGUACACAUUCAUAUUCUUCCCCGGAUAAUUGGGCCCUGGAAUUAUCAACGUCAGAAAUAUGUUCUUUCUUUGCAUAAUCUGCCCGGGGGGGAGAUUCAGUGGAAUGACAAAUACAGGCCAACAACUGUAUUGGGUUGCCGUCAUGCCGAAGGGAUUAAAACCAUCCGUGGCGGCGCAGACUCGAGGAUUCCUUGGAUCUGCCGCUUUAUCCUGAUGCAAUCCAUCGAAAUGUUUCCACGCUUCCUCAUCCGAUGUGUGUACCAUCAUCUUAUUCCCAUCCGCAUCUAGUUCGGUUCUUUUGCCCAAUUUGUGCCAUGUCAUCUGUCUGGCUGUCUCUUCGACCAUGAAAAGACGUUGAAGUCUUGGUACGAUUGGCAUAUACCGAAGAACACUAACUGCGAUUUUGGUCUGCCUCUUCUCACCCAUACCGUUGUCUACCACAAGAUACCUGCAAGACUCGCAAUUGGGACAAUAGUCCAAGUGUGCAUACUCCUUCCUAAAUAAGACACAUCCUUUCUCACAUGCAUCUAUCUUCUCAUAGGGCAUCUUAAGUACACGAAGUAUUUUGUCCGACUGGUACAGGUUUGCAGGCAUGACAUGGCCUUUCGGUAGGAAACAUCCAAAUAGUGUCAUCAUCGCGUCGUAGCAUUCUCUUCCCAAGUUGAACUGAGCCUUCAGAACCAUUACUCGUGCAAUUGCAUCCAGCUGACAGAGCUCGGUGUGCUCAUGGAGAGGACAUUUUGAAGACUCCAACAUUUCAUAAAAGGCCUUUGCAGAUUCCUCCAUCUCAUCUUCCGAAUCCCGAGCAUCAUCAAAGUCUUGCACCAUGUCUUCGAUCCCAGUACCAUGCUCGUCCAUGCGACGACGGACCACCUCAGCUCUUGUGCAUUGUAUAGACUCACCAUGAAAUGUCCACACCGUAUAAUUAGGCUUAAAACCCCUCCUCUGCAGGUGUUUAAUCAUUACAGCCUCUGUUGUCUUUUUAUAGUUGUCGCAUCCAGGACAGGGGCAAUAGUUUCUUUCCUCGCCAUUUGCGAAUGCGGCUUUCACAAAUUCCUUUGUUUUUAAAAACCAUUCUUUCGUCAUCUCUUUCUGACUAGGAUGACCGGUAUACAUCCACGCACGAUCACUCAUCUUGCGUAGCUACUAAAGACAGAAGAAAUAUAUUUAUAUAUAAUUCAUCAUCUAUAUUCAUCGGUUAAUCAGGUUCGCCAUUUUUAUUACGUCCAGGCAACCUACACGCUAAUAUGUAAAGAUAGGUCCUAAUCCCACCCGAGUAUGUGUAGACUGGGUUCAUUUUCCCAUGCUCUGCUCCGGAUCCAACGCAAAAUUUCGGCAGCACCUCCCCGCUGUUCUCCUCACACACGUCUCCGCAAUAAACAGAGAGGAUGUGCAUCCGGAGAACAACAGGGAGGCACUGACGAAAUUCCGCAUCGAAUCCAGAGCACAGCAUACGGGAAAACGAACCCAGUCUACACAUACUCGGGNNNNNNNNNNNNNNNNNNNNNNNNNNNNNNNNNNNNNNNNNNNNNNNNNNNNNNNNNNNNNNNNNNNNNNNNNNNNNNNNNNNNNNNNNNNNNNNNNNNNNNNNNNNNNNNNNNNNNNNNNNNNNNNNNNNNNNNNNNNNNNNNNNNNNNNNNNNNNNNNNNNNNNNNNNNNNNNNNNNNNNNNNNNNNNNNNNNNNNNNNNNNNNNNNNNNNNNNNNNNNNNNNNNNNNNNNNNNNNNNNNNNNNNNNNNNNNNNNNNNNNNNNNNNNNNNNNNNNNNNNNNNNNNNNNNNNNNNNNNNNNNNNNNAGUCUACACAUACUCGGGCUGUCCAUGGAUAAUGUUGGAAAAUUCUAAAGGAUGGCGGUUAUAAAUAUGCAAAGACAUGCAUAUUUAUAGAUGUCGCCCUUUCGAAUGGGAGACGCAUACUGGUCACNNNNNNNNNNNNNNNNNNNNNNNNNNNNNNNNNNNNNNNNNNNNNNNNNNNNNNNNNNNNNNNNNNNNNNNNNNNNNNNNNNNNNNNNNNNNNNNNNNNNGGGGGGGGGCGGGGACGGGGGGACGGCGGUGUUUUGUCCGGGCCAUGGCCAUGGGCCGGGCGGGCCUACGGGAGCCGCUCCCGUGUCAUCGUAUGCUUGCUUGCUUUAAGCCUGGCCGGUCUGGCUCCCUUUGGCUGCCUGCGUAGGAGGAGGGCCGAGCCGGUCCCGUAGGGCCGGCAUCCACGGGCCCGCCGACCAGCCAGCUGUUGCAGCGCAGUGCUUGAACAGUCAAUGGGGGGGGGGGGGCCUUNNNNNNNNNNNNNNNNNNNNNNNNNNNNNNNNNNNNNNNNNNNNNNNNNNNNNNNNNNNNNNNNNNNNNNNNNNNNNNNNNNNNNNNNNNNNNNNNNNNNNNNNNNNNNNNNNNNNNNNNNNNNNNNNNNNNNNNNNNNNNNNNNNNNNNNNNNNNNNNNNNNNNNNNNNNNNNNNNNNNNNNNNNNNNNNNNNNNNNNNNNNNNNNNNNNNNNNNNNNNNNNNNNNNNNNNNNNNNNNNNNNNNNNNNNNNNNNNNNNNNNNNNNNNNNNNNNNNNNNNNNNNNNNNNNNNNNNNNNNNNNNNNNNNNNGGGGGGGGGGGGGGGCCUUGUUGGCUUGCGGCGAGAGGCUAGCUACGAGCUCCGAGUUGUCAUUAAUGGAUGUCUGGAGUCUGGGCGAUAUCUACGAGCACGCUCGACGUAGAGGUAGCGGUAGAGAGACACCCGGGAUGGGGCUGACGAUGACAUGACGGCCCGGGGGCGACGCCCCUCUGCUUUUCCGGGCGCCAGCUGAAACGGAGACCGAGACGCAGGGGCAGCCACGUCAUUUCCACGCACUAGAGAGAGAGAGAGAGGAAGAGAGAGAGAGAGAGAGGGGCAUGGUGAACGGGGCAGCCAUGUCAUAUCGAGAUCGCGGUUGCGUGCGCCGCUCUGCUCCCGUGUCCCCCCGACCGUGAUCACCGCCCCCGUGCGUGCUCUGGACAACACAACACGCUUGGCCAAAGCCAGAGAUGUGCAGCGAGUAAAGCUAGCAGCGCGUGAGAAAAAGUCUAUGGGAAAUCUCGCCCGUGCCGCGCGGGGGGCAAGCCGGAGGUACCCCACGGCGUCACGUGGUGGGGCGAGGGUAGGGUCGUCUCGUCGCCGUCGGCGCCCUCCUCCUCGCCGGACCCGUCUCCUCCUUCCUUCCUUCCCUCUUGCCCGGGGCCUGGCAUGGGUGGGGCUCGACCGGUCCCAUGCAUGCACCAUGCAUCGUCGUCGUCGAUCGGGUGGACGUUGCUCUCGUACGUACGACGCGACCGGACCUAAUGCUGCCCCAUAAAUGGGUGCUGUGGAUCGCGCGGCCGGCCGCCGGGAGAGGCGGAUCGGUCGACCGGCCACCGUCUAUGGGUGUGGCUGGCAAGGCUAGCUAGCGGAAUUGAAAGAGGAUCGAGCCGAUGCGCCGCGCUGCAAAUAGACAUGUUAUAGUUGUAUAUAAGGGUUAGGGUCAGGGGCGGUUCCAGCAAUCUGGCUAGCCUUGCCGAUCGUCAUACCUAAAAGUUUCUGCAAAUAAACUUACUAGUAGCAUAUACUACACUGAUAAUCUUGAUACGUGUCUGUGUACAUCUUAAGUAGACGAGCUAAUAUUAUUUUAGCACACGACAUGCUUCGAUAUAUUUGUUAUUCCUGUAAGCUCCUGGGUAAUUACAUUUUAUGUACAUAGUUUUCUCAUCCACAAAUUUCGUCACACCUAACAAUUAUUUCCGGCUCUGCCACUGGUUAGGUUAAUCCUGGAUAGUAGAUAUUGGAAAAUGAACUAAAUUGAUGUAGAUGGAUGCAACUAAAAUUGUGUAUAUACUCCAAUGAUGGGCCUGAGAUCUCAGAGAUGAAUAGUAAAUAAAAAUGCAAAGAAUGCAUAAUGACCAUAACUAAUAUGGAAAAUCAAUAAAUAAUGUGAUUCCCCACCAUGAUGUGCGAGAUUGAAACUUAUAUAUUUUAAAAUCUAGUGAAAGAUUGUAAAGAUAAAUGGUGUAGGCAUCCUAUAUGGUCUAUAAUUGAAGAUGCUAUUGUUGCUGGUCAAAAUAAGCAAAAAGCAUGUUUUUGGUCCCUCAAGUUUCUUAAAAGUAUAGAUUGGUCCCUUAAUUAUAUAUAUAUAUAUANNNNNNNNNNNNNNNNNNNNNNNNNNNNNNNNNNNNNNNNNNNNNNNNNNNNNNNNNNNNNNNNNNNNNNNNNNNNNNNNNNNNNNNNNNNNNNNNNNNNNNNNNNNNNNNNNNNNNNNNNNNNNNNNNNNNNNNNNNNNNNNNNNNNNNNNNNNNNNNNNNNNNNNNNNNNNNNNNNNNNNNNNNNNNNNNNNNNNNNNNNNNNNNNNNNNNNNNNNNNNNNNNNNNNNNNNNNNNNNNNNNNNNNNNNNNNNNNNNNNNNNNNNNNNNNNNNNNNNNNNNNNNNNNNNNNNNNNNNNNNNNNNNNNNNNNNNNNNNNNNNNNNNNNNNNNNNNNNNNNNNNNNNNNNNNNNNNNNNNNNNNNNNNNNNNNNNNNNNNNNNNNNNNNNNNNNNNNNNNNNNNNNNNNNNNNNNNNAUAUAUAUAUAUAUAUAUGGUCCUUUAAAUCUAAAAACCUAAUAAGUUUGGUCCAAAAAAAAGAUUUUAAGCACGUUGACCAAGUUUGACCAUGUUGACCAGGUUUGACUAAUGAAUAGUAUUUCUUUUGAAAGAUCUUAAUAUUUGUGGCAAAUACAAAUUGUGAGGUGUUUUGACAUUUGAGGAGAUUGUGAAAAAAAGACAAAUUUUGACUCACAAAAAAAGGCAAUUUUCAUUUGGUAGAGCUCCUGUGGAGUUAUUUCACCACUAAAAUUUGUGUGCACCUAGCACACCCAAGCAUGUUGGUUGUCACAAAAUUUCAAUGUUACUUUAUAAUAUAAAACGGGAGAAAUCCUAUCUCAUCGACUAUUGUAGUUGCUACAUGUUCCAUGUUUGAAUGUUCAUAUUUCAUAGGAGUACCUCGCUGUUAUCAUUAUAUUUUAUAAAAACAGUGGCAAAAGGAUUUGUUCCGGUCUGUUGAGUAAGAAAAAUGGCUGAUUAGUUGGUUAACGUGACACUAGGCAAAUUGUUUAUGAGUCGCUAGGUAAAUGUAUUGAAGCUGAGUACUUGACCUUGUAUGAAUAAAAGGAGGGGGUAACGUAAAUGCUGAAUGGAGGACGAGUUCCAUGAGCCCGAUUUUUUUUUUAAAAGAAUCAAAGUUCAUACUUUUACAUUUGAGUUUUUUAAAGAGUACACACACACCGAGAGAUAUUCCUAAUGGCCAUGUGUAAAUUUUAGUGGAGAAAUACUUAAAAAUGAGAGUUAAACAGUAUAAACAAAUAUGUGGCUUUUCAGCACUCCAAGUGUAUGAAUUUGUUUUAUUUGAGCAGCUUCCAAUUCAAGUAUUUUAUUGUGAAAAUUAUACGCGUGUAUACAUUAGAUCUUUGUAAAUGUGUAUACUGAUUGCAUAACUUCUUUAAACUAAACAAUUGAAUUGUGAUAGUACUCGAUACCAGCGGGAGCAGUGCUAUUCUACUUCUAAGUAAUAGAUGUGACCAAGACCAAGUGGUACAGUACGUGAUAACGUGAAGAAAGACUAACUCAGUUAAAGAUUAAAAUUAAAUUUUAACUCUGGAUUAAUUCUAAGCUAACUCUAACAAAAGGAGUGUUGGGAUGUCAGAAUUAGAUUGUCAAUAAAUACAUCUUUUUUAAUCAUUUGACUCUUUCAACAGGAUUUGGUGUGGUGGAGGCAUAGAAAAAAGUAUUUUUUUUCUGCAACCCACAUAACUCUAAUCUAAAUAAACACCUCUUCACCGAGUUAAUUUUCUAAAAUGAGUCAGAUGCAUCUGAUCAAAAUUAAUCCUUCUGUUUGAAUGUUCUUGAAUUAGUUGAGUUCAAAUUAUUUCUAACCAUGAUCCAAACAGGGUCUAAAGGUGUAUGCAAACAGUGAAUAUGGCUAGCUAGGCGGCUAGCCCGCACAUAGCUUUCUGCGCGGGUCAAACAAAGCUGAAUAAGCAGAUUGAUUGAUAACGCCAAGACUUGUAAUACGUCCUACUAUGGCAGACCAUUUUGUUCACCUCACGGGCACAACAUUGACACCUAGUCGAGGCUGCCCACGCCCCUGUCGUCGCUGUGCCGUUGCGUUGCAUACGCCUCAUUUUUCUGACCGGGAGGAUGCUUUGGCUGCACGUCGCAUGCAGCCCGGUCCAAACGCGCAGCAGCAGCGCAUGUGACGGAGCGAUGGCGACGCCCCGAGUGACAGUGCGCCCCCCGCCCGGCACGGAGAUAUCCUUGAUGAUGCCCCGUAUGAUUGGGUGCGCUCCGUCCGUUUUGCACCACCCCAACGCGACGGACCGACCCCUCCAUCGGUCACGGGUCCGUGAAUAGCAGGGACUGGGAGACGCGUACGUCCACAUUUCACGCGCGCAAGCAUGCACCGACACGUGCAGCCUUGUUGACCAACUCCAACGACGUCCGAUUUGGUACGAAUUUUGUCCGUUUGGUUUAAAAAAAGCACAGCGGCCGCCGGACACAGGCCGGACAAAUUUCUUCCACCCAACUGCUAUCCCAUUUCUACCACAUUUGAUUAGAUCCGACAGGCCCCGCCCCUCCCUGCUGCGCCACGCCCGCCCCUCCUCGCCGCGCCCGCGCCCGCCCACUGCCCCUGCCCGACGCGCCCGNNNNNNNNNNNNNNNNNNNNNNNNNNNNNNNNNNNNNNNNNNNNNNNNNNNNNNNNNNNNNNNNNNNNNNNNNNNNNNNNNNNNNNNNNNNNNNNNNNNNUUCCACAUUGUCUUAAGUGAGCACCAAACUCGAAACUCAGAUAUUCACCCCCACGAUCAGACCGUAGGAACUUGAUCUUCUUGUUACGAUGAUUUUCCACUUCACUCUGAAAUUGCUUGAACUUUUCAAAUGUUUCAGACUUGUGCUUCAUCAAGUAGACAUAACCAUAUCUACUUAAAUCGUCAGUGAAGGUGAGAAAAUAACGAUAUCCGCCGCGUGCCUCCAAGCUCAUCGGACCACACACAUCGGUAUGUAUGAUUUCCAACAAGUACUUGCAUGCUCCAUUGUUCCUGAGAAUGGAGUCUUAGUCAUAUUGCCCAUGAGGCAUGGUUCGCACGUGUCAAGUGAAUCAAAGUCAAGUGACUCCAAAAGUCCAUCAGCAUGGACUUUCUUCAUGCGCUUUACACCAAUAUGACCUAAGCGGCAGUGCCACAAAAAUAUGGCGCUAUCAUUGUUAACUCUAACUCUUUUGGUCUCAAUGUUAUGUAUAUGCGUAUCGCUAUCAAUAUUCAAUAUGAACAAUCCUCUCACAUUCGGUGCAUGACCAUAAAAGAUGUUACUCAUAGAAAUAGAACAACCAUUAUUCUCUGACUUAAAAGAGUAACUGUCUCGCAAUAAACAAGAUCCAGAUAUAAUGUUCAUGCUCAACGCAGGCACUAAAUAACAAUGAUUUAAGUUCAUCACUAAUCCUGACGGUAACUGAAGUGACACUGUGCCGACGGCGAUUGCAUCAACCUUGGAACCAUUUCCUACGCGCAUCGUCACUUCAUCUUUCGCCAGCCUUCGCCUAUUCCGCAGUUCCUGUUUCGUGUUGCAAAUAUGAGCAACAGAACCGGUAUCGAAUACCCAGGCACUACUACGAGAGCCGGUUAAGUACACAUCAAUAACAUGUAUAUCAAAUAUACCUGAUUUUUCUUUGCCCGCCUUCUUAUCUGCCANNNNNNNNNNNNNNNNNNNNNNNNNNNNNNNNNNNNNNNNNNNNNNNNNNNNNNNNNNNNNNNNNNNNNNNNNNNNNNNNNNNNNNNNNNNNNNNNNNNNNNNNNNNNNNNNNNNNNNNNNNNNNNNNNNNNNNNNNNNNNNNNNNNNNNNNNNNNNNNNNNNNNNNNNNNNNNNNNNNNNNNNNNNNNNNNNNNNNNNNNNNNNNNNNNNNNNNNNNNNNNNNNNNNNNNNNNNNNNNNNNNNNNNNNNNNNNNNNNNNNNNNNNNNNNNNNNNNNNNNNNNNNNNNNNNNNNNNNNNNNNNNNNNNNNNNNNNNNNNNNNNNNNNNNNNNNNNNNNNNNNNNNNNNNNNNNNNNNNNNNNNNNNNNNNNNNNNNNNNNNNNNNNNNNNNNNNNNNNNNNNNNNNNNNNNNNNNNNNNNNNNNNNNNNNNCGGAGUUCAGACUCUGCGACUUUCAACAUCGCAAACAACUCGCCGGGAGACUUGUUCAUCCCUUGCAUGUUGUAGUUCAACACAAAGCCUUUAUAGCUUGGCCGCAGUGAUUGAAGGAUUCUGUCAGUGAUAGCUUCUUGCGGGAGUUCAAUCCCCAGCUCAGCUAGACGGUUUGAGUACCCAGACAUUUUGAGCACAUGUUCAAUGAGAGAUGAGUUUUCCUCCAUCUUGCAAGCAUAUAAUUUAUCGGAGGUCUCAUACCUCUCGAUCCGGGCGUUCUUCUGAAAGAUAAACUCCAACUCCUGGAACAUCUCAAAUGCUNNNNNNNNNNNNNNNNNNNNNNNNNNNNNNNNNNNNNNNNNNNNNNNNNNNNNNNNNNNNNNNNNNNNNNNNNNNNNNNNNNNNNNNNNNNNNNNNNNNNGUCCUCCUUACGUGCUAACCAAGCGUUCUUAACAUCCUGAUCAGCCGUAGCGGGUGGUUCAUCUCCUAACGCAGCAUUAAGGACAUAAUCCUUCUUCCCAGCUUGUAAGAUUAGCUUAAGAUUACGAGCCCAGUCUACAAAGUUGCUUCCAUCAUCUUUCAACUUAGCUUUCUCUAGGAACGUAUUAAAAUUCAGGAUGACUGUCGCGUGAGCCAUGAUCUACAACACAAAUAUAUUCAAAGUGGACUUAGACUAUGUUCAAGAUAAUUAGCGUUUAACUUAAUCAAAUUAUUCGCUAAACUCCCACUCAAAAAGUACAUCUCUCUAGUCAUUUGAGUGGUUCAUGAUCCACUUACACUAGCUCAAGUCCGAUCAUCACGUGAGUUGAGUAUAGUUUCAGUGGUAAGCAUCCCUAUGCUAAUCAUAUCAUCUAUAUGAUUCAUGAUCGACCUUUCGGUCUCAUGUGUUCCGAGGCCAUGUCUGCACAUGCUAGGCUCGUCAAGCUUAACCCGAGUGUUCCGCGUGCGCAACUGUUUUGCACCCGUUGUAUGUGAACGUUGAGUCUAUCACACCCGAUCAUCACGUGGUGUCUCGAAACGACGAACUGUAGCAACGGUGCACAGUCGGGGAGAACACAAUUUCGUCUUGAAAUUUUAGUGAGAGAUCACCUCAUAAUGCUACCGUCGUUCUAAGCAAAAUAAGGUGCAUAAAAGGAUUAACAUCACAUGCAAUUCAUAAGUGACAUGAUAUGGCCAUCAUCACGUGCUUCUUGAUCUCCAUCACCAAAGCACCGGCACGAUCUUCUUGUCACCGGCGCCACACCAUGAUCUCCAUCAACGUGUUGCCAUCGGGGUUGUCGUGCUACUCAUGCUAUUACUACUAAAGCUACAUCCUAGCAAAAAUAGUAAACGCAUCUGCAAGCACACACGUUAGUAUAAAGACAACCCUAUGGCUCCUGCCGGUUGACGUACCAUCGACGUGCAAGUCGAUAUUUCUAUUACAACAUGAUCAUCUCAUACAUCCAAUAUAUCACAUCACAUCAUUGGCCAUAUCAUAUCACAAGCAUACCCUGCAAAAACAAGUUAGACGUCCUCUAAUUUUGUUGUUGCAUGUUUUACGUGGUGACCAUGGGUAUCUUGUAGGAUCGCAUCUUACUUACGCAAACACCACAGCGGAGAUAUAUGAAUUGCUAUUUAACCUCAUCCAAGGACCUCCUCGGUCAAAUCCGAUUCAACUAAAGUUGGAGAAACCGACACUUGCCGGUCAUCUUUGAGCAACGGAGUUACUCGUAGCGAUGAAACCAGUCUCUCGUAAGCGUACGAGUAAUGUCAGUCCGAGCCGCUUCGCUCCAACAAUACCGCGGAANNNNNNNNNNNNNNNNNNNNNNNNNNNNNNNNNNNNNNNNNNNNNNNNNNNNNNNNNNNNNNNNNNNNNNNNNNNNNNNNNNNNNNNNNNNNNNNNNNNNGUCGAUCCUAAAGAUACUGAAAAGUAUGCAAGCUCCAGCGAUCCUUCAAAGGACGGGUGCAAGCAUCUCGGAGUUGGAAUAUACACUUUGAUGAGAUGAUCAAAGAUUUUGGGUUUGUACAAGGUUUAUGAGAAACUUGUAUUUCCAAAGAAGUGAGUGGGAGCACUAUAGAAUUUCUCAUAAGUAUAUGUGGUUGACAUAUUUUGGAUCAGAAGUAAUGUAGAAUUUCUGUAAAGCAUACAAGGUUGUUUGAAAGGAGUUUUCAAAGGAAUACCUGGAUUGCGCUACUUGAACGUUGAGCAUCAAAGAUCUAUGGAGAUAGAUCAAAAGCGCUUAAUGAAAGUUUCAAUAAGAUGCAUGCCUUGACAAGUUUGGAAAGAGUUCAAAAUAAGAUCAGCAAAGAAGGAGUUCUGGGUUGCGUUGUGAGGUGUGAAUUUGAGUAAGACUCAAAACCCGACCACGGCAGAAUAAAGAGAAUAGACGAAGGUCGUCUUCUAUGCCUUAGCCGUAGAAUCUAAAGUAUGCCAUGCUGUGUACCGCACCUGACGUGUGCCUUGACUCCAAGUAUGUUGAGAGGUACAGAGAGUGAUCCAUGAUUGAAUCACUAGCAGCGGUCGAAAUUUAUCCUUAGUAACUAAUGGACUAAGGAAUUUUUCUCGAUUAUGGAGGUGGUUAAAGAGUUUGUCGUAAAGGGUUACGUCAAUGCAAGCUUUGACACUAACCCGAAUAACUAUGAGUAGUGAAACGGAUUCGUAUAGUAGAGUAGAUAUUUGGAGCAUUUCCGAAUAGCACGUAGUAGCAGCAUCUAUAAGAUGACAUAAAGAUUUGUAAAGAACGCACGGAUCUGAAAGCUUCAGAACCGUUGACUAAAACCUCUCUCACGAGCAAGACGUGAUCAGACCCCAUAACUAUAUGGGUGUUGGAUUCGUUGGAAUCACAUGGUGAUGUGAACUAGAUUAUUGACUCUAGUGCAAGUGGGAGACUGUUGGAAAUAUGCCCUAGAGGCAAUAAUAAAUUAGUUAUUAUUAUAUUUCNNNNNNNNNNNNNNNNNNNNNNNNNNNNNNNNNNNNNNNNNNNNNNNNNNNNNNNNNNNNNNNNNNNNNNNNNNNNNNNNNNNNNNNNNNNNNNNNNNNNUCCAUCACGUGAUUCUCCUAAUGACGUGAUCCAGUUAUCAAGCAACAACACCUUGUUUAUAAUCAGAUGACACUGACUAUCUUUGAUCAACUGGCUAGCCAACUAGAGGCUUGCUAGGGACGGUGUUUUGUCUAUGUAUCCACACAUGCAAAUGAGUCUUCAUUCAAUACAAUUAUAGCAUGGAUAAUAAACGAUUAUCUUGAUACAGGAAUUAUAAUAAUAAUUAUAUUUAUUAUUGCCUCUAGGGCAUAAUUCCAACAGUCUCCCACUUGCACUAGAGUCAAUAAUCUAGACCUCACAUCACCAUGUGAAUUACAUUGUAAUAAAUCUAACACCCAUACAGUUAUGGUGUUGAUCAUGCUUUGGCCGUGGAAGAGGUUUAGUCAGCGGGUCUGCUACAUUCAGAUCCGUGUGCACUUUGCAUAUAUUCACGUCCUCUCCCUUGACGUAGUCGCGGAUGAGGUUGAAGCGUCGUUUGAUGUGUCUGGUCUUGUUGUGAAACCGCGGUUCCUUUGCUAAGGCAAUGGCACCCGUGUUGUCACGGAACAAGGUUAUUGGAUUCAGUGCGCUUGGCACCACUCCAAGAUCCGUCAUGAAUUGCUUCAUCCAGACACCCUCCUUAGCCGCCUCCGAGGCAGCCAUGUACUCCGCUUCACAUGUAGAAUCUGCUACGACGCUUUGCUUGGAACUGCACCAGCUUACUGCACCCCCAUUAAGAAUAAAUACGUAUCCGGUUUGCGACUUAGAGUCGUGCGGAUCUGUGUCAAAGCUUGCAUCGACGUAACCUUUUACGGCGAGCUCUUCGUCACCUCCAUACACGAGAAACAUCUCCUUAGUCCUUUUCAGGUACUUCAGGAUAUUCUUGACCGCUGUCCAGUGAUCCACUCCUGGAUUACUCUGGAACCUACCUGCCAUACUUAUGGCCAGGCUAACAUCCGGUCUAGUGCACAGCAUUGAAUACAUGAUGGAACCUAUGGCUAAAGCAUAGGGGACGGAGCGCAUAUGCUCUCUAUCUUCAUCAGUUGCUGGGCACUGAGUCUUACUCAAUCUCGUACCUUGUAGAACUAGCAAGAGCCCUUUCUUGGACUGUUCCAUUUUGAACCUCUUCAAAACUUUAUCAAGGUAUGUGCUUUGUGAAAGUCCUAUCAGGCGUUUUGAUCUAUCCCUAUAGAUCUUAAUACCUAGAAUGUAAGCAGCUUCUCCUAUGUCCUUCAUAGAGAAACUUUUAUUCAAGUAACCUUUUAUGCUCUCCAAAAACUCUACGUUGUUUCCAAUCAGUAAUAUGUCAUCCACAUAUAAUAUUAGAAACGCCACAGAGCUCCCACUCACUUUCUUGUAAAUACAAGAUUCUCCAACCACUUGUAUAAACCCAAAUGCUUUGAUCACCUCAUCAAAGCGUUUGUUCCAACUCCGAGAUGCUUGCACCAGUCCAUAAAUAGAUCGCUGGAGCUUGCACACCUUGUUAGCAUUCUUAGGAUCGACAAAACCUUCGGGUUGCAUCAUAUACAACUCUUCCUUAAGGAAACCGUUAAGGAACGCCGUUUUGACAUCCAUCUGCCAGAUUUCAUAAUCGAAAAAUGCAGCUAUUGCUAACAUGAUUCUGACGGACUUAAGCAUCGCUACGGGUGAGAAAGUCUCAUCGUAGUAAACUCCUUGAACUUGUGAAAAACCCUUUGCCACAAGUCGAGCUUUAUAAACGGUCACAUUACCGUCAGCGUCCGUCUUCUUCUUAAAGAUCCAUUUGUUCUGAAUGGCCUUGCGGCCCUCAGGCAGUACCUCCAAAGUCCACACUUUGUUCUCAUACAUGGAUCCUAUCUCGGACUUCAUGGCUUCCAGCCAUUUGUUGGAAUCUGGGCCCACCAUUGCUUCUUCAUAAUUCGCAGGUUCAUUGUUGUCUAACAACAUGAUUGAUAAGACGGGAUUACCUUACCACUCUGGAGCAGCACGUGGUCUCGUCGACCUGCGUGGUUCAACAGAAACUUGAACUGGAGUUUCAUGAUCAUCAUCAUUAACUUCCUCCUCAACCGGCAUCGCAAUGACAGAGGUUUCCCCUUGCCCUGCGCCACCAUACAGAGGGAUGAGAGGUUCGACAACCUCGUCAAGUUCUAUCUUCCUCCCACUCAAUUCUCUCGAGAGAAACUCCUUCUCGAGAAAAGCUCCGUUUUUAGCAACAAACACUUUGCCCUCGGUUUUGAGAUAGAAGGUGUACCCAACUGUCUCUUUUGGGUAACCUAUGAAGACGCACCUUUCCGCUUUGGGUUCCAGCUUUUCAGGCUGAAGCUUUUUGACAUAAGAAUCACAUCCCCAAACCUUAAGAAACGACAACUUUGGCCUUUUGCCAUACCAUAGUUCGUAUGGUGUCGCCUCAACGGAUUUUGAUGGUGCCCUAUUUAAAGUGAAUGCAACUGUUUCUAAUGCAUAGCCCCAAAAUGAUAACGGCAAAUCAGUAAGAGACAUCAUAGAUCGCACCAUCUCUAAUGGAGUACGAUUACGACGUUCGGACACACCAUUACGCUGUGGUGUUCCAGGCGGUGUUAACUCUGAAACAAUUCCACAUUGUCUUAAGUGAGCACCAAACUCGAAACUCAGAUAUUCACCCCCACGAUCAGACCGUAGGAACUUGAUCUUCUUGUUACGAUGAUUUUCCACUUCACUCUGAAAUUGCUUGAACUUUUCAAAUGUUUCAGACUUGUGCUUCAUCAAGUAGACAUAACCAUAUCUACUUAAAUCGUCAGUGAAGGUGAGAAAAUAACGAUAUCCGCCGCGUGCCUCCAAGCUCAUCGGACCACACACAUCGGUAUGUAUGAUUUCCAACAAGUACUUGCAUGCUCCAUUGUUCCUGAGAACGGAGUCUUAGUCNNNNNNNNNNNNNNNNNNNNNNNNNNNNNNNNNNNNNNNNNNNNNNNNNNNNNNNNNNNNNNNNNNNNNNNNNNNNNNNNNNNNNNNNNNNNNNNNNNNNACUAUACUCAACUCACGUCAUGAUCGGACUUGAGCUAGUGUAAGUGGAUCAUGAACCACUCAAAUGACUAGAGAGAUGUACUUUUUGAGUGGGAGUUUAGCAAAUAAUUUGAUUAAGUUAAACUCUAAUUAUCUUGAACAUAGUCUAAGUCCACUUUGAAUAUAUUUGUGUUGUAGAUCAUGGCUCACGCGACAGUCCCCCUGAAUUUUAAUACGUUCCUAGAGAAAGCUAAGUUGAAAGAUGAUGGAAGCAACUUUAAAGACUGGGCUCAUAAUCUUAAGCUAAUCUUACAAGCUGGGAAGAAGGAUUAUGUCCUUAAUGCUGCGCUAGGAGAUGAACCACCCGCUACGGCUGAUCAGGAUGUUAAGAACGCUUGGUUAGCACGUAAGGAGGACUACUUAGUAGUUCAAUGUGCAAUCUUGUAUGGCUUAGAACCGGGACUUCAACGUUGCUUUGAGCGCCAUGGAGCAUUUGAGAUGUUCCAGGAGUUGAAGUUUAUCUUUCAGAAGAACGCCCGGAUCGAGAGGUAUGAGACCUCCGAUAAAUUCUAUGCUUGCAAAAUGGAGGAAAACUCGGCUGUCAAUGAACAUGUGCUCAAAAUGUCUGGGUACUCAAACCGUCUAGCUGAGCUGGGGAUUGAACUCCCGCAAGUGGCUAUCACUGACAGAAUCCUUCAAUCACUGCCGCCAAGCUAUAAAGGCUUUGUGUUGAACUACAACAUGCAAGGGAUGAACAAGUCUCCCGGCGAGUUGUUUGCGNNNNNNNNNNNNNNNNNNNNNNNNNNNNNNNNNNNNNNNNNNNNNNNNNNNNNNNNNNNNNNNNNNNNNNNNNNNNNNNNNNNNNNNNNNNNNNNNNNNNAAAGGAUUAACAUCACAUCCAAUUCAUAAGUGACAUGAUCUGGCCAUCAUCACGUGCUUCUUGAUCUCCAUCACCAAAGCACCGGCACGAUCUUCUUGUCACCGGCGCCACACCAUGAUCUCCAUCAACGUGUAGCCAUCGGGGUUGUCGUGCUACUCAUGCUAUUACUACUAAAGCUACAUCCUAGCAAAAUAGUAAACGCAUCUGCAAGCACAAACAUUAGUAUAAAGACAACCCUAUGGCUCCUGCCGGUUGCCGUACCACCGACGUGCAAGUCGAUAUUAUCUAUUACAACAUGAUCAUCUCAUACAUCCAANNNNNNNNNNNNNNNNNNNNNNNNNNNNNNNNNNNNNNNNNNNNNNNNNNNNNNNNNNNNNNNNNNNNNNNNNNNNNNNNNNNNNNNNNNNNNNNNNNNNNNNNNNNNNNNNNNNNNNNNNNNNNNNNNNNNNNNNNNNNNNNNNNNNNNNNNNNNNNNNNNNNNNNNNNNNNNNNNNNNNNNNNNNNNNNNNNNNNNNNNNNNNNNNNNNNNNNNNNNNNNNNNNNNNNNNNNNNNNNNNNNNNNNNNNNNNNNNNNNNNNNNNNNNNNNNNNNNNNNNNNNNNNNNNNNNNNNNNNNNNNNNNNNNNNNNNNNNNNNNNNNNNNNNNNNNNNNNNNNNNNNNNNNNNNNNNNNNNNNNNNNNNNNNNNNNNNNNNNNNNNNNNNNNNNNNNNNNNNNNNNNNNNNNNNNNNNNNNNNNNNNNNNNNNNNNNNNNNNNNNNNNNNNNNNNNNNNNNNNNNNNNNNNNNNNNNNNNNNCACAACGGAGAUAUAUGACUUGCUAUUUAACCUCAUCCAAGGACCUCCUUGGUCAAAUCCGAUUCAACUAAAGUUGGAGAAACCGACACUUGCCAGUCAUCUUUGAGCAACGGGGUUACUCGUAGCAAUGAAACCAGUCUCUCGUAAGCGUACGAGUAAUGUCGGUCCAAGCCGCUUCAAUCCAACAAUACCGCGGAAUCAAGAAAAGACUAAGGAGAGCAGCAAAACGCACAUCACCGCCCACAAAAACUUUUGUGUUCUACUCGAGAAGACAUCUACGCAUGAACCUAGCUCAUGAUGCCACUGUUGGGGAACGUCACAUGGGAAACAAAAAUUUUCCUACGCACACGAAGACCUAUCAUGGUGAUGUCCAUCUACGAGAGGGGAUGAGUGAUCUACGUACCCUUGUAGACCGUAUAGCAGAAGCGUUAGUGAACGCGGUUGAUGUAGUGGAACGUCCUCACGUCCCUCGAUCCGCCCCGCGAACAAUCCCACGAUCAGUCCCACGAUCUNNNNNNNNNNNNNNNNNNNNNNNNNNNNNNNNNNNNNNNNNNNNNNNNNNNNNNNNNNNNNNNNNNNNNNNNNNNNNNNNNNNNNNNNNNNNNNNNNNNNGGAAGCCCAUAGGCCUUGGGGGUGGCGCACCAGCCCUUGGUGGGCUGGUAGGACAGCCCAAGAAGGCCCUAUGCGCCAUAGGAAGAAAAUCAAAGAGAAAAAAAGAGGAGGUGGGAGAAGGGGGAAGGACUCCUCCUUCCAAACCUAGUUGGACUCGGUUUGGAAGGGGAGGGUUGCUCCCCUUGGCUCGGCCGAAGUCCUUGGGGGUCCUUGGACCCCAAGGCAAGGCUCCCCCUCUUCCCCCUAUAUAUACGGAGGUUUUAGGGCUGAUUUGAGACAACUUUGCCACGGCAGCCCGACCACAUAUCUCCACGGUUUUUCCUCUAGAUCGCGUUUCUGCGAAGCUCGGGCGGAGCCUUGCCGAGACAAGAUCAUCACCAACCUUCGGAGCGCCGUCACGCUGNNNNNNNNNNNNNNNNNNNNNNNNNNNNNNNNNNNNNNNNNNNNNNNNNNNNNNNNNNNNNNNNNNNNNNNNNNNNNNNNNNNNNNNNNNNNNNNNNNNNNNNNNNNNNNNNNNNNNNNNNNNNNNNNNNNNNNNNNNNNNNNNNNNNNNNNNNNNNNNNNNNNNNNNNNNNNNNNNNNNNNNNNNNNNNNNNNNNNNNNNNNNNNNNNNNNNNNNNNNNNNNNNNNNNNNNNNNNNNNNNNNNNNNNNNNNNNNNNNNNNNNNNNNNNNNNNNNNNNNNNNNNNNNNNNNNNNNNNNNNNNNNNNNNNNNNNNNNNNNNNNNNNNNNNNNNNNNNNNNNNNNNNNNNNNNNNNNNNNNNNNNNNNNNNNNNNNNNNNNNNNNNNNNNNNNNNNNNNNNNNNNNNNNNNNNNNNNNNNNNNNNNNNNNNNNNNNNACGCGGAGGUGCCGUCCGGUCGGCACUAGAUCGUGCGACUGAUCGUGGGACGGUUCGCGGGGCGGAUCGAGGGACGUGAGGACGUUCCACUACAUCAACCGCGUUCCCUAACGCUUCUGCUGUACGGUCUACAAGGGUACGUAGAUCACACAUCCCCUCUCGUAGAUGGACAUCACCAUGAUAGGUCUUCGUGCGCGUAGGAAAUUUUUUGUUUCCCNNNNNNNNNNNNNNNNNNNNNNNNNNNNNNNNNNNNNNNNNNNNNNNNNNNNNNNNNNNNNNNNNNNNNNNNNNNNNNNNNNNNNNNNNNNNNNNNNNNNAGAGAGGAGUGGCUCUCUAAUUAAUGGCAUGGGGCUAUAUAUAGACAAACGGGGGGGCUCGGUUAACCGGAAUCGCGCUCCGGAUCCAACCGCGGGGUCGGAUUCGGACGAUUCCGAACGCGGGAAUGGGUACGUGGCCGUGUAGAGGGGAUAUCCGGAGACGAGAGGGAGAACGGGCGACGCGGCACGAAUUUUAAAACACCGACACACGUCCGACGGUAGCCUGAAUACGAUGCCGCCACGAUCGACCGUUCGGGUACCAGUUGGUCUUCGAUCGCGACGAAAUUCGACAGGCGGCCUAGCUAUAUCUAAUCGCGACCGCGUGCCAAGUUUCACCUCGAUCAGAGAAAGUUUUAAACGCACUUUAAAAACAGGGUUUCGACGGUGCCGCGGGCGCGUGCGAGUGCGGUCAGGCUCGGAACGAACAACGACGCGAACCGGCAACUAACAACGGAUGCAGGUUUUGAAAACCGGCGGCAACGGAGAUGCCGAUGCAAUGCUGAUGAUGCGCAUGAUGCGAUGAUGAUGCGACCAAUAUAAAGAGACACACGAUGAAAACGGAAAGAGAGGGGAAUCUUCUGGAACGUCGGCAUCGGGCUGUCACAAGUCAUUAGGGCAUGCAUGUAUCUUCUGCACGUCUAAUCCUAGAGGGCAGACAAGCUUCUUUGCUUCGUACGUGCUGACGGGCAAUUCGUUCUUUCUUGGAAGCAUCUUCUUCAUCAGUACCAGCAACUUUUCGAAUGACGAGUCAGUCACACCGGUCUCUGCCUUCCACUUCAGCAAUUCCAGUGUGCUACCCAGCUUCUUCUGGCCAUCUUCACAAGUUGGGUACAACAAUUUGUUGUGGUCCUGUAACAUCGGCUCGAACUGCAACCUCUCCUUUUCUGUGUCGCAACCUCGCCGUGCAUCAGAAAUGACCCGGCCAAGAUCAUCAGCGGGCUCAUCUGGUUCCCGUUCUUCAUCCUGAUCUUCUUCUUCAUUGUCUUCCAUUGCGGUAUCAGCAUACUCAGGGAACAUAGAUCGGUAGUUGUCAUCAUCGUUCUCUUCUUCUUCAUCGUCGUCUUCCAUCAUAACCCCUCUUUCUCCGUGCUUGGUCCAAACAUUAUAGCCCGACAUAAAACCGGACCGAAGCAGGUGGCUCUGAAUGACUCUUGAGGAAGUGUAAUCCUUCUCAUUCCGACAUUCAAAACAUGGACAAAACAUAUAGCCACCACCAUGCUUGUUCGCAUCGGCUGCAUCUCGAAAAGAAUGCACGCCUUCUCUGUAAGCGGUUGUGCGUCGAUCACCGUACAUCCAUGGAUGGCUCAUCUGUGUUAUACGACAGUAUAUCAAAUACAAUCACGAUCCUAAAAAUUAGUACCGCACGGUCUAAACGAGGAAAUAUAGUUGCUAACCUUUUAGAAUAAAUAGAAAUAAAGAGGAAGAGGUUUAAGCGUGGCUCAGGCAUCUGAUAUCGUAGUUGUGUUCGGUGAACUAAAGCGGCAUCGCUCUAACACACAUUUCAACAAACACCUCUAGUGCAUCAAAAAAAGUGGAGAGCUAGCACCCACCCACAAUCCUCCAUCCAAGAAAAAUGCAAGGAAGAGGGGAGAGGGGGGUUGUGCUAUAUAUAGGCAGAGGACUUUAGUCCUGGUUUGAGACACAAACCGGGACUAAAGGUGGCGCACAUGCGGGCUGCCCACCGCAUAGCUCUUUAGUUCCGGUUUGGGACACGAACCGGGACUAAAGGCUCCUUACGGGCCGGGACUAAAGCCUCGAGGGUGGCAUUGAGAAUUGGGGCGACGUGGCCGGGCCUUUAGUUCCGGCCCAGAGGCAGGCCGGGACUAAAGGGUCCCGGCCAAAGGCCCGUUCUCCACUAGUGACGAGCAAGCGACAGCGGUUGACGAGAGCGUCCGCUUGCCUCCACCUCAUACCCAUUUCUUCCCAUUUUUGCGUCAGGUUGGGAUCAAGACGGACAACAAGCGGGCAGCAAGCGGACACAUGCGUCCGUUUGGGUCAUCCCGUUGGACCAAUUUUUGUGUCCGGAUGACCCAAACGGACAAAAUGGGUCGCUGCGUUGGGGUUGCUCUGAACUAUGGUUGACAUCCUUGCCUGGCUAAUACGCGACAGUCCUUAACUUACCUGAUAACAAAAAACCAAGUGUGCAAACUCCAAAGUUCGCUAGCAUUUCCCGGACAUACCGGCCGGCAACCGGGACGGGGACACCCACAAACCCCUCCACGAACCACACUGACUUGUUAGCACGGUGAGUAAUCCACGGGUCUCCGCUAGCUACCGCAUUCCGGUUCUCGUCGAGCCACCGAGCCAGUAAACAAUCCUUCUCCUGGCACAAAUUAAGCAGAAACUAUGCAGUCUGCGAUUAGCAGGGCAUGGCGGGUGCAUGCAAAUGUGCAGUCACGCAGCGGCUGUUUGCUUCUGCUCGCCCUGGACCAUGCUAAUAAGCUAGCCUAAUCAGUCUCGCAACCAGAGCAUCGACGAAGACCGGGCCUGCGCCAACUCGAAAGGAUUCGCCUGAUUUUUCCCCAAGAAGCCGGGGGGCGCGACGCACACGUAGGAGUGGCGAAUGGCCGGCAGAUCUUGCCAAGCAGGAGCAGUGUGUGACCACACACAGACACAAAAGUGAGUGCGAUCGACGAGAUUCCAGGACCCCGCGCGCGCCUGAUGCAUGCAGAGAUAAAAAGAUGCGCGUCCACUAGCUGCCGUGCAUGCGUGUGUUUCUCCUGCACAUUUUCUCUCGGAAAAUAAUAACAUUAUAGCUACUUGUAAGUCCUAAGUCGCCUGAAAAUAAUAUUUGGGUGGGUCGUUUUUCGCAUAAGGCUGGUUGUAAUGGGUAGUAUCAUAUACUAGUAUCAUUCAUAUGAUAUUAGUUUAUGAUACUACAUCCGUAAUGCAUAGUAUCAUAUGUUAAUAUUGUAGGAUAGUUAUUUUAUUGUCAUGCAAGACACAUAGUAUCACAUCAUUUAAUAUGAUACUAAAUUCUCUCUUUCUUCAUUUAAUUCUAUGCCACCUCAUUAAAAUUGUUUAGUUGACAUAUAUGAAAUUACCUAUGAUACUUUCAUUAGGAGCAGGGUAAGGAAGCAGCUACAGGCUCGCCGAAGAAGUCGGCCACACGCGGUGGUUGUUGGCGGUUCUACAUAGGAAUAAAACUCCAUUCCUACUAUAAACCAAGGGGCACCAUAUUUCUUUUUCUUAUGAAAAUUAUUUUUUUUUAAAAGAAGGUUAAACCCCCGGCCUCUGCAUCAAUCGAUGCAUGCAGUCAUUUUAUUAAUUAUUCCACAAAGGUCUAACAAGAGUAUACAUCAGUCCAUCCAAAGCCACCACUCACACCUACAAACUCGAUAAUGUGGAUUGCUCUCACUCCACAUAUCUAAGACCGGUGUUGUUUCCAAUCCAUCCACAUAACGUAUCGAAAACAACAGCCUGUGCAGCACACCUAAAACGCAUACCUCACGCACACGUUUUACCAGCCGCCAUCAUCCUCGAACCACUGAUCCAUCUUCAGGAAAGAGAUUUGCAUCAUUCUUGCCAGUCCAAUCAUCUGUCGACGCCACCACGGCGCGUAGCACCUGCCAACCAGGCAUGACUCAGCAUAGCACAUGUCGGCCAGGCAUGACUUGACAGCUCCACCGAAAUUUCGUGCAAGACGAAGCCGCUCCACCUCCUGCCUCAGUCUGACAGCGCUGCUCCACAAACGAUUGUCCCAAGAGAGAAACGGCACCGCAGUACCGCCAUCGUCCGAUCUAGAAGACCAGAUCCUAGGGUUUCCCCCGAAGCAGUGCCCACCACCAGCAACCGUUCAGGACCCACACAGUGCCCACCACCACUCAGCCCUUAAGGCGACGCCUUCAGGAAGGUCACGACAUCAAGGACGCCGCCGCCGCCCACCGGAGUUAGGGUUUUCACCCGAGAGGCAAGGAAGGGGAGCAGAGGAGGAGAUGUAUACCGACGUCUCCAAAAAGAAUAACGGCGCCCUUGAGCGGCGUCGUCGGCGUGGCCGGCCUGGGCCAACCAAGGGGUUUCCCCCAAUUCGAAUCUCCUCCACCGGCUUCACCCGCAGGUAGGUCCCUGGAAACCACGCCAGCACCGUUAAGAAUCCGCAGGAGAGAAGCCCACAUAUCAGGACCUGAGGGGCGCAGGUGGCGGUGCGGGCAGCGGCCGACGAAGGGGAACAACACACCUCCACAACGACGCUUCCAAGAAAGAUAAGGGCACCCACGAACGUCUUAUGAAAAUCAUAACCUUUUGAAUUCAUAAAAUAUUGGUAUAAACUAAAGAAGGCCUAAUCCUAUGAAAUUCGUACAAUCAAGAGAGAUCCCUAAGUAACUUCUUUUGAUAUGCUAAUAUAUGACUGAAAUAAAUCAUAUACAACAAGGGUCUCUCUAGUUCGAAUGAAAUUUCAUAUUAAUCUGAAAUAUCUCCGAUUUCCUUUUUCUUCCGAAACCUGUUUGGUUUGCAGGAAUCUAUGGAGAAAAGUUCAAUGGUCUUGCACGAGUUUCAAUGAUAACAAGGACAUACAACCUUUCUUUCAGGAUAUUCAUCUGCACUUCUGAUGAGGCAACCAAAUACCAUAUAUCACAUAUCCGAACAGUCAUGAUUUGCAAAUUCGGACCCUCAAAUGUUCGCGGACGCGUUCGGUCACUGACCGGGUGUGUUCCCUAUUCGUUCAUCCAAACAGUCACACUCAUUAUUUUUUUCCUCGUAUGUCCGGUUACUUGCACAUGAUUGGUGGAGAGAAAGAGAGAAAAAAUAAUGAAUAAAGAAAAGAAAAAGGUGGUCCGGGAUGGGGUCGCGUCUGAGGUGGCAGACUGACUGGGCGCGCCCGGACGCAUCCGCAAGCCCUCAUAUCCUCUUCAUAUGUGAGAUGGAUAUGAGGGUUCGCGGACAGCCCACACAUAUAGGAACGUUAUAAGGGGUUCGGUUGAGUCAUUUUUUCCUUCUCUUUCUUGUCCGGUCAUUACUGGACGCGUCCACGGAUGUAUGUGGGGUCAUUUGACGGGUGCGGCUGUAGAUGCUCUAAGAACAUCUACAAGCGGACUUGGCAAAUAUGACCUCAUAAACAACUGUGGACUUGAGCGCUUAUAUUUUCGUCCGCACAGCCGCACUUUUCAUUUUUUUUCUCAUAUGUGUGAUCACUUGCAUGUGAUUGAUGGAGAAGUAGAGAGAGAAAGAAAAAUAAUAAAUAAGGAAAAGAAAAGGUGGUCUGGGGUAGGGUCGCGUACUACGUGUCGGACGGACCGGGCGCGUAUGCGAGCCCCCGUAUCCUCUCUACAUUUGAGAUGUAUAUGAGGGGUGUCGGUCAGUCCAGGGAACUAGGGGGCGUGUUGAAUUAUUUUUUUACCGGAUACUGACCGAAAGAACGGUUCACACGUUUAGAGAGGAUAUAGGGGUCUGAUUGUAAAUGCUCUAAUAUCGGUUGUUCAAUGAUGCCUCGUGGUUAGUUACUAUGAUCGAGCUUAAUACAUGAUCCAGCUUUAGCACGUGCUCCUGAAAGGUGGACCAUAUAACAAAAAACAUACAUUGCCUAUGAAAUGAGCUAUAUAUGACAUGACAAUACCUUAUAGCCAGCAACUGGCUAUAAGGCAUUGUCAUGUCACCAAUAACCAUCUUAUAGCACCAUAUAAAAUAGUUGGUUAGAAGAGUGUACUACUUUUUUUAUUAUAUGAUCCACUUUUCACUUUCACAAAGUGUCUAGGAACACGUGCUAGACCUGACUCUUAACUAAGAGCAAUUAUAAUAAGGUACAGUCAGCACGCUAUAAGGAUUGAAGUAUUAUAUUUUUGCUGAGUUGGAUGAGAGAGAAGAGGAGAAAAAAGGGAAGCGGCUGCAGAUUAACAGUCGGCUGUAGCACGGGCUCCAAAAAACAUUGUGAGGAUGUAAGGUGGAUCAUGUAUUUAUAAAGUACUACUUCUUAGCAACUUGUUACUAUACGUGUUAACUAUUAGGUUGACUAUAUAUGAUACGGCAACUCUUUGUAGCCAUCAGUUGGCUAUACUAUUAACCAUGCUCUAUGAGUCCGCUUACCUUCUUUCUCUUUUUUUCUUGGGAAAAACUAUUGAGAGGCGUUGCACCUCGGGCCUCCCGUGAGGCGGGCGGCUCGUAAAGAUUCGUACAGAAUCUUGCGGUUGCGAGCGCGCGACCGUCCGCCCCGACCCCGCCCACCUUUUUUACGCCCCCAGGCAGGGGACUGUUCAAAUUUCAUUUUUUUUUAUUAUCCGCGCCCCAUUCUCCUCACAAGUCGUUGCCCCCGAGAGUCAGUCUGGCGAAAGCGGAGGCGGAUCCGGCGAUCCCCGCACGAAGAACUGCGGAUUCGGCGUGAGGAAAGGGGGGAUCCGGUGCGGCGUAGGGUGGAUCUGCAACCGUCGCCGGCGCUGGAGGGCGAGGAACUCAGGUGAGUGCUUUUCUACCCGGCAGUUACUGCUCAUUAUCGGUAGGGAUCCAUCGUCGGGAUCCGUCGUCGGUGGCGAAGACGCCCGCGUUGAUGUCCUCCGUCUGGGCGGCGGCCGAGUCGGAGGAGGCGGAGGAGUAGCUCUUCUUGGUGGUCCUCCUGGAGGUGAUGGCGUCCGCCGGCGAGGAGGGAGGAGGAGUUUUUGUUGGUGGGGCUAGUGGGGAGUCUGUUUGUGGUGAUGGUGGGGAGGGUGAUGGUCGAGUGCGAGGAGGGGGGAUGUUGAUGCGCCGGCGCUGAGGAGGAGGCAAGCGGCGUGGGGCGGGGAGGGGGCGCGGCCCUGGUGGCCGAGGAGGAGCGGGGUGGCGCCAUCGGAGGCAGAGGCGGGGGCAUCGAAGGGGGCGAUGGAGAGGACGUAGGAGAGGACGGUGGUGCUUCUGUAGAGUGCGGCGACAAUGGCGGGGGGUGUGCAGGUGGAGCGCGAGAUGGGGCGUCCCCCUGUUGCUUGAUUUUGCGGAUGGGCCGUGUUGGGAAACGUCGCAUGGGAAACAAAAAAUUUCCUACGCGCACGAAGACCUAUCAUGGUGAUGUCCAUCUACGAGAGGGCAUGAGUGAUCUACGUACCCUUGUAGAUCGUACAGCAGAAGCGUUAGUGAACGCGGUUGAUGUAGUGGAACGUACUCACGUCCCUCGAUCCGCCCCGCGAACAAUCCCGUGAUCAGUCCCACGAUCUAGUACCGAACGGACGGCACCUCCGCGUUCAGCACACAUACAGCUCGACGAUGAUCUCGGCCUUCUUGAUCCAGCAAGAGAGACGGAGAGGUAGAAGAGUUCUCCGGCAGCGUGACGGCGCUCCGNNNNNNNNNNNNNNNNNNNNNNNNNNNNNNNNNNNNNNNNNNNNNNNNNNNNNNNNNNNNNNNNNNNNNNNNNNNNNNNNNNNNNNNNNNNNNNNNNNNNNNNNNNNNNNNNNNNNNNNNNNNNNNNNNNNNNNNNNNNNNNNNNNNNNNNNNNNNNNNNNNNNNNNNNNNNNNNNNNNNNNNNNNNNNNNNNNNNNNNNNNNNNNNNNNNNNNNNNNNNNNNNNNNNNNNNNNNNNNNNNNNNNNNNNNNNNNNNNNNNNNNNNNNNNNNNNNNNNNNNNNNNNNNNNNNNNNNNNNNNNNNNNNNNNNNNNNNNNNNNNNNNNNNNNNNNNNNNNNNNNNNNNNNNNNNNAGCGUGACGGCGCUCCGGAGGUUGGUGAUGACCUUGUCUCAGCAGGGCUCCGCCCGAGCUCCGCAGAAACGCGAUGUAGAGGAAAAACCGUGGAGGUAUGUGGUCGGACUGCCGUGGAAAAGUCGUAUCAAAUCAGCCCCAAUACCUACGUAUAUAUAGGUGGGANNNNNNNNNNNNNNNNNNNNNNNNNNNNNNNNNNNNNNNNNNNNNNNNNNNNNNNNNNNNNNNNNNNNNNNNNNNNNNNNNNNNNNNNNNNNNNNNNNNNNNNNNNNNNNNNNNNNNNNNNNNNNNNNNNNNNNNNNNNNNNNNNNNNNNNNNNNNNNNNNNNNNNNNNNNNNNNNNNNNNNNNNNNNNNNNNNNNNNNNNNNNNNNNNNNNNNNNNNNNNNNNNNNNNNNNNNNNNNNNNNNNNNNNNNNNNNNNNNNNNNNNNNNNNNNNNNNNNNNNNNNNNNNNNNNNNNNNNNNNNNNNNNNNNNNNNNNNNNNNNNNNNNNNNNNNNNNNNNNNNNNNNNNNNNNNNNNNNNNNNNNNNNNNNNNNNNNNNNNNNNNNNNNNNNNNNNNNNNNNNNNNNNNNNNNNNNNNNNNNNNNNNNNNNNNNNNNNNNNNNNNNNNNNNNNNNNNNNNNNNNNNNNNNNNNNNNNNNNNNNNNNNNNNNNNNNNNNNNNNNNNNNNNNNNNNNNNNNNNNNNNNNNNNNNNNNNNNNNNNNNNNNNNNNNNNNNNNNNNNNNNNNNNNNNNNNNNNNNNNNNNNNNNNNNNNNNNNNNNNNNNNNNNNNNNNNNNNNNNNNNNNNNNNNNNNNNNNNNNNNNNNNNNNNNNNNNNNNNNNNNNNNNNNNNNNNNNNNNNNNNNNNNNNNNNNNNNNNNNNNNNNNNNNNNNNNNNNNNNNNNNNNNNNNNNNNNNNNNNNNNNNNNNNNNNNNNNNNNNNNNNNNNNNNNNNNNNNNNNNNNNNNNNNNNNNNNNNNNNNNNNNNNNNNNNNNNNNNNNNNNNNNNNNNNNNNNNNNNNNNNNNNNNNNNNNNNNNNNNNNNNNNNNNNNNNNNNNNNNNNNNNNNNNNNAAAUAUAAUAAUAACUAAUUUAUUAUUGCCUCUAGGACAUAUUUCCAAUAGGUCGUACCAUGGGGAGGCGGUGAUGAGGGAGAGGUUGUCCUCCUGGACUGCCUGACUGUGAGACCGACUGGUCGAACAGAGACGUAAGUAUGGCCAUAGUGACGGUCAUACUGACUGCAGACGAAAGUAUCUGCCAUUGAGUGCAGGUCAUCGGUGGCGGCCAGCUCGAGCAGGUAGGAGGAGGGGUUUGGGUGGGGGUGGUCGUGGGCGGAGGGGGACAUGGUGGCGGCGGCGAGGUUGCGCAGGCCCCGGGCACAUGCUUUCGUCUGCAGACGUUAGUUAGUUAGCUAGUUAGUUAAUUACAGGUGUUGUCCACAAGACAUCAGUACAUCUUCAGUUAAUGUCAGCAUACAUACAUCGAUGAUGGAUCACUUCACUUGACAGGUACUAGUAGUAAGCAAGCAAGCAAGUAAAGGAGGGAGUGACAAGUGUGCCAACACUGUCCAGUAACCUCCCUCUCAAUCAUCUCAUCCGUGGAUAGGAUACACUACUGACUGUCUGGUCAGUUUGAGUUAGAAUCGAGUACAUGAACUGUUGUUGCCUGUUGCUUCACUGCUGCUCGACCAUCCCUCCUCGUUGAAGCAGCAAGCAGGGUCCCCUUUCCGAAUAAUGGCAUCCUGCAUGAUCCCACUGCAUGAUCUGCCUGCCUCCCUGAAAUCAUGCAUGCGGCUUACUUCCUUGAGAAUGGCCUUUUUAUGUGACAACUGAAUAUAAAUAAUUUGGCAAGUAAGCAUGUUAAAAUUGACGAUCAUUUUUUUUGCAGAUGGACAUUUGAAUGGACAAAUGGCCUUUUUAUGUGACAACUGAAUAUAAAUAAUAUCCUCUACACGACAACUAGAUAUAAAUAAUGGACGCUACUACAAAGAGGUGCCGCACCCGCGCCUUCCUGUGCGGCGGCCGCUAUCGAACCUUUUUUGUGAGGAUCGUGCUCCCCUGCUCGUAACAGAAGCCUGUGUUAAAACCGAAAAGCAGUUCAUGCAUUCAAAAAGGAACGACAAGGAGCAGAAAAGUUAAAAAAAUAUAGCAUGGUAGACACAGCAGUAGGCACUCGGUACUGUGGUAGGCACUAUUCACCCCAUAGUUCAAGCCCAACUGCAUGCAUCAGUUAUUAUUGUCCGGUUUAAAGUGUUUUAGUUGCCAAAUUAUAAUAAUUAGUUCCAUUAUUUAGAGAAUUUAAUUGCCAUACUAGACAUGUUUAGUCACCACAUUUUUUCUGUCAGUUGUUUAGUCAUCACAUUACAGUUACUUAGUUGUCAGAUUACAAGUAUUUUUAUUGUCAUAUUAAUCAUGCUUAAUCACCAGAUUAUUUUAUACAUACUUACUUAUGUCAGUACUAAGCUAGCGAUUCCACUACACAGUUACAACAUAUGUGUUUUCGAGUUUUCAUAUAGGUUUGCCUUAAUAUUACCAUUUUUUUGUUUUUUUAAAUGAAACAGGGAUUUCUGAAAAAUGCCAAGGAGAAAGAGGAACUCGAGGAACACGCUGUAGGUGGUAGGGGAGCAGUCAAUAAGGUUUCUAGUUUUACAUUUUUAUUACUCGCCUUUUAUUUUUCUUACGUCAGCACAUUGUUUUGUAGUAGUUGCCACUUUUUUUCCUAUAGUAUUUGCCAAAACAAUAGUUCAUAGUUAUCAUUUUUUAUUUGUUUUUCUCAGGGCCACAUUGACGGUACUGAGCGAAAUAGGGCAUCACCACAGGCUAUUUGCAAGCUAUACAAGCACAUAAAUGAAGAUCAACGUGCUGCUAUCAAAGACAUGGGUACUGGAGCGUUCCUUGAUAUCAAGUGUGGUUACUUGCACAACACCCUCGUGACAUGGUUCACUAGGUUGUACCACUCAGGGAGGAAAGGUUUUGUUGUGCCUAGACGUGGGUUCAUCCCACUAACCGAGGAAUCUGUUCAUAAGAUUUUGGGCAUUCCUCGUGGAGAUAUCGAAAUCAAGUAUGAAGCUGACUACGACAAUGAAGAUGAAAUUGCAAGUUCUUUGUUUCCAGGCGAUGGCAGCAGGUCAAAGAUCACGACAGUUGCUACUGCAAUCAUCAACAACAACUAUGAUGAUGCUAGUUUUAAGAAGUUAUGGCUUAUUUAUAUCGUCUCAACCAUGUUGGCUCCUACAACGGAUACAAGGAUCAGCAACAAGUGAUACCCCAUGCUGGUAAAAGUCUACUUUAUGAGAGUUUUUUCUAUUCUUUUGCUGAUUUUUUUGCUAACACUCUGUUUUGUUUUGUUUUUCAAAAAGGAACACAUUGACCAGGCAAACAGGCUCAACUUGUGCAAAUUUGUUGUGGCCCAGCUACAUGAGCACCUCUCAAAGGGCAAGUUCACAAAAGGAUGCCUUCUUUACUGCAUGGUGAGUGACAGUCCAAAAUCAAAAGUACAAACCGAGCGAAUAAUUUUGUUGUGGCCCAGCUACAUUUUGUCUCUUUUUUGUAUCUGUUUUUGUACCCAAAAACCAGGCAACUAUGGUUUUUUUAAAAUCUGGCAGUUAGUGUGUAUAUAUCUGACAACCAACUUAUAUAUAUUUGACAACUAUGUUUACUUGAAUCUGGCAAUCAGCUUUAACUGAUUUGUGUCUUUUUGUAUUAUUGUUGCAUCCACAGCUACGGUAUCUUGAUGCUUUGGAUUGCGAUAGCAUGGAGCUUGAGUUACCUGACACCCGUACACAGUGAAUGCAUGGUCCAAGACACAUGUUGAUGUUGUCGCUAAGAUGGACAUGCUGGAGCAUGAUCCACCCAGUUUUGGCAACUUUCAGGUUCUUUUUUUGUCUCCUCCCACAUUUAUGACAAUAGCUUCAGUUUUAGAAUAGUACUUCCAUAGGAUAAAUGUCUCAUGGAAAAUCAACUGUUUUUCCGGUUUUUUAUGCACGCACAUGCAGUUGAAGGGAGAAUUUAGAGAGGAGAGUCACAGCAGAUUUGAUCUGUUUGGGGGACCUGGGGGCUUCGAAACCUGGAUGAAGCAAAAUAUACAUCCUAGUUGCUCUGAAAGUGUAAGAAUUUUUUUUGUGUAUAUGGAUGUGCAUUUUUUCUCUGCGGAAAGGGCUUUUGGGUUCAUAUGUAUGUGUAUUUUUUUUGUAUUUUUUGCUCUAAGAAUAACGCUUUUUCUGUAUUUUUUUCUCCUCACAGGAUAAGCUUAAAGCUACACAGUUAUCACCAAGUUUGCAUCAGGGGUUGGCACAUUGUUUAAUCAUUUUGCAUCAGGGGUUGACACACUCCUUACUGAGUUCGUGCAGGGUAUGACGGCACCCGCAACCAGAAAUACAACUACAAGUAGAAUAAAAAGGGGCACCGAGGCAAGAGAAAGUGAUGAUACAUCGUCCGAAGAUUCAGAAGAAUCUGAUAAUGACACAAAUGAGCACAACGUGGAUAUUGAACGUGACAAAAAGAAUAGGGUGACAAGGUAAAGUAACCCGACAACUAGCCAUAUAAAAUGUGUAAGUUGUAAUUAGUGUGCCACUUGUCAUUUUCACACUUACCAUUUUUUUCCGCGAAACACUAAUGCAGAGAGGAGGACAUCACCAGAGGCAAUGUCGAAUCACCAUUGACGAAAAAUGUGAGAGAUGUGGCAGGUGAAAUGGAGAACACGACGUAUGAUCCAUCUCAGGGAGCAAAUUUCUUCGGUGGUGCUCGCGAGACAGAAGUUUGUGACAACACAUCAAGUGGGGAUCCAUCUGCACAGUUUGACACCAAGUCUCCAUCAAGAUCAACAUCACAUCUGAACCUCCCAUCUGACAGCGAUAUGUCCAGUCCAGAUAACAAUUCCCCCACAGAUAUACUUGUUUCACUUAUAUCCGAGGGGAACAGUCAGGAGUUGGAGGAAAAGAUUAGAGGCAGCGCAGCAGGGCUUGCUAAUAGGCUGUGCGAACUGAAAAGCACAAGACCGGCUGAUAUAGAACAGGGUGAUGGCAGCACACAUGAAGAGAUUAACGCAUCGUUGUGAAAGAGCUUGGACUGCUGAAAGAAAAAUGUGGGCAGCAAUUCGAGGAGAGAAAUACUCGCAAAGACUUAAGGAAGAUCAAUGCACGUCCUAUAAAGAUGACGCCAAGGAGGUAGUUUUUCUUGUGUUUACUUGUCAUAUAUAGAUUUUAAUUCGCUGAAGCAUGCAUGGCAGACUGCAUGCACUUGUUUACUGUAGGCAACAGCGAAGGCAAGUCUGAACUUGCCACAUUGUUUAACCCACUUUCCAUAUUAUCAACCACUUACUUGCCUGAGAGAAAUGACUUAAUUACCAUAUUUUUCAGUGUUGUUUCAUACAAAGCUUUGUUGGUUCUUUUAAAUCUAGUUGCCACAAAAAAAAUGUGCUUGUCAUUUUUUAACGCUACCUAGAUGCCGUGUAGUCUUAUAUAAGCUUUGUCAAUGCUUAUAAACUCGCUUUUGCCACAAUGUUUUUUUAUGUGCUUUUUGUCAUUUUUUAAUGCUACUCAGUUGCCAUGCUUAUAAACUCACUUUUUUGUUGUCUCAUAAUGCUUUUUCAUUGCUUAUAAAAUCCAGUUGUCACAAACACUUUGUUUGUAAUUUCCAUUUUAAUAAUAACUAGUUGUCAUAUUUUCUCAUGAAGCUUGUCAAUGCUUUUUUUAUAAACUCCACUUGCCACAAAUGAUUUGUUGUACUUGUUAUCUUAAUUGUACCAAGUUGUCAUAUUGUCUCAUAAUGCUUUGUCACUUGUUUUUGUAAAAAAAAACUAGUGGUUUGCGGUGUUUUUUGCUGGAUUAGUCAAUUUUAGUUCUAUCCAGUUGUCGUGUUGUCCCAUAAAAGUCUUUCUCGGGUACUCUAUUUGUUAUGUUUAUCGGUAUUAAUUACACUCAGUUGUCUUAUAUAAGCUCGUAAGUCGUUAGCUUACAAAAGCUUGCCUGAAUCUGCUUUUUAAGGCAACUUAUAUUUUUUUCCUUUUUUUAUCCGACAGGAAGUGUCCUGAAUCCACGCAAGAAGAUGGGGAGAAGAAGGGCAAACAUGCACAACAAGCUGAAGUGAAUGUUUCAAUAAAGAGGUCAGCAACACUAUUUUUUCGAAAACCACGUAUAGUUUUCCAUCAACUAAAAGAGGUGUUUUCAAAAUGCAUUUGACUAUCAGUUUCUUCUAACACUUUUUUCUCUUUCUUUUUUGCAUGUUUUUGUUUUACAGAAAAAGCACUGCAACAUUGAAGCAGCCUUCACCAAAACGACAGGCAACAAGGAGAUCACCACGGCUUGCACGGAUAACAUCCUCAAACGUCACCGGCGCUGAUGUCUCUCACGCACCAAUGGAACAAUCAUCAUCACGUAGCAGUGCAAACAAAGCAACAGGUUUUUUGGCUACAACACUCUCAGGAAGGAUCCGAAUGCGCUCACCAGUCAAAGAUGGAAGCAGCAGCAACACACCUAUUACAAUUUCUCCAAAAAUGAGCCCAAGAACGCAACCAAGCACUGGAAUUGGAGAAAGUAAGUGCACCGCCAUUAUCUUGUAGCCAACUGUUGAUACAAACAUGCACAGCGGGAACAAAGUAGCAGUUGAUGUGGCUACAACACACUUAGCCAGAAUCCGAAUGCGUUCAUUAGUCAAAGAUGGAAGUAGCAAUAGCACAGCUAUUGUAGUUUCUCCAGAAAUCAGCCAAACAACACAACCCGCAGAAAUCGGUGAAAGCAAGUCCACAGCUAUUAUCUUGUCUCCAGCAGUCAAUACAAAUGUGCAUGUUGGAUCCGGAUCUUCUUUAAGCUCAACUAGGAUAUCGCCACUUGGUAAAAGGAUCUCGCGGCACAUGACUAAUGAUGGCAACUCAACUCCCAUUCCAGAACAUGUAUUAAAUGUAAUAAAAGAUCUUUCAGAAUCUGCAAAAAGGCUAGGGAUGUUUCAAGGCAAGAAAUAUGAUUCAACAUGAGCUAUUCCGAAGACGCAAGCAGCGAAUGCAAACAAGAGGAGUCAUGGUUCUUCAUCAGACAAGGCUAGAGAUAACCGGCCUGGGGCAUUUACACCUCCUUCGUUCUCCCUUGGUCUGUCACCUAUUCUAUCAAAUCCAAGCAAUGAAGUGAACAUAGAUUAUGAGCACCUUGAUGUAGGCAAUCCUUUAGAAAUAAUGUCAUUAUCAUGGGCCCAACCAACACGUAUUCGGAACAUGAUCAUACAUAAUUCACUUUUUGUCAGUUUUAUUUGUGCUGAGUCGCCAUUUUUUAUUUUUCAUCAAAAAAUAAGCUAAAAAUUUGCUUAGUUGCCAGAUUACAAACGCAUCCUACUUUCCAGAAUUAAUAGCUUGUUUUUCCAGAUUAAAAAGUUCUUAGUUGCCAGAUUUAAUAGCUUGUUUUUCCAGAUAAAAAAGUUCUUAGUUGCCAGAAUUAAUAGCUUGUUUUUUCAGAUUUAAAAGUUCUUAGUUGCCAGAAUUAAUAGCUUGUUUUUUCCAGAUUAAAAAGUUCUUAGUUGCCAAAAAUAUGUAGUUUCCAGUUCUAAAAGUUCUUACUUCCCAUGCUACAAAAAUACGUAGUUCCCAUAUUAAUAUUAUGCCUGUCCUGCUAAAAGUUCUUACUUCCCAUGCUACAAAAAUACCUAGUUCCCAUAUUAAUAUUAUGCAUGUCCUGCUUUUUUUUGUUCCUUGUAGUAGUUGAAACAGGCCUGCAGAUGGUCGAGUAUCCAUUGUCAGACAAGCUGACUGCAUUUCUAGCCACUGGAGAUCAGGACGAAAUCGAUGCUGGUCUAGCUGAAGAACUUGACGACUAUGAGAGGUAUCUCGAAGAUUUCUUUAAGAAAAAGCAUGCAGCAGCAACAACAGCUGGAGCAGCGAGAAGCAAUAACAUGGCAGGCGAGACUGGUGUUCAAAGUGUGACACCAAAGACCAACCCCCAUAAGGGAAGAGUGAAGAAGCCGUCUCGCUUUAAGCUAUCGCCAUACGAUGAUGAUAUCAAUGUCACCAGCGAAGAAGAAGAUAUCUAUAAGAAGCUAAUGUUGAGCAGCAAAUAUAAAAAGAAUGGAAAUUCAUCGAUCAAAAAGUAAUUGUCUACUUCUUUUUUUUUUGCUUCUCCAUUUCUGUUUUUCUUGCUUUUCUCACUCUUUUUAUAGUAUUUUUUAUGCUGCUUUUUUGAUGAUUGCUUCACCACAAAUAUGCAGCGUGAUGAUCAUCAAGUAUGAAAAAAACUGGGUGUACACAUGGGAUCUCGCUGAUUCAACCUACAUCACACGGGGCUUGUCUACUAAUUGUGCUGAAGUUGGGAUAGAGCAUCUGCAGGAAACAAACAAAGUUGAGGGCAAGUUGAUACUCUCACACUUAGUGGCCAAAUUCUUGUUGCAAGGCGCGCAUAGUAAAAAGAUAGUGACUAACAUUUUCGAAAGGAAGAAGGACUUUGCUCUUAGCUGCCAGAAUUUAGUAAGUAACUCAUUUUUUUCAUCAACCUGAAACAAAUUCUACAUGAUGUGGGACUAAAAUGCAUGUGUUUGCAAAAUUUUACUUUUUAGUUAGCUGUAUAAAAUACAAAUGCUAUAUGUUAAUGUAUUUUUUUGUUCUUCUUCAUGUGCUCCCACAGAUCAUGUUCCCUGUUAUUGAAGAAAUGGGAGGGAAAGAAGUGUCAGGACAUCACUGGUAUGUUUUAUGCAUCAACAAUACUGCUCAAAGGUUUGAGGCGUUAGAUUCACUUCGCAGCAAAGGAAACAUUGGUCUCAUCUACCAUGCAAACGCUGUAAUGAGAAGAAUCAAGGAAGCAUGGAAGUUAUACUACCAUAAGUCGAGGGUUCAGAUUGAAAACUACGAACUCGAGAUCAUUGACGCCCCAAAACAGGCUGUAAGGUGAGUAAAAUGUUUUUUUAUCUUUUUAUUUUUAUAAUUUGGAAAUUAAGGUUUUGUUCAAAUCUGGUAACUGAACAAUCGCAGUAUGCCAAACUUUUUUGGCAACUAAGUAGUUUGUUAAGUGUAAAAUGUUUAAUGUAAAAUCUGACAACUAAGAAUAGUAAUCAGUUAACUAUUAUUUUAACAAUAUGACAAUUAAUCAAUUUUGAACUUGGUAUAUCAUGAGCGUAAAUCUUGAGCCCUUCAUUUUUUUCAACUACAAACUGCAAAUAUCAUUUUCACUCAUAAGUUUGGAAAAAACUAUCUCUCACUGGGUUUUUUAACUGCAAGCACAAAUAGGAGUGUGCACUGUGGCUUCUACAUGCUGGAAUAUCUUGAUAAGUGGGAUGGUGUAAAUGUGCCUCGAAUUCGGAAAGAGGACAUCCAAAAAAUAAAGAAGAUAACAGCCAACAAAUGGCUCACCGCUCCUUUCAACAAAAACAAAAAGUGGAAACAGCAGCUUGACAACAACUGUCCGGGAGGUAAGUAAAACACAAUGUACGAACUAGUACCUUUUUUAUUUUGGAAGUAAGUAACUCAUUUAAAUUCUUUACAUGAGUUGACUAGUAAUCAUCUAUUUUUGUUAAAACUGUCAUGCACCAGAGUAGACAACACUUGCCACAUUGUUCCAUUCGCUUUUGCCAUAUUAUUAUGCACUUACUUGCCUGAAAAAACUAAUUUAAUUGCCAUAUUUUUUUGAUGUUAUCGCAUAAAUCUUUUGUCGGUGCUUACAAAUACUUGUCACGGAAAUUUAAUGUGUUUGUCAUUUUAAUUCUAAACUAAUUAUCGUGUUUGUCUCGUAAAGCUUUGUCAUGUGAUGCACGAGUGCUUACACUCAGCCACCAAGUGGUACUUGCUUGCCCGCUGAAAAAUAUUUAUCAGAUUACAUGGCUCGCGUACGCCAUGCUACAACCAUCCAGAAUAGGUUCGAUCCCCUCGCAGAACAUAGUGCAUUCAGAAUUACAUAUAUAGACAACAUCCAGAAUAUUAUAUAUAAAUAGAAUGAAAAUUACACAAUGCAUCUAGAAAAACAUGUCUUCUUCAGUUUGGAGGGGGCGGGUUUUUCCCUCGUUAAGCAUGUCCUCGCAUCAUGCGUGACUGAUCCACACAGCCGACAAGUCCUCUUCUCUCUCUUCACAAUGUUCAAUGGGUGUUGGAACGACUUCUUCCUCUUGCCGCCUUUUGUGUUUGACUUCUCUGGGUCACGAAUGAUAGGCUCAGGAGCAACUACAUGCGAAGAAUGGUGCUGGUUGUUCGAGCCACCAACUGGGGUAGAAAUAACAGUUGUAGCAGGAGCCAUUGGCCAAGCGGAUGCACUCUCACUCAUAACACUAAUGGAUGCAUUUUGGCAUUGAUUUUGGGUUUUGAAUGCAGCUGCACGAGAAGAAUGGCCUUUGUUGUUGUAGCCAGGAGCAGCUUGGGCAGUAUAGACUCCUGGAGUAGCAGAUCUCGACAUAGGUUGCAUAGCUGACGCACUUGCUGCAGCCGGCAAAGCACUUCGGGCAGAAUAUGCACCUAGAGCAGCAGAUCUCGACACAGGUUGCGUAGUUGCAGGUGUUGUUGUAGCACCGUAGCCUAGAAUGUUUGGCUCGACAGGAGCUACAUAGGUUGAAUGCCCUUGUCUUGUGGAGGCACCAAGUUGGGCAGAGUAUACACCCGGAGCAGCAGGAUUUGGCAUAACUGGUGCACUCGUAGCAGCCAGCGAAGCACUUUGGCCCUGAAUUUGAGGGUUGAACGCAGCUGCAUUAGAAGAACGGCCUUGGUUGUUGGAGGAACCAGCAGCUGGGGCAGUAUAGACUGAUGGAGUAGCAGUGUUUGACAUAGUGUGUGUACUCGCAGCUGUAGCACCGUGCCCCAUAAUGCUUGGCUCGAAAGGCACUCCACAGGAAGAACGGCAUUGGUUGUUGAAGCCAUGAAUUGGGGCAGAAUGAGCAGGUUGAGCAGCAUACUUUGACAUAGAUGGUGCACUCGCAGCAGUUGCUGAAGAAACUGCAGCAAAAUCAGCCCUUGAUCCUCUUUUUUUCUGUUCUUUCGCAAGCGCAACAAGUUCCCUCUUCAUCUCCUUCAAGUGUGUACCUAUUAUCUUCCGACCAUCAGGUGUUCAGCACCCAACUUUAGCAAGCAAGGCAAACUCAUUCUUCAUGAGGGUUGUUUUCAUGAGAAUCACCGACUCCUCAGGCAUCUCAUGCACCUUGCCAUGGACUUGUGAUGACAUAUCAACGAGCAUUUCCUCCGCAAGCCAUGUCCAUUUCUUGAGUAUGUAUGCCGCUGGCAACGUGGUAACACCAACCUGGACCAUGGUCUGCAAAAAUGUACAAUAUAGUAAAUACAUAAGUCAUUUUUGGAAAACCUAGCAAAUCCCACAAAACAGCCUACAAAAUCUGACAAGUAGGAAAACAAGUGGGGGAACAUGACAAUUAUGGAAAACAAAACGCAGCAAGCAGGAUGUGUUUUACCCUUAGUAUAUGGCAACAAACGAUCCCAUCACGCUCAUACUUGCAGCAUUCACACAUAUAAAACCCUUCUUCAACAUUUGCAUGAACCUUAAAGGACUUGUUGCCAUAUCCUGGGACAAACUUAGCAAUGCAGUCAACCAUGUAUUCUUGGGCACCCAUUUGCUUACAGCUAUAAGACAACAGUGACUGCAUCUCCCCCUGGACCCUAACAAAAAUAUUGCACGUAUAGAUACUUGACAUUUGGAGCUCAAUUGGGUUGUAACUCCACUUCCUAGCUGUUGUGAUUGUUGUGUCUGCAUCCUGCUUGCUCUUAGCACACAUUAUCUUCUCUUGUAUGGCAACAUAUUGGCGAAUAAAGUCCAUUAUUGAUUUUUGUGGGUUGACAUACUUUUUUACCACAGCAUUGAAGCCUUCACUCCUUUGUGUGGUUUGGAGAAAGGGGUAGAACUUGUGCAUAAAGUAGGCAGGCACCCAACACCUUCGUUUCUCAUACAAAUAAACAAAGUCUGGAUGUUCUGCAACCCCAUGUUGUUGAACCAUUGCAAUCCACCUUGCUUCAAACUCCUCAGGAGCGUAGCUGUCGUUGACACAAUCAUUAAACUCAGCUUGCAACUCUGGUUGUUUCGCUAGGAACGCACCAAGCUUCUCAGUUGCAUUUUGCAUUAUGUGCCAACGACAGUUUCGGUGCGUUGUAUUGGAAAAACAUCCUCAAUAGCAGACCUCAUGGAAAAAUCUUGAUCAGUUAUGAUAUUGGUUGGAGCCAAACCAUCCAUUGCCUCUAGGAAUGUCUCAAAUAGCCAAACGAAGCUUGUCGAUAGCUCGUUCCUAACAAAACCACACCCAAACUGAAUUGACUGUCCAUGGUUUUUUAUACCAAUAAACGGGGCACAAGGCAUCUUGUAUAUAUUGGUCAAGUAUGUUGUGUCAAAAGAGACACAAUCAAUGAAAGACUUGUAAGCCCUUCUCGCUGAACCAUCAAUCCAGUAAAUGCAUUGGACCUUAUCUUCAUCAUCAAGCUUGUACUUGUAAAAAAAGUCUUUAUCAAGUUGUUGACUGCUUUUGAAGUACUCAAUCGUGUCCUGCAUAUCAGUGUAUUUGUGCUCAGCCCGGAACUUUGCCAGCAAAUUUGCCAAGUCUUUGUCAGUGUAACAAAUGGCUUCACGUUGGCCAUGCAACUCUGUCAACAACUCCAUCUGUCUAGAAGGUUCUAGAUUGCACGAAUGAAGCAACUUCACAAACUGUUGUUCUUCUUCAGGGAUAUGUCUAUGUGAUCGUAGGUACCCUGCCAGCGACCAUUUCUUUAUGAGAGGGUGGUUAUGGUAGUCAUUUAUUUCUGUUACAACCCAGGCAUUAUCUCUCCGCUUCACAAACAUACGGGCUGGGCAGUUUGUUCUUUCAGUUGUAUUCCUCCUCCUCUCAGGGGCAAUAGGUUGCGGGUUUUGGGUGUCUACUUUCCUCUUGAUCUUCAACCCAGCUCUAUGGCAGACAAGUGAUGCUCUUAUCAGUUCAGCACUAGCCUCUGACUUUUUUCGGAAACAAUACCUUACUCCAAAACCUUUCUGCCUCACAUACAUUUUGUAGUGUUUCUCAGCAUCCUCAAAAGUGUCAAAUCUCAUCAUGGUUGUGGGUUGCUGUGGCGUGGACAUCACCUCCGGCAUGCCUUCAUCCUCAUUUGCAUUGUCAUCAUUUGGGGUGUGAUUAGACGAUGCAUCCAGCGUUUGGUCGGUGUUUGCUGGCAACACAAUGCGUGAUGUACCGACAGUCUCACGAUCUGCAUAACAUACAGAACCAAUUUUAAUUACAUUUCUUUUUAGGAAAUUACAGUUUGUGCAUAUAUUUUUUCUCGAAAACUGGUAAUCAGUAACCUGACAACUAAGUAAUACUUAAUCUGAAAACUAAGCUUUUUUUAAACGAUAACCAAGUACUUAGAACAUGGCAAGUAAGCACGGUUAAUCUUGGUGAGCAGGCACGGUUAAUAUGGCAACUAGCGCGUAACCCAGGCAAGUAAGCAGUUGUAAUCUGGUAACAAAAAGUUUUUUUUCCCCUGUAAUAUGAUGAGUAGCUACUUGUAAUUUGGCAAGUAGACAAUUUAUAAAGGGACAAGAGGUCAACUUAUACAUGUAGCUAGAGCUAGGCCAUGGUGUGAAUUUUUUUUGGGCUAGGCCAUGUGUGUAUUUUUGGCAAUCAGGUAACCUGACAACUACCUUUAGCAAACCUGAUAAUUAAGCAAUACUAAAUCUGGAAACUAUGCUGCCUAAAAUGAUAACUAAGUACUUAGAAACCUGGUGAGUAAGCAUAGUUAAUUUGAUGAGUAGGCACAGUUAAUAUGGCAACUAACGCGUAACCCAGCAACUAAUUACAUUUGGACAACUAAGUAAUAACAGCAUGCUUUUGUAUCAGGCAAGUAAGCAGUUUUAUACAGGACAAGAGGUCAAGUCAUCCAUGUAGCUAGAGCUAGGGCAUGUGUGUAUAUUGGCCAGGCUACUAUUUUUUUUUACUAGCUAACACUGCAAGAAACCUUCCUGAUUGGAACUACGGUAGCCGAAUGAAACACAAUUAGAUGGCGGUGGUUUAGGUGGAAAAUGUAGGAAUUAUGGUAGCAACAAAAACACUACAAAAACACAACUAAUUUGGAAACUACAGGGAGGGAGGGGACAAACCUGUGUCAUGAGCAGCCACAAAGUGAGAAUCCAUCUAUAUAUGAGUGAUGUCCCUUGUUUGUUUUCUUUUUUGUGAAGAUCUUGCUCUCCCUGCAUGUUUUGUGUCAGAUGGAGACAUUUUUAUCAGUGUUUUUUCUGACUUUUUUGUUCUGUAACAGGGGAUUUGAGAUCAGAAGCUGAAGAUCCAGAGGGAGAAAGAGAGGUGGAUAUCUGAAGGUGCAAAGAAAAGAGAGAGGGGGUUGUCUUUUUGAGUUGGAGAAAACAAGAGAUCUGAGGGAAAACAACAGAUCUGAGGGGGUGCUGUUUUUUAGUCCUUUUCUGUAAGCAAAUUCAUAUUUGUGGGAAACUCCAGAAUUUAGAUGGAGCAGUUGCAUACCUGUAAUUUUUUACUGCUUCGGAUCACUUGGACAACUCCAGAAAUUGUCUUUUUCUUGAUGCUUUUCUGUUGGUAUUGUUUCUUGCUGGUAUGUUCAUGCCAAUGGGCUUUUGUGAAGGAAGGAAGAAGACAGGGGGAAGAGAUUACGGUGGUGGGGGGUAAGGGGAUCUGAGAUGGGGUUGGGAUUGGUCGUGGGAGGUAGAUAUUUAUGAUGCUGAUGGGAGCUUCAGACAGAAAAGGAGGAAAGGGUGGGUUGCGGCACCUGCCCCGUGCGGUGUGUUUGGAUGCCAGGCUGGCAACCUGGCCGCCGCACGGGAAGCCCUGGGUGCGGCGCCGCUCGGUAGUGCGGUCCUUUUUUCUUUCCUCCAACUAAGUAAAAACAUACUAGUUUGUUUCUUAUAGACCGGUGACUCAGCUCUAUUGUAGCGCUUUUCUUUGAAUAGGCCUACGUAUCCGGAAAGUGCUCUUGUACACCCGAGCUCAAUAGUAAAUUCGAAAAAUGUUUUUAAAAAUCUGAUUUUUUUUUAAAGCAAACUUUUACAGAUGUUUUAAUAAAUUGUAAAAUUUCAGUACGAAAUCACAUUCUUUGAAGUCGCGGCAAAAAACAAAAUUUGUGCUCCAAAAUGCUUUUGAAAGUAGCAUUUUUAGAGUUUUAAUUUUGUUCUUUUUCUCACGACUUUCACAAAUGUGAUUUCAUGAUAAAGUUUUAUGAGCACUUAAAAGUUAAAACAUUUGUCAAAGUUUGCCCCCAAAAAAUUCAGAUUUUUCUGAGUAUUUUAUAAUAUUUUUCGAAUUUACUGUUCAUCCGAGCUCAUUUCAACUCGGGUUUAAAAACAUCACGUCCUACAUACCCACACUUUCCCGGCAUACAAGGAACCCAUAUGUACAAGUACUAAUCACUUAGCAGCAUUAACACCUAUGUUUCCCUAAUAAAAUUAUGGAGGUCUAUUGAUCGGAGCUAGCAAAAUAGUUUCAUGCAAAGACAUUGGUGAACUUCGCACGGUUUCAUUCUUGACCGAUGGCAAAUAACUGGAACACAAACAUAUGAUUUGUAGUUUUGUUAGCUGCGAGAGUUUCACUGUUGAGUGAUGUUUGUUAUGGUUAGAGGCAGGGGAAUCUUAAGGCGGCACCAAGCUCGGUACGAUGAUUGUGAUCUUCCGAGUGCAUACAACGCAAAUGCCUAUCGUGGCGCAGUAGCUCCAGUAGGUGAAUGCCCGACCUCAUGAUUUUGAUCCCCGGUUUGGCAAAAGGCUGCGUGCAUGCCCAGCCAAACCCUUGUAGCCUUAGUUAGCAAUCAAAUGGUGAGCACCUAGGCUUCCUCGCUUUGCAAAAGCAAAUCGGCAGGAGGCACCACAAAGGCAUAAAGCAAGUAUACAUACAUGUACCUCGAUCAAUAACGAUCCGUUGUUGGCUUAUCGCUAGCCAGUGGUAUCAUCUCCAUAUACGCAUCAUGUGUGCAUGCAUGGUGUUAAGCGAGAGGAGUGACGCUUGGUUGGACGAUUCAAAAUUGUGCAAAAUAUUAGUAGUACGCGUAAAUCAUUGUUGACCACCUUUGCCAUUGCCGGGCUCAUACAGGACAGUUCGUAUAUAACUAAUCCAAACAAACAAGCAUUGUGCAAACUCCGAAGCUAGCUAGCAUUUCCCGGACGCUCCGCACCAACAACUUUGCUGCUGGUCUAGCACGGUGAGCGAUCUACAGGUCUGCUAGCGCACGUCAGGACGGAGAUAAUAAGCUUGAGCCCUCGCCGAGUCACCGCACCAGUAAACAAAUCAUCCUCAGGCCUGCUGCAUGCCGCUGCGUUUUACAGGGCACAAUGCUGGCCGGGCCUGGGCGGUAAUUGACAGGGCAUGGCGGGAGAAAAUGUGCAGCUGCACCGGCGUGGACCAUGCUAAACCUAUGGUAGGCUAGUCCGCCAACCAUGAAAUUAAAGCCGGGCCUGUGCGAACUGGAAGGGAUCGCCUGAAUUUUCCCCAAGAACACGGAGGUCGCGCUGCCCACGCAGGUACCCUCCUGCGACGGCCAGCGAACGGCCGGCAGUUCUAUGGCAGGCAGGGUACUAGCGCUAGUGAUGAGUGGAUGAGUCACCACAUCACGAACUCAAAGGCUAGCGUGGUCGACGAGAGAGGUUGGAUUCCAGUCUAGGACCCCGCGUCAAACUUUGCUGAUGUGCGUCGGUAAGCUGAGCGUCUGAAGCAGUUGCUUGUGUUCUUCUAUAACUAUGAUGCAACCAAAUUACAUAUAUUACCAAAUCCACAAUCUUUUAAUGUUUUUUAGGGUUCAACAUAGGAGUAGAAUGCAUGGUAUUCUCCUUGAUUUUGAACUCCUGCAAACCAGCAAAACGUAUACUUUGUUUAGUAAUGCGUAAUGGCAGUCGCUUUAAUCAUUUCAUUAACGCAAACAGAGGACAAGAUUCUGAAUCCAAUCCAACAAGUACCGAUUACUACAACAGGCAAACGCACUAUCUAGCUGUUGGAUUGCAGAAUGACACAUUAGCUAGCUAGCUAGCUAGCUAGCAAAUGCUCUAGGCAAUCAGAUAGGGAACCUUUUCUUUUUUCAGCUUGGGCUGUUUUGGAUGCUGAACAAUAUGAAAAUGUCUGCUUGGGGCUGUUCUUUUUUCAGCUGAAACCGUUUGUCCCGUAGCAUCUUGCUUUCACUUUCUCCGGAUUGGCCUACCCCCUACACACUUCCCCGGCUUAUAAGCAACACCAUGAGGCAGCGUGUAGAUCAGUUCUUGCUGUUUCAGUGCUGCAGAUCAACACACCGUGAUGGAAACAUAUAGCUGUACCUGUAAGAAAUAUAUGUUUGCCGUUCAUAAUGCGACCAGCCAUGCCCAUCCACAGGAGCAGCACACAUGAUCUCCAGUUUUAUUCCGUUGUAAAACCCAACUGAUUGAGAUUUCAGGGGCGCGCGCGCAUAGCACCCGACCAAACGGAGUCUUUGAGAUUCUGUUGCAAAUGGUCCUGCAUAUGUAGAAGAGAAAACCAACCAGGGGUGCAACUCCGGCAGGGCCACAUGGCAUUUCUGAAACCAGCUUUUGCUAAUCUGGAAAUGAUGCGACGUCUCUUUGGUUCAGUCCUCUGUUAAGCCAAUAAUGGCUGCCUGAAAAUUGAGAACAAACCAUGUGUAUGAUCUAUGACGACUAGAUGCAGAACAAGAACGUCUACAUCCACAUUAGUUAAUCCAAGACGUAUACAACCUUUCCUUUUUCCGAAUUGAAGAGCAUAUAUGCAGCAAUGUCUACAUCCAACCUGUCUGUUUCCCUCUUUGGAGCUAAUGUGAGAUGCAAGUUUGGUCACUUUGGUUGGAAGAAUUUUUCUAGGCAAGCAAGUUGGACAAAACUCUACAGUUCCGUUCUUCUAAUCUUGGUACGAGCCUGAAAUGUACUGAUUUUUUUAGCAUAGCCUGAAACGUACUGAUGAGCCAGCCUAUAGGGGCAGCCUUCGAUGAAGAGCUCAGUUGGGCCUAUGUUAAAAGCCCAUGAUACCCGUAAAGCACAGGCCCAUUUUCAGCACUACGUGUACCGGUUUUCUGGUCUUCAUUUUUUUUUUCACUUCCCAUUCCCUGCUUUAGUUGCAAGUUUGGUAACUUUGAUUGGAUGCUUUUUUAAAACAAAACUUGAGUACGCAGAACUAUGAAGAGAGCAAUCAAUUGGAGGUUACCCCUUGCUGGCGACCUCUAGAUUCCUUGAAAGCACGUCAAGUGAUGUGUUUAGGCGUCCAUCAUGUGUUGGCCCUCCUUCUCGAUUCCAUUCUUUGUUUUAUCAUACUCGUUUUCGUGUUUUAGACGGGUUUUUGUGGGCUUUUUGAUUUUUCGGUUUUCGCCCGCUUUUCCCAAGGGUUUGGAGAACAAAAAACCUUUUUUGCACGAAAAACAUAAUUGUUUCCGUGAGAAGUACACAUCCACACUUUGAAAAAAAAAAUAUGCACCUUUUCAAGAAGCACGUAUGAGUUAAUCGUGGAGGCACAUAUUUACUUCCGAGAAAAGCACAACAUAUAUUUGAUUCUCGUGGAGGCACGUAUUUAUGUGCGCGAUAAACAUAGAAAAAAUGAAAAAAAAUAUUGGCUCUAGGACUUUCAUCAUUUUUUUGUUGGCAUUUUUUCGGUUUGGUUCUUGAUGUUUUUUUUAUAUAUUUUUUCUGUUUCUUUUAUCAUUUUAACAUGAGAUCUAGUUCUAAAAAUUACGAUGCGAGAUAUUCAACGAUGAAACCGGUUCAGGAUUAGACACAUGAUUCAAGAGAUCAAACAUUUUGAAUAAACAAAUCUUCAAGGAAAAUGAAAGAAUCUUAUGUUGCAACAAGUGGCGUACAUGCAGAGUGACAACAAUCAGCGCCAAAAAACAUGAACAUGUCUUGAAAAAAUGUGAAUAGUUUUUGUAUUCAUGACCAAAUUUUAAAUUAUAACAAACUUUCAAAAAUAGUAGAAUUUUAGUAAAAUUUCAAACAUUUAUCGAAAACACUGAAAAUAGCAAAGAAUGUUUGAAAUUCCUUUUUUCAAAAUUAGUGACAACUUUCAAAAUUGUGAUUUUUCUUUAAAAAAUGAAUAACCUUUUGAAUCCGGAACAAUAUUGAUACGUCUUCAACAUAUCGAUGAUUUAUGAAGUAUUCAUAUCUUGUUUGUCUAUGUUUACAAUACGUUUAUAUGAUUUGGAUGCACUUUAUAUGAUUUAUUAAGAACUAUCUCGGACUAAUGUAUCUCGGACUAAUGUUCUUUUCAACACAACUAUUCUAGUACGAACUCUACGACUGUUUGUGACACAUAUAGGAAUAUCCCAAAAGAUUGAUCGGAAAGAAUAAAUUUGAGGUGGUUCGCUCCCUACAACAACUUCUUAUUAUGUUCUCCGCUAAUAGGAACUUUUGAGUGAUUCUUUGUUUGCAUGUUGAGCUAUGAUCAUACGAUUCUACUAUGUUAGCACUCUCUCUCUCUCUCGCCCUCCCCCUCCCCCUCCCCCUCUCUCUCUCUCCCUCUCCCUCUCCCUCCCUCCCCNUCUCUCUCUCUCUCUCUGGUAAUUAUAAGGAUUUAUGGAGCUAAGACCUGCCUGAGGAAGUGCAAGGGGGGCACAAGCCAACAGGGCACCCCCAAGGCCAUGCCCUCAUGGCUUGUGGGGCCACGUGGCUCCUUUGACCCUAAUUUAGUCCUAUAAAAUCACGUCUUGAGAUAAAAAAUCAGAGAAAAGUUUUCAUUGCGUUUCACGAGACGGAGCUGCCACCGUCUCAUGUUCUUCCUUCGGAGGACUGAUCUAGAGUCCGUUUGGGGCUCGGAGAGGGGGAUUUGUCGUCGUCGUCAUCACCAACCCAUCUUCAUCAACGCUGCCAUGAUGCUCACCACCGGCAGUGAGUAAUUCCUUUGUAGGCUUGCUGGACGAUGGUGGGAUUGGAUGAGAUAGAUCAUGAAAUCGAGUUAAGUUUGAUAGGGCUUGAUCCCUAGUAUCCACUAUGUUUUGAGAUUGAUGUUACUAUGACUUUGUUAUGCUUAAUGCUUGUCACUAGGGUCCGAGUGCCAUGAUUUUAGAUCUGAACUUAUUAUGUUUUCAUAAAUAUGAGAGUGAUUUCUAUCCUAUCUUCCAAGUUGUAGUUACCUAUUACGUGUCUUGAUCCGCAUACGCCAAGGUGACAAUGAUUGGGAUUCUUUCCGGUGAUUGCCAUAAUUUUAGGAGUUUAUGUAUUCACCAUCUGUUAAUACUUUGUUCCGGUUCUCUAUUAAAAGGAUGCCUUGAUAUCCCUUAGUUUCCAAUAGGACCCCGCUGGCACGAGAGUGUAGGACAAAAUAUGUCAUGCAAGUUCUUAUCGCAAGCAUGUAUGAUUAUAUACGGAAUACAUGCAUACAUUAUAUUGAUGAAUUGAAGCUAGUUUUGUGUCGCCCUAGUGUGUAGCUGUUACAUGAUCAAUGUCAUCUAAAUCAUUAUCCCUCACCGAUCCACGUGCCUACGCUUUACAUAUAACGAAUCUUGCUAAGUUACUACUAUUGCUACUGUUGUCACACCCGCUACUAAAUUGCUAGUGUUACUACUGUUACAAAAUUACUGCUAUCGGUAUUAUUGUUACUACUAUCAUUUAUUGUGCUACUAAAUCCUUGCUACAUAGAGGUAUCCCACGUGAGAUUGAAAUGACAACUUAACUCAUACGACCAAUAAAUAUUUUUUGGCUCCCCUUGUGUCGGAUCAAUAAAUUAGCAUGAAAUAAUAUCCGUGAAGAUUGUCGCAAUCCCCUAUACUUAUGGGUUAUCAAGACCUUUUUAUGGCUGUCUGGCUUACAUGCUUAGUGGCUUUAUUAGGAUCAGUUAGGAUGCCUAUUAAAAAAAUAGCCAAAAUCUCAGGUAUUCCACAGAAGUCCGAGGAAUAUCCCCCGCGUCGCCACUGAAGCUAAUAUAAAAUGCAAGUUCAGCCACUUGAUAGGAAGCUUUUUCUAGAAGUUGGUUAGCGAUUUCACAUUUGGGAGUGCUCCAUUUCAUCAAAAUCAGUUUCACUUCAUCAAAUUCAUUUUAGAAUAGUUUCAUACACAAGCCAUAGCACUAUCAAGAGAAUAUUUGACUUCCAUCUAGCUCCAACUUCAAAAAUAAAAAAAUGGUGAAAAUUAUCUAUUUGAUUGGUUGAGGAGGGAGAAAUUAAGGGUGGUAGUGGUGAGUAAUUUUUCCUCAACUCCAGCUUCUAGAGUUUUUUGAAACACCCUCUGAAGAGGUUCAUAAAAACUUUCUAGUUUUUCUACGGAGCGGCAUAUCAUGAAACCAUCAAGUUUGGCUUGUCUUUUUGAAGCAAAGCUGAAUUUAAAAGAGCAUGGCAGUCCCAAACAGGCGCUGCCCUAAGUAUGCUGAUCAAUCCAACUCAAAAAAUAAAGUAUGAUUGUCAAUGGUUUUUUUUAAUGGAAAUAUAUGAUGGUCAGUGCUCAUCUUCUUCGUCCAAGACUCCAAGGCUCAAAAUUUACAGGCCGUGGAGCACGGCCCUUUAGAAGGCCGAAAGGGGAUAACAAGCCCUAGAAUGAAAGACCGGAAUGAAGAAAAGACCAAAAGCAAAGUCAUGGAGCCACAUCCCCGGAUUCCACACACGACGACAUGGAGAUCACGAGUGCGACCUGAUAACAGAGUACCAACACCUAUCAUCAUCCCUACCUAAAGAAUACUGAGCAUCCGACACGAUCCAUUUCCCCCGAACACCUAUCACUCGUCAUCGUCGUCGUCCAUCGGGUCCUCGUCCUCAUCAUGGUCCGAGAUAUCCUCUAUCUCGGAGGCGUUUGGAGCGUCCGGGCCCGACGCUCGCUGCUCCUCAAUCUCCAUGCGAAGGAAGGUGUCGCAGCUGAUCUUCGCCGCUUGUAGUACCGCCGGGCAGCCUGGUUGAGCAGAUGAACUGAAGCUGAGGACGGCCUCAUGAAACAAAGGAACAAGGGGGUGCGGGGAACUACUGUGUAUACCUGCAACGGGGCAAUUCGGAGCUUGGUUCGCCCGGAUGUACCUCAGGAUUGGAUCCCUGUCAUAGAUGUGCCUGCAAUCGGUGCUGCAGAGGGAAAGUUAACAUCAUCAUGUCAGUAUUUCUGAAAUUGAACUUUUGCGCAUAAUUUAGCUGCUGUGAUUUCUAGCGUUUCUGAAAACAAAGGUUCUUUUUUUGAGGGUGAAAACAAAGGAUCUGUUAACAGAAGGAAAAAAGCUUUUCUUAUAGCACCCCGAUCCUAGACAAUGGGGAAACAAAUCUAUUUGCAAUUUAGCACACAGAUAUUUUAGCUGUCUGCACUCUCUAGCAUUUUUGUUAUUUCAUCAAGUGGUGAAACCCCUUACUUGAGCAAAUAAAUAAAAAUUAAUAGUUAGUUGUUUUGACCGACACCAACUCCAGUGGUUCGAUUCACAGUUGCAAACUAGUUCUACUGACACACAGGAUUAAGACCAAGCUUUUCAUAUACCAUGCGGAUCCUACACAGUGGGCCUACAGAUCUAUUUGGAAUUCAACAUCCGCAGAUAUUUGGCUGCGUGCAUUUUAUAGCAUUUUUUGCAUACUUCGUCCAGUGGUGAAGCCCCUUGCUUGAGCAAAUAAAUCAAAAUUAAUAGUUAGUGGUUUGAUAGGAUACCAAUUCCAGUUGUUCGAUUUACAGUUGCCAACUAGUUCUACUGACACACAGGAUUAAGAGCAAGCUUUUCAUAUAGGAUGCAGAUCCUACACAGUGAGGCUACAAAUUCUAAUAAUUUACUAUAGUAUGCACAUAAAAAACAAGGACAACCAAAUCUGGUGGUUUCAAAGAUACUGAAACGGUAUUUAGAGGCAAAUACAAACAUAAGUAGAAGUGCACUAUGAGGUAUUGAAUUGUGCCUACAAACUUUGCUCCUUUUUCAGUUUGAAAACAAAACUUCAAUCAGUUUUUAUUUGGUGGGUGUUCUUUCAACAAACAUUUACAGUAACGAGUGGUGCUCAAGCAUGUUCACAGACAACACAAAUUUCAUAGUAGAGUAUGAAAAUAAAACCAGGCACUGACUGCUUACCAGCGAACUGGAUUUUCCAACUCAACUAUAGGCUUCAAAGUCAAUGGGCAAUGCAUAUUUAGGAUGCAGUUCUGGGUGCUAGUCAUAACAAGUUCCUCUUGUUCAUCACCAGGCAUCGGUUGACCUGCAUGGUGAACCUCCUGGCAGAGACAGAACACAAGCACACAAAAGGUCAGGCACUUCGAAAUCAUGCACAAACAGACACAUUCCUUGCCAUUAGUAUCCCAACAAAAGUUAAACAACUUUUGCGCGCAGCUCUGGGCAAUACAUCAGCACCUGGCAAAUGCACCUACAGCACACAAUUGCAGAUAAUCUUCACGACAAUCAGAAAUAAGAGUCUCUGAAUCGCAUACCCAAACAGCCUCUUUGAACUGCCGUAUGAGCUGAUCCUUGUGUCCCGACGACCGCGAGGUCCCCUUGACCUUGGCAACCUCCCCCUCGAUGAGCUUUCUGAAAUCCGUCGCCUUCCCAAACCAACAAACAGAGUGCAGACAGUUAGCCCAAAUUUGCCCCCAAUCCGAACGCCCCCACCACACAGAAGCGCCACGGCCCGCACCUGGUCAGACGGCUGGUACGCGCCGGGCACCUGCUUGACCGCCUCGGCGAGGUACGCGCACUCCUCGUACGAGGCCACGAGCUCCUGCACCGCGUCCUCGAGCUGCUUCACCUGCAGAAAUCCACGCGGUUCGGGGGGGUCAGGGGUUUCGAGGGGAGGCGGGAUUCGGGGGCUAAUGGGGAGCGGCGGCGUGCCUUGUCGGACUUGCCGGCCCUCUCGUACUCCACGGCGAGGGCCUUCAUGGAGCUGAGCGCCUUGCGCAUGUCCUGCGGGUUUGGGAAUUUUGGCAGGGGUUAGGGUUUUGCGGGAUGAAAUCGGAGGGAGGAUUGAUUGGUGGGGGAGACUGGAGAGGUGGGCGGGGAGAGGAGUUGUUACCAAGACGAGGGUUUGGGCCUCCGCCGAGGUGGCGUCGGCCGCGGUGGCGAGCUUCGUCGCCGCCGACGACAUCUCCGGCGAACUCCCGCGGUUCCCCUUUUUUUUCUCCGCGGGGGAAUGGAGGGAAGCUGGACUGCUGGAAAACCUAUUUGACGCUCUUUGCGUCAAAUAGUCGGGCAAACGCACAGUGCGAGAUCAACUGGACAGCCCCAUCUCCCUCUGCAGGCUGUUUCGUUUUUUGCUUUAUUUUGUCCUUUUAACUGUUUCGUUUUUCUGCUUUUUCUUUUCGUUUUUCUGUUUCUGUUUCAAUUUUUUUUAUUUUUUCUAUGUUUAUUUUCAAAAAAACUAAGUUCAUGUUUGAAAAUUAUUUUUGAAAUUCAGAAAAUAUUGUUGCUUUUAUAAAAGUGUUCUAAAUUUCAAAUAAAUGUCGUGUACCAAAAACAUUCAUAACUUCAAAAAAUGUUCGGGAUUUUACAAAAAUGUUCAACAUUUUCAACAAAUGUUCGUGAUUUUAGAAAAAUGUUCCUUUUUUACAAAAUGCCAUUUACCGGGGCUUCCAUUCAAAGCUUAUCACAUUUCUCCUUCCGACUUUCCAGCACCGGGCAGGUGUCAGACUCUAUACAUCGUGUUACCACUUAGCAGAGUCCUCUGUUUUUAAUAAACAGUCGCUACCCCCUGGUAUGUGCCGCUUAAUUUUGCUUUUCCGUUUUUCAUUGCUUUAAUUCGUAACAGGUUUUCCUUUUUUUUCAAAAUGUGUUUAUUUUUCAAAAAUGUUCGUCUUUCAAAAAUUGCUCUCAUAGUAGAAAAACUGCAGGUAAUUAAAAAAAUGUUUUUUCAUAAAUUGAACAGAGUUUACAAAAAAUGUUCUUGCUUUCAAAUUUUUAUAAAAUAUGUUCCUGUUUUACGAAAAAUGUUUCUCUUUUAUAAUUUUUGUUCACAAAUUGUAAAAAAAUUCAAAUUUUGUUCACCAAUUCUUAAAACGUUCAUGAUUUGAAAAUGUUGAUUAUUUUCUGAAAUAUAUUUACCUUUUAAAAAAUGUAUGUAAGUUCAAACUGUGUAUGUAAGUUGAAAAAUGUUCACGCUUUAAAAUUUAUUUACAGAUUUUUUAAAAUGUUCCUUUUUCAUAAAGUUGUCACAAUUUUCAAAAAAAUGUUCUUGCUUUCACAUUUUAUAAAAAAUGUUAUUGUUAUACGAUGAAACAAAGCCCCUAUUAUGUCCCCCAGAUUUGCACAUUCUUCAUCCCGUUUUGCCAUUGUGCAUUAAGUAAUCCAACGUUUGUGGAGGAAGCUGCAAUGCACCACAUGUUAGCUUAUAGGCCAGAUUUGGGUCCUACAUUCUUCACUACCUUAACUACUAUAUUUGUUGAGGUGAAGGUCUUACUUAGUAGGCAAAUUCGAGCUGUUGUUGUCUCUCUUUUAAAAUCUGUUCACAAAUUGAGAAAAUGUUUCAGUUUUUUUCACCAAUUCUAAAAAAAAUCAUGACUUGAAAAUGUUUUGGAACUUUCAAAAUUGUUCUACUUUUCCUAAAAAAUGUUUGCUUUUUCAAAAAGUGUACGCCAGUUCAAAAAAUGCCCGUGUUUCAUAAAGUGUAAAUAAGUUGGAAAAAAAAUCCGCUUCAAAAAUUGUUUACAUAUUUCAAAAAAUGAUAUUUUUCCAUAAAUUGGUCAAAUUUUAAAACAAAUGUUCUUGUUUUGACACUUUUACAAAAAAAUCUUAUUUUAAAUAAAAUGUUUCGCUUUUUCAAAAUUUUCCUCACCAAUUAAAAAGUUGUUCAAAUUUUGUUCACCAAUUCUAAAAAUUUUCAUAAUUUAAAAAUGUUUAGGAGUUUUAUAAAAUCUUCUUCAUUUUCUAAAAUAUGUUUCCCAUUUUAAAAAAUGUCCGUAAGUUCGAAAAAUUUUCAUGUUUCAAAAAGUAUACAUAAGUAGAAAAAAUGUUUUUGCUUCAAAAAUUGUUUACAAAUAUUUAGAAAAGUAGUUUUUUUUAAAUGUUGUAUGCUUUCAAAUGCUCCUGUUUUCAAAUUUCUUGUUUUUUUGAAAAUUCUUCAAAAAAAUUUAAAAAAAUCAUCUAUAAUUUUUAUCUGAAAAUACAACAGUUGAUUAAGUUUGAGAAACUCAAAAAAAAUCAAAACAUAAAACCUUUUAGGAAAAAGAGAAAGAGAAACACAAAUGAAAAUAAAGAAUAAGACAAAAAAGCAAAACAAAUAAAUAAAAAGAAAAAAAAACGAGCUGGUUACCUGGGCCAGCCUAGUUGCCUUGCUUGCGGCGGCGACCUAGUGGCUUGCCUAUGCGAAGGUACCCUAUCGGACGCAAAAUGCGUCCAAUAGUAGGUUCCGGAUUGCUAAAUCUUGUAGACCAUGGCAUGUAUACGCAGUCGUGGCCAAACGGGCCAGCCUGGCACGACACGGUGUGCCCAGAUCACUGGUAGAAAACAGGGCUAUCGUUCGGCCCUGGCCAGCCCAUUAGUCCCGGUUCUUGAAGAACCGGGACCAAUGGGGGUAUAAGACCCGGUUCGUGAGCCCAGGGGGCCGGCGGGGGCCUCGUGGGCAUUGGUCCCGGUUCGUGUAGAACCAUUUGUCCCGGUUCGAGCCACGAACCGGGACCAAUGGUCCUCGCUGCUGGCCCACAACCAUUGGUCCCGGUUCGUGGCAUGAACCGGGACAGAAGGGGUGGCUUUAGUCUCGGUUCAUGCCACGAACCGGUACAAAUAAGUUGCCUAUAUAUACCCAUCGUCGCGGCAGAGCACUCUGUUUUUUUUUACCGGCGAGGGGAGGGCAUUUUGGUGCUCUAGCUCACCUCCUAUGCACAUGAGGUGUUCGAUGAAAUGCCCGAGCCACAGUAGUUAAGCUUUCUCCUCUCGAAGCUCGACCUAGGAGCUUCAUUUUUCCCGAGAUUUGUCUAGAUUUAGGGGUCCGUCACGCCCCGUCCCCGUUUUCACCGUCGUUGAUCGCCCGCGCCGAUCUCGUCGCCGGCACCACCGUGGUGAGCCUCUUGUUCUUAUCUUCUUUAUGAUACUUGUCUGAUUUUCUUACUUUAGAUAGAUAUUUGUCUGAUUUUCUUAAUUUUGACACACAUAAUUAUAUGUAAUGCACGCGGAUGAACCGGCAAUGGAUGUAUGGUGACAAACACACCUCCGAGUACAUUAAGGGCGUGCAUAUUUUUCUCCAAGUGGCUCAGGCAAACAAGCAGAAUGGUUUUAUGUGUUGCCCAUGCAGUAAAUGUGGGAAUACGAAGUCUUACUCUGACCGAAAAAUCCUUCACACCCACCUGCUUUACAAGGGUUUCAUGCCACACUAUAAUGUUUGGACGAGGCACAGAGAAAUAGGGGAAGAAGAGGACGAUGAGAACUAUGUGCUCCCUGAAUACGGUGAUGCUGCAACGGGGGGAGCUGCUGAAGAUCAAGAGGAACCAGACGAUGUGCCCGAUGAUGCUGCAACAGGGGAAGCUGUUGAAGAUCAAGAGAAACCAGACAAUGUGCCCGAUGAUGAUCUCCGCCGGGUCAUUGUCGAUGCAAGGACGCAAUGCGAAAGUCAAAAGGAGAAGCUGAAGUUCGAUCGCAUGUUAGAGGAUCACAAAAAAAGUUGUACCCCAAUUGUGAAGAUGGCAACACAAAGCUGGGUACCGUACUGGAAUUGCUGCAGUGGAAGGCAGAGAAUGCUGUGCGUGACAAAGGAUUUGAGAAGCUACUGAAAAUAUUGAAGAAGAAGCUUCCAAAGGAUAAUGAAUUGCCCGACAGUACGUACGCAAUAAAGAAGGUCGUAUGCCCUCUAGGAUUGGAGGUGCAGAAGAUACAUGCAUGCCCUAAUGACUGCAUCCUCUACCGCGGUGCGUACGAGGAUUUGAACGCAUGCCCGGUAUGCGGUGCAUUGCGGUAUAAGAUCAGACGAGAUGACCCUGGUGAUGUUGACGGCGAGCCCCGCACGAAGAGAGUUCCUGCGAAGGUGAUGUGGUAUGCUUCUAUAAUACCACGGUUGAAACGACUGUUCAGAAACAAAGAGCAUGCCAAGUUGAUGCGAUGGCAGAGUGAGGACCGUAAGAAAGACGGGAAGUUGAGAGCACCCGCUGACGGGUCGCGGUGGAGAAAAAUCGAGAGAGAGUACUGGGCUGAGUUUGCACGUGACCCAAGGAACGCAUGGUUUGGUUUAAGCGCGGAUGGCAUUAAUCAUUUCGGGGAACAGAGCAGCAAUCACAGCACCUGGCCCGUGACUCUAUGUAUGUAUAACCUUCCUCCUUGGAUGUGCAUGAAGCGGAAGUUCAUUAUGAUGCCAGUUCUCAUCCAAGGCCCUAAGCAACCCGGCAACGACAUUGAUGUGUACCUAAGGUCAUUAGUUGAAGAACUUUUACUGUUGUGGAAUGGAAACGGUGUACGUGCGUGGGAUGAGCACAAACAGGAGGAAUUUAACCUGCACGCGUUGCUGUUUGUAACCAUCAACAAUUGGCCCGCUCUCAGUAACCUUUCAGGACAGACAAACAAGGGAUACCACGCAUGCACGCACUGUUUAGCUGACACCGAAAGUAUAUACCUGGGAAGCUGUAGGAAGAAUGUGUACCUGGGCCAUCGUCGAUUUCUUCUGACCAACCAUCAAUUUCGAAAGAAAGGCAAGCAUUUCAAAGGCGAGGCAGGUCACCGGAAGAAGCCCGCCAUGCGUACCGGUGAUCACGUACUUGCUAUGGUCAAUGAUUUACACGUAAUCUUUGGUAAGGUCCCGACGGACUAGCUGUUCUGAGUGACGCUGGGGGACACGCAUCCAUGUGAAUGAAGAAAUCUAUAUUUUGGGACCUACCCUACUCGAAAGACCUAGAGGUCCGCUCUUCGAUAGACGUGAUGCACGUGACGAAGAACCUUUGCGUCAACCUGCUAGGCUUCUUGGGCGUGUAUGGGAAGACAAAAGAUACAGCUGAGGCACGGGAGGACCUGCAACGUUUGCACGAAAAAGACGGCAUGCCUCCAAAGCAGUAUGAAGGUCCUGCCAGCUACGCUCUUACCAAAGAAGAGAAGGAAAUCUUCUUUGAAUGCCUGCUUAGUAUGAAGGUCCCGACUGGCUUGUCGUCGAAUAUAAAGGGAAUAAUAAAUAUGGCAGAGAAAAAGUUUCAGAACCUAAAGUCUCAUGACUGCCACGUGAUUAUGACGCAACUGCUUCCGGUUGCAUUGAGGGGGCUUCUACCGGAAAACGUCCGAUUAGCCAUUGUGAAGCUAUGUGCAUUCCUCAAUGCAAUCUCUCAGAAGGUGAUCGAUCCAGAAAUCAUACCAAGGCUAAGGAGUGAUGUGGUGCAAUGCCUUGUCAGUUUCGAGCUGGUGUUCCCACCAUCCUUCUUCAAUAUCAUGACGCACGUCCUAGUUCAUCUAGUUGACGAGAUUGUCAUUCUGGGCCCCGUAUUUCUACACAAUAUGUACCCCUUUGGGAGGUUCAUGGGAGUCCUAAAGAAAUAUGUCCGUAGCCGCGCUAGGCUAGAAGGAAGCAUCUCCAUGGGCCAUCAAACAGAGGAUGUCAUUGGGUUUUGUGUUGACUUCAUUCCUGACCUUAAGAAGAUAGGUCUUGCUGAAUCGCGGUAUGAGGGGAGACUGACUGGAAAAGGCACGCUUGGAGGGGAGACAAUAAUAUGCACGGACGGAUAUUCUUGGUCUGAAGCACACUGCACAGUUCUACAGAACUCUACCUUGGUGACCCCUUAUGUCGAUGAACACAAGAACAGUCUGCGCUCCAAACACCCGGAGCAGUGCGACGACUGGAUUACAUGUGAACACAUCAGGACUUUCAGCAGUUGGUUGGAAACACGUCUCAGAGAUGAAAACACUGUUUGUGAUGAGCUGUACUCGUUGUCCAGGGGACCAUCUUCGACUGUUACGAUUUGUAAACGAUACAAGAUAAAUGGAAUACAUUUUACACGAUCGCCCAAGAUCAAAAGAGCACCAACCAAAACAGCGGUGUCCACUUUGAUGCAGCCACCGAGAGGGGAAAGGACAUAUAUUAUGGUUACACAGUGGACAUAUGGUAACUUGACUACGGAGUAGAUUUUAAGGUCCAUUUGUUUAAGUGCAAAUGGGUCAAUCUGUCAGGAGGCGGGGUACACGUAGACCCACAGUACGGAAUGACAACAGUGGAUCUGAACUAUCUUGGGUACACUAACGAACCGUUCGUCCUAGCCAAUGAUGUGGCACAGGUUAUCUAUGUGAAGGACAUGUCUACCAAACCGAGAAAAAGAAAAAAAUAAGGAAGCGAAUACAUCAUACGAUGAGCCAAAGCGCCACAUAGUUCUUUCAGGAAAAAGGGACAUCAUGGGAGUGGAGGGCAAGACAGACAUGUCCGAAGAUUAUGAAAAGUUUUAUGAAAUUCCUCCCUUCAAAGUCAAGGUUGACCCAAGCAUCGUGAUAAAUGAUGAAGAUUAUCCAUGGUUACGACGCAAUAAGGAAAGGACACAAGCGAAGAAAAAGUGAAGAAUUUUCUCCACAACUAUUAUGAUGAUACCAUGCCAACUUUCAACCUUUUUGUAGUUCAUUUGAAAUGCAUGUUGUAACAGACAGGUGAGUACUGUGCUUCUCCAUUCAUCGUCUCUACACUCACGGCUUAUAAAACCACUGCAAGUGCCUCUCGCUUGGAGAGGUGGGACUAAAAAACAGGUGCAGAAAUAAUCAACUAAAAAACUCUUUUACUGGUUCAUGCCACGAACCGGUACUAAAAGGUGCUCGUGGGGCCCAACCUUAAAAUCUGUACCAAAUAAAAUGCCUUUGUACUAAAAUUAUAUAGAAUUUUGUUGAAAACAUUAAAAGCAAAAGGAAUUAUCAUAGAAGAAAAUAAAUAAGUAAUUAAAAUUUUGUUACAAACUUUAAUAGCAAAAAGAAUUAUCGUAAAAGAAAAUAAAUAAGUAAUUAGAAACAAAAAAAGCAAAAAAAUUGGGGGAAAAUUAAAAUAAAGAAAUCAACUAAAAAGCUUUUAUAAACCUCUAGUAUUAUUGAAACUAAAAUUAUAUAGAAUUUUGUUACAAACUUUAAUAGCAAAAAGAAUUAUCAUAAAAGAAAAUAAAUAAGUAAUUAGAAACAAUAUAAAAUAAAAAAAUAAGUAUUUUGUUGUAAGUAGAAACAAAACAAAAUAAGCUAACUAGCACUUUAAAUUUAAGUAGAAACAAAACAAAAAACAAAAUAAAAAUAAUGAAAAAAAAAUAAAAAAAAUAGAUUUGAAUUUAGAGAGAAAUUCAACCUAAAUUCAAAGUGCUAGUUAGCCUAACUAGCUCUUUGAAUUUAAAGUGCUAGUUAGCCUAACUAGCUGUUUGAAUUUAGGUUGAAUUUUGUCUCUAAAUUCGUACGCUCGACAUUGCAGCCGCGGCGGAGCUUAUAAACAGGCUCGGAGCCCUUCGCUUGGCGAGGUGGGACUAAACAUCCAACCGCACCGCGGCUGUGGCAGACACAUGCCUUUAGUCCCGGUUGGUGGCUCCAACCGAGACUAAUGCCCCUCCUUAGUCCCGAUUGGUGGCACCAACCGGGACCAAAGGCCUCUGCUUCCCGCCCUUCGGGCUGCCGAAAAGAGGCCUUUGGUACCGGUUGGUGUCACCAACCGGGACCAAUGCAACACUUUAGUCCCGGUUGGUGCCACGAACCGGGACCAAUGCUUCUCCUAUAUAAGCCAACACUUUGGAAAUUUUCAGAUUUGACGGCGCUGCGAGCUCAUCCACGCCCUACGAUGCCGCGAGCUCAUCCACGGCGCCGUCAGGCUGCCCCGUCGCCGUCGUCCGUCACCCAUCGCCCUCCUCUCCCAAGCCCAUGCCGCCGCCCGUCGCUGUCGCCCUCCGCCCCCCGCCGCCGUCGCCGUCGCCCUCCGCCGCCCCCAAGCCGUCGCCAGUCACCGUCGCCCUCGCCCUCCGCCCCCCACCGCCGUCGCCGUCGCCCUCGCCGCCCACGCCGUCGCCCCGGUCGCCCCCAAUGUGAGUCGCCGCCGCCAUGGCUCUGUUUUUUAUUUAUUUAUUGUUUUUAAUUUUUGAUUUGUAAUAUUUGAUUUCUAUAUACAUAUAUAGUUGUAGAAUGCUCAUUUCAUGCAUGUAUGUUUGCAUUUUUCAUAUAUGUAUGUUUGCAGAGACCGGGGGUCUUAACCUCCUUUUCAAACAAAAAUAUACCCAUAUGACCAUCGUCUGAUGGGUAGCGUGAGUCGUUGCCUUCUUUGUGCGCGAUAUUUGGCACAAAUAUGGCCUCAAAUCAAAACAGGUUCAACAAGAAAGUUGUUUGUAUCACCCAUAUAUAUAAAUUUGAAAUUGGGCGCACCUCCAUCCGAGAUCAUAUGUGGACUGUGGUACCCAAAAAUAAAAUUGCUGUCUCAACCAUACUUAACUCCGAGUUCGGUUAAUUUUUAAUGAAUGUUUAGAGGAUUUGCAAUACUUCCAUUUUAUGGGAAGUCCACCAACAUCAUAAAUAGAUGUGAGGUCACGGUGCAUUGAACAACACAUAGCAAAAUAUUCGAUCAACCACUUUUUACAUUUAUAUACCUUUUUAUCUCUCCCUUGUUUAUACGCUUUCACGUUCUUCAUUGUUCGUCAUUCUUGCUAUGAAUAGAUCAUCAGCAUGUGUUUGUUAUCCGAUAUACCCAACCACUUUGUGUAGUGGCCAAUAAUUCAUAUGAUGUUUCUAGAUCGUUCAGUGAAUAUACUCUAUCAACCAUCCCUAGUUUUCUCAUUCAUGCAUCUAAUUACAUGCAAAGGACGAUUCAAACUAAUAUCCACUAGUCAACAACCCGUGCAUUUGCACGGGCUAGUUUUAAUGCAUGGUUACUUAGCAAUGGUCUCGUGAAAGUAUAUUGAUUUUGGAAAUAGUGGUUAGUCUUAUACUUGUCAGAUUUUUUUGUUAUGUGUGUAGUUCCUUCAAAACAAAUGUGAAAACCAAAGUGCUAAUUUUUGUGGGUAUCUUAAAACGAAAAUCAAAUGCUUUAUAAUUUGAACAUUGAAAUAAAAUAUAAUGAAGCAUAGAAUAGUUCCAUUCAACGUAUUGAUUUUGUUUUUUUAGUUCAUUUUACGAUACCUAUCCCGCAUCCUCGUCGUCGACUCGGAGAAGGACACCUGCUUGAUCAGAGGGGCCAUGUCCGGGACUGGGCUCCGCCCGGCUGGUAUUGGGAGGUGCUACCUUCCGGGGGACGUAGGUUGGUGAGGAGGCAGCCCGUUGUUGACCCGAUCCUUGUUUGGUGGCGGUCGCGUGGGCUAGUGACGGUGCCGAGGCUUCCGGACACCGCGGAGGUGGUACGUCACCGUGUCAGCGAGGAGGACGAGCACGUCCGUUGCUACAUGGUUGCAUUGGAGGACAGGUUCGACAAUACCUGGCAGGUUCUUCAGGGAUCUCACUGGAGCUAUGAUCCUGUGAUGGUUCCUUCUCUUUGGGUGUCCACCGCCCGCGACGAUACCCGUCGGGCGCUAUAGUUCUAGCUAUAUUAAUGAUGCUUUAUGUAUGAUAGUAUUCGAGGAGUAUUAAUUAGUGAUAAUAUUCGACGAUGUAUGGACACAAGAGAUCGAUGAUGUAGUCUUGCUUAUAAUUGAAUGCGUGCUAAUUUGAAUACUACUUUAUUUUAUGAUUUGUUUUGCUUAUUGAAUGUUCAAAUUGGAAAAGUACUCCUACUUUGAAUGCUAAAAUUAGAGAGCACUAUGCAGAUAUCUAGGAGCCCCCCUUCAUCAUCCGCGCCGUCGUCCCCGUCACCGACCCCCUCCGACCUCGAGUCAGGGUCUAUAUUGUUUUACGCUAUUUUACCUUAAAUAGGGUAUUUAAUUAGGUACUCCCUAAUACUAAUGAUCAUGUUGCUAUAAAUGUUGUAUGACAAUGUUGUAAAGGGUAGUAAUUGGUCUCUUCUGCUGCUUUUCAGAGAUGGAGUUCUUCACGGUUAUACUUGAGAAAUCCUCCAGGCUGGUGCUGCCACACAAUUUUGUGAAGAUGUUGGACGGCCAUCGGCCACAGAACCUGAAGCCGAGGCAGGCCGGCAACGGGCUUCGCAAGCUGUGGGACGUGGAGGUGGUGUUCGACGCCGAUGGCCGCAUGUACCUAGAUCGUGGCUGGAAGCAGUUCCUUCGUGCCUACGACCUGGGGAUCGGGUACUUCCUUGUCUUCAGGUACGACGGCAACGCCACGUUCGUCGUGAAGGUGUUCGACACGACUAUGUGUUGGAGGCGCUACCAGGACGACGACGAUGCCGGUACGCUCUGUCUCUUCUUCCUCUCCAUUAGGCUAUCUCUCACACCCAUUUUUAAAAAAACUUUUUUGCAUUUGGCAAGGCAAUGGGAGCAGGAGCAGCGAGUACUGCGACAGGUGCUAUGUCUACGGCAGCAACGACUCUGGCAGCAAAAGUAGCAACGACUCUGGCGACAGCAAAAGUAGCAGCGACGAUGGCCUCGCGAUGGAUGUCCCACAGCUGGGCAACAGGGCCAUGCCAAUUGUGGUAGAGGAGUACAUCCCACAGCCUGGCCUGGGGCUUCGCCGCUCUAAGCACAUCAAGAUGAUGAAGGAGAAGGUGAAGAAGCAGGAGUGAAUAUCUUAAGAACCUGAUGGCUUUAAUCCUUAUAGUAUAAACCUUUUAAGUACGAUAGUGUUGAACUGCUACUGCACUUUUAAGUAUGAUGGUGGUGUGCCUGAUGAAAUUUUGUGCAUGCUCAUGGAUGCUCCUUGUUAUUAUGAUGUAUGAUGAUGCAUGAUUAGUAGGACUUGUUAUUAUAUAUGAUGAUGUAUGAUGCGAGCAUGAAGAGUUAUUAUAUAUCAGCGGGUGAAAUGAACAUAGCAGUAGCGUUGGUAAACCAAGCACGAAGAUAAGAGAGGACACUUCUCUCUAUUAGCUAGCUAUAAUAACAACCUAAAUUAACCCCCAAACCCCUAAAUUAGCCACUUAAAAAAAAACUCAGCUGCACCAGUUUUUGACGCAUGGAUGCCUUUUGUUCCCGAUUUAUGUCACCAACCGGGACCAAAGGCCCCCCUGCCUGGGCUGUCCGCAGCGGCCACGUGGAUGCCCAUCUGUCCCGGUUCGUGUAAGAACCGGGACUAAAGGGGAAGGCAUUAGUAACGACCAAUUAGUCCCGGUUCAGGAACUGGGACUAAUGGCCCUUAGGAACCGGGACAAAUGCCCUGUUUUCUACUAGUGAGACACGAAUAUUAGACGGGCUGUGAUGUGUCGACCCACGUGCACAGCCUUCGCGCCCAAAUACGGAAUGGGAGUUAUACGAGCUGGCCCAUUGGCACGUCAGCCGCUGGCCUGCUAGGCUUUCGACUUUUUAGGCUGAUUUUGGGUCGAUUUUGUUUUGUUGGGCUAUUUUAUAUUGAUUGCUGGGGGAGACUGGAGAGGGGUUCUUACCAAGACGAGGGUUUGGACCUCCGUCGAGGUGGCGUCGGCCGCGGUGGCAAGCUUCGUGGCCGCCGUCGACAUCUCCAGCGAACUACCGCGGUUCCCCUUUUUUUUCUCCGCGAGGGAAUGGAGGGAAGCUGGACAGCUAGAGCUUGUAGACUAUGGCAUGUAUACGAGGCCCAGGUGGUAUAUAAGUGGGCUGCAUAUAGUAUAGGCCUUGAGGGAAAUAUUUUUCGUAUGAAGCCACUAAGCCAGCUCAAAAAUGCUCACAAAUAAGACCAAGGCCAGCCCAAAUUGGCCUUCAUAUUAUUCUAUGCAAGAAAUUCUUGGCAUGUUCUAAAAAUAUAUGUCAUUGGCAGCCGAUUUAAAAGUUUAACUUCAUCACUCAAUCAGGCAUUUCGUAAAUUAUCUUGUAACUCCAUUUGGUUCCUCGUUGCUAGUCGGUUGCUAGUUGGAACUAGCAAGCGGCACCUGAGGACUUGGGGUUGGAAAAACAAGUCACACACCCACGAGUUCAAAAGUGACUCAAAAAAUCAGCUUGACAUCUACAAAAACUUGGUAGUACUCAAACACUGAUGAUCCUGGUCGAGUUUCACAUCUCUUUUUUGGCGGGGAACCAUUCAAGAACUUGUAUCACGGAGUACUCGUUACGUUCGUGUAGGUUGAAAUAUAAUGCAAAAUGGCAGUGUUAGAUCUUCCAUGUUUCAUGCAAUAUUGCUGAUUGAUCAUGUUUCUGAAAUAAAUUAGCAUUUGGUUGCCCUAUAGUAUGGAUAAUAAUAUAUAUUUUUACAUGGAUGACUAGACCUAUGAAUAAACGUACUGUAUAUACCAAGAAAUUAUGAAGCUUGAAUCAAACCAGCUCACCCCGGCUUUGAACUCAUUAAGUUGAGGAGUCAAGUUGAGCAGGCGCGUUCACUUAUGAAACCCUUUUCAUCCUUUCUCAUUCACGAGUGUAUGUCCUCGCCUCCCGUUGGCAUCACCGUCGACCUGCCUCGGCUCUGCUGGCCUUCGGGCCAUGGGAGUGCAGUGGUAGUGGCGGUGGUAGAGCUUGCGGUGUUAUGCUGGACAAACUACAAGAGAUUGUUCAUGUUUGGCUUUCCUAUGCACAUAGAUUGACUGCAAUAAUUGGGGAAAUGCUAUCAAUCUGGAUGGGUCGUGCUCCAUUUAAGACGUCUUUUAGUUUUUUUAGGUUUUACGUCUGAUUCAAGGAGAGGCGGCGUCAACUUUAUGAAGAUGGAAUAAGGUUCUGCCUACCUAGCCCUCGGUGCCGCGAUGCCUUUAGCGUCAAAGGAGGACGUGUGAAGGCGUGUCUUCCACAUGUCUUGCGGGUUGCGGUCUAUGUUCACUUUGGUGGAUUCACUUGAAUCUAGUCUUCAUUUUUCGCGUUCGUAUGUCAAUAGGUUGAAUCCUUUCGAUCUAAGCUUUUUUAUUGUCUACUAUAACAAGAUUUGUAUGAUUACGGUGAGAAAGGGACAUUGAAGACGACAAGGUAUAGUCAUUGUAGUCAUUGCUAGAUGGUCUACGAACAUGAAGUAAUUUCUACUACUUCUUGUGGUUUUUUUUUUGCAAUGACAUAAUGUUUGCUAAAUUAUUUGGUACUAAAAAAAUCUGACUUGUUCACUCAAUGAGCCCAUCCAAGGAACAAGACGUGAUCGCCUCUAGGACGCACCAAAUGGAUCGGCCCAGUGUGGAAACUGUCGUUGGCUCCCUAGCGCACAUUUUUCCUCUGUUUGAUUACUUUUAUGUAUGUUUCCAAAAUGGAAGCAUGUUUUCCUUUAAUUUUUAAGAAAGUUCAUCACAUAUUUUUAAAACAGUCAUGUAGUGUAAAAAUAUGUCCAUGCAACUUGUAUUUUUUUCAUAGAAUUAAAAAAAGGUAUUUGACAUUUAAAAAGUAUUGACAUAUUCUGAAGCAAUUUCCUUACAUUUUUAGAAAUUGUUUCUACAAUAUAAAAAAUAAUUUAAUUCCUAAAAUGUUUUGUACCAUUCAAAAAAAUGUAUCUGACAUUAUAAGAAGUUUUCGCACGUCUCAAAACAAAUGUUCAUGACAUAUUUAAAAUUAAGCAACGUAGAAAAAUGCCAUGUGGUUUAAUAAUAUAUUUGAUGCCAUUAAAAAUACUGAACAUACCUGGAGUAAGCAAAGGAUCAGGUGUCCGAGUCGAACUCGUGUAUCCUGGACGUUAGGGCAUCUACACCUGGGCUGGGCAAAUCCGGCACCUUACGCCCGCGGACGCGUCCGGACAUUUUCGCGGACGCAUCCGGACAGCCAUUUAUUUUAUUUUUCCAUGCAUUUACAUACCUCAUGUAAGGAUGCAAUGUACAUGUGUGUAAAAAUAUACGAUGAAAUACUUUCAAUAGUGACAUGUGUAAAAAAACAAAUUCAAGGUCUGGAAUAAUGAUUAGUAUCAUCUGUUAAAAAACCUUGGAUUUUUUUUUUGCACAACCUUCAUUUCAAUAUAUUUGGAUAUGAAAAUUCACACACUUAUGAAUUAUGUGAACUGAAAAAGAUGAAUUUUCAUAAAUUCUAGAUUUCAAAUUUUAAAACUACCAUAAAGGCCGAGAUCAAAAAGCAAUUUUUGUAUUGCGGCUUGCCAGGAUAUACUGCAUGAAGCUGACAAGCUAGACACAAGAUUAAGAAUGGGACGGUUCAGGCACCCAUGACUGCCAUGUCUGGACCGACCAUGACGGGGACGGUCGAGAUGUGUUUGAUAGCCUUGGUGGACUUGUCCUCGUGUCAAUUUAGUACAUUGAUGAAGGGGUUGCCUACUUUUUACUCCCUCCGUUCCUAAAUAUAAGUCUUUAUAGAGAUUCUACUACUAGACUACAUACCGAUAUAUAUAUAUAUAGACAUAUUUUAAAGUGUAGAUUCACUCAUUUCGUUUUGUAUGUAGACUCCUAAUGAAAUCUCUUAAAAGAUUUAUAUUUAGAAACAGAGGGAGUACAAAGUAUAAGCACGAAUUUGCUGAUCUCCCCUCACUGAUAAGAAGCUACGUACUACUCAACAUCCAAAAUCUUCAGCAGCUGCUAUGAAUGUGACGAACUCUAGGACUCCAUUCCUGAGCGAGCGAAACCGAAAGCCACAUUGGUUCGUGCUCCCAACAGUCUGGCUCGAAAGAUGCAAUGCAACUUGGCAUGUGGAUGGAUGCCACAAGCCAGCGACAGCGAGCAAGGGGCGGGCACCAGCACGUGAUGAUGAUGGAUGGAUCUAUCACGGGGGUCAACUGGCAAGCUCUCCCCAGGCAUCAAAUGCUGGCUGCUACUACAACGGUACUUUGAUCAGCACGGCCCUUGAAUGCAGCCCAACCAUUCAUACGGUUCCGUAUUGAUACCGCCGUGCAUGCAUGGCGCAGGAUCCAGAUACCCAUCAAAUCCCUCUGUUCCUAAAUAAAUUUUUUCCCAAAAAUAAUAUAUAUUAAAUAUGAGUAUAUAUAUAUAUAUACACACAUAUUUUAAAGUAUAGAUUUAAUUAUUUUACUCUGUAUAUGGUUUAUAUUAGAAAUUCUUAGAGUAUCACUAAUAAAAAAUGUAGAUGCAAAAGUAACUACCUUUUACAUCUCCGAGCCCCAAAAACAAUGUUCCAACAAAUGAUUUAGAUGCCAAAAAAAUUACAUCUCCACCACCACCCAGAGAUGUAUCGUAUAUCACUUCACUUCUGUUGGAAACGUUGCAUAGGAAAUAAAAAAAUUCUUACGUACAAACAAGAUUUAUCCAUGGUGAUGGUCAUCUACGAGAGGAGAGAUCGGAUUCACAUAUUCUUGUAGAUCGCUAAACGGAAAUCGUUAAAAAAUAAGGUUAACGUAGUCGAACAUCUUCGCGAUCCAAAUCACAAGUCGUCCCGCGGUCCAAUCACGAUCUAGUGCUGAACGGACGUCACCUCCGCUUUCAGCACACGUACACCUCGAUGACGAUCUUCGUCUUCAUGAUCCGGCAGUGGAGAGGUAGAUGAAUUUCUCCGACAGCACGACGGCAUGGCGGCGGUGUUGGUGGAGCUGAUUCGGCAGGGCUUCACUGUGCGCUAGCGAAUCGAUCAAGAGGUGGAUCGAACUAGUGGAGGAACACAGAGUUGCGUCGUGGCUUGGGGUCGACUGCCUCUCUCCUCUCCACUAUAUAUAUAGGAGGGAGGGAAGGGGUGGCGCCCUAGGAAAAAAACCCUAGGAUUGGACGGCGGCGGGCCGACGACCCAAGAGGAGGAGGAGUCCUCCGAUUGUGGAGGUGGAGGCGCAAGGAGGAGUCCUCCAAUUCGGAUUCCCUCCCCUACUCACACUUCGGCGCAUAGGCCCAUACGGGUCAGCCGCCCAGCCCACCAGGACGCGGUGUGCCACCUCUUAGGCCUAUGUGCCCCCCAGGGUGGGUUGCCCCUCCCGGUGAACACUUGGAACCCAUUCGUCACUCCCGCUACUUUACUGGCAGUGCCUGAAACCUUUUCGGAACCCGUAUACUUCUUUCCUAUAUAUUAAUCUUAGUCUCCGGACCACUCUGGAACUCCUCGUGACGUCCGGGAUCUUAUCCGGGACUCCGAACAACCUUCGGUUACCAACAUACAUAAUUCAACUAUACCAAAACUUCAUCGAACCUUAAGUGUGGAGACCAUGCGGGAUCGAGAACUAUGCAGACUUGACCGAGACACUCUCUAGUAAUAACCAAUAGCGAGACCUGGAUGCCCAUGUUGGUUCCCACAUAUUCUUCGAAGAUCUUUAUCGGUUGAACCUCUAUGUCACGGAUUCAGUUAACCCCGUAUGUUUGUCCAUCGUUAUGUUACUUGCCCGAGAUUCGAUCGUCGGUAUCUCAAUUCCUAGUUCGAUCUCGUUACCGGCAAGUCUCUUUACUCGUCCCAUAAUACAAGAUCACGUGACUAAAUUCUUAGUAACAUUCCUUGCAAGCUUCUUGUGAUGUUGUAUUAUCGAGUGUGCCCUAUAGAUACCUCUCCGUCACACGGAGUGACAUAUCCCAGAAUCGAUUCAUGCCAACUUAACAAACACCCUUAGAGAUACAUGUAGAGCACAUUUAUAGUGUCCCAGUUACGUUGUGACGUUUGAUACACACAAGACAUUCUUCCGGUGUCCGGGAGUUGCAUGAUAUCAUGGUUAUAGGAAGAGAUACUUGACAUGCAGAAAAUAAUAGCAAUAAACUAACACAAUCACAUGCUACGUCCAUAGGGUCUUGCCCAUCACAUCAUUCUUCUAAUGAUGUGAUCCCAUUAUCAAAUGACAACUCCUGUCUAUGGCCAGGAAACCUUGACCAUCUUUGAUCAACGAGCUAGUCAACUAGAGGCUUACUAGGGACNNNNNNNNNNNNNNNNNNNNNNNNNNNNNNNNNNNNNNNNNNNNNNNNNNNNNNNNNNNNNNNNNNNNNNNNNNNNNNNNNNNNNNNNNNNNNNNNNNNNNNNNNNNNNNNNNNNNNNNNNNNNNNNNNNNNNNNNNNNNNNNNNNNNNNNNNNNNNNNNNNNNNNNNNNNNNNNNNNNNNNNNNNNNNNNNNNNNNNNNNNNNNNNNNNNNNNNNNNNNNNNNNNNNNNNNNNNNNNNNNNNNNNNNNNNNNNNNNNNNNNNNNNNNNNNNNNNNNNNNNNNNNNNNNNNNNNNNNNNNNNNNGACCAUCUUUGAUCAACAAGCUAGUCCAUUAGAGACUUACUAGGGAUAGUGUUUUUGUAUAAUAAUUCUAGCAUGUAUAAUAAUCAAUUGUCUUGAACAAAGAAAUAUGAUAAUAACUAUUUUAUUAUUGCCACUAAGGUAUAUUUCCAACAAAAUCGCGGUACAAAUUUGCAUCUUCAACUCCACGAGAUGUAAAAUCACGUCCGCGUGCGAACCGCCCAACCGCCACUUCCCUCCCCUUUCGCGUGACCGGCCAUUGUCGCCCGACUUCACCGCGGCCAAAUCCACUUCAAAUGUCGUCGCCCACCGCCUGAGCGCCAUUGGGCCCGCCAUGACUUCGCCCCCCUUCCCUGUCGCCUGCCUCACCGGUGCGGUGCCCGAUCGAUUUAGUUUGCCCCCCCCCCCCCCNNNNNNNNNNNNNNNNNNNNNNNNNNNNNNNNNNNNNNNNNNNNNNNNNNNNNNNNNNNNNNNNNNNNNNNNNNNNNNNNNNNNNNNNNNNNNNNNNNNNNNNNNNNNNNNNNNNNNNNNNNNNNNNNNNNNNNNNNNNNNNNNNNNNNNNNNNNNNNNNNNNNNNNNNNNNNNNNNNNNNNNNNNNNNNNNNNNNNNNNNNNNNNCCCCGGCGAAUCGAAGCUUCUUCGGCUGCUGCGGCUUGCCUAAACGCCUUUCCCAACGAGGUUUACGGUGGGGGCAUGCCACUCUUCCGCCCGACAGCCGCGAGCCUCGGCUGUUCUUCCGAUCAUGCGAAGCCGCCCGCAUGCCGCGCGGAGCUCCCGACGACAUCCGACCGUCUCUUCUGUUGUGAAGUCGCCGCCACCAACGGCUGGCCAACCCAUUCCGCAUGGCGCCCGGCCUGUUUUGCAUCUAACAUUUACAUCACCUAUUGGAGUUGACUAUUCAGAUCGUCGUUUUACAUAAUCCGUUGGAGUUGGGUCUUUCUAAAUAUGUAAAAAAACACCUAUUUUUACAUCUUUAAAUUUACAUCUUCUAUUGAAUAUGCUCACAAUAACUAUUCCAUGUGUAAACUAAGAUAAAGAGUGUUUAAAUAAUUAAAAUAGUGAUUUAUAUGUUUUUAUAUUAGUUNNNNNNNNNNNNNNNNNNNNNNNNNNNNNNNNNNNNNNNNNNNNNNNNNNNNNNNNNNNNNNNNNNNNNNNNNNNNNNNNNNNNNNNNNNNNNNNNNNNNNNNNNNNNNNNNNNNNNNNNNNNNNNNNNNNNNNNNNNNNNNNNNNNNNNNNNNNNNNNNNNNNNNNNNNNNNNNNNNNNNNNNNNNNNNNNNNNNNNNNNNNNNNNNNNNNNNNNNNNNNNNNNNNNNNNNNNNNNNNNNNNNNNNNNNNNNNNNNNNNNNNNNNNNNNNNNNNNNNNNNNNNNNNNNNNAUGUUUUUAUAUUAGUUUAUGAAGAAAUUUAUAUUUAAAAACAGAGAAUUAGUAAUUAAAUAAAAUCUCGUUAGGAAGCAAGCUCCCGUAUCGAAGGGAGCACUCCGUAACGGCUACUCACCGGCACCGCUGUUGUCGUACGCGAGCGAUCUCGAUCCCUCUCACCGGCUCUGAUUUCUUUAGUGCUCUCAGGUUCAGAGCCACAAGGUGGCAUGGCAGCCGGUGCUUGCUUUUGUGUUACUACUGUUGUGAGAUUCUUUUAGCUGGGUCAAUUAGUUUACCUCGCGUGGCUCAAGGAGAGAUCGAUCUUGCAGCAGUUGGGAAGCAAAGUCCACGACCACCACCACCACCACCAGAUGCUAGUCCUGCACCCGCUAAAACCGAUCAGGUGAAGUAGAUUGUUGUCAAACAAGUCAAAGAAUCGCAUUGCUCGGGAUCGAUCCAUCCCGUGAAGGGUGAAGCCGAUCGAAGAGCAAGCAGCCUAGUUGAUGGGCGCGGUAGGUGAGUGCGUACGUACAGGUACAGUUGAAUCCUGCUCCGGCAAAUUAUAUGCCCAGUCACAUCGCCGGGCUCCUCUACGCUGCCUCUCUUCUUUUUCGUUUUUCAGGGAAAGCAAGUGGCUGGGCAGCCCACGGGGAGAUACAACACAUUUCUGUCGGUAGAAGGAUGGAACGAGCUGCAUAUACUGGUCGAGCAAACACUACACAUUUCUGUCGGUCGAGCAAGAACUGCUAUAUGCUGGCCGAGCACCAGCCUAUCUGUCUGCCUGCCAGUGCCAGAUAGAGUUUAGCCAAGUUUCGAUCAUUCUUGCUCCUGUUUGAAGUCGUGCAAACGAUUCAGAGGAAGAGACCACACAAAAUUGGAGGAGCGAGCACUGUGCAUGGCAACACGGCUGGAGGGAGGAUCAUAUUUCAGUAUUUCCUUCUUUACCUGCCCGUCGCAUGCAGCGGCGGCACGCCCAGUCGUCUCUGCUGGAUUACACACGCUCGUCUCGAUCCAUCUAUCUGUAUGAAUCUACCCAUGUGCAGAUCAGCAGAUGUGCUGUGGCGCAGUGUCACUGAGCGAGUGAUAUGAUCACGGCAACGGCAACGGCCUCUUUCACCACCAACCAACGUAUCUGCGGCACAUGCCAUUUUGUCAUGUCAUGUCAUGGCCAUGCUAAUAUCAGGUCCGAAGAAACUGGCCAUCACGCACCACAACUGCAUGCAAUGCAAGGCUGUACUUUUAAAAACCGGUGCCCUACCUGGAUUAAAUUGCAUUCAACACCUACAUCUGAAGACUUGAUUUCCUGCUUCUGCUUCUUUUUUGUUUUGUUUUGUUGGAAGAGAAGAAGGCCUUGAUUGAUCCGAUCGACACUGCGUCUUGAAAGACGCCGUACUUCAUGGAGAAAGAGAGAGAUGAUGUACAGUAGGUUUUUCUGUUCUUGGAGCCGUAUCCUCUAACUUACAGAAGGAUCGUCAGGAUGCUACAGUGCUCAAUCGGUCAAUUAGUUUAGGUCACGCGAUUUGAGGACAGAUCUUGCAAGAAGGCAGUGGCAAAGCCCAGGCUCAGCCAUCAUCAUUUUUCAAGAAAUCCCGCAGUCAAUCAGACAAUAAGCACCUGACGACCCAGAAGCUAGCAAAUGGACAGGCCUUGCGAGAGCAGAUCCUUCGGCCAGAUUAAUCAGCCCGAGAGAUUCGUCAAAAUUUCCAGUGAUAAAAGAAACGGAAGCGAAUCAUUGGGGGGUGAUCGAGCGAGGGCCGAGUUUGAUGAGCGGUAGCUGAGUACAGCUCCAUCCUGCUAUUCCCGGCGGGCAACUGUAUCUGUAUACGCCCAUCAUCACAGACAGCUUCUUUUCGUUUGUUUUCUUUUUCGGGCUCCCCACUACAGGUGUCGCCACAUUUCUCUGUCGGUCGAACGAACGGAUCUGCUGAUGGCAUGGCGGAGCACGCAGUCCGUCUGCCAGAAGAAAGAAUCAUAGUCAUGUUCAGUCAGUGCACUCCCUUUUCUUCUUCAUUCAGGUUUGGCCUCCGCUGGCGAUUUCAGAAUCAGAUCGUGGCAACAAUUUCAGAGCAAGAGACCUCAAGCAGCAGCAGCAGCAGCAGCAGCCCAUGUGAGUGACACAGUGUGAUCCCUGCAGCUGCAACGGCCUCUUUUCACCAGGAACGAGCAUUUCUUCACAUGCCAUUUUGUUCGUCACGGCCAUACUAACAGUCGGCCCAAAUAAAAGAGAAACAAAAACUGCCCACACUGUCCUGCAUGCAGUGCCCGCCCAUCACGCACCGCCACACCUGCAACCAAAGGCUGCAGCAGAUUGGAUUCAGCGCCAGCAUCUCAAGACCCUCCUUUUAAUUGUUUUGCUUACUUUUUCAAAAGAGAAGAAGAUCGACUUGAAGCUCAUCUGGCAUGUCUACUUCUACUUCAUAAAUAUUUUGGCAAAGUCGAUCUGCAUCUCGAACGAUUCCGCAGCUGUAAUCAGCUGAUGCCUCUUGUUAAUAGGAAUAUAAUCUGCGGAUCGCCACGGCCAACUUGGCCUUAAUCUUCUCCCCAAUCCAUGCGCCCCCACUACUAUCAUGUCGGUAGCCAUAUCACCCGGUCAUGGUCAACACUAUUACCAUCUUCCCUUCCGAUCUCACCUCGUCACCGUGUCCGUCCAUCUCCAUUUAUAUGUCACAUCACCCUCCCUGCUUUCAGCACUCCACACUCUCAAGCUAAGCUAGCCAGCACCUCGAUCUAGCAGCAAUGGCGUCGUCCAGGAGAGCCGUCCUCGUCCUGCUAGCCGUGGUGCUGCUGGCGGCGGCAGUGCCGGCGGCGCUGAGCCAGAAGACGACGGCCCCGGCGCCAGAAGAGGCGGCGCCGGACGCGCCGGCGGCGGGGACGACGACGCCCAAGGUGGCGGCGGCGCCGAACGUGACGGCGGUGCUGGAGAAGGCCGGGCAGUACACCAAGUUCAUCCGGCUGAUGGCGUCGACGCAGCAGGACACGCAGCUGAACGCGCAGGCCAACGAGUCGGACACGGGCUUCACGGUGUUCGCCCCCACCGACAACGCCUUCAACAGCCUCAAGCCGGGCACCCUCAACUCGCUCUCGCAGCAGGACCAGGUGACGCUCGUGCAGGCGCACAUCGUCCCCACCUUCUACUCCAUGGAGUCCUUCGAGACCGCCAGCAACCCCGUCCGCACCCAGGCCUCCGGCACCGACGGGCCCUGCACCGUCAACGUCACCGCCACCAGCAACAGCGCCGUCAACGUCUCCACCGGCAUCGUACACACCACCGUCGGCACCGCGCUGCGCGCCACCAGGCCGCUCGCCGUCUACUCCGUCGACAAGGUGCUGCUGCCCAUGGACCUCUUCGGCCCCAAGCCGCCGGCGUCCGCGCCGCUGGCCCCGGGAAAGAAGCCCUCCUCCGCCAAGGGGGCAGCCAAGGCGCCCUCGGGGUCGGACGAGGACGAGGACGACGAGACAACCCCGCCCGCCGGUGCGGCCGCAGCCGUCGGCGCCGGAUGGAGGAGCCUCGUCGCCAUGGUGGCUGCCGCCGCCGCCGCCGCGUGCCUCUUGUAAGAAGAAGAAAAUUCAAGCUGGGAGGAUCAUUCAUGGUCCAUGAGACCGACGGAUCGAUGGAGACUAGCUGCGUGCGUGCAUGCUGUGCAUGGAUUUGGAUAGGUUACUACUACUUCUUGCUGGCUGCUUCUUCUUCUGAUCUUCUUCUUUUGUUGUUAAAUGUCCAUUUUUGUUCUCUUUCUUUUCUCCCCCUGUUAAGAUGGGCUUAAGAUGUGAUAAGAUUCCUCGAUGUUCCACUGUUGAAUCAUGGCGUUGUUGGACGGUUAAAUUCUACUGCUGCAUUUGAUCUUAGCUACUGUAGUUCAUUAGCAGUGCAAUUAUCUUCUACGUAACACUCAUCACACGGAAUCCGGUGGUCGGUGCUGAAAAUGAACAGUUAAUGCUCCCACGAGGAGGAAAGAAAAAUGUUGUUGAAAAAGUGAAGCCACAAGUAGAUUGAUCUUCCAUCGAUCUGAAACACUGUAAAGGAAAAUAAGAUUUGGUGCUGGUAUUUGUUUUUCAGGGAGAGAAGGAGCUUUUUUAGAGCAACUUGGUGUCAGUAGUUGUUUUAUUGAGAGCAACUUGGUGUCAGUGGAUCUGAGCAUUUAUCAAAUUUUUUUGUAAGACAGAGCAUUUAUGAAUCCAGAUACUCCAGCAGGGAGUCGACAAAUUAAGCCUGGUUGUAUCUAGGCCAGAUGGGCUUGGUCUGGGCCCUGUCUUUCGGGUGGUUGGAUCCUGUGUGAUGACCAAUGAAUUUUAUCAUGGGCUAGCUCUGCCAGGCCUCCUGGUGCGAAUGCAGCAAAGGUUGGGCUUCCACUAAAUAGACGGACACACCUAACAUAACACUCCCCCUAAAAAAACUAACCAACAUAAAACUAAAUUAACGUCAAAAUUUCCAUCAAAAUAAGGCCGUGUUUGGAACCGCUCUGCUUCAUCAGAAGCAGUUUCGCUCCAUCAAAUUUAAUUUGGAGCAGUUUCAUGCAGGAGUUGUAGCUCUUUUAAAAAGAAUGUUUGGCUUUUAUUCACCUGCAGUUUCACGAAUGGAAAAUUUGGUGAAAAUGAUCUAUUUGAUUGGAUGAGAGAGGAGAAACGAAGAGGUAUCCAUUUACUGGUGGCAGUGAUGGGUAAUUUUGCUCCUACUCCAGCUUCUAGAAUUUUAUUGAGCACCUCCUAAAGAGCAUCAUAAAAACAAUAAGUUGGACGUCAGAUUCUAGUUUUUUGUGGAGUUGUAUAUCGUGGAGUUACCCCGUUUGGAUUAUCUUUUCUAGAGCGAAGCUGAAUUUUCUGAAAUAGAGCAGUACCAAACAGGCCCUAAAUCAACCCACACACAAUCCGACUCCGGCAUCCUCAAUGGCGUCGGGUGUCUCUCGGGGGCUUUGAUCUAAGUUUGAGUGGUAUAAAUAGGUACAUUAGGUUGCCUAAGGGAGGGAGUUGAGAAGGUGACGACGGCCUCUUUGAUGAAAAGUCGUCUCCGUUUCAACGAUGUACCUUCUACAAUAGCACGCGUGAAGGUUGUCCUUGCUUGUUGGAUCUUCUACUUGACCGUGCGCAGGGCCGGGCCGACAAAAUUCAAGGUCCUAUGCAAAACUAAAAAAUGAGGCCCUAUCUCACAAAAAUAGAACUAACAAGUUAUUAUAAUGUAUACAUAUCUUAGAGAAAAAAUUAUAAUGUACUUCAUUUGUUCCUAAAUGUAGAUCUUUUAGAGAUUUCAUUAUGGACUACAUACAAAUGUGUGUAUAUAUAUAUUAAAGUGUAGAUUCACUCAUUUNNNNNNNNNNNNNNNNNNNNNNNNNNNNNNNNNNNNNNNNNNNNNNNNNNNNNNNNNNNNNNNNNNNNNNNNNNNNNNNNNNNNNNNNNNNNNNNNNNNNNNNNNNNNNNNNNNNNNNNNNNNNNNNNNNNNNNNNNNNNNNNNNNNNNNNNNNNNNNNNNNNNNNNNNNNNNNNNNNNNNNNNNNNNNNNNNNNNNNNNNNNNNNNNNNNNNNNNNNNNNNNNNNNNNNNNNNNNNNNNNNNNNNNNNNNNNNNNNNNNNNNNNNNNNNNNNNNNNNNNNNNNNNNNNNUGUAGAUUCACUCAUUUUGCUCCGUACGUAGUCAGUACUAAAUUUUUUAAAAAACUUAUAUUUAGAAACGAAGGGAGUAUAUAAUAUAAUGUCUUACAUAACAUUUGAAUUUUUCCGAAAUCUAAUAAUCCGAUUGAUCUAAAGUAAUGGUGAGGGGCCACGCGAGGAGACAAAGGCAAACUCACCAAGGCCGAGUGCUUAUAGUCACGAGGGCACGAGCGAAGAGACGAGGGCACGAGGCGACGAGCAUACAAGACGAGGCAACUAUUUUUCAGUUCCUAUCUUGUAGCUUUGUUUAGGUGAAUCUCGAUCCCUGCAGCCGUGUAGCGAAGGGAGGAGGUCGGGAGUAGUGUGCUCGAUCCCUGCGCUCGAUGACUCGAUCGAUGUCCUGGUCCCCUCGACUCAAGACUCCGAUGGCCCAACUUCAGUGUCACCAUGCCCAAUAACUCCGAGUUUUUUCUUUCUAGUACCAGGCCUAUAUAAAAAAAUUGGGCCCCUAGAAUUUUGGGCCCUAUUCGGGCCAUACUUUUGGCACAACUCUCGGCCCGGCCCUUAGAGUGUGAUGUGUUGGUUUUCCUCUUCGAUGGGGUUUCUACCAAUAUAAAAGGGAGGUUCAUGUGAUCCUUCGCAAGACAGGGACAAUUAUUCUUCUUUCUCGAUGGCAGCGGGCGGCGUCUUCCUUCCUCGUCACAUCAAGGUGAGUUCGUCGACAUCAGAACCGAACAAGCGGGGUGGUCCUUGUGGUUUCUAAAACUGCGAGGAGGAUUCCAUGGCCAUGUGGCAGCGUUGAUUGGCCCUUUCUACGCCAAAGUUCUUUUGAAUGUGCACGGAUCUCACCGAUGGCUUCCCGUGUGUUGGGGGGNGGGGGCUCUUCCCGUUUUGCAGCAUCUUCUUUGUAAAACUACAUCUACUGUGUCACUAACUAACUAAAGUGUUUGCUCUUUCUUUUAUGAAAAAUGACUGAUAUCUAGAACAUAUUAGUUACACUUUUGCACCAAUAAGAAUCAAGAGCUACUCAAGAAAUCGAAGAUGCACUCAACCAAAUUAUACAGAUGAAGAAAAAAGUGCCCAACAGAGCAACCACAUCAAACAUCAACAACAACCAUAAAUGAUAGCAACCCUAUGUAACCACAUAAGAUGUUCCAAAAACGAUGCCUAUAGGAAGAGAACAAUGUAAGAGUGCCAUCGUCUCUAGACCCAACCACAGAGGCCACAUCAUGAGCUUUCACUCCACACAGGAGUCUCGAUGACCUUCAUGCAAUGUUUUCAACAAAAGAUAUUAUGGUGAGGUCAUGGCCAAGUUCAACCAAUGAAGGUCAGGCCUAGACAUUUCACCCCUCGUACAUGAGCCCCUGCACUAAAAAAGACCGCAUGUCUCACAUCGCCUUGUGUUGUGACUACCGUGCUUAUCCAUCUUCUACAUCCUUGCACAUAAACGGUCCUCAUGGACCUAGUCAUAGAAUUAGAACUAGACUCAUGUAACACACGCUUUCGAGCAGUGUGUGUCGUCUGUCAUCUUUACCGAUGCCGGUGAGAAUCCAGACUGCCAACGCAACCAAUUUAGGCAAGUCAUAUGGGACACCUCGACAAUGGCGAUACCCAUGCAUCAAGCAAAAAUUGAGUUGUUUGGUCGUCUCUUGCAAACGCCAUCUUGGACCUUGUCGAGGACUCCAAAUCUCUACACUAAGUGGAAGACACCCAAUCAUCGAAGCGCACCGUCAUGACCCUCCAAUAUGAAGGCUAAAAACCCAUCAACUUUACGCCUCGUAGAGACAGUUAACAACCUAGGGUGCGCAACCAAGAGCAUAAUAACUGAUAUGGGAACAAUCACACCGGUUCGAAAUCGCCUUCGUACAUGGAUCACGAAGAUAUGCAGCCACCUUCACCAUCGGGAACUAGAACCAGGUAAAUUCAUAGUCAUCGCGAAUGGAGGAUUUGAAAGCCUCUGCUACAAAUCAUUGUCGUUAACGUCAUGAUCGGUCGCCUUCAGUGCCCUUGGAGCCAUUGCUGCAUGACUACACUGAGAUGUCCUAGUGGGCGCCACCUUGAUGUCCGACCUCCGAUGACGCACGCCGUUCGUGACCGUCGCAAAUCUUAGCCAUGAGGACUCCUGUAACAUAAGGAGAUGAGACUGAUGCCGCCGUCAGCCAUCCUUGCAGAGCGGCGACAAGAUGGUUGGGGAGAGGAAAGGAAACAGAGGCAGCGGUUAGGAUUUCUCUCGAGCGGUAGAGCAUCUCUCGUGUAACUACGCAAUCUCUACCUAAUAAUAAAGCAAAGGUUACGGUCAAUAUGAUGUUGGUGUUUUUACAGAGAAUUCCCUGCCUUUUGCAGUAAUUAACCCACAAUCCAUUUUUAAGUCAUAAGUAAAUGUUUUUUGCACUUUUCAGAAAAAUCCAAGAUGUUUUAGGUAAUCAACCCGUUGUCCAUACUUAAGUCAAGUGAAACUUUUUUUCCAUUUUAACGGAAAACCCGCUGACUUUUCGGUUAAUAAAUCCAUAGUUUAUAUGAAACAAAGUUACCCAUAUCUUUUAAAUUGUAACUGCUAUUUGAACAUGUUAUAUAUAAAAUUUGAUUAGAAAAAUCUGUAGAAUCUAAAUAUAAUGUUAUUUUUAGCUGUUAAAUAUCUAUAACAUAUUAUUUUGAUCCCAACUUAAUCUAUAGUGUACAGUCCAGUUUUCUGAAUGACUGUGUGCGCGCGCCCUCGCGGGAGGGAGAGAGAGAUAAAGACAUUUAGAACUGACCACAUUCAAACACAUUUUAUUUAUGUGAGCACUGAGGCCAUCAUCGACAACCCAAAUGUGAUGUCAUCUGAAAAUAAAGAACGUAAAUCUAUUAGCAUCUUAAGUCAGGGCUAUUUCAUUAAAAACGUGUGUUAUUUCCUCUUUCGUUACAACUCACAAGCUUUUUUGCUAGCAAGAAAUCAUUUAUAAGCUAAAUACCACAUAUCUUUUAAGAAAAACGAACGAUAACCAAUGUGUUUCUCUCUUCCCGCAAUUUUGGUUCCCUCAUUUGUGGGAAAUCCAACAGUUUACCAUGCAUGAAGUUUGUCCUGAUUGCGCCGGUGUGAUUCUCGUGGGUUACGAGGCCACGGGGGAGGUUUGGUGGGGCGGCGAGACUGCAGAGUAGAGUACGUACUACAUGCUAGACAGAGCGGAGGAGAGAGACGGGGUGACAGCGACACGCUCCCCACACAUGAUGCCAGCCAGGUUCCGCUGGCCAAUCGCUGUUGCUAAAUCGGAAGCUUGUGCAUGGCUGCGCUGGUAAAAAGAGAAACCAUUUCUUAUCCACCACAAGCGCCCCGGGCCACGUACCCACAGGUGCGUGCUCCGUCACCUGUCACCCGCCCGUUUUUCUCUCUCUCUGGUAUAUGUAUACGUACGUACGCACAUGACAUGAUGACAGUAUAAGAGUAUCUGCAUGUAUAGUGUACAUAUACGUCUGCACAUGAUAUGACAUUCAUGGCAUGGCAGCCGCCUCGGGCCAUGUAGAGGAUGUGGCCCCGUCGAGUCAUUUCGUGCCUGUGCGGUGCUGCGCUACGUGUCGUCCAAGAUUACUGCUCGGCGUGGGGAGGAAGCGGCGGAUCGGACGUCGUGUCGGGGCCGCUCCGCCGUCGCCGUCGACGCCGAUCUCUUUCUUCUCCCCCUGCUGCUGCAUGCUGCGUACGCCACUUUCGCGUCGGCCACCGCGUUCUCGCCCCUCAGCAGGCCAAUAUAUACAAUAUAUUACGGCUACCUGAUCUCCGUCGACCAGCACCCAAAAAUCCUGCCGAAAAUAAAAUACAGAGCACCCGAAUUCAGAGUUAGUAAGUACGACUGGGAAGGAAGCAGUGUGGCACACGACGACGUGACGUGAGGUGAGGCGGGCACGACCCCAAAAACCCAAAGUGGCAAGCGUGAGUCGAAUGGUGGUGCUUCGUGGGAGUGCGUUGGGCGGGCGCUGUCGAUGCAUCGAUGAUUGGACGUGGACAGCCGGAUUGCAGUAGCGCCAACCACGACUCUCUUCUCUACGCAGCGCCAUACUGUCGGUGCGGUGCGAAUGAGCGGAGCAGCGGCUUUGCGUGCCGACGAUUUAUUGUGUUUUCUUUUAAAGAUGUGCAUAUAUAUUCGGCAUCAUGUUGCCCCCGAAAGUACACAUUUCCUAGUGCAAUCAUUCGUACGAGUACCAACUGAUGAAGAUGGCGCUUAUUAUAUGCGUGGUGUCCAACUGGGCUUUUUCAGAUCGGACAUACUUACGAGCCACUCACCCGGCCGACAGAAAGAAAUGCCAUCAUACAUACAUGCAUCCCAUUCAAGGACUGAUUGGGAACAUGUUCUACCUACAGUCCUUUGGCGAAGCUUGUGCUUGGAGGUAAAGCAUCCGCAUCCAACAUGCCUGCCUGCCUGGCUUCACCGCCACAUGAGGUGAAGCCACUAGCUAGUUAAUUACUUCCUCUUUAAACUAAUUAUAUAAAAGUACUUGGAUCAUUACAUCUAAAUGUUUUUAUAUUAGUUUAUAGAAAGAGUAAUGAGUAAGUCCAUUCCACUGGUGUCGAUAGCUUAUUUUGGUCAUCGUACUCAGAAUUGCAUCCAACUUAUGUUGAACGCUCAGUUUGUUCAUCGUACUCAACAAUACUUCCAAUAUGGCAAGAAGUAAAUAUAUGAUCAUUGUUCAGCAUGUAUAGUCCAUGAGCUUCACAUUAGUGAAAUGUCCCCCGAGUCAAUCCUAAAAGCAUCUACAGCCGGACUUGGCAAAUCCCCCUUCUCUAUACGCCCGCGUCCGCAGACAGCCCCGUCAGCCCCUCCUAUGUUGUGCCGCAUAUUCACAUAUUUUAAACGAAAUCCUUAAAUUCAUAUACUCCAUGCACAAUCAUCCGAUACAAAGUGUUCGAAUUCAAUAGUUUCAAACAAAACCAAAUAAAAUGAUAGUUCAACAAACCGACAUGCCAAAAUAAAAUCAUUGUCCCAACGGCAAGAGAGCUUCUUCGAUCACUGUCUAAAUGAGUUUGUCCAUGCAUCCUGCUCGUCCAGCUUCUCCUGUUCCGUCUGGGCAGCCAUCUCCGCCUACAUCCGGCUACGUGCUUCGCAUGCAUCCUGGCCGCGUGAUCCGUUGCUGCAGCCGCCCUCGCCGCCUCCAACGCCCUACGGUUGUUGUUCUCCUUCUUCUUCUCCGUAAGACAUUUCUUGGCAUGCUCAUUCAAGACGGAUUCGUCCGACAAUAUGAUCUUCGCAUCCUCCCCGUGCGAGUUACAACUUUUCCUUCUCGAGCUCAGUCUCUCCAAAUUUCUUGGCCUUCUGGAGUUCUCAUUUUAUCGCCGCAUCUUGCUUCUCCAACUCGAUCUUCUCCCUCUCAAUUUCAAGCCUUCUCUCUACCCUCAUUAGGUCCAAGUCCAUCCUCUUCUUUUGUGCAUCCAACAUGAGCUUGUACCUCUUCUCUUUCUUGUUCUCCCUUGUCAAAAAAAUGCCCGUCCAUGUGGACGACAUUUUAGUAGACUCGGCGUCACGGAAGAUCCUUGCCUUCUCCCACUUGUUUCCCAUGACUUGUCGGUUAUCCUUUGUCACGAUAGCUCUUUCAUUGAUGACGACAACAUCGUUAUCCUCAUCGUCUAACCUAAUAAAUUGGUGGGAGUUUUUGCCAUCAUUCCUCUUUUUGCCGGCUUUGAGAUCGAUCGCAACUUGUGUCCACUUUGGUUCGCCAUUCAACAAGAGCCAACAAUGAUUAAAUGUGAAAGCCACACCUCUUGCUUUAGCCUUCUUGCUCUCUACUUCUUCUUGCUCGAAUUCGGAUAAGAUGUUGCCCCAACUACAAAUGUGGUGGUCUCCUCCAAAUCAUAACCCAUUUCAUUCGGAUCUUCAUUGUCAUUGAUUAUGCUUGCCAAGUACACCUCAUAGAUGUUCAUGGUUUGCAAGCAUUCCUCAUGUGUGAACUAGUGAUAUAUUCAAAACUUGAACAUUUGCUCGGAGAGGAGCAAACAAAAUGUACCCGGUCUUGUUCAGACAUUCCGUCAAACAUGUUGAGUGCAGCCUGGGCGGUGGCGGUGCCCGUGCUCAUCCACUCCCGAACGAGCGGCGUCGACUCACAUUCAUCGACCGCCGGUUUCUGCGUGGGUGGAAAGCUGUUCGGAAUGGCCCAGCCGACCGCCGCAUCCUCCUCCAUCCCAAGGGUGCCGGCCAACACAAUCCACAUCAGCACUUGGAUGGAUGGGGUGCGGGGAGCCGGGUGUGGCGGGGGAGACAUCUCCUUGACCAUGUUCGCACCUACCAGCGACCCCGCCUCCGCCUCCCUCUCUUGCUGCCGGUGACGCUGCAACUUUUGGGCGACAUUCUCUGUCUUGCAAGAUACCGACAAACGAGGUGGGUUGCGUCUCCGUCGCGGCAGUCGGGGACGAGCUAGAAGACAUCACGACGGUGGAUCGAGACCGGUAGUGAGGAUGAGGAGGAAGGGUGCCGGACGGCGAGGGCUUGGGCGCGGGAAAUGUUGGAGGGCGGCGAGAGGACGACGAAAGGUUUGGAGAAUUUGGGGCAAUUUGUGGUGGGGUUGGGCUAUGGGGGCAGGCGUGAUGGGUGUGCUCGGGAUCCCCCUGUUCGCCUCAUAUUUGGGCUGGAUAUGAGGGGUGUUGGGGAACGUUGCAUGGGAAAUAAAAAUUUUCCUACGCACACGAAGACCUAUCAUGGUGAUGUUCAUCUACAAGAGGGAAAUUGGAUCCACAUACCCUUGUAGAUCGCUAACGGGAAGCGUUCAGAAAUGCGGUUGAUGUAAUUGUACAGCUUCGUGAUUCAAAUCACCGUCGUCCCACGAUCCGUUCCGAUCUAGCGCCGAACGGACGACACCUCCGCGUUCAGCACACGUACAGCUUGAUGACGAUCUCGGCCUUCUUGAUCCAGCAAGAGAGACGGGGAAGUGGAUGAGUUCUCCGGCAGCGUGACGGUGCGCCGGUGGUGGUGAUGAUCUACUCCUGCAGGGCUCCGCCCGAGCUCCGCAGGUAUCCGAUCUAGAGGAAGAACUACAUGGUAUAGGUUUGAGUUGCACGUGGUAAAGUUGUGUCUCAAAGGCCCUAAACCACCAAUAUAUAUAGGAGGAGGGGAGGGGCUAGCCUUGGGGCUCAAGGGAGCCCCAAGGGCGCCGGCCGAUUGGGAGGAGGUGGACUCCCACCCCAAUUUGGUAUGGGGGAAGGAGUCCACUCCUUCCUUCCCACCUCCCUCUUUUGUUUCCUUUGGUAUUUUUCUCUUUUGGCGCCAUAGCCCUCUUGGGCUGGGCUGGUGCGCCACUCUAGGGUUACUGGGCUCACUCUCGGGUGGGAGCCCAACCCGGUGAAUACCGGGAACCCAUUCGUCACUCCCAGUACACUGCCGGUAAUGCCUGAAAUCUUUCCGGUGACCAAAUGAAACCAUCCUAUAUAUCAAUCUUCGUUUCCGGACCAUUCCGGAAACCCUCAUGACGUCCGUGAUCUCAUCCGAGACUCUGAACAACCUUCGGACCAUGCCCGGCUAUAGAUGCUCUAAUUCCACUCGUUUUCUCCAUCGCCACUGCCACCGUGUCAGUCCAUUGUUGCGUGUGCGUUCAUCCUCGCCAUGUCGAUGAGCUAUAUAUGUCACGUCAGCUCUCAGCGACCGGGCUGUGCUGGUGCAACUCAUCAGAUGCCCUCACCGUUGCACUUGAGUGAAGUUUUGUGUCUCGAACACCGACAAACAUGACAGGUAUGUCUUCUAGAAGUGCAUGCAUGACGGUGUAAGUCCCCCAUGACCCUUGUUCUCCAUGUUGUUGGAUUUUGGUGCAUGAUGUGCAAAAAUAAUUGUUACUUUUUUGGUUAUUUGGUUGAUAGGAUUGAGUUGUGGCACUAAAAGUUGAAUUACAUUGAUAUAUUAUAUAUAAACGGUUCCUUCUUAGUAAUGAAGGAAUAGAUGCAAUUGGUGUUGCAAAGGAAAAGAGGGAAGAGUUGAUUCGAGCAAGGGAAGAAAGGGCUGGCUUGCAGGUAAUGUCAGAGGCACUGGAGAUAGAAGAAAUGAAAGACCGAGGCUAGUAGGCAGUAACAAGGCCAUUGGAGUUGUAGGUAGCAUGAUCAAACAUCAUGGAGCUGGAAUUUUAGGUUUAAGUAGGGAAAUGCUGAUGGUUCCGAGGGCAACGAUGGCAACAGUCGUUGUGUUGUAUGUGUUGUUUGUUGUAUCACUUUUGAAGAUGUAAUUCUUCAUGUAGCAAUAGUUACUUUGUUUAGGCGAAAAAUCAAGUUUCCAAGCUGGGAAGGCCUCUUUUUCAUAUGUUGUUAUGAUUCCUCUUUUGGUUUGUAUGAGCUGAUGGAAGACAUGAUAUUGGUUCUGAAAUUUCAAUGAGCAUGUGUGCUUGUGUUGUGCACCUUUUUUUGUCAUUAAUGUGUUCAUUUAAGUUUCUUUUAUAAGGAAAGUUGUUGGUGCUAGAUGAUCGUAUACUUGUCAUGUUGGUGCUAAAUGAGCAUAUAAUGUCGAUGUUGGUGUUAUGAUUGUUACUUAUUUGUGAUUAAUUGGUGCAAGAUGACCAUGAAAUGGUAACAAUUACAACAAUUUGAAUGAUAUUGACCAUGUAUUGGCUAAUUUUGUAACUAUAACAAUUAGAUACAAAAAAGUUCAUGCUAUUUGAAGCAUGAUGGCGAAAUUAGUAACAUUAUAGCUGAAAGAAUAACAAACACUAACAUUUGAAGCUAUUGCAAAAUAUAUAACGAUAACAGGCUUGAUAUUGCAAAAAGGAGGAUUUAUUCAUUAUGACAAAGAUAGUAAAAUGUAGGGCAUACAUGUUCAAACAAUUGAUCCAUAUUGACAAACUAAGAUUAGUAUUGAUCAAUUAUAACACUUCCCAACAUUGUAAGGUUCACAGUGUUACGAGAAAGAGACAACAUCUCGACAUAAAAACUACUAGGAGUCCUAGUCCUACUCCAUGGAUAUAUCAAACAUAGAUGCCCUAGUGGCGUUUUUAGGAAGCAUCUCUUCAUCACGUUAUGGUUGCUCUGUCUCAACUUGUCUCUUACAAGUAGCAACAACUCUUCUUCUCAUUUCAUCUUUCCUUGCAACAUCAGCAACAACUUCCCUAUCUACUUCUCUGUGUUGCAGCAGCUUGCCUCUCCGCAAGUUCUUUUGCAGCAGUUGCUUCUCUCUUAACCUUCUUUUAAGCUUCUUGAUUUGCUCUUUUCCAUGCCAUGAAAGGAGGAGCGAAAGCUUUGAUGUGUCCACUUCUUAGGCAUGUGUGUUCAACCACGAAGCAUUUGGUCAUGUUGCCAUAAGAAUCCCACAGAUACCUAGUACAUUCAUCAUCACAUUUGGCCUUCAAGCUUUUCCUAUAAUUCACGAGCAACUUGACAUCAAUUCUAUUUUGCAACAAUAUUCAAGAGUUCAACUGUUUGGAAAACUUGGGCAACAUGUAAUUUUUGACAGUGUAGGUCCGUUGCCGUAAAAGCCUUAAACAUCAAGUAAAUUUCUUCACCAUGUGAGUUUGCUUGCCAUAAAUCAUCACCUUGAGAUUCAUAUAAUGCAUCUUCUUGCUACUCUCUUUCUUUAUCUCCAGAUUUCUCCUUUCCUUUAUUUGAGCCCUUUUCUUUUUCAGUAUCUUGAACUCUCUAGUUCUGCUAGUCCUUCCUCUUCCGAGGUUCAUUCAUAUCCACAUUGUCAACAUACAGAUCAUCAUCACCAUCACUAAUGUCAUAGUCACUCUCCACUAUGGCACGAGGAUCAAAGUUUGAAUCAUCCAAAUCACUAUAAGUUGCUGCAUCUUCUGCCCCUGUUUCAUAAGAUCAAUUGCUCUUUUUUCUUCUCUUUAUGCACACUACCACUCUACCACCAACAUUAGCCUCGUGCCAACUAACACUUUGCUGAAUUAGCUCUCAAAUAGACUCUUACUGUGAUGCUUGUAUCAGAAUAGGGCGAUUAGCAAUCGGAGAAUCACAAAGUUAAUCAAAAAGAUUGGAAUUUACUGUAGUUUAGGGCGGAGCACCAUUAGAUCGACGAACAGGGACCAUCGUCGCGACGCCUCUCCAGCGAGAAGGUGUUGUGCCCCGCAACCGCGCGACUCGACCCUCCCGAUGCCUCUCCACCGGCGAUGAUCGCCUUUCUCCGCCAUGCGUAGCGUCGCGCCACACGCCCACACCCUCCUUCGGUUUGAUCAAAGAUAAAGAGGCGAUGAGGAUUUUAUCCAUUUGUAAUUGACACCAUGGGCGUUUUGUACAAAAAAACAUGAAAAUCGAUGAGCUUUCUUCGAGAUGACGCCUUGGCAUGGUCAACACGUGGUCAACAAAGGCGCGUACCGCUAUACGCUCAACGCUGAAGGGUGAUCGUUUGAGAUGUACUCCCUCCGUUCCUAAAUAUAAAUCUUUUAAGCGAUUUCACUAGAUGUCCAUAUACGGAGCAAAAUGAUUGAAUGUACACUCUAAAGUAUGUCCAUAUACAUUCAUAUGUAGUCCACUAGUGAAAUCUGUACAAAGACUUAUAUUUAGGAANNNNNNNNNNNNNNNNNNNNNNNNNNNNNNNNNNNNNNNNNNNNNNNNNNNNNNNNNNNNNNNNNNNNNNNNNNNNNNNNNNNNNNNNNNNNNNNNNNNNNNNNNNNNNNNNNNNNNNNNNNNNNNNNNNNNNNNNNNNNNNNNNNNNNNNNNNNNNNNNNNNNNNNNNNNNNNNNNNNNNNNNNNNNNNNNNNNNNNNNNNNNNNNNNNNNNNNNNNNNNNNNNNNNNNNNNNNNNNNNNNNNNNNNNNNNNNNNNNNNNNNNNNNNNNNNNNNNNNNNNNNNNNNNNNNNNNAGACUUAUAUUUAGGAAGGGAGGGAGUAUAGUAUAGUGAACAGCAAUGCAUUUUAAACACAAACAACGCAGACACGGUUCAAAAAUGCAGCGGAAUUUCACCUUGGUUGCCUAAAAAGAUGUUGAAAUCUUGCCUGCGGUGCAGAUUCACAUUCGGUUCGGGUUCAGGCUCUCAAGUUAGUUCGUGAAUCACAUCACUCACGCAGCGUAAAUUCGAGAGAAAGUUGCUGUCAGAUUAGCUAGCUCGCAAGAAUUUCCACCGCGCGCAUCUUCCCAGCUCACGCUCUCACCAGUCUCGUCUCAUCUCGUCGCCACCCACCGCCACUAUAAGUCUAUUAAACACACACUGCGAGAUCGCGCUCCCUCUCAGAUCAGCCCCCAUCCCAGCCCACCAACCCCGUUGCCCGCCGGUACACCACCACGGCAAUGGCGUCGGCGUCGCGGAUCCUGCUCGUGGCCGCGCUGCUCUUCGCGGCGUCGGCAAUGACGUCGGCGCAGAAGGCGAAGGCGCCCGCGAAACCCGCCCCCGCGGCCGCCGACGCGCCCGCGGCCGUCNACGUGACGGCGGUGCUGGAGAAGUCCGGCAAGUACUCCAAGUUCUUGGCGCUGCUCAAGGAGACCCGCGUGGAGACGCAGAUCAACGCGCAGCUGACGGACAGCUACAACGGGCUGACCAUCUUCGCCCCCACCGACGCCGCCUUCGACGGGCUCAAGGCCGGCACCUUCAACACGCUGACGUCGCAGGAGCAGAUCCAGAUGGUGCUCUACUGCGUGCUGCCGCGCUUCUACUCGCUCUCCAUGCUCGGCACCCUCAACGGCAAGGUGAGCACGCAGGCGUCCGGCCACUCCGGCCCCUACACCUACAAGAUCAAGCCCUCCGCCAACAACGUCAACGUCUCCACCGGCGUCAAGGGCAACAACAUGCUCCUCGGCAGCGUCGUCAGCAAGGACUUCCCGCUCGCCGUCUACUCCAUCGAAAAGGUGCCGCUCCCCUACGAGCUCUUCGGCCCGCAGCCGCCCACC